Molecule: long non-coding RNA, 374688 nt
Filed under: Gossypium barbadense (sea-island cotton)
Lineage: Eukaryota; Viridiplantae; Streptophyta; Magnoliopsida; Malvales; Malvaceae
Description: long non-coding RNA (GBAR_LNC012270)
Rfam family: Plant small nucleolar RNA R71 (bases 18298-18404)
Source: RNAcentral
GAUCCUCCAUCAAUUUCAGCACCUAUUCUAGUGAAUAGCGCUAGGAAUGUGGUGGACUCUGAGAAGGGUAUACCUGCCCAAUUGCCAAAUGAUGGGGCAAAUAUUCCAUCUCCAAAAGUGGAUGGAAAUGAUGCCACAACUGGUAAUUUUGGUAACCCAGAAAAUCCUGAUAGGAUUGGGCUUGACCCAGCUGCUGUGACAGUACAGGCUGCUUUCAGAGGUUAUCUGGUAGCUACUCUCCCUUUAAAAGUUACUUUUAUACUUAAAGGUUAUGCAUAGUGAUGAAACUUGUAAGCAUUUUACUGCUGUAGUCUUCAUUCAGUUGUAUGAAAACUCUGCUGACUGUUAUUGACAGUAACUUGAAUACACUGUCAUUGUUCUGCUUAUUUUUCUAAUAUUGGAACCUUGCACUCUGUAUCUUGCCUUAUGUUGUUGAUGAUGAUUGUUUUUACUUAAAGUUAAGGAUAUGUGAGGAUUGGGUGACAUGUGAUAGAUUCAUACUUCUUUCAUGGUAUCUUUUGUUUUAUUGGGAGGUAGAACAUUGAACCACUUAUUGGUUUAACUGCUUGUAUAUGUCAGACUCUACAAUUGGCUGGCUGUCUCUAUGUUUUAUAUUUACUUCAUGCUUCUUAUUGUUUGUAUGUAUAUUUAGCCCCUUGCUGUUGACAGAAACAAGCAUAGGGAAUCCAUGUGAAUGAAAAUUUCUUAGGGGCCUGGAUUACUAUUUACAGUAACUUGGGUAGUAUACAACUCAUUUUACUAAGUUUCCCAGGUUAACACAUGUAUCAGUUUUGUACAAGCAUCUGCUUGUUUAGAGAUAUUUGAAUCUUAAAUAUUUGACAACCUACUGAUUUUUAGUAUUUGUAUAAAUUUUAAAUGCAAAUUUGGUUGGUAUAGGUUUGCAUAAAGUUUGAUAGAAGUAGUGAAUCUGCUGCCAACUUUUACACGCCCUUAUACUAGGAUUAUUAUCCUCUCUAAAAUCACAUAGUUUUAUUGAUGACAAUAUUAUGUGUUGGAAGGCUCGCAGGGCAUUUCGAACCCUCAAGGGCAUUAUAAGGCUGCAAGCAGUUAUUCGUGGUCACUUGGUUAGAAGACAAGCUGUUGCUACUUUAUGCUGUACAUGGGGAAUUGUUAAGUUGCAAGCACUAGCUCGUGGUCAAAAGGUCAGAUGUUCAGAUAUUGCCAUGGAAAUACAAGAAAAACAUCUAAGACUGCUUCAGGUGAUUUUUAUUACUGAUCAGUGGAUAAUGGCUUGUUGUUUCUUGCUAUCCUGACAAUAACUGUAGACACUAGUUGUAUGCCCUAGUUGAGUUUGUUGUUUAUGCAUAAGGUCUAUGAGAAUAAAGGUAUUUUUGUGAUUAUAUUGAUAUUAACAUGGGCAUUGAUAUCAUAACCAUUCAAUAAUAAUAAAGGAUUAUUUUAUUUCAGGUUCUUAUCUGAAAAUCAAAGUAUACCUCCCUUUUGUUUCAUUAUGUGGCAUUUUGAGUAGCUAAUUGCACAUAACAUGCUUCUAAGCUGGGUACAUUUUACUUCUUUAUUUAAGCAGGGUUCUAAAAGCUCGGAUUCUAUUGGAGUGAGCACAUCUUCUAAGGUGAAGAAUUUAUCAAAUAAUGUGUUUGUUCAGAAGGUAUGGUUUGCUUUCUCAUAAUACUAUUGGAUUCUUCUUACUGGUUAAAAUGAGAACUUCUGUGCUGAUAGAAAGCCCAUGAUAUUUAGCCUUUAGGCAAUUUUUAAUGCUCCUAAGUUCCUGCUUUUGUCGCCACAGUAGUUGUCUAAUGCAUAUUUUCUUAGCAUAUAAUUGUUCCUGUUUCUUUUGUGUUUCAAACUUGAGCUUGUGCACCUUGAUCUUUUGAAUUGUUCCUUUUACUUUAAAGUUAUAAUUUUCUAUUGCUGAUAUUCUUACACUUUGUUAUCUUCAGUAUUUUUUUCCUCUUUGGUGAUUAAUGUUUAUAAUAUCAGUACAAUAGAGGCAUCUUUUGUAGUUAAACUCGCAAGUCAGGUCUAAAUAUCUGUAUGCCCCAUCUUUAUCUCGAGAGCCUCCAUGCCUAAGUCCUGUAUCUCACCUGAGAAUUGCAAAUGCAAAUGUAUCAGUUGUUUAUAGAUCCCUUCUUGUUGUAUCAAAAUGAUCAACUAUUUUUUAAGCUUGUUUAUCUAUCUGCCUUUUUUCCUACUGUCAAAUCUUGAUAAUGCUUACUUAAUAUAUUCCUCUCAGUGGAUUUAAAUCUUAGAAAAUGCCUUCAAUUAAUUGGGCCCCCAUAAGUGGCACUUCCUUUCCGUUGAACCUCAUGAAAUGACAAACAAAUAAAAAAAGAAAUAAAUCUUGUUAUGCAAAGUGCUUAGACUUUAGAACUCUAGCAUGACUAGUAAAAAAACUUUGCAUGGAAGAUUUAGUUCUGUUCCUUACCUCUUUUUCUUUAAUAUGUAUGAACUUUGUUAGUGAUUACUGUUUUUGAUGUAUGCCACUGUUUCCUGUUCCUAGCUGCUGGCCUGUUGUGGAUGCCAAGAAUCAUGGUGUCUUGACUUAUGCCAGUUCUGCUAUGUUUUUAUUCACUGUUGUUCCAAUCUGUAUGUGACUGCAUUUUCAUCAUUUCAGCUUUUGGCCUCAUCACCUUCUGUAUUACCUCUACAACUUCAAUAUGUUCCAGAGGAGCCUAACUCAUCCUGGCAGUGGCUUCUACGAUGGACAAUGUCACAUUUUUGGGUAUCCCCUUUAAAACCAGUUAGGAGUGGAAAGACAAAACGAAGUAUUCAGAAACUGUCCAAUGCAAAAGUUGUUAAUGGAUCUAGUCAUUCUACCUUGGAGCAUGAAAAAAACAAACGAGGUCUGAGGAGAGUUUCUGGCAACUCAGCAGCAGAUUCAGUUCGGAAGCAUCCACAAAAUGAGCUUGAGAGGGUUAAGCGCAGUUUACGAAAGCUUUCUGACUCUUCAAAGGAGGUUUCUGAUAAGUCUGAAGUUUUUAAUGAGAAAACAAAGAAGACUCUGAAAAAAACUUCUAAUUCUAAUGACCCUGAUUUUUCAGAACAGGAAUCCGCUGAGAAGAUAAGAGAUGUGACUGCAACACUAUCAGAACUGUCAAUUCUUGAGGCAGAUCUGAAAAUGUCCCUAGAAGAUCCUUCUCUUGGUGAGCCUAAUGUCUGUCCUGCAGUUGAUUUGUCACCUGCUGAAAACAAUCGUAAACUUGAGGUAAUAGAGGAGUUAAUCUCUAAAGACGAGCAGGUUGGUGAUGAGAGCUCAAACACAAGCCAAAGAAGAGCUUCUUUCCCUGCAAAAAUUGAUAAUCAGGCGAAUGGGUUAAAUCUCAUGCCAAAAGUGCCCAGUUAUAUGGCAGCAACUGAAUCUGCAAAAGCUAGACUUAGGGGUCAAGGCUCCCCAAUGUUUACCCCGGAGGCUGUUGAGAAAAAUGGGUUAAACAGGCGAUAUUCUCUGCCAUCUUCAACCUAUAGUAAUACAAGUUCACAGUCCCCACAUGGUCAAAGACGGGUUCGAGUAGCUGGCAAAGGUGCUAACAUCAGUGACAAAUCUCAAUCAUCCUCUAAAGAUGCUAAUGGUAAGCACCACUUUACAUUGAUGCCUCAUUUGGUUACUAGUGUAAUAAUGUUUUAUUCCCUUCUGUUUGUGUUUUUGUUUUGCUAAACGAGUAUUACCCAUGGAUAUGCUGCUUAGUUUUUCCCCAUUCUUGAAGUAGGACAGAGAAACUGGCACCCUCUAUUGUAUAAAGUCAUUUCUACAUGUGUAGUUAAACAUGCUCUUAUGUGGUAGUUCUAUGCUCUCCCUGUAUGUUGCUUCUGCAUGAUGACUAUCCCUUAUUGUUGACUUGACAAUUUCAGAUAAGGUUGUCAGAGCUGAGUGGAGGAGGUAAUUCUUGCAUGGGGAAUUGUUUCGAUGAAGUUUCCAUGGAGUUUGUGCACGGAUGCUACUUAACAAAACUUCCCUUAUGUGUUGUAAACUUCUGAUGUUUGGUUGUAGAAGCAAGAGAGUGAAUCAUCUAAUCUUUUGUUGCUUGGUGUAUCUUUUUAAGUUUCCUUGGCACUUUCAGGUUUGUAGAUGGGUAAAUAUUUGUAGAUGUUACAGUUGGUUAUUUGGUUUAUUUGGUUCGUUUGUGUUUGUACGUAAAAUUCUUUGGAUCUCUACUCACUCUUUUCUAUCAUUUAAUAUCAUAGGAAUAGAGUAUGCUGAUCUGCAAAUCUGGCUAACCCUAGUUGUAUUCUCUCGCCUAGGUGGAGAGACUAAACUCAUCACUCAAACCUCAAUUUUGAUUUAAACAUCAUUUUUGAAGCCAAUCCUUUUGUCAACUAUCAAUCGAUUUUUGCUCCAUCUCAGCUCUGACUAGAAGAGGGAAAGCUCGAAUUUCGCUUCAAACCAAGUCUUUGGCAUGGUGCCAUUACAAAAAUCGACUUUUGUUUAUCAGGCAAGAGGUAUACCGAUGGUGAUGACAUGGAUGAACAUCAUUCUAAUUUCCAUGGUUUCAAGACCCAAGCAACCCUGGACCUAAGAUGGGUGAAAUUGAAGUUAGAUGAACAUUUGCAGAACAUGUUAUCCACCGUCUCCUUUAAACAUAAUAUAUGGGUUGUCGUCAAGUGAAUUUCUUGAAGGUCCCUACACCAAGUACUUCUCAUUCACUCGAGGAAAAAAGAAUCUAAAGACUGCAGUUAUUCGGUUCACUGGUAUGAAGAUGAGAAACGAUGCUCAUUGGCCUUUCUGUCAGCUUCCCUGUGACAUGCCGCAGCUUGAGACAUCGUGGUUAAUGUAUUUACUUUAGUGAAUCCGAAUUAGAGUUAUUUCUUUUUUUUUUUUUUGGAGGGGGUGGGGUUAGGCUGAGGCCAUGCCAGAGAGCUUACCAACACAUUACAAUUUCCAACAUCUAGCAAUUUUAAAAGAUUUUGUACCGCACCUUGGCCUUUUGUGGGUAAGAAAUAUUCUCGAGGCAUGUCCAUUGAUGCAAAAGUUGGAAUUGCAUUCAAGUUUUUGGUUUUUGCAGACAAUUUUAAUUGAUGUGGUGGAAAUAACAGCUAGGAUUGCAUUAUCUUUGAUGAUACUGCUCUAAUUAUUUACUAAGAUGAAAAGGUUUUUCAUCUUUUCUUUUGAAUCCUGAUAAAGUACAAUGAACUGCAAAGCAGAGAUUCUUCUGCAUAGGCCAUAUGAUUGUUAUGAUUAAAGGAACUUCAAGACAAACUGAAAAUCAUUUGGGAAGAACUGAUGACAGAUCACAUGAAUGAUCUACUCAAAAACAUACCAGUAUUAAUGUUGCUUCAUAAUAAAAAGUCUUUUUUUUACUGCUAGCAUUAGCAUCUGUAGAUUGUUUCUUGAAAAUGAUCGGAAUCUAAUGAAACUAAGGCACCAUUCAUUGGUGUUUAAUAUGAAUGCCUUCUGUUCUUUUUUCCCCCCGGAUAGCUGAUUGAAUAGAGAUUGUCUUUUCCUCGACUGCUUUAUUUUUUUGUUGAGUUUCACUGCAGCUAGACGAUUGUGAUUAUAUCGAUGAAGAAACAGAAAUAAACCGUCCUCCUGGCUGCCCCAUUAUCAUCUAAGGCAGGUUUUUAUAACUGGCAGACAUGGAUUCGUGAGUGAGAUUUGGAUUGCAGUUUAUCUUCUAAGCAAUGCAAUGGGACUUGAGAAAAUGGUGAUUGAUCCAUGUACCAGAUCUUACGAAGGGUAUCGAGGAUGGGAAGUUAAAGAAACUUGUCCCAGGUGCUUUUCUGUGAAGGCAAAGGCUCUUUGGACAUCUUACAGGCAAAGUUUGUGCACUUGUAGAACUGCUGAUUCUUUGAACAGAAAAUGACUUAAUGAUUGAAAAAAUGAUACGUGGAAUGUGAAAUAAACAUGAUAAUAUGUGUUAAGUUGAAGAAAGAAGAUGACUAUCCACCAACCUUGCCUUUUAUAGUUAUGGCUUCGUAUGCUCAUAUUUGUAAUCUGUGUCAGGUGCCAACCAGAGUUCCCCCAAACACUUCAGUAGGUCAUCAGGGACCUCCCGUUUAUCUAGGCUCUGGCAAGAGCAGACCCCAUAACCCCAGUGAAGUGAUCUAGGGAACUCAAGAGGACAGCUGACUCUCUAUUUCUCCUUUGUGGUUAGAUGAUUAGGCAAUAGGAAGCCAGCCUACCUAUUUAUAAGUGAAGGCUCUAGUGGCCAAGUAAUUGUGACCCUUCAACAGAUCGGACCGGCAUUAGAUAUGAAACAAAUCCACACAUGGCAAGACUGAAACUGAAUCCAACCAGAAUUAUGGCAUUUGGGGACUAGAGAUGAGGAGAUAGAGAAUAUUCUUGAGGUGAUUGGACUUGAGCUCUCCCCCACACCUUUUCCAUGCUUCUAUCAUUGUCAUAGUUCAAAAAGUGUUAUAUGCAUUGCCCUUAAUAACUUCGAUAUAUCUGCCAUUAAUAGUCCAAGCUAUCUUUAAUUAGGAGUAGUCUGUGUAUGUUUUUGACAAUACAUUAGUCAAUUAACAGCUGCUUAGAUUCUGUGGUGGUGAAUAAAAUGAUGGAUAGUGAAUAAAAGUAUAUAUGGCCAGAAUUUUAUGCAACUGAAGACCUCUAAAAUCCCUCCCAAGGAUUCAUCGGGCCUGUUAUUGCGUCUAGAUUAAUUUUUCCCGAGCAUCUUUUGUCUCGCAUAAAAUAAAAAGAACAACCAGAAAUACUUACAGAUAAUCGAAAGUGUCUUACUGAAUAAUUGAGGUUAAUUAGCCAAUGUUUCCACAUGAAGCAACCAGGAGAAGGAAGCUUAAAAAAAAGCUGAUAUUUUGAAGGUAAUCUUUCAAAACUUUGGGUUACUUCCAACUGAAGUUUUCUUGUUUUUGAAGAUACUCCUGCCAUAACUUAAUGCACACACAAAAAAAGAAAAAUUAUAGCAGGUUAAAGAGUUUUUAAUUGGAAUUGUUAGCUGCUACAGACUAUCUCAAUCACGUAUAUCAUUGUCAUUAGAAAGGAAGAAUAAUUGUUAUAAUAAAGUAAAAUCUAGCAAUUGGUAUAUUUAUGGCAUGUUUUAUAUGUUUUCAUAUGUUAUAGUCAAAUUAAUAUAUUAUGCAUUAUCUUUCUCCUAGGAAGGAACAGCUGACUGAGCAAUAACAUAACUACUGUUUUCUUUUGGAAAGGAAGUAGCUACAAAAGCCACCAGAAAUUUCACAAAAAUGUGCUGCUUUCUGUAGUUAUUUAUAAUGGUGAUUCAAAUGGCUUAUUGCUGCUAGAUUUGAUAUGAAAGAACUACAACUUUAGCAAUCAUGGUGUUGCCCUUGAUAAUCUAUAUCAAAAUGAACCAGAUAGAGGUAUUUGAUUACCUACUAAAACUGAUUUUUUUUUGUUCUCUUUGCAUGGUAACUAAUAUCCUUCUAGCUUAAAUCGCUAGGAAAUAUGCAUUUUUUUUUCGUUCUAUCAUUAAGCAUAGUUUCAGGGCUGAUUGGCAAUACUAGAUCGAUUUUCUUGCAAGGUAAGGCUAUGUUCAUAAAACCAUUUCUGUUAUGCUUCUCAAAAAAUUGAAGGCAGAGGCAUUCUUUCUUUUGUGCUCCAAUGAAAAUGAAUGGAUCUAAUCAGUUAAAUUGCCCCAUGGCAUGAUCCAAGCAACAGGAAAUUGUUUCAAAUACUCUCUUAACCGGAAAAGAUGGAGUUUUUCUGUUGCACCAACCUGAUUGACAUUGUUUAAGGUAGAAACUUAUGGUCUAAUUUGAAAUGCCAAAUCUGGGAAUCUGGCUUUUGGAGAUCUUGAUGUUCGGAUAUCUCUAAGUCCCAGCCUUGGUUAUAUAUAUUUCCAAAAUUAGCUUUUUAAUUAAGCAUAAUUCCUUGGUGGUAUCUGUUUCUUUAUCAUAAUUUUGUAUUCUUCUUCUAUUUCUUUCUUGUACUAUUGCCUUAUCGUAAGACCGUUUGACCAUUUCCAUUUACAGUCACUAGCAAACUGAUGAAGGAGGGAGACCAAUCAAAUAGCAGAAGCAACAAUGCUGUUGCGAAAUGACCAUCCGUGCUAUCUGCGAACCGCGAGCUCACCAAAUGUGUGAGCUCACCAAAAGAUGCGAGCUCACCAAGACUGUGAGCUCACCUGUAACACUCCUAACCCGUAUCCAUAACCGGAACAGGGUUACGAGGCAUUGCUGACCCAUCACAACAUAAAUCAUACAUAUAUGCAUUCAUAAUCAAAAUCCAUUUAACACAUUCACAAUGUCGCUUAUAAGGCCUUAUAAGACCUUAAAACAUGCUUAUAAGAUAUUUGGAACUAAACCGAUAACAUUAGCAAACUUUGGAAAACAUAGAAAAUUUUCUUGCAUUUAAGGGUCACACGCCCGUGUGAAUAGUCCAUGUGCCUCACACGGCCGCCAAACACGUCCGUGUCACAGGCCGUGUGAAAACAGGCAUACAUAUUGACUUGCACCACACAGUUGAGGACACGCCCGUGUGCCAUGGCUGUGGGAAAACUGGAGGGGUUACUGACUUGGGUCACAUGGCCGACCACACGCCUAUGUGCCAGCCUGUGUGCCACAUAUGGCCAGUAGACACGUCUGUGUGUCUAGACCAUGCCAAACCUGUAGGGUAUACUGACUUAAUUCGAAAGGGUACCCUAGGGGACACACGGCCGUGUAACGUGAUCGUGUGUCACACACGGCUUAGACACACGUCCGUGUCUCUGCCCGUGUGGACAAAAAUAGGCCAUUUGCCAAGCCAAUUUGCCACCCUUUUCUCAUGCAUUCCUAGCAACCAAAAUGGUACCAUUCUAUUUUAUUUAUAGAUAGGCAAAACAUGCCAAUUCAUACACAAUUCAUGCCGACUACCCUCAAUCAUUUCAACUACUAAAUUUCAUAUUCAAAACAUACCAAAUCAUUAUGUCAAAAUCAUUAAAACUUACAUAAGCUCCAAAUGCAUUUACUCAUCAUCUUAUCAUCUAAUUCAAAUCUCAAAAUAACACUAAUUCAAUACCUUAUUCUCAUACCAUACUAUGCCAAAUUCACAAGGCAUACCAUUCACAUUACAUAGCAUAUAUAAACACAUUCAAUGAGUAAAAUUCACAUCCCACGACUUUACCAAAUACAAGCCAAAUCACAUGGCUAUAAUUUUAUAACACAAAAUGUACCAUAAUUAUACAUGCCAUAUACCAAAUAUAUAAAGCUUCAAAAGUACCAACGAAAUGAUCGAUAGUGUGAUGACAAUUCUUGACGAUCCCCGAGUUUGAGCUAGCUUUGGAUUCACUAUAAAAACGAGGUAAGCUAUAAAGCUUAGUAAGUUUGUAUUAUAUAUACUCAACAGUUCGUAAAUAAAAAUCAUCAAUUUGAACUAAUUAAUGUCUAAAUCAUGGUAACCGACAAAUUUUCCUCAUACUUACUCAAAUGUUUAUGAACAAGUUUAUAACUUCUUCUAUUUGGAUUUCAUGCUUUAUAUGUACAUACUUGUACAAAUUCAUAUCAAAAUACUAUCGAAUACUUGAUAUCUCGCACACUAAGUGCCAAAACAUAAUCGAAGUUACUAUAAUCUUGCACACUAAGUGCCAUCCAAAGCUAUCUCAGUCUCACACACUAAGUGCCAUAUAUAACUGAAGUUAUUCCGAUACGCACACUAAGUGCUAUAUAUAGCCGAAGCUAUCUCGAAACGCACAUUAAAUGACAAACAUAGUCGAUUUAUCGUUGUACACAACUGUAGUCUCAUAUAUACAAUUUAUGUAAUUAAUAAAGCAUUUAAACAUAAUUUUAUCAAUGUUUAUCACGUAUGAACUUACCUCGGAUACCAAAAUGAUGAAUUGAAUUAUUUAGUCGAUAACUUUAGUUUUUCCCCGAUCUAGAUCCGAAUUCCUCCUUUCUUGAUCUAAAUGUAUUCAAAAUUAACUUUUUCAAUCACAUAUUUAUUCAAUUUAGUCUAAAACACUAUUUAAGGAAUAUUUACACUAUUGCCCCUAACAUUUCACAUUUGUACAAUUUAGCCCUUAUUGCAUAAUAUCACAAAAUUCACAAAAUUUCAUUACACCCAUGCCUAGCUGAAUUUCAUGUAGGUCCCUAGCAGCCCAAAACUUUCAUUUAUUUCAAAAUUUAACCCCUCAAUUUACACUUUUCUCAAUUUAAUCCCUGAUGUGCAUUUUUACUCAAAAUCACUUAACAAAACAUGUAUAUCAAACACCAAGCUUUCAUAAUUCAUCAUUAAACAUCCAAAAACACAUGAAUUCAUUAAUGGGAACUUUCAAAAUCAUCAAAACUUUCAAAAAUUAAGGCAUGGGCUAGCUAGUACUCAAAGCAACGAUCACAAAAACAUAGAAAUCAUAAAAAAAUCAAGCUCAAAACAUACCUCAAUCAAGCUAUGCAAGUGCAGAAUAUCAAAGCCCUAAUUUAGCUUUCUUCUUUGCUUCAUUCUGCCAUAAAAGAUGAAAUGAAGCUUAACUUUUAACUUUUUUUUAUUUAAUUUAACCUAUUUACAAAAAGACAUAUUUAUCCUUAAUGAAUAAACAUUAAAAUCCCACUAACUAUAGGCAUAAUUGUCCAUCCAUUAUUCAAAUGAUUUUUUAGCACCAUAAGGGCUUCACAUUUAAUAAACCAUAGCAAUUAGGCACUUUUAACUUAUAGCGUGCUACUUUUGCAUUUUACGCGAUUAAGUCCUUUAGUCAAAUUAACACUUAAAUGAUAAAAUUAUUUCACAAAACUCUCAACAAUAUAUAUUUACAUCCUAUAAACACCAAAAAUAAUAUUAAAAUAAUUUUCUAACCUCAAAUUUCUAGUUCCGAAACUACUGUAUUGAUUUAGCUAAAAUUGUGCUAUUACAUCACCUGCGAACUGUGAAAUGCGAGCUCACCAAAAAAUACGAUCUCACCAAGAUCGUGAGCUCACCAACAUUGUGAGCUUACCAAGCAUGAGAGCUCACCUGUGAGCUCUUCACUCUACAAGUUGCCAACUUGCACUGAAACUGUGAUAAAUUUUAAUUAAACAUUUUGGCAGACGAUUAGACAAAAACAACGACUGAAAAAGGAAGUUAUAUGAAUCUAGUCACUUAAUUAAGCCAAGUAAUAUUUUAUUAUUAUUUUUAGCCUAAUUAAGGAAAUUUUUUCAAUUAAUCCAAAUAUUAGUAUUUUAAUGAAAUAGUUCACCAAAAUUAACUUCUCUAUUUUUCAUCUUUUUACUUCUAUUUCAACCUCUUCUUUUUUAAAAAUUCAAUAAUUGGUAUCAGAGCCAUUUAUCUUUGAGGCCUGUUUUUCAUAAAAAAUAUCUUUAACAAACUUUACACCACCAUCACCCCUUGUUUUUACAAGUAAAAACCACCACAUCUGGUAGUAAAAACGAAAACCUAUAUUCAAGCUUUUGAUCUCUGGGAGGUUGUAAAUGCUGAAAUAGAACCACUAGUGUUGAGGCCAAAUCCCAUUCUUGCUUAAAUGAAACAGCAUAGUGAGGAAUGUGCCAAAAUACAUAAGGUGAUAUCUAGCCUACAAAAUGGUGUUUCAGAUGUAAUCACAAGAAUAUGGCCUGUAAAACUCCCAAACAAGCUUAGGAUAAGCUCAAAGAGGAGUUCCAGGGAUCACAGAAGACAAGCUGAUAGCAGUAGAUGAUAAAUCUCAGACGAGAUUUUGAAACCUAAAGAAGAAGGAAGUUGAGACGGUGAAGUAAUAUUCAUAACAAAUCAUGGUAGUGGUGAACUAGAUAAGACUGCUAGGUGAUCAGUUCCUUGGUAGUUGAGUAGUUGAGAAGGUGACUGCCACAUUUCCUAAGAGAUACGAAUCAAAGAUGUCCUUAUUGGAAGAUUCAAGGGAUCUAUCAACCAUUUCACUCUUAGAGCUAAUUAAUGUUUUGUAUGCUCCAGAACAAAAAAGGGCAAGCAGAGAAGAAAUAUAUUGUUGAAUGAGCUUUUCAAGCUAAAAACAGAGAGGCUACGAGCUCCUCAAGUUAGAAAGCAAAAAAGGGCUAGUUAGAAAAAAAGGAGAAGUCAAAUAAAGAUAGUGGAAAGAAAAAGUAUCCACCGUGUUCGCACAUCAAGAAGUUAGGUCAUCCUGAGAAAUUCUGUUGGUUCAAGCGUGAUGCUCAAUGAAAAAUAUGCAAGUAGCUUGGUCAUGUAGAUAAAGUAUGGAAAAACAAAGGGCAUACUCAACAACAAAAUGUCGAGGCAUAGACAGCAGAAGCAAAAGAACUGAUGUUCACAGCCUCCUGCGAAGCCCAGCUCGCAACAUCAUACGAACACACCAACGGAAUAAAAAAGAAUUGACUCGUAGAUAGUUAGUGUACAAGUCAUAUGACAACAGACGUGAGCAUCUCCAAGAAUGUUGACAAAAGGUUUCAUUCCUAGGUGAAAGUUGGAAAUGGCCAAUAUAUUGAAGCAGUUGGAAAAGGAGAUGUUCUAAUCAAAACUCUAUCAGGUACUAAACUUGUCACAAAUGUUCUUUUAGUCCUUGACAUAGAACAAAACCUGCUAAGUAUAGGACAACUACUCGAGAAAAAUUACUCCGUGGUAUUCAAAGACAACAAAUAGCUAAUUCUUGAUCCAAGUGGAUGCGAGCUCAUAUCAACAAAGAUGGCAGACAGAAGUUUUGAUAUCAACUGGAACUUAGCAACUUCAGCAGCGUAAACCAGCUCACUGAAUGAAACAAAACUUUGGCACAAAAGAAUAGGACAUGUUGACGACAAAUCCUUAAGUCUAAUGUCCAAGAAUAACCUGGUUGAAAAUUUGUAAAAAAUGGCUGAUCAUGAAGAUGUAUGCGUGAUACGUGAUAUUCGUGACAGGUUUUAAAUUUUUAUAAUGAACCAUUCUUGAAACUAACUAUUAUCACGAUGAAGGCAAGUGUACCUAUCGUACAGUAGUAUAGCUUUAGCAAGACCAGAUUGUCGAACCCAAAGGAACUAAAAGUACUAGUAAUAACUGUCUUUUUACUAUCUUGCCUAAGAAUAAUGGGGUUUGUUUUAACUAGCUAAUUAACUAAAUUAAGAAUUCAUAGACAAUAGAAUUAGGGAAUUACUUGUGGAAAACUCGAUUGAUUGAGACAAUACCUAAGGAAAAAUCCACCUAGACUUCACUUGUUAUUUGACUCUGAAUCAGACAAUUUAUUCAUUUGACUUGAUCCGUAGAAAUCCUUAAGUUAUAUUAUUAUCUCUCUCGAUACUAACAACGUCUAACCCUAGGUUGAGUAAUUGAAAUCUCUUUCUAAUUAACUCCCUAGGGUUGUAUUAACUCGAUCUAUGGAUCCCCUUAUUAGGUUUCACCCUAAUCUGGCAAAAUCUUGUCACCCUAUCUCUAGGCGCGCAACCAACUCUGCUUAAUUAUGACAAAUGUACUCUUAGACAGGGUCUAUUCCUCCUUUGAAUAAGAGCUUAACUUGAAUCAAUAUCCUGAAAUAUCAAAACAAGAAUUAAGAACACAUAAUUAAGAACAAGUCAAAUAUUUAUCAUACAAUUUAGAUAAUAAUAACAAGAUAUAUCUUAGGUUUCAUUCCCCUUAGGUAUUUAGGGGUUUUAGUUCAUAACUAAAAAGGUAAACAUCUCAGAAAAAUAAUGAAUACAAAACAUAAAGAAAAACCCAAAACUCCUAAAGGGAAAUUAAGGGGAGAUCUUCAGUCUUGAUAAUGAAUCCGACUUUUGAGAUGGAUCAAUCGACUUUCCUUGAGCAGUUCCCUUCUUCCCUCACUGUGUGUCCCCUUUUCCUCCUCGUUUAGGGUGUAUUUAUAGGCUUUGGAAUGCCUAAGAACCCUCAAAAUUAGCCCUUUUCUGAAUUGGACUAAACUUGGGCUCGGCAGGGACACGCCUGUGUGACACAUCCGUGUGCGAUUACUUCAGGCCGUGGUCAAGCCUGUUAAUGAGGCACGAAUGUGUGGUCCACCCAUGUGAGUCGUGCUUCGAUUCUGCCAAAUUGACACGGUCGCGUGGUCUGCCCGUGUGAGGAGGUCCAGGCUGUGUUGAUUUCGUACGUUGGCCCAUUUUCUCCGUUUUUGGCCCAUUUCUCGUUCCUUUCACUCUCCUAUGCUCACCUAAGUAUAAAAUAUGAAAUUAAGGCAUUAGGAGCAUUGAAUUCACCAAUUUUAAGGAAAAAUCUUCCAUAAAAUAUGCUAAACAUGGGAUAGAAAUAUGUAUAAAUUAUAAUUUAUUAAAUACUCCCACACUUAAGUAUUUGCUUGUCCUUAAGCAAAAUACUCAACUCAUAAUCAAAAUAAAUUCUUCUCAACUUAUAAUUUCUAUCGUUAAUAUCUCAAAAUAAUCCAUAGGUAAUCAUACAUUGAAAAUUCAACCGAAAGAAUAUCAAAGUUUCAAGAAUUCCAAGUUGAGUUUUUUAUCAUGAAAUCAGAGGUGUCUCCCCACAUCUAAGUAAUUACCUUUGAUUCAAAAUAUCACAGAGUAUUACAUCCUCACUAAAGAUUCACUCAAAUCACUUGAGGUGUUUAAGGACAAUAAGUGAAGCACUCAAUAGUCAAUAAUGAAAAGUCAUUACCAUAGGCUUGCAUGAAAAUCAAAUCUCCACCACUAUAAAUUGAGAUGUAACAUCAAUCAAAAGGUCUUUAGAGGGUUGUAACAUGGUCUUGGUUAGAGGGUGUGGUCACAAACUGAAAGAAAGGGUUAGAAUCGAGAUUGAAUUGAAAAAUUGCCUAACUAAAAAAAUGACUAGUCAUCAACUGCGUACAACAGUGUUUUUCUCAGAAUAUGAAAUUUAACUUCUUUAGCUUAGAAGAUCACUACUACUAAUAUGUAUACAUGUUUUUUUUUAAUAAUAACAAAUUACAAAAUAGAAUAAAACAUAGCUAAGCAACUAUUCCAACUCAAAUCUCAACAAAAAAUAGGGAUUAAAUUAAUUUAAGAGAUUUCAACAAUAAUGAGUUAUGGGUUAAUAUUGAGGGUAAAUCAAUGAAUGGGUUGUUAGGCUCAAGGGGGUUCACUAAGGGUUAAUUGUGAAGGUAGGCUUUUGUGGAGUGAGUGGGUUAAACCUAAGUGCCUUUUUCAUUUUGACAUAUCAAAUCAAAUGGUGUGGUCUUAACAUGCAUAAUCAAGCAAGUUCUAGAAUAACAAUUCAAUACUGACGCACUCAUAAUGAAAGUGAGCAUGAAAGAAAUAAUUGAUGCUCUAAAGGCUCAAGAUCUCACAAAAAUUAUGGCUUUUUGAUGUUUAAACUUGUGAAUUCCAACUUAAGAUAAUACUUAAACUUAUGGAAACAACCUAAAAGUUUUUAAUUCUUCAAAAAUCAACUUAUCAUGCUUGAUUCCCUUAUGUCUUAAAGUUAAACAAUCAAUGCAUAAAUGCCUAUGUUUUAAUUCAAGAUAUAUCAAUAAAAGUCAUAAAUCAAUCAAAAUUUAUCCUAAACAUGAUAUGAGAACUUUUUAAGAGAACAAGGCAAUAAUUCAAGGAUUUUUCUAAUAGUGAAAUGAGUAUCCCCCCACACUUAAGAUGUACAUUGCCCAAUGUACAAAGAUAGAUAUAUAGAAAAGAAUAUAAAAAUAAGAUAGGGAGAGAAGUGAAAGUUCCGGAGUGAUGAAUGAAUUUCCUUGAACUGGAGUUUUGGAGAAUAAUCGGUGUGAUGGUGGAGGAGGAUACUCCGGUGGUGGUAGAGGUUCAUUAGUUCAUAAGUCCUGCGCCAAAAGAAUAUUAUUUCUGGUGGUAGCUAUGGUCGUGGUCUAGCAGGACAUGGCAAUCGUGGAGAACCAUUCCCGGUGGAGUUUUUAGUUCCUAUGCGAAGAUGAGCUUUGUGGUUUUUUCUGACAGUGAGCAAAUCAGGAAUUCUUUAAGAGGUAUACUGAAGCAUAACUACUUGUAAUGAAAUAGCUGAAGAAUAGAAAUUGUAAAAAACUCAAGAUGAAAUAGUAUUAAAAGGAAAUAAAAUAAUAAAAAAAUUUCAAAAUAUAGAGAUAAAAAUAAAAUAAAAUAAAUAAUAGGUGUUUAUAGCGAAAUUGGGGCACACGGCCUAGGGCAUGCCUGUGUGCUCUAAGCUCAGCCCGUGCGUUUAGUAUUUUUUUAAAGUAAGCGCAUUAGUGUACACGGUCAUGUUGCACGGCCGUGUCGAUCUCCAUUCGCUUCUUCCACGCCCGCGUAUGUAAGCGCACGCCCGUGUUAAAUUGACAGGUUCACCCACAAUUUCAAAACACGGGUGUGUUGCAUGCCCGUGUUAUUUUGGAAGUUUCGCCCACGGCCAUGUCACACGGUCGUGGCUACUUAUCGCAUCCAUGUUAGGGAAGAAAUUUUUUCCCUGUUUCCACACGGCCUUAUCGCACGGUCGUUUUGCAUCCCGUGGUAUGUGCACGGCCUACGGCACGCCCGUGUCCCUGGCCGUAUGGUUCUGAAAAACCCGUGUUCAAUGAUUUGGUUAGUAUGUUAGAUUUUAAAAACUAAAAUUUAAAGAAAGUAAUAUUGUUAGAGCUCGGGUUGCCUCAGGAAAAGUGCUUAUUUAAAGUCUAAGCUAGACUUACCUGUCCAUUGAAUGGUCAUUGUGGUUCGAGGAGUUUAUACUCCUCAUUCCUGCUGUGAAUCUCAUCAAAAUAAGGUUUUAGGCGGGUAUUGUUUACCUUAAAAGUGCGAACUUAGGAUGAUUUACCUCGACCAUACCAAAUGAGAAAAUGCUAAGUACCGCAAGAGGGAUUUCUUCAUUCGGUUUGGUAGUGACAAUGUGAGGAUCUGCAGCAUCUAAUAAAACUUUAUCUCCAACCUUAAGUUUCUUUGGAAAUGUAUUGAACUUAUCCUGGCGUAGUUUUAGUUUAUCGUGUGUUCUCGGUUUAUGUGUUCGCCAUUCAUCUAGCUUCUCGAUUUGUAGCCUUCGUUCUUCGUGAAUAGGUCCUUUACUAUUGCUUGAAAAUGGCUCAUGUACUUCCUUCAAACUCAUUUCCUGGAAAGUAGGUUGCACCAUAUUGUCAGUUUUAGUAGAAUAGUUUAGACAAUCACCUUCAAUUUUCGAUGUGUUGCCGGAAUUACGAGCUUGAAGGGUGAUUGGUUCGUCUCCUACACAAAGUGUAAGCUCACCUGUGCCAACAUCAAUAAUCAUUCUAGGAGUCGCUAAAAAGGGCCUUCCUAAAAUCAAAGGAGUGUUGCUAUCCUCCUCUAUGUCUAGAACAACGAAGCCAACAGGAAAUAUAAAUUUAUUGAUUUUAACUAGCACAUCUUCAAUAAUACCCCUAGGAAAUCUUAUAGUUUUAUCUACUAAUUGAAUGCUUAUCCUAGUCUGUUUGGGUUUCCCAAGACCUAAUUGUUUGAACAUUUUGUAAGGCAUGACGUUAAUACUAGCCCUUAAAUCAGCCAAUGCAUUAUUAACAUCUAAACUACCGAUUAAGCAAGGAAUUGUAAAACUCCCUGGAUCUUUUAACUUAUUGGGUAGCUUAUUCUGUAGAAUAGCUGAGCAAACUACGUUUAGCUCCACAUGCGACCUGUCAUCUAACUUUCGUUUAUUUGCUAAAAGCUCCUUUAAAAAUUUCAUUACGUUUGGCAUCUGCGAUAGAGCUUCAAUAAAUGGUAAGUUAAUAUGUAAUUUUUUAAGAGUUUAAGGAAUUUACCAAAUUGUUCAUCUGAGCAGUUUUUCCUUUUUGCAUUAGGAUAUGGCACACGAGGUUGUAUUCUGUACUUACCGGUUUCUACUUAUUGUGGUUUACCUCACCUUUACCUUUGCUUAUCUCAGUUUCUUGCCUUGGUUCAGGUUCAAGUGUGACUAACCCUUCCUCAUCUUGACUAGUAAUCGCGUUGAGUUGCUCCAUUGGGUUAGAUUUUGUGUUGCUUGGCAGGCUACCUUGUGGUCGUUCAGAAAUCAACUUGGCAAGCUGUUUGAUCUGAGUUUCGAGCCAUUGGAUCGAUGCUUGUUGAUUUUUAAGUGUUGUCUCGGUAUCUUAAAAAUGAGUUUCUGACAUCGAUAUAAACUUUGAGAGCAUCUCUUCAAGGUUCGGCUUCUUUUGUUGUUGGUAGGGUGGUUGUUGGUAGCCUGGAGGUGGUCUCUGAUUUCCUUGGCCUCCCCAUGAGAAAUUUGGGUGGUUCUUCCAACCUACAUUGUAAGUGUUACUGUAUGGACUGUUUUGAGAUCGAGGAUUAUUACCCAUGUAGUUUAACUGCUCGUUCUCCAUAUUGUGGCCAUAAUAUUGGUAUUUUGAAUUACUUGAUCCGCCUCCACUUGCUUCACACUGCAUUACUGGGUGAACCUGUGAAAAACUAAGAAAACCAUCAAUUUUCUUAUUCAAGAGUUCUACCUGAUUAGAGAGCAUGGUGACCGAAUCGACGUUAUAAAUACCAACUGUUUUUGUUGGCUUUGUCCUCAUAACUUGCCACUGAUAGUUAUUCAGUGACAUCUCCUCUAUAAAUUCAUAAGCAUCUUUAGGUGUUUUAUUAUUGAUGGUUCCGCCUGCAGCUGUGUCAACUAUUUGUCGAGUCGAAGGAUUCAGGCCAUUAUGAAAGGUUUGAACCUGUAGCCAAAGCGGUAACCCAUGGUGAGGGCAUCUUUGCAAAAGAUCUUUGUAUCUCUCCCAUGCAUCGUAGAGUGUUUCUAAAUCCAUCUGCACAAAAGAAGAGAUAUCAUUACGUAAUUUAGCCGUUUUACCCGGCGGAAAAUAUUUAAGUAAAAACUUUUCGGUCAUUUAUUCCCAAGUAGUAAUUGACCUUCGUGGUAACGAGUUUAACCACUGUUUAGCUUUGUUCCUUAAGGAAAAGGGAAACAAUCGAAGACGUACGGCAUCAUCAGAAAUGCUAUUGAUUUUAAAUGUAUUGCAUAGUUCCAAAAAGUUUGCCAAGUAAGCGUUGGGAUCUUCGUCCUGCAAAACAUCAAACUGAACAAAUUGCUGUAUCAUUUGAAUUGUGUUAGCUUUCAGUUCAAAAGUAUUUGCAUCUACAGCAAGUCUAACUAUGCUCAAUUCAGUUCCUGUUAAAGAAGGUAUAGCAUAAUCAUACAUAGUGCACGAAGUAGGAUUUUGGUUAACAGCAAUCGCAGGAGGUAGCAGAUUUUCUUGGUUCUCAGUCAUGUCCUCGGUUGUGGUUUGAAUAUUGUCCUCUUGCUCGUUCUCUGUGUAUCUUAAGCUUUCUUUAUUUCUCUUUGGUUUUUGCGAACUGUGCAAUCAGUCUCACUAUCAAAAAGUAAUGGUCCUGACGGGUUUCUUUUAGUCAUAAACUAUAAGAACCUACCGGAAAAAGGGAAAAGAAAGAAUUAGUAAUAAAAAUUAGAAUAAAAUUUAAAUUGCAGUAAAAGUAAAUGGCUAAAGUAAUAAAAAUCGAAUGUUCCUAAUAUCUUAGUUCCCCGGCAACGGUGCUAAAAACUUGAUACGUGAUAUUCGUGACAUGUUUUAAAUUUUUGUAAUAAAUCGUUCUUGAAACUAACUAUUAUCACGAUGAAGGCAAGUGUACCUAUCGUAUAGUAGUAUAGCUUUAGCAAGAUCGGAUUGUCAAACCCAAAGGAACUAAAAGUACUAGUAAUAACUGUCUUUUUAUUAUCUAGCCUAAGAAUAAUGGGGUUUGUUUUAACUAGCUAAUUAACUAAACUAAGAAUUCACAGAAAAUAGAAUUAGGAAAUUACUUGUGGAAAACUCGAUUGAUUGAGACAAUACCUAUGGAAAAAUCCACCUAGACUUCACUUGUUAUUUGACUCUGAAUCGGACGAUUUAUUCAUUUGAUUUGAUCCGUAGAAAUCCCUAAGUUAUAUUAUUCUCUCUCUCGAGACUAGCAACGUCUAAGCCUAGGUUGAGUAAUUGAAAUCUCUUUCUAAUUAACUCCCUAGAGUUGCAUUAACUCGAUCUAUGGAUCCCCUUAUUAGGUUUCACCCUAAUGCGGCAAAAUCUUGUCUUCCUAUCUCUAGGCACGCAACCAACUCUGCUUAAUUAUGACAAAUGUACUCUUAGACAGGGUCUAUUCCUCCUCUGAAUAAGAACUUAACUUGAAUCAAUAUCCUAAAAUAUCAAAACAAGAAUUAAGAAUACAUAAUUAAGAACAAGUCAAAUAUUUAUCAUACAAUUCAAAUAAUAAUAACAAGACCUGUCUUAGGUUUCAUUCCCCUUAGGUAUUUAGGGGUUUUAGUUCAUAACUAAAAAGGUAAACAUCUCAGAAAAAUAAUGAAUACAAAACAUAAAGAAAAACCCAAAACUCUUGAAGGGAAAUUGAGGGGAGAUCUUCAGUCUUGAUAAUGAAUCCGGCUUCUGAGAUGGAUCAAUCGGCUUUCCUUGAGCAGUUCCCUGCUUCCUUCUCUGUGUGUCCCCUUUUCCUCCUCGUUUAGGGUGUAUUUAUAGGCUUUGGAAUGCCUAAGAACCCUCAAAAUUAGCCAUUUUCUGAAUUGGACUAAACUUGGGCUCGGCAGGGACACGCCCGUGUGCGAUUACUUCAGGCCGUGGUCAAGCCUGUUAAAUAGGCACGGGCGUGUGGUCCACCCGUGUGAGUCGUGCUUCGAUUUUUCCAAAUUGACACGACCGUAUGGUCUGCCUGUGUGAGGAGGUCCAGGCUGUGUUGAUUUCGUACGUUAGCCUAUUUUCUCCGUUUUUGGCCCGUUUCUCGUGCCUUUCACUCUCCUAUGCUCACCUAAGUAUAAAAUAUGAAAUUAAGGCAUUGGGAGCAUCAAAUUCACCAAUUUUAAGGAAAAAUCAUCUAUAAAAUAUGCUAAACAUGGGAUAGAAAUAUGUAUAAAUUACGGUUUAUCAAUGCGAAAUAUGUUAGCUUGGGAAACAGGCGAGGUCUCCAUUUCUUGAGAACACAACAUGGAGAGCCAUUGAAAAAUUAAACGUCGUACAUAUUGACAUUUGCAGACCCAUGAAGACAAGUUCUCUAAAUGGAAGUAGGUACUUUGUGUUGUUCAUAGAUGAUAGUACAAGGUUUUGUUGGGUGUACUUUAUGAAGAACAAGUGCGAGGCGCUUGAAAUCUUCUUCAAGUUUAAAGCUAUGGUUGAAAACCAAAGUGAUUGCAAGCUCAAAAUGGUAAGAUAAGACAAUGAGGCAGAAUACACACCAAAAAAGUUUGAAAAGUUCUAUGAAAAGUCUAGUGUUCACCAUCAAUUAAGUAAUGUAUACACUCUACAGAAAAAUGGAGUUAUUGAAAGAAAGAAUAGAGCUGUGAUGAAUAUGGCUCGCUACUUACUGUUUGAAAGUAAAUUGUCAAAUGAUUUUUGGGCAGAGGCAGUAAACACUACUGCUUACCUGCUAAACAGACUACCUACUAAAACUGUUGAAGGGAAGACACCAUUUGAAGCCUGGUAUGGUUUUAACCUUCUAUUUCACAUUUAAAAGUAUUUGGUUGCAUCUAGUUUGUUCAUGUCAAAAAAGAGAAAAGAAGCAAGCUUGGAAGUAGAUCGCAGCCAAGGAUAAUUGUUGGAUAUUCCAGUGUUAAGAAAGGAUACAAAAUCUAUAAUCCUUUCACCAAAAAGGUGAUUAUAAGCAAAGAUGUAAAGUUUGAUGAAAUAUAGAAUUGGACUGCAACAGAGGAGGAGAUGUAUGAACAAUGGAGUCCAAGACCAGAUCUGCGAAUCACUUUAAACCAAAUUGAAAAUGAUGCAAUUGAUGAACAACCAGUGCAAGGAACCAGUUCCAUUAUUAAAAUCUAUCAAUAAUGUAAUCUGGUGAAGAAAGAACCAGUUACCCUUGUUGCAAGGUUAAACACCAUAAAACUACUAACUCUUGCUGCUCAAAAGGGUUGGAGAAUACAUCAGUUGGAUGUGAAGUCAGCCUUUUUAAAUGGUUAUUUGAAGGAAGAGAUUUAUGUCAAACAACCACAAGAGUUCACAGUACCUGGGUGUGAGACCACGGUGUAUAAACUGCACAAAGCGCUGUACGAUUUGAAGCAAAAACUAAGAGCAUGGUAUGAAAGAAUUGACAAUCACCUUACAGAAAUGGGUUUUGAAAGAAGCAUCAGUAAGCCCACUUUAUAUGUGAAGAAAGCUGUUAAUAAAAUACUCCUCAUUAUUUCAUUAUAUGUUGAUGAUUUACUUGUAAUUGGUAGCAACAACAAACUGGUAAUUAUAUUCAAAGAUUAGAUGCAAGACAAGUUUGAAAUGUCAGACUUAGGUGAAAUGACAUAUUUCCUCGGUCUGAGGUGAACCAAGCUCACAAUGCAAUCUUCAUAAACUAGACGGGGUUCGCUAUAAAAAUCCUGUGAAGAUAUAGCAUGGAAAGUUGCAAACCUACGAACAUCCCUAUUGCUCAUGGUGAGAAGCUCACCAGAAAUGAAGAUGUUGAAAAGAUUGAUGAAAGAAGCUACAAAAUCUUGGUGAGAUGUCUGCUUUACUUGACAGCAUCUAGACUUGACAUCAUGUUUGUUGUAAGUCUGUUGUCAAGGUUUAUGCAUUGUUGUAAUGUGAACCACCUCAAGGCAACAAAAAGAUUUCUACGGUACAUAAAAGGAACUUUAGAUCAUGGAGUGAAGUUUAUGAGGACUGAAAAGAUCAAGCUACUUCGGUAUUCAGACAGUGAUUGGGUUGGAUCUUCUGAAGACAUAAAAAGUACUUCAAACUAUUUCUUCACUUUAAGAUCAAGUGUUUUUUGUUGGAGCUUGAAGAAGCAAGAAACAGUAUCACAAAAAACUGCUGAAGCUGAGUAUGUCAAAGCUGCAAUAGUUAUAAAUCAAGCCAUUUGGUUGAGAAAAUUGCUCAAUGAUUUAAAUUUGAAGAAAGAAGAAGCAACAAAGUUCAAGUGUGAUAACUAAUCAGUUGUUGCAAUUGCAAAAAAUCCAGUGUUCCAUGGUAGAACAAAACACUUCAAAAUCAAGUAUCACUUUGUGAGAGAAGUGGAGAAAGCCAAAGAAGUCACAUUAGUUCACUACAGGUCCCAAGACCAGUUAGCUACUAUUCUAACAAAAACCCUUAUGAAGAUGAUGUCUGAAAAGCUGUGUUAUGAUACUGGAGUUUGAAGCAUGGAGGUUAAUGAGGAGUGUUGCGAAAUGACCAUCCAUGUAAUACCCAUAACCCAUACCCGUCGGUAGAACAAGGUUUCGAAGUAUUACCAGAACAUCUAGAGCAUAUUUCAAUUCAUUCAUGCAAAUCACUAUUCAUUAACUGAGAUUAUUCAUAACUUCCCUUAAUUGGACCCUCGAGGUCCAAUACGAGCAUUAGAAUCGAGUCGGGACUUAAUCAGGACCUCUAAGAAUUUUUGACGAAAUUACAAAUUUUUUUUACAAGGCGCUGGGCUCACACGCCCGUGUGGUCCAAGGGACACGCCCGUUCGACCCUGGUACACGCCUAUGCAAGAGGCCGUAUUCGAUCCCGUGUAACUCUCUAACUUGCACACACGGCCAAGCCACACACCCGUGUGCUAGGCCAUGUGGUUAAUUAAUUUAAUUUGAAUUAGGUGUAGGUUUCACACAGCCAGGAUACAUGCCCAUAUUUCAAGCCAUGUGGCACACAUGUCUGAGAAACAUGCCCGUGUCUCUGCCCAUGUUCCCAAAUCUAAGCAUUCUAUUUCUCAAAAUUUAGGUGUAGGGGACACACAGCCUAACCUCGCACCUGUGUUACCAGGUCGUUUGAUUCACACGGUCUAGACACACGCCCGUUUGGAAAAAAUGAAGCCAUUUCCUAGCUUCAUUUCUUACCCACAAUCACCCAAAACCUGCACAUAAAACACUCAACCAAUUGCAACCAAUUCAAGUAUUUAAAGUAAGCAAUUUUAUCAUUUAAACAAGGCAUACUAUUUCUUGCAUACAUAGAUACCAACUCCCCUUAUCUUAAAAUAGACAUUCACAACAAUUGAUCACAUGAGCUUAGCAUAACACAUGUGGAUAUAUAUAUAUCAAAAUAGUUUACUAAAUCAUAUCCCAAAAUGAACCAUUACUAGCCAUUCCAAUGGCUAGGUUACAAAAUGACACUUCAAGCCACUAUUGGCUAAGUUUCCCUAUACAUGCCAUUACACCAAAAUGAUUUCACUAAAAAUAACCAAAAUGCUAGGUUGAUAGUGUGACGAUGCUCCAACGAUCUUCCAACAUUCACGAGCUUCCAAGCACUAUAAAAUAGGGGAAAACUAAAAGGAGUAAGUAUUACAUGCUUAGUAAGUUCGUAUAACAGAAACUAAACUUACCAAUCUUGUUUAAUAAAUCUAAGCAUACAUAUCAUGUUUUCCAACCAUUUGGAUAAACUGUUUAAAUACAUACAAUCAAUUAAACAUGUUAGUCACCAAAAUCUUCAUAUCAAUCAAGUAACAUAGAUGAGCUCAUCAAGCAAUGUUCUUUCGAGUCAUUAUCAUUUUAUGUCAAGAUUUUUAUGCCAAGUCAGGAGUUAUAUGUCCAUUGAAUUAUUGAAAUCCCGAUGAAGGCUCAAGCAGUACACUCGAGGUGUACGAUUCAUUAAUCCAUCAACUCUUAUCGAGGGUACCCCUUAGGGAACUUAACCAAGGAACACACUCACGAGUCACAUGUUGUAUAACGGGAUUACCAGUGGAGGCUAAAUCCUUUAAAUAACGUAUGCUCACAAGAGCUCGAUUAGGGUUACCAGUCCAAGCUAACCCUAAUCAUAAUGUGUGCUCGAGAGGUAUUAUAUCAGAAUUACCCGUCCAGGCUAAAUCCUUUAUAUAACAAGGUUAUUGGGAUUACUUGUCCGAGCUAAAUCUCGCCUGCAACAAAUGUAGGACCUUAUUAGUUUCGGGAAAGCAUAUAAAUUCAUUAGAAUUCAAUAUUCAAUUGGGACUUAACCCUUUUAUUACCAUUUCAAGCAUGUAUAAUUUUCCAUCAUAACAUACAAGUAAGACACAUUAACAUAAAUCACAUUACAUACAAUACAACAUUCAAUUUACAUAACUACAUAACUGAUUAAUUUACUCGAACUUACCUCGACACUUGUUCCUGUAAAAAUCUACUAAUUCGAAAUCUUUUCCUUUCCUUAAUGUAACCUUGAGUUUGUGUUUUUGGGAUCUAUAUAAAUGAAUUUAAUCAUUAAUUUCAUACAUUUCUUACUUAUACGGAUUCAAUUUACAUCAUAGGCAAAGUUACCACUUUUACCCCUAACUUUUCCAAAAAUUUUGAUUUUGUCCUUAGGCUUGAAAAAAGAAACUUGUACAAAUUACUCCCUAUUCCAAGCCUAAUCAAAGCCCCAUUACAAAUUUUCCGCACAUGUUUAUAUAAAAUUUUAGUUUCAUCAAAUUUUACAAGUUUACAUUUUAGUCCUUAAAUCAAGUUUUAAUCAAAAAUCACCUUGUAAAAGUUGUUUCUCAAUCAAUAAUAUUUCAUUUUCUACCAUAAAUUUCUAAUAAUACAUCCAUGAACCAUUUUCAUACCUUGAUAACUUUUCAAAUUAAUCCCCCAAAUAGAGAGAUUAAGCUAUCCCGGUUCAAAAAAUAAUGGACUAUUACAACUCUUCCCCUUUUAGGGAUUUUUGUCCCCAAAAAUCUUACCAGUAAAAUGAUUCAGGUAUUGCCUUCUCAUUGUAUCCUCUGGUUUCUAGGUAGCCUCCUCAAUACUAGCCUUUGCUAUAGAACUUUUACCAAAGCUACCUUUUUAUUUCUUAACUCUUUUGUUUCCCGAGUUAAGAUUUUGAUUGGUUCCUCACUAUCAGGUUGGAUCUCUACCUCUGUUGAAGAGAUAACAUGUGAAGGAUCAGAUCGAUACCGUCGUAACAUAGACACAUGAAAAACAUUAUGAAUCCUUUCAAGCUCUAGUGGUAAAGCUAAUCUAUAUGCAACCGGUCCAAUUCUUUCUAUAAUCUCAUAUGGUCCAAUAAACGUGGACUAAAUUUUCUUUUACGACCAAACCGAGUACGUUCUUCCAAGGCGACACUCUCAAGAAUACCUUGUCACCAACCUGAAAUUCUAUUUCCUUCCUUUUUAAAUUAGCAUAAGACUUUUGGGCUACUUUCAGGCUGUCUCAAAUUACCUUCACUUUUUCUUCGGUCUCUCGGACCAAGUCAACUCUGUGUAAUUUUUUCUUAUUGAGUUCUGUCCAAUACAAUGGAGUUUUACAUUUGCACCCACACAAGGCUUCAUACAGUGACAUUUUAAUACUAGACUGAUAAAUGUUAUUAUAAGCAAAUUUAACUAGAGGCAAAUACCUUUCCCAAUUACCUUUAAACUUGAGUACACAACACCGAAGCAUAUCUUCCAAGAUCUAUAUUACUUUUUCAGAUUGACCAUCUGUUUAAGGGUGAAAAGCAGUACUAAAGUGUAGCUGAGUACCCAGAGCUUCUUGCAAUUUGUUCCAAAAUCGAGAAGUAACCUGAGGAUCUCUGUCUGAAAUAAUGAAGACAGGCAUUCCAUGCAAUCUGACUAUCUCAGAAACAUAUUACUCAGUCAAUCUAUCCAAGGAAAAAUCCAUACGUACCGGGAUAAAGUGUGCAGACUUAGUCAUGUAAUCAACAAUUACUCAAAUGACAUCUUUCUUCUUUGGAGACAAGGGUAAUCCCGUUACAAAGUCCAUAGUAAUUCUUUCCCAUUUCCAUUCUGGUAUCGUAACUAGCUGCAAUAGUCCAGAAGGCAACUAAUGUUCAGCUUUUACUUGCUGUCAUAUAAAGCAUUUAGAUACAAACUCAGAAAUAUCUCAUUUCAUUCCAGGCCACCAGUACAUCUUUUUUAGAUCGUUAUACAUUUUAUUACUAUUAGGAUGAAUAUACAUGUUACCAUUAUGAGCUUCAUUCAAAAUCUUCUUUACCAAUUCAAAAUCUUUUGGUACACAUACUCUUCUUCUGAAUAACAAACAACCAUCAGUUCCGAUCUGAAAUUUAAAAUCAGAAGUCGAUUCACUCUGUACCCGUUUUGCUUGCAACUUGCUAUCAUUUUUCUAAGCUUUAGAAAUCUACUGUAAAAACAUUAGUCUAGCUUUUAACUCAGCUAUGAUUGGACCAUCAUCAGACAAUGACAAUCGAGUGUUCAUUGCUCGCAUAGCAUACAGGGAUUUUCUGCUCAAAGCAUCUACCACUACAUUGGCUUUCCCCAGAUGGUAGUCAAUAACAAGAUCAUAAUCUUUCUGCAAUUCAACCCAUCGACGCUGUCUCAAAUUCAAAUCUUUCUGUGACAUCAAAUAUUUCAAGCUUUUAUGAUCAGUGACUAUGUGACAUUUUUCACCAAACAAGUAAUGCUGCCAGAUUUUUUAAGCAAAUACUAUGGAUGCCAAUUUAAGAUCAUGUGUCGGGUAAUUCUUUACAUGUGGCUUUAGCUGUCGUGAAGCAUAGGCCACUACCUUACCAUAUUGCAUCAAAACAUAGCCUAAACCAUUCAAUGACACGUCACUAUAAACUAUAAAUUCCUUACCCAAUUCAGGCUAGACUAACACAUGUGCUUCUGUCAAUAAAGCCUUUAAUCUGUCAAGCUUUGCUGACAUUUAUCAAUCUACUCAAAUUUUACAUCUUUAUGUUGCAAAUGAGUUAUCAGAGAAGCUAUCAUUGAAUUUUUUUUUACAAAUCUCUGAUAACCAACUAGUCCCAGAAAACUUCAGACUUCAGAGACAUUCUUCGAUGGUUUCCAAUUUACAAUGGCUGAAAUCUUAUACGGGUCUACACGGACACCUUCAGAAGAUACUACAUGCCCUAGGAAGCUAACUUCCCUGAUCCAAAAUUCACAUUUACCGAAUUUUACGCAUAGUUGUUUCUCUCGCAGAGUUUGCAACACUAUUCUCAAAUGUUUAGCAUGUUCGUUUUCAUCUCGAGAGUAAACAAAAUUAUCAUCUAUAAAUACCACCACAAACCUGUCUAAGUACAGGUUGAAAAUUCUAUUCAUCAAGUCCAUUAACACUGCAGGUGCAUUUGUCAGGCCAAAUGGCAUCACAAGAAACUCAUAGUGUCCAUACCUAGUUCUAAAUGCUGUCUUUGGCACAUCCGAUUCCUUUAUCCAUAGUUGGUAAUAACCAGAACGGAGAUCAACCUCUAAAAAUAUAGUAGCACACUUUAACUGGUCAAACAAGUCAUCGAUUCAAGGAAAUGGAUACUUGUUCUUUAUUGUAACUUUGUUGAGUUGUCAGUAAUCAAUACACAACCUCAACGAUCCAUCCUUCUUCUUUAAAAAUAAAACCGGCGCACCCUAAGAUGAGUAACUAGGUCGAGCAAAACCUCUGUCUAUCAAUUCUUGUAACUGUACUUUUAGCUUUUUCAACUCAGUAGGAGCCAUUCUGUAAGGAGCUAUGGAUAUCGGUGUCAUUCCUAGAACAAGGUCUAUAGAGAAUUCCACUUCUCUUUCCGGUGGCAAACUAGGUAAUUCUUCUGGAAAUACAUCAGGAAAUUAACUUACUACCGGCACUGACUGAAUCUUUGACUCAGAUACCUUAGUAUCCACCACAUAUGCAAGAUAAGCGUCAUACCCCUUUCUGACAUAUUUCUGUACUGAUAUUGCUGAAAUCACAUUAGGUAAUCCAUCCAGUUUAUCAGAUUCAACACGAAGUAAUUCACCAUUCUGACAUUUCAAUACAAUAUAUUUCUGCUUACAGUUUACCACUGCAUCAUAUUGGGUUAACCAAUCCAUUCCCAAUAUUAUAUUAAACUCAUCAAAGGGAAAUAACAUCAAGCCAGCCCAAAAAAAUAAACUUUUACCACCAACAGACAAUUCUUACAAACUUGGUCUAUCAUAACACUCUAGCCCAGGGGGUUUGAAACUUUAACCACAAAUUCAGUAAAUUCUGUUCAUCAUUUGAAAGAAUACUUGCUUUGCUUCCUUACUUCAGCCCUCAGACACGGCCUUUUCACUACCAGACGUAGAGGCGACUCUUUGAACUGAAGCUGAAGCAUUGCUUUCAGCUUCCUUAGAUUCAGCUCUAGCUCAGUUGGAUGACAUUACUAUAUGAAAAGAACAUUUAAAAAUGUUUAGGAGUCAUCACACUACCACAAUUUAUAUAAUGGCAUUUAUAGCUAAACUCGUGUUUCCUACGUCAAAUUUGAAAAUCGACUAAACUGUAGCUCUGAUACCACUAAAUGUAACACCUCUAACCGGUAUCCGUUGCCAAAAUAAAGUUUUGAAGCAUUACCAAAACAUCAGAACAUUUUUCAAUUCUUUCUUGCAAAUCACUAUUCAUUAAUCGAGAUUAUUCAUAAUGUCCCUUAAUUGGACCCUCGAGGUUCAAUACGAGCAUUAUAAUCGAGUCAGGACUUAAUCUAGACCUCUAAGUAUUUUUCAUGAAAUUACAAAUUUUUUUUUCAAGGUGCAGGGCUCACAUGCCCGUGUGGUCCAAGGGACACGCCCAUGCUAGAGGCUGUGUUCAACCCCGUGUAACUCUCUGACUUUCACACACGGCCAUGCCACACAUCCGUGUGCUAGGCCAUGUGGUUAGUUAAUUUAAUUCGAAUUAGGUAUAGGUUUCACAUGGCUAGGACACACGCCCGUGUUCUAGGCCGUGUGACACACACAGCUGAGAUACACAUCCGUGUCUCUACCCGUGUGCCCAAAUCUGAGCAUUCUAUUUCACAAAAUUUAGGUGUAGGGGACAUAUGGCCUAACCACACGCCCGUGUUACCAGGCCGUGUGUCACACACGGUCUAGACACACGCUCGUGUGGACAAAAUGAAGCCAUUUCCUAGCUUUAUUUCUCAGCCAAAAUCACCCAAAAACCUAUACAUAAAACACUCAACCAAUUGCAACCAAUUCAAGUAUUUAAGGUAAGCAAUUUCAUCAUUUAAACAAGGCAUACCAUUUCAUGCAUACAUAAUUACCAACUCACCUUAUCUUAAAAUAGACAUUCAUAACAUUGGGUCACAUGAACUUAGCAUAACACAUGUGGAUAUAUAUAUCAUAAUAGUUUACUAAAUUCUAUCCCAAGAUAAACCAUUACUAGCCAUUCCAAUGGCUAGGUUACAAAAUGACACUUCAAGCCACUAUUGGCCAAGUUUCCCUAUACAUGCCAUUACACCAAAAUGAUUUCACUAAAUAUACCCAAAAUGCUAGGUUGAUAGUUUGACGAUGCUCCAACGAUCUUCCAACCUUCACGAGCUUUCGAGCACUAUAAAAUAGGGAAAAAAUAAAAGGAGUAUGCAUUACAUGCUUAGUAAGUUCGUAUAAUAGAAACUAAACUUACCAAUCUUGUUUAAUAAAUCUAAGCAUACAUAUCAUGUUUUCCAUCCAUUUGGGUAAAUUGCCUAAACACAUACAAUCAAUCCAACAAUUUAGUCACCAAAAUCUUCAUAUCAAUCAAGUAACAUAGAUGAGCUUAUCAAGCAAUGUUCUUUCAAGUCAUUAUCAUUUUAUGUCAAGAUUUUUAUGCCAAGUCAAGAGUUAUAUGUCCAUUGAAUUGUUGAAAUCCCGAUGAAGGCUUAAGUAGUACACUCGAGGUGUACGAUUCAUUAAUCUGUCAACUCUUAUCAAGGGUAUCCCUUAGGGUACUUAACCAAGAAACACACUCACAAGUCACAUGUUGUAUAACAGGAUUACUAGUCGAGGCUAAAUCCUUUAAAUAACGUAUGCUCACAAGAGCUUGAUUAGGGUUACCAGUCCAGGCUAAACCCUAAUCAUAACGUGUGCUCAAGAGGUAUUAUAUCAGAAUUACCCGUUCGAGCUAAAUCCUUUAUAUAACAAGGUUAUUAGGAUUACUCGUCUGAGAUAAAUCUCGUCCACAACAAAUGCAGGACCUUAUUAGUUUCGGGAAAGCAUAUACAUUCAUCAGAAUUCAAUUGGGACUUAACCCUUUUAUUACCAUUUCAAGCAUGUAUAAUUUUCCUUCAUAACAUACAAGUAAGGCACAUUAACAUAAAUCAUAUUACAUACAAUACAACAUUCAAUUUACAUAAUUACAUAUCCGAUUAAGUUACACGAACUUACCUCGAGACUUGUUCGCGUAAAAAUAUACUAAUCCGAAAUCUUUUCCUUUCAUCGAUCUAACCUCGAGUUUGUGUUUUCUGGAUCUAUAUAAAUGAAUUUAAUCAUUAAUUUCAUACAUUUCAUACUUAGGCAAAUUCAAUUUACGUCCUAGGCACAUUACCAUUUUGCCCUUAACGUUUCCAAAAAUUCUGAUUUUGUCCCUAUGCCCGAAAAAUGAAACUUGUACAAAUUACUCCCUAUUUCAAGCCUAACCAAAGCCCCAUUAAAAAUUUUCUAGGACAUUUUUACAUAGAGUUUCAAAAUUUUUCAUCAAAUUUUACAAGUUUACAUUUUAGUCUUUAAAUCAAGUUUUCAUCAAAAAUUUCCUUGCAAAAGUUAUUUAUCUAUCAAUAAUCUUUCAUUUUCUACCAUAAAUUUCUAAUUUCCAGUAUGAUACAUCAUGACCCAUUUUCAUACCUUGAUAAAUUUUCAAAUUAAUCCCUCAAAUAGAGAGAUUAAGCUAUUCUGGUUCCAAAAAUACCAAAAUUACUAAAAACAGGACAAGGGAACUUACCUAAUAGGCAUUGAAAGCUUCUUUUCUCUCUCCUAGGGUUUCCAUGUAUUUUUUUAAGGUUGAAGAUGACAAAAUAAAAUGAUAUAAUUCUAUUCAUCUUUUUAAUUAAUCAUGUAUUUUGGUAUUUCUAAUUUAGUCCCUUGUCUUUUUCUAUGAUUCCAUGGAUGAAUCACCAUAAAAAAAAUCUACAUACUUUUAUUAAUGGUCUAAUUACCAUAUAGGGACCUUAAGUUUUGAAUUCCAUAGCUAUUUGAUCCUUAUAGUUACUAGAAUUCAACUUUUGCAUAUUAUGCGAUUUAGUCCUUUGCGUAAUUAGGCACUAAAUUGAUAAAAUUUUCAUAUCAUAAUUUUCACACGUCAUUUCUAUCAUAUUAUGGGUCAUAUGGUAAAUUAAAAAUAAAAUGUACUUUGGAUUAGAUUUGUGGUCCUAAAAUAACUGUUCUGAUUUCACUGAAAAAUGGGCUGUUACAAUCCAUGCUAACUGUGAACUGCGAGCUCAGCAAAUGUGCGAGCUCACCAAGAUCGCGAGCUCACCAACACUGCGAGCUCACCAAGCAUGAGAGCUCACUUGCAAGCUCUUCACUCUGUAAGUUUCCAAUUUGCCAACUUGCAUUGGAACUGUGAUAAAUUUUGAUUAAACAUUUUGGCAGGUGAUUAGACAAAAACCAACAAAUGAAAAAGAAAGUUAUAUGAAUCUAGUCACUAAAUUAAGCCAAGUUGUAAUAUAUUAUUAUUUUUAGCCUAUUUAAGCAUAAUUUUUUAUGUAAACUAAGUAUCAGAUUUUUAAUGAAAUAGUUCAUCAAAAUUAACUUCUUUAGUUUUCUAUCUUUUUGCUUUUGUUUUAGCCUCUCCUUAAAAAAUCCAAUAGAUGCUAACAUCAGCCAACAUCCUGAUGGUAUUCUAGGCAUCAUCUUGUCAUUUCUCCUGUAAGGGAGAUAGUAAUAACUAGUGAAGUCUUAUCUAUGUGGAGGUAUUCAUGGGCUAAUUAAUCAUUCAAACCUCAACUUUGAUGUAAACAUGCCAAGUGAAUCCUUAUUUCUAGGUUAUGAUUGCAACUAUCCUUCUGUUGGUGCUUCAAAAAAAAGAAGCCAAUCCCUCUUGAACUUUUUCUACCAAAAUUUUGCUCCAUCUCAGCUUUGACAAGAAGAUAAAAAAGGAAGCUUAAAGUCUGCUUCAAACUAUGUCAUUGGCAUGGUGAGCAUCUUAGUCAAUGGAUCAACUUUGUUAUUGUAAGAGAAAUUCAGGAGAUUGAUUUUUAUUUAUCAAGAACGAGAUGUAACGAUGUGUCCUACAAUGAUGAAAUGUAUGGAACCACUUUUUCUUAUUUCAGUGAUGAUUGGAGGAGUAAGUUCUAUGAAUUUCCAUAGUAUCUUCUUCUUGGUGAUGGGAAUGCUAGGAAAAAAAACAUCAUUUUAGUUUUCUUGGUUUCAAGAACCACACAACCCUAGACCUAGAUGGGUGAAUUUGAAAUCGGAUGAUAAUUUUCAUUACAUGUCAAAUUGACAUCCUUUAUUUUGUCACUUGAAGUACCUAAAGAUGUAUAACAACAUCUGGGAUGAUUUGAGAGAGUUGCAGAUAAAUGGUAUUGAUGCUGAGACAUUGAAAUUCAAGGGUUAUUGUUUUAUACACUCAAGUAAAAAAUCUGAGGACUGCAAUUAUUCAUUUUAGUGAUAUGAAGAUGAGAGACAACACUCAUUAACCUUUCUAUAAGUUUCCAUAUGACAAGCCAUAGCUCUAGAAAUUGUGGUUAAUGUAUUUACUUUCAUGAAUUCUAAUUAGUAUUAUUUCAUUCUUUCUAUUUUAGGCUGAGACCAUGCCAGAGAACUUACCAGUCCAUUAUAAUUUCCAACAUCUAGCAAUUUUAAAAGCUUUUGAGCUUUACCUUGGCCUUUUGUGGAUACGAAGUGUUCUCAAGACAUGUUCAUUGAUGAAAAAUUUGGAAUUGCAUGCAAGCUUUUGGUUUUUGCAACCAUUUUUAUUUUUUUUUCAAUUUUGAGUUUUUGACAUCUUUUGAUGUGGUGGAAAUAUACCAUUAGAAUUGCAUUAUCAUUGAUGAUACUGCUCUGAUUAUUUACUAAGAUGAAAAGAUUUUUCAUCUGAACUUCUAAAUCCAGAUAAAGUGCUGAAGACGACCAUCCAUGCAGCUGGUUUUUUUUUUGGUGUUUGCAAGCAGUUGUUACUCUUUGGUGAAUGAAUACAACAUUCUGAUUUGGUUCAUUUUUUGUCUAGUUGCAAUGCAAUAUUUCUUAGUUGAAAAUGAACUUAGUUGUUGAUGUUUUGAUGGGUUUAGGUGAUGAUUGAGCUGAUAAGUCAGGUUAUCUAUGUGUGUAAGUAAAGUUUUACAAGUUUCAAGAUUCCUUAGUGAUAGUAGGUAGUAUUAGGUGAUAAAAUUUUGCUUUAAAUUGUUUUUUAUGUUGAAAAUGUAGCAGAUCAGUUUGCAGAUUAGUUCAGGCUAUAAUCUUUGGCUCAAUUUCUUUUAUCUAUCCUUUUAAGCAUAUAAAGUAUUGUAGCUAAUUUGAAUCGAUUGUUUUGUUAUUUUACUUGGUUCAUUCUUGUUUAAAUCGAUUCUAAACUAUUUCACUUGAUUCAAAACCCAACAAAUGGUAUCGAGAGCCUAUUAUUUUUGAGGGCCUUUUGCUUCUUAUUGUUUGUUUUAUAAAGAAAUAAAUAUAUGUUUUUAAUUUCUGACAUGAGUUUUUCACCACCACCAUCACCACCAUCUGUUUUUGUUGGUGAAAACUACCACAUAUGGGUAGUGAAUAUGAAGAUUUAUUUACAAGCUCAUGAUUUGUGGAGUGUGGUUGAGGUUGAUACAGAGCCACUACCAUUGAGAGCUAAUCCUACCAUAACUUAAGGCAGCAUAAUGAUGAGUGUGCUAAGAAAUAUAAGGCAAUGGCUUGCUUGUAAAACGGAGUCUUUGAUGUGACCAAAAUUAUGGCCUGUGACACUCCUAAAUGGGAGAAGUUGAAGGAGGAGUUUCAAGGAUAUGAUAAAACAAGGCAACAACAGUUGAUCAAUUUAAGGAGAAACUUUGAGAAUUUAAAGAUGAAAGAGUCUGAAUCGAUCAAGAAGUACUCUGAUAGGAUAAUGGCCACAAUUAACAAUAUUGGAUUGCUUGGAGAUGAAUUCAAUGACAAAAGAAUUGUUGAGAAAGUAAUCACAACCCUUCUAGAGAAGUAUGAAUAAAAGAUUUCUUUAUUAGAGGACUCGAGGGAUUUGUCAACUAUUUCAUUGUCAGAGUUGAUAAAUUUCCUUUAUGCACAAGAGCAAAAAAGGGCUAGUACACAAGAGAAGCACAUUGAAGAUUUCUUUUAGGCUAAAAAAAAAGACUUGAGCUCCUCAAGCAAUGAAGAAAAGAAGGGCUAGACAGAGAAGAAAGAGAAGAGUUGGAGAUGUAACACCCCUAGCCCGUAUCCGUUACUGGACUAGGGUUAGGAGGCAUUACCGGACAUAUCAGAAUAUUUAGCAAUCAAAAGUCAUACAUCAUCAUUUUAUAAUCAAAAAUCAAUAUAAAGUCCUUUUCUUAGGUCAACGAGACCUUAAAGAUGCAUUAGGAAGGGGUUGGGACUAAACUGAACACAUACAAAAUUUUUCAAAAACUUAACAAUUUUCUAAGUUAUGCCCGUGUGAACAGGCCGUGUGCCUCACACUGUAUUAGACAGGCCCCUGUGUCUAGACCGUUGCAAAACAGGGCAUACAUAUUGACGUAUCCACACGACCACAAGACACGCCCAUGUGUCUAGCCCAUGGUCGAAACUGACUUGGCCACAAGGCCUGGCACACGCCCGUGUGUGCGUGACCAUGUAGUCUGCCCAGGCUCAUUUCAAAAUGGCCCCCGAGCAACAUGGCAGAGACACAUGCCUAUGUCUCUGCCCGUGUGGGCACAAAAUAGGCCAUUUACAAGGCCAAAAUGCCACCCAAUUUGAGUCCUCCCUACAAGCAUCAUUCAAGCAUCAAUAUACCACAUUUUUAGCCAAUUUCAAUCUCAAAACAUACAUCAUUCAAGUCAUGUAAUCAUCAAUCUAUUUCAUGCUCAAUAUCUAUACCAAAACAUACCAAAAUCAUAAGCCAGAUUCAUUCAAUCAUACAUUACCAACAACUCAAUUUCUUAUCCAUCUUCAUACCAAAAUUAUACCAAAUUUAACAAUUAAGCACAUACCAAAUUGACCAUUUCAUUUAGUCAUUCAUAUACAUCAAAUCAUACCAUUUUCUCAUCACAUAAAUCAUAACAAAACCAAACCAUAUUCAUAUCCAUUAUCAAGCCAUAUCACUUGGCAAAACAUAUAUUUACAUCUCAAAACAUAUUCACAUACUUCUAGCCUAUACAUGCCACAUAACCAAAUUUCAAAACAUUAUUUACCAAAAUGUUAACCAGAUAGUGUGAUGACGUCUCUAACGACUUCCAACCCGAGCAGAUCUCCAAAAAUCUAUAAACAUAGGAAAAACACAUAGAAUAAGCUUCGAGAGCUUAGUAAGCCAUAAGCAAAUAAAUCUUCAUAAGAUCAUGUAUAUAAUUCAAUUUGAAUAAGCCAAAUUUAGUUAACUUCAUACACAUAUUCAAUCACUUUUCUUAUAUAAUCCAACAUCACCACAUCAAAUAACUUCAUUAGGCUUAUUUAUUGGUGAACAUAUAAACUAUAAUUUCAAUUUCAAAUAACGACCAUUAGAUCAUUCAUAUAAAUUAAGCUUACACAAUUUCAUUACAUAACCAAUCAAAACAUGGUCAUUUGUUACAUUUCAUGCAUAGAAAUAUAUCAAUUUCUUUUUAUGCAUUUCAAAACCUAAAUAACCAUAACAAAUCACACAUCCAAACCAUGUUCCAUUUUUCAUAAUUCUUAUGUUCGAAACAUAAGACCACAAUUUCAUAUAAUGAGCAUAUUUAACACAUCGUUCAUUGUAUAUAUUUCACAUAUUGUCAUUUGAAUCAUACUCACCUUUCAUGUCAGAAUUUCAUAUACAAAUCACAUUACCUGAAUCAUAUAUGGCAAAACACAAUUAUAAUUCCGCAUUUCUCAUAUAAUAACAAUUAUAAUUCUACAUUUAUCAUAAAUUCAUUUGAUCAUAGUUCACUUGCUAGUAUCCACAUCUCAUUUUCACAUAGUUCAUAUAUCAACUGAUCAUAACCAUACUCACUUUUAUUGCUUAAUUUCAUAUAUCUCGCAACAUACCUGAUUCGGAUGCACAUUCUUAUACUCAUUUAUUUCUCGAAAUGGCUGUUGAACCAUUUCGAAUCAAUAAGGAUACUCAGAUAGCACAUAAGCUUGUACAAUGCCAACGUCCCAGAUGUGGUCUUACAUGUAAUCAAAUAUCGAUGCCAUUGUCUCAGGCAGGGUCUUACACGAAAUCAUAUACGAUGCCAAUGUCCCAGACAUGGUCUUACAUGUAAGUCACAAAUCGAUGCCAAUGUCCCAGACGUGGUCUUACACAAUAACACAUAUUGGAAUCCUAUGUCAUGACAUAUGUAUCCUAACUAUUCCUAAGGUUCGUACGGGGCUUUCGGACGUCGUAACUCGAUCGAUUUAAGCUCAUAAAUAUUGCUCCCAUGCUUAAUUCAAUUUGGCAUAUACAUAAACACAAGUAAUAAUUCAAUUCGCCACUAUAAUGCACAUACAUUUCAAUUUAACAACAUUUAUAUACUUAUGAACUUACCUCAUACUAACACGAACGGACCGAAAUGACUAUUCGAUAAUUUUUGACUUUCCCCGAUCCAGAUAUGAUUUUCUCAUUUCUUGAUCUAAUUCAAUACAAAUUCAACUUAUUUAAUCAUAUAUUCAAUCAAAUUCAUCCAAAAACACAUAAAUGGGCUAAUUAAAUUUUUGCCCCUGACAUUUCACAUUUUUCACAAUUUAGUCCCUAUUUCACAAAACCAAAAUUUCACCACACCUAUGCUUGGUCAAAUAUACAUAGUGUAUAUAUAAGCCCAUAUAUUUCAUUUAUUUCACAUUUCAGUCCCUCAAAAUACAAAUUUUACAAUUUAGCCCAUUUUACUCAAAUUCAUCAAAAAUUCAAAGACAAAACAUGUUAACCCAACAUCAAACUUCCACAUACUAUCAUCAAACUCUAUAAAGUUCAUAAUUUCAUCAAUGGCUCAACUCAACAUCAUUAAAAAAAUCAGAAAUUGAGACAUGGGCUUAGUAAAACACAAAGCAACAACUACAAAAACAUAGAAAUUAUCAAAAAUCGAGUUAAAAUGGACCUUUAAUCAAGCUAGCUGUUGGUUGAAUGCUUCAAACACAUCAACCCUAGCUUUUGCUUCUUCAAUUUCGGCAAAAAAGAUGAUAAAUGUACAAUUUCCAUGUUUUGUUAUAAUUAAUAUUAACAUAGAUAUACAUUUUACCAUUUUAACUUUAUUAAUAUAAUUAAAAUUCCACCAACUAAUGCCCAUUAAUGUCAUUUAAUUAAUUCAAUGGUCCAUUCACAAAAUAAGGACCUCUAAUUUAAAGAGACACAUCAAAUAGGCAUUUUAACAAAUAGAAGGCCACUUUUAAUUUUAUGCGAUUAGGUCAUUUUUCAAAAUUAAACACACAAACAAUCAAAUUUUCAUAUGAAACUUUCACACAUAUAAAUUCAAAUAUUAUAAGCACGAAAAAUAAUAUUAAAAUAUUUUUUAACUCAAAUUUAUGGUCCCGAAACCACUGUUCCAACUAAGGUCUAAACUAGACUGUUAGAGGAGAGACAUUGGAAAGGAGAAAAAUCCACCAUGCUCUCAUUGCAAGAAGACUAACCACCUGGAAAGGUACUGCUGGUUCAGGCCUGAUAUUCAAUGUAGAGGUUGCAAACAAUUUGGAUAGAUGGAAAGGGUGUACAAAAAUAAACAGUAGCAGAACCAUGUUCAAGUUCAGGUUAUUGAUGGAAACCAAGCUUAGGAGGAGCAUUUGAUCACUGCCUCUUGUUUUGUUUCAAGUAGCAAAGUCAAUAAGAGUUGAUUAAUUAACAGUGGCUGAAGAAACCACAUGGUAGCUAAUGAAAGCAUAUUUAAGAAGAUUGGCAGAAGCUGCACUUUAAUAGUAAAAAUUAGUAAGACUAAUUUAUUGAGGCUAAGGGAAAAGGUGAUGUAAAGUGAUUUCAUAUGUGUUUUUAGUGCCUGAGUUAGAUCAUAGUCUCUUUAACAUUGGUCAAUUGCUUGAGAAUAAAUACUCUGUUACUUUUAAAGAUAAAUGCUGCACUAUAUUUUAUUCAUUGGGAUAGGAAGUUGUUAUAAUCUCAAUGGUGUUAGCAACAUGGAGGCUAAGGAGGAGUGUUGAAGAUGACCAUCCAUGCAGCUGAUAGUUUUUUUUUUGUUCGCAAGCAAAUGUUACUCUUUGGUGAAUGAAUACAAGAUUUUGAUUUGGUUCCUUUUUUUAUCUAGUUGCAAUGUAAUGUUGCUUAGUUGAAAACGAACUUAGUUGUUGAUGUUUUGAUGGGUUUAGGUGAUGAUUGAGCUGAUAAGUCAACUUAUCUAUCUGUACAAGUCAAGUUUUAUAAGUUUCAAGAUUACUUAGUGAUAGUAGGUAGUAUUUGUGAUGUAAUUUGGCUUUAAAUUGUAUUGUUUUAUGUUGAAAAUGUAGCAGAUCAAUUUGUAGAUUAGUUCAGUCUGUGUUCUUUGGCUCAAUUUUUUAUCUCUCAUUUCUUUGCUUAAGCUUCUAAAGUUUUGUAACUACUUUGAAUCGAUUCAUUCUUGUUUAAAUCGAUUAUAAAAUGUUUCAGUUGAUUCAAACCCUACAUAAAGUACAAUUAAUGAAUUUCAAACCAGAGGUUCUUCUGUAUAGGCCAUAUGAUUGUUAUGAUUAAAAGAAUAUUAAAGCAAAUUGAAAAUCAUUCGGGAAGAACGGAUGAUAGCUCGCAUCAGCAUGAAUGAUCUAGUAAAAAACAUACCAGAAUUGCUAUUGCUUCAUAGUAACUUAAAAAGCAUCAAGUUUAUUUUUUAUUGCUAGCAUUAGCAUCUAUUAUAUUUUUCUUGAAAAUGAUUACAAUGUAAUGAAACUAAGGUAGCAUUCAAUGGUGUUUCAAAGGAAUGACUUCUGUUCUUCUUUUCUUCCUAGAUAGUUGAUUGAAUAAGGAUGGUCUUAUAAAAUGCUUUAUUUUUGUUAGAUUUCACUAGCUAGAUGAUUGUGAUUAUAUUUGAUGAAGAAACAUAAAUAAACCAUUCUCCUGGCUGCCCCCAUUAUCAUCUAAGGCAAUGUUUUCUAACCACCAGACAUGGAUUUGUGAUUGAGGUUGGGAUUGCAGUUUGCCUACUAAACAAUGCAAUGGGACUUGAGAAAUGGUGAGUAAUCCACAUAUCAAAUCUUACAAAGGGAAUGGAAGAUGGGAAGUUAAAGAAACUUGCCCUAGUUGUGUUGUUAUACAAAGGCAGAGCUCUUUCGAAAUCUUACAGGUGAAGUUCAUCCACCUGUGGAGUUGCUGAUUCUUUAACAACAAAAGCCUUAAUGCUAGAAAUCCUGAUGCAUGGUAUGUAAAAUAAGCAUGAUAAUAUGUGUUAAGUUGUAGAAAUAAGGUGAUUAUCCAUAAACCUUGGUCUUUAUGUCAAUUAUUUGCAUCUCUAUUACCAGGUUAGGUGUUGGCCAGAGUUCCCCCAAUCACUUUAGUGGGUCAUAAGGAAUCUCUCUUUUUUCAAGGGUCCAAGAAGAUCAGACCUUAUAACCAUAAUGAAGUGAUCAGGGGAACUCUAGAGGACAACUAACUCUACUUCUUUAUGGUUAGUUGCCUAGGCCAUAGAAGUCAGCGUUCCUAUUUAUAAGCGAAGGCUUUAGUAGCCAAGUAAUUGUGACCAUUCAACCAAUCAGACUGGUGUUAGAUAUGAAACAAAACCAUGCAUAGCCUAUUAUUGAAGCUGAAUCUAGUCAGAAUUAUAACAUUUGGGAAUUAGGGUUGAUGAUAUAGAGAAAUAUUCUUCAGUUGAGUGAAGUUGAGCUCUCCCCACACCUUUUCUAUGCUUCUAUCAUUUUUAAAGUUCAAAAAGUGUUAUAGCAUUGCCCUUAAUAACUUUUAUAUAUUUUCCAUUAAUAAUUCAAGGUAUAUUUAAUUAGGAGUUGUUUGCAUGUAUGUUUUUGACAAUACCUUAAUCAAUUAACAACUGCAUAGAUUCUAUGGUGGUGAAGAAAAUGAUGGAUACUGAAUAAGAGUAUAUAUGGCCAGAAUUUUAUGCAACUUAGGACCUCUAAGAUCCUUCCCAAGGAUUUAUCUAACAUGCUAUUACUUCUAAAUAAUUUUCUCCUAAGCAAUUUUCUGAGUAUCUUUUGUCUCACAUGAAUCACACCAAACAAACAAUUACAUUGAAAAUAAUGGCAAGUGUAUAUAACACCCUAUAAUUCAUAUAAUUGGAAUAUAAAUACGAAUAUCAUAAGCAAAUAUUACAAUAAAUAAUAAUUCUUGGGUCUUAUCCGAGCUUACAAAAUCUCUAAUGCUAACCCGAGAUCAAAUCAGGACUAAAUUAUAAAGAAUUCAAAGUAUAGUUUUAAUGUCGCGACAUGAGAGAGUUCCUUGUUGUUAUGUGACAUACUAUUUUGGUUUCAUUGAGACGACAGGGUUCCUCAUCUCACCGUGACAUUAUAGGUCAUUUUUAUCAUGACGACAUACAUUUGACGUUACGACGUCACAUACUAUUUUUGCAAUUUUCUUUGUUUAACAACAUGCCUUUUCUAAAAUCAGGGUAAUACCCUAUCAUCUACAAGCCAUUUACCUAAUGCAAGCCAUUUAAAUCAUUUACAUACUUAUCUAUUUCACCAAGUUCAUAUAUAUAUGUAUAUAUACUUGCAACAUUUCAUACCAUUUCAAAAUACCUUUAACUCCAUUACAAGUUAUAUAGAUUUAACCAAGUUUUAACAUUAACCAUUAACCAUAAGUGCAUAUACAUGUAACUUUAUAUACCAAAUUUGACUCAACUUAGGUACAUGCCUUAUAACUAAUAGAAGAGAUUUAUACAAACAUUAUCGAGUUUGGGAUAUAUCAAAAUAUGUGCUGAACUCUCGUAUAUUUUGGGAUAAUUUUUAAGUUAUUUUGGUAAAAAAAUUUAGAAUAAUCAAAUGAGAUAUUUAGGAAGACUUUUUUAUCUUUUAGAAGCUUACUAGAAUAAGGGACUAUUUUCCUAGUUAUGUUGUGAGUCUCUUUUUCUAUUUAAACUCAAUUCUUUACGUAAGAAAGACAGAACAAUUUUAUUGAAUAUAAUCUCUUGAAAAUUUUCAUGGUAUCCGAGCUAGGUUAAAUCUUUAGUAACACCAUGGUUAAAACAACCUUCACUGGAGAUAAGAGAUCCAACAACCAUACUAAGGUAAAAGUCUCUAUCAUUAGAACAACUAUUGAGAGUGCAAUGACUCAAGGGGUAGUGUAACACCCCAAAUCCGGCCUAGACAUUAUGGCCGAAUCUGGCGAUGUCACGUUGAAGUGUUUUUUGCGAAGUAUAAUAUCAUUGAAAAACCUGGUCUAUAUUUAACCUCUUUGUGAUCUUAGCGAAGAUUUAAGGAUAUCUCGUUUAUUUUCAAAGCUUAAGUCGUUUGACAAAAAGUUACCCAUAUUAAAUUUGUUAUUAAAUUUAAUAAAUUAUUUCUUACAGAAGCUUUUAAAAACAUGUUGCGUAAACGUGGUGAUUUGGAAAAACAUUUAUCAUUUUGAAAACUCGCAUCCUACUACUAGUAGAUAUAAAUCAAAAUAAAUAAAACCCUGAACUUAAAGAUUAAAAAUAAUAGAGGCCUUAUUACAUUUAAAACACCCAAAAUAAAAUUAUUUUUAAUUUAAAACCCAAUAAGAAAGUCCGUGCAAUUGUGUGGCCACCUUUGAGUCCCUCGCAGCACCGAUCCUCCUAAGCCUGGGGAUUACCUGUAUAAAUAAACAAAUGGGUGAGUUUUGAAAAAUUAGUGUGUAAUCCCAUAUCAGAUAAUCAAUUAGAGAGCAUAUACAGUCUGGGCCUAAGCCCAAUUUAGUCAUGGUUCAGUUUCAAUCAGGGCCUUAGCCCAUUACAGUAUCAGUAUCAGUGUGGGCCAGAGCCCAUCUCAGUAACAGUGCAAGUAGUACCGGUUGCGGCACUAAUCAGUAUUUGCAGCAGAGCUGCUAGUACAGUACACUUCCUCCAAUCACAAUAAAUCCCAUCUGCAAUAUAUCAUGCAUCAUGUCAUAAUAUCAUACAUGCGAUCAGUAUAUAUAAAAUGGCAUGCUCAAACAUAAUCAUACAUCUCAUAAGGGCAUAUCAGUCAUUUUACCAUGUAAGGGCAUUUCAGUCAUUUUAUCAAUUAGGGGGUCUGGGUACACUUACCGACCCAACAGUAGGUCCAUAGUUAUCUCGGGUGACCCGUGCAACCUUAAUAGUGAAAUAGUGAAAAUGGGCCUAUGGCCCAUAUUGCGGCCCACGUGGGCCCACACGCCCGUGUGGCCAACAUAGCCUAGAAAUGGCCUUGGCCGCGUGGAUUACACAACCUGGCUUAAUAUUCUCCACACGUUUUUGUGGUUUACCCGUGUGGGGCCCACGUACCCAUGGGGCCUAAAAGGCCCAGUUUAGUCUGAAAUGGCCCAAGACGGCCUCGGCCCAUGAAAUCGCUCAUGGCUGGCCUUAUCGAUCAAACGCCUAUGUUUAGUCACAUGGACCACCACACGACCGAGCACACGCCCGUGUAGCGUCAUUGUUUGCUCAUUCCAGCUUUUGCCGAUUUCCAUAGAUUAGAUAGUGUUUACACACCUUGUUUACGAAAGUGGCAAAUAGUCCACGAGCACUCCAACCUAUAUUCAAUCACAAGCUUCGGUUAAUCGCUUACUAAUCGAAUUAACAAAAAACCAUAACCAAAGCACUUACCCAAAAUAUUACCUAUCACUUGUUUAGAUCGGUCGAUUAAGGCUUUCACACUUAAUCAAUUGCAAGAGACUAACCACUAGGCCUUAGGGGUUACCUGCAUUCCAACCGAACCUUAUCAACCAUUAAUAAAAUGAACUGUUUGAACUAGAUGAAACAUCACUUACAAAAAAUGCAAAGUCAAGAUUAGAAGAAAGGAACAAUUAGCCUACACUCACACAAGAGCCGAAAGUACAUAAUAUGAUAGAGGCAAAAUGGAACAAUUGUACCCCUAUCAGAAAAUGACAGCACAGGAAGAUGUUAGGUGCAAUACUAAUAUGGUAAAGAGGGAGAAAGAAAAAGAAUCGCACCCAUACCAAAAGUUAGACUUACCAAUAUGCAAAAUCGAUGAAUAGGAAUGACUAUAGAAAAGGCAGAUAGCAAUAAAGGGAAAGUUGGCACAGUGAGGGUAAGGAAGCAGUUGUAUUCGGCCAAGUACAAUCGUUUGAGAGAGCCAGAGAAAGAGAAGCAAUCGGUCAUGAAGAAACCGAUUGAGAGAGAGGGAAAAAGAAGGAGAGAAUCGGCCAGCCAAGAAUCGAUUGAGGAAGGGGAGAAGUUGAAAUAAUCUGUCAAAGAAAGACCAUAAAAAGAACCAUAAAACUGAGAGGAACUUGCCAAAACUGAAAGUGUUGAAAGGAAAAGAGAGGGAGAACAAAGUCAUAUAUGGUAGAAAAGAGAUACCCGAAAGAACCUUAGACACUAUUCGGCCUACAUGUAGAGAGAAAAGAACCAAAAUGUUACCAAUCACAGAAAUGGAGAGCAAUUGACCAACCCAAAGCCGAAUUCUGAGUGGGCAGAUUACCAUUUAGGCACCAACUCUCCCUCAACACAAAUCCCCAUAAUUUCUCCUAAAAUCCCUCUUUAAAUCACUCAAAUCGAUCCCUCAACUACUCAAUAACCACUUUAGUAUUUCGGUCAAACCACAACACUCCAAUGGCAUGACAACAAAAUAAAACACUCCACUGCGUCCACCAGGAUUCGAACCUCAGUCCUCAGGCAACAACAACAUGUCACCUAUCCCUUAGACCAGUAGGCCUAUUUUGUCAUGUUUUACCCAUUUUUAUUUAAAAGCCUACUGACUAAUGACAAAGGUUUUUCCAAUAAAAGAAAAUUUUUGCCAAGCCAAGGCUUGAACUUAGGACUUCUCAGACACUUCUCAGGACACUUAACCACUGAAGCAAGCAUGAAUUUACACAACAAAAACAUACAAAAAUAAAUACCUAAGAUUUAGGGUGUUACAACUCUACCCCUAAAAUAAAAUUUUAGCCUCAAAAUUUACCUGAUCAGAACAGAUGAGGGUAUUGUUGUCGCAUCGUCUCCUUAGGUUCCCACGUGGCCUCCUUGGAGCUAUGGUUACGCCAAACUACCUUAACUCAUGGGAUAGACUUUUUCUCAUGACCUUUACAUCACGCUCCAAUAUCUGAAUCGAUUCCUCCUCAAAAGUCAGAUAUGGCUUAACCUUAAUCUUCUUAACUGAGAUAACAUGCAUAGGAUCAGUGCGGUAAUGCCUUAACAUAGAAACAUGGAACACAUCAUGAAUCCGGUUUAACUCUGGAGGUAACUCUAACUGAUACGCAACCUAUCCUAUACGUUUCGAUAUGCAAUAAGUCCUAAUGAAUCUAGGGCUCAACUUGCCUUUCUGACCAAACCUCAGUACUUUCUUCCAUGGCGAGACCUUGAGAAAAACGAAGUCCCCCACAGAAUACUCAAUCUCCUUACGCUUCAGUAUGAACUGGUAUGAAAUUGGCAGAUUUGGUCAACAGAUCCACGAUGACCCAUACUAAAUCCUUCUUAGUAGGCGUUAAGGGCAGCCCACUAACGAAGUCCAUAAUCACUGUCUCCCACUUCCAAAGUGGAAUCUUAACUGGCUGAAGCAACCUAGAAGGUAACUGAUGUUCAGCCUUAACUUCCUGGAAAGUCAAACAUUUACUCACAAAAUCAGUAACUUCACGCUUAAGACCUGGCCACCAAUACAACUCACGAAGGUCUCGGUACAUCUUAUUUCCACCAGGAUGCAUAACAUAAGGACUAUUAUGCGCCUCUCGCGGUAUAGACUACCUCAAAUCAGUAUCCUUUGGUACGCAAACUCUCCUACGGAAGUAGAGAACUCUUUCACUAUUCAAUCCAAAAUCUGAUGUGUUACCACUCUCAAUCUGUCGGAAUCGAGGACCUAGUGACUCAUCCUCCAACUUCUUACCCUUAAUCUGCUCAAUCCAUGUCGGUUUAACUUGGAGCUCGGCCAACAAGCUACCAUCAUCAAAUAAACUGAGGCGAGCAAACAUCGCCCUCAGAUCGUCAUAGCCCUACAGCUCAGCGCAUCGGCCACCACAUUGGCCUUCCUAGGAUGGUAUUCGAUCAUACAGUCAUAGUCUUUAAGCAAUUCAAUCCAUCUACGCUACCUAAGAUUUAGCUCCUUCUGAGUGAGGAGAUACUUGAGUCUAUUGUGAUCGAGUAAAUGAUACACUUCUCACCGUAUAGGUAAUGCCUCCAAAUUUUCAGUGCGAAUACUACCGCAGCCAACUCCAAAUCAUGUGUCGGAUAAUUCACCUCAUAAGUCUUAAGCUGACAAGACGCAUAUGCAACCACCUUACCCUCUUGCAUCAACACACAUCCCAACCCACCAUGUGAUGCAUUGCUAUAAACAGUGAGCUCUUUCCCAGGCUCUGGCUAUAUCAAGACAGGGGCUACAGUCAAAACUUUCUUAUGCUUCUCAAAACUCUCUUGCUGUUCAUCAGUCCAGUUAAAUGACACACCCUUACGCAACAACUUCGUCAGAGGUGCAUCAAUCAAUGAAAACCCUUCAACAAAUCCUCGGUAAUACCCAACUAGUCCUAGAAAACUGCAAACUUUCGAUACAGUCUUAGGCGGCUUCCAAUCCAGAACAACCUUAAUUUUUCGAGGAUCAACCCUAAUUCCUUCAGCAGAUACCACAUGGCCCAGAAAUGUUACCUCUUAUAACCAGAAUUCACACUUACUGAACUUGGCGUACAAUUGUUUCUCCCACAGAAUCUGCAGAACCACUCAGAGAUGUGCAUCAUGAUCAUCUUUGGUUCUCAAAUACACCAUAAUGUCAUCAAUAAAAACCACUAUGAGUUGAUCGAGAUAGGGCUGGAACACUCGGUUCAUCAGAUCUAUAAAAGUCACUGGUGCAUUCGUCAAUCCAAAUGGCAUCACUAGGAACUCGUAAUGACCAUAGCGAGUCCUAAACGCUGUCUUAUACACAUCAGUCUCUUUAACCAUCAAUUGAUGGUACCUCGAUUGAAGAUCAAUCUUAGAGAAAACUGAAGCUCCAUGAAACUGGUCGAAUAGAUCAUCAAUCCUCAUUAGAGGGUACUUAUUCUUAAUGGUUAAUUUAUUCUGUUGCUGAUAAUCGAUGCACAUGCGCAUGGAUCCAUCCUUCUUUUUCACAAACAAAAUCGGUGCCCCCAUGGAGACACACUAGGUCAAAUGAACCCAUGAUCCAAUAAUUUUUGAAUCUAAGCCUUAAGCUCCACAAGCUCCUUCGGUGCCAUUCUAUAAGGGGCGAUGGACACCAGAGCUAUACUAGGCUGCAGCUCAAUCCUAAACUCAACUUUACGAUUUGGAGGUAACUUAGGCAGCUCAUUAGGAAAAACUUCUGAAAAACAUCCGUAUUUAGUAAUGCAUAUUUCAAUGUCCACUUUUAACUUACUAAAUCCUUUUACAAGCAUAUAUUCUUACAUAGAACUAAUUCCAAACAUUAUCCGAAAUUUUCAUAUCACAUUAAGAACGAUACAACUAUGUAUUUGCAAUGUAACAAACUUCAUAUUCAAGACCAAUUCAACAAAUACAUAUUCAACUAAGCACAUACAAUUAUAUAUAAAUCAACCCACCACUUCAUAUACUUAUAUGUAAAUAUAUAUAAAUACCAAAUCGUGAUUAAUUUACCAACAUAAUUAUUAUCCAUUUCUUUACUUAAUGAAAGAAAUUUAAUAAGCUAACACAUCCAUUGUAUAUAAAUGUCAUGUCUUAAACAUAUAUCUCUUACGCGGCAAUAAUUAUUAAUAAACUAACAUAAUUUGAAAACACACAACAAAGCAUCCAAAUUUACUAUUCAAAUGGUCAAAACCCAAAUACAAUUGCUGAAUAUAAACAAGUUAAAUUCAUUUUCUUUAAAAUACAUAUAAGAAUUAUACUUUUCCAAAUCACAAGACCAUAUUAAGUCAUUUUAUAUUUUGCUACUCAAUAAAAGUACACUAUGAAUCAAAUUUUAUACCUACCAUUAUAAAACCAAAGUUUUAGCCAUAAAUGCACAAAAUCGCAUUUCUUAAUAAAACCAAAUACAAGACAUAUUUGAAUCAAUAAACUCAUGAGUAAAAUAUCAAACAUAACCAUACUUAUAUAUACCAAAACCAAAUCAACCAAAACCAUAACCAAACAUAAUCAUCAAGCCAAAGCAUAAAUUCCAAGAUUAAUAAAAUGGACAAGCCAUUUUCGCAUGGCUUAUACAUAUACAAAUAACUUCAAGCAUAUUCGAAAAGUAGUAUAGCCUAUACAUGCCAUAGGUUUCUAAUUCAACUUUUAAAAGUACUGAAAGCAGUCGAUAGUGUGAUAGUCUUUGCUGAUGACCCCCGAGCCUGCAACUAGUCUCCAUAAUCUAUAAAUAGAAGUAAAAAUGCACACACAUAGUAAGCUAUCUUAGCUUAGUAAGUCAUAAGCAAAUAUUAACUCAAUAACAAUAAUAAUUUAAUAAGACAUAACCAAACCAUACUUGUAAAUUCAAAUAUCCACAUAUAACUAAACAUGAAUUCAGUUUUGUCCAAGCACACAUUCGCUCUUUAUCCAAAAUCAUAUUUCAUACUCAAUAUCAAUGAAAAUUUCACUUGACCGAAUACAUACUAUCAUAAUACAUUUAUACAAUUCACAUUUCCUUAGUCAUAAUUUCACAUUCAAUUACCAUAUAGACAAAUGCUCAUAUAAACUUUGGCAUAAGUAUGAAAUUCACAUUUCCAUAUCAUAAAUAUAUAUAUCGUUAAACCGAAUAUGACCAAUCAUAUAAUUAAACAUAUGGUUUCAUUCACUUCAUUCAUAGCUCAAUUCUUAAUUCAAAUAUUAUCUCAAUGGCAUUGAUAAUUUAUUAAGGCAUAACCAAGCCAUACUUAUGAAAUUUAAUUACCAAACAUUUAUCUAUACAUAAAUUAUAACAUUUCCAGACACACAUUGAUUCAUUAACAUGUUUAAUAUCACAUAGACCUUAUUGUGCCGAAUAUAUAUACUUCCUAUUAGACAAGUUCAAGGUUCACAUUUCAAAUACUUACUAAUCGAAUGCACAUAAAUCCUUUAAUAUCAAUAUGAAUUUCACAUUUCAAUUUAUUCCUCAUGUAACAUUAGGCCGAAUAUAAGCUUAAAAAUCAAACAUUAAUAUCACAUACUUAUACAUUAAUCUACAUAUAGAUUUUCAUAUACACAAUCAUUACCAUUAAUUUCAUUUAUAACUUGUAUCACAUAUCAAAUAAUCAACUUAUCUUAUUUCUGAAAAGGUAAUAAAUUGUCACAUACCUGUUCACUUUAACUUGUUUCCACAUUCAUUCGUAACUUAUCCUUGCCCAUUGAACCAUUCGGAAUUAAAAAGGAUACUUGGAUUAUAACACAUAUCGUAGAAUGCCAACGUCCCAGAUGUGGUCUUACAUGUAACCACGUGGCGAAGCCACUGUCUCAGACAGGGUCUUACACGAAUCACAAUUACGAUGCCAAUGUCCCAUACAUGGUCUUACUCGAAAUCACAUAUUGAUGCCAACGUCCCAGAUGUCGUCUUACAUGAGAACACAUAUUAGAAAUCCUAUGUCAUGACAUAUGUAUCCUAGAUAUUCCGAAGGUUCGUACGGGGCUUUUCGGAUGUCGAAUCUUGGUCGAAUCGAAUCGUAAACAUAGUUCCCAAGUGUACACAUAUUUGGCUAUCAUUUAUACAUUCUCCAAUAUAUCAAUUCAGCACAUGUAACUUAUUUUUAUUAAAAACAAUAUGUUUUUUUGCUAAUAAACUUACCUUAGACAACGGUAAUCAGAACGGGACGAUUAAUCGACGAUUUUAGUUUUCCUCCGAUCCAAAUCUGAUUUCUUUGGUUCUUGAUCUAAAUGUAUUCAAAAUAAACUAAUUCAAUAUAAUUUCAUUCAAUUUAGUCCAAAAACACAUAAAUGAGAAAAUUACCAUUUUACCCCUGACAUUUGCAUUUUUUACAAUUUAGUCCCUAUUGCACAAAACACAAAAUACACAAAAUUUCAGCAUACCCGUGUUGAGCCAAAUUUUACCCACUCUCAAAAAAAUCCAUAUAUUUCAUUUAUUUCACAUUUUAGUCCUUCAAAUUUUUAGUUUUUCAAUUUAGUCCUAAUUACUCAAAAUCAUCAAAAACUCUAAUACAAAACAUGUUAAUUUAAAACAUAUCUUUCAUAUUUCAUCAUCAAACAACAAAAAUCACAAGCUUUAAACAAUGACAUAACUCAAAAUAUUCACCAAAAUAAAAAAUUCAAGCAUGGGUCUUGUAGAUAAUGUAACGCCCCGUACUCGAGACUAUAUCCGGAGUCGAACACGAGGUGUUAACGGACUUAAUUCAUUACUUAAACAGCUCAUACAAUUCAUUUUAAAAGCUGGCUAACUGCAUCACAGUCGCUUUAAAAAUCAUAUCUCGAGUUCUGAAACUCGAAAUCCAAUUCCGUAAAUUUUUCCUGAAACUAGACUCAUAUAUCUAUCUACUAAUUUUUUUCUAGAAUUUUUGGUAGAGCCAAUUAGUACAGUUUAUUAGUUAAAGUCUCCACUGUUUCAGGGUUCGACUACUCUGACCUCUGUGUAUUACGAAUCAGAUAUCUCCCUUUACAGAGAUUCAAUGACUAUGCCGUUUGUCUCUAAUAAAACUAGACUCAAUAAGGAAUCUUUAAAUAUAAAGCAUGACUUCUAAUUAUCUUUGUAAAAUUUAUGGUGAAUUUCCAAAGUCAGAACAGGGGAUCCAGAAAUCGCUCUGGCCCUGUUUCACAAAAAUUUAAACAUCUCAUAAAAUAUAGCUCAUAUACCUGUUUUGCUUCUUCCAUAUGAAAAUAGACUCAUCAAGCUUCGAUUCCAUAACUUAUUAAUUAUUUAAUUCCAUUUCUACUAUUUUUAGUGAUUUUUCAAAUUCACGUCACUACUGCUGUUUGAAUCUAUUUUAUGGUAAAUUUUACCUAUUUCAUGGUUUCCAUGGAUUAGCUAGCAAUUUGACAUACAUAACACCAAAUAUGAUCAUGAUUAGCCAUUCCAAUGGCUAAUCAUUACCAAGCAUUUCCAUACCACUCAAUAACCAUAUCAUAAGACCAUAUAUACAAAAUGAUUAUAAUGCUAUACAUGCCAUACUCAAAAUAUACAAGCCAUUAUGCCAAGAUGGUAUACGGAUAGUGUGAGCGAGCCUCCGACCGUUCCCGAUUUCCGAGCUGGCUUGUCAAAACUACAAGGAAUGAAAAGGAGGGAGUAAGCAUAAAUGCUUAAUAAGUUCACAUGCAAAUAGCAAGUAACAUAACCAUAUAAGCAAACAUAAAACAUCAUUUGCAUAAUCAUCACCAAGACAUUCAUAUCACAUUUUCAUUUAUCAUCUUACCAUAUUGUUGUUAUAUCGAGUUUUCAAUCCGAGGGUUAAGUACAUACCUGUUCAAAGUAUCCAUUUCACAACACUUACCAAUACGUCCCUUUCAUCUUGAGUAUUCCUCCAUUUGAGUAGAACUUUACCCGUUGAACACAUCGGAAUAUAAUUCGGAUACAUGGAAAGUUUGCACAUAAGUGCCACAUAUGUAGCCAAGCUACUAUGUAACCCGCCCAUAAGCGAACUCGGACUCAACUCAACGAGCUCGGGCAUUCGCAUCCAUGAGUGAACUCGGACUCAACUCAACGAGUUCGGAUGCCUAGUUACAUCUCACGAACUCGGACUCAACUCAACGAGUUCGGACAUUUGCAUCCAUAAGUGAACUAGGACUCAACUCAACGAGUUCGGAUGCUCAACCAUCCUAGUGACAUGUCACUUGUAUCCUAAUCCAUUCCUAAGGUUCAACGGGACCUUUUUCCCAAUCAUGUGUCUCAACCAUCUUCUACGGAAUGCCGAUACCGAUACUCGGUAGUAUUUCACAUUUUCCAAGUAUAUCACAUAAUUUGACAUAUUAUCAAACAAUUGUCACAAGUAUGAUAUUUCAUAAUAAUUAUCAUAUCAUUUAAAUAACAUUAAAACAUUUAAAAUAAUAACUAUGUUACUAACAUUUACAUAUGAACUUACCUCGUAUGCGAAAAUGGCUACUUUUACCAUUUCGUCCACAACUUGGUAUUUUCCCCAUUUUAGCCCGAAAUUUAGUUUUCCUUGCUCUAUCAUUUAAAAUAUAGUCUAAUUAGGACUCAAAUUAUUCAAAUUGACCCAAAAUCAUAUUUUGGAAAAAUUACAAUUUUGCCCUUAAACUUUUGCAUAUUUACACUUUUGCCCCAAAGCUCGUAAAUUAAACUUCAGCCUAUUUUCUUAUGUUUUAUGACAUGCUGAUCAUUUUUCCCUUCUAUGGCAACAUCAAAUUCUCACUCUAACAUGUACUUAUGACUAUUAGGUAUUUUUAUCGAUUAAGCCCUUUUACUCGUUUUCACUUAAAACCGAGUAGCACAAGUUGUCUAACAUAAUUUAAAACCUCAUAUUAUAUCAUAAAACAUAAAAAUACACAAAUUUCACCUAUGGGUAUUUUUCCAAAUAUAAACCUUAGGUUAAAUUAUUGCUAGCAUAAGCUUAAUCGAGCUACCGGGACUCCAAAAACGUAAAGAACUUGAAAACGGGGCUAGAAUGGACUUACAAUCGAGCUUGGAAGCUUGAAAAACCCUAGCUAUGGUUUCUCCUUGCUAUAUUCGGCCAUGGGGUUGAAGAUGAGCAAAAUUGGCUUUUAAAUUUUGUAUUUUAAUUCAUUUUACCCCUAAAUGACCAAAAUGCCCUUACUACUAAACUUUCCAAAAAUUCCAUCCAUGUCUAAUUUUUGUCCAUAGACUUAGAAAUUGGUAAAAUUGCUAUUUAAGACCUCCUAAUUAAUAUUUCAAAACAAUUUCAUACUAGAAACUUCUAGAAUGAAAGUUUUGCAAAUUAUUCGAUUUAGUCCCUAAUUUCAAUUUAAGUACUUUAUGCAUAAAAUUUCUUCACGAAAUUUUUACACAAUCAUGCAAUCAUAUCAUAGACCUUAAAAUAAUCAUAAAAUAAUUAUUUCUAUCUCGGAUUUUGUGGUCACGAAACCACUAUUCUGACUAGGCCCAAAAUCAGGAUAUUACAGAUAACUUAGCAACGAUCUCAAAAAUGCAAAAAUUAUAAAAAACCGAGCUAGUUACAUCCCUUGAUUGAGCUUAGCAAUGGCCAAACAUAAGAAAACCUUUUUCUUUCUCUUUUAUUUUGACAUUCGGUGGUGAAGAAAUAAAAGACAAAUGCUUGUUUAAUGUUAUUAUAACAUAUAUUAUUAUAAUAACAUUUUAUUAUUUAUUUACUAAUAUAACCUUAAUGAUUUAAUAUAAAAACUUAAUAAUGCAUGCCAUUACCGUCCAUUAAUUUAUUCAAUGGAAUAAUUGCAAUAUAAAUAUUUCAAUUUAUAAAGACACAUUCAAUUUGGUCCUUACACAUUAAACCAUCAAAUUUUCAUUUUACGCGAUUAAGUCCUUUUAUUUAAUCGGGCACUCUAACGACCAAAUUAAAUCACAAAAAUUUCACACAUAUAAAUUCACACUUAAUAAACACUGAAAAUAAUUUUUAAAUAUUUUUCUAACUGAAAUUCGUGGUCCCGAAACCACCAUUCUGAAUAGAGUCUAAAUCAGGCUAUUACACGAUGUUUCACUAGCCAAUCCAUUCCCAAUAUUAAGUCGAAUUCUCCAAAAGGAAGUUCCAUCAAAUCUGCUAAAAAGAUAACUCCUUAAAACUACAAUGGCACAUCUCUGAACAAUUUAUCUACCCUUACAGACUGCCCCAAUGGACUCAACAUAGUAACCUCACUUGCAGUACUCUCAACCAAGAUAUCCAAAGUCUCAGACACAUUACAAGCUAUAUAGGAAUGAGUAGAUCCUAUGUCUAUUAGUGUAGUAUAAGGUACAUUAUAGAUUAUAUCCUAUGUCUAUUAGUGCAGUAUAAGGUACAUUAUAGAUAAAGAACGUACCCGAGAUAAUGUCUGGGGCAUCACCAUCCUCUCGGCGACGUGCAGCAUAAACCAGAGCUGGCUGCCUCGCCUCAGUGCGACCAGCACCUCUGCCCGGUGCCCUCUGACCACGACCCAAACCAUUACCACCUUUGGCCUUACCACAUCCUCUUGAUGGCUUCUGAACAUCUCUCGGUAGUUAAACAGUACCCAUACCAAUAGCUUGUAUCUGAUCGGGCCUCCGUGGACAAUCUCUGAUACGAUGCUCCAAUGAUCAACAUUUCAGACAUGCCCCAAUCAUUUUCUAGCACUCGCCCUGAUGGCAUAUCCCACAAUCCGCAUAGGGCUACUAUCACGUAACAGCAACAGGGGCCCCAACUCUGACUGGCCCAUCAACUCUAGCCUUUUUCUUAGGCCACAGAAAUGAACUUGAAGGCUCCGAAUCCCUCUUGUUCCUUCCUCUUUCCUUCUCACAGUUCUAGUGCUCAGUGCACUUCACAUCCUCGGUGAUCUUCGCCUUAUCCACUAAAGCAGCAAAAUCUCGCUCCCUUUGUGAAGUUAUCAGAACCCUUAAACCAUCCCUGAGGUGUAACAGUCCGAUUUUGACCCUAGUCGGAAUAGUGGUUUUGGGACCACAAAUUUGAGUUAGAAAAAUAUUUUAAUAUCAUAUUUCAUGCUUAUUAUAAGUGAACUGACAUGUGUGAAAGUCUCAUGUGAAAAUUUAACUGUUUGUAUGCUUAACUUGCAAAAAGGACCUAAUCGCGUAAAGUGUAAAAGCUGUGUGCUAGAUGUUAAAAGUGCCUAUUUGACUUGGCUUUAUAAUUGUGAGGUCCUUAUAUGGUUAUUUGACCAAAUUUAUGAUUAAAUGACAUUAGUGGACAUUCAUUGAUGGCAUAUUAAUGUUUUAAUGCAAGGGUAAUAUGGUAAAAUGCAUAUUAAAGUAAUAUUAUUAUAACAAAACAUGAAAAAUAAGGCCAUUAUGUAUGUUCAUCCACUGAAAAUAGAAAAGCAAACCUAUGUUUGGAGAGCUUUAAGUUUCGGCACACACAAGGCUUAAUUAAGAUCAAGAAAAGAGGAAUUCAGAUUUAGACCAAAGGAAGUCGAAAAUUAUAGAAUAAACGAUCGAGUCGACAAUUUCGAGUACGAGGUAAGUUCGUACUUAAAACAUGAUGUUAAGUAUUUUUUGAUGUUUUGAUUAUAUAUACAUUGUAUAUAUGUUUAGUUUGGAUGAAUACGAUGAUAAAUCAAUAGUAUUUGGCAGUAAGUGUGAUUAAAACUAGCUUCGGCUAUAUGAGGCACUAAGUGUGUGAUACUGACUUAGCUUUAGUUAAUUGAGAUGGCACUAAGUGUGCGGAUGUUCAAGGCACGAAUAAUUUACAGAAAGCCUUAAAAUAUUUAAACAAAAGGUGAGAAUGAAAGUGAAUAAGUACGAGAAGAUUCAGGUAUGUACGAUACCUAUGUGGUAGAUGAUACUAUAUAUGUGAAGCUCAUUGAUUUGGCAUGAACAUAUGGAUUGUGUUGGUAUAGAUUUGAUAGAUGAUUUGAGAAUUUGUGAGUACUUAUGUAUUGAUGAUUUUUGGUACGAACUUACUAAGCUUUUGAAAGCUUACUUUGUGUAUGUUUGCAUUGUUUUAUAGAUAUCGAAGCUACUACAAGCUCAGGGAUCAUCAAGGAUCAUCACCACACUAUCGAAUCUCAUUUUGGUACUUUUGAAAAUGUAUAUUUUUAAAGUAUGGCAUGUAUAGACUAGUGGUUGUGGAAUUAUGUUUUGUGAUGUAUAUACUUAGCCAUUUGAUUUGGCUAGUUGGUGUUUAAACUCAUAGUUGAAAAUGGCUUAUGGUAUGUGUUGUUAAUAUGCAAUUGUGGUAUAUUUUAUGUUGGCAUAAAUUGGUAAGGUUGAUAAAUAGGAAAACUGUUGACAUUUUUAUGAUAUAAAUGAUGAAUGUUUUGGCAUAAAAUUGGCUGAAAUGGUUGUGCAUAUAUGCUUGUUUCUUUUCUUGUAGGUUGACCCAAAUUUGGGGUGGCAAAUUGGCUAUUCAAAUGGCCUAUUUUUGUCUACAUGGGCAGAGACAGGGCGUGUGUCUCAGCCGUGUGCGACACACGGCUAUGUUGCACGGUUAUGUGUCCCCUGGGCUACCCUACAAUUGUAAGUCAGGGCCGAACACAGCCAACGUACACGGGUGUGUGGCUAGCCGUGUGGCCCAAGUUAGACUCGACCACGACCAAGGCACACAGGCGUGUCUUGUAGCUGUGUUAUCAAGUCAGUAGUUAUGCCCUAUUUUGCCACGGCUUAGACACACGGACAUGUCUAAGACCGUGUGAGGCACACGACCUGUUCAUACGGGCGUAUGACCUUUUAAAAGUUGAAAAUUUUUAUAAGUUCUGAAACUUUCAUAUGUUAUCGAAUUGAUCCUGAAAGCAUGUUUUAGACCUCAUACAAACGUUUAAAGUUCACGUUGAACAUGAAUGAUCUCAUUUUGGCGACGGUUACGAGUUAAGGGUGUUACAUUUUAAUUGGUAUCAGAGCUAUGGUUUAUUCGGUUCUAGGACUGCCAAAGCGUUUGUGAGUCUAGCUAUGCAUGCCAUAUUUAUGAAUUGCGAUAGUGUGAUGAAUCCUGACAUUGAAAUGUGCUUUUAUAUAACAAAUGGAUUCCGAAAAAGCUAUAGUAAACUAUGUUGAAAGCAAUGCCCCUACUCUCACGCAAGGGACGGUGCCAUCUGAUUCUCGACUGGCUACGAGUAGCCGUGAUGAUGAGGCUAAACAAGCCUUCUAUCAGAUGAUGAAUGAUUGGUUCACCCAAUAUAUCGAACCAAUUCAGCUCUACAACAACCUCCACCUCCGGUUAAUCCUCCUCAAACUCCUGUUAUGCCACCAGUGAAUCUGGUUCAGUUAAGUAGACCACCAGUCGAUAAGAUUAGAAAACAUGGGGCUGACAAGUUUCUAGCUACAAUGAGUGAUGAUGCUGAAAAAGUCGAGUUCUGGUUAGAGAAUACGAUAAGAGUGUUUGAUGAAUUUUCUUUGAGUCCAGAAGAAUGCAUUAAAUGUGUUGUUUCCCUUUUGAGAGAUACGACGUACCAUUGGUGGAAGACUUUGACAUCUGUGGUUCCGAGUGAACGGGUUACUUGGGAUUUCUUUCAAACUGAAUUUCGAAAGAAAUAUAUCACUCAGAGAUUCAUUGAUCAGAAACGUAAAGAGUUUCUUGAGCUUAAACAAGGCCGUAUGUCUGUCAUAGAAUACGAGCGAGAAUUUGUAAGGUUAAGUCAGUAUGCUCACGAAUGUGUAUCUACAGAAGCAAUAAUGUGCAAACGAUUUGAGGAUGGCUUAAACGAAGAUAUUCUUCUGUUAGUCGGGAUUCUGGAAAUCAAAGAAUUCAUUGUACUUGUGGAACGAGCAUGUAAAGCUGAAGAUCUUGGGAAAGAGAAAAGAAAAGCUGAUUUUGAAGCUAGAGAGGUACGAAAGAGAUCAUCGGGCAAAUCGUUUCAAUCUGGAUCAAAGAAGUUUAGAGAUGAUAGCAGUCAUUCAAAGAUUAGUGUGGGAUAUUCGAAUAGAGAUUGUGUUAGAUCGCAAUCAAAUUUCAAAUCUUCAGCUACAUCUGUUGCUAGUGUUGAUAAUGCAAAGAAUGAAAAGCCUGAGUGUGAUCAAUGUGGAAGAUGACAUUUUGAAGAAUGCUAAGGAAAAAGUAAUAGCCGAGCUUGUUAUAGUUGUGGUUCAAGAAAUCAUUUUAUAAAAGAUUGCCCAGAUUUAGCUGAAAAAGAUAAUGUUCAAAAUUCGAGGCAGAGUGGUAAUGCUUCUCGUGGUAGACCUUUCAGAAACUUGGGAAAUAUAAGCAGUAGUCAAAGAGGAACAAAAGACAUAACUAUUAGUUUUGAGGCUCGUGCACCUACUAGAGCCUAUGCUAUCUGAGCUCGUGAGGAAGCUUCAUCGCCAGAUGUGAUUACGAGUACAUUUACUCUCUAUGAUACUUAUGUGAUUGCUUUGAUAAACCCUGGAUAGACAUAUUUGUACAUAUGCAUGAACUUAGUGAACAGUAAGACUUUGCCUGUAGAGUCUACUAAAUUGGUAAUUAGAGUUUCAAACCCCCUAGGCAGAUGUGUUCUGGUUGAUAAAGAAUGCAAGAAUUGUCUGUUAAUGUUUCGAGGCACUUGUUUUCCUACUAAUCUGAUCUUGUUAACUUUUGAUGAAUUUGAUAUAAUUUUGGGUAUGGAUUGGUUAAGUUUGCAUGAUGUUGUUGUGAACUGCAAACGGAAAACUAUUGAUUUGAGAUGCAAGAAUGAUAAAAUAGUCAGAAUUGAAUCUAGUGAUUUGAAUGGAUUGCCUGCUGUAAUAUCUUUGAUGAAAGCUUUAAAUAUUGUGAGAAAGUGUUGUGAAGCUUAUCUUGCAUAUGUGAUUGAUUCGAGAGUCUCAAAAAAGAAAGUUGAAUUAGUGCCUAUUGUGUGUAAGUUCCCUAAUGUAUUUCCUGAAGAACUUCUGGGAUUACCUUUGGUUAGAGAGGUAGAAUUUGGUAUUGAAUUGGUACCUGGUACUACUCCGGUUUCAAUAGCUCCAUACAGAAUGGCUCCGACGGAGUUAAAAGAAUUAAAGUCUCAGUUGCAAGAGUUGACCGAUAGAGGAUUUGCCAGACCUAGUUUCUCACCUUGGGGUGCUUUGGUUCUAUUUAAGAAAAAGAAAGUACGAUGAGAAUGUGUAUCGAUUAUUGAUAAACCGUAAUUUAUACAUAUUUUUAUCCCAUGCUUAGCAUAAUUUUGGAUGAAUUAUCCUUAGAUUUGGUGAAUUCGAUGCUCCUAAUCCUUUAAUUUCAUGUUUUAUACUUAUGUGAGCAUAGGAGAGUAAAAAGAGCGAGAAACAAGCCAAAAACGGAGAAAAUGGGUCAACGUGGGAAAUCAACAUGGCCUGGACUUCCUCACACGGGUAGUUCACAUACUCGUGUCCAUUCAACAGACUCAAACACAGGUUGAAGCACUUGCCCAUGGACGUGUCACAUGGGCGUGUCCCUGUUGAGCCCAAGUCUAGUCCUAUUCAGAAAAGGCCACUUUUGAGGGUUUUAAAGCAUUCUAAAGCCUAUAUAAACACCCCAGAAGGUACCUAGAAGAGAGACACAGAGUAGGAGGCAAGGAAUUACUCAAAGAAAGCUGAUUGAUCCAUCUCAGAAGCUAGAUUAUCCUUCAAGACUGAAGAUCUCCCCUCAAUUUCCUUCAGAAGUUUUUGGGUUUUCUUUAUAUUUUGUUAUCAUUAUUCUUAUGAGAUGUUUUCUUUUACGCUUAUGAACUAAAUCCCCUAAAUACCUAAGGGGAAUGAAACCUAAGAUGGAGCUUGUUAUUAUUUUCUGAAUUAUAUGAUAAAUAUUUGACUUGUUCUUAAUUAUGAGUUCUUAAUUCUUGCUUUAAUAUUCCAGAAUAUUAAUUCAAGUAUUGAUGUGCUUAUUCAGAGGAGUACAAGUCCCUGUCUAAGAGUAGAUCUAGCAUAAUUAAGUGGAGUUGAUUGCACGCCUAAACAUAGGGUGACAUAAUUUUGCCGAAUUAGGGUGAAACCUAAUAAAGGAAUCCAUAGAUCGAGUUAAUGCAACACUAGGGGUCUUAAUUAGAAAGAGAUUUCAAUUAAUCAACCUAGGGUUAGAUGUUGUUAGUCUUGAGAGAGAUAAUAAUAUAACUUAGGGAUUUCUACGGAUCAAGUCAAGUGAAUAAAUCGUUUGAUUCAGAGUCAAUAACAAGUGAAGUCUAGGUGGAUUUUUCCCUUAGGUAUUGUCCAAAUCAUUCAGUUUUUCCAAAAGUUAUUUCCCUAAUUUACUUUCUGUGCAUUCUUAGUUAAGUAAUUAAUUUCGAUAAAACAAACCCCUUUAUUUAGGCUAGAUAAUAGAAAGAGAGUUAAUACUAGUACUUUUAGUUUCUUUGGGUUCGACAUCCCAGUCUUGCCAUAAGCUAUACUACUGUUCAAUAUGGUGCGAUUGCCUUUGUUGUGAUAAUAGUUAGUUUUCAAGAACAGACAUUCAUAAAUUAUAAAACUUAUCACGAUUCACAUCACAUCAAGUUUUUGGCGCCAUUGUCGGGGAACUAAGAUAUUAGGAACACUUAAUUUUUAUUACUUUAGCCAUUUAUUUUAUUGCAAUUUAUAUUUAUUUUAUUUUUGUUACUAAAUUUUCUUUUUCCUUCUAGCGGGUUUUUAUAGUUUAUGACUAGAAGAAACCCAUCAGGACCAUUACUUUUUGAUAGUGAAUUGAACACAUAGCUCACAGAAACCAAAGAGAAAUAAGGCGAAGCUUAAGAUACAUAGAGGAAGGGCAAGAGGAUGAUAUUCAGACCACAACCGAGGAGAUGGCUGAAAAUCAGGAAAAUUUGCUACCUCCUGCGAUUGCUGCCAAUCCAGUAAAUCAGAAUCCUGCUCCACGUACUAUGUAUGAUUAUGCUAAACCUAAUUUAACAGGAACUGAGUCAAGUAUAGUUAGGCAUGCUAUUGCUGCAAAUAAUUUUGAAUUGAAACCCAACACAAUUUAAAUGAUCCAACGAUUUGUUCAGUUUGAUGGCUUGCAGGAUGAGGAUCCAAACACUCACUUAGCGAAUUUUCUGGACACGUUUAAAAUCAAUGGCAUUUCUGAUGAUGCCAUUGCCUUCGGAUAUUUCCCUUUUCAUUAAGGAAUAAGGCUAAACAGUGGUUGAACUCGUUACCACGACGGUCAAUCACUACUUGGGAACAAAUGACCGAAAAAUUCUUACUUAAAUAUUUUCCACCGGCUAAAAUGGCUAAGUUGAGGAAUGACAUCUCUUCUUUUGUGCAAAUGGACCUCGAAACACUCUAUGAUGCAUAGGAGAGAUACAAGGAUCUUUUGAGAAGGUGCCCUCACCAUGGAUUACCACUCUGGCUAAAAGUUCAAACUUUUCACAAUGGCCUGAAUCCUUUGACUAGACAGAUGAUUGAUGCAGCUGCUGGUGGGACUAUCAAUAAUAAGACACCUGAGGAGGCUUAUGAAUUUAUAAAAGAGAUGUCACUGAAUAAUUAUCAGUGGCAAGUCAUGAGGAUAAAGCCAACAAAAGCAGUCGGCGCUUUUAACAUCGACUCGGUCACCAUGCUUUCUAAUCAGGUAGAACUUUUGAAUAUAAAAAUUGAUGGUUUACUUGGUUCUUCACAAGCUCACCCAGUAAUGCAAUACAAUACAAGUGGAGGAGGAACGAGCAAUUCAAAACACCCACCUUAUGGCCACAACAUGGAAAACGAGCAGUUAAAUUAUAUGGGUAAUAAUCAUCGACCUCAAAAUAAUCCUUAUAGUAACACUUACAAUGCAGGAUAGAGGAGCCACCAAAAUUUCUCAUGGGGAUGCCAAGGGAAUCAGAGACCACCUCCCCCUCCAGGCUUCCAACAACAACCUUACCAGCAAGAGAAAAAGCUGAACCUUGAGGAGAUGAUGUAAAAAUUUAUUUCAGUAGCGGAAACUCAUUUUCAGAACACUGAAACUGCACUUAAAAAUCAGCAAGUAUCGAUCCAAGGACUUGAGAAUCAAAUUGGGCAGCUGGCUAAGAUGAUUUCAGAAAGACCACCAGAAAGUCUACCUAAAAACACCGAACCCAAUACAAAAGAGCAUGUAAAAGCAGUUACACUAAGGAUUGGGAAAGUGUUAGCUGAAUUUGAAAAGACGCCAUCAUAAAAAGUUGACAGAAACAAAGGAGAGGAGGUAAAACCCGAGCACAAUGAGAAUUCAAUGCCAAAGGAAUAUAAACCACCAAUCCCAUAUCUAGCAAAGUUGAAGAAAAACCGUAUGGAUGAACAAUUUGGUAAAUUUCUUGAACUUUUUAAACAAUUUCAUAUUAACUUACCUUUUGUUGAAGCUAUAUCACAGAUGCCUACAUAUGCAAAAUUUUUAAAGGAGCUUCUAACAAACAAAAGGAAGUUUGAAGACCUAUUUACAGUGGAACUUAAUGAGGAGUGCUCAGCCAUACUCCAAAAUAAACUACCAACCAAACUUAAAGAUCCAAGAAGUUUUACUAUUCCCUUCUUAAUUGGUAGUUUGAAUGUCGAUAAGGCACUAGCUAACUUAGGCGCUAGCAUUAAUUUGAUGCCAUAUAAAAUGUUUAAUCAACUUGGUCUUGGGGAACCUAAACCCACUAGGAUGAGCAUUCAAUUAGCUGAUAGAUCUGUUAAAUAUCCUAGGGGAAUUAUCGAGGACGUACUUGUAAAAGUAGAUAAAUUUAUAUUCCCUGUUGAUUUCGUUGUGCUUGACAUGGAUAAGGAUGUUGAAGUACCUUUGAUAAAUGCCAAAUUAUACAUAUCUAUGCCCUAAAUACUUAGCAUAUUUAUGGAUGUUUACUACUAGAUUUGUGGAUUUUGGUGCUCUUAGUCCAGUUAUUUCAUGUUUUGUACUCAGGAGAGCACCAAGAGUCAAAAGGAGCCAAAAACGAGCUAAAAAGGGACAAAACAGACCAAAUCGAGAAGACCACACGGCCUAAGCCUUUCCACAUAGGCUACUUACAUGCCCGUGUCCUUCGAGGGUGUCGACCAAGGCUCUCACGAUUUACACGGCCUGGCCAUUGACCCACAUGGCCGUGUGCAAUUUAACGGAUCGAACACGGCCUGGCAAUCACGUCACAUGGCUGUGGUACACGGGCGUGUCCCAUUUUCAAAGAGUUGUAUUUUACACGGAAAAGGAUAUUUAGGGAGGAAGAAAGAUAAUCCAAAGCCUAUAUAAACACCCUAAGUGUGACCUAAUGAGGGGGCCUCUUCCAGAACUUUUUUGGAAUACAGAACCACACGGCAGGAAUUACUUGAAGGAAGCCAGAUGAUCCAUCCCAAAAGCCAGAGCUACUCCAAGACUGAAGAUCUCUCUCAGAAUUCCUUCAGGGGUUUUAGAGUUUUCUUUAUGUUUUGUUAUUUUUAUACUUUUGAGAUGUAUUCUUAUUUAGUCAUAAACUAAACCCCUAAAUACCUAAGGGGAAUGAAACCUAAGACGAAUCUUGUUAUUAUUUUCUGAAUCAUAUGAUAAAUAUUUAACUUGUUUUUAAUUAUGUGUUCUUAAUUCUUGUUUUGAUAUCCCAGGAUACUGAUUCAAGACACGCUCUGUAAUAGCCCAAAAUUGGGUCUAGUUGGAACAGAGGUUUCGGGACCACAAAAUUUGAGAGAUAAAUAUUUAUUUUAUGAUUAUUUUGAGGUCUAUGAUAUGAUUUCAUGAUUUUGUGAAAAUUUCGUGAAGAAAUUCUAUGCAUAAAGUGCUCAAUUUGAAGUUAGGGACUAAAUUGAAUAAGUUGCAAAACUUGCAUUCUAGAAGUUUCUAGUAUGAAAUUGCUUUGAAAUAUUAAUUAGGAGGUCUUAAAUAGCAAUUUUACCAAUUUCUAAGUGAUGGAAAAAAAUUGGACAUGGAUGGAAUUUUUGAAAGUUUAGUAAGGAAGGGCAUUUUGGUCAUUUGGUAAUUAAAAGAAAUAAAAUGGGAAAAUAAAGCCAAAAUUUACUCAUCUUUUUCAUGGAGGCCGAAAUUAGCAUGGGGGAAACCAUGGCUAGGGUUUUCAAGCUUUCCAAGCUCAAUAGUAAGUCCGUUCUAAUCCCGUUUUUCAAGUUCUUUACAUUUUUGGAAUCCCGAUAAUUUAAUUAAGCUUAUUCUAGCAAUAAUUUAAGCUAGGGUUCAUAUUUGGAAAAAUACUCAUAGGUGAAAUGUGUUUAUUUCGCUGUUUUAUGAUAGAAUAUGAGGUUUUAAAUUAUGUUAGACAACUUGUGCUACUCGGUUUUGAGUGAAAACGAGUAAAAGGGCUUAAUCGGUAAAAAUACCUAAUAGUCAUAAGUAUAUGUUAGAGUGAGAAUUUGAUGUUUCCAUAGAAGAGAAAAGUGAUCAACAUGUCAUAAAACAUAAGAAUAAGGGAUGAAGUUUAAUUCCCGAGCAUAGGGGCAAAAGUGUAAAUAUGCAAAAGUUUAGGGGCAAAAUUGUAAUUUUCCAAAGUUUGAGUUAAGGACUGUUUUGAAUAGUAGAUUAAUUAAAUAAGUAAAAUAUGAUGUUUUAGAUCCCGAAAAAUAAGAUUUGAACCUAGAAUGAGAGAAAAAUCGAAAAUUGGGAAAGUUGGUAAAAUGAUCGUUUUAGUAUCGAGAUAAGUUCAUAUGUAUAAUAAGCAUUAAUUUAUGCAUGUUUCAAUGUAAAAUUGAUAUAUUUAUUAUAAUUUUCGAGGUGUUGAAAGUAUGUAAGUUGGUAUGAUAAUAAUACAGCAAUAAUGUUGUAAUUUAUAUUUGAAAGUUAAAUUUAGUGAAUUAAUUGAAUUAUGUUAAAUUAAAUGAUUAUGGUGCCAAGUUUAUGAAUUGAUUUAAAAAUAUGUCUAUGGUACAUGAAGUGCAUUGAAUUAUCAUACAUAAAUGUGAUUUCUAUGAUUAUGGAUAUUAUGGGAAAUAGUAAGUUCAUAUGAUUUUUAAUAUGGCAAUGUGUAAUUUAAUAUUAUUGCCUUGAUAUUAAAUGAGAUGUAAGUUUAUAUGUAAGUAAUACAUCAAUAUUACUUGUAUUAUGAUAUUUUAUAAUAAUAUUGGAAAUAUGUUUGUGGAUAAUUACUUGAUUGGUGAAAUUGUUGGAAAAGAGAGAGAAAUCCCGGUUGAACCUUCGGAAAGAUUGGAUGAUACAUAUAGUAUGUAGCUAGUCACAUGUAUGGUGCUGAGUGCACAUCAUGUGUACAAGAGAGCUACAAGACAUUAUGAUGUAACUAGGUCGCAUGGGUGAUACUAUGUGUACACCAUGUAGACAAGAGAGCUACGGGAUAUAUGUAGCUAGGUCGCAUGCGUGGUUCCAGGUGAAGGACACCAUGUAGACAAGAGAGCUACGAGAUAAAUUGGCUAGGUUACAUGGGUGGUACUAAGUGUUCAACAUGUGUACAAGAGAGCCGAACUAUAUGAUGGGUGGAGCUAUGUGUUGAAACCACCAAGUAUCGAGGAUUGAUCCGAAGUGUUCAACGGGAGACUCUCUAUGUAUUGCUUUGUGAGUUUUGUGAUGAAUAAGUGCAUGAACUUGGUUAUGUGAAUGAUGUGUUCAUUAAGUGGCCAGGAUGUGGUAAGGUUAUAAACAAGUAAGUUAUACAUAAGGAUGAUUUUAUGGCGACCUUGUGAUCAUGGGCCUAUACUUGUGAUGUAUGAAAUGUGGUGAAAAUGAUUUGUGAUAUGUAUGUUAAAAUGAGGUUAAUACAAAGAAAGUGUGAAAGAGUGAAUUAGCAAUAAAACUGUUUUAGACAGUAGCAGUGAUGUGAUUUUGAAAAAUCACCAAAAAUAGUAGAAAUGGAAUCAGAGACUGAAUGAGAUAUCAAAUUAAAUCUUAAUGAGUCUAUUUUCAUAUAAAAUAAACAAAGAAAGAAAAUGAGUUCUAUAUUUUGAUAUAUUUUUGUUUUUGUGAGACUGGUUUAGAAUGAUUACGUGAUCCCCUGUUUGGACUUUGGAAAAUCACAAAAAUUUGGAUAAAAAUAAUUAGAGGCUUAAAAUUAUAUUUUUAAAAUCCCUAAUGAGUCUAUUUUCAAUAUAAAUCAACAAGAAUAUUAUCUGAUUUCUGUAUUGUGAGAUAAUUAAUUUUUAGUGAAGAGUGGUCAGAACUAUCAGAAUGUGAAACAGGGGAAAUUUUAAUGAAUAAACUGUACUAAUUUGCUAAACCAAAAAUUAUGAAAAUUUUAUGGUGCAAAGAUAUGUGAGUCCAGUUUUAGGGGAAAUUUAUAGAUCUUAAUUUGGAGCUCUGUAGCUCGAAUUAUAAAUAAGUAAUUGACUAUGAGUUGUGUGGACAGUUUGAUGUGAGCAUUUAUUAGUAAAUUGUGAAAUCGUACUUACAAGAAUGCUAUAUACAUUAAGGAUGUGGAAUGGAGAGGAGGAGGAGGAAAAUAAAUAUAUGUGGAAUACAUGGAAACUAUGGUAUAUGAAAUAUUGAUAUAAUGAAAUAAAUGAUAUGUGUUUAUAAGAAAACAGAAAGAGAAUGAUAUGUAUCAUGACAUGUAUAUAUAUAUGACUAGUCUCAAUGUAAUGCUUGUAGGGUAUGGAGUUGAAUUAAAAUGUUUUAGGAAAACAUGUUAUUUGCGCAUCUGAAUUGUGGUAUUUUAUAAUGAUAUGAUCUAGUUUUAAAUAUGAAUGCUUGAUGAUUAAGCUGAAGAUAUUUGGUAAGAUUAUAAUCUUGGUAUAAAUGUAUAAGUGGUACUAUAAUAAACAAGGUAAAAUGAGUAUGAGAGACACAUGUAUGAUGAUAUACAAAUGCUAUGUUUGUGGUUUAAUUGAGAAUAUUUAAUCAUAAAUGAAUACCAUGUUAUAUGCUUUUGAUUUUGUAUAAGUGUGUAAAAGAUUAAGGUUGACCAAAGCUUGGAAAAUAUCCUAGGUAUAUUCCACACAGGCAGAGACACAACCAUGUGUCUCAGCCGUGUAUGGAACACGACUUUGGGACACGGGUGUAUGGAGCCUUAAAGCAUGAAAUUUCCAAGAUUUUUGUAAGUUCUCGGUUUAGUCCCGAACCCUUUCUAAAGUAUGUUUUGGGCUUCGUAGACUCAAAUAAGUGACUAUGUGUAAGUGAAUGAACGUUUUGAAAUAUGAAUGAAAUUUUAUGGCCCGUAUUUUAGUUUAAUGUUUGUAUGUUUGUCCGGUAAUGCCUCGUACCUUAUCCCGACCUCGGGUACGGGUAAGGGGUAUUACACGCUCUUAUUCAGAGGAGGAAUAGACCCUGUUUAAGAGUACAUUUGCCAUAAUUAAGCAGAGUUGAUUACGCGCCUAGAAAUAGGGUGACAAGAUUUUGUCGGAUUAGGGUGAAACUUAAUAAGGGGAUCCAUAGAUCGAGUUAAUGCAACCCUAGAGUGUUAAUUAGAGAAAAGUAUCCAUUAUUCAAUUUAGGGAUUAGAAGUUAUUAGUCUUGAAUAGGGAUAAUAACAUAACUUAGGGAUCUCUACAGAACAAGUUGAAUGAAUAAAUCGUUCAAUUCGGAGCCAGAAUAACAAGUAAAGUCUAGGUGGAUUUUUCCUUAGGUAUUGUCUCAAGUCAAUCGAUUUUCCCAAAACCAAUUCCCCAAUUCUUUUCACUGUGUGUUCUUAGUUUAAAUAAUUAGUUAAUUAAAACAAACCCUUUUAUUCUAAGGCUAGAUAAUAAAAAGAUAGUUAUUACUAGUACUUUUGGUUCCCUUGGGUACGAUAUCCCUGUCUUGCCAUUACUAUACUAUUGUUCGAUAGGUGCGCUUGCCUUUUCGUCGUGAUAAUAGUUAGUCUAGGUUUGAUCUUCAUUAUAAAUAUUUAUUACUUGUUACGAAUCACGCGAUCAAGUUUUUGACGCCGUUUCCGGGGAACUAAAAUAUUAGGAACACUAAAUUUUUAUUACUUUAGCCAUUUAUUUUUCUUGCAAUUUUAUUUUAUUUUAUUAUUUAUUAAUUUACUUUUCCUCUCUCUUGGCAGGUUUUUAUAGUUUAUGACUAGAAGAAACCCGUCGGGACCAUUACUUUUUGACGAAGAAAUCGAUCAUACAAUUCGUAAAAAUCCAAGAGAAAUAAGGCGUAGCUUACGAUACACGGAGAACGAGCGAGAAUAAGAUACUCAAACCCCAACCGACGAGAUGGCUGAAAACCAAAGCAAUCAGCUACCUCCUUCUAUUGCUGCUAAUCAAAAUCCUGCUCCACGUACUAUGUAUGAUUAUGCUAAACCUUCUUUAACAGGAACUGAAUCUAGCAUAAUUAGACCUACUGUAGCUGCAAAUACUUUUGAAUUAAAACCUAACACUAUUCAGAUGAUACAGUAGUUUGUUCAGUUUGAUGUUUUGCAGGAUGAAGAUCCCAAUGCUCACUUAGCAAAUUUCCUAGAAUUUUGUGAUACAUUCAAAAUUAAUGGCAUUUCUGAUGAUGUCAUUCAUCUUCGGUUAUUUCCCUUUUCACUGAAAAAAAUCUAAACAGUGGUUGAACUCAUUACCGCGAGGGUCUAUCACUACUUGGGAACAAAAGAUCGAGAAAUUUUUACUAAAAUAUUUUUCGCUGGCUAAAAUGGCUAAAUUAUGUAAUGAUAUCUCUUCUUUUGUGCAGAUGGAUUUAGAAACACUUUACGAUGCAUGAGAGAGAUACAAGGGCUUACUAAGAAGGUGCCCUCACCAAUGGGUUACCGCUUUGGCUUCAAGUACAAACAUUCCACAAUGGCCUGAAUCCCUCGACUCGGCAGAUGGUUGACGCAGAUGCUGGUGGAACCAUCAACAAUAAAACACCGGAAGAUGCCUAUGAAUUUAUAGAGGAGAUGUCACUAAAUAACUAUCAGUGGCAAGUUAUGAAGACUAAGCCAACAAAAACAGCCGGCGUUUAUAACAUCGAUUCAAUCACCAUGCUCUCUAAUCAGGUAGAACUUCUCAAUAAAAAGAUUGAUGGCUUACUUGGUUCUACGCAGGUACAUCCAGUAAUGAGGUGUGACUCAAGUGGCGGAGGUGUGCAUACAGAAUACCAAUCCUUCAAUCCUACAACUGAAGAAGAACAAGUCAACUAUAUGGGUAACAAUAACUUUCGAUCUCAAAAUAACCCAUAUAGUAAUACCUAUAAUGCAGGUUGGAGGAACCACCCAAAUUUCUCCUGGGGUGGUCAAGGGAAUCAAAAGCCACAAAAUCCUCAGGGUUUUCAACAGCCACCUUAUCAACAAGAGAAGAAACCAAACCUUGAAGAGAUGCUUUCUAAAUUCAUCUCGGUGUCACAAACCCGUUUUCAAAAUACUGAAACAACACUUAAGAAUCAACAAGCAUCAAUCCAAGGACUUGAAACUCAGAUAGGUCAGCUAUCCAAACUAAUCUCCGAAUGACCGCAAGGUAGCUUACCAAGUAAUACUAAACCUAAUCCGAGGGAACACCUCAAUGCAAUUAGCACUCAAAAUAAGGACGGACUCAUUGCACCUGAGCCAGAAAUACAACAAGACAACGCAAUGAACAAAGGACGAGAAGAGGUAAACAAUAAUGAUCCCAAAUAGGUAAUUACGAAUCAUGAACCUCGUGUGCCGUACCCUAAAGUGAUGACGAAAGACAGAAAAGAAGAACAAUUCAGUAAGUUUGUCAAACUCUUUAAAAAAUUACAUAUUAACUUACCCUUUAUUGAAGUUCUUUCGCAGAUGCCCAACUCAGCAAAAUUCUUAAAGGAACUUCUAACCAAUAAAAGAAAAUUAGACGCUACAUCGCAUGGGGAACUCAAUGCAGUCUGCUCAGCUAUUCUAAAGAAUAAGCUACCUAACAAAUUGAAAGAUCUAGUGAGUUUUACAAUUCCUUGCUUAAUUGGUAGUUUAUCUGUGAAUAAUACUUUAGCUGAUCUAGGGGUAAGUAUAAAUGUUAUGCCAUAUAAAAUGUUUAAACGACUAGGUCUCGGUAAACCCAAACAGAAUAGGAUGAGCAUACAAUUGGCUGACAAAACAGUUAGAUUUCCUAAGGGUAUUAUUGAAGAUGUUCUCGUUAAAAUUGAUAAAUUUAUUUACCAGUAGACUUUGUCGUUUUAGAUAUGGACGAGGAUAAUGAGGUACCUUUAAUUUUAGGACGACCCUUUUUAGCAACUGCUAGAACCAUCAUUAAUGUAGGUACAGGAGAGCUAACACUUCGUGCAGGUGACGACACAGUAACACUCCAAGCACGCGACUCAGUCAAAACCUCUAAAACUCAAAAUAAUGCUAUAAAACCUGUCGAUGAUAAAACUAAUAUUCAAUCGUCCUUGCAAGAACUUCCUCGAACCAAGACAACAGAGACAGUGCGCUACUAUCAUGAAGAGAACAAAGACGUCCAUAGAGAACAAAGAUGUCCAUGAAGAACGAAGACUACGGAUAGAGGAGCUAGACGAAUGGCAAGAACACAAACCGAGAACACAUGAUAAACCAAAACUACGCCAAAACAAGCCCGAUACCUCUCCUAAUCAACUUAAGGUUGGCGAUAAAGUCUUACUAGAUCCUCACAUUGUCACUACCACACCGAAUGAGGAAAUCCCUCUUACGGUACUUAGUAUUUUUCCAUUCGGUACGGUGGAGGUGAGUCAUCCCAAGUUCGGCACUUUUAAGGUAAACAACACCCGUUUAAAACCUUAUUUUAAGAUUGACAAUAGGAACGAGGAGUAUGAACUCCUCAAACCAACAUGAUCAUUCAACGGAGAGGUAAGUCGAGCUUAGACUAUAAAUAAGUGCUUCUCGGGAGGCAACCCGAGCACUAACAUAUUUUGAUUUCUUUAUUUUUAAUUUUUAUUUCUAACACUUUGAAUCAUUAACUUAAUCUUUGAAUUGCAAAGUUUUUCAGCACACACGGCCAGGCACACGGGCGUGCCUAAAGCCGUGGCCAAACAGGGGAAGAGGCACGGCCGUGUGGAAGCAGGACACGCUUUUCCCAAAACAUGGGGUGCGAUAAAUCCCCCAUGGCCGUGGGUGAGCUUGAUAGGAGACCACAGGAGUGGGAAUAAAAAACCAUGGGCGUGUCAGGGACAAGGCUCGAUUCUGUUUCUUGGACACGGGCGUUAGACACGCCCGUGCCAUUCAGUCGUGUACAAUACUACACGGGUAUGCUACCAUAAAACACGAGCGUGGGAGAAGUGAACAAAGCUGGGCAAGGCCGUACGUCAUGGCCGUGUUUGACACACGCCCGAGAGACACGGGCGUGUGAUAGUAGCCGGGCACGACCUAACUUGCAAAAUUCGAAAAGCAUGGGCUCACCCUCAAAGUACAUGGGCAUGGCCCUAGGCCGUGUGCCCCUCCCCUAUAUAAGCAAACCACUGUUCAUCUUCUUCCUCAUUUCAAAACCCUAGUCAAAAUCUACCUUCUUCUAACCCUUAAUGCCUAUUCCGGCCACCAUUCCCUAGAUUCUCACUCCCCCAACCCCCAAACCACCCUCAAAUUCACUCCCCUUGCAUUAAUCCCCAUUUUCCCCUCCCUAUACCCUUAAAUUUCCCACCACACGGCUUCAUCCCUGUGUCACACGCCCGUGCUCGCCACCAACACGCCCGUGCAGCGCCUUACAACAGCCUUUGGUUCCCUUUCUCAACCUUAUUUUUCCAAUUUAUGUUGCUACAUUAGUAUUCUACAUGUUUUGCAUAGAUAUUGUUACUAUUACAAAUAUGUUUUAGAAAAGUUAGGAAUUUGCUUUAGAAUUUUCUAUAUUUGAAUUGUUUAAGCUAUUAAAUCGCAUAUAUUAGUUUUAGGCCACUUGCUUAACUACUAAUGUAUCUUGGAUUCUAUCAAUGCUAAUGUAUUUUCAGGAACAUUAUGUCGUCAUCGAGAGGCAAGAAGGCCGUGGUUCCAUCCUCAAAGAGACGUAGGGGACCGGGUUCUUCUGCGGUACAUGCUACAGCCAAAGUUCGACACUCGUUCCUUGAAUUUUUGCAAGCUUUGCAGGAGGAGCUAUUUUAGAUAUUACGCGCACGACCCAUCACCACAGGUCGCUACAUCGACUGGGCUGCCGUUGAGCAAGUUCAGCUCGCUGAUGCCAUCCGCGCCCUCCUAUCUAUAGACCUAUGAGAACGGUUCUUCGCUAUUACCGAGCCUACUUCUUUAGAGCUAACUUUAGAAUUAUGCUCUACUUUUCAUUUACAGGUGGUGAUGACGAACAAUGACGACCCGGGAACCAUUCACUUCCUAUUAGGCGGUCUAGUUCGUGCGAUGAGUGUCCUAGAGUUUGGAGUUGCUCUGGGACUUUACACCGAUGAGUUUAUGGAGGAGGAGGACAUGAAUGCACUACUACGCAAUAUCCACAUCUCCCCUCCUUGUGCUGGAAGGCUUUGGUGCCACUCUCUUCCACCUACAACCCCAGCUGCUCGAAGGCCUCAGCUCUCCCCCUUCCCGACGAUAUCUCCAUGCCAUAUUGGUACACACCUUGACCAGAAGGAGAGAGAGCACCGGCGUCGUCAACACCCACGACCCCUACUAUUUAUGGUGCAUGGUGAAUGCACAUGUGACUGACUCGGCAUACUUCAUUGCUUUUGCCAUUCGCCAUCAGACCGAGCGGCAUAGGAAGGGAGUGAUCUCUAUCGGUCCCUACGUGACGCACCUUGCCAGACAUUUCGACCUCCUCAACACUGUGGCCCAGUCAUCAGCGCUUACCUUAAUAGGUUAGAUGUCCCCACAGGGCAUCACGACUAUGUUACACAUGAGGAUGAUUGAGCGCCGACGUGGGACCGAUCCUCCUCAGUACCGUCUCUCGCAUGCCAUUGACGAGGAGGAUCUUGAGGACAUCCCUGAUGAUGUUCCCCCACAGCAUGAGGAGCCUUCCACCGUGCCACCUAGGGAAUGACUAGUUCAUGCGGCUGCUUCAUUGACACAUCUUUCCAACCGACUUGCCCACUUCGAGCAGUAUUGUACUACACAGUUCGAGAUGAUUCAUGAGCAAGAUCAACGACGGGAUCGACAGAUGGACAAUAUGUAGGCCAUGAUGUAGCAGCUGUGCCAGCACUUUCACAUCGCCACUCUAGCACCACCACCUGAGGGCCCCACUGACGAGGAUCAUUGAAUCCUCCUCUCUUUUUUUUAUUCUUAUUUUUAUUUUUCUUUUUAUUUUCAUUUCAAUUUUAUUAUUUUAUUUUGAAAGACAUAUCUAUAUUAGUAAAUUUUACUUUUUCCAUUUUCUGGUAUUCCUAACAAGUAAUCCCACUAUGCUAUCUUCCACACUAACUCUUAAUAAGCUCUUCAUGAUUCUACAGACUUCCAAGCAAAGCUGCUAGGAAUAUUUUACGGAAUGAGGAACCAAAUGGGAAAUAAUACCUCACGAGUGCCAUGUUCAACGACCUAAUUUCUUCAUCUAGCCAAGAACAAUGGCAGCUACCACUUUCCCCGAACACUUCAUCCUCAGAAUCAAGCUCCACAUCCAUAUAAUAGGGAGUUUCACCUCCUUUUCUCUUAUGAUUUUCUUUAUUUUGAAUAAUCUAUAUUUGUAAAUUGAGGGCAAUGUACAUCUUAAGUGUGUGGGGGUGAACAUGAAGCCUAACUUUUUGCAUUAUUCUCAAAUCCCUGAAUUUGGUUUUGUGCUUAAGUGAUUUUCUCAUAAGCUUGAUCGAAUGAAUUCUGAUUGAUCUAUAAUUAUUGUUGAUAUGUCAUGAAUUAGAUCAUGGGAAUUAUGCAUGAUCAUUUGAUUAUAGGACAUUAGAGAAUCAAGCAUGAUAAAUUGAUAUUUUGAGAACUAAAAUUUUUAGACUAUUUUCCUAAAUUGAGGUAUUAUCUUGAAAUCUUAAGUAAACAUGAAUGACAUCAAAAACCCAAAUUUUUUGUGAGAUUUUUGAGCCUUUUGAGCAUAUAGCUUUCUUUCUUGCUCACUUCUUUUGUGGUUUGAGUGUGUCAACAUUGAAUUGUUAUUCUAGAACUUGCUUCGAUUAUACAUGUCGAGAUCGCACGUAUGAUUUGAUAUACUGAGAUGAUAAAGGCACUUAGGAUUUAACCCACUUACUCCAUAAAAAGCCUUUCCACAUAAUUAAACCCUUAGCAAACUCCCUUUGAGCCUACUAACCUUUUUUUAUUGAUUAACCCUUAUCAUUAACCCAUUAACCCAUUAUUGUUGAAAUCCUCUUUCUUAAUUUACCUUUUUAUCGAGAUUAAAUUUAAUAUUGUUACCUCACUAUGUUCACCAUUUUUUGUUACUGAAUCAUGAAGUAUGAUUUCUAUAUUGUAUUGACUUAACUUGUUCUUAAUUAAAAGAAAAACUCAGUAUUAUUAUUGUAAUUCUCAGCAAGAUAAAGUUGUCAUGAACUCAUGUAAAAUAGUUCUAGAUAUUUGUUUGUGGUUCAGUAAUUAAGUUUUUGAUAGUGGGGUAACAUAUUAAAAUUAUCUCAAUUCUAACCCUUGUCUCUUCAGCUUGUAUCCAUACUUGUAACCUAAACCCCAUUACAACCAUGUAAAGACCUUUUGAUUAGUAUAUCAUAUCAUUUACAAGUGGUGGAGAUUUGAUUUUCAUGCAAGCCUAUGGUAAUAACUUUUCAUGUUAGAUAAUUGAGUGCUUAAUCUUGAACCUUAAACACUUUGAGUGAUUUGAGUGAAUCUCUAGUGAGGAUGUCAUCUCUUAUAUAUUUAGACUAAAGUUAAUUACUUAGAGGAAGGAGAUUACCUAUGAUUUUAUUAUCAAAAUAUCCGAUUUAGAUUGUUUGAGGUUUUUAAUGACCCUAUAGUUAAAUUCUCACUGUAUGAUUUUUCGUGGAAUAGUUUGUAACAUUAUCAAUACUGAUCAUGUGAUUGAAAAGUAUGAAUUCUGGUAGUAAAUGAGAAUUUUGCUUGAGGACAAGCAAAUGCUUAAGUGUGGGGGUAUUUGAUAAACACCAAAUUAUACAUAUCUAUACCCCAAAUACUUAGCAUAUUUAUGGAUGUUUACUACUAGAUUUGUGAAUUUUGGUGCUCUUAAUCCGGUUAUUUCAUGUUUUGUACUCAGGAGAGUCCCAAGAGUCAAAAGGAGCCAAAAACGAGCUAAAAAGGGACAAAACAGACCAAAUCGAGAAGACCACAAGGCCUAAGCCUUUCCACACGAGCUACUUACAUGCCCGUGUCCGUCGAGGGUGUCGACCAAGGAUCUCACGAUUCACACGGCAUGGCCAUUGAUAUACACAACUGUGUGCAAUUUAAUGGGUCGAACACGGCCUGGCAAUCACGUCACACGACCGUGGCACACGGGCGUGUCCCAUUUUCAAAGAGUUGUAUUUUACACGGAAAAGGAUACUUAGGGAGGAAGAAAGAUAAUCCAAAGCCUAUAUAAACACCCUAAGUGUGACCUAAUGAGGGGGCCUCUUCCAGAACUUUUCUGAAAUACAAAACCUCACUCCAAGAAUUACUUGAAGAAAGCCAGACGAUCUAUCCCAAAAGCCGGAGCUACUCCAAGACUGAAGAUCUCUCUCAGAAUUCCUUCAGGGGUUUUAGAGUUUUCUUUAUGUUUUUUUAUUUUUAUACUUUUGAGAUGUAUUCUUAUUUAGUCAUAAACUAAACCCCUAAAUUCCUAGGGGAAUGAAACCUAAGAUGAAUCUUAUUAUUAUUUUCUGAAUCGUAUGAUAAAUAUUUAGCUUGUUCUUAAUUAUGUGUUCUUAAUUCUUGUUUUGAUAUCCCAGGAUACUGAUUCAAGACACGCUCUGUAAUAGCCCAAAAUUGGGUCUAGUUGGAACAGAGGUUUCGGGACCACAAAAUUCGAGAGAGAAAUAAUUAUUUUAUGAUUAUUUUGAGGUCUAUGAUAUGAUUGCAUGAUUUUGUGAAAUUUUCGUGAAGAAAUUCUAUGCAUAAAGUGCUCAAUUUAAAGUUAGGGACUAAAUUGAAUAAGUUGCAAAACUUGCAUUCUAGAAGUUUCUAGUAUGAAAUUGCUUUGAAAUAUUAAUUAGGAGGUCUUAAAUAGCAAUUUGACCAAUUUCUAAGUGAUGGAAAAAAAUUGGACAUGGAUGGAAUUUUUGAAAGUUUAGUAAGGAAGGGCAUUUUGGUCAUUUGGUAAUUAAAAGAAAUAAAAUGGGAAAAUAAAGCCAAAAUUUACUCAUCGUUUUCAUGGAGGCCGAAAUUAGCAUGGGGGAAACCAUGGCUAGGGUUUUCAAGCUUUCCAAGCUCAAUAGUAAGUCCGUUCUAAUCCCGUUUGGAUAUAUUCAAAUCCCAAUAGCACCUGAAGAUCAAGAAAAGCGACAUUCACAUGUCCAUACGGUACGUUUGCUUAUCGUAGAAUGCCUUUCGAAUUAUGUAAUGCUCCUGCUACUUUUUAGCUUCGCAUGAUGGCCAUUUUUGACGAACUCGUAGAAGACAUCAUAGAGGUAUUUAUGGAUGAUUUCUCGGUUUUUGAUAACUCUUUCCAUCUUUUCCUUAAAAAUUUAAAACAAGUCUGAAUAAGAUACGAGGAAACAAAUCUGGUGCUCACUUGGGAAAAAUGUCAUUUUAUGGUUCAAGAAGGUAUUGUGUUAGGACAUAAAAUUUCUAUUAAAGGGAUUGAGGUCAAUAAAUCUAAAAUUGAAGCCAUUGAGAAACUACCUGCUCCUAAAUCGGUUAAGGCUAUUAGAAGCUUUUUAGGACAUGCUGGGUUUUAUAGAAGAUUUAUUAAAGAUUUUUCUAAAAUAGCUAAGCCUCUGACUAAAUUACUAGAAAAAAGAUGUGCCUUUUAAUUUUGAUCAAGAAUGUUUAGAAGCAUUCAAUACUUUAAAGGAUAAAUUGACUAAAGCUCCAAUUAUAAUUGCACUUGAUUGGAAUUCACCUUUCGAACUAAUGUAUGAUGCGAGUGAUUUUGCAGUAGGUGCAGUUUUGGGAUAGUGAAGAGAUAAGCAUUUUCAACCUAUCUACUAUGCUAGAAAAACUUUGACUGUCGCACAAGAAAACUACACCACCACAGAGAAAGAGCUGCUAGCUGUGGUUUUUGCUUUCGAUAAAUUUAGGCCAUAUCUAAUAUUGUCUAGAGUUGUUGUUUAUACUGACCAUUCUGCUCUUCACUACCUUUUAACUAAGACUGAUGCAAAACCUUGACUCAUUCGAUGGAUUUUGUUAUUGCAGGAAUUUGACUUGGAAAUUAAGGAUAGGAAAGGAACAGAAAAUCUCGCGGCUGAUCAUCUUUCCAGGCUUGAAAAUUCAAGUACCAAAGAGCUAGAUGAAGUUGAAAUAAAUGAUUCAUUCCCUAAAGAACAAUUUUUUUCCAUAUCUAAUUCUGAGGUACCCUGGUUUGCAGACAUUGCAAAUUUUUUAGCCACUAACAUUAUUCCAAAAGGGUUGACACAUCAACAAAAGAAGCGAUUCUUUACUGAUGUGAAAAACUACUUUUUAGAGGACCCUUUCCUUUUCCGUAUAUGCGUAGACCAAGUCAUUAGGAGAUGCGUUACAAGGACAGAAGCAUUGAAGAUCUUGGACCAUUGCCACUCAGGACCGACUAGAGGACAUUACAGUGGGAAUAAGACCGCACAUAAUGUAAUAUCCUGAAUUAGGGCCUAAUCAGAAUAAUGGUUUCGGGAUGACAAAUUCGAGAUAGAAAUAAUUAUUUUAUUAUCAUUUUAAGGUCUAUGGCAUGAUUUCAUUAUUUUGUGAAAAUUUCGUUUAGAAAUUUUAUCGAUAGAGGGUCUAAUUUGAUAUUUAAGACUAAAUUGCAAAAGUUGUAAACUAUGUGUUCUAGUUCACAAAGGUACUAAGUACUUGUGAGUAAUGGGUUUUAAAGUGGAGGUCCUUGGAUAGUAAUUAGACCAUUAUACUAGUUUGGGCAAAAAUACCUAAAGGAAGAUAAAACACCAUAGUUUUUAAUUAAGGGCAUUUUGGUCAUUUAGUUAUUAAAAAUAAUUAAAAACAAAAUUAAAAGCCAAUUUUUGUCCAUCUUCAACCCCUUGGCCGAAUUUCACAUGAGUAAGACAUAGCUAGGGUUUUUCAAGCUUCCAAGCUCAAUUGUAAGUCCAUUUUGGCCCCGUUUUUAAUGUUCUUUACGUUUUUGGAGUCCCGGUAACUUGAUUAAGCUUAUUCUAGCAAUAAUUUAACCUAGGGUUUAUAUUUGGAAAAAUACCCAUAGGUGAAAUGUGUUUAUUUUGAUGUUUUAUGAUAGAAUAUGAAGCUUGAAAUUCUGUUAAACAACUUUUACUAAGCGGUUUUACGUGAAAACGAGUAAAACGACAUAAUUGGUAAAAAUACCUAAUGUUCAUAAGUACAUGUUAAAGUGAGAAUUUGAUGUUUCCAUAGAAGGGAAAAAUGAUCAGCAUGUCAUAAAAAAUAAUAAAAUAGGAUGAAGUUUAAUUUCCGAGCCUUGGGGAAAAAGUGUAAAUAUGUAAAAGUUUAGGGGUAAAAAUGUAAUUUUCCAAAGUUUGAGUCAAGGACUGUUUUAAUAAAUGUGAGUAUUAAAUAAGCUAAAAUUUUUAUUUAAGAUCAAGAGAAACAAGAUUCAAGUCGUUAUCAAGGGAAACAUAAAGUUUACGAGGAAUAGACUCGAUUUCUAACAUUUUGUACCGAGGUAAGUUCAGGUGUAAAUGUAGUAACAUAAUUGUCAUUUUAAGUAAUUUAAUGUCAUUUAUAUGAUAUGAUGAUUAUUAUCAUGAAAUAUUAUGCUUUGUGGAUUAUUAUUUAGUAAUAUGCAAAUUAUGUGAGUUACUUGAUAAAUAUGAAACCUAUCAAGUAUCGGUUCGACAUUCCGUGGAAGACAGCAAAGAUGUGUGAUUGAGGAAAAUCCCGUUUGAACCUUGGGAAUAGAUUAGGAUACAAGUGACAUGUCAUUGGAUAUUUGAGUUCCGAUCUCGUUAAGUUGAGUCCGAGUUCGUGAGAUGUAACUAGGCAUCCGAACUUGUUAAGUUGACUCCGAGUUCACUUAUGGAUGCAAACGCCCUAGCUCGUUGAGUUGAGUCUGAGUUCGUUUAUAGGCGGAUUACAUGGUAGCUUGGCUACAUAAUUUCUGCAGGCUAUUGAGUUUGUCUAGCUGCGGGUAUGGCACUUAUGUGCAUGCAAUCCGUGUAUCCAAAUUAUAUUCCGAUGUGUUCAAUGGGUGAAUCUUAAGUGAAUAAGGAGAAUACUUAAGAUGAAGGUGACAUGUUGGUAAGUGUGGUGAAUGAGAAAAUUUGGACAGGUAUGUGCUUAAACCCUAGGGGUUGAGAACUUGGUAUGAUGAAAUCAUGGUAAGAUAGUAAAUGCAAAUGUAACAUGAAUGUCUUGGUGAUAUUUAUACAAAUGAUGUUUUAUGUGGGAAUGCAUGAUUAUGUUGCAUGUUAUUUACAUGUGAACUUACUAAGCAUUUAUGCUUACUCCCUCUUUUCCAUUCUUUGUAGUUUUGACACGCCAGCUUGGAAAUUGGGAACGGUCGGAGGCUCGCUUACACUAUCCGUGACCAUUUUGGUAUUGUAUAUUUUGAGUAUGGCAUGUAUAGUAUUAUAAUCAUUUUUUGUAUAUGAUCUUAUGAUAUGGCCAUUGGGUGGUAAGGAAAUGUUUGAUAAUGAUUAGCCAUUGGAAUGGCUAAUAAAGAUCAUAUUUGGUGUUAUGUAUGCUUAAUGUGCUAUCUAAUCCAUGGAAAUUCAUAAAAAGUGAAAUUUGCUAUAAAACAGUAUCAUACAGCAGUAAUGACGUGAGUUUGAAAAAUCACUAAAUAUAUUAGAAAUAGAAUUAGAUCAUUAAUAAAAUAUUAAAUUGAAUCUUAUUGAGUCUAUUUUCAUAUGGAAGAAACAAAACAAGUAAAUGAGUUUUAUUUUAUGAGAAAUUUGAGUUUUGGUGGAAUAGGGUCAGAGCAAUUUCUGUAUCCCUUAUUUUGACUUUAUAAAUUUAUUAAAAAUUGUAAAAAAAUAAUUAUGAGUCAUAAUUUAUAUGUAUAGAUUCCGUAUUGAGUCUACAUUUAAUAGAAACAAAUGGAAUAGUCAUUUGAAUUCUGUAUAGAGAGAAAAGUGAUUCAUAGUGAACAGAGAUUAGACCAGUUGAACACUGAAAUAGGGGAAAUUUUAACUAAUAAACUGUACUAAUUGGCCCAACCAAAAAUUCUGGAAAAAAGUUAGUAAAUAGAUAUAUGAAUCUAGUUUCAGGAAAAAUUUAUGGAUUUUAAUUUUGAGUUUCAUAACUUGAGAUAUGAUUUUUUUUAGCAACUGUGACGUAGAUGGGCAGUUUAUUAAGAAAGGUGAAAUAAAUUGUUUGAAAUUGUUUAAGUGACAAUUUAAGUCUAUUAACACCUCGUGCUCGACUCUGGCGAUGUCUCAGGUAAGGGGGUGUUACAAUUGGUGGUAUCAGAGCUACGGUUUAGUCAGUUCUCGGACUAAUGUGGUGUAUGUAUGGGUUUUGCUAUACAUGCCAUAUAUAUAUUGUGAUAGUGUGACGACUCCUGACCUUUAAAAUGAUUUUUUUAUAUAGUAAAUGGAUCCCGAUCCAGCUGUGGCCGAUGAUGUAGAGAGCAAUGCGCCAGCUCCUGCUGAAGGGGCUGUGUCGACUGAAAAUCGACCUCCUACUGUUAGUUAGGAGGAGAAAGGGCUCGGGAAGCCUUUCUCCAGAUGAUGAAUGCAUGGUACACCGAGUUCGUUCGUAUGAACCCGAAUGCUCAACAACCUCCCCCACCUCCCCCGAUUCCUCAACCUGUACCCCCGAUGCCUCAAGGUAUGGAUCUGAUGAAAUUUCAUAGAACCCCAAUUGACAGAAUUCGCAAGCAAGGGGCUGAAGAAUUCAGGGCAAAUGUUGAUGAUGAUGCUGAAAAAGAAAAAUUUUGGCUUGAGAAUUCUAUUCGGGUAUUUGAUGAAUUGUCUUGUACACCUGAAGAGUGCUUAAAAUGUGCUAUAUCUUUGUUGAGAGAUUCAGCCUAUUAUUAGUGGAAGACAUUGAUUUCAAUGGUACCGAAAGAGAAAGUGACUUGGGAGUUCUUUUAAGAAGAAUUUUGGAAGAAAUACAUCAGUGAAAAAUUUGUUGAACAGAAGCGUAAAGAGUUUCUCGAGUUGAAACAAGGCAACAUGACAGUUACUGAGUAUGAAAGGGAGUUCGUUCGGUUGAGUAAGUAUGCUAGAGAAUGUAUUCCUUUAGAGGCUAAAAUGUGCAGACGAUUUGAAGACGGACUCAAUGAAGACAUCAAAGUAUUUUUGGGAUUGCUUGAGUUGAAAGAGUUCGUAGUACUUGUUGGUCGGGCUUGCAAGGCUGAAGAACUAAUUAAAGAACAGAGAAAGGCAGAGGCUGAGACUAGAAAUUUGAAGAAAAGACCGAUGAGCAGUGCAUUCCCACUGCAAUCUAGAAAAUCCUGAGAUAUGAAUUCUCGUUCUCAUGUUUCGGCCUGACAUUCAUAUGGGAAUUGUAAGAAGAAAAAUGCGGGUUUUAAAUCUCAAACUACUUCUAUGGCUAGUGUGGGAAAUUUGAGAUUUGUUAGACCUGAGUGCUAAUAAUGUGGUAGAAGUCACCUUGGUCCUUGUAGAACUAACGAAUGUUACCAGUGUGGUUCUUCAGAUCAUUUUAUUAGAGACUGUCCCGAGAGAAUUGAGAAAGAAAAAUUUUCAAAGUGCAAAACCUAGUGGUACAGUUUCGAGAGGAAGAUCUUCGAGAAAUGCUGGGAAUGAGGCAAGCAGCAAGAAUGUAGUCAGAGAUUCAGCGUUUAAAUCUGAAGCUAGAGCUCCGGCUAGAGCUUAUGCCAUAAGGGCGCGUGAAGAUGUUUCAUCUCUCGAUGUGAUCACUGGUAUUUUUUCUCUUUAUGAUGUUAACGUUAUUGCUUUGAUUGACCCCGAUUCUACUUAUUCAUAUAUGUGCAUGAAAUUGGUUUCUAAUAUGAGUAUACCUGUUGAGUCUACGAAAUUUAUGAUUAAAGUGUCAAACCCGUUAGGCAAAUGUGUUAUAGUUGAUAAAGUAUGCAAGAAAUGUCCUUUGAUGAUUGGAGGUCAUUAUUUUCUGGCUGACUUGAUGUUGUUGCCGUUUGACGAAUUUGAUGUUAUUUUGGGUAUGGAUUGGUUGACAUUGCAUGAUGCUAUAAUAAAUUGUAAACAAAAGGUUAUUGAAUUAAAAUGUGAAAAUGGCAAAAUUCUACGGGUUGAAUCAGACGAAUCAGAGGCAUUACCUAGUGUGAUUUCUUCGAUGUCGGUUCAGAGAUAUUUGAGAAAGGGUUAUGAAGCUUAUUUGGCAUAUGUGUUGAACAUAAAGGAAUUUGAGAAGAAAAUUGAAUCAGUGCUGAUUGUAUGUGAAUUUGCGGAUGUAUUUCCAGAAGAGUUACCGGGUUUGCCUCCUGUCAGAGAAGUAGAAUUUGGUAUUGAGUUAAUACCGAGAACAACUCCGAUCUCGAUUGCUCCAUAUAGAAUGGCACCAAUAGAGUUGAAAGAAUUAAAGUCGCAAUUGCAAGAGUUGACUGACAAAGGCUUUGUGAGACCGAGUUUUUCACCUUGGGGUGCUCUCGUAUUAUUUGUGAAAUAAAAGGAUGGUUCUAUGAGAUUGUGUGUAGACUAUCAGUAGUUAAAUAAGGUAACAAUCAAGAACAAGUAUCCGUUACCGAGAAUUGAUGAUUUGUUUGAUCAGCUGAAAAGAGCAACAUGGUUUUCAAAGAUUGACUUGAGGUCUGGAUAUUACCAGCUGUGAAUAAAAGAGUCAGAUGUGCCUAAAACUGCUUUUAGAACAAGGUACAGCCAUAAUGAAUUUUUAGUUAUGCCAUUCGGUUUGACAAAUGCUCUUGCUGUGUUUAUGGAUUUAAUGAAUUGCCUAUUUCGGCCAUACUUGGACAAGUUUGUUGUUGUAUUUAUUGAUGAUAUCUUAAUUUAUUCGAAAGAUGAGAUAGAGCAUGCUGAGCACUUGAGGAUAGUUUUGUGAAUUUUAAGAGAUAAGCAGUUGUAUGCCAAAUUUAGUAAGAGAGAAUUUUGGCUUCGAGAAGUUGGAUUUUUGGGUCAUAUUAUUUCAGGUGAUGGUAUACGGGUUGAUCCCAGUAAAAUUUUGGCUAUUGUUGAUUGGAAACCGCCAAAGAAUGUAACUAAGGUUAGAAGUUUCUUGCGUCUAGCUGGUUAUUAUCGACGGUUUGUAAAUUGGUUUUCUAUAAUUCCUACUCCUAUGACCAGACUACUCCAAAAGGAUGUUAAAUUUGAAUGCAUGGAAGAAUGUCAACAAAGCUUUGAGAAAUUGAAAAAGUUACUGACUGAGGCACCAGUGUUAGUACAACCCGAGUCAGGUAAAGAAUUUGUGGUGUAUAGUGAUGCUUCUCUAAUGGCUUGGGAUGUGUACUUAUGCAAGAAAGAAAAGUGGUGGAUUAUGCUUCGAGGCAGUUUAAACCUCACGAAAGGAAUUAUCUGACUCAUGAUUUUGAACUGGCUGCUAUAGUGUUUGCUUGGAAGAUUUGGCGACAUUAUUUGUAUGGUGAAAAGUACCGAGUAUAUACCAACCACAAAAGUCUCAAGUACUUGAUGUCAUAAAAAGACUUGAAUUUGAAACAGUGGAGAUGGUUAGAAUUAUUGAAAGAUUACGAGCUUGUGAUUGAAUACCAUCCGGGGAAAGCAAAUGUGGUUGCCGAUGCUUUGAUUAGAAAGUCGUUAUUUUCUUUGAGAGCUAUGAAUAUUCAGUUGAUGAUGUCUGACGAUGGUUCGAUUCUAGCAGAGUUGAGAACAAGACCGAUGUUUUUACAAGAGAUUUGCGAAGCUCAGAAAAGUGACAAAGAUUUGCAAGCCAAGAGGAAGCAAUGUGAGGCUAAUACAGGAUCAGAUUUCAGAAUCGGUUCUGAUGGUUGCUUGAUGUUUAAAGAUCAGAUUUGUGUACCGAAAAAUGAUGAGUUGAUUCAAAAGAUCUUGCAUGAAGCACAUAGUGGUUGUUUGUCAAUUCACCUAGGCAGUACAAAAAUGUAAAAUGGCUUGAAGAAAAUGUAUUGGUGGAACGAAAUGAAAAGAUAUAUCUCCAAGUUCAUAUCGAAAUGCUUAAUUUGUCAACAAGUGAAAGCUGAACACCAAGUGCCUUCGGGAUUACUUCAGCCUAUCAUGAUUCCCAAGUGAAAGUAGGACCGAAUUACUAUGGAUUUUGUAUCAGGGUUGCUGUUAACUCCGAGGAAGAAAGAUGCCAUCUGGGUAAUAGUCGAUAGAUUGACUAAAUUGGCUCAUUUUAUUCCGCUAUUUACUAAUUAUUCUCUUAAUAAGUUGGCUGAAUUGUAUAUCAGUGAGAUUGUUAGACUUCACGGAGUACCUUUGUCGAUCAUUUCGGAUAGAGAUCCGAGAUUUACAUCGCGUUUUUGGUAAAAGUUGCUAGAGACAUUAGGUACGAAGUUAAAUUUCAGCACUGUCUUCCAUCCACAGACUGAUGGACAAUCAGAGAGAGUAAUUCAGAUUCUUGGAGACAUAUUCAGAUGUUGUGUAUUGGAAUUCCAAGGUAGUUGGGAAAGAUACUUACCAUUGGUAGAAUUUGCCUACAAUAAUAGUUAUCAGACGAGUUUGAAGAUGGCACCUUAUGAAGCAUUGUACGGUCAUAAGUGUCGGACGCCAUUGUAUUGGACUGAACUCAAAGAAAAUUAGAUUUACGGAGUUGAUCUAAUUAAAGAAACCGAAGAAAAAGUGAAAGUGAUUCGAGAUUGUUUGAAAGCUGCUUCAGAUAGACAAAAAUCCUACGCGGAUUUGAAACAAAAAGAAAUCAAGUUUCAAGUCAGCGAUAAGGUAUUUUUAAAAGUGUCUCCAUGGAAGAAAGUUUUUAGAUUUGGUCGAAAAGGCAAGUUGAGACCACGUUUUAUCGGACCGUUGAGAUAAUUGAAAGAGUUGGACCGGUAGCAUAUUGGUUAGCAUUACCACCUGUAUUAGAGAAGAUUCAUGAUGUGUUCUACGUAUAUAUGUUAUGCUGGUACCAUUCGGAUUCUUCACAUGUAAUUUCACCGACGGAAAUUGAGCUACAACCGGAUAUGACUUACAAUGAAGAGCUGAUUAAGAUUUUAGCUCGGGAGGUCAAGCAACUAAGAAAUAAAAGUAUCGCUCUCAUGAAAGUAUUGUUGAAAAAGCACGGGGUAGAAAAGGCUACUAGGAGCCCAAGGAAACUAUAAGGAAUCAAUACCCACACCUGUUUACCGGUAAGAUUUUCGGGGACGAAAAUCCCUAAAGGGGAGAGAGUUGUAAUAUCCCAAAUUAGGGCCUAAUCAGAAUAGUGGUUUCAAGACGACAAAUUCAAGAUAUAAAUAAUUAUUUUAUUAUCAUUUUAGGGUCAUGGCAUGAUUUCAUGAUUGUGUGAAAAUUUCGUUUAGAAAUUUUAUCGAUAGAGGGUCCAAUUUGAUAUUUAGGACUAAAUUGCAAAAGUUGUAAAAUGUGUGUUCUAGUUCACAAAGGUACUAAGUACUUGUGAGUAAUGGGUUUUUAAAGUGGAGGUCCUUGGAUAUUAAUUAGACCAUUAUACUAGUUUGGAAAAAAAUCCCUAAAGGAAGAUAAAACACCAUAGUUUUUAAUUACGGGCAUUUUGGUCAUUUAGUUAUUAAAAUGAAUUAAAAACAAAAUCAAAAGCCAAUUUUUGUCCAUCUUCAACCCCUUGGCUGAAUUUCACAUGAGGAAGACUUAUCUAUGGUUUUUCAAGCUUCCAAGCUCGAUUGUAAGUCCAUUUUAGCCCCGUUUUUAAUUUUUUUUACGUUUUUGGAGUCCCGGUAACUUGAUUAAGCUUAUUCUAGAAAUAAUUUAACCUAGGGUUUAUAUUUGGAAAAAUACCCAUAGGUGAAAUGUGUUUAUUUUGAUGUUUUAUGGUAAAAUAUGAAGCUUGAAAUUGUGUUAAACAACUUUUGCUGAGCGAUUUUACGUGAAAACGAGUAAAACGACAUAAUUGGUAAAAAUACCUAAUGUUCAUAAGUACAUGUUAAAGUGAGAAUUUGAUGUUUCCAUAGAAGGAAAAAAUGAUCAUCAUGUCAUAAAACAUAAGAAAAUAGGAUGAAGUUUAAUUUCCGAGCCUUGGGGAAAAAGUGUAAAUAUGUAAAAGUUUAGGGGCAAAAAUAUAAUUUUGCCAAAGUUUGAGUCAAGGACUGUUUUAAUAAAUGUGAGUAUUAAAUAAGCUAAAAUUUUCUAUUUUAGAUCAAGAGAAACAAGAUUCGAGUCGUGAUCAAGGGAAAAAUAAAGUUUACUAGUAAUAGACUCGAUUUCUAACAUUUUGUACUGAGGUAAGUUCAGGUGUAAAUGUAGUAACAUAAUUAUCAUUUUAAGUAAUUUAAUGUUAUUUAUAUGAUAUUAUGAUCAUGAUAUAUUAUGCUUUGUGGAUUAUUUUUUAGUAAUAUGCAAAUUAUGUGAGCUACUUGAUAAAUAUGAAAUGCUAUCAAGUAUCGGUUCUGACAUUCCGUGGAAGACAGCAAAGAUGUGUGAUUGAGGAAAAUCCCGUUUGAACCUUGGGAAUAGAUUAGGAUAAAAGUGACAUGUCAUUAGGAUAUUUGAGUUCCGAGCUCGUUGAGUUGAGUCCGAGUUCGUGAGAUGUAACUAGGUAUCUGAACUCGUUGAGUUGAGUCCAAGUUCACUUAUGGAUACGAACGCUCGAGCUCGUUGAGUUGAGUCCUAGUUCGCUUAUAGGCGGGUUACAUGGUAGCUUGGCUACAUAAUUUUAGCAGGCUAUUGAGUUGAUCUAGCUGCGAGUAUGGCACUUAUGUGCAUGCAAUCCGUGUAUCCAAAUUAUAUUCUGUUGUGUUCAACGGGUGAAUCUUAAGUGAAUAAGGAAAAUACUUAAGACGAAGGUGACAUGUUGGUGAGUGUGGUGAAUGAGAAAAUUUGGACAGGUAUGUGCUUAAACCCUCGGGUUGAGAACUUGGUAUGAUGAAAUCGUGGUAGGAUAGUAAAUGCAAAUGUAACAUGAAUGUCUUGGUGAUAUUUAUACAAAUGAUGUUUUAUGUUGGAUUGCAUGAUUAUGUUACUUGCUAUUUACCUGUGAACUUAUGAAGCAUUUAUGCUUACUCCCUCCCUUCCAUUCUUUAUAGUUUUGACAAGCCAGCUCAGAAAUUGGGAACGGUCAGAGGCUCGCUAACACUAUCCGUGGACCAUUUUGGUAUAGUGGCUUGUAUAUUUUGAGUAUGACAUGUAUAGCAUUAUAAUCAUUUUUUGUAUAUGACCUUAUGAUAUGGAUAUUGGGUGGUAAGGAAAUGUUUGGUAAUGAUUAGCCAUUGGAAUGGCUAAUAAAGAUCAUGUUUGGUGUUAUGUAUGCUUAAUGUGCUAUCUAAUCCAUGAAAAUUCAUAAAAAGGUGAAAUUUGCUAUAAAACAGUAUCAUAUAGCAGCAAUGAUGUGAGUUUUAAAAAUCACUAAAAAUAGUAAAGAUAGAAUUAGAUGAUUAAUAAAAGAUGAAAUUGAAGAUUAUUGAGUCUAGUUUCAUAUGGCAGAAACAAAACAGGUAAACGAGUUGUAUUUUAUGAGAAAUUUGAAUUUUGGUGGAAUAGGGUCAGAGUAAUUUUUGAAUCCCCUAUUCUAACUUUAUAAAUUCACUAAAAAUAAAAAAUAAUUAGGAGUCAUACUUUAUAUUCAUAGAUUCCUUAUUGAUUUUAUGCUUCAUAGAAAUAAAUGGCAUAGUCAUUUGAAUUCUGUAUAGAGAGAAAAGUAAUUUGUAGUGAACAGAAGUCAGAGCAGUCAAACACUGAAAUAGGGGAAACUUUAACUAAUAAACUGUACUAAUUGGCCUGACCAAAAAUUCUGGAAAAAAAUUAGUAAAUAGAUAUAUGAGUCUAGUUUUAGGGAAAAUUUACGGAUUGUAAUUUCAAGUUUCAUAACUCAAGUUAUGAAAUUUUUUAGCGACUGUGAUGCAGAAGGGCAGUUUAUUACGAAAGGUGAAAUAAAUUGUUUGAAAUUGUUUAAGUGAUAAUUUAAGUCUGUUAACGCCUCGUGCUCGACUCCAGCGACGGCCUCGGGUAAGGGGGUGUUACACAUAAAAUACUCGAAUCAGGUUUUUAUUGGCCCACUCUAGUCAAGAUGCCAACAGGUAUGUUACUUCUUGUGACAAAUGCCAAAGGACAGGUAAUAUCUCCAAACGUGAUGAAAUGCCUCAGACAUAUAUGCUUUCAUGUGAAAUAUUUGACAUUUAGGGUAUCGACUUCAUGGGUCCAUUCCCUAGUUCAUUUGGGAAUAAAUACAUCUUAGUAGCUGUCGAUUAUAUGUCCAAAUGAGUUGAAGCCCAAGCUUUACCUACUAAUGAUGCUAGAGUAGUAGUACGCUUCCUUAAGAAACUUUUCUCUCGAUUUGGAACACCUAGAGCAAUCAUCAGUGAUAGGGGUACUCAUUUUUGUAACGCCCAAUUUGACAAGAUCAUUAAGAAAUAUGGAAUUCACCACAGAACAGCUACCCCUUACCACCUUCAAACUAGUGGCCAAGUGGAAGUGGCAAAUAGAGAGUUUAAAUGUAUCCUAGAAAAGACAGUAGAAUCAAACAGGAAGGAUUGGGCGAUGAAAGUAGAUAAUGCUUUAUGGGCUUAUAGAAUUGCUUUUAAGACCCCCAUAGGAACAUCACAUUACAGACUUGUUUAUGGAAAAAGUUGUCAUCUACCAUUUGAGUUAGAACACAAGGCAUUCUGGGCUAUAAAACUUCUAAACCUUAAUCCCAAACUUGUAGGUGAAAACAGGUUGAUGCAGUUGAACGAGUUAGAUGAGAGGCGAACCAAUGCAUAUGAAAAUUCAUGCCUAUAUAAGGAAGCAAAGAAGCACUGCCACAACGCUCGGUUAAGACAACGUAAGCAAUUUGAAGUUGGAGAUCUUGUCCUGUUGUAUAACUCGAGGCUCAAAUUGUUCCCUUGGAAGCUUAAAUCACGAUGGUCAGGUCCUUUCGUAGUCCAAACUGUCUUUCCAUAUGACACAGUAGAGGUAAGUCACCCACACAAGGCACUUUCAAGGUAAAUGGACAUCACCUCAAACUCUACAAAGGUGAGAAUUUCAAAGACGAUAGAGAGGAGCUAUGGCUCCACGAACUUCCCUAAAUAUACCCACAAGGUAGAGUCAAGCUUAGACUCUAAGUAAGUGCUUCUUGGGAGGCAACUUAAGCACUAACCUCACUAAAUAGGGUUUAAAUUUUCUUUAACUGUAAGAAAUUUUAACAUUUGACAGGGGCAAACACGGCCUAGCCCACGAGCGUGCUUUAAGCCGUGCUCAUACCAGGGGAUGCGACACGGCCAUACGAUACGACCAUGUGAAAAUAGAGGAAAACAUUUACCCAAAACAUGGGAUUCGAUACAUUGCCACGGCCGAGCGACGUGGUCGUGGGCAAUUCUGCCAAAUCAACAUGGGCGUACGACACGCCUGUGUCUAUUAACCAUGGUCAAAAUUGCCAAAUUAACACGGGUGUGUGACAUGCCUGUGCCACCACCCAUGGUCGAGACUAUCAAAAGAACACGGGCGUGCACAUAUAUACACGGGCGUUGGAGAACCGAACCACAUCACGCACGGUCGUGCGAUACGACCAUAUGACCAUAUGGCCUAUACACACGGGCGUGUCCUCAGGCCAUGUGGUGAUUCCUCAUAUCACGAUAAACACGGGUUGGACGAGAGCCACACGGGCGUGUGACACAGCCGUGUGAGACCAGUGUUGGGCGACACGACCGUGCCUCUUUUUAAACUUGUUUUAUUUUUAUUUUCUUUACUUUUAUUUCUAUUUAUUUUUAAAGACUCAUGUUUUAUAUUCUACCUAUCUUUAUGGUAAUCAUCGAAUUAUUCCCUUAAUUCUCCUUCACAGUAGUGUCUUCUCAUUUAUCCAUGAAAAUCAUACAUUUCCUUCAGCUUUAUCUUUAGUUCUCGCUCUAGCUAAUCUAAGGAUUUCAUCCACAAUCUCAGGGCAUUUCACUUCUCUUCCUCUCUUUCGAUAUUAUAUUUAUAUUGCUAUAAUAUACCUUUAUACAUUGAGGACAAUUACAUCUUAAGUGUGGGGGGUUAUUUAUAUCAUUAUCAGAAAAAUCCCUAAAUUUUGUCUUAUUCUCACGUAAAUCACUCAUAUCAUUAUUAGAAUGAAUUUUGAUUAAUUUAUGAUUUUUAUUGAUAAAUCUUGAAUUAAAACAUAGGCAUUUAUGCAUUGAUUGUUAAAACUUUAAGGAAUUAGAGAAUCAAACAUGAUAAGUUAAUUUUUGAGAAUUAAAAUUUUUAGGUUGUUCCCCCAAGUUUAGGUAUUAUCUUGAGUUGAAAUUCACAGGUUUAACAUCAAAAAAGUCGUAAUUUUUGUGAGAUCUUUAGCUUUUAGAGCAUAUAUUAUUUCUUUCAUGCUCACUUUUAUUGUUAUGAGUGCGUCAAUAUUGAAUUGUUAUUCUAGAACUUGCUUGAUUAUGCAUGUCAAGACUACACCUUUGAUUUGAUAUGUCAAGAUGAUAAAGGCACUUAGGUUUAACUCAUUCAUUCCAUAAAAGCCUACUUUCAUAAUUAACCCUUAGUGAACACCCUUGAGCCCAACAACCCAUUCAUUGAUCUAACCUCAAUAUUAACCCAUAACCCAUUAUUGUUGAAAUCCCCUCAAUUAAUUUGAUCCCUAUUUUUUUGUCGAGAUUCGAUUUGAAUAAAUUGAUUAGCUAUGUUUUAUUUUUAGCAAAGUUCUAAAAUAUUUGACUUGUUCUUAAAAAAAGUAUGAAAUUACGUAAUGCUUAGAUUAAAACGAUGUUAUCCAUGAAGAAAAACUCAAUUAGGAAUGUAAAUUGUCAAUUGUAGUAUUUUUCUAGUUAGGUAAUUUUUCAAUUCAAUCUCGAUUCUGACCUUUUUUUCUAGCUUGUAACCAUGCCCCCUAACCAAAGCCACGUUACAACCCUCUAAAGACCUUUUGAUUGAUGUAUCAUCUCAAUAUAUAGUGGUGGAGAUUUGAUUCUCACACAAGCCUAUGGUAAUAACUUUUCAUAUUGACUGUUGAAUACUAAAUUUCUUGUCCUUGAACACCUCAAGUGAUUUGAGUGAAUCUUCAGUCAGGAUGUAAAAUUCUGUGAUAUUUUGAAUCAAAGGUGAUUACUUAAUUAGGGGAGACACCUAUGUUUUCGUGAUAAAAUGCUCAACUUGGAAUGUUUGAAACUUUGAUUUUCUUCGAGUUGAAUUUUCAAUGUAUGAUUACUUAUGGAUUAUUUUGAGAAACAAUUGAUGACAAUUAUAAGUUGAAAAGAAUUUAUUUUGAUUGUGAGUUGAGGAUUUUGCUUGAGGACAAGCAAACGCUUAAGUGUGGGGGUAUUUGAUAAACCGUAAUUUAUACAUAUUCUUAUCCCAUGCUUAGCAUAAUUUUCGAUGAAUUAUCCUUAGAUUUGGUGAAUUCAAUGCUCCUAAUCUUUUAAUUUCAUGUUUUAUACUUAAGUGAGCAUAGGAGAGUAAAAAGAGCGAGAAACGGGCCAAAAACGGAGAAAAUGGGUCAACGUAGGAAAUCAACACGGCCUGGACUUCCUCACACGGGCAGUUCACACACUCAUGUCGAUUCAACAGACUCGAACACGGGUUGAAGCACUUGCACAUGGAUGUGUCACACGGGCGUGUCCCUAUCGAGCCCAAGCCUAGUCCUAUUCAGAAAAGGCCACUCUUGAGGGUUUUGAAGCAUUCUAAAGCCUAUAUAAACACCCCAGGAGGUACCUAAAAGAGGGACACAGAGUAGGAGGCAAGGAAUUACUCGAAGAAAGCUGAUUGAUCCAUCUCAGAAGCCGGAUUAUCCUUUAAGACUGAAUAUCUCCCUUCAAUUUCCUUCAAAAGUUUUUGGGUUUUCUUUAUGUUUUGUUAUCAUUAUUCUUCUGAGAUGUUUUCUUUUACACUUAUGAACUAAAUCCCCUAAAUACCUAAGGGGAAUGAAACCUAAGACGGAGCUUGUUAUUAUUUUUUGAAUUAUAUGAUAAAUAUUUAACUUGUUCUUAAUUAUGAGUAUUUAAUUCUUACUUUAAUAUUCCAGGAUAUUGAUUCAAGUAUUGAUGUGCUUAUUUAGAGGAGAAAAAGUCCCUGUCUAAGAGUAAAUCUAGCAUAAUUAAGCGGAGUUGAUUGCACGCAUAGACAUAGGGUGACAUAAUUUUGCCGGAUUAGGGUGAAACCUAAUAAAGGAAUCCAUAGAUCGAGUUAAUGCAGCACUAGGGGCUUUAAUUAGAAAGAGAUUUCAAUUAAUCAACCUAGGGUUAGAUGUUGUUAGUCUCGAGAGAUAUAAUAAUAUAACUUAGGGAUUUCUACGGAUCAAGUCAAGUGAAUAAAUUGUCUAAUUCAGAGUCAAUAACAAGUGAAGCGUCGAUGGAUUUUUCCCUUAGGUAUUGUCCAAAUCAUUCAGUUUUCCCAAAAUUUAUUUCCCCAAUUUACUUUCUAUGCAUUCUUAGUUUAGUAAUUAAUUUAGGUAAAACAAAGCCUUUUAUUUUUAGGCUAGAUAAUAGAAAGAGAGUUAACACUAGUACUUUUAGUUUCUUUGGGAUCAACAUCCCGGUCUUGCAUAAGCUAUACUACUGUUCGAUAAGGUGCGCUUGCCUUUGUCCUAAUAAUAGUUAGUUUUCAAGAACAGACAUUCAUAAAUUAUAAAACUUAUCACGAUUCACGUCACAUCAAUUAUCGUCAGUUGAAUAAAGAGACUAUCAAGAAUAAAUAUCCUCUACCCCGAAUUGAAGAUUUGUUUGAUCAGUUGAAAGGAGCUGCUGUGUUUGCGAAAAUAGAUUUAAGAUCAGGUUAUUAUCAGUUGCGAGUGAAAGAUUCAGAUUUCUGAAAACUACUUUCAGAACAAGGUAUGACCAUUAUAAUUCUUAGUUAUGCCUUUCAGAUUGACUAACUCAUCUGCUAUUUUUAUGGAUUUGAUGAAUAGAAUUUUCAGAUCGUAUUUAGAUCAAUUUGUUGUUGUAUUUAUUGAUGACAUAUUGAUUUAUUCACUUGAUGAAUCCGAACAUGCCGAGCAUUUGAGAUUAGUGCUACAGAUUCUGCGAGAUAAGCAGUUGUAUGCGAAGUUCAAUAAAUGUGAAUUUUGGUUGAGAAAAGUGAGUUUUCUAGGACAUAUUGUAUCAGCAUCUAGUAUCCUAGUUAAUUUGAGAAAAAUUUCAGCUAUUUUGGAUUGGAAACGUCCGAGAAAUAUCUUUGAAGUCUGUAGUUUUCUAGGACUUUUGAUUAUUAUAGAAGAUUCAUGAAAGGAUUUUUGAUGAUUGCGACUCCGUUGACAAAAAUGCUACAGAAAGAUGUAAAGUUUGAGUGGUCUGAAAAGUUUCAGAACAGCUUUGAUCGGUUGAAGACUUUGUUGACUAAAGCUUUGGUAUUGGUACAACCUGAAUCGGGUAAAGAAUUUGUGAUCUACAGUGAUGCUUCAUUGAUUGGUUUGGGAUGUGUUUUGAUGCAAGUAGGAAAAGUUAUUGCUUGUGCUUCGAGGCAGUUGAAGCCGCAUGAAAAAUCUUGAGUUAGUUGUGAUUGUGUUUGCUCUAAAGAUUUGGUGCCAUUACUUGUUUGGUGAGAAGUGUCACGUAUACUCUGAUCAUAAAAGUUUGAAGUAUUUGAUGACUCAGAAAGACCUGAGUCUGCGACAGAAAAGAUGGUUAGAACUGCUAAAAGACUAUGAACUUGUGAUUGAUUGUCAUCGAGGAAAAGCAAAUGUUGUUGCUGAUGCCUUGAGUGGAAAAUUGUUGUUUUCUUUGCGUACAAUGAGUACUCGUUUGGUUUUAUCAGAUGAUGGUUCAGUUUUAGCUAAAUUAAAAGCAAGACCUUUGUUUUUAUAGUAGAUUAUCGAAGCUCAGAAUAUUGAUAAUGAGAUUUUAGCUAAACAAGCUCAGUGCGAUGUAGAGUCUAAUUCAAAAUUUAGAGUUGAAAAAGAUGAUUGUUUGAGAUUUCAAGAUCGAAUUUGUGUUCCGAGAAAUCCAGAAUUAAUUCAAAUGGUUCUGAGUGAAGUUCAUAGUAGUCGUUUAUCAGUGCAUCCGGGUAGUACAAAAAUGUAUAAUCAUCUAAAAUAGCAUUAUUGGUGGUCUGUAAUGAAAAGAGAUAUCUCUGAAAUUGUUUCUAAAUGUUUGAUCUAUCAGCAAGUUAAAGCGAAACAUCAGGUGCCAUCGAGUCGACAAUUUCGAGUACGGGGUAAGUUCGUACUUAAAACAUGAUAUUAAGUAUAUUUUGAUGUUUUGAUUAUAUAUACAUUGUAUAUAUGUUUGGUUUGGAUGAAUAUGACAAUAAAUCAAUAGUAUUUGGCACUAAGUAUGCGAUUUAAACUAGCUUCGGCUAUAUGAGGCACUAAGUGUGCGAUACUGACUUAGCUUGGGCUAAUUGAAAUGGCACUAAGUGUGCGGAAUCAUUCUAGCUUCAGCUAACUAUUGUAGCACUAAGUGUGCGGAUGUUCAAAGCAUGAAUAAUUUAUGGAAAGUCUUAAAAUAUUUAAAUGAAAGGUGAGAAUGAAAGUGAAUAAGUACGAGAAGAUUCAGGUAUGUACGAUACUUAUGUGGUAGAUGAUACUAUGUAUGUGAAGCUCAUUGAUUUGGUGUGAACAUAUAGAUUGUGUUGGUAUAGAUUUGAUAGAUGAUUUGAGAAUUUGUAAGUACUUAUGUAUUGAUGAUUUUUGGUACGAGCUUACUAAGCUUUUGAAAGCUUACUUUGUGUGUGUUUGCAUUAUUUUAUAAAUAUCGAAGCUACUGCAAGCUCAAGGAUCGUCAAGAAUCGUCACUACAAUAUUGAAUCUCAUUUUGGUACUUUUGAAAAUGUAUAUUUUUAAAGCAUGGCAUGUAUAGGCUAAUGGUUGUGGAAUUAUGUUUUGUGAUGUAUAUACUUAGCCAAGUGAUUUGGCUAGUUGGUGUUUAAACUCAUAGUUGAAAAUGGCUUAUGGUAUGUGUUGUUAAUAUGCAAUUGUGGUAUAUUUUAUGUUGGCAUGAAUUGGUAAUGUUUAUAAAUAGGAAAAAUGGAUGAUAUUGUUAUGAUAUAAAUGAUGAAUGUUUUGGCAUAAAAUUGGCUGAAAUGGUGGUGCAUAUAUGCUUGUUUCUUUGCUUGUAGGCUGAUCCAAAUUUGAGGUGGAAAAUUGGCUAUUCAAAUGGCCUAUUUUUGUCCACACGGGCAGAGACAUGGGCAUGUGUCUCAGCGUGUCUCUACCCGUGUACGACACACGGCUAUGUUGCACAGUCAUGUGUCUCCUGGGGUACCCUACAAUUGUAAGUCAGGCCCGAACAUGGCCAACGUACACGGGCGUGUGGCUAGCCGUGUGGCCCAAGUCAGACUCGACCACGGCCAAGGCACACAGGCGUGUCUUGUAGCAGUGUGAUCAAGUCAGUAGUUAUGCCCUAUUUUGCCACGGCUUAGACACAUAGGCGUGUCUAAGACCGUGUGAGGCACACGGCCGGUUCACAUAGGCGUGUGAGCUUUUAAAAGUUGAAAAUUUUUAUAAGUUCUAAAACUUUCAUACAUUAUCGAAUUCAUCCUGAAAGCAUGUUUUAGACUUCGUACGAACGUUUAAAAUUCACGUUGAACAUGAAUGAUCUAUAUUUAUUGAAAUGAUAGGAUAAUUGAUAUUUGAUGGUUCUGAUCUGUGUUAUGAGUCCGAUAAUGCCUCUUAACCUAUUUCGGUGACGGUUACGGGUUAGGGGUGUUACAUGAGGCUAUCCUCAAAACGAACACAACACUGAUAUUUAGUUGCCACCAUCCCACACGUGUAGCGACUAAGUCACAAGAAUUCAGCCUCAUAUUUGGCCACUGAUUUAUCCCAUUGAGUUAGAUUUAGAAACUCCCUCCUCCAAUCAUCCACAUAACUAGCGCCACAUAUUUUCCUUGGAAAGCAAUCCUGAAGAAUUCCCAAUUCAACCGCUCGGGCUGACUGCCUUCUUUAACUGUGAGCCACCACCGGUAAGCCUCAUCUCUCAGCAGUGACAAUGCACCUUUAGUUUCUACUCGAGAGGUACAGUCGAGAUCAUCCAUAAUCCUUUUCGUGGCCUCAAUCCAAUAUUCAGCCACAUUAGGGGCAACUCCAGCAAUUCCCCUAAAAAUCUCAGCUCCAUUACACCGGAGUCAUUUCGUAACCGACCGGCGACCCACAGCACCAGUAUUAGGUCCAGUGACCCUCUCUAGAAUCCUUAACAUGGCCUGGGAUAAUGUGUUGUCCCCAGCCGUACGAUCAUGAGACCCAGUUUCAGUCAUAGGUGAAGCCGGUGCCUCUCUAGCUUCAACAUUCGGCAUGUGGCUAGAUGACAAAGACCCAACUCGAGCACCUUCACGGCCUCCACCGCGGUCCCUUGUACCCCUUCCACGAGUACCUUUAGUGCUUAUUAUCAAAUUACGCUCUAUCUGUAUUAACAAUUUUAUGCAUCAGUUUUACAGUUCCAGUAUUUAUUAAGAAUAUUUUAUGAACACAGUAUCAGUAAUUCAAAGUUUGUUUUUGCGGAUCGCAGUCUUACUAUAGUUUUAGUUUACCCUAAAUAGAGUAUUUCAGUACAGUCUACUACCUAUAGUAGUCUCAGCAUUUCAGUUUAAAACAAGCAACAAUUUCAGAAAACUUACAGAAUUAGCGUCAGAGACACGAUGUACCAUACAUUUAGUAAAACUUUUCAAAAUACUUUCAAUUCAUUUAAUACAGUUCUUUUUAGAAAUUUCAACAUUAGAGAAAACCCAAAUCCACAGCCAAGUUUUGCAACCUGGCUCUGAUACCACUAAAUGUAACACCCCAAACCCUGCUUAGACGUUAUGGUCGAAUCUAGUGAUGUCACGUUGAAGUGUUUUUCGCAAAGUAUAAUAUCAUUGAAAAACCCGUUCUAUAUUUAACCUCUUUGUGAUCUUAGCAAAGAUUUAAGGAUACCUCGUUUAUUUUCAAAGCUUAAUUCAUUUGAAAAAAAGUUAUUAAAUUUAAUACAUUAUUUCUUGUGGAAGCUUCUAAAAACAUGUUGUGUAAACAUGAUGAUUUGGAAAAACAUUUAUCUUUUUGAAAACUCACAUCCUACUACUAGCAGAUAUUAAUCAAAAUAAAUAAAACCCCAAACUUAAAGAUUAAAAAUUAUAGAGGCCUUAUUACAUUUAAAACACCCAAAAUAAAAAUAUAUGUAAUUUAAAACCCAAUAAGAAAGUCUGUGCAGUUGUGUGGCCACCUUCAAGUCCCUCGUAGCACCGACCUGCCUAAGCCUAGGGAUUACCUAUUCAGAUAAACAGAUGGGUGAGUUUUGAAAACUCAAUGUGUAAUCCCAUAUCAGAUAAUCAAUCAGAGAGCAUAUGCAGUUUGGGCCUAUGCCCAAUUCAGUCAUGGUUCAGUUUCAGUCAGGGCCUUAGCCCAGUACAGUAUUAGUCUUAGUGUAGGCUUGAGCCCAUCUUAGUAACAGUGCAGUAUAGAUAUGCAAUAAAUAAAUCCUACCCAACCAUCCUCUACACUCCAUCUUUGUCCAACCCCACACUCCAUGUGGGAAUAAGAUCAACCCACCCAUCCCUAUACUCCAAGUAGUACCAGUUGUGGCACUAAUCAGUAUUUACAGUAGAGCUGCCAGUACAGUACACUUCCUCCAAUCACAAUAAAUCCCAUCCCCAUGCAACAUAUCAUGCAUCAUGUCAUAAUAUCAUAAAUGUGAUUAGUAUAUAUAAAAUGGCAUGCUUAAACAUAAUCAUACAUAUCAUAGGGGCAUAUAAGCCAUUUUACCAUGUAGGGGCAUUUCAGUCAUUUUAUCAAUUAGGGGGUCUAAGUACACUUAUCGACGUAACAGUAGGUCCAUAGUCAUCUUGGGCAACCCGUGCAACCUUAACAGUCAAACAGUAAAAAUGGGCCCACGGCCCAUAUUGCGGCUCAUGUGGGCCCACACGACCAUGUAGCCCACAUAACCUAGAAAUGGCAUUGGUGGUGUGGAUUACAAAGCCUGAAUUAAUAUUCUCCACAUGUUCGUGUGGUUUACCCAUGUGGGGCCCACGUGCCCGUGGCGCCCAAACGGCCCAAUUCAGCCUGAAAUGACCUAAGACGACCUCGGCCCAUGAAAUCACUCAUGGCUGGCCUCAUCAAUCAAACACCUAUGUUUAGUCACACGGACCACCACACAAGCGAGCGCAUGCCCGUGUAGCGUUAUCGUUUGCUCAUUCUGGCUUUUGCCGAUUUCCAUAUAUUAGAUAGUGUUUACACACAUUGUUUACGAAAGUGCACAAAUAGUCCACGAGCACUCCAACCUAUAUUAAAUCACAAGCAUUGGUUAAUCGGUUACUAAUCGAAUUAACAAAAACCCUAACUCAAACACUUAUCCAAAAGAUUACCUAUCACUUGUUUAGAUAGGUCGAUUAAGGCUUGCACACUUAAUCCGUCGCAAGAGACUGAUCACUAGGCCUUAAGGGUAACUUGCAUUCCAACCAAACCUUAUAAACCAUUAAUCAGAUGAACAAUUUGAACUAGAUGAAUCAUCCCUUACCAAAAAUGCAAAGUUAAGAUUAGAAGAAAGGAUCAAUCGGCCUACACCCACACAAGAGCCGAAAGUACACAAUAUGAUAGAGGCAAAAUGGAACAAUUGCACCCCUAUUAGAAAAUGGCAGCACGGGAAGAUGUUAAGUGCAAUACUAAUAUGGCAAAGAGGGAGAAAGAAAAAUAAUAGCACCCAUACCGAAAGUUAGACUUACCAAAAUGCAAAACCGAUGAAUAGGAAUGCCUACAGAAAUGACAAAUAGCAAUGAAGGGAAAGUCGACACAGUGAGGGUAAGAGAAGCAGUAGUAUUCAGCUAAGUACAAUCAUUUUAGAGAGCCAGAGAAGGAGAAGAAAUCAAUCAAGAAGAAACCAAUUGAGAGAGAGGGAAAAAGAAUAAAAGAAUUGGCAAGCCAAGAAUCAAUUGAGGAAGGGGAGAAGCUGAAAUAAUCUAUCAAAGAAAGACCACAAAAAGAACCAGAAAACCAAAAGGAACGUGCCAAACCCAAAAGUGUUGAGAGGAAAAGAGAGGGAGAACAAAGUCGUAUAAGGUAGAAAGAGAUAUACCUAAAAGAACCUUAGACACUAUUCAGCCUCCAAGUAGAGAGAAAAGAACCAAAAUGUUACCAGUUACCGAAAUGGAGAGCAAUAGACCAACCUAAAGCCGAAUUCUGAGUGGCCAGAUUACCAUUUCAGCGCCAACUCUUUUGUAACUCAAAUCUCCAUAAUUUCUCCAAAAAUACCUCCUUAAAUCACUCAAAUCGAUCCCUCAACUACUCAAUUCAAAUUCCCCUCAACCACUUCAGUAUUUCGGUCAAACCAUAACACUCCUAUGGCACGACAGCAAAAUAAAACACUCCACUGCACCCACUAGGAUUCAAACCUCAGUCCUAAGGUAACAACAACAGGCCACCUAUCCUUUAUACCAGCAGGCCCAUUCUGUCAUGUUUUACCCAUUUUUAUUUAAAAGCCUACUAACUAAAGACAAAGGUUUAUCCAUUAAAACAAAAUUUUUUCCUAAGCCAAGGCUUGAACUCAAGGCUUCUUAAACACUUCUCAAGACACUUAACCACUGAAGUAAGCAUGAAUUUACACAACAUAAACAUACAAAAAUAAAUACUUAAGAUUUGGGGCGUUACAGGUAGAAGCGUCUCAAAUCUCUUUUUAACUGACAUCUCACAAGCUGAAUGGAAAGAAUUAUCUUGAAUGGUCACAGUUCGUGAAGUUAGCAAUUGAUGGGUGCUAUGAGCUGGGUCAUUUAACUAUAGAAGUUAAAUAAACAUAGGUGGGAGAUCCAAUGAUGAGCACGUGGAGGUCAGAAAAUUCUAUGUAACACCUCGAAUUCUGAGCCUAGAAGUAUUGGGCCUUAAGCGAGGGAACUGUUAGUAGGUGGCUUAUAAAUAUUUUAGUUGAGCAAGAAAGUGACACAAAUUGCAUGUUUGGCGUGGUGGUUAAGUGAAUUGGGUGUGUUUGGGGAUGUUUAAGAAGUCCCAGGUUCAUAUCUAGGCUUUAGAAAAAAAAUAAUUUUUCCCUUAAGUGAACCUUGGCUUUAGCUUGUACGCCUUAUAAAUAUUAGUGGUUAAUAUUUAUCACAAGGAAACAUGUGGUCUAGUGCCUGUGGCAUCAUUAUGGUGGAAAGGAUCUUGAGUUCGAAUCCCAUGAUUUGCAAGGUACAUUUAUUUUAUUCCCAUGAAGUGAGAGAGGUAGAGUUGGAUUAAAACUCUUCUGAGGUGGUUGUGGAGUUGGUCAAGAGGAGAAAAUCAAGGGAUAUGAUAAUGGUUGUUAUGGACAUGGAAGAGAAUUGGAUAGAGAAAAUCAAGGAAUUUUAACUUGAAGAGUGUUGUAGCCGAAUAGGGAAUUAGUGUGUGCAAAUUUGGCUAAGGGGUCCCUUUGUGUGCAUUUUCGGCAAUUGGAGAGUUUUGAGAGUUGGUCUCUUUGUGCAAUUUCGGUUUUAAGGCAUUUAUUGUCGAAUUGGUACAUUUCUUUUCUCCUUUUGCAAGUGUAGCUGAAUUCAAGUGUGACCAUUUGGGCAGUUUUGUGUGACUCUUUACUUCUCUAUUACCUUUCAAGUGCAUUCACUUUAAUUAUUUCUUCUCCCUCUCGCUCUCAGUAUUAUGUUCCUUGGUAAGUUGUUCCUUGAUUAGCCGAACUGUUAUUUCUCUUUUCUCACAAGCAAGUCAACUACAUUCUUCAAUUACCUUUCUUCACCUCUUAAAAUCCCUUUGGUUCUUAGCCGAAUAUAGUUUUCCUCUACCCCUGUAUUUUGUUUCCUUGGGUUUUCUCCUAACCAAUUGAUUCACUUUCCUUUUCUUAACCUUUUAUUGAUUUUCCUGCUUUGUGGUGUUGGCUGUUUGCUUUUGUGUCUGCUAUUGGUGUUGUGGUUACAGUUUUGCAAGGUUCUAACAAAUCAAUAGAGUUCUAGUGGAGAGAAGAAGCAUUGGUGUUUGGGUAGCAAUUGAACCUCUCUCCCACUAAGAUAAAUACGAUGCCAUAUAUUACUUUGGGGCUUAGGCCGAAGGUGACCUGUUUCUCCAUAAGUGAUAGUAAGGGGGUGUUGACCCUUGGUACCAAGAGAUUAAUUAAAUACCAUGAAUGAUAUAGGUUGUUGCUCGAAGGAUUUUCGCAAAGUUUCACAAUCAGGUGCGUAUUCACACCCCUCUUUGUUGGAAAUCGACAAAAGUCGAAAAGCUGAAACUUUGACAUUUGAGACCUUUCGAGCAUGCGAUCGCUCGUGUGGUAAACCGAGCCCAUAGAUCAGGGGUGACAGACUGUAAAGGCCACCACGAGCGUUCUCGUGUACUAGGGUUAUUUGGGGCCUCGAUGGGCCGAAAUGGGUGUACGCCCAACAGGCUCGUGGGACCCACAUGGAUAAAAUCUAUGGUAAGUGACAAAUUAUGAACUAGGCGAUGGUGUUUGCAUAGUCGUGACUAAAAUUGGGCUAAAUGGACCACAUGAGCAUGUAGGCCCACUUGGGUCGAGUAAUGUGCCUUGGGCCCAUUUACACCGUUUUGACCAUCUAGGUUACCUGAUUUGCUCGAGGUGACAACAGACCAUCUAUGAGGUCGUAAUCUGUACUGGGACCCUAAAAUCACUAAAAUGACCAAAAUACCACUAAAGGUUAAAGUGACUGUUUUCCCCCUCGAGGGUAAAUGACUGAUUUGUUUGUGAUUUGUAUGACUAAUUUUGUGUAUGACAUUCUGCAUACAUGACAUACUGCUUGGGAUUGGGAUAUUUCUAUGGAGGAAGAAACCGUAUUGGUGACUGUGCCACAUAUUCUGAUAUUAGCAGCAUUGUUGUGACUCUAGUUAGUGUUGCAGUCGGUGCUGACAUUAUAAGUAUAGGGAUGGCAUUGUAACUGAUAUUGGUUUUGAUAUGGGCUAGGCCCAACUGAUAUUGAUUUUGAGAUGGGCUAGGCCCAAUUGAUACUAUGAUGGGUUGAGACCCAAAAGCUAAUGAAUUAGGCUUUGGCCCACAUAUAUUCUGAAUUGGACUGUUUUGUUACUGAAUAGCACUCAAGCCCAGAUUGGUUCUAAAUUUUAUUUUUGACUGACUGUUUGGAUGCUAGGGGAUUACACACUGAGUUUUCGUAAACUCACCCUAUUAUUAACUAUGCAGGUAAUCCCCAGCAUUAGGAUGAUCGGCGUUAUGAGGGACUCGGAGAUGGCCACACAGCUAUUUUUUUUAUCUACUACAUUUAUUUGCUUCUCAAUACUUUAAUUUCAGUUUGGUUUGUAAUAAGGCCUCUCUGGUUUUUAUUUUAAACAUUGGCAUUUUAUUUACCAUGUUUGAUAAUUGUUAGAAGUGGAUCGUGGUUUUCCAAACCAAUAACUAUUUUCAAAACACUACGUUUCCUCAACUUAACUUUUAAACAUCAUGUUUACAUAAAUCGACUAUUUUAAAUUAAGCUUCCACAACAAACACCGUUUUAAAUAGGAAUAACUUUCCAGUGAACCACGUUUUGCAAAAUAAACCAACGUAAAUAAAGGUUUUCACAAGUUUUAAAAUGGCCAGAGGUUUUAAAUGGUAAGAAGGGUUUUCAAUGGAAACAUGGUUUUCGGAAAACACUUCAAUAUGACCCGCCAGAUUCGGCCAUAACGUUUAGGUCGGGUUUGGGGUGUUACAUUUAAUGGUUUCAGAGCCAAGUUGCAAAACUCGACUGCGGAUUUGGUUUUAAAAUAGAAUUUCUGACAAAACUGUUUCAAAAGAUUUGUAGUAUUUGAACUAUUUUACUGGAUGUUUCCUGAAAGUGUGGUUCACCGAGUCUCCGGCGCCGAAUUCGUAAGUUUUUUGAAUACUCUUGUUUGCUUUUAAACUAUUAUACAGUAGGAAACAUUGUGAUUACUUUAGAAAUUUUACCAUACUACUCUAGUUAGAGUAAAUUGUGAAAUCGUAGGAAACUAAGACUGUAGUGAGCCUGCAAAUGCGAAAACAACUCUAAACUUCUGUUUCCCAUAAAACAUCUGUUUAAUUACAAGAACUAUUAACACCCCAAACCCGGCCUGGAGGUUUGGCUCAAAUCUGGCAUGUCACAUUGAAGUGUUUUUUGAAAACCAUGUUUCCAUUAAAAACCCUUCUUAAUAAUUAAAAACUUAUACCCUUUUUAAACCUUGCUAGAAAACCUCAGAUGAAUAACAUUCUUAACAACUUUCUAAAAAGUUUGGUAGUUGCGGAAGCUUAAUUUAAAAACAAUUGCGGAUACGUGAUGUUUUGAACAACAGUAGUUACAUUGGAAAACUGUGUUCUAAUACUAGCAAUUAUAAGAACAAUAAAUAAAAUUCCAAAUUUGAAAUCCAGAAAAUUACAACGGCUUUACUACAACCCACAUAAAAACAUUUAAAAGUAAUAAUAAAAACUGUAGCAUAAAUAGUGUGUGUGGCUUCCUCCGAGCUCCUCGCAACUCCGAUCCGUCUAAGGAUGGAAAUUACCUGAAAGGUUAAUAAACAGGGUGAGUUUAUGAAAACUCAGUGUGAAAUCCCCUACUAUAUAAAAGGAACAGUCAGUCAUAUAAAAGAAUUAAAAGUUGGCCCCAGCCCUACUUACAGUUUUAGUAUCAAUUAGGCCUUAGCCCAUUAUAACAGACAGUACCAGAUGGGCCUUAGCCCAUUACAGAAUAAGAAACAUUAUCAGAACUAGAAUCAAAAUGAGAAUUACAAUCAGAAUCAAAAUCAGGUGAUAGAAUCAAAAUCAGAAUCAGAAUCAGAAUUAGGUAACAGAAUCAGAAUCAGUAUCAGGUAACAGAAUUAGAAUCAGAACCAGAAUCAAAAUUAGGUAACAGAAUCAGAAUCAGUAUCAGGUAACAGAAUCAGAAUCAGAAUGUGAAUGCAAACCCAACCCAAUCCAUCCGUAUACACCCCCGUACCAACCUUACACCAUGUGGGGAGACAACUCGACCCACCCAUCCGCUACACACCACAGAAUUUGCAGCGAGGCUACCAGGUAUUGUGACGAAGUCACCAGAACAGAUAUAUGUGCUGAGGCCACCAGAUUGCAGCGAGGCUGCCAGAACGCUUCCUCCAUCAAUAUAACCCAUAUCCCAUGCAACAGAUAUACAUGUCAGGACAUGCAACAUACAGAAUCAGAAUAUCAUGUCCAUAUUUGAAUCAAACAAUCACAGUCAAGUAAUUCAUAUCACCAACAUAUAUUCACAAUCAAAUCCGUCAACCACACAGUCCAAGUCAGUCACUUGCCCACAAGGGCAAAAUAGUCAUUUAACACCCUAGGGGUAAAAUGGUAAUUUUACCCCACAAGGGUAUCUCGGUAAUUCUACCUUACAGGAGUAUUUCAGUAAUUCUACCCUACAGGGGUAUUUCGGUAUUUCUACCCUACAAGGGUAUUUCGGUAAUUCUAUUCUAUAGGGGUAUUUUAGUAAUUAUACUCUACAGGGGUAUUUUGGUAUUUCUACCCUACAAGGGUAUUUCGGUAAUUCUACUCUACAGGGGUAUUUUAGUAAUUUUACCCUACAGGGGUAUUUCAGUAUUUCACCCUACAAGGGUAUUUCGGCAUUUCUACCCUACAAGGGUAUUUAGGUAAUUUUGUAAAUCGAGGGUAAAAUAGUAAUUUUGUAAAUCAAGGGUACUUUGGUAAUUUUACAAGUCGAGGGUAUUUCAAUAAUUUUAUAGGUCGAGGGUAUUUUAGUAAUUUCACAAAUCAGGGGUAUUUUGAUAAUUUUACAAACUAGGGGUAUUUUGAUAAUUUUACAAACUAGGGGUAUUUUGGUAAUUUUACAAACUAGGGGUAUUUUGGGCCCUUUUAGCCCAAAUCUAGCCACAGAUAUGAGAUUCACCUAGCCGAGUCCAAUAUUUACUACACAAUCAAACAACUUAUCCAAUUGGGCCCGUAGGCCCAUUGGGCCCACAUGGCCCCUUUCGGUCCGCGGCCUGAAGUAGCCAUCCUACAGCUAUAGUAGUGAGAAAUACACACCUGAUAGGAGACUGGAGUUAAUCCGCGCUCCGAGCACUCUUAGCCAACGCCCAGCCCAAACGAGCACACCAUAAAGCAAAAGGGAUCAGCCAAGAAAGGUACCUUUACUCUCCUCAUGGUUCUCUCUAUUUAAAGCCAGCUUCGCAUCCACUCUUAUGUUAGCUUCCCGAUGUGGGAUCCCUUCAUCAUCAGAGUUUAAAUUCAACACCAACUCUUGCCGCCCCCUGUUAGCAAAAUAAAUGCUCUUUACCUCUUUGCCACCUCUAUGGCGCAACCUUCCUGCCUCUUAUGUGGCGCUACUUUGCCACUAGACCACAACGCUUUUUGUGGCACAAUUUCCCCAACAAUAUUCUUAAGGCCUACCUACUACACCAGGGUUUGAUUCACCUUAAACCAAAAUUUUUGCUAGAGUCCAGAUUUGAACCCAGGACUUCUCCAACACUUCUCAGCACACUUAACCACUAAAACAAGCCUUCAUUAACGAAAUUUACACGCACAACAAAAUAUUAUAAGCUGCCUUCAACCGCUCCCAUGCUCAAGGCCUAAAACUUUUAGGCCUAAAUUCAGGGUGUUACAAACUACGAGUUAAUAUACAUUAAACUUUUAAUUCAGAUAAUAUGAAAAUUGAUUAUGAGCACCAGAGCUACUCGUGGAAGGAGUACAAGAGGCCGCAGCAGAGGUCGUAGAAGUGCUGGGGCUGGGUCAUCGUCAUCGGGUCACAUAGCUAAUGCUGAAGGUAGGGAAGCACCAGCUUCACUUGUAACUAAAACUGGAAUUCACGAUCGAGCAACUGGGGAUGAUGGUCUAUCUCAAGCUAUGUUGUGGUUCUGGAAAGGGUCACUGGGCCCAAUAAUGGUAUAGGGAGCUGUGGGUCGAUUACAGAACGACUUCGGUUGAAUGGAGCUGAGACUUUUAGAGUUAUUGCUGGUGUAUCCGCUAAUGUGGCUGAAUAUUAGAUUGUGGCCACGGAAAGGAUAAUGGAUGACCCUAACUAUACCCUUGAGCAAAAGCUAAAAGGUGCAGUGUCUUUGCUGCGAGACGAAGCCUAUUAGUGGUGGCUUAUGGUGGAAAAGGGUACUCAGCCUGACCAGUUAACUUGGGAUUUCUUCAAGUCUGUAUAUCAAGGAAAGUAUUAGGCUCUAGUUAUGUGGAUGCUCGAAGAAGGGAGGUUCUGAACUUGACUCAGGGGGAUAAAUCUGUGGCAGAAUAUGAGGCAGAGUUCUUACAACUUAGCCACUAUACUCGUGGAAUGGUGGCAACAGAAUAUGAAUGCUGUGUUUGUUUUGAGGAUGGCCUCAGAGAUAGUCUUUGGGUUUUGAUAGCACCACAGAGGGAACGAGAUUUUGUUGCGUUAGUGGAAAAGGUGAAGUUCACCGAAGAGGUGAAGCGUGUGGAGCGCUAGAAUCAUGAGAAGGAAAGAGGCGGAAGUAAGAGAGAUUCAAAGCCCUUAGGUUCCUAAGAAAAAGCCAGAGUUGAUGGGCCAGUUUGAGUUGGGGCCCCUAUUGCUGUUACUGGAUCACAGCCUUAUGCAGAUUGUGGGAGAAGUCAUCUUGGCGAGUGCUGGAAAAGGACUAGAGCCUGUUUAAGGUGUGGAUCAAUGGAACACCGUUUCAGAUAGUGUCCUCGGAGGUUAGAUUUUGCAGGAGCUACUGGUAUGGGUAAUGUAGACCAGCAACCACUGAGAGGCCGUGGUAAUGGAAUGGGCCGUGGUCAUAGAGUAUCAGGCAGGGGUAUAGGUCAUGCAGAGGCGAGGCAGCCAGAUUUGGUCUACACAGCACGUCAUCUAGAAGACGGAGAAGCUCCGAAUGUGAAUACUAGUACGUACUUUACCCAUAGUGUACUAUUUAUUUAAAUUGGAAUUAGAGUGCACAACAGGAGUGUAGUGUUGUAAUCCAUAUUGUGAGACUGUUUGAACAAUUGGAAAUUUUGGGGAUGAAAUUUCUUUAAAGAGGGGUGAGUUGUAACGCCCCAAAUUUUGUUGAGCAUGGGAACUGUUAGUAGGCGGCUUAUAAAUAUUUUAGUUGAGCAAGAAGGUGACACAAAUUGCAUGUUUGGUGUGGUGGUUAAGUGAAUUAGGUGUGUUUGGGGACGUCUGAGAAGUCCUGGAUUCAAAUCUAGGCUUUAGAAAAAUUUUAGUUUUUCCCUUAAGUGAACCUUGGCUUUAGCUUGUAGGCCUUAUAAAUAUUAGUAGUUUAAAUUUAUCACAAGGAAGCAUGUGGUCUAGUGGUUGUGGCGUCAUUAUGGUGGAAAGGGAUCUUGAGUUUGAAUCCCAUGAUUUUCAAUGUACAUUUAUUUUAUUCCCAUGAGGUGAGAGAGGUAGAGUUGGAUUAAAACUCUCCCAAGAUGGUUGUGGAGUUGCUCAAGGGGAGAAAAUCAAGGGAUAUGAUAAUGGUUGUUAUAGACAUGGAAGAGAAUUGGGUGGAGAAAAUCAAGGAAUUUCAACUUGGAAAGUUGUAGCCGAAUAGGGAAUUAGUGUGUGCAAAUUUGACUAAGGGGUCCCUUUGUGUGCAUUUUUGGCAAUUGGAGAGUUUUGGGAGUUGUUCUCUUUGUGUAAUUCGGUUUGUGGGCAUUUAGUGCCUAAUUGGUACCUUUCUUUUCUCCUUUUGCAAGUGUAGCCGAAUUCAAAUGUGACCAUUUGGGCAGUUUUGUGUGACUCUUUACUUCUCUAUUACCUUUCAAGUGCAUUCGCUUGAAUCAUUUCUUCUCCCUCUCGCUCUCAGUAUUAUCUUCCUUGGUAUGUUGUUCCUUGAUUAGCCAAACUUUUAUUUCUCUUUUCUCAUAAGCAAGUCGACUACAUUCUUCAAUUACCUUUCUUCUCCUCUCAAAAUCCCUUUUGGUUCUUGGCUGAAUAUAGUUUUCCGCUGCCCCUAUAUUUCGUUUCCUUGGGUUUUCUCCUAACCAAUUGAUUCACUUUCCUUUCAAUUGAUUCACUUUCCAUUUCUUAACCUUCUAUCGGUUUUCCUACUUUGUUGUGUUGGCUGUUUGCUUUUGUGUCUGCUAUUGGUGUUGUGGUUAAGAUUUUGCAAGGUUCUAACAAAUCAAUGAGUUCUAGUGGAGUGAAGAAGCGCUAGUGUUUGGGUAGCAAUCGAAUCUCUCUCCCACUAAGGUAAAUGCGAUGCCAUAUCUUACCUUGGGGCUUAGGCCGAAUGUGACUUGUUUCUCCUUAAGUGAUAGUAAGUGGGUGUUGACCCUUGGUGCCAAGAGAUUAAUUAAAUACCUGAAUGAUAUAGGUUGUUGCUCGAAGGAUUUUCACAAAGUUUCACAAUCAGGUGUGUAUUCAUGCCCCUCUUUGUUGGAAAUUGGCAAAAGCCGAAAAGCCUAAACUUUGACAUUUGAGGCCUUUCGAGCGUGCGAUUGCUCGUGUGGUAAACCGAGCCCACAGAUCAGGGGCGAUAGAUUGUAGGGGCCACUAGAGCGUUCUCGUGUACAAGGGCUAUUUUGGGCCUCGAUGGGUCGAAAUAAGCCGUGUGGGUCCAAUGGGCUCGUGGGCCUCACACGGAUAAAAUCUACGAUAAGUGACAAGUUAUGAAUUCGGCGAUGGUGUUCGCAUAGCCAUGACUGAAAUUGGGCCAAAUGGGCCACAGGAGCUUAUGGGCCCACUUGGGCCGAGUAAUAGGCCUUGGGCCCAUUUACACCGUUUUGACCAUUUAGGUUACUUGAGUUGCUCGAGGCGACGGCAGACCAUCUAUGAGGUUGUAAUCUAUACUGAGACCCCAAAAUUAGUAAAAUGACCAAAAUACCUCUAAAGGUUAAAGUGACUGUUUUGCCCCUCGAGGGUAAAUGACUGAUUUGUUUGUGAUUUGUAUGACUGAUUUUGUGAAUGACAUUCUGCAUACAUGACAUACUGCUUGGGUUGUGAUAUUGUUAUGGAGGAAGAAAUCGUAUUUGUGGUUGUGCCACAUAUUCUGAUAUUAGCAGCUUUGCUGGUACUCUAGUUAGUGCAGCAGCCGGUGCUGACAUUGUAAGUGUAGGGAUGGCGUAGGUGAUUUAUUCUCCACAGGUAGUGCAGGGUUGGACAAAGGCAAGUGCAGGGUUGAAUGGGUUAUCAUGCAUUAUUCCUAUGGGUUUGAAAUUGAAAUAGGCUAGGCCUAACUGAUAUUGGUUCUGAUAUGGGCUAGGCCUAAUGAUAUUGAUUCUGAGAUGGGCUAGGUCCAAUUGAUACUAUGAUGGGUUGAGACCCAAAAGCUAAUGAAUUAGGCUUUGGCUCACAUAUAUUCUGAAUUGGACUGUUUUAUUAUUGAAUAGGGCUCAAGCCCAGAUUGGUUCUAAAUUCUAUUUUUGAUUGACUGUUUGGAUGGUAGGGGAUUACACACUGAGUUUUCAUAAACUCACCCCAUUUUUAACUGUACAUGUAAUCCCCAGCAUUAGGAGGAUCGAUGUUGCGAGGGACUCGGAGAUGGCCACACAGUUAAUUUUGUUAUCUACUACGUUUAUUUUCUUCUCAGUACUUUAAUUUCGGUUUGGCUUGUAAUAAGGCCUCUCUGGUUUUUAUUUUAAACUUUGGCAUUUUAUUUACCAUCUUUGAUAUUUGUUAGAAGUGGAUUGCGGUUUUCCAAAACAAUAACUAUUUUCAAAAAACUAUGUUUUAACAACUUAACUUUUAAACAUCAUGUUUACAUAAAUCGACUAUUUUAAAUUAAGCUUCCACAACAAACAUCGUUUUAAAUAGGAAUAACCUUCUAGUGAACCACCUUUUGCAAGAUAAACCAACGUAAACAGAGGUUUUCAUAAGUUUUAAAAUGGCCAGAGGUUUUAAAUGGUAAGAAGGGUUUUCGCAGGAAACAUGGUUUUCGAAAAACACUUCAAUGUGACAUGCCAGAUUCGGCCAUAACGUCUAGGCUAGGUUUGGGGUGUUACAUUCUAUGAUAAUUGCAUGACUUAUUAAUUCCAUGGAAGCAUCCAUAGGUAAACCUUUUCUUUUUCUCCCGACUGUUAAAGAUGUUUAGGAUGCUGUGAAAGACAACUAUUCAGAUUUAGAAAAUGCUUCAAAAAUCUUUGAGUUAAAAAUAAAACUUUGGAAGGCAAGAUAAGGGGAGAAAGAGAUUAUUUCUUAUUAUAACGAGAUGAAGUCUCUUUGGCAAGAACUAGAUCAAUAUUAUAAUGAUUAAUGAGAGUGUCCUAGAGAUAGUGUAAAAGAUAUGAAAAAGAAGAGAAUGAAUGAGCUUAUUUAUUUCUAGUUGGUUUAAAUAGAAAACUUGAUGAAGUAAGAUAUCAACUCCCAGGCAAAAAACUAUUUCCAACAGUCCAUGAUAUUUUUUCUGAGUUUAAAAUAGAGGAGACUAGAAGAAAAGUAAUGUAACACCCUAAUACCCGUGUCUAAUAUUAAUUUAAGUAAUUACAACAAUAAUAGCACGUUUCCAUGAGUAACUUCUAUAGUAUGCACAUACUAAAACAAGGGUAAAAAUUGUAAGGUGAUUUUUCUCCUCUUGACCGAAUAUACAUACAUAAUGUAUCUCAAAUGCUUAACAUGUUAGUUCAAGCAUAACAUAAUGUAAUAUCCUGAAUUAGGGCUUAAUCGGAAUAGUGGUUUCAUGACCACAAAUCCGAGAUAGAAAUAAUUAUUUUAUAAUUAUUUUGAUGAUUAUGAUAUGAUUGCAUGGUUGUGUGAAAAUUUCGUGAUGAAAUUCUAUAUCUAAACUGCUUAAAUUGAAAGUAGGGACUAAAUCGAAUAAGUUACAAAAUUUGCAUUCUAGAAGUUUUUAGUAUGAAAUUGCAUUGAAAUAUUAAUUAGGAGGUCUUAAAUAGCAAUUUGACCAAUUUUAAGUUCAUGGAAAAAAUUAGGACAUGGAAGGAAUUUUGAAAGUUUAGUAAGGAGGGGCAUUUUGGUCAUUUGGAUAUUAAAUGAAAUACAAUGGGAAAAAUAACACAAAAUUGGUCAUCAUCCUCCUUAGUUGCUGCCAAAUUCUCCCUCUCUCCAUAGCUAGGGUUUCUUCAACUUUCAAGCUCUAUAGUAAGUGAUUCCAAGCCCCGUUUUUAAUGUUCUUUACGUUUUUGGAAUCCCGGAAGCUCGAUUAAGCUUAUGCUAGCAAUAAUUCAACCUAGGGUUUAUAUUUGGAAAAAUACCCAUAGGUGAAAUUUGUGUAUUUUGAUGUUUUAUGAUAGAAUAUGGGGUUUUAAAUUAUGUUAGACAACUUGUGCUACUUGGUUUUGAGUGAAAACGAGUAAAAGGGCUUAAUUGGCAAAAAUACCUAAUAGUCACAAGUAUGUGUUAGAGUGAGAAUUUGAUGUUGCCAUAGAAGGGAAAAGUGAUCAGAAUGUUAUAAAACAUAAGAAUAAGGAAUAAAGUUUAAUUCCCGAGCCUAGGGGCAAAAGUGUAAUUAUGCAAAAGUUUAGGGGCAAAAGUGUAAUUUUUUAAAAGUUCGUAUUAAAUGCUGUUUUGAUGAAUGUAUGUAUUAAAUAAGAUUAAUUUGGUAUUAUAGAUCAAGAGAAACGAGAUUCAAGUCGCGAUCGAGGAAAAGAAAAGAUUGUGGACUAAAUUGCAAAAUCUUUAUAUUUUGGUACCAAGGUAAGUUCAUGUGUAAAUAAUGUAGCAUAAUUGUUAUUUUAAAGUUAUUGAUGUUAAUUAUAUGAUACGCUGAUUUUUAAUCGUGAAAUAUUAUGCUUUGUGGUUAAUGUUGAGUAAUAUGCAAAUUAUGUUUACUACUUGAUAAAUAUGAAAAAGCCCGUUUGAACCUUAGGAAUAGAUUAGGAUACAAGUGACAUGUCACUAGGAUAUUUGGGCAUCCGAACUCGUUGAGUUGAGUCUGAGUUCACUUAUGGAUGCGAAUGUCCGAACUCGUUGAGUUGAGUCCGAGUUCACUUAUGGAUGCGAACGUCCGAGCUCUUUGAGUUGAGUCCGAGUUCACUUAGGGGCGGGUUACAUGAUUUCUUGAUUACAUAUGAGGCACUUAUGUGCAAAUUAUCCGUGUAUCCGAGUUGUAUUCCGAUGUGUUCAACGGGUGAAAUUUCUAGUGAAAUGAAAGAACACUUAAGAUGCAAGCGACGUUUUGGUAAGUGUUGUGAAAUGGACACCUUGGACAGGUAUGUUCUUAACCCUCGGGUUGAUAAUAGAUAUAACAACGAUAAGGUAGUAAGAUGAUGAAUGAUGUUUAGAAAUAUGAUAUAUGUUUUGGUGAUACCAUGCUAAGGUUGUUUGGUAUAUUUGUAUUGUUAGGUUACUUGUUAUUUACAUAUGAACUUACUAAGCAUUUAUGCUUACUCCCUCCUCUUUAUUUACUGUAGUUUUGAACAAGCCAGCUCGGGAAUCGGGACGGGUUGAAGGUUCGAUCACACUAUCCAAAGGACUUUCAUCUUGGUAAAUGGCUUGUACAACUACUUAAGUAUGGCAUGUAUAGCAAUAUACCUAUUUUGUGUAAAUAAUUUUAUGAUAUGGCCAUGUUUGGUUGAGAAAACGUUUGAUAUUGAUAAGUCAUGGUGAUGGUUAAAUUGAGAUCAUGUUUGAUAUCAUGGAAGUUUAAUAGGUUAUCUAGUUCAUAAAAAUUCAUAGAAAGAUGAAACUUGCCUUAAAACAGAAUAUUGCUGCAGCAGUGACAUGAAUUUGAAAAAUCACUAAAAAUAGUAUAAAUGGAACUAAAUGAUGAGUAAGUUAUGAAAUUGAAGCUUAAUGAGUCUAUUUUCAUGUGGAUUGAACAAAAUAGGCAUAUAAAUUAUAUUUUAUGAGAUAUUUAAACUUUUUUGAAACAGGACCAGAGUGAUUUCUGGAUCCCCUUUUCUGAUUUUAAAAAUUCAUAAUAAAUUUUUAAAAAAUAAUUAGAAAUUUUUAUUUAUAUGUACAGAUUUUUUAUUGAGUCUAGUUUUAAUAGAACAAACCUCAUAGUCAUUGAAAUUCUGUAUAGAUAGAUAUCUGAUUCGUAAUACACAGAGGUCAGAGCAGUCAAACCCUGAAAUAGGGGAGACUUUAACUAAUAAACUGUACUAUUUUUCCCAACCAAAAAUUAUAGAAAAAAAAUUAGUAAAUAGAUAUAUCAGUCUAGAUUUAGGGAAAAUUUACGGAUCUUGAUUUUGAGUUUCGUAACUCGAGAUAUGAUUUUUCUUGUAACUGUGACGUGGGUAGCUAGAAAGCUGUGAAUGUAGAAACAAAAGAUUUGAAGUUCUUAAUUUGAUAAAUUAUGUUCGGUAACUCCUCAAGCUCGACUCCGGCGACGGUUUCGGGCGUGGGGGCAUUACACAUAAUCACACUCAUAUCACAAUAUGAACUCAUAUGUCAAGUUGAUUUCACUUGAAGAUGUAUAUUUAAACCAUUAUUACAUCCAUACAUAGAACUUUAGCCAUAUUCGCAUGGCCUUAUAUAUACAAUACUAUCAAAAUAUCAAACCUCCCAAAAUAUUAUUCUAUACAGGCCAUAAUGUCUAUUUGAGCUUUAAACAAAGGUACCAAAAAGGGGUUGUCAAAAGAUGCGAUGACUUCGUAACUGAUCCAAGCUUUCCUCGACAAGAUGAUCUAUACAAAACCAAUAAACACACCAAGUGAGUUAUUAACUCAAUAAGUCCUAAGAAAUUUCAAAAAGAAUGUAAUGAUCCAAUUAUCUUAACAAAAAUUAAAGUUUCAAUCUAAUAUUAGCUGAAUUCAAACAGGAUAUCACAAGGAAAUCUUAUGUCACAUGUGUACAUUAUGAAUUUGGUACAUACUUACCCGAAUUCACUAUGUACUCUUACACCAUUUAAUCGCAAACUGAAAAGACCAUGGUAAAUAUCAUAUGCAUAUCGUUGGCGUAUAUAUAUAUAAAUGACAAACAAGGUUCAAUUAAUCAAAUAAAGCACAAACCAAGCUGCUCCAUGUAUAAAUCAAAUCUCCAAUCCAUUUAGAUUCAUUUAUCACUAAUUUAUAUCUUUGUUAAAUUAUAUACUAAUUGAGCCGAUUACCUUUCUCUUCUUUCUCUCUUCCCAAGCAUUAUCUAUUAAUAUACAGAUUUAGAUCAAGUCCCAUGUCUAAUAUCCAUGCACAUUUCAUUAUUCCCAGUUUAAAGUUUUAAACUUUUUCAUUUGCACAAGCAAUUCUCUACGAUCGAUAUCGCACACUUAGUGCUCGAUUUAAAGGUCCGCACACAUAGUGCUCUUACUCAUUCGCACACAUAGUGCCACGUUUCCUCGCACACAUAGUGCUAUGUAAUCUCGCACACAUAGUGCCACGUAGUUUUUGCACACAUAGUGCCGCAUAACCUCUCACACAUAGUGCUGAAAUUUCUUAUCUAUAGCUACCACAAUGUCAUAGAUAGGUUGAUAAAUCUCACAUUCGAUUUUCACAAAUUCAUACAUACCAUGAUUUCUUAUCCAACCUAUUUUAUGUACAAUAUUGACCGAAACUUAAAUUACUUAGGAACUUACCUUUUUAGUCGGAUGAACAACUCCGAUCAGCUACUCAACUGCUUUCGCUUUUCCUUUGGCCGAACUUGGCUCCCUUUGAUCUUGAGCUCCAACUAAGCAAAUAAAAUAAUUCAAUCAUCGUAGCCUCAAUUUAUAAUCAUUCCUCAUAGACACCCACACAGAUUCGGUAUUCCAUCUAAUAUUAACCAAGCCAUAACAAUUUAAAGUUUAACCCUUAAACUUAAUGCACAUCCAAACAACUUCUCAUCUAUUCCAUUUAUUCGCUACAUAUACAAGAUAAUUUCGGCAAAUUAACAUUUCCAAAUUUUUCAAUACUAAAUAAUUUGUAAAUUAAUUAACUAAACUCAUUUUCGGUUAGUAUCUGUUUAAAUACUAUCAAGCUCGUAUACUUCUAAUUUUAUGAGUUCAACAUCUUAAUGUCAAUUGUAAUCACUCAAUAAAUUUCUAAUACAUAAAUUAAGCUACUCAAACAAUCUAAAUUUAAAUUCGGCAAACACCAUACCAAACUAUUUUAAUCAAAUUCUCCAUAGCACAUAAACUAAAAUAUGCACCUUAAAACUUACUCAAAUUUUUAUUAUGCCUUUCCCUCCUAAAACAUAAAAAUAUAAGUUUUACUCCGUCUUCCAUGUUUCGGUCAACUAAUCAACUUACCUCUUAACAUGAAUUUUUGCAUUUCAACUUAUCAAUCAAAACGCAUCCGACCUUAACAAUGAACCGUUUCUCAUACAAGGAAAAAACAAUUAAAAAGAACAUUCCAUUUAAACCCCAUAUGGCCGGAUGUAUAAAAUAUUAUCCAACUACUUAUUCAACAAGUUCAACCCCAUUCUAUCGUCUACUUAUUCAAUACAACAUGAAAACAACCUCUAAUUCUAACACUUUGAUACACUGCUUGGUGCCCAAACCACCAUAAAAGUUUAAAUUUUCUUGUCAUUGCCAAAAGUGCAUUCAAAAUUAACUUAACAUAUAAAAAGAUUUAACCAACACUUCAAAACUUACCUCCUACUAGCAAAAGAAGAUGCCGAAUUGCCUUAGUGUAAAUUUCCCUUUUUCUUUCCUUUUUGUUUCGGUUUUGGAAGAAGAAGAUGUAAUGCCCCGUACCCGAGACCGUCGCCGGAGUCAAACACGAGGUGUUAACAGACUUAAUUCAUUACUUAAAUAGCUCAAACAAUUUAUUUUUAAAAUUUUCAGUCAAGCUAGCAAUCUGCAUCAUAGUCACUUAAAAAUUGAUAUCUCGAGUUCCAAAACUCUAAAUCCAAUUCCGUAAAUUUUCCCCAAAACUAGACUCAUAUAUCUAUUUACUAAUUUUUUUCUAGAAUUUUUGGUAAAGAAAAUUAGUACAGUUUAUUAGUUAAAGUCUCCCCUGUUUCAGGGUUCGACUGCUCUGACCUCUGUGUAUUACGAAUCAGAUAUCUCCCUGUACAGAGUUUCAAUGACUAUGCUGUUUGUUUCUAACAAAACUAGAUUCAAUAAGGAAGCUGUACAUAUAAAUAAUGACUUCUAAUUAUCUUUUAACUAUUUAUGGUGAAUUUCCAAAGUCAGAACAGGGGAUCCAGAAAUCGCUCUGGCUUUGUUUCACAAAAAUUUAAACAUCUCAUAAAAUAUAGCUCAUAUUCCUGUUUCGCUUCUUCCAUAUGAAAAUAGACUCAUCAAGAUUCGAUUCAAUAACUUAUUCAUUAUUUAAUUCCAUUUCUACUAUUUUUAGUGAUUUUUCAAAUUCACGUCACUACUGCUGUCUAAAUCUAUUUUAUGGUAAAUUUUACCUAUUUCAUGGUUUCCAUGGAUUAGCUAGCAAUUUGACAUACAUAACACCAAAUAUGAUCAUGAUUAGCCAUUCCAAUGGCUAAUCAUUACCAAGAAUUUCCAUACCACUCAAUAACCAUAUCAUAAGACCAUAUAUACAAAAUGAUUAUAAUGCUAUACAUGCCAUACUCAAAAUAUACAAGCCAUUAUGCCAAGAUGGUAUACAGAUAGUGUGAGCGAACCUCCGACCGUUCCCAAUUUCCGAGCUGGCUUGUCAAAACUACAAUGAAUGAAAAGGAGGGAGUAAGCAUAAAUGCUUAGUAAGUUCACAUGCAAAUAGCAAGUAACAUAACCAUAUAAGCAAACAUAAAACAUCAUUUGCAUAAUCAUCACCAAGACAUUCAUAUCAUAUUUUCAUUUAUCAUCUUACCAUAUUGUUGUUAUAUCGAUUUUUCAACUCGAGGGUUAAGUACAUACCUGUUCAAAGUACCCAUUUCACAACACUUACCAAUACGCCCCUUUCAUCUUGAGUAUUCCUCCAUUUCAGUAGAACUUUACCCGUUGAACACAUCGGAAUAUAAUUCAGAUACAUGGAAAGUUUGCACAUAAAUGCCACAUAUGUAGCCAAGCUACCAUGUAACCCGCCCAUAAGUGAACUCAGACUCAACUCAACGAGCUCGGGCAUUCGCAUCCAUAAGUGAACUCGGACUCAACUCAACGAGCUCGGAUGCCUAGUUACAUCUCUCGAACUCGGACUCAACUCAACGAGUUCGGACAUUUGCAUCCAUAAGUGAACUCGGACUCAACUCAACGAGUUCGGAUGCUCAACCAUCCUAGUGACAUGUCACUUGUAUCCUAAUCUAUUCCUAAGGUUCAAACGGGCUUUUUUCCCUCGAUCUCACAUUUUCCGUCUUCCAUGGAAUAUCAGAACCGAUACUUCGGUGAUAGUUCAUACUCAUCAAGUAAUUCACAUAAUUACAUAUUAUUCAACAAUAACCACAAAGCAUAAUAUUUCAUGAUAAUAAUCAGCAUCAUAUCAUACAAACAACAUUAAAUUGCUUGAAAUGACAAUUGUGUUACUACAUUUACACAUGAACUUACCUCGUAUGCGAAAAUGGCUACUUUUACCAUUUUGUCCACAACUUGGUAUUUUCCCCAUUUUAGCCCGAAUUUCAGUUUUCCUUGCUCUAUCAUUUAAAAUAUAGUCUAAUUAGGACUCAAAUUAUUAAAAUUGACCCAAAAUCAUAUUUUGGAAAAAUUACAAUUUUGCCCCUAAACUUUUGCAUAUUUACACUUUUUCCCCAAAGCUCGUAAAUUAAACUUCAGCCUAUUUUCUUAUGUUUUAUGACAUGCUGAUCAUUUUUCCCUUCUAUGGCAACAUCAAAUUCUCACUCUAACAUGUACUUAUGACUAUUAGGUAUUUUUACCGAUUAAGCCCUUUUGCUCGUUUUCACUUAAAACCGAGUAGCACAAGUUGUCUAACAUAAUUUAAAACCUCAUAUUCUAUCAUAAAACACCAAAAUUCACAAAUUUAACCUAUGGGUAUUUUUCCAAAUAUAAACCCUAUGUUAAAUUAUUGCUAGCAUAAGCCAAAUCGAGCUACCGGGACUCCAAAAACGUAAAAAUUAUUAAAAACGAGGCUAGAACGGACUUACAAUCGAGCUUGGAAGCUUGAAAAACCCUAUCCAUGGUUUAUCCUUGCUAUAUUCGGCCAUGGGGUUGAAGAUGAGCAAAAUUGGCUUUUAAUUUUGUAUUUUAAUUCAUUUUACCCCUAAAUGACCAAAAUGCCCUUACUACUAAACUUUCCAAAAAUUCCAUUCAUGUCCAAUUUUUGUCCAUAGACUUAUAAAUUGGUAAAAUUUCUAUUUAAGACCUCCUAAUUAAUAUUUCAAAACAAUUUCAUACUAGAAACUUCUAGAAUACAAGUUUUGCAAAUUAUUCGAUUUAGUCCCUAAUUUCAAUUUAAGCACUUUAUGCAUAAAAUUUCUUCACGAAAUUUUCACACAAUCAUGCAAUCAUAUCAUAGACCUUAAAAUAAUCAUAAAAUAAUUAUUUCUAUCUCGGAUUUUGUGGUCACGAAACCACUAUUCCGACUAGGCCCAAAAUCAGGAUAUUACAGAAGAAGAUGAUGAACACUUUCUCUCUCCUUCCUUUUCUUCUUUUAUUCAUCUUUUUCUUAUUAAUUAAUUUUAUUUAGAAUAUUUUAAUCAUUUUCUAACAAAACAUUAUAAUUAAUUAAACUUAGUGGAGGGGCAUCAUUACUUGGCCGGCCACUUAUUGUAUUUUGGGCAUUUUGACAUGCAAACCCAAGCUUUCACACUUUGUAGUUGUUUGGUCCUUACAAUUUACCUAUCAUAUUUUCUAAGUUUCUCAACUAAGUCCUUUCAAGUAAAAUUCACAUUCAUAAGACUAAAUUAAAACAUCAAAUUUUCAUACAUGCACUAUCACACAUAGAAGAUAUGUAAAUAAAUUUUAAAUGAAUUUUAUGACUCGGUUUUGUGGUCCCAAAACCACAUUCCGACUAGGGUCAAAUUAGGGUUGUCACAAGUAAUGUUAAGGCCAAAAUUUGAAGCUAAAUAUGACAAUUCUACUUUUUUAUUGUUAAAAAUGAUGAUGACAGUGAAAAAAAGGAAGAAACAUUGGUGCAAUUACUACAAAAAACAUUGACACACUUGAGAAGCUUGUUGGAAGCUCCAUGAAAAACUGACAAAUGGGAGAAUGAAGAGUGGAAAUGGUCAUGGUUCACAAUUUGGGGAUAGCAAAGCUUUCUAAACAACUAAUUAAAAUCAUGAGCAACAAAAUUCUCUAAAAGGGUAUCCAAAAACAAGUUCUGGAGCGAAUCUACCAAUGAUGUCACGACAGGACCCUCAUGUGUCACGACAUACCCCUUGUGCUUGGUUGCAACAUCGUAUGCCUAUGUUGCACCCAAACCUUGCGCAGCCUUAAAAAAAUCAUGCACAUGAUAAUGAUGUUUUGGAGAGAAAUUAGGUGUAUUUGUCCUAGUUGAACUCCAAGGACUUCAAGGACAGUUUAGUCACUUUAAUGUUUUGAGUUUAGCCUAUAUAAAUGCCAUCGUAAUCAGUUUAAACACACAAUUUUAGAGAGAUAGAAAAUAUACUUAGGGUUUUUAUUUCAUUCUUAGAUUUUACUUAUAGUAUUUUAUGUUCUUGUAAUCGGAAGAUCCUAUUUCGAAGUGAGACUCUUACAAGUGGAGAUUGUUCUAGAACCACUCUUUCAUCGAUAAAUCCAUUUGUAUCUCAUUUCUUUUAUUCUAUUCUUUAUAUCUCUUUCUUUAACAUUGUUUAAUUGAAUUUUUGUGUAAAGAUUAGAAUCAAUUUAUACUUUAUACAUAUCUCGCAUGGUUUCAACUAUUCUAAUCGUAUUCAUUGAUUGAAGGAUAAAGUUUCUUAGCGGAUCAACUGUUUGGGAGAGGAAGAACCUAAACCCCAGACUUGACAACCCUAGGAAUUCAUUUAGGUGGGGAUUAACCCAAAAUUGGUAUCGCCUAUCCAUUAACACCUUAACCCUAAACCAGUCUAGACUGUGAGGUUAGAAGAUAAGUAGUUCUUGUUGACUCGCUAUUCUAGUGAAAAUAUCAGAAAAUCCUACUAGGGUAUCAACUAAUUCAUUGAAGAGAACACUACAUCAAUAAUUAAUUAGGUAAAACAAUUGGAUCUAGGCUAAAGGAACUCGCGUAGCUAAAACAUGGAUAGGAGAAACUGAUACAUAAACAUAGGAGUAUAUUUAGGCUUAAUUCAAUUUAUUUGGUUUAUUAAUAUUAUCGUCAUCUUUCUUCCAUAUUAACACUAGUACUUCGUAACUCAAGUAUAUUAGUAAUUAUUCCUAGUAAUUGGCUUGACAAUAGUUUUCCCCAAACUGCAAUCCCUUUGGGUAUGAUCCUCGGAGUACUUACCUACUUCGUUGUAACAAUAUUACAACCUGACCCGUAUACUUGCAGAAACUGCCUCAAAUCUAUAUCCUUAGUUGUGGUAUUCACACUUUGGACGUUGGUACAUCCGAAAUUGGUUAAGUUGUUGGCGCCGUUGUUGCAGAUUGUGAUGGUGUUAAUUGUUAUUGAAUCAAUUACUUACAAAAAAUAUUAGUCGAAAGAUGAACGAGUUAGAUAAUCUUCUAAUUGUAUUAAUUUAUUAUUUUAGCUUAUUUUUAUAAUUUUAUUAUUUCUGUUAUUGAUUAAGAAAAUCAUGAGUGCAAUUAAUGAUAAGUACAAUUGGUAUAGUAACAACCCGUUUUUGGUCAAAUUGAAACAAUGGUUUCAAAACCACAAGUCUGAAGUUGAAAUAUUUAUUUUAUUAAGAUCUUAAUGUUUACAGCAUGAUUGAAUGAUUGUGUGAAAGUUUCGUUAACAAAUUUUGUCGUUUGGUAGUCAAUUUGGUAAAAAGGACUAAAUCGCGUAAAGUGCAAAAGUGGAGUUCUAUUAGCUAAAAGUAUUUAAUAGCUAUCGAACCUUAAAGUAAAGGUCUUUAUGUUGUAAUUAGACCAUAAAUGACAUAAGUGGACAUAUAUGGACAUAUAUUAAGGUGUUUUAAAUGGUUUAUAAUAAGGGUAAUUAAGUAAUUUAAAAAUUUAAGUUAAAAUCAGUAAAAUAAAUCAAAGUAUCAUAUUUGUUUAUUCUUGUUUCAACCAAGACUAGGGCUAAGAAAACACCAUUUUUGUGUUCUUCAUUCGUCCAAGCUUAAAUAGCUAAUUAAGGUAUGGUUUUUUUCUCGUUUUUAAUGAUUUCUAUGUUUUUGAGAUCGUUGCAACUAGGUCUAGCUAGCCGAGGGACUAAUUUUCAAAAAUGUUAAAGAUUUUGAAUGUUUCCAUUGAUGAAUAAGCAUGUAUUUUUAAGUUUCUUGAUAUAUUAUGAAUGCUUGUUGAUAGAUAUAUAAGUUUUGUUAAGUGAUUUUUAGUGAAAAUGCAAAAUGGGGAUUAAAUUGUGAAAUGGGUAAAGUUUGUGGUUAAAAUGUGAAAUAAAUGAAAAAUAUGGGCUGCUAGGGGCAUUAUGGUAAUCCUGCUAGCAUGGCUUUAUUGUGAAUUUCAUUAAUUUGUGAUUUUGUGACAUAGGGACUAAAAUGUGAAAAAUGUGAAAUAUUAGGGGCAAAAGUAUAUAUAUUUUAAAGUGUGUUUUGGACUAAAUUGAAUAGAGAGAUGAUUAAAUAAGUUAAUUUUGAUUAUAUAUAGAUUAAUAAAAGAGGAAUUCACACUUAGAUCGGGGAAAAAGAAAAGUAAUUGAAUAGUCGGUCUGUUCCGUCAUUUUCGUAUACGAGGUAAGUUUGUAUAAUUGAACUUAAAUGUGUAUCUAUUAAAUUGAUGGAUGGUAUUGUGAUUGUAUUUAUCUUAUUGUUUAAAUUUAAAAGAUUGAAUUAAAUGUAUGAUUUAAGUUAGAAGAAUUGCUAAAUAAGACCAUAGCUGGGCUAUGGCAAAUCGGAUAAUAAGACCAUAAUCGAGUUAUGGCAUGUGAAAGUAAGACCACGACAGUGCCAUGGAAACUUAUGUGUAUGACCAUGUUGGAUUAUGGCAUCGAAAAAUCGAUGUGCUCGUAUCAUAAGCAAUUAUAAAACUGGAGUGAUUUGGUAAGUGAAUUGAUAAUAAAUAGUUACGUAUCGGUACAGGUAUGUACAGAAAAUGUUCAAGUAACGAAUUAAAAGAAGCUGAGAGCUUAUGCUUAACUAUGUGGUUAAAAUUUAUGUUAACUUAGUGAUUGAUGCUUAAAUGCAAUUUAUUUUAUCUAUUUAGAAAUGUUAAUGAAUGAAAAGAUUAUUUCAUAUUUACAUACGAACUUACUAAGCUUCAUAGCUUACUUUGUUUACCUUUCAAUGUUUUAUAGUAUUUUGAAGCUAGCUCAGAUUCGGGGAUUAUUAGGGACUUCAUCGCACUAUCGGACAACUAUUUUGGUACUUUUGAAGUUUGUAUAUAUGGUAUAUGGCAUGUAUAGGCUUGAGUCAUUUUGGUAUGUUUGAUGAAUAUGUAUUUUGGCUAUUUGAGUUGCCUUAUGAUGAUAAAUUUGAUGAUGUUUAUAAAUGUGCAAAUGGUUCUAUUUUAGUGUGGUAAUUAACCUAUAUUGUAACGCCCCAUACCCGAGACCGUCGCCGGAGUCGAACACGAGGUGUUAACGGACUUAAUUCAUUACUUAAACAGCUCAAACAAUUUAUUUUUAAAACUUCCAGAGAAGUUGGCAAUCUGCGUCACAGUCGCUUAAAAAUUCAUAUCUCGAGUUACAAAACUCGAAAUCAAAUUCCGUAAAUUUUUCCUAAAACUAUACUCAUAUAUAUAUCAACUAAUUGUUUUCUAGAAUUUUUGGUCUGGCCAACUGGUACAUUUUAUUAGUUAAAGUCUCCCUUGUUUUGGGGUUUGACUGCUCUGACCUCUGUGUAUUACGAAUCAAAUAUCUCCCUAUACAGAGUUCCAAUUACUAUGAAGUUUAUUUCUCAUAAAACUAUACUCAAUAAGGAAUCUGUACAUGUAAAUAAUGACUUCUAAUUAUUUUUUUUAAAAUUUUUGGUGAAUUUCCAAAGUCAGAACAGGGGAUCCAGAAAUCGCUCUGGCCCUGUUUCACAAAAAUUUAAAUCUCUCAUAAAUUAUAUCUCAUUUACCUAUUUUGUUUCUUCCAUUUGAAAAUAUACAUAAUAAUGUUUGAUUUCAUAACUUAUUCAUCAUUUAAUUCCAUUUCUACUAUUUUUAGUGAUUUUUCAAAUUCACGUCACUGCUACUGUCUGAUUCUGUUUUGUGCUAAUUUCACCUUUUUCAUGAUUUCCAUGGAAUAACUAGCAUUUAGGCAUACAUAACACCAAACAUGACUUUGAUUAGCCAUUCCAACAGCUAAUCAUUAUCAAGCAUUUACAUACCAAUCAUUAGCCAUAUCAUAAGAUCAUACACACAAAAUGGCUACGAUGCUAUACAUGCCAUACUCAAAAUGAAACGUCUAGCUAUACCAAAAUAAUCCUUGUGAUAGUGUGCCCGGACCUCUAACGUACUUUACGAUCCCUGAGUUAGCUUGACAAAACUAUAAAAAGAAGGAAAAUAAAGGGGGUAAGCAUUAAGCUUAGUAAGUUUACAUGCAAAUAAAUAACAACAUUCAUAAGAACUAUCUUACUACUUGGCAUGAUACUACAUAAUGCAACUUCAUUAAUUGUCAUAGACAUAUUUUAAACUUCUUCACUUACUCACUUAUUUAAAUACUUACUUACUUAAUCAAAUUUAUUAAUACAUUUUACUUACCUUUUUCCUUAUCAAGCAUACAUGAACAUUAUGUACUUACCUUUGCUCUUCUAGCAUGAACUUGUCUUACCUUUUUAGUAUAACUCGUCUUACCUUACCUUACUUUACCUUGAUAUUCUCUUUAAAUUUUCCCGUUGAACCACUUGGAAUACUAAGGAUACACGGGUACCUUACUAUUGCCAUGAUUUGUCAUGGUCUUACGUGGUAUCCUUUUGAAACUUACCAUUUCCAUGUCUUGACAUGGUCUUACAUGGUAUCCUUGCAUUAUGAACUCACCAAUGCCAAGCCUUGGCAUGGUCUUACAUGGGACCUUUGCCUUGUAGUAACUUAUCAAUGCCAUGUCUUGACAUGGUCUUACAUGAUUUCCUUGCCUUAGAAACCUUACCAAUUUCCAUACCUUAGCAUGGUCUUACAUGGUAUCCUUGAACCAUAAUGUCAUGACAUUUGUAUCCUACACAUUCCUAAGGUUCAACCGGGACUUUCUGAAAUUACUUCUCUUUCAAUUCAUGCUUAAGUCUUCUUUGAAUAAUUUCAUAAAAUAAAUUUACACAUGCUGGAAAUUAACAAAAUUAACAUAAAAUAAUAGAAUAUUGCAUUUAUUUACCGCAAACUUACCUCGAAACAAAAUACGAUCAACUAUAUCGAUUUAGUCCACUAUCUUUUUCUUUCCCCGGUCUAACUCUGGAUUUUGUUCUUCUUGAUCUAUAAUAAAAAAAUUUAGCUUAUUUAAUACUCACAUUUAUUAAAAUAGUCCUUGACCCAAACUUUGGCAAAAUUACAUUUUUGCCCCUAAAUUUUCACAUAUUUUCACUUUUGCCCCAAGGCUCGUAAAUUAAACUUCAUCCUAUUUUCUUAUGUUUCAUGACAUGCUGAUCAUUUUUCCCUUUUAUGACAAUAUCAAAUUCACACUCUAACAUGUACUUAUGACUAUUAGGUAUUUUUACCGAUUAAGCCCUUUUACUCGUUUUCACUUAAAACCGAGUAGCACAAGUUGUCUAAUAUAAUUUAAAACCUCAUAUUCUAUCAUAAAACACCAAAAUACACAAAUUUCAGCUAUCGAUAUUUUUCCAAAUAUGAACCUUAGGUUGAAUUAUUGCUAGAAUAAGCUUAAUCAAGUUAUCGGGACUCCAAAAACGUAAUGAUCAUUAAAAACGGGGCUUGGAAUCACUUACUAUGGAGUUUGAAAGCUUGAAACAAACCCUAGCUAUGGAGAACCCUUGAAAUUUCGUCCUAAUGAAGAAUAUGGACAAAACUUGGCCUUUAAUUUUGUUUUUAAUUCAUUUUAAUAACUAAAUGACCAAAAUGCCCUUACUACUAAACUUUCCAAAAAUUCCAUCCAUGUCCAAUUUUUGUCCAUAGACUUAGAAAUUGGUCAAAUUUCUAUUUAAGACCUCCUCAUUAAUAUUCCAAAGCAAUUUCAUACUAAAAACUUCUAGAAUGCAAGUUUUUCAAAUUAUUCGAUUUAGUCCCUAAUCUCAACUUAAGCAUCUUAUGCAUAGAAUUUCAUCACGAAAUUUUCACACAAUCAUGCAAUCAUAUCAUGUAUCUCAAAAUAAUAAUAAAAUAAAAUUUUGUACCUUGGAUUUGUGGUUACGCAACCACUGUUCUAUUUAGGCCCUAUUUCAGGAUGUUACAUAUAUUGUGUGAUUGAGGUUCAAAUUAUAAUGUUUAAUGAUAUUAGGUAAUUUGAUUGCUAAAAGGGUUGAUAAUGUGUAAGCUAUGUGCUUGUGAAUUUGUGAAUAAUAAUGAAAUUUGGAAUGAUUUUAGUGAAUUGAAUUGUAUAUAUGAAUUAGGUAUGUAAUUAGAUGGCAAGUUGUGGCUUAUUGUGAUUUGUAUUGAUGAUAAUGAAAUGGUAUGAAUUGAAUAUUGGUCGAUGAUAUUUGGUUGCUAUUUGUGUCUUGAAAUGGUACUAUAUGAGUUUGUAUAGGUAUGUACAAAUUGGGUGGCAAAAUGGCUUGGUAAAUAGCCUAUUUUUGUCCACACAGUCAGAUACACGGGUGUGUGCCUCAGCUGUGUGUGACACACGGUCAUGUUUCAUGGCCGUGUGUCCUCUGGUGUUGGAUUUGGAACCAAGUCAGUAUGCUCCACAGGGCCUCACACACGGACGUGUGACUUGGCCGUGUGGCAUAAGUAAGUAUACCCUACAGGAUUGACACGGCCUAGCACAUAGCUUGGCACACGAGUGUGUGUGUUGGCCAUGUGUCAAAAGUCAGAGAGUUACAUGGGGUCAGACAUGGGCUGGGACAUGGCCAUGUGCUUCCAUUUCGAAUGUCCACAUGGCCUGUGACACGGGCGUGUUUGGUGGCUGUGUGAGAUACACGGCCUGGCCACACGGGCCUAUGUUCCCUAUUUUGAGAAAAAAAUUUCAAAGUUUCGUAAAAGUUUCUUGGGUUAUCAGUUAAAUUCUAACCACUCCUUAUGCAUGUUUAGGGCCUCGUAGGCUUGUAUAAGGGAUAAAUUGUUUGAGAUUUUACGAGCGUAUUAAUUGAAACUAUUACAGCAAGGUCGCUCAUUCCCAAGCCAAGUACCUUUAGGAUUUAACCGGAUAUAGCUACUCGCUCAAAUGCCUUCGGGACUUAGCCCGGAUAUAGUAACUCACAUAAAUGCCUUCGGGACUUAGCCCGGAUAUAGUAACUCACACAAAUGCCUUCGGGACUUAGCCCGGAUAUAGUAACUCGCACAAACGCCUUCGGGACUUAGCCCGAAACUAGUCACUAGCGUAAAUGCCUUCGGGACUUAGCCCAGUUAUCAUCCAAACAUUCAUGCACAUAUCAACAAAUCAUGACACAUUUAUAUUCCAUUUUCAUAAUCAGAGUUCAAACACAAGUCACGUAUUAAGCAAUCCCAUUUUCGGCUCACUAGCCACAUACAAACAGCCUGGUUUAGUUUGCUUUAUGACACGAUCUCUAUGCACAUACGGCUGCCCGUCACACGUAUAGACAAAUUAACUCAACAUAAAAUUCAAGUAGAAUCAUCAUAUCACCGUAUAUUUGUUACGCUCAUAUGUCAUGACUUAAUCAAAUCGUAAACUAAGUCUCGUUACUCGAAAACUUACCUCGGGUGUUGUCGAACGGUUUCGAUGGCUAUUCGACCACUUUUUCCUUCCCUGUAUCGAAUUUAGAUCCCCUUUGCUCUUGAGCUUAAUUUAAACAAAUAAAUUCAUUUAAUAUUUUCACUUGGCCAAUUCCAUUCAAUACAUGUAUGUCAUACAAUUUAAGUACAAUGACCUUGCUCAAUACUAUUUAAACAUCAUGCAUUACCGAACUUCAUCAACACCAUCUAACUUCAUAUAGAAACACAUAUCGUCCUAGGUCGGUACACAAGUCAAAUGCAUCAUUUAAAUUGUCAAAGUCCACAAUUUAGUCAUAUUUCUCUAUCAUAGUUUCUUCACUUAAACCGAAUUAACAAGCCCAUAUAGUCCUUGGCCGAAUGCUAUUUAACCCAAGUCCUCAAGAAUUUCAUUAUUUAACACCUUAGAUAUCCAUACUAAAUAGGUUAUUUGUACAUACAUAUAUAUACAUAAGUGCAUAGAUACUAUGUUACUAACAAUUAUUUCCUUGCUUAGCAACCGAACCAAUAUACACAUUACUUCAUAUCUACCCGUCACGUUUUCUCUACUUAAACCGAAUAAACUUGCACAUAAGGUCCUUGGCCGAACCUCACUAAAACAAGUCAACCAAAAUCUUAGUAUUUAUCUUGUGUAUAACCUUAUUUACCUUCCAAAAAUCACAAAAACAUCAAACUCUUAAUGUUUAUGUACAAGGCCGAAUCUUAACAUGAUCCAACCUCCAACUCAUUCCUUUCAACAACCAAAACCGAAUGCUCAAGCCAUCACCGAGAUUUCGAAAUUUUGCCAUGGUUUGUGUAAGAAAUUAGCUAAUUAACUAGAAACAAGUUUAAAACUUAAGAAUUUAACACAAUAUACUAACCUCCCCUUAAGCUCAAGGUGACCGAAACCUCUCUUCUUCCUCCUUUCUAACCGGCCAAGAAGAACCAAAGGAUGAAGCCUUUCUUUUUUUUUUCUAGUUUCGGCAAAAUGGGGGAACAACCACACACUUUUUUUUUGUUUUCAUCCUAUUCCCUUUCAUUAUUUUAUUCCCACGCUCCUUAUUUUAUCAUACCUCCCAUGUAACACUAACUUAACAUGUUUAUGACAUGUUUUUGCCCAUCACACUUGGUCCACCAUACUUGUCAUGGCCGGCCACUACUAAUUAGGGGGGAAAUUGACAUGCAAGUCCCCCCCUUUUUAUUUCAUGCACUAAUAGAUCCUUAUGUUUUGACCUAUCACAUUUCAAAAUUUUCUCACAUAAGUCCUAUUUACUAAAAUUCACCUACAAUUAAACAAAAUUCAAAUAUGAAAUUUUCACACAUGCAUAUAUACAUAUAAUAAGCAUCAAAUAUGAUAGCUAAUUAUUUUUAUGACUCAGUUUUGUGGCCCCGAAACCACUUCCCGACUAGGGUCACAUUAGGGCUGUCACAACUCUCCCCCACUUAAGAAAUUUUUGUCCCCGAAAAUCUUACCUGUAAAUAGGUUUGGGUAUCGUUCUUUCAUGGCAUUCUCAGUUUCCCAAGUAGCUUCUUCGAUCUCGUGUUUGAGCCAUAACACUUUCACUAACGGAACCCUUUUGUUUCGCAACUCUUUCACUUCUCGAGCUAGGAUACGAAUCGGUUCUUCUUCAUAACUCAUAUCGGCUUGAAUUUCGACCUCGGAGGGGUUUAUUACGUGCGUAGGAUCGGAUCUGUAAUGUCGAAGCAUCGAAACAUGAAAAAUGUUGUGGAUCCUUUCGAGUUCAGGGGGUAAAAGCAACCUAUAUGCAAUUGGGCCAACUCGUUCGGAGAUCUCAUACGGCCCAAUGAAUCUCAGACUCAAUUUGCCCUUACAGCCAAAUCUGAAUAUCUUUUUCCAAGGUGAUACCUUAAGAAACACUUUGUCUCCCACCUGAUACUUAAUAUGUCUUCGUUUUAAAUCCGCGUACGACUUCUGACGAUCUGAUGCUGCCUUCAGACUCUCACGAACUAUUUGUACUUUCUGUUCAGCAUCUUUAAUCAAAUCCACUCCGAAAAUUUUACUUUCACCGAGCUCGGUCCAAAACAAUGGUGUGUGGCAUUUACGCCCGUAUAAAGCCUCGUAAGGUGCCAUCUUAAUACUUGAUUGAAAAUUAUUGUUGUAAGCGAAUUCAAUCAAAGGUAAGUACCGUUCCCAUGAACCACUAAACUCAAGGAUGCAGCAUCUCAGCAUAUCCUCGAGUAUCUGAAUUAUCUGCUCGGAUUGACCAUCGGUUUGGGGAUGAAAAGCGGUGCUAAAAUGCAACUUGGUGCCCAAAGCUUCUUGCAAUUUCUUCCAAAAUCGCGAGGUGAAUCUCGGAUCUCUAUCCGACACGAUAGAAAUAGGUACCCCGUGUAAUCUCACAAUCUGAGAAACAUACAAUUCAGCUAGUUUAUCCAAUGAAAAAUUCGUACGUACGGGGAUAAAAUGAGCCGACUUAGUCAGUCUAUCAACAACAACCCAAAUAGCAUCUUUCUUACUUGUCGACAAUGGCAACCCAGAUACAAAAUCCAUCGUGACUCGAUCCCAUUUCCAUUCAGGUACCAUGAUCGGCUGAAGUAAACCCGUAGGCACUUGAUGUUCCGCCUACACUUACUGACAUAUUAAAGACUUUUAAACAAAAUCAGAAAUGUCUCGUUUCAUACCAUGCCACCAAAACUGACGUCUCAGAUCGUUGUACAUUUUCGUACUCCCCGGGUGAAUUGACAUUCGGCUACAAUGAGCUUCGUUCAGAAUCAUCGAAAUGAGUUCUGAAUUUCUUGGAACACAAAACCGACUUCUGAACCUCAAACAAUCGUCAUCAUCAAUUUGAAACUCUGAUUCCAUAUUCGGAACACAUUCAGCCCGUUUUGUAACCAAUUCAUCAUCGACUUUCUGAGCUUCACGAAUUUGAUGAAUCAACAAUGGUUUGGCCUUUAAUUCCGCCACUAACACAUUUUCGGAUAGAACAGACAAGUGUACAUUCAUCGCUCGUAAAGCAAACAGUGAUUUACGACUUAAGGCAUCCGCAACCACAUUAGCCUUUCCCGGGUGAUAGUCAAUGACAAGCUCAUAAUCUUUUAACAACUCGAGCCAACAUCUUUGUCGCAGAUUUAAGUCUCUUUGAGUCAUCAAAUAUUGGAGACUUUUGUGGUCCGAAAAUACAUGGCACUUCUCACCAAAUAAGUAAUGUCGCCAUAUUUUCAAAGCAAAUACGAUGGCAGCUAAUUCGAGAUCAUGGGUCGGAUAAUUUUUCUCAUGUGGCUUUAAUUGUCUCGACGCAUAGGCCACAACUCGACCUUCUUGCAUCAAUACGCAACCCAACCCAAGUAGGGAGGCAUCACUAUAAAUGACAAAUUCUUUGCCUGAUUCGGGCUGUACUAGAAUUGGAGCUUCAGUCAAAUAAGUUUUCAGUUGAUCAAAACUUUUCUGACAUUUUUCCGUCCAUUCGAACUUAACAUCUUUUUGAAGUAGCUUCGUCAUUGGUGUGGCUAUCAUCGAGAAACCUUUUACAAACCGUCAGUAGUAACCGGCAAGUCCCAAAAAGCUCCGAACCUCAGUAAUAUUCCUCGGAGGCUUCCAGUUAAGUAUGGCUAAAAUUUUACUCGGGUCAACUCGAAUACCCGAUGCGGAUACCACAUGACCCAAGAAGCUAACCUCUCUUAACCAGAACUCACACUUACUGAACUUAGCAUAUAACUGCUUAUCCCGUAAAAUUUGCAACACUAAUCCCAGGUGCUCAGCAUGUUCGGUCUCAUCUCUUGAAUAGACCAAGAUGUCAUCAAUGAACACAACUACGAAUCGGUCCAAAUACUGUCUGAAGAUCCGAUUCAUCAAAUCCAUAAAUACCGCAGGGGCAUUAGUGAGCCCAAACGGCAUCACUAAGAACUCGUAGUGGCCGUAUCUUAUUCUGAAAGCAGUUUUGUGUAUAUCCGAAUCUCGAAUUCGCAACUGAUAAUAACCCGAUCUCAAAUCUAUCUUUGAAAACACUGAGCCUCCCUUUAGUUGAUCAAACAAAUCGUCAAUACGCGGUAAUGGAUAUUUAUUCUUUAUCGUCACUUUAUUCAACUGACGAUAGUCGAUGCACAACCUCAUGGUUCCGUCCUUCUUUUUCACAAACAAUACUGGUACACCCCAAGGUGAGAAACUUGGUCGAGCGAAACCCCUAUCCGUCAACUCUUGCAAUUGAGCUUUCAAUUCUUUUAACUCGGUUGGUGCCAUACGGUACGGAGCUAUCAAAAUCGGUGUAGUCCCAGGUACAAGCUCAAUACCAAACUCUACCUCCCGAACAGGUGGUAAACCCAGUAAUUCUUCGGGAAAAACAUCCGGGUAUUUGCAAACCACCGGCACAGAUUCAGGUUUCUUUUCUAACUCUUUGUCAUCAAGUACAUACGCAAGGUAUGCUUCGCACCCCUUUCUUACAUAUUUCUGAGCCAACAUUGAUGAUAUUACAGCUGGAAACCCCUUUAAGUCCGUAGACUCAACUCGGAUUAUCUCGUUAUUUGCGCACCUCAAAUCAAUAGUCUUGCUUUUGCAAUUCACAACCGCAUCAUGCACGGUCAACUAAUCCAAACCAAGAAUAACAUCAAAUUCAUCAAACGGCAAAAGCAUCAAGUCCGCCGGAAAACAGGAACCUCGAAUUACUAGGGUACAUUUCUUUCACACUUUGUCGACAAGCACGUAACGACCCAAGGGAUUUGACACCCGAAUUACGAACUCAGUAGACUCAAUAGGUAAAGUCUUACUGGAUGCUAAGGUUUCACAUAUAUAAGAAUGAGUAGAACCAGGGUCAAUCAAAGCAAUCACAUUAAUAUCAAAGAGAGUAAAAGUACCGGUAAUAACAUCUGGCGAGGAAGCAUCCUCGCGUGCGUGUAUAUCAUAAGCUCUAGCAGGAGCACGAGCCUCAGAUCUGGUCGUAGCAUCUCUAGAUCCUCUCUGACCACCACUAGCAUUGCCCGUAUUUCUAGAUGGUCUACCUCGAGCAGUGGUAGCACCCGGUUUCCCACUCUGAUUUACAUUCUGUUCAGACAACCUCGGGCAAUCUUUAAUGAAGUGGUCAACUGAUCCGCACUUGUAACAGGAUCGGUCAUGGAAUCUACAACUCCCCGAAUGCCAUUUACCACAAUAUUGACACUCCGUUCUGUCUCGACGAUCAUUUCCAACACUGGCGAUCGAAGUGACUCGUGCACUCACAGGGGGUCGAUCACGAUCUCGUCUAGAAAAGCCCGAAGUGUCUCUUGAUCAGCCUAGGUCAUCUCUAAAUUUCUUCGAUGACUGUUGAAAGGGCUUUCCCAAAGAUCUCUUACGAAACUCCUUUGCUCCCACAUCAGCUUUCCUUUUCUCCUUACUGAGCUCCUCGGCUUUGCAAGCUCGCUCGACAAGUACAACAAAUUCUCAGAUUUCUAAAAUGCCAACAUACAGCUUUAUAUCAUCAUUCAGCCCAUCCUCGAAACGUUUACACAUCACGGCUUCUGAAGAAAUGCAUUCUCGCGUGUACCGGCUAAGCCUUACAAAUUUUCGUUCAUAGUCGGUAACCGACAUGGAACCUUGUUUGAGUUUAAGAAAUUCCUUCCAUUUUUGGUCAAUGAAUCUCUGACUGAUAUACUUCUUUCGAAACUCAGUUUGGAAGAACUCCCAUAUUACUUGCUCUCUGGGCACAACAGAAGUCAACGUAUUCCACCAAUAGUAGGCAGAAUCACGUAGCAAGGAGAUAGUACACUUUAGGCACUCAUCGGGUGUGCAAGAUAGCUCAUCGAGUACUCGGAUAGUGUUGUCCAACCAAAAUUCAGCUUGCUCGGCAUCAUCGCUGUCCGUAGCUUUAAAUUCAGUAGCCCCGUGUUUUCGGAUUCUGUCAACUGGGGGCUUAUUUGACCUUAUUUGGUCAAUUACCGGAGGUAUUGUAGGUCCAGGGGUGGUAUUUGUCGGGAAUGGAGGUUGUGGAACAGCCGUAUUAGUUCGAAUGUAUUGGUUGAACCAAUCAUUCAUCACGCUAUAAAAAGCUUGUCUAGCUUCAUCAUUCGGAUUACUAGCAUUGGGUUGAGAGUCCGCCGGCGCUGUCCCUUGUGCGGGAGCAGGCGCUACACUCUCAAGAUCAUCAGCUACCGCUCGGUCGGGAUCGGGAUCCAUUACUAUAAAUAAACACAUUUGCAAAUGUCAGAAAUCACCACACUAUCAAAUAAUCACAUAAAAUGGCAUGUAUAGCUAGACCCAAACGCAUUACGGUAGUCCGAGAAUCGACUAAACCGUAGCUCUGAUACCAAUAAAAUUGUAACACCCCGUACCCGAGGCUGUUGCCGGAGUUGGACACGAGGUGUGAACAGACUAAAUUCACUUAUUUGCACAGUCCAUUUUAAAUUUCCAGACGAGCUGGCUAACUGCGUCACUGUCACCUUAAAAAUCAUAUCUCGAGUUCCAAAACUCGAAAACCAGUUCCAUAAAUUUUUCCUGAAACUAUACUCAUAUAUCCAUCUACAUUGUUUUUUCUAGAAUUUUUGGUCGAGCCAAUUAGUACAGUUUAUUAGUUAAAGUCUCCCCUGUUUCAGGGUUCGACUACACUGACCUUCAUGCAUUACGACUUGGAUAUAUCCCUUUACAGGGAUUCAAUACUGAUGCCGUUUGUUUCUAUAGACACUAGACUGAAAAAGGAAUCUAUACAUAUAUGGCAUGACUUCUAAAUGUCUCUGGUUAAUUUAUAAUGAAUUUCCAAAGUCGGAACAGGGAAUCCAGAAACCGUUCUGGCCCUAUUUCGCGAAAACCUAUAUAUCUCUUAACAUACAACUCAUGAUCGCUUCGUUUCUUCCAUGUGAAAGUAUAUUCAUCAAGGGUUGAUUACAUAAUUUAUUCACUAUUUAAUUCCAUUCCUACUAUUUUUAGUGAUUUUUCAAAUCUACAUCACUACUGCUGUCAGCAUUUACCUUUAAGGUAGACUUUACCUAUUUCAUAGUUUCCAUGAUUCAACUAGCCCUUUAGCAUAUAUAGCCCAAAAUAUAAUCAUGAUGAACCAUUCUAAUGGCUAAUCGUUGCCAAACAUUUCCAUGCCUCCUAAUGAACAUAUACAUUCAAGAUGAUUAUAACAUUAUGCUCAAAAUAUAUAUAUAUAAGCCAUUUUCGCAUGGCUAUCCAAAUAUAUACAACACCAAAGUACUUGACUAAUAACAAAAAAAGGGGUGUCCUAUACAUGCCAUUUCAAAGUUCAACCAAAAGUGUACCAAAAGGAGCUUUGAUAGUGUGGGCGACUUCGACUUCAAAAAUCUCGAGUCCGAUAGCUGAAGAACCAAAAUCUGUAAAACAGAGAUUUACAGAAACGGAGUAAGCAUUUAAUGCUUAGUAAGUUUUGAGCCAUAAAAUUUGACACAACUAAAAUGUAGCAUUCAUAUAGCUAAAUGGAUAAUUUGACAUGAACAAAUUCUCAAUAUCAUACUUACUUCACAUUACCCACCCUUAUAGUCAUACACAAAAGAUCAACAUAGCCAAAGGCCGGUAGCUCAUUUAUCGAUUGAGAGAAUACUUAUUUAUAAGGGAUCAACUAAUUCAAAGCACACACGAAACAUACCUCAUCGCUGGGAUUUUACGAGCAUAUUAAUUGAAGCUAUUACAGCAAGGUCGCUCAUUCCCAAGCCAAGUACCUUUGGGAUUUAACCGGAUAUAGCUACACGCUCAAAUGCCUUCGGGACUUAGCCCGGAUAUAGUAACUCGCACAAAUGCCUUCGGGACUUAGCCCGGAUAUAGUAACUCGCACAAAUGCCUUCGGGACUUAGCCCGGAUAUAGUAACUCAGACAAAUGCCUUCGGGACUUAGCCCGGAACUAGUCACUAGCGUAAAUGCCUUUGGGACUUAGCCCGGUUAUCAUCCAAACAUUCAUGCACAUAUCAACAAAUCAUGACACAUUUAUAUUCCAUUUUCAUAAUCAGAGUUCAAACACAAGUCACGUAUUAAGCAAUCCCAUUUUCGGCUCACUAGCCACAUACAAACAGCAUGGUUUAGUUUGCUUUAUGACACGAUCUCUAUGCACAUACGGCUGCCCGUCACACAUAUAGAAAAAUUAACUCAACAUAAAAUUCAAGUAGAAUCAUCAUAUCACCGUAUAUUUGUUACGCUCAUACGUCAUGACUUAAUCAAAUCGUAAACUAAGUCUCGUUACUCAAAAACUUACCUCGGGUGUUGUCGAACGGUUUCGAUGGCUAUUCGACCACUUUUUCCUUCCCUUUAUCGGAUUUAGAUCCCCUUUGCUCUUGAGCUUAAUUUAAACAAAUAAAUUCAUUUAAUAUUUUCACUUGGCCAAUUCCAUUCAAUACAUGUAUGUCAUACAAUUUAAGUACAAUGACCUUGCUCAAUACUAUUUAAACAUCAUGCAUUACCGAACUUCAUCAACACCAUCUAACUUCAUAUAGAAACACAUAUCGUCCUAGGUCGGUACACAAGUCAAAUGCAUCAUUUAAAUUGUCAAAGUCCACAAUUUAGUCAUAUUUCUCUAUCAUAGUUUCUUCACUUAAACCGAAUUAACAAGCCCAUAUAGUCCUUGGCCAAAUGCUAUUUAACCCAAGUCCUCAAGAAUUUCAUUAUUUAACACCUUAGAUAUCCAUACUAAAUAGGUUAUUUGUACAUACAUAUAUAUACAUAAGUGCAUAGAUACUAUGUUACUAACAAUUAUUUCCUUGCUUAGCAGCCGAACCAAUAUACACAUUACUUCAUAUCUACCCGUCACGUUUUCUCUACUUAAACCGAAUAAACUUGCACAUAAGGUCCUUGGCCGAACCUCACUAAAACAAGUCAACCAAAAUCUUAGUAUUUUUCUUGUGUAUAGCCUUAUUUACCUUCCAAAAAUUAAAAAAACAUCAAACUCUUAAUGUUUAUGUACAAGGCCGAAUCUUAACAUGAUCCAACCUCCAACUCAUUCCUUUCAACAACCCAACCAAACCGAAUGCUCAAGCCAUCACUGAGAUUUCGAAAUUUUGCCAUGGUUUGUGUAAGAAAUUAGCUAAUUAACUAGAAACAAGUUUAAAACUUAAGAAUUUAACACAAUAUACUAACCUCCCCUUAAGCUCAAGGUGACCGAAACCUCUCUUCUUCCUCCUUUCUAACCGGCCAAGAAGAACCAAAGGAUGAAGCCUUUCUUUUUUUUUCUAGUUUCGGCAAAAUGGGGGAACAACCACACACUUUUUUUUUUGUUUUCAUCCUAUUCCCUUUCAUUAUUUUAUUCCCAUGCUCCUUAUUUUAUCAUACCUCCCAUGAAACACUAACUUAACAUGUUUAUGACAUGUUUUUGCCCAUCACACUUGGUCCACCAUACUUGUCAUGGCCGGCCACUACUAAUUAGGGGGGGAAAUUGACAUGCAAGUCCCCCCUUUUUAUUUCAUGCACUAAUAGAUCCUUAUGUUUUGACCUAUCACAUUUCAAAAUUUUCUCACAUAAGUCCUAUUUACUAAAAUUCACCUACAAUUAAACAAAAUUCAAAUAUGAAAUUUUCACACAUGCAUAUAUACAUAUAAUAAGCAUCAAAUAUGACAGCUAAUUAUUUUUAUGACUCGGUUUUGUGGCCCCGAAACCACUUCCCGACUAGGGUCACAUUAGGGCUGUCACAAUGGCUGAAAACCAAGGCAACCAGCUACCUCCUGCAAUUGCGGUUAAUCAAAAUCCUACUCCACGUACUAUGGAUAUUAUGCUAAACCUUAUUUAACAGGAACUAAAUCGAGCAUAGUUAGACUUGUUGUAGCUGUAAAUACUUUUGAAUUAAGACCUAACACUAUUCAAAUGAUACAGCAAUUUGUUCAGUUUGAUGGUUUGCAGGAUGAGGAUCCCAACGCUCAUUUAGCCAACUUCUUAGAACUAUGUGAUACAUUUAAAAUUAAUGGUUUCUCUAAUGAUGCCAUUCAUCUUUAGUUAUUCCCUUUUUCAUUGAGGAACAAAGCUAAACAGUGGUUGAACUCGUUACCACGAAGGUCAAUUACUACUUGGGAACAAAUGACCGAAAAAUUUUUACUAAAAUAUUUUUUGCCGGCUAAAACGGCUAAAUUACGUAAUAAUAUCUCUCCUUUUGUGCAAAUGGAUUUAGAAACACUCUACGAUGCAUGGGAGAGAUACAAGGACCUUUUGAGAAGGUGCCCUCACGGUGGGUUACCACUUUGGCUACAGGUUCAAACAUUCCAUAAUGGCCUGAAUCCUUCGACUUGAAAAAUGGUUGACGCAGCUGCUGGUAGAACCAUCAAUAAUAAAACAUCUGAAGAUGCCUAUGAGUUUAUAGAAGAGAUGUCAUUGAAUAACUAUUAGUGGCAAGUCAUGAGGACAAAGCCAACAAAAACAACUGGCGUUUAUAACGUCGAUUCGAUCACCAUGCUCUCUAAUCAGGUAGAACUCUUAAAUAAAAAGAUUGAUGGUUUUCUUAGUUCUUCACAGGUUCAGUCAGUGAUGCAGUGCGAAGCAAGUGGUGGUGUAAUAGGCCAUUCAGAAUACCAACCUUACCGCCACAACAUGGAUAACGAGCAAUUAAAUUACAUGAGUAAUAAUCAUCGACCUCAAAACAAUCCAUAUAGUAACACUUACAAUGCAGGUUGGAGGAACCAUCUCGAUUUCUCGUGGGGGGGCCAAGGAAAUCAGAAACCACCUUCAGGCUACCAACAACCACCUUACCAAUAGGAAAAGAAGCCGAACCUUGAAGAGAUACUUUCAAAGUUUAUAUCGGUGUCAGAAACUCAUUUCUAGAACACCGAAACAGUACUUAAGAAUCAACAAGCAUCAAUCUAAGGGCUCGAAACUCAGAUAGGCCAGCUUUCCAAACUAAUCUCCGAAUGACCACAAGGUAGUUUGCCGAGUAAUACCGAACCUAACCCAAGGGAACAACUCAACGCAAUUAAUAGUCAAGAUGAUGAAGGAGUCGUUGAGCCUAUACCAGAACUGAGGCAAGAAACUAUGGUAAGCAAAGGUCAAGGUAAGGUAGAUCAACAUACAAACAAAUCGGUGAAUGUCAAAUAUAAACCUCGUGUGCCAUACCCCAACACGACAAGUAAAAACUGCUCAGAUGAACAAUUUGGUAAAUUCCUUAAACUCUUAAAAAAGUUACAUAUUAACUUAUCGUUUAUUGAAGCCCUAUCACAGAUGCCAAACGCAAUAAAAUUUUUAAAAGAGCUUUUAGCAAAUAAGCGGAAGUUGGACGAGGCAUCGCAUGUGGAGCUAAACUCAGUGUGCUCAGUUAUUCUAAAAAAUCAGCUAACAAACAAACUAAAAGAUCCAGGGAGUUUUACGAUUCCUUGCUUGAUUGGAAGUUUAGAUGUUAAUAAUGCAUUAGCUAAUUUUGGAGCUAGUAUCAAUGUCAUGCCUUAUAAAAUGUUUAAGCAAAUAGGUCUCGAGAAACCUAAACAGACUAGGAUGAGCAUUCAAUUAGCAAAUAAAACUAUAAGAUUUCCUAGGGGUAUUAUUGAAGAUGUGCUAGUAAAAAUCGAUAAAUUUAUAUUUCCCGUUGACUUCAUUAUUUUAGACAUAGAGGAGGAUAGCAACACUCCUUUAAUUCUAAGAAGGCCCUUUUUAACAACUGCUAAAACAAUUAUUGAUGUUAGCACAGGUGAGCUCACACUUUGCGUAGGAGACGAAACAAUCACCCUUCAAGUUCGCAAUUUUGACAACACAUCGAAAAUUGAAGGUGAUCGUCUAGACCGUUCUAUUAAAAUUGACCACAUGAUACAACCCACUUUACAGGAGAUAAGUCUGAAGGAAGUACAUGAGCCACUCUCAAACAAUAGUAGAGGAUCGAUUCAUGAGGAACGAAGGCUGCAAAUAGAGGAGCUAGAUGAAUGGCGAACACAUAAACUGAGAACACACGAUAAACCGAAACUACGCUAGAAUGAGCUCGAUACCUCUCCAAAUCGACUUAAGGUUGGAGAUAUAGUCUUAUUAGAUACCGUAGAUCCCCACAUCGUCACUACCGAACCGAAUGAAGAAAUCCCUCUUAUGGUACUCAGCCUUUUUCCAUUCGGUAUGGUGGAGGCAAGUCAUCCCAAGUUCGGCAUUUUUAAGGUAAACAACACCCGUUUAAAACCUUAUUUUAAGAUUGAUAGCAGGAAUAAGGCGUAUAAACUCCUCGAACCACCAUGAUCAUUCAACGGAGAGGUAAGUUGAGCUUAGACUAUAAAUAAGCGCUUCUCGAGAGGCAACCUGGGCACUAACUGUAUUCAACAUCUAACUUACUAACAGAGCUCUUGAAUAUAGGUUUUCCACAAUAGACACGGCCAAGCACACGGGUGUGCUUAUGGCCAUGUGAAAAUAGGGCAAGGAUUUCUCCAAACACGAGCUACGAUAAAAUGCCACGACCGUGUGACAUGGCCGUGGUCGAGCCUGGCAAAACAACACGGGCUGCGACACGCCCGUGUGGAAGACCCGUGGUUGAAACUGAGAAACUAGCACGGGUGUGCGACAAGCCCGUGUCUAACACCCGUGGUCAAACCUAUCAAAUUAACACGGGCGUGGGGCUUGCACACAUGAGCAUGGGAGAAGCGAACGAAGCUAGACACGGUCGUACGAAAUGGCCGUGUGAACCCACACACCUGAGGAACACGAGCGUGGGAAAAAUUUUAGAUGCGCCCAAAUAGGAAAAAUGCCAAACACACAGGCAAAAAUUAGGGAACACGGGCGUGUGCCAUGGCCGUGUGGCCCAAAAUCUAUAAAUACCCUGCACUGUUCACUUUCUUCCCCAUUCAAAAACCCUAACCCUAGCCGCUGCAAGUUCACACGGCAUCCUUGCCACGCCCGUGCGCUGCCUCCAACUUUAUUUUUGACGUUCAUUCUCCCUUUUCUAGCGUUUGUUUCCUCUCUCCCCUUUAAGUGCACUCAUUUACAAUGCUAUUUAUUUUAGAAAUCUAUAGUUUUCAUGUUAUUUUCAUCUUUCUAUCACACAAAUUUCAAUUAUGGGACAAGUUAUCAUCUGUAAACUCUCAUUCAUUUUAUGAUUGCUCUACUUUAGUUGAUUAGUUGGAAGUAAUUAUUCAUGCUUAGAACAAUAUAUAUACUCAUGCAUUUAGUGUUAACAUUUUUCAUCCAUCACACAUGUUGCAAUCCAUGAAAUUCGUUGCCAUUUUUAUGCCAUUUAAUUAACUACUUUGAUUAACCUGUUAGUUUUAGUAGUUGCUGAAAUUAUGAUUGUUAUUUAUAAAUUAUCUUCAUUCUACUUUUAUCAUCCCUCAAAAUGAACUAAUGUUUUUUUUACAGACUUUUAAAUGUCGUCUUCACGAGGAAAGAAGGCCGCUAUCCCUGCUUCGAAGAAGAGGAAGUGAGCGUCAUCUUCCAUGGGUCCAACCACAAAAAUUCGUCACCCUCUCAUUCAGUUCCUUCGAGGGCCCCAGGAAGAACUUUUCCAAAUACUUUGGGCCUGACCUUUAAUUGUGGGCUGCUGCAUCGACUGGGCCGCUGUAGAAUAAGUUCAAUUGGCUGAUGCGAUUUGGGCCCUCCUAACCACCGAUCCUUGGGAGCUGUUCUUUAGGAUCAUCGAACCAACAUACCUCGAGCUCGCGAUGGAACUAUGCUCAACGUUCUAUCUUCAGACCGUAAUAACGAACUACGAUGAUCCCGGCAAGGUCCAGUUUUGCCUAGGUUGGUUAGUCCGCCAGCUAAGAGUCCAAAAUUUGGUGCUGCACUGGGCUUAUAUACGGAGGAGUUCAAGGAGGAGAACGACUUAGAUACUCUCACUCGCCACAUACAUUUCUCUCCCUUGAAGUGCUGGCACACUUUGGCCCUUGGCGCAGCCUCCUACAAUCCUAGCCACUCCAAGGCAUCAGUUCUCCCACCAUCCCUGAGGUACUUACACUCUAUUUUAGCUCACAUGAUUACAGGGAGGUGCGAGAGCAUUGGCGUUGUCAACACCCACGACGCCUACUUCUUAUGGUGCAUGUCGCACGGGCACGUCAUCGACCUUACCUAUUUCAUCGCCCUGUGAUUCAGCACCAGGCGGAGUGGCAUAGGAAGGGGGUCAUCUCCAUCGGCCCCUACGUGACUCGGCUGGGCUGACACUUCGAGCUCCUUGACACCGCGGCCUAAGAAUCAUCCCUCACCCUCAUCGGCCAGAUGUCUCCACAAGGUAUCUCGAGCAUGCUUAGCAUGAGGAUGAUCGAGAGGCGUCGAGGAACCUACCCUCCCCAAUAUCGUCUCGCCCAAUCUACCAAGGAGGAGGCCUACGAGGACAUUCCUGAUGAUGUCCCUCCACAACAUGAGGACCCAUCGACUCAGUCACCACCACCCUCUCGUCCAGUUCAUGCAGCGGCUUCAUAUGCUGACAUCUCUGAGCGCCUCAUUCGAUUCGAGUAGUAGUGUUUUCAAUGAUUUGACAACAUUGAUGCUACUCUACAGUAGAUUUGUCAACACCUCUACAUCUCAUCGCCAGUCCCACCUCGUGAACCAUCCAGCGAUGAAGAUGUUUAAAAACAUUUAUUUAUUAUUUUAUGUUUUUCAUUUUUAUUACAACAACUUUUUAUUUUUAGUUGAUUUUAUAAUUUUAUUUUUAAUUAUCAAUUUUGGUUUUUUCUUUAUAAGUAAUUCUUCUUCCUAAUAUCCCUAAGAGGUACAUGAUUUUAUCACAAUUAUAUAGAGCUCUUGAGCUCAUCAUCACAUAGGAACUAAAAUCUCCACCGGGAAAGGUUCUCCACGACUGCCAUGUCUUGCUCAACCAUGGCCAUAGCUACCACUAGAUAUAAUAUUCUUUUGGCACAAGACUUAUGGACUAAUGAACCUCUACGACCGCCAGGGUAUCUUCCUCCACUCUCGAACCAAUUACUCUCCAAAACUCCAGUUCGAGGAAUUCAUCAUACACGAAGUUUCACUUUUCUCCCUAUCUUAUUUUUAUACUCUAAUAUCUAUAUUUGUACAUUGAGAGCAAUGUACAUCUUAAGUGUGGGGGGAUAUUUAUUUCAUUGUCAGAAUAAUCCCUGAAUUACUACCUUGUUCUCUUGAAAAGCUCUCAUAUCAUAAUUAGGAUGAAUUUUGAUUGAUUUAUGAUGUUUGUUGAUACAUCUUGAAUUAAAACAUAAGCAUUUAUGCAAUGAUUGUUUAAACUUCAAGACAUUAGAGAAUCAAGGAUGAUAGGUUGAUUUUUUUGUUAAGAAUUUAAAAUCUUAGGUUGUUUCCCCAAAGUUUAGGUACUACUUUAAGUUGGAAUUCACAAGUUUUAAACAUCAAAAAGCCAUAAUUAUUGUGAGAUUUUUGAGCCUUUUGAGCAUCUAUUAAUUCUUUCAUGUUCACUUUUAUUAUUGCUUUGAGUGUGUCAAUAUUGAACUGUUAUUCUAGAACUUGCUUGAUUAUGCAUGUCGAGACCACACCAUUUGAUUUGACAUGUCAGAAUGAUUAAGGCACUUAGAAUUAACCCAUUCAUGCCAUGAAAAGCCUACCUCCAUGAUUAACCCCUAGUAAACCCCCUUGAGCCUAACAAGCCAUUUCUUGUAUUACCCUUAAUAUUAACCCUUAACCCAUUAUUGUUGAAAUCUCCUGAAUUAAUCCCUAUUUUUGUCGAGAUUUGAGUUGAAUGGAUUGCUUAGCUAUGUUUUUUUCUUAAUAGUUAGUCUAUGUUAUUUAAUUUGUUCUUAAAAAAAAACAACAGCAACAAAAAAUUAUGUAUAUAUAUUAGUAAUUCCAUAUUCUGAGAAGAAGCUCUGUUGUACGCAAGUGAAGAUUAACUCUUUUUCUAGUUAGGCAAUUUUUCAAUUCAAUCUCGAUUCAAUCUUGAUUCUAACUCAAUAACCAAUAAUGCUCUAAUUUCAUGUUCUAUACUUAGGAGAGCAUAGGAGAGUGAAAUGAAUGAGAAACAGGCCAAAAAUGAAAAAAUGGGCCAAUGUACGAAAUCAACACGGUCUGGACCUCCUUACACGGGCAUACCACAUGACCAUGUAAUUUUGGCAGGCUCGAGCAUGGCCUGAAGUAAUCGUACACAGGCGUGUCCCUGCUAAGCCAAAGUUAAGUCCAAUUCAGAAAAGGCUAAUUUUAAGGGCUCUUAGGCAUUCCAAAGCCUAUAAAUACACCCUGAAAAAGGACACAGGAUAGGGCUAAGGAAUUACUCCAAGAAAGCCAAUUGAUUCAUCUCAGAAGCCGAAUUCAUCAUCAAGACUGAAGAUCUCUCCUCAAUUCCCCUUCAGGAGUUUUGGGUUUUCUUUAUGUUUUGUAUUCUUUAUUAUUCUGGGAUUUUUUCUUAUUUAGUUAUGAACUAGAUCCCCUAAAUACCUAAGGGGAAUGAAACCUAAGACGAAUCUUGUUAUUAUUUUCUGAAUUGUAUGAUAAAUAUUUGAAUUGUUCUUAAUUCUAUGUUAUUAAUUCUUGUUUUGAUAUCCUAGGAUAUUGAUUCAAGAUAAGCUCUUAUUCAGAGGAGGAAUAGACCCUAUCUAAGAGUACAUUUAUCAUAAUUAAGCGGAGUUGAUUACGCGCCUAGACAUAGGGUGACAAGAUUUUGCCAGAUUAGGGUGAAACCUAAUAAGGGGAUCCAUAGAUCGAGUUAAUGCAAUCCUAGAGUGUUAAUUAGAGAAAAGUCUCGGUUAUUCAAUCUAGGGAUUAGAUGUUAUUAGUCUUGAAUAGGGAUAAUAACAUAACUGAGGGAUCUCUACAGAACAAGUUAAAUUAAUAAAUCGUCCGAUUUGGAGCCAGAAUAACAAGUACAGUCUAGGUGGAUUUUUCUUUAGGUAUUGUCUUCAUUCAAUCGAUUUUUCCAAAAGAAAUUCCCCAAUCCCAUUCUCUGUGCAUUCUUAGUUUAGAUAAUUAGUUAGUUAAAACAAAAACCUCUUUAUUCUUAGUCUAGAUAAUAAAAAAACAGUCAUUACUAGUACUUUUAGUUCCUUUGGGUUCGACAGUCCGGUCUUGCUAAAACUAUACUACUGUUUGAUAGGUACACUUGCCUACAUCGCGAUAAUAGUUAGUUCAAGAAUGAGUAAUUAUAAAUAUUUAAAACCUAUCACGAAAUCACGCGAUCACUUGUUAUAUAUGUUAUAAACAUAAAUAACUUAUAAAUUAAAGACAUGUAAAUAUGUAUUAUAAUAUAAUAAUAAAGUAAAAUAAAUGAAGAGAAAGUGGGAAAGGAAGAGCGUAACAUGCAAAUUAAAUAGAAAAGAAAAAGAAAGGAAGAAAAGAGAAAGAAGCGCACGACCAUAAGGGUUUAAAGCCUUCCAAGUUCAAUUGGUUAGUUAAUUUAGUCACUUUUGUUGUAAUUUUUAUGUUUUUGGAAUUCUGGUACUUAGGGAUAGCCAAACUGUGUUGUAAUUUUUUGUAUUGUUUAGAAUUUUGGAUGUUAUUAUUAUUGAGUAGUUUAAAUGCUAGGGGCUAUAUUGAUAGAUUUUUUAGUUAGAAAUAGAAAAGGACUAAAUUAUAGGAGUUACUGUUAAUUUUGAGCAAACUCAAAAUUUAAAGGUAUAAUUAAAAAUCAGGAGUUAAAUUUAGUUUGAAGUGAAAUGAGUACGAAAAUAUAGAGUUAAUUGUGAAGAUUAAAAAUUAGUCUUGGUUUAGGGACUAAAUUGAUAUUUAGGAAAAUGUUGAGUAACAAUUGAAAUAUUCAAUGUGGAAUUGCAUUGUGUAGUAUUAAUGUAUUUUAAUUGUUUGAAUUUCAUAGCUAACAUCGUACCGGAAUCCUAGACUAAAAAGGGGAAGGAUAAAAUUGAUGUCGAAUAGCUCGGAAUCCACGAUUUGUAUUUCUAUAAUUCGAAACUAGUUGUUAAUUGUUGUAAUUUGAAUUAUUACAUAUGAUAAGUAGUUGAGGUGAGUACUUUGGUACUUUGAGAUUGAAUUGAAAUUAUAGUUGACUGAAAUAGAUUGAAUUGAUAUAGAUAUUAUGAAUGUAUUAAUUAUAUGAAAUUGAAAUGAAUAUAUGAUUAAAUGUGAUAAUGUGCAUAUAUGAGAAUUGGAUAUUGGAUUUAUUUGUAAAUGAAAUGGAACCCUAUUAAUUGUUUUGAGCUAAGUCAGAUAUAGAUGGCAUGCCAUAGGAUAGGAAGAGUUUAGGGAUUUCUUCGACUUUGAGUCGAUGAGGCACUGGGUGCCAAUUUGCUUCGGUUUAAUCGAUGAGACAUUGGGUGUUAAUUUAUAUAGUGUUGUAACACCCCUUACCCGUAUCCGUCGCCGGAACAGGGUAUGAGGUAUUACCGAAUCAUAAUACAUACCAUUAAAUAAAACCAAAACAAAAAAUAUGGCAUACAAUUAGAUCAUGAGUCAUUAUAACAUAUGCCUUUAAUAAUAUUAGCCAAUUUCAAAGGCUUCGUACAAAAUAAUCGGUCAAAUACUAUACUUAAUAUUUUAAGACCUAGAUAAUUAUGACACAUAACAAAAUAACUAAGUCUACUAUACAUGCCAUAAUUCAAAAUGUUUAGUUCAAAUACCCAAAAAUAUUGAUAGUGCAGGUAGAUCUUCAACGAUCCUUGACUCCUGUGCAAGUUGGACGACACUAUAAGACAAAAGAGAGAAAAGAGGGUAAGCUUAUAGCUUAGUAAACAAGUAUGUAAAUAAUGAAUAAGAAUCUAAUAUGUUUACACAAUAACUCAAGUGUAUCUACUUUUAAUUUCACCAUUUACUCCUCUUUGGUCAAGCUGUCUCUACUGCAUCCUACUCACUAAAUAAAUCAUAACUCGAGUUACAAAACUCGAAAUUCAGUUCCGUAAAAUUUUCCUAAAACUAGAUUCAUAUUAAUUUUUGCUAAUUUGUUUCUAGAAUUUUUGGUCCAGCCAAUUAGUACAGUUUAUUAGUUAAAGUUUCCCCUAUAGUACGAAUUGAAUUUCUCCCAUUACACAAUUCAAAUAGCCAUGAAAUCUGUUUCAUUUAAAACUAGACUCAAUAGGAAUCUAGAAAUAUAAACUAUAUUUCUUAAUUAGUUUUGUACAAUUUUUAAUGAUUUUUCAAAGUAAGAAUAGGGGAUCACAUAGUCAUUCUGAGCAAGUCACACACAAUUAUAAAUAUCUCAAAUUAUAGAGUUCCUUUACUUGCCCUGUUUCUUUUACAUGAAAAUAGACUCAUUAAGAUUUAAAUUCAUAUCUCAUUCAGCCUCUAAUUAAAUUCCUACUAUUUUUGGUGAUUUUUCAAAUUCACAUCAUUGCAACCAUCCAAAACAGUAUUAUUGCUAAUUCACUCUUUCACACUUUCUUUGUAUUUACCUCAUUUAGCCUACAUAUCACAAUUCACUUUCACCACAUUUCAUACAUCACAAGUGUAGGUUCAUGAUUACAAUGUCACUAUAAAAUCAUCCCGUUGAACAAUUCGGAUCAAUCCUCGAUACUUAGUGGUUUCAGCACACAGCUCCACCAUCAUAUUUCAUAUAAUUCGGUUCUCUUGUACACAUGGUGAACACUUAGUACCACCCAUGUGACCUAGCCAAUUUAUCUCGUAGCUCUCUUGUCUACAUGGUGUCCUUCACUUGGAAUCACACAUGCGACCUAGCUACAUUUAUCCUCUCCCGUAGCUCUCUUGUUUACAUGGGAUACAUCCCGUAUCACACAUGUGACCUAGCUACUACAUAGUGUCUCGUAGCUCUCUUGUACACAUGAUGUGCACUUAGCACCAUACAUGUGACCUAGCUACAUUUCAUCUAUAUUAUUCAAUCUUUCCGAAAGUUCAACCGAGAUUUCUCUCACUAUUACUUAUUUCCAUUCUUCCAAUAGUCGAUUUAUGAUUCAAAAUCAACUAAAACAUAUAAAAUAGGCUAAAAUACAAAAAUGUAAAUGAAUUUAAUGUAUUAUUUAUAUACAAACUUACCUCGGUGCAAAAUAUUGAAAUUUUGCAAUUUAGUCCAAAACCUUUUCCUUCCCUCGUUCGAGGUCAAUUCCACGCAUUUCUUGAUCUAUAACAACACAUUUAGCUCAUUUAACACUCAUACUAUUUAUUUCAAUCCAAAAAUCACAUUAUGUAAAAAUUACAUUUUUGCCCCCUACUUUUACAAAAUUAUGAUUUUGCCCCUAGGCUCAAAAAUUUAAUUUCAGCCCUUAUUCUUAUGUUUUAUGACAUGCUGAACAUUUUUUUCUUCUAUAACAGCAUCAAAUUCUCACUCUAACAUGUACUUAUGAGCAUUAGGUAUUUUUACCGAUUAUACCGUUUUGCUCGUUUUCGCUAAAAAUCGCUUAGAAAAGAUCGUUCUCCUAACCUCAAACAUUCAUAUUCUACAAUCAAACAUCAAAAUACAUGCAUAUCAUUCAUGGGUAAAUUUUUAAACAUAAACCCUAACUCGAAAUAAUGGUAGAAAUAGGUAAACCGAGCUACGAGGAUUUCAAAAAUGUAAAAAAAACAUUAAAAACGGGGCUUGAAUGCACUUACUAUUGAGCUUGAAAGCUUGAAACAAACCCUAGAUAUGGAGAACAUGCAAUUUUCGGCCAAGAUAAAUGAGGAUGAACACAUUUUUGUGUUAUUUUUCCCAUUUUAUUUCAUUUAUUAUGCAAAUGACCAAAAUACCCUUACUACUAAACUUUCUAAAAAUUCCAUCCAUGUCCAAAUUUUUGUCCAUAUAAAGUAUAAUGGUCUAAUUUCCAUUUAAGGACCUCUAAUUAAAACCCCCAUUUCAAUCAAGUACUUUAUGAACUAGAACACACACAUUUUUCACCUAUUUCAAUUUAGUCCUAAACGUCAAAUUAAACACCCAAUCGAUAAAAUUUCGCAACGAAAUUCUCACACGAUUAUGCAAUCAUAAUAUAAACACUAAAACUUAAUCAAAAUAAUAAAUUCUUGAAUUCGUGGUUUCGAAACCACUGUUCUAUUUUGGCCCUAAAUCGGGCUGUUACAAGUGUUGGAUGCAAUUAUUACUUUAGAUUUAUCUAAUGAGGCACUAGGUGCCAAACUGGUGUGUUGGUUGGAUCCGUGUAUCAAUCCGAGUCCGAGUCAUGGUAAUAGAGGUAAAUAAAUAAUAAAUUUCUAUAAUUGAUAUUGAUAUGGCAAGGUAUGUGAAAUGGAAAUGAGAUAGUGGAUUGAAAAAUGAAAUGUGAAAAAUGUUGUGAAUAAAUGAAAUAUAUGAGUUAUGUACUCAUGAAUUGUAUACGAAAUAGAUAAUGCCAUUGUAUAAAUGAAAUGUGGAUUGAUAUGUGAAAAGCUAUUUAUAUAACAAGUGAUGUGAAUUGAGAUAUUUGUUAAACGAACCAAAUAUGAUAACAUGUGAAAAUUGAGUAUAGUAUGAAAUGAUAUGGUAAUAUAUAUGAAAUUGAAAUAAUGAUAUCUUGUAAUUGUAAUCUUAGACAAUAGUAUGUUUGUAUAAUUCAAUUUAAGCAUUCUUGUGUUAUUAUGUUUUUAAUGUUUGGAUUAUAGAAAUAUCAUUGAGUUUUACUCAACAUGAGAUCUUGUUGUUCGUGCGAAGGUUAGGUACUUCUCUUUUGAUCGCUUACUCAGCAUCCAAUAAUGAUCUCGAUCUCAAGUGUGGUGAUGUUUACUUUUUGUAAUGGUAUGUACCUAGGAUGUGUUUGGUUGUUAGUGAUUUUUUGAAUAGGAUGUAAAUUGAGUUUUAAGUAUAAUGUUGGUUUGGUAUAUGAACAUAUGUUUGUGUUGAAGUAAUAAGUUUGGCAUGUUGUUUGAACCAAGGCUUGGUAUGUGUAUGUGAACUUAAGCUUGAUGUUUUAGGUAGAAAUAUGUUAGGCUAAAUUGGUUGUUUUGGUAUACUUAAAAUCUUGAUUUGAAUGUUGCAUUGAUAAUAUGUUUUGAUGAUAUAAAUUGUGGCACCAAUAAGGGUACAUUGGUUAGGCACCUAAGAUGAUUAUUUUGGCAUUUUUUUGAGUAUAUUUGUUCAUAUUUUGAAUAGAUUAAAUGAUUGGUUUUUGAGUUGCUUAAUGCUCAAGCAAGUAGGAAAUGGUAAACUUGUUGUUUAAGGUACAUUUUAGGUCCACACGGCUAGACACACGGGAGUGUGACUUGGCCAUGUGAGAUACACGACUUGGCGACAUGGCCGUGUGUUGCCUAUUGAGUGCUUAGGGUGCAAGUCAGAUAGCACACGGCCUGGUACAUAGGUGUGUUGGGCUAUUUCGAGUGUUACACGGCCUUACACACGGGCGUGUGACCCUACUCAGCGAGUUACACGAGCAGAGGAACGGGCUGGGACAUGGUCAUGUGUCACUAGUUCGAAUGUUACAUAGGCAAGGACACAGACUGAGACACAGCGGUGUGUCCCUAUUUCAAUUGUUACACGGCCUAAGACAUGGGCGUGUGUCUCACCCUGUGAGGUACACAGCCUGGCCACACGACCGUGUGACCUUUGACUUUAAAAUUUUGUGAAUUUUUCUUAGGGUUUUCAAAUGAUUUCAAAUUGGUCCCGAUUUGUUUCUAAAGUAUUUUUGGGGCCUCUAGGGCUCGAUUUAGGGACAAUAUGUGUAUGCAUGAAUGAUUUAAGUUAUGUUUAUGCUAUUUAAUGAAAUUAAAUGUAAAGGUUUUGAUUGUACGGUAAUGUUCGUAACCAUAAUCUGAGACGGAAAAGAGUUAAGGGUGUUUCAAAAUCGGUGGACUGAUAAUAAUGAAUACAAUAUGCCCAAACAUUUGGACGAGUUACCUUAUGAUGCGUAUGGGAGUUAUGACCACAAAUAUAAAAGCAAGUAUCUGGAGGAACUUGUACGUGAGCCGAAUAAACAUUCAUCAGAUUGUGAUCAAAUCUACCAUGUAACAACUCAUUUUCUAGUCGUUUUGGGGCCACAAAUUUGACGAGUAAGUUCAUAAAUAUUAUUAUUUAAUAUUUACGAGUCAAAUAUGGUUUUAGAAAGGUUUUUGAUACGGUAAUUUAUGUUAUAUAAAUGAUUAAUUAAGUUCAAGUGGUAAGACACUAAGGUCAAAUGGUUUUAGAAAAUGAGGUAUUGGGACCUUGUUUCUAUAAAACAAGCUGUAAAUAUUUUUUAAAAUAUUUAUAGAGUGUCAUUACGGUGGUAUUAAAGUUUCGUUGAAAAAUUUUAACGUUUCGAUGGUUAUUUAAUUAAAAGGACUAAAUUGUAAAAAAUAUAAAAUUUGAUCACUUUUUGAUUUGAGUGAUUAAAUGGCUUUCUGAAUAAAUGAAAAGGGACUUAAAUGAUAAUUAAACCAUUAUGAGAAUUGGGGGAUGUUAGUGGGCUUAUAAAUUGUUAAUGUUUGAUUAUUAUUGUAAGGGUAAAAGAGUAAAUUAUUAAAUAUGUGUAUUAUAACAAAAACAUGAUAAAAAUCCAUUAUCAUAUUCUUCAUUUGAAAGCCACCACCAAAACCCUAAAAAAGAAGAAAACAUAUCCGGCCAACUUUGGUUGGGUGAUUUAGUAAGCAAAUUUUGCCUGUUUCUAAAAUUUUUUAUGUUUUUGAGAUCGUUGCAACUAGGUCAAGCUAGCACGUACCUUUGUUUUGAACUUGUUAAAGAUUGUGAAUGUUUCCAUUGAUGAAUCUUGUGAUGUUAGAUGUUAAAAGAUGAAUUUGAUGUGUUAGUUGGUAUUUAAAGUAUUUUGUUAAGUGAUUUUUGAUGAAUUUACCGAUUAGGGACUAAAUUAUUGAAAUUGUAAAAAUACAAGGAUUUGAUGUGAAAUUGUUACAAAUGUGGGUUGUUUUGUGUGCCAUGAAUAUUCAAGAAGUGUUAAAUUUCAAUAAAAAUGGGAAAUUUGCAUGUUUUAGGCUCAUGGACUAAAUUGAAUAAAAGUAAAACUUUAUGGGUAAUUUUGUAAAAAAGUCAAAAUGACUAAAUUUCAUAAGAUACAUUUUUCACUAUCUAAAUUAAUAAAUUGAAUGAAAUUAUUAGUUUAGACCAAGAUCGGGUGGAAAAUGAAAGAGAAUGGAAAAUUAUCAAAAUGUCCCCUAUACUUUGACAUUUCUACAAUUUUGCUAGGUAAGUUCAUAUGAACUGUAUUUGGUAUAAUGUUGAUUAAAUUGAAUGUUCUCAUAUGAUUUUAUUGAAAGUGAAUCAAUAUAUAUAUGUUAUUACACAAAUUAUCAUGUUAUGAAACGACAUAAACCCAACGACGUACGACAAUUAUCGAGCCACAUUUGAACCUUAGGAAUUCGAAGGAUACAAAUGAGAUGACAUUAGGGUUUACAUGUUUCGGGUGCUAGUCUUGAAUAUCCUACCGGUAGCUAAGUUCCUGCAUAUGUUGCGGAUACUUCAUAGCUUGUGUGAGCAGUAUCGUAUAGCUACGUUUUGACCCACAGCUCGUGUGAGCAUACUUAUUCACAGGUCAUGUAAGCAUAUAUGUAAAGGAAUUGAUGGACUACAGUUAUAUGUUUAGCACAGUUCGUGUGAGUUAUCCUACAUAUCCAAUGAUAUUUUAUUUGGUUCAACGAGCAUGAAAUUUACAAUGACAUGUUAAGUGUUCUAUAUGAACCAAGACAUGUAUGUAUGAAAGACUUUGAAAUAGUGAGCUACGUGGAAAAUAUGUUAUGUUGAGAUGGAUGAUAAAUCCAAUUGAAUUAUGCUCAAGUAUAAUGGUUAUCCAUGUUAAAUUCAUACGAAUCAUGUUUAAAUGAACUAACAUGUGUUGUUGAUGUGCUUAAGCUUAUACGAAGCUUGUGGAUAUGAUUAAUGUUUAUGAUUAUGCUUGUACUAUGCAUAUGAAAUGGGUAAGAAAAGGGAAUGAAAUGGUAAGUACGUAAUUGGGAUGUAUUAUGAUGUUAUAAAAGGUUUAAUGCGAUAAACGAUGUAUUUAUACCUGAGCAAAUUGCUUAUGCUAAGAAUGAAUCUAUCUGUGUCAUGGAUAAAUACACUGAAUUGAGAAUUAAUAAUGUUGUUUAGGCUUAUAAUAAGACAGAAUGGGAAGUAAGUAAAUAGAAAAAUAUAUAAUCUUAUAAAAGAUUGAUGAUUAUAUAUUAUAUCUCAUGAAGUCCUAUCAUGUUAUGAAUGGUCAAUAUAUAUGCGACAUUAACGAACUUACUCAUUUAUGAGUUGAUGAUUAUGGUUUGAUAAAUCUUGAGACAUUGGUAUAGGUUUAUAUUUAACCUAUAGAUUUCAUUAUUGAAAUGUAACAUUAUUGAUAAAUCGUAAUUUCAUAUUUCUAUCCCAUGUUUAGCACAUUUUAUGGAUGAUUUUUCCUUAGAUUUGGUGAAUUCAAUGCUCCUAAUGCCUUAAUUUCAUAUUUUAUACUUAGGUGAGCAUAGGAGAGUGAAAGGAACGAGAAACGGGUCAAAAACGGAGAAAAUGGGCCAACGUACGAAAUCAACACGGCCUAGACCUCCUCACACGGGCAGACCACACGGCCGUUUCAAUUUUGCAGAAUUGAAGCACGACUCACACGGGUGGACCACACGCACGUGCCUAUUUAACAAGCUUGACCACGGCCUGAAGUAAUCGCACACGGGCAUGUCCCUGUCGAGCCCAAAUUAAGUCCAAUUCGGAAAAGGCCAAUUUUGAGGGUUCUUAGGCAUUCUAAAGCCUAUAAAUACACCCUAGAGGAGGAGGAAAAGGGGGGGCCAUAGAGGAGGAAGCUUGGAACUACUCAAGGAAAGCCGAUUGAUCCAUCUCAGAAGCUAGAUUCAUCAUCAAGACUGAAGAUCUCCCCUCAAUUUCCCUUCAGGAGUUUUGGGUUUUUCUUUAUGUUUUGUGUUUAUUAUUCUUCUGAGAUGUUUACCUUUUUAGUUAUGAACUAAAACCCCUAAAAACCUAAAGGGAAUGAAACCUAAGAUAGAUCUUGUUAUUAUUAUCUGAAUUGUAUGAUAAAUAUUUGACUUGUUCUUCAUUAUGUGUUCUUACUUAUUGUUUUGAUAUUCCAGGAUAUUGAUUCAUGUUAAGCUCUUAUUCAGAGGAGGAAUAGACCCUGUCUAAUAGUACAUUUGUCAUAAUUAAGUGGAGUUGAUUGUGCUCCUAGAGAUAGGGUGACAAGAUUUUGCUAGAUUAGGGUGAAACCUAAUAAGGGGAUCCAUAGAUCGAGUUAAUGCAACUUUAGGAAGUUAAUUAAAAAGAGAUUUCAAUUAUUCAACCUAGGGUUAGACGUUGUUAGUCUCGAGAGGGAUAAUAAUAUAACUUAGGGAUUUCUACGGAUCAAGUCAAAUAAAUAAAUCGUCCGAUUCAGAGUCAAAUAACAAGUGAAGUCUAGGUGGAUUUUUCCUUAGGUAUUGUCUUAAUUCAAUCAUUUUUCCAAGAGUAAUUCCCCAAUUCUAUUUUCAGUGAAUUCUUAGUUUAAUUAAUUAUUUGAUAAACAAAACCUUUUUAUUUUUUUAGGCUAGAUAAUAAAAAUAAAGUUAAUACUAGUACUUUUAGUUCAUUUGGGUUCGAUAAUCUGGUCUUGCUAAAGCUAUACUGCUGUUCGAUAGGUACACUUGCCUUUAUCGUGAUAAUAGUUAGUUUUAAGAAUGAUUCAUUAUAAAUAUUUAAAACCUGUCACGAAUAUCACAUACCAAGUUUUUGGCGCUGUUGCCGGGAAACUAAGAUAUUAGGAACACUUGAUUUUUAUUACUUUAGCCAUUUACUUUUACUGCAAUUUGAAUUUUAUUCUAAAUUUUAUUACUAAUUCUUCUUUUUCCCUUUUUUUGGCAGGUUUUUAUAGUUUAUGACUAGAAGAAACCCGUCAGGACCAUUACUUUUUGAUAGUGAGAUCGAUCGCAUAGUUCACAGAAACCAAAGAGAAAUAAGGCGAAGCUUAAGAUACACAGAGAACGAGCAAGAGGAUAUUCAAAUCACAACCAAGGAGAUGGCUAAAAAUCAGGAAAGCCUGAUGCCACCUACGAUUGCUGUUGAUCCAGUAAAUCAGAAUCUUGCUCCACGCACUAUGUAUGAUUAUGCUAAACCUAAUUUAACAGGAACUGAGUCAAGUAUAGUUAGACUUGCUAUUGCUGCAAAUAAUUUUGAACUAAAAUCUAACACAAUUCAAAUGAUACAAUAGUUUGUUCAGUUUGAUGGUUUGCAGGACGAGGAUCCCAACCCUUACUUGGCAAAUUUCCUAGAAUUUUGCGAUACCUUUAAAAUUAAUGGCAUUUCUGAUGACGCCAUUCGCCUUCGGUUGUUUCCCUUUUCAUUAAGGAAUAAGGCUAAACAAUGGUUGAACUCAUUACCACGAGGGUCAAUCACUACUUGGGAACAAAUGACUGAAAAUUUUUUAUUAAAAUAUUUUCCGCCAGCUAAAAUGGCUAAAUUACGUAAUGAUAUCUCUUCUUUUGUAAAGAUGGAUUUAGAAACACUCUACGAUGCAUGGGAGAGAUACAAGGACCUUUUGCGAUGAUGCCCUCACCAUGGGUUACCACUCUGGCUACAGGUCCAAACUUUUCCCAAUGGCCUGAACCCUUCGACUCGGCAGAUGAUUGAUGCAGCCACUGGUGGAACUAUCAAUAAUAAGACACCUGAGGCGGCUUACAAAUUUAUUGAGGAGAUUUCACUGAAUAACUAUCAGUGGCAAGUCAUAAGGACAAAGCCAACGAAAACAGACGGUGUUUAUAACAUUCGGUCACCAUGCUCUCUAAUUAGGUAGAACUCUUGAAUAAGAAAAUUGAUGGUUUUCUUAGUUCUUCACAGGUUCACCCAGUAAUACAGUGUGAAGCAAAUGGAGGUGGAUCGAGCAAUUUAGAAUACCCACCUUAUGGCCACAACAUGGAGAACGAACAGUUAAAUUACAUGGGUAAUAAUCCUCGAUCUCAAAACAAUCCUUGUAGCAAUACUUAUAAUGCAGGUUGGAGGAAUCACCUAAAUUUUUCAUGGGGAGGCCAAGGAAAUCAGAAACCACCACCCCCUCCAGGCUUUCAACAACCACCAUACCAGCAGGAGAAAAAGCCGAACCUUGAGGAGAUGCUAACAAAAUUCAUCUUGGUGUCAGAGACUCAUUUUUAGAAUACUGAGACGGGAUUCAAAAAUCAACAAGCAUCGAUCCAAGGGCUCGAAACUCAAAUUGGACAGCUCGCCAAGUUGAUUUCUGAAUGACCACAUGGUAGCCUGCCAAGCAACACUGAAUCUAACCCAAGGGAGCAACUCAACGCAAUUUCCAUUCAAGAUGAGGAAGGGUUAGUGGCAAAACCAAGGCCAGAACCGGUGGUAAGCGAAGGUAAGAAUGAGGUAGGCCAAAACGAACAAAAAUCGGUAACUACAGAAUAUAAACCUCGUAUGCCAUACCCCAAUGCGACAAGGAAAGACCGCUCAGAUGAACAAUUGGGUAAAUUCUUUAAACUUUUAAAGAAACUACAUAUUAACCUACUGUUUAUUGAAGCAUUUUCGCAGAUGCCGAACGCAGUCAAAUUUGUAAAGGAGCUUCUAGCAAAUAAACGAAAGUUAGAUGAAAGGUUGCAUGUGGAGCUGAACGCGGUUUGCUCAGCCAUUCUUCAGAAUAAGCUACCCAACAAACUAAAGGAUCCAGGGAGCUUUACGAUUCCUUGUUUCAUUGGUAGUUUAGAUGUUAAUAAUGCAUUGGUUGAUCUAGGGGCUAGUAUCAAUGUUAUGCCUUAUAAAUUGUUUAAGCAACUUGAUCCAGGGAAACCCAAACAAACUAGGAUGAGCAUUCAAUUAGCAGAUAAAACUGUCAGAUUUCCUAGGGUAUCAUUAAAGACAUACUCGUUAAAAUUGACAAAUUUAUAUUUCCCAUUGACUUCGUUGUUUUAGACAUAGAGGAGGAUAGCAACACUCCUUUGAUUUUAAGAAGGCUCUUUUUAGCAACUGCUAGAACAAUUAUUGAUGUUGGCACAGGUGAGCUCAUACUUCGUGUGGGAGACGAAACAAUCACCCUUCAAGCUCGCAAUUCUAGCAACACAUUGAAAAUUGAAGGUGAUUGUCUAAACCAUUUUACUAAAACUGACAAUGUAGUGCAACCUACUUUGUAGGAACUGAGUUUGAAGGAAGUACAUGAGCCUUUUUCAAGCAAUAGUAGAGAACCUAUUCAUGAAGAACGAAGGAUACAACUUGAGGAGCUAGAUGAAUGGCAAACACAUAAACUGAGAACACACGAUAAACCAAAACUACGCCAGAACAAGCUCAAUACCUUUCCAAAUCAACUUAAGGUUGAAGAUAAAGUUUUAUUAGAUCCCAUAGAUCCUCAUAUUAUCACUACUAAACAGAAUGAAGAAAUCCCUCUUACGGUACUUAGCAUUUUCCCAUUCGGUAUAGUCAGGGUAAGACAUCCCAAGUUCGGCACUUUUAAGGUAAACAAUACCGGCCUAAAACCUUAUUUUGAUGAGAGGUAAGUCGAGCUUAGACUAUAAUUAAGCACUUCUCAGGAGGCAACCCGAGCACUAACAAUAUUACUUUUUUUAAAUUUUAGUUUUUAAAAUCUAACAUACUAACCAAAUCAUUGAACACAAGCUUUUCAGAACCAUACGGCCAGGCACACGGGCGUGCCGUAGGCCAUGCACAUACCAUGAGAUGCAACACAGCCGUGCGAUAUGGCCGUCUAAAAACAGGGAAAAAAUUUCUUCCCCAACACAGGAUGCGAUAAGUAGCCACGGCCAUACGACAUGGCCGUGGGUGAAACUGCCAAAAUAACACAGGCGUUCCACACGCCCGUGUUUUGAAACCGUGGGUAAACCUUUCAAUUUAACAAGGGCGUGCGCCUUCAUACACGGGCGUGGGAGAAGUGAAUGGAGAUCGACACGGCCGUGCAACAUGGCCGUGUACACCAAUGCGCCUAAUUUUGAAAAUUAUUAAACGCACGGGCUGAGCUUAGAGCACACGGGUGUGCCCCACAGCCGUGUGCCCCAGUUUCUCUAUAAACACCUAUUAUUUAUUUUAUUUUAUUUUUAUCUCUAUAUUUUGAAAUUAUUUUUUUAUUUCCUUUUAAUACUAUUUUAUCUUGAGUUUUUACAAUUUUUAUUCUUCAGCUAUUUCAUUACGAGUAAUUAUGCUUCAGUAUACCUCUUAAAAGAGUUCCUAAUCUUAUCACAGUUAUAAAGAGAUCCAAAGCUCACUAUUACUCAAGAACUUGAAACUUCACUGGGAAAGGUUCUCCACGACUACCAUGUCCAUAGCCAACUUGAGAUAUAAUAUUCUUUUGGCGCAGCUGUAAUGCCCCGAUUUUUGGGCCUGGAAGUAUUGGGCCUUGAGUCUAGGUUUGGGUGGAAAACGGCCUGAAUAAUUUGGAUGUUAUUAUUAUUAUUUCCUAAGUUUGGUUUAGUAAUUAAAUAAAUUAUGAAGGGUUUAUGGUGUGGGAAAAAAGGCCCAAGAGUAAAUUUAAUUCGAGGCAAUUCUUGAAUUUUAAUUUUGGGAGAGAGGGUUCUGGCGAUAUGGGCUUUUAAAGUUAAGGUGGUAAAAUAGGACACAAAAAGAUCUAUGGUAAAGUGGCAUGUGGUGCCACCUAGGUGUUUGGGGAGUGACGUGUGGAUGUUUAGGGGGAACUAGAGUUAAAGUCACAAGGUAAGCGUAUUGUUACUUGUAUUUAUUUUUUUUUUGUGCAUGUGCCAGGCAUGUGAUAGAGCUUAAGUGGAAAUUUGGCUAGGGCUUUAGGAAGGUUGGGCAAUGGGUCUGAAUGGCCAUUAGGGCAACCUUUAUUUUCUUUUUGUUUUUCCAAAUUAGGGUUAGCCACCCAGAGCCUUCCCUUUCAUUCUAUUCUCUUCUCAGUAUCUCAAAAAGCCGAAAAACGCAAACUUAGAUCUCCUGAGUUCUGAAUUCUUCCUUCUCUUCUCCUCUCUUCUUCUAUUUUCUUUUUCUCCUUCUUUUCUUUUUUAGCCAAAACAUUCCUACCAUUCUACUCACCUCCUCUGUCAAUCCCAUCCUUCACAAAACCUCCAUAGCCGAUUGCCAUAAAAGCUGAAAUCCCGAAAACUCACUUCUUGUGCCGAUUUCUCCAAGACAAAAUACUUUAGUUAUUUUUGUUCUUUUUAAUCAACUUUUAUCUUCUCUAAACCCUUAGUAUCUUUCGGCAACAUUACUUCAAAGUUAUAGCCUCAAAUCGUCAUCUUCUUCAUCACUUAAAAAGCUAAAAUACCAUAGAUUUAGGGACUUAUAGUCGAAACUUCAGAUCUCCUGGAUUCGAGUUCUACUAUUGUUUAGAGGAUAGAUCUACAUCGGAUCUGCGUAGAAAUCAAAGAGGAAUAAGUGGUAAGUGCUCAUCACCUCAGAUCUAGUCUUAUUUUACAAUUUAGAAAAGCCGAAGUCCCUAAAAUCUAGGGAGGCUGUCGAUUUGGGCAUAAGGCUUUAAGGGUCUUUAACCGAUGAUUUCUUUUGGUGAUUAGUGUCUUCUAGAGGUUUGAUCGAAGGCUUGGAUCUUUGGAACAACUAGACUUAGAUCUAGUCAUCGGUUUUCGGCAAAAAGGUAAGAUUCUAAAGGCUUUAGGGGCAUGGUUCAAAUAUGGGUUGCUGAAUACUGGGAUUUGUUGCUGUGGGUUGCAAUAUAAGGAUUAUGGUAAUCAAUUGUAGGACAUCAUAAGGGAUCUCAGUAGCAUUCGUCACGAAACAGCUGUGUAUCGAACACCCUCUCAUAGUUCAAUUCGGCAAAAGUCGAAAUGCCAAAAUUCCGGCAUUUCGUGGGCUUGUGAGUGUGCGAGUGCUCACAAGAUGUUUAGAAAUCAUUAGAUCUGAAAUCGCAAAUUGGUAAGUUAGUCGUGUGUGAAAUUUCGUGCACUGCGGUAAUUGGGCCUCGAUAGGCUAAAAUUGGGCCUAAUGGGCUUACGGGCCCAUACGGGUAAAGAAAUAAAAAAGGCAAUAAGUAUGUUCUGUUAGACUAUAGAAUCGAAACUGCUUAAACCAGUAAACUGGUCAUAAAACUUGAAUUAAAUGGGCUUAAAUUGCUAGUGGACACUAUAGGGCCCAUUAGGGGUUUUGGGCCCAACGGCUGAAAUUGUGAAAUUGAGAUAAAUAAAUUAUUGCGAUGACUAAUGGGCUAGUAAGGACCGUAACAUUCAUGAGAACCCUUAAAACUGAUAAAAUUACUAAAAUACCUUUAUAGGUGGAAAAUUUACAGAUUUACCCCUAGGAGUAAAAUUACUGAUAUACCCUUAGGGUUAAGGUUGACCUGAAUGCAUGUUUGACCAUUACUAUUUACUGCAUGCCAUGUUAUUAUCAUCUGAUGCAUGGGACUGGGUUAUUGAUGGAGGAAGUACUGAAAGUGGCUUGUCCACGUACUGGAGGCUUUGCCUCAACUUAUUAAUAUCUGAGCAGCAAUGCUGCAACUGUGGAGUGUAGGGUUGGGUGGGUUGAGCUAUUCCCGACAUGGAGUGUAGGGCUGGUACGGGUGGAGUGUAGCGGUUGGUUAUAGGCUGGGUUGGGCUUGCAUACACGAAUAUGUCUGCUCUGUUCUGGAAUGGGCCUAUGGGCCAUACUGUUAACUGAAAAGGGGCUAAGGCCCAGUUUACUGUAUUCUGAAAAGGGUUUCAGCCCAGUACCCACUGUUAUCUGAAUAGGGCUUAGGCCCAAUGGGCUUGAGCUAACUUGGGCUUUGGAUGGGUUUUCCAUAUACACUGAGUUUUCCAAACUCACCCCCUUUCUCUUCCAUCCUUGCAGGUGAGCCCUAGUUGGUGGACUUGUAGCUGGGCAGGAUUCAGAGUGGCCACGAAGAUUAAAUUUCUGGUUUUUUUUAAUAAGUUUCAAUUAGCUUCCUUUUCGUAUUUAUUUUUGAUUAUUUCUAUUUUGGUUAAAGUUGUAAUAAGGCCGCUCUAUUAUUUUUAUUUUAGGAUUUUAAAUUACUUAAAUCAUUUUCAACUUGAGAUUCACAUCACUUAAAUUGAUUCCUUGAAAUUGGUUAACUCUAGGGCGCAUUAUAAAAAGAUUACCUGAUUUCAAAACAUCACGAAACAAGGCAAAGCUUCCGUAACGAAAACGUUUUCAAAAUUAAUAAGUGAUUUCAAAUGAUUUAAAACGAUAUGGUUUUCACUGAACAAUCGCUCAGCUAAAGUGUGGCAAUGGUUGUGUGCAUGUCUAGGAGUGGAUCCAUGGAGAGCUUGGUACUUAAGCAGUCUAAUAGACUCACCUCCUCUUUUCUGGCAUCCUACUCGGUGCACAGCUUCCAUUCACUUUAAUUUAAAACGAAAAUAUUCUUUAAACACUAAGAAAAAUUUAGAUAAAACAUGAGUUUUCAGUUACGCUUCAAAGUGACACGCUGGAUUCGGCCGUAACGUCUGGGCCGGGUUUAGGGUGUUACAUUAGCAUUUGUGGAACCCAACCUCUACCACCACUGGAGUAUCCUCCUCCACUCUCACACCGAUUAUUCUUUGAAAUACCAAUUCAAUGAGUUCAUUCAUCAUUCAAGAAGUUUCACUUCUCUUCCUAUCUUAUGAUUCUAAAUUUAUCUUUUUCAAUAUAUCUACCUUUGUACAUUGAGGGCAAUGUACAUCUUAAGUGUGGGGGGGUCUUUUAUAUCAUCAUUAGAAAUCCCUGAAUUUUGUCUUAUUCUCAUGUGAUCUUCUCAUGCCAUGAUUAGAAUGGAUUUUGAUUAAUUUAUGAUUUUAUUGAUAUGUCUUGAAUUAAAACAUAGGCAUUUAUACAUUGAUUGUUUAAACAUUAAGACAUUAGGGAAUCAAGCAUGAUAAGUUGAUUUUUGAAGAAUUAAAAACUUUUAGGUUGUUUCCCCAAGUUUAGGUAUUAUCUUGAGUUGGAAUUCACAAGUUUAAACAUCAAAAAGCCAUAAUUUUUGUGAGAUCUUGAGCCUUUAGAGCAUCUAUUAUUUCUUUCGUGCUCACUUUCAUUAUGAGUGCGUCAGUAUUCAAUUGUUAUUCUAGAACUUUCUUGAUUAUGCAUGUCAAGACCACACCAUUUGAUUUGAUAUGUCAAAAUGAUAAAGGCACUUAGGUUUAACCCACUCACUCCAUAAAAGCCUACCUUCACAAUUAACCCUUAGUGAACCCCCUUGAACCUAACAACCUAUUCAUUAAUUUACCCUCAAUAUUAACCCAUAACUCAUUAUUGUUGAAAUCCCCUAAAUUAAUUCGAUCCUUAUUUUUUUCGAGAUUUGAGUUGGAAUAGUUGCUUAGCUAUGUUUUAUUCUAUUUUGUAAUUUGACUAGUACUUUUUUAAAAAAUACAUGUAUACAAAUUAGUAGUAGUGAUCUUCUGAGCUAAAGAAGUUCAAUUCUAUAUUCUGAGAAAAAGCUCUGUUGUACGCAAUUGAUGACUAGUCAUUUUUCUAGUUAGGCAAUUUGUAACACCCCGUACCCGAGACCGUUGCCGGAGUCAGACACGAGGGGUUCGCAGACUUAACUCACUUAUUUGUACAGUCCAUUUUAAAUUUCCAGACGAGCUGGCUAACUGCGUCACUGUCACCUUAAAAAUCAUAUCUCGAGUUCCAAAACUCGAAAACCAGUUUCAUAAAUUUUUCCUGAAACUAGACUCAUAUAUCCAUCUACAAAUUGUUUUCUAGAAUUUUUGGUCAAGCCAAUUAGUACAGUUUAUUAGUUAAAGUCUCCCCUGUUUCAGGGUUCGACUACACUGACCUUCAUGCAUUACGACUUGGAUAUCUCCCUGUACAGAGCUUCAAUACUGAUGCCGUUUGUUUCUAUAGAAACUAGACUCAAAAAGGAAUCUAUAAAUAUAUGGAAUGACUUCUAAAUGUCUCUGGUUAAUUUAUAAUGAAUUUCCAAAGUCGGAAAAGGGAAUCCAGAAACCGUUCUGGCCCUAUUUCGCGAAAACCUAAAUAUCUCUUAACAUACUACUCAUAUGAUCGUUUCGUUUCUUCCAUGUGAAAGUAGAUUCAUCAAGGUUUUAUUAAAUAAUUUAUUCACUAUUUAAUUCCAUUCCUACUAUUUUUAGUGAUUUUUCAAAUCUACAUCACUGCUGCUAUCAGCAUCUGCCUUUAAGGUAGACUUUACCUAUUUCAUAGUUUCCAUGAUUCAACUAGCCCUUUAGCAUAUAUAGCCCAAAAUAUAAUCAUGAUGAACCAUUCUAAUGGCUAAUCGUUGCCAAACAUUUCCAUGCCUCUUAAUGAACAUAUACAUUCAAGAUGAUUAUAACAUUAUGCUCAAAAUAUAUAUAAGCCAUUUUCGCAUGGCUAUCCAAAUAUAUACAACACCAUAGUACUUGACUAAUAACAAAAAGGGGUGUCCUAUACAUGCCAUUUCAAAGUUCAACCAAAAGUGUACCAAAAGGGGCUUUGAUAGUGUGGGCGACUUCGACUUCAAAAAUCCCGAGUCCGAUAGCUGAAGAACCAAAAUCUAUAAAACAGAGAUUUACAGAAGCGGAGUAAGCAUUUAAUGCUUAGUAAGUUUUGAGCCAUAAAAUUUGACACAACUAAAAUGUAGCAUUCAUAUGGCUAAAUGGAUAAUUUGACAUGCACAAAUUCUCAAUAUCAUACUUACUUCACAUUACCAAGCCUUAUAUUCAUACACAAAAGAUCAACGUAGCCAAAGGUUGGUAGCUCAUUUAUCAACUGAGCGAAUACUUAUUUGUAAGGGAUCAACUAAUUCAAAGCACAUACGAAACAUACCUCAUCGCUGGGAUUUUACGAGCGUAUUAAUUGAAAUUAUUACAGAAGAUCGCUCAUUUUCAAAUCACGUACCUUCGGAAUUUAACCGGAUAUAACUACUCGCUCAAAUGCCUUCGGGACAUAGCCCGGUUAGAGUAACUCGCACAAUUGCCUUCGGGACUUAGCCCGGAUUUAGUAACUCGCACAAAUGCCUUCGGGACUUAGCCCAGAUUAGUCACUAGUGCAGAUGCCUUCGGGACUUAGCCCGGUUAUCAUCCAAAUAUUCAUACACAUAUCAAUAAAUCAUGACACAUCUAUAUUUCAUUUUCAUAAUUGGAGUUCAAACACACGUCACGUAUUAAGCAAUCCCAUUUUCGGCUCACUAGCCACAUACAAACAGCAUGGUUUAGUUUGCUUUAUGACACGAUCUCUAUGCACAUGCGGCUACCCGUCACAUGUAUAGACAAAUUAACUCAACAUUAAAUUCAAGUAGAAUCAUCAUAUCACCGUAUAUUUGUUACGCUCAUACGUCAUGACUUAAUCAAAUCGUAAACUAAGUCUCGUUACUCGAAAACUUACCUCGGAUGUUGUCGAACAAUUUCGAUGGCUAUUCGACCACUUUUUCCUUCCUUUUUAUCGGAUUUAGAUCCCCUUUGCUCUUGAGCUUAAUUUAAACAAAUAAAUUCAUUUAAUUAUUUUUCACUUGGGCAAUUCCAUUCAAUACAUGUAUGUCAUACAAUUUAAGUACAAUGACCUUGCUCAAUACUAUUCAAACAUCAUGCAUUACCGAAUUUCAUCAACACCAUCUAACUUCAUAUAGAAACACAUAUCAUCCUAGGUCGGUACACAAGUCAAAUGCAUUAUUUAAAUUGUCAAAGUCCACAAUUUAGUCAUAUUUCUCUAUCAUAGUUUCUUCACUUAAACCGAAUUAGCAAGCCCAUAUAGUCCUUGGCCGAAUGCUAUUUAACCCAAGUCAUCAAGAAUUUCAUUAUUUAACACCUUAGAUAUCCAUAGCUAAAUAGGUGAUUUGUACAUACAUAUAUAUACAUAAGUGCAUAGAUACUAUGUUACUAACAAUUAUUUCCUUGCUUAGCGGCCGAACCAAUAUACACAUUACUUCAUAUCUACCCGUCACGUUUUCUCUACUUAAACCGAAUAAACUUGCACAUAAGGUCCUUGGCCGAACCUCACUAAAAACAAGUCAACCAAAAUCUUAGUAUUUAUCUUGUGUAUAACCUUAUUUACCUUCCAAAAAUCACAAAAACAUCAAACUCUUAAUGUUUAUGUACAAGGCCGAAUCUUAACAUGAUCCAACCUCCAACUCAUUCCUUUCAAUAACCAAAACCGAAUGCUCAAGCCAUCACCGAGAUUUCGAAAUUUUGCCAUGGUUUGUGUAAGAAAUUAGCUAAUUAACUAGAAACAAGUUUAAAAUUUAAGAAUUUAACACAACAUACUAACCUCCCCUUAAGCUCAAGGUGACCGAAACCUCUCUUCUUCCUCCUUUCAAACCGGCCAAGAAGAACCAAAGGAUGAAGCCUUUCUUUUUUUUUCUAGUUUCGGCAAAAUGGGGGAACAACCACACACUUUUUUUUUGUUUCUCCUCCUACUAACACUAAUAUUUUAUUGCCCAUGUUUUUUAAUUUAUUAUUCCUAACAUAAUGCAUUAACCCAACAUGUUUAUGACAUGUUUUAGCCAUAACAUUUUGCCCACCCAUGCUCAUGGCCGGCCACUACUAAUUAGGGGGGAAAAUUUGACAUGCAAGUCCCCCUUUUUGAUUACAUGCACUAAUAGCUCUUUAUAGAUUACCCUAUCACAAUUCAAAAGUAUCACGCAUAAUUCCUAUUAACUAAAUUCACAUGCAAUUAACGAAAUCGAAGCUUAAAACUUUCACACAUUCAUAUUCACAUAUUUUAGACAAUAAAUAUCAUAUUUAAACAAUUUGGUGACUCGGUUUAGCGGUCCCGAAACCGCUUUCCGACUAGGGUCACUUUAGGGCUGUCACACAAUUUUUCAAUUCAAUCUCAAUUCUAACCCUUUCUUUCAGCUUGUGACCAUACCCUCUAACCAAAGCCACGUUACAACCCUCUAAAGACCUUUUGAUUGAUGUUUCAUCCCAAUUUAUAUUGGUGGAGAUUUGAUUUUCAUGCAUACCUAUGGUAAUGACUUUUCAUUAUUGACUAUUGAGUGCUUCAUUUAUUGUCCUUAAACACCUCAAGUGAUUUGAGUGAAUCUUUAGUAAGGAUGUGAAACUCUGUGAUAGUUUGAAUCAAAGGUAAUUACUUAGAUGAGGGGAGACACCCAUGUUUUCAUGAUAAAAUGCUCAACUUGGAAUGUUUGAAACUUUGAUGUUCUUUCAGUUGAAUUUUCAAUGUAUGAUUACCUAUGGAUUAUUUUGAGAUAUUAUCGAUAGAAAUUAUAAGUUGAGAAGAAUUUAUUUUGAUUAUGAGUUGAGGAUUUUGCUUAAGGACAAGCAAAUGCUUAAGUGUGGGCGUAUUUGAUAAACCGUAAUUUAUACAAAUUUCUAUCCCAUGCUUAGCACAUUUUAUGAUGGUGAAUUCGAUGCUCCUAAUGCCUUAAUUUCAUAUUUUAUACUUAGGUGAGCAUAGGAGAGUGAAAGGAACGAAAAACAGGCCAAAAACAGAGCAAAUGGGCCAACGUACGAAAUCAACACGGCCUGUACCUCCACACAUGGGUAGACCACACGACCGUGUCAAUUUGGCAGAAUCGAAGUACAACUCACACGGGUCGACCACACGCCCGUGCCUAUUUAACAGGCUUGACCACGGCUUGAAGUAAUCGCACAUGACCGUGUCACACGGGCGUGUCCCUGUCGAGCCCAAAUUGAGUCCAAUCCAGAAAAGGCCAAUUUUAAGGGUUCUUAGGCAUUCUAAAGCCUAUAAAUACACCCUAGAGGAGGAGGAAAAGGGGGGCCACGGAGGAGGAAGCAGGGAACUACUCAAGGAAAUCCGAUUGAUCCAUCUCAAAAGCCAGAUUCAUCAUCAAGACUGAAGAUCUCCCCUCAAUUUCCCUUAAGGAGUUUUGGGUUUUUCUUUAUGUUUUGUGUUCAUUAUUCUUCUAAGAUGUUUACAUUUUUAGUUAUGAACUAAAACCCCUAAAUACCUAAAGGGAAUGAAACCUAAGACAAAUCUUGUUAUUAUUAUCUGAAUUGUAUGAUAGAUAUUUGACUUAUUCUUAAUUAUGUGUUCUUAAUUCUUGUUUUGAUAUUUCAGGAUAUUGAUUCAAGUUAAGCUCUUAUUUAGAGGAGGAAUAGACCCUGUCUAAGAGUACAUUUUUCAUAAUUAAGUGGAGUUGAUUGCGCGCCUAGAGAUAGGGUGGCAAGAUUUUGCUGGAUUAGGGUGAAACCUAAUAAGGGGAUCCAUAGAUCGAGUUAAUGCAACCCCAGGGAGUUAAUUAGAAAGAGAUUUCAAUUAUUCAACCUAGGGCUAGAUGUUGUUAGUCUCGAGAGGGAUAAUAAUAUAACUUAGGGAUUUCUACGCAUCAAGUCAAAUGAAUAAAUCGUCCUAUUCAGAGUCAAAUAACAAGUGAAGUCUAGGUGGAUUUUUCCUUAGGUAUUGUCUUAAUUCAAUCAUUUUUCCAAAAGUAAUUUCCCAAUUCUAUUUUCUGUGAAUUCUAAGUUUAAUUAAUUAGUUAGAUAAAUAAAAUCCUUUUAUUGUUUUAGGCUAGAUAAUAAAAAGAAAGUUAAUACUAGUACUUUUAGUUCCUUUGGGUUCAAUAAUCCGGUCUUGCUAAAGCUAUACUGUUCGAUAGGUACACUUGCCUUCAUCGUGAUAAUAGUUAGUUUCAAGAACAAUUCAUUAUAAAUAUUUAAAACCUGUCACGAAUAUCACGUACCAAUUAUGCUUAUGGUUUAUACAAGAUUACUAAGCAUUCAUUGCUUAUGUGAUUAUCAUUCUCUUACUUUACAGAUUAUUGGAAGCUCAAUCGGGUUAGAAGCUAGUCGGAGAUCCAUCACACUAUCCAUUGAUUUUAUUAGUAGAUUUUGAUGCUUGGAUUAUGGUUAUAAUGACAUGUAUAGGUGGACUUAUGUCUAAUGAUUAGUUAAUGAUAUUGGCAUGAAAUAUUACUUUGAAUUUGUGAAACUUAUGUUAUUUUGAUGUCUUGAUGGUUGGAGUGCUUUUGGCAUUUUGAUGCUUAAUGGUUAGUAUUUAUAAGAUUAAAUGGAUGUAUGGUUUGUGGAUCAAGUGGUAAGGGCUGGCAUGGUUGCAAAAUGAUCAUUUAUUGAAUGUUAUGAUAUAGAAUUUAAUAAAAUAUGUUUGGUUGAAUAAUAACCGUUUGGACAUUAAUUUGAUAUGUAUAUAUGUUGGUUGUUGGAACCAUUUAGAAAUGGCUACAUUGGUAACCUCUAAAUGGUUUUGAUGCAUGUGAGAAGUGGGCCAAAUGGUAAGGUCAUUUUGAUAUGUUUUUGAUAUGGAAACAAGUUAAUUGAAAAUGGUUAAAUAUGCACAUGUAUAAGUGUUUUGGUACUUGAUGAAAUAUCCAUUAUGUUCGGCUUAUAAAAAUGGUAUUUUGGUUGAUGAACUAAUUGUCAUGUUGGCAUGUAUAUAUCUAUUUUUUAUGAUUGAUGACAUUUUGACAUUUUGGUGCCUGUUGGCUAAUGUUGAAAUGAUUUAGUGCUGAUAUGUUUUGAAUGGCCAAAUUGGUAUAUUUUUGUGUGAAUUUUGGUAUGUAAUCAUUGUGGUAAGUUUGAUAAGGGAAUUAGAUUAGAAGAAUAUGGAUGGUUAAUGGCUAAACUAUGCAAAAUAUUAAACAUGUUUGGUUGUUGUGAUUGAGGUGCCUUUCGGGCAUAUUGGUUGUAUGAACAAAUACCAUAAUGAUCUAGCAUGAUUAUGCAUGUUUUAGGUACAUUUUGAAUGCUUGAAUGUAAGUUCAAAUGGCUUAUAUACGUGAUCAUGUUUUGGGUGAAAUGAAUGACUUGAAAUUGGCCUACUUCUUGUCCACAUGGCCUAAGACACUGGCAUGUGUCUAAGCUGUGUGUGACACACAGUUACGCGACAUGGCCGUAUGUUCCCUGUAGGUUUUUAAUGGUCGCAUUUUAAGAGUUACACAGCCUGGCACACGGACAUGUGUCUUGGUUGUGUAAACCAAGUCAAAGACUUGCAUGGAUAAAGACACGAGCUGGAACAUGACCAUGUGUCCCUACUUCGAAUGCCCACACAGCCUGAGACACGGGUGUGUGUCUUAGUCGUGCAAGUCACACGGCCUGGCCACACGAUCGUAUCACCCCUGUAGUAUGAAUUUUUAUAUUUUUUGCCAUGAAGUUUUAAAUGUUUUUUAUUUAGUCCUGAAUCGUUUCUAAAGUGUUUCUAAGGACUCGAGGGUUCGAAAAAGGGACGUUAUGCAUGUGUUUGAAUGGAAUAUGAUAUGUUUUUUUAAAUGAUUAUAAUAGAAUGUUUUAAGUUAAAAGUUUCUGACAAUGCUCCAUAACCCUAUUCUGACGACAGAUACGGGUUAGGGGUGUUACAUUGUAACACCCCAAACUUGGCCCAGACGCUAUGGUCGAAUCGGACGUGUUACAUUGAAGUGUUUUAGCGAAAACCCUUCUUAAACAAAAGAAACCUUAAUUAACUUAAAAAAAAUAAACACACCUUUCAGUUAUGGAAACGUAGAAAACUUACUAUAAUUUAGGAAUCCCAAGUUCAACUUCUCGUAAUUACAAUGAAAAUAAUAAUAAUUCAACUAAUAAUAGCAUAAUGAAAACCUUAUUACAAUCUGGUCUGAAACAAACUUAAUAAAAUAAAACUUACAAGCUUAAGAAAAAGAAGUCCAAAUUUGUCUUGCUAGCUGGCCACCCAUAGUCCCUCCAAACAUCGAACCGUCUAAUAAGCAUCAGCUGAAAAUAAAAUAAAAGAGGGGGUGAGUUUUUGCAAACUCAGUGUGUACAACCCUCGAUGUAAAUCAAGCAAUCAAAGACAAAUCGUCAACCAUGCAAUGCAAUCCCAUCCAAAUUGUCUAUCCGUUACACACUAGCUCCAUCCCCCAUCACACCGUAUGGGGAUAUAAAUAUCGACCGACCCAGCCCAUACACCAAUGGUAGCCCGGUUGCGAAACUACCUUCAUUUACAUAUUGGGCUUUAAAAGCAAUCGGUGGAUCCGUGAUUGUCAAGCAACCAUGCGAAUCCUCAUAUACUUCCUCCGUUCCAUAAUUCCCACCCUGUAUGAAACCUAAGUAGAAUGUCAUAUGUAUGCAUGUCACAUCCAUAAAACUUACAUUCAACACCUAGGGGUAUUCUAUCAUUCUCGCCCUUAGGGGCAUUUCGGUAAUUUUCCCUUAGUUACGGUUUUCACUUACCUUGCCCUAUGAACAAGUCCCGCAAGCUAAGAUGAACGAAUACUAUGCACCAGGAUUCUAGAGUAGAGGAGGUGGGUCAUUAAGACCGCUUAAGUACCAAGCUCUCCCUAGAUCGAAUCCUAGCCCUGCAUAUACCCGUUGCCACACCUUAACCCUAUGACUUGUCCACGGUCUCAAUUAAUUAAUUAAGUUUUAUAUAGUCAUCAUAUACUAGGUCCAAUACCCCUACAUACAUGCAUAUGGCCCACUAGGCCCAAUCUUAUUCAAAUGGCCCUUCUGGCCCAGUUCAUAUUCUUAUGGCCCACUAGGCCCAAUUCACAUUCAUAUGGUCCAUUAUGCCCAAAUCAUAAUUCCUAACACAUAGCAUCACUUAUCAAUCCUUGCCUAUUAUAGGCCCAAUAGCCCAUCAAGCCUAUUUAGCCCAUUCCGACCCAUUUGGCCAAUUCUUAACCCAAGUCCACAGAAUAGCCCAUGGGCCUCAGGCAACCUAUCGGUUUCCUUUCCACAAGUGUUCGCGCACUCGUGUGACUACCAUAGCAAAACUUUUAGCUUUUUGGCAUUUCAGCAUUUCGGCUUUUCGACUUUUGUCGAUUAUUGUGUGUGAGUAGUGUAUGUACACACCUGGUAGGUAAGCGUGCUGUGAUUUCCUUAGUCCAAACCUAUAUUCGAUAUCACUCAAAGAUUAAUCUCACAUACUUGUCGAAUACUUUACCAAAAGCCGAAAUCUCACCUUAACCUUACCUUGCGCGAUAAGUGUAACAGCCCCUUCACUAACCACGAUCAACUCCUAGAUCUGCACCAAUUGUAACUAUUAAAACUAGAAUAAUAGGUGACUCGUAUCCAACACAAGUCCCCUUACCUCAUUAUGGCUAUUCGGCCAACCUUAGCCAAUGGAUGAGGAAUAUUUACCAAAACUGCAACACCUAAGGGGCAAUUCGGCAAUGAGCUAAGAUCCGAGAUCUGAUACUAAUUCCUUACCACAGUUGAUUAGAAAGAGUGAAGGACAAUAUUUGAUACUUAGCAAAGAAACCAAUUGGGAGAACAAAACUUACACUAGAUUUGAUCGAAGUAGAAGGAGUAGUGAUUGCACCAAUGGUAUUCGGUCAAAGAGGUUCAGCCCUUUACAAUUUUGUUUGGAAAAAGAGGGUUAUUCAGCUCCAAGGAAAAAGAAAGAAAAGUCAGCAAUGAGGUAGAGGAAGAAUAGAAUUUGGCACAAGGAAGAAGAAAAAGAAAAGAAAGGCAGAGGGUUUUCGGCUUUUAGAGAAAAGAGUUUCUGGUAACAGGGUGAAGGAAAUUCGGUCAUUAGGUUCAUACCCUAGCAUUCGGCACCUAUUUAUAAGCCUUAUAGCUGAAUUUUCCCAUGCCCAAUUUCCCUAUUCGGCUUCAUCACUUCUCCCUUUUCAUCUCCUCAUUUUCCCCCUGAUAACCCCUUGAUCCUUUCCUUAAUUUUCUCUCUUGAACACUUCCCUUGGAGUCCACUUUCACGCCACUUCCAUCCUUCUAGAAAGUCAACAUUAAACUUCUAAAAACACUAAGCUAGGAUUCGAACCUUGGACCUCCUUGCUGGCUAUUAACGCCACCUCCCUACACUCUAAGUGGCGUCACUUAGCCACUCCUCUACUAGGCUCUUUGCUGCUAUUUUCCCCUAUCUUUAUUUAAAAGCCCAACUACUUGCCAUCCCUGAUUCUUUUAAUAAUUAACUUAUAAUUUCUUCUACCCCUUAAUUUGAACUUAAACCUUGACCAAGACCUACCUUUGCAUAAUUAGCACUUAACUGGAAUUAUUAAGCACAAAAAGAAAAAUUCAAGAUUUUUAGAUUUUUGGAUUUCGGGAUUUUUGGGGCGUUACAACUCUACCCCCUAAAAGAAAGUUCAUCCUUGAAAUUUCCAAGUACUAACACAGACUACCACACCACAGUUUUGCUGCGUACUCUAAUUCCAACUUAGGUAAAUAGCACACUAUGGGUAAGUACGUACCAUUAUUCGCCUCUAGAGCGUCUCCAUCCUCUUGACGACGUGCUGCAUAGACCAAAGCUGGCUGCCUCGCCUCAGUAUGAUCAGCACCUCUACCUGGUGCUCCACGACCUAAACUAUUUCCACCCCUGGCCUGAUCAAGGCCUCUCAGCGGUAGCUGACCACCCCUCACUGGUUGUACACCACCUCGGUCGACAACUGGCACCUGGGCUGACAUUCUAGGGUAAUUCCUGAUCCUAUGCUCCAUAGAUCCACAAGCUAGACAAGCUCCCGUCCUCUUCCAACACUCACCUACAUCCCUUUCCCACAAUUAGCACAAAGUGGCACCCUGAAUUAACAGCAGGGGGCCCUACUCUAUCUGGCCCAUUAACUCUGGCCCUAGCCCUAGGCAUUUGUCCUACACCAGGAGUCUCAGCCUCCCCCUUAUUCCUACCCCUUUCUUUCUCCCGAUUUAAGUGCUCUGUGCGCUUUACCUCCUCCGCUAUCUUUUCCUUCUACACCAACUCUGAGAAAACUCACUCCCUUUGUGGAGCUAUCAGUACCAUGAGGCUAUCUCUAAGUCCAUCCUCAAACCUCACGCAACGCUCAUACUCUGUUGCCAUUAUUACUCUUGCAUAUCUACUAAGGUGUAAAAACUCCACCUCAUACUCCGCCACUGAUUUGUUCCCUUGGAUCAAAUUCAGGAACUCCUCCCUUCUAGCAUCCAAAUAGCUUGCACCCACAUACUUCCCUUGGAAUACAGCUUCGAAAAACUCCCAAGUGACUUGCUCCGAUUGGGUGCCCUCUUUCACUGUCAUCUACCACUAGUAAGCUUUUUCCCUAAGCAGUGACACUACUUCUUUCAACUUUUGCUCAGGUGAGUAGUCCAGGUCCUCCAUUAUCAUUUCAGUGGCCUCAAACCAAUAUUCCACCACAUUAGGAGCCACGCCAGCCACGCCCUUAAAGAUCUUUGCCCCGUUUGAACAAAGUCACUCCAGAAUGGACCUCUAAUUUACGUUGCAAUUAUUGGGCCCAACGACCCUUUCCAAAAUUCUCAGCAUUGCCUGAGACAAUGCAUCUUCUCCCCCUGCCCGAUCAUACAGUCCAUUCCUAGCCACAGGAAGGUCGGAGCCUCUUCUACUCCAACAUUGGGCACAUGGCCCGAUGUUGAUGAUUCAGCCCUAAAACUUCCGUGACCUCAGCUAUGACCCCUUGCACCUCUUCUAGCACUCAUCUUCAAUUCGCGUAUUAUCUAGAUUACAAAUUUUAUGAAGUCUUAGUUAGUUUCAAUAAUUAUCCCGAUGUUUUAUGGAAGUAAUUAAAGUGAAGAUUGUUUUCGAAAAUCCUCUAUAGUUUCAAGUUCCUGUGGGCUUUGGUUCCAUUCUAACAAAAUCAUCUAGAGUAGCCCUCUAACUGUUUACUGCGUAAUAAUUUAAAAAAGAUUAAGAGUAAAAGUACUUACUUGGUUCGACGUCACAGACUCAGUGUGCCACUCAGCAAGACUUCCCUUUUUCCAAAACAUUGUGAUCCAAUCAAAAAUAUUUUUUUAAAAAUACAAAAAGAAACCAAGUAAUAAAGCCCAAUUCACUGCCCGAGUUUUGCAACCUGGCUCUGUUACAAGUAUAUGUAACACCCCAAAGCCGCGCCAGACGCUAUGGCCGAAUCUGACGUGUUACAUUGAAGUGUUUUAGCGAAAACCUUUCUUAAACAAAAGAAACCUUAAUUAACUUGAAAAAAUAAACAUACCUUUCAGUUGCGGAAACGUAGAAAACAUACUAUAAUUUGUGAAUCCCAAGUUCAACUUCUCGUAAUUACAAUGAAAAUAAUAAUAAUUCAACUAAUAAUAGCAUAAUGAAAACCUUAUUACAAUCUGGUUUGAAACAUACUUAAUAAAAUAAAACUUAUAAGCUUAAGAAAAAGAACUCCAAAUUUGUCUUGCUAGCUGGCCACCCAGAGUCCCUCCAAACAUCGAACUGUCUAAUGAGCAUCACCUGAAAAUAAAAUAAAAUAGGGGGUGAGUUUUCGCAAACUCAUUGUGUACAACCCUCGAUAAAAAACAAGCAUUCAAGGACAAAUCAUCAACCAUGCAAUACAAUCUCAUUAAAAUUAUCCAUUCGCUACACACUAGCUCUGUCCCUCAUCACACCAUGUGGGGAUAUAAAUAUCGAACCACCCAGCCCACACACCAAUGGUAGCCCAAUUGUGAAACUACCUUCAUUUACAUAUUGGGCUUUAAAAGCCAUUGGUGGAUCCAUGAUUGUCAAGCAACCAUUCGAAUCUUCAUAUCAUUCCCCCAUUCCAUAAUUCCCACCCCAUAUGCAACCUAAGUAGAAUGUCAUAUGUAUGCAUGUCACAUCCAUAAAACUUACAUUCAACACCUAGGGGAAUUCUGGUCAUUCUCACCCUUAGGGGCAUUUCGGUAAUUUCCCCUUAAAUACUGUUUUCACUUGCCUUGGCCCAUGAACAAGUCUCGCGAGCUAAGAUGAACGAAUACUAUGCACCAGGUAGGAUUCUAGAGAAGAGGAGGUGGGUCAUUAAGACCGCUUAAGUUUCAAGCUCUCCCUAGAUCUAAUCCUAACCAUGCAUAUACCCGUUGCCACACCUUAACCCUAUGAAUUGUCCGCGGUCUGAAUUAAUUAAUUAAGUUUUAUGUAGUCAUCAUAUACUAGACCCAAUACCCCUACAUACAUGCAUAUGGCCCACUAGGCCCUAUCUUUUUCAAAUGGCCCAUCUGGCCCAAUUCAUAUUCUUAUGGCCCUCUAGGCCCAAUUCUUAUUCAUAUGGCCCAUUAGGCCCAAAUCAUAUUAUAUUCAUGCUCACAUACAAAUUUCCUAACACAUAGCAUCACUUAUCAAUCCUUGCCUAUUAUGGGCCCAAUAGCCCAUUUAGCCCAUUCCGGCCCAUUUGGCCAAUUCUCAACCCAAGUCCAUGGAAUCGCCCGUGGGCCUCAGGCAACCUAUCGAUUUCCUCUCCAUGAGUGUUCGCGCACUCGUGUGACUACCGUAGCCCAACUUUCGGCUUUUCAGCAUUUCGGCUUUUCGACUUUUUGGCAUUUUGGCUUUUGCCGAUUCAUUGUGUGUGUGUAGUGUAUGUACACACCUGGUAGGCAAGUUUGUUGCGAUUUCCUUAGCCUAAACCUACAAUCGAUAUCACUCAAAGAUUAAUCUCACAUACUUAUUGAAUACUUUACCAAAAGCUGGAAUCUCACCUUAACCUUACCUUGCGCGAUAAGUAUAACAGCCCCUUCACUAACCAUGAUCAACUCCUAGAUCUGCACCAAUCGUAACUAUUAAAACCAGAAUAAUAGGUGACUCGUAUCCAACACAAGUCCCCUUACCUCACUAUGGCUAUUCGGCCAACCUUAGCCAAUGGAUAAGGAAUACUUACCAAAGCCGCAACACCUAAGGGGCAAUUCGACAAUGAGCUAAGAUCUAAGAUCCGAUACUAAUUCCCUACCACAUUUGAUUAGAAAGAGUGAGGGACAAUAUUCGAUACUCAGCAGGGAAACCGAUUGGGAGAACAACACUUAUACAAGAUUUGACCGAAGUAGAAGGAGUAGUGAUUACACCAAGGGUAUUCGGCCAAAGAGGUUCGACCCUUUACGAUUUUGUAUAGCAAAAGAGGGUUAUUUGGCUCCUAGGAAAAAGAAAGAAAAGUCAACAAUGAGGUAGAGGAAGAAUAGAAUUCAGCACAAGGAAGGAGAAAAAGAAAAGUAAGGCAGAGGGUUUUCAACUUUUAGAGAAAAGAGUUUCUAGUAACAGGGUGAAGGAAAUUCGGUCAUUAGCUUCAUACCCUAGCAUUCGGCACCUAUUUAUAAGCCUUAUAGCUGAAUUUUCCCAUGCCCAAUUCCCCAUUCAGCUCCAUCACUUCUCCCUUCUCAUCUCCUCGUUCUUCUUCCUGAUAACCCUUUGAUCAUUUCCUUAAAUUUUUCUCCUGAACACUUCCCUUGGAGUCCACUUUCACGCCAUGUCCAUCCUUCUAAAAGGUCAAAAUUAAACUUCUAAAAACACUAAGCUAGGAUUCAAACCUUGGACUUCCUUGCUAGCUAUUAAUGCCAACUCCCUACACUCUAAGUGGCGUCACUUAGCCACUCAUCUACUAGGCUCUUUGCUACUAUUUUCCCCUAUCUUUAUUUAAAAGCCCAACUACUUGCCAACCCUGAUUCUUUUAAAAAUUAACUUAUAAUUUCUUCUAUCCCUUAAUUCUAACUCAAACCUUGACCAAGACCUACCUUUGUGUAAUUAGCACUUAACUGGAAUUAUUAAGUACAAAAAGAAAAAUUCAAGAUUUCGGGAUUUUUGGAUUUCGGGAUUUUUGGGGCGUUACAUACAUACCAAGCUAACAACGAAACAUCCAACAUUUUAUCAAGAAUGUCAGAUAAGAUAACACAAAUGAUGUAAAUGGUCCGAGAGAUAUCAAAGGUAUUACUUCCACGAGAAGAGGUUACACAAUGUUCUCAACUUUGACCAUGAUGACCAUUGUAUCACCAACAAUAGUCCAGAUUUAAAUGAUGGAAAUCAACAAGAGUUUAAAAUUAGGGACUGUGUUGAUGAACUAAACAUACUUGAAGGAAUCCCCAGUCCAAUUAACAAAAAAACAACUAUAAUAGUAGAUGUAGCCAUUGACAUAAAAGUAGGAGUAGCCACUACUAACAUGGAGCGUAAACUGAUUCUGAAUGAAAGUGUAAAGGAGCCAAUACACUUUCUGAUCAUAGCAGAAAGGUGCCAACAGAAGAGAUCGAUGAGUUUGGCUCAUUCUCAUCUGAUAAGGGCAACAAAGCUAGAGUGACCAAAACUUCACGCAACAUUGAGGGGAGGAAGCUUGAGGCAACAAUACCCAAAAAAUGGGGUUGGCUCGAAUUUGGUACCUAAUUGCGAGGUUUCAUGACAAGUUUUAAAUAUUUAUAAUUACUCAUUCUUGAACUAACUAUUAUCAUGAUUUAGGCAAGUGCACCUAUCGAACAGUAGUAUAGUUUUAGCAAGACUGAAUUGUCGAACCCAAAGGAACUAAAAGUACUAGAAAUGACUAACUUUUUAUUAUCUAGCCUAAGAAUAAAGAGGUUUUGCAUUAAAUAACUAAUUAUCUAAACUAAGAACUCAUAUAGAAAAGAAUUGGGGAAUUGCUUUUGGGAAAAAUCGAUUGACUUAAGACAAUACCUAAGGACAAAUCCACCUAGACUUGUUAUUAUGGCUCCGAAUCGGACGAUUUAUUCAUUCAACUUGUUCUGUAGUGAUCCUGAAGUUAUGUUAUUAUCCCUAGUCAAGACUAAUAAUGUCUAAUCCCUAGAUUGAAUAACCGAGACUUUUCUCUAAUUAACAUUCUAGGGUUGUAUUAACUCGAUCUAUGGAUCCCCUUAUUAAGUUUCACCCUAAUUCGACAAAAUCUGGUCACCUUAUUUCUAGGCGUGCAAUCAACUCCGCUUAAUUAUGACAAAAGCACUCUUAGACAGGGUCUAUUCCUCUUCUAAAUAAGAGCAUGUCUUGAAUCAGUAUCCUGGGAUAUCAAAACAAGAAUUAAGAACACAUAAUUAAGAACAAGUUAAAUAUUUAUUAUACGAUUCAGAAAAUAACAACAAGAUUCGUCUUAGGUUUCAUUCCCCUUAGGUAUUUAGGGGAUAUAGUUCAUAACUAAAUAAGAAAACAUCUUAGAAGAAUAAAGAAUACAAAACAUAAAGAAAACCCAAAACUCCUGAAGGGAAAUUGAGGAGAGAUCUUCAGUCUUGAUGAUGAAUCCAACUUUUGAGAUGGAUCAAUCAGCUUCCUUGAAGUAAUUCCUUACCCUUAUUCUCCGUUUCCUUUUCUCCUCUUCUAGGGUGUAUUUACAGGUUUUGGAAUGCCUAUGAGCCAUCAAAAGUGGUCUUUUUCGAAUUGUACUAAACUUGGGCUCGGCAAGGACACGGCCGUGUGCAAUUACUUCAGGCCAUGUUUGAGCCUGCCAAAUUGACAUGACUGUGUGGUCUGCCCAUGUGAGGAGGUCCAGGCUGUGUUGAUUUCGUACCUUGGCCCAUUUUCUCAGUUUUUGGCCCAUUUCUUGUUCCUUUCACUCUCCUAUGCUCUCUUAAGUAUAAAACAUGAAAUUAAAGCAUUAGGAGCAUCGAAUUCACCAAUUCUAAUGAGAAAUCAUCCAUAGAAUACAUUAAACAUGGGGUAAAAAUAUUUAUAAUUUACGGUUUAUCAAAUACCUCCACACUUAAGCAUUUGCUUGUCCUCAAGCAAAAUUCUCAACUCAUAAUCAAAAUAAAUUAUCCUCAACUUAUAAUUUCUAUUGAUAAUAUCUCAAACUAAUCCAUAGGUAAUCAUACAUUGAGAAUUCAACUAAAUGAACAUAAAAGUUUCAAACAUUCCAAGUUGAGUAUUUAGUCAUGCAAACUUAGGUGCUUCCCUCUGUCUAAGUAAUUACCUUUGAUUUAGAAUAUCACAGAGUUUUACAUCCUCACUAAAGGUUCACUCAAUUCACUCGAGGUGUUUAAGGACAAUGAAUGAAGCACUCAAUAGUCAUUAAUGGAAAUUCAUUACCAUAGGCUUGCAUGAAAAUCAAAUCUCGACCACUAUAAUUUAAGAUGAUACAUCAAUCAAAAGGUCUUUAGAGGGUUGUAGUGAGGCUUGGUUAGGGGGUGUGGUCACAAGCAAAAAGAAAGGGUUAGAAUUGAAAUUGAAUUGAAAAAUUUCCUAACUAGAAAAAGAGUAAUCUUCACUUGCGUACAACAAAGCUUCUCUCAGAAUAUGAAAUUACAGAUAUGCAUACAUAGUUUUUUUUUAAGAACAAGUUACAUAACAUAGACUAACUAUUAAGAACAAGACAUAGCUAAACAAUUUAUUCAAUUCAAAUCUCGACAAAAAUAGGGAUUAAUUUAGGGGAUUUCAACAAUAAUGGGUUAAGGGUUAAUAUUAAAGUUAAUACAAGAAAUGGCUUGUUAGGCUCAAGGGGGUUUACUAGGGGUUAAUUGUGGAGGUAGGCUUUUCAUGGCAUGCGUGGGUUAAUCCUAACUACCUUAAUCAUUUUGAUAUAUCAAAUCAAAUGGUCUGGUCUCGACAUGUAUAAUCAAACAAGUUCUAGAAUAACAGUUCAAUACUGACGCACUCAAAGCAAUAAUAAAAGUGAGCAUGAAAGAAUUACAAGAUGCUCAAAAGGCUCAAAAAUCUCACAAAAAUUAUGGCUUUUUGAUGUUAAAAACUUGUGAAUUCCAAUUCAAAGUAAUACCUAAACUUUGGGGAAACCGCCUAAGAUUUUAAAUUCUUAAAAAUCAACUUAUCAUGCUUGAUUCUCUAAUGUCUUAAAGUUUAAACAAUCAAUGCAUAAGUCCCUAUAUUUUAAUUCAAGAUAUAUCAAUCAAAAUCAUAAACCAAUUAAAAUUUAUCCUAAAUAUGAUAUGAGAGCUUUUUAAGAGAACAAGGCAGUCAUUCAAGGAUUUUUCUAAUAAUGAAAUGAAUGCCUCCCCCUACACUUAAGAUGUACAUCACUCUCAAUGUACAAAGAUAGGUAUUAUAAAAUAAAAAUAAGAUAGGGAGAGAAGUGAAACUUUCUGUAUGAUGAAUUCCUCGAACUAGAGUUUUGGAGAGUAAUUGGUUCAAGAGUGGAAGAGGAUACUCUAGCGGUCGUAGAGGUUCAUUAGUCCAUAAGUCUUGCGCCAAAAGAAUAUUAUAUCUAGUGGGAGCUAUGGUCGUGGUCGAGCAGGACAUGGCAUCAUAGAGAACCUUUCCCGGUGGAGUUUUAGUUCCUAUGUGAUGAUGAGCUUAAGACCUCUAUAUAACUAUGAUAAAAUCAGGAACUUUUUAGGGGAUAUUAGGAAGAAUAAGUACUUGAAAAGAAAUAACCGAACUUAAUAAUUAAAAAUAAAAUUCUAAAAUCUAACAAAAAUAAAAAGUAGUUUCAAUAAAAAUUAAAAACAUAAAAUAAUAAAUAAAUAUUUUUAAACAUCUUCAUCGCUGGAUGGUUCGCGAGGUGGGACUGGAGAUGAGAUGUGGAGGUGCUAACAAAUCUGCUGUAGAGUAGCAUCAAUGUUGUCAAAUCAUUGAAAACACUUCUGCUCAAAUCAGGUGAGGCACUCAGAGAUGUCAGCAUAUGAAGCCGCCGCAUGAACUGGACGAGAGGGUGGUAGUGGCUGAGUCGGUGGGUCUUCGUGUUAUAGGGGGACAUCAUCAGGAAUGUCCUUGUAGGCCUCCUCCUCGGUAGAUUGGACGAGACGAUACUUGGGAGGGUAGGUUCCUCGGCGCCUCUUGAUCAUCCUCAUGCUAAGCAUGCUCGAGAUACCUUGUGGAGACAUCUGGCCGAUGAGGGUGAGGGAUGAUUCUUAGGCCGUGGUGUUGAGGAGCCCGAAGUGUCACGCCAGCCUAGUCAUGUAGGAGCCGUGGUGUUGUGGGUGUUGAAGAUGCUAGUGCUCUCUCGCCUCCCUGUAAUCGUUUGAACUAAAAUAACAUGUAAGUACCUCAGGGAUGGUGGGAGAACUGAUGCCUUGGAGUGGCUAGGAUUGUACGAGGCCGUACUAAGGGCCAAAGUGUGCCAGCACUUUAAAGGAGAGAAAUGUAUGUGGCGACUGAGAGCAUGUAGUUCAUUCUCCUCCCUGAACUUCUCCGUAUAUAGGCUUAGUGCAGCACCAAACUCUGGGAAGCUUAGCUGGCAGAUUAGUCUGCCUAGGCGAAACUGGACCGUGCCGGGAUCAUCGUACCUUAUCGUUAUGGUCUGGAGAUAGAACGUUGAGCAGAGUUCUAUCGUGAGCUCAAGGUAUGUCGGCUCGAUAAUCCUAAAGAAUAGCUCCCACGGAUCGGUGGUUAAGAGAGCCAGAAUUGCAUCAGCCAUCUGGGCUCAUUCUACGGUAGCCCAGUCAAUGCAGUGGCCCUCUGCUAACGGUCAGGCCGAAAGUAUUUGGAAGAGCUCUUCUUGGGGCCCUCGUGGAAACUGUAGGAUAGGGUGACAAAUUUUUACGGUUGGACCCGUGGAAGAUGACGCUCCCUUGCUCUUCUUCGAGGCUGGCACAACGGUUUUCUUUCCUCUUGAAGAUGACAUUAAAGGCCUGUAAUAUAAAGGAUAAUAAUAAUAGGUAAACAUAUUCGAAGGGGAAGUAAACUAUUUCAGCCAAGACUACUAAUAUGAAGCAAACUCAACCACAAUAAUAAUGAGAAUGAGAAUAGAAAUGUAAUGGGUAUAAGGUUUUCCUAGUCUUAAUUUAACAUAAAUUGUAUGGUAACUAACCUAGGAAUGCAAUUUAAAUGAUAGACAUUGGCAUGAUAAUAGCAUGAAAAUAAGCAUAGUAAUGUCAUGGAUAUGAGGUGUGUCUAACAACUUGAUUUAAUUCGAUAUGUAUAAUAAAGAACCUAAAAAUGCAAACUAAAUGAUAAAGUAAUGAACAAAAAUGAAAACUAGUUCAAAAGUAAUGGAGAUUAUUGUAAUAAUAAGCAUUAAUAAUGAGUAAAAUAGAAGUGAAAGGAGUAAACAAACGCUAAGGGAGAGAGAUUGAGCUUUAAAAACGAAGUUGGAAGUGGCGCACAAGAGUGGCAGGGGGCCGUGUGGAGUUGCAGCAGCUAGGGUUAGGGUUUUUGAAUGGAGAAGAAAGUAAAUAGUGCAGGGUAUUUAUAAAUUUUGGGGCACACGCCUGUGUUCCCCAAUUUCAGCCCGUGUGAUUCGCGAAUUUCAAAUUUGGGCGCGUCUGACAUUUAGUACAUGCCCGUGUUCCUCGGGCGUGUGGGUUAACACGGCCGUGUCGUACGACCGUGUCUAGCUUCGUUCGGUUUUCCCACACCCGUGUGUUCAAUCCCCACUCCCGUUUUAUUUUAACAGGUUCAACCACGGGUGUUAGACACGGGCAUGUCGCACGCCCGUGCUAGUUUCUCAAUUUCAACCACGAGUUUUCCACACGGGCGUGUUGUACGCCCUUGUUGUUUUGGCAAGCUCGACCAUGGCUAUGUCGCACUGCUGUGGCAUUUUAUCAUGGAUCGUGUUGGGGAAAUCUUUUGCCCUAUUUUCAUACGUCCUUAAGCACGCCCGUGUGCUUGGCUGUGUUUUUGUGGAAACACUUGUAUUCAAGAUCUCUAUUAGUAGGUUAGGAGUUAAAUAGCAAAAUUUAAAGAAAUUAAUAAUGUUAGUGCUCGGGUUGUCUCCCGAGAAGCGCUUAUUCAUAGUCUAAGCUCGACUUACCUCUUCAGUGAAUAGUAGUGGUUUGAGGAGUUUAUACUUCUCAUUCCUGCUAUCAAUCUUAUCAAAAUAAAGUUUUAAUCGGGUGUUGUUUACCUUAAAAGUGCCGAACUUGGGAUGACUCACCUCCACCGUACUGAAUGGAAAAAUACUGAGUACCGUAAGAGGGAUUUGCUCAUUCGGUGUGGUAGUGACAAUGUGGGGAUAUGCGGCAUCUAAUAAGACCUUAUCACCAACCUUAACUAAAUUUGGGGAGGUAUCAAACUCAUUCUGGCAUAAUUUUGAUUUAUUGUGUAUUCUCGGUUUAUGUGCUCGCCAUUCGUCUAGCUCCUCUAUCCGUAGCCUUCGUUCUUCAUGAAUGUGUCCUUUAUCAUUUCUAGAACAUGGCUCGUGAACUUCUUUGAAGCUCAAUUUUUGCAAAGUCAUAUUUUAAGUUUUAGUAGAUUGGUGUGGACCAUUACCUUCAAUGUUUGAUGUGAUGCCAGAAUUACGAGCUUGAAGGGUGAUCGUUUCGUCUCCCAUAUGAAGUGUAAGCUCACCUGUGCCAACAUCAAUAGUUUUACAGUUGCUAAAAAGGGCCUCCCUAAAAUCAAAGGGGUGUUAUUAUUCUCCUUUAUGUCUAGAACAACGAAAUCAACGGGAAAUAUGAACUGAUCUACUUUCACUAGUACAUCUUCAAUAAUACCCCUAUGAAAUCUUAUAGUUUUAUCUGCAAAUUGAAUGCUCAUCAUAGUUUGUUUAGGUUUCCCAAUACCUAGUUGCUUAAACAUUUUGUAAGGCAUGACGUUAAUACUACCCCCUAAAUCAGCUAAUGCAUGACUUAUAUCUAAACUACCAAUUAAGCAAGGAAUUAUAAAACUCCCUGGAUCUUUCAAUUUGUGGGGUAGCUUAUUCUGUAGUAUAGUUGAGCAGACUGCGUUUAGCUCCACAUGCGAUGCUUCGUCCAACUUUCGCUUAUUUACUAAAAGCUCUUUUAAAAAUUUCAUUGCAUUUGGCAUCUGCGAUAGAGCUUCAAUAAACGGUAAGUUAAUAUGUAAUUUUUUCAAAAGUUUGAGGAAUUUACCGAAUUGUUCGUCUGAGCAGUCUUUCCUUGUCACGUUAGGGUAUGGGACACGAGGUCUAUAUUCUUCAUUCACCAUUUUGUUAUGUCUUACCUCACUUUUACCUUUGCUCACCACAGUUUCUUGCAUCAAUUCUAGCUCAGGCGCAAUGAAUCCUUCCUUAUCUUGAGUACUAAUUGCAUUGAGUUGUUCCCUUGGAUUAGGUUCAAUAUUGCUUGGUACGCUACCUUGUGGUCAUUCGGAGAUUAGUUUGGAUAGAUGGCCUAUCUGAGUUUCGAGCCCUUGGAUCGAAGCUUGUUGAUUCUUAAGUGUUGUCUCGGUAUUUUGGAAAUAGGUUUCUAAUACUGAGAUGAAUUCAGAGAGCAUCUCUUCAAGGUUCGGUUUCUUCUCUUAUUGAUAAGGUGGCUGUUGAAAACCCUGAGGAUUUUGUGGCUUUUGAUUCCCUUGACCACUCCAGGAGAAAUUUGGGUGGUCCCUCCAACCUGCAUUAUAAGUAUUACUGUAUAGAUUAUUUUGAGAUCUAAAGUUAUUGUUACCCAUAUAGUUAACUUGUUCCUAUUCGGUUGUAGGAUUGAAGGAUUGAUAUUCUGUAUGCACACCUCCUCCACUUGAGUCACACCUCAUUACUGGAUGUACCUGCAUAGAACCAAGUAAACCAUCAAUCUUUUUAUUGAGAAGUUCUACCUGAUUUGAAAGCAUAGUAACUGAGUCGACGUUAUAAAUACCGGCUGUUUUUGUUGGCUUAGUCCUCAUGACUUGCCACUGAUAGUUAUUCAGUGACAUUUCUUCAAUGAAUUCAUAAGCCUCUUCAGGUGUUUUUUUAUUGAUGGCUUCUCUAGCAGCUGCGUCAAUCAUCUGUCUUGUCGAGGGAUUUACACCAUUGUAAAACGUUUGAACUUGCAGCCAUAGAGGUAACCCAUGGUGAGGGCACCUUCGCAAUAGAUCCUUGUAUCUCUCCCAUGCAUCGUAAAGUGUUUCAAAGUCCAUUUGCACAAAAGAGGAGAUAUCAUUACAUAACUUAGCCGUUUUAGCCGGCGGAAAAUAUUUUAGUAGAAAUUUUUGGUCAUUUGUUCCCAAGUAGUGAUGGACCCUCGUGGUAAUGAGUUCAACCACUGUUUAGCUUUGUUUCUCAGUGAAAAACGGAAUAACAGAAGGUGAAUGGCAUCAUAAAAAAUACCAUUAAUUUUGAAAGUGUCGCAAAACUCCAGAAAAUUCACCAAGUGAAAGUUAGGUCCUCAUCCCGCAAACCAUCAAACUGAACAAACUGUUGUAUCAUCUGAAUUGUGUUAGGUUUCAGUUUGAAAUUAUUCGCAGCAAUAGCAGGUCUAACUAUACUUGACUGAGUUCCUGUUAAAGAAGGUUUAGCAUAGUCAUACAUAGUACAUGGAGCAGGAUUUUGAUUAGCCGCAAUUGCAGGAGGUAGCUGAUUGCCUUGGUUUUUAGCCAUCUCUUCGGUUGGGGGUUGAGUAUCAUCUUCUUGCUCGUUCUCUGUGUAUCUUAAGCUUCACCUUAUUUCUCUUUGGUUUCUACAAACUGUGCGAUCGAUUUCUUUGUCAAAAAGUAAUGGUCCUGACGGCUUUCUUCUAGUUAUAAACUAUAAAAACCUGUCAAGAGAAAUAAAAAGUAAAUUAAUUAGUAAUAAGAAUAAUAAAAUUAAAUUAAAGUAAAUUGCAAGAAAAAUAAAUGGCUAAAGUAAUAAAAACUGAGUGUUCCUAAUAUUUUAGUUCCCCGGCAACGGCGCCAAAAACUUGAUCGUGAGGUUUCGUGAUAGGUUUUAAAUAUUUAUAAUUACUCAUUCUUGAACUAACUAUUAUCGCAAUGUAAGCAAGUGUACCUAUUGAACAGUAGUAUAGUUUUAGUAAGACUGGAUUAUCGAAACCAAAGGAACUAAAAGUACUAGUAAUGACUGUCUUUUUAUUAUCUAGCCUAAGAAUAAAGAGGUUUUGUUUUAAUUAACUAAUUAUCUAAACUAAAAACUCACAGAGAAAAGAAUUGGGGAAUUGCUUUUGGGAAAAAUCGAUUGACUUAAGACAAUACCUAAGGACAAAUCCACCUAGACUUUACUUGUUAUUCUGGCUCCGAAUUGGACGAUUUAUUCAUUCAACUUGUUCCGUAGAGAACCCGAAGUUAUGUUAUUAUCCCUAUCCAAGACUAAUAACGUCUAAUCCCUAGAUUGAAUAACCAAUACUUUUCUCUAAUUAACAUUCUAGAGUUGCAUUAACUCGAUCUAUGGAUCCCCUUAUUAGGUUUCACCCUAAUCUAGCAAAAUCUUGUCACCCUAUUUCUAGACACGCAAUCAACUCCGCUUAAUUAUGACAAAAGUACUCUUAGACAAGGUCUAUUCCUCCUCUAAAUAAGAGCAUGUCUUGAAUCAGUAUCCUGGGAUAUUAAAAUAAGAAUUAAGAACACAUAAUUAAGAACAAGUUAAAUAUUUAUCAUACGAUUCAAAAAAUAAUAAUAAUAUUCAUCUUAGGUUUCAUUCUCCUUAGGUAUUUAGGGGUUUUAGUUCAUAACUAAAUAAGAAAACAUCUCAGAAGAAUAAAGAAUAAAAAACAUAAAGAAAACCCAAAACUCCUGAAGGGAAAUUGAGGAGAGAUCUUCAGUCUUGAUGAUGAAUCCGGCUUCUGAGAUGAAUCAAUCGGCUUCCUUAGAGUAAUUCCUUACCCCCUAUUCUCUAUCUCCAUUUUCUCCUCUUCUAGGGUGUAUUUAUAGGCUUUGGAAUGCCUAUGAGCCCUCAAAAGUGGCCUUUUCUGAAUUGGAUUCAACUUGGGCUCGACAGGGACACGCCCGUGUGACACGUCCAUGUGCGAUUACUUCAGGCCAUGUUCGAGCCUGCCAAUUUGACACAACCGUGUGGUCUGCUCGUGUGAGGAGGUCCAGGCUGUGUUGAUUUCGUACCUUGGCUCAUUUUCUCCGUUUUUGGCCUGUUCCUCGUUCCUUUCACUCUCUUAUGAUCUCCUAAGUAUAAAACAUGAAAUUAAAGCAUUAGGAGCAUCGAAUUCACCAAUUCUAAUAAGAAAUAAUCCAUAAAAUGCAUUAAACAUGGGGUAAAAAUAUGUAUAAUUUACUGUUUAUCAGUACCAAAUGGCUUAUAAUAUGGAUGUCACCGGUCGAAGAUAAGGAAACAUCAUUGGAAUUGACCAAAAGGGUUGGUUCAUACACAGCAACAGAGCAACAAAUGUCAAAUUAAAGUGUCGAGAACCAGCUGGAAGUACUUCUAUGGUGGCGAUACGGAUCGUCCUAGUUUUUAAAGAACUUAUAUUUCCUGCUUUAAAUUUUUUUAGUUUUUAUUUUAUUAUUCGUUUAUUUUAAUAUUAAUAAUUUUAGUUGUGUUUAAUUUUUUUCAUAGUAAGUGUAGAUAUCAUGGAGUGACAGAACCAAAAAAAAAUCAAAGAAAUCAGAAACUAGGCUCGAUGUCGCGACAUCCUAGACAAAAUGCACCUUGUAACAUUGAAGGCCGAAGUUCAACCGAAUAUUUAUAGACGUUCUGUCAUCCAUUAUUGACACUUCGUCUUUUUCUUCUUAUUUUUAUUUUCUUUAUAUUACAUUUCAUAUUUCCUUUCGUAGAUUCUUUUUUGUUACUCUCUGUCUGUUUGAAACACACAAACCCCGAGAUUAUCAUAACAAUAAGGAUUCGACCUACUCAGGGAAGUUUUCUUGUUUGUACUUUAAUUACUUUACACUAAGGGGAAUGUAUAUUCUAAAGUAUGGGGGGAAGCACAUAGGAUUAAUUUUUUAUGUGUUUUCGUUUGUGUGUUUACUUUGAUUUAAUUGAUUUUUUAUUUACCAAAAAAAAAUAUUAUUGUUUUUGUUACAUGGUGCUUGGGUUAUAUUAAUACUGUGAAUAGCAGUUGAAGAUAAUAAAGCAUUAAUGGUUCUUGUCAAGCAUGAAUUUUUUUAUUGAUAUAAGAUAAACUGAUUAUUUUUAAGGGAAAUUGAUUGGGUUACCAAGUUAAAUUGCAUAAUAGAUUUGAAGUACCUAAGUAAGAAUGUUUGAUGAUGCCAUAUGAGAUAUAAGUCUUAUAAAUAGUCACAGAGACAUGAAUGCUUGAAUUGAUUAUUAUUCAUUUGGUUUAAUUUGAAGCAUGAAAGAAAUUGUGUAUGGUGGGAUGCCUAGGGAUAACCUAAGGCAUUGUUUGAAUAGCCAGUUCUCAAAUUACUAUACCUUAAUUCUAUGAACCCCUAGUCUCUUAUUUGAGCCUGAUGACUCCUUUUUGAUGAAUCUACAAAAAUUAGACGACACAUAAAUUGAAAACUUGAACUCUUUCCUAUCUUUGUUCCUUUAAUACAUUACGAAAUAGACGCUAAGCCAUAGAUAUUGAGCGUUUAGGUAGAUACAUUAGGUUAGUUUUAAAAAAAAGGAGCGAAAAAGGAAGAAACAAUGUGAUACAUGGAUUAUAGGUUGGGCAAAAAUAUGCCAAAAAAGAAAAAAAAUCUAGAAAAAGUGAAAAGUAAGAACGAGAAGAAAAAGUACAGAACAAAGAAAAAAGCAUUGUGACUAAGAAAAAGAAGUAAAAUGUUAGGUGAAAAAACAAAAAGUCACAAAGUAAGAGAUAAAUCAAUCAUCAGUGCACCAAAACUCAUUAAGUUGACCAUAGUUGGUAGUAGUAGAUUGUAUCCUCCUACAUGGAGCAAUAAGUUAGGUGAGAGAGGAAGACAAAAGGUUGUGAGCUUGAAUGGGACAUUAAGGGGGAAGAGAGGGAACAAUGUCUUGUGCCUAACUAUUCCUAGUGUUUAAACUGUUUUGAGCCAUAGCUUUCUUUGAACUCAUAACAUCCUAGGCUUUUUGAUUUAUGUUAAGGGUGGUAUUGUUAAAUAUUUGGUCAUGGGAAUUACUUCUAAUUUGUUAGUAAUGUAACUUUGUAAACUAAUCCUAAUUUACUUAAAAAGUUUUAAGACAUCGAACUAUCAAGAUUAAGUUACAUGUGCGAUGUGAAUUGUUAUCCCUUUAAGCUUUGACAACAAUGUUCAUAGUAGUAAAAAAAUCCAAGGGACAUCUUCUUAUUACAUGCUAUGUGUCUAGACUUGGUUUGCUUGAGGACAAGCAAAAAAGUUCAGUAUAGGGGAAUUUAGGUGAGAGGUUCUUAUUUGCAUCCAUCUUUACUAACUUUAGCUUGUUUAAAGAAAAGAAAUUAAGUCAAUUUUGUAUUAUUUUUAUUUCUCUUUUUCCAAUAUAUGUAAUUUGGUUGCUUAAGAAAAAGCAACAAGUUAAGUGUGGGAGAGUGAUUUGCCAUUAAUUACACUGUUAUUUACAUCCUUUUUACACAUAACUUUAGCUUGUUUAAUAGUUAAAUCAAAGCACCUUAGUAUAUAUUUAGGUUUUCAUACUUAAAGUAGUAAUUUAUGUUUUCUAGUAGUUUUUAUCACAUUUUAUAUAUCUAAAUAAGGUUACAUGGUCUUGUAGGUCAAGUGGGGAGCUAAAAAUGAAUAUUCAGGCCAAGAUUGAUGCCUAUGUCGUGACACCAAGACACUGAUAUCUCAACAUCGAAGACAGAACCCAAAAACAAGUUCUUGACUGAAACUGUACAAAGAUGUACAUUGUCCUAAAUGUACAAAGAUAGAUAACAAUAGACGGAUAAUAUCAUAAGAGAGAGAGAGAAGCGAAACUGCCCUGAAUUUUUGGAGGGAAUCCUUGGAAUAAUGAAGUGAAAAUUUUAGAUAUGGCCAAUGAUGUGCAUGAAUCGGAGCUACCAUUAAGAAAAUAAACACAACUAUGAAGAGAAUUAAAGGGUUACUUGAUAAUAGCCAUAAUGAUAAAUAUAGUUUAAAAGUAUAAAUGAAAAGUCUUUAAAACUAAAAUAAAAAUAAAAAUAAAGUGAAAAAUAAAAGAUAAAAUAAAUGGACUCAAAAGUCCUCAUUGGUAGAUGGAUCUUGAGGUGGUGUUGGUGGAGGUAAGAUGUUGAAAUGCUGGCAAAUCUACUGCAGAGUCGCCUUGAUGUUGUCGAACCUCACAAAACACUUUUGCUCGAAUCUAGUGAGUCGCUCGAAUAUAUAGGUCAAAGUGGCUGCAGGAGGUCAGCAACUCGGUGGUGGCAGUGGGUGUGGGUCCUCGUGAGGGGGAGGGACAUCAUCAAUAAUGUCCUUUGGCUCAUCCUGGUCAUCAGUGUGAAUGAGUCUGUACUGAGGAGGGUCGAAUCCACUGCGUCGCUCUAUCAUCCUCAUGUGGCCUACUAGUGUGAGUAUCGAAGACAUCUCUAGAGUGUCAAAAAGGUCGAAAUGUCGAGCUAGGUGAGUCACGUAGGGAACAAGGCAGAUGGGAUCCCUUCUAUGGCGGUUUGUUUGGUGGAGAAAAGCAAGGGCAAUAAAGUAUACCAAAUUGAAUAUAUGACCAAUAGCCAUGCUCCAUAAAAAGUAAGCAUUGGUGGUGCUAACAACUCUGGUGCUCUCUCUCCUUACAGUCAAGGUGUGAGCCAAGAUGGCAUGGAUGUAGCAUAGUGCUGGAGGAAGAGAAGUCGCCUUUGAGCGACUUGCGUCAUAGGGAAUAGUACUCGCCAUAAGGUCAGUCCAACAGUAGGAAGGCGAGUGGUAUAUGUGUCAGUGAAGAUGUAGAAAAGCCUCGGAAGCCAUAAAAUCCUCCGUGUAGAAGCCCAAAAUAGCUCCAAACUCUGGUACACUCAUGUGUCUUACGAGUCCACCAAGUCUGAAAAUGAUAGUGCCGGCCUCGUCGUGGGUAUUCAUCACAUGCCGAAGAUGAAAAGUAGUGCAAAAUUCCAAGGUAAGCUCCAAAUAGGUGGGCUCGAUAAUUGCAAAAAAAAUCGAUCCCACGGGGCAGUGGUGAGAUGGAAUCAAACAAGGUGGGUAAGUUGGACCUACUCCAAGGUGACCCAAUCUAUGCAGCGGCCCACUCCUAAUGGUCGUACUCGAAGAAGCUGAAACAAGUCGUCCUGUGGUCUUGACGAGAAUCGAAGCAGAGGGUGACGAGCUUCAGUUGAGGCGCUCGAGGAGGUUGCGCCAGGACUCUUCUACUUUUUCAAAGUGGGGACGACAGUUUUCUUGCCUCGUGUGUUUGUCAUAGUAUUCCUGAAAAUGACAGAAGUCAAAAAAAGUACCAAAUAUUCAACCACAAGUUAAAGGAAAAAAUAAGAAUCUAACUAGUAAAAAUAAAACUAUAGUCCUAAAAAGAAUAUGCCCUAACAGUAAUCAUAGCAAAGACCAGAAUAAUAGAAAAAUACAUAGGAACAUAACAGUAGCACUAAGGAAUAAAAAUUAAGAAAAAGAUCAUGGAGAAAACAAUAUAAAGUAAAAUAUAGGAAAAUAUAAAUACUAAAAAUAAUAAAAUAGGAGAAAACAAAGAUAAAAAAUGAAAGAAUCAGAAAACUAAAAUAAAACAAAAAAGUAAUAAAAAUAAUAAUCAUAAUAAAUAACAAAUAUAAUGAAGAAUAACAGUAAUAAUAAUGAAUACUAAUAAAUAAAUAAAUAAAAUUACUAAAAUUAAAAUGGAAUAACAAUUAAGAAAUAAAGAAAGAAAUAAGUACAACUGGAAUAAAAUAAAUGUGAGGGUAAAAGAGGAAACCACGGGCAAUGAUCGGAGAUGUAACGGUGGCGGCUGGUUGGGGUGGUAUGGGUCGAACGGAGGAUGGCGUUUUUUGCAGGAGGGGAGGGGGUUGACGGGGUGGUGGGCGGUCAGUUGAAGAGGAAAAAGGGGGAAAAGGGAAAGGAAAGGGGAAGAAAGAAAGAAAAGGGAGAGAAAAGGUGGGGGUAGGGAGGAAAGGAAGAAAAAGAAAAGGGAAAGGGAGUGUGGUGGCAGGCGGUUGGUCGGAGAUGGAGGGGGAGGGAGUUACGGCGACGGCUGGUUGGGAAAAUUUGGAGAAGAAGACAAAAAAUAAAAUUUUAGGGUUUUGGGGGAUUAAAUAGGACACGGUUGUGUGAGGCCCGUGUUGGGCCACACGGCCGUGUCACAUGCCCGUGUGGCUCGAGUAUUGCCCGUGUACGUCGAGAGCAUUUAUUGACCAUUCGUCACACGGCCACGAACAUGCCUGUGUGUCCAAGCCGUGUGGUUCACAGGGUUGUAUCGCACGGCCGUGUGCUACGUUAUUCGCUUCUCCCACGCCCAUGUGAUCUCCCGCACGCCCGUGUGUUCGAACACACGAUCGUGUGGUUCACCCGUGUAGCUCUUUGACCUGUUUAAAAUUUGAAAAUUUAGCUCCAGUUUCUUCACGGCCUAAAACACGCCCAUGUGUCCAGGCCGUGUGGUCCACACGGUCUUGUCUCAUGGCCGUAUGGCUCGAGUUUAUGGUCAUGUGUAUGUGAAUACUUGGGAACUUUUAGCCCUGUUUCCACACGGCCAAGGACAGGCUUGUGUGCCUAGGUUGUGUGGGUCACUGUACCUGUAUAAAAACAUGAAAAAUAGAUAAAAUAAAUGGGUUAGUGGUGUUAGUGCUCGGGUUGCCUCUCGAAAAGCGCUUUGUAACACCCUGAAUUUGGACCUAGAAGUUUUGGGCCUUAAGCAUGGAAGCGGUUGAAGGUAGCUUAUAAUAUUUUGUUGUGCAUGUAAAUUUCGUUAAUGAAGGCUUGUUUUAGCGGUUAAGUGUGCUGAGAAGUGUUGGAGAAGUCUUGGGUUCAAACAUGGACUCUAGCAAAAAUUUUGGUUUAAGGUGAAUCAAACCCUGGGUGUAGUAGGUAGGCCUUAAGAAUAUUGUUGGAGAAAUUGUGCCACAAAAAGCCUUGUGGUCUAGUGGCAAAGUAGCGCUACAUAAGAGGCAGGAAGGUGGCGUCAUAGAGUUGGCAAGGAGGUCCAGGGUUCGAAACUCAUGGCAAUCAAAGAACAUUUAUUUUGCUAACAUGGGGCGGUAAGAGUUGGUGUUGAAUUUAAACUCUGAUGAUGGAGGGAUCCUACAUCGGGAAGCUAACAUAAGAGUGGAUGCGAAGCUGGCUUUAAAUAGAGAGAACCAUGAGGAGAGUAAAGGUACCUUUCUUGGCUGAUCCCUUUCGCUUCAUGGCGUGCUCGUUUGGGUUGGGCGUCGGCUAAGAGUGCUCGAAGCGCGGAUUAACUCCAGUCUCCUAUCAGGUGUGUAUUUCUCACUACUCUAGCUAUAGGAUGGCUACUUCGGGCUGCGAUGGGCCGCGAUGGGCCGAAAAGGGCCAUGUGGGCCCAAUGGGCCUACGGGCCCAAUUAGAUAAGUUGUUUGAUUGUGUAGUAAAUAUUGGACUAGGCUAGGUGAAUCUCAUAUCUAUGGCUAGAUUUGGGCUAAAAGGGCCACACGAGCGUGUGGGCCCAUUUGGGCUGAGAAAGGGCUUUAGGCCCAUUCUUAUUGUUAUCCCUGUUUAGAAUACUUUAGUUUACCAAAUUACCAAAAAACCCCUGGUUUGUAAAAUUACCAAAAUACCCUUAGUUUACAAAAUUACCAAAUACCCCUGGUUUGUAAAAUUACUAAAAUACCCUUAGUUUAUAAAAUCACCAAAAUACCCCUGGUUUGUAAAAUUACCAAAAUACCCUUGGUUUAUAAAAUUACCAAAAUACCCAUGGUUUGUAAAAUUACCAAAAUACCCCUAGUUUGUAAAAUUACCAAAAUACCUCUGAUUUGUGAAAUUACUGAAAUACCCUCGACCUUUAAAAUUACUGAAAUACCUCGACUUGUAAAAUUACCAAAGUACCCUCGAUUUAUAGAAUUACCGUUUUACCCUUGAUUUACAAAAUUACCGUUUUACCCUCAAUUUACAGAAUUAUUGUUUUACCCUCAAUUUAAAAAAUUAUCAUUUUACUCUCGAUUUACAGAAUUACUGUUUUACCCUCGAUUUACAAAAUUACUAUUUUACCCUCGAUUUACAAAAUUACUAUUUUACCCUCGAUUUACAAAAUUACUAUUUUAUCCUCGAUUUACAGAAUUACCAUUUUACCCUCAAUUUAAAGAAUUACUAUUUUACCCUCGAUUUAUAGAAUUACCGUUUUACCCUCGAUUUAUAAAAUUAUCAUUUUACCCCUAGGGUGUUAAAUGAUUGUUUUGCCCUUUUGGGCAAGUGACUGACUUGGACUGUGUGGUUGACGGAUUUGAUUGUGAAUAUAUGUUGGUGAUAUGAAUGACUUGACUGUGACUGUUUGAUUCAAGUAUGGGCUUGAUAUUCUGAUUCUGUAUGCUGUAUGCCAUGACAUGUAUAUCUGUUGCAUGGGACACGGGUUUAUAUUGAUGGAGGAAGCGUUCUGGCAGCCUCGCUGCAAUCUGGUGGCCUCGCCACAUAUAUCUAUUCUGGUGACUUCGUCACAAUAUCUGGCAGCCUCGCUGUAAUUUCUAUGUUGUGUAGCAGUUGGGUGGGUCGAGUAGUCUCCCCAUAUGGUGUAAGGUUGGUACGAGGGUGUAUACAGCUGGAUUGGGUUGGGAUUGCAUUCACAUUAUGAUUUUGAUUCUGUUACCUGAUACUGAUUCUGAUUCUAAUUCUGUCACCUGAUUCUGAUUCUGAUUUUGAUUCUGAUUCUAGUUCUGAUAAUGUUUCUUAUUCUGUAAUGGGUUAAAGCCCAUCUGGUACUGUCUGUUAUAGUGGGCUAAGGCCCAAUUGAUACUGAAACUGUAAGUAGGGUUGAGGCCAAACUUUUAAUUCUUUUAUAUGACUGACUGUUCCUUUUAUAUAGUAGGGGAUUUCACACUGAGUUUUUGUAAACUCACCCCGUUUAUUAACCUUUCAGGUAAUUUCUAGCCUUAGACAGAUCGGAGCUGCGAGGGGCUCGGAGGAAGUCACACACAGUGUUUAUUUUAUAGUUUUGAUUAUUACUUUUAAAUGUUUUAUGUGGGUUGUAGUAAAGCCGUUGUAAUUUUCUAGAUUUCAAAUUUGAAAUUUAACUUAUUGUUCUUAUAAUUGCUAGUAUUAGAACACGGUUUUCCAAAGCAACUACUGUUGUUCAAAAAGCACGUAUCCGCAAUUGUUUUUAAAUCAAGCUUCCGCAACUGCCAAGAUUUUUACAAAGUUGUUACGAAUGUUAUUCAGCUGAGGUUUCUAACAAGGUUUAAAAAGGGUAUAAGUUUUUAAUUAUUAAGAAGGGUUUUUAAUGGAAACAUGGUUUUCGAAAAAGACUUCAAUGUGACAUGCCAGAUUCGAGCCAAACUUCUAGGCCGGGUUUAGGGUGUUACAUGCUUAUUUAGAGUCUAACCUUGACUUACCUCGUAUUUGCACGGUCAUGGUGGCUCAAAGAGUUGAAACUCCUCAUUCCUUCUAUAAUCUUAUCAAAAUAAGGUUUUAGACGAGUACUAUUUACCUUAAAAGUGCCGAAUUUGGAAUGAGUUACCUCGACUGUACCAUAUGGGAAAACAUUAAGUACUGAAAAAGGGAUUGCUCCAUUAGGAUUAGCAGUGGCAACAUGAAGGUCUGCUUCAUCUAACAGUACUUUGUCUCCAACCUUAAGUUGAUUCGAUUCACCUUUGAGUUCAUCAUGACACUGCUUUGGUUCAUCGUGUAUCCUCGAUUUCUCCUUAACUAUUGUUCGUCAUUCAUCUAGUUCCUAGAUUUGUAAUGUUCGUUCGUCAUGGAUGAUCCCAUUGUUGGUAAUAGAUUGUGGCACGUUAAUGCUUUUCCGAAGUGUUUCCCGUAAAGAAGGUCGAACCACAUGAUUAGUCUCAUUAACAUGUUUUAUAGAAUCAUCAUCAUAACUUGCUGCCUUGACCGAAUCACAAGCUUGGAGCAUGAUCGUAACUUCUCCUACGCGGAGUGUGAGUUCACCUGUGUAACACCCCUCACCCGUAUCUGACGCCGAGAUAGGGCUCGAGGUGUUAACGGGAUUCCACAUUAAUAAACAUAUUAAAGCAAGUCACUAAGUUGCACUCUAAUUUAAAACUUUUCAAAUAUGUAUAUCCUUUCCCUUAAACAGUCCUUCGAGACCUAAAACAUGUCUAGAGAUGGCGUGGGACAAAACCAAGAACGUUUGAUAAACUUGGGCACCUUGGAAAUUUUCUUUUAACUUGAAGUGUCACAUGCCCAUGUGACUUGGGACACGCCCGUGCAAUCACCCCAUGUCCAAGACUUGAGCAUUCUGUUAAAUUCACACGGCCAAGACACACGCCCGUGUGUUUAGCCCGUGUUCAUUUAACAGACUUACCAUUUUAGAUGCAGAGGACACACGACCAUGCCACACGCCCUUGGAAACUUAUCGCAUCCCGUGUUGGGGAAAAAAUCUUGCCCUGUUUUCACACGGCCUAAUGCACGCCCGUGUGCCUGGACGUGUGGUCUUUUGAAAGUCUGCGUUCCAUGAUUCAGUUAGUAUGUUAGAUGUUAAACACUAAAAUUUUAAAGAAAUUAAUACUAUUAGUUCUCGGGUUGCCUCCCGAGAAGCGCUUAUUUAUAGUCUAAGCUCGACUUUCCUCUCUUCUGCAUGGUCAAGAUGGUGCGAGGAGUUUACACUCCUCAUUCCUACUAUCAACUUUAUCAACAUAAGGUUUAAGACAAGUAUUGUUUACCUUAAAUGUGCCGAAUUUGGGAUGAAUUACCUCGACUGUACCAUAUGGGAAAAUACUAAGUACCGUAAGAGGAAUUUCUUCAUUAGGUUCAGAAGUGGCAAUGUGAGGAUCUACUGCAUCUAGUAGUACUUUGUCUCCAACCUUAAGUGGAUUUGGUAAGGAAUUGAGCUUGUCCUAGCUCGGUUUCGAUUUAUCGGGUGUUCUCAGUUUCUGUGUCUACCAUUCAUCUAGCUCCUUGAUUUGUAACCUUCAUUCUUCAUAGAUAGGUCCGUUGUUGUUGUUUGAACACGGCUGAUAUGUAUUCUUCGAAAUUGUUUCCUGCAUAGAGGGUGUCACCACAUGAUCAAUACUAGUAGAAUGAUUUAUACAACCACCUUCAAUUUUUGAUGUGUUACUCGAACUACGAGCUUGAAGGGUGAUUGUUUCGUCUCCCACACGAAGUGUGAGUUCACCUAUACCAACAUCAAUAAUGGUUCUAACAGUCGCUAAAAAGGGUCGUCCUAAAAUUAAUGGUGUGUUACUAUCCUCUUCCAUGUCUAGAACAACAAAAUCUACUGGGUAUAUAAAUUUAUUGAUCUUAACAAGAACAUUUUCAAUGAUACCCCUACGAAAUCUAAUGGUUUUAUCAGCCAAUUGAAUGCUCAUCCUAGUUUGUUUGGGUUUCCCAAGACUUAGCUGUUUAAACAUUUUAUAAGGCAUAACAUUAAUGCUUGCCCCUAAGUCAGCCAAUGCAUGAUGAACAUCUAAACUACCAAUUAAACAAGGAAUCGUAAAACUCCUAGGAUCCUUCAAUUUGUUGGGUAGCUUAUUUUGUAAUAUGGCUGAGCAAACUGCAUUCAACUCCACAUGCUACGCCUCAUCCAACUUUCGUUUGUUUGUUAAAAGCUCCUUUAAAAACUUGACUGCGUUUGGCAUCUGCGAAAGGGGUUCAAUAAACGGUAAGUUAAUUUGUAGUUUCUUUAAAAGUUUAAGAAAUUUACCAAAUUGUUUGUCUGAUCGGUCUUUCCUUGUUGCAUUGGGGUAUGGCACACGAGGUUUAUAUUCUGUACUCACCGAUUUUGGGUCAUUUAGGCUUACCUCAUUCUUACCUUUACUUACCACCGUUUCUGGCUUUGGUUUUACAACUAACCCUUCCUCAUCUUGAAUGGAAAUCGCAUUGAGUUGCUCCCUUGGGUUAGAUUCAGCGUUGUUUGGCAGGCUUCCUGGUGGUCUUUCAGAUAUCAAUUUAGCGAGCUAACUUAUCUGAGUUUCGAGCCCUUGGAUCGACGCUUGUUGAUUUUUAAGUGCUGUCUCGAUAUUCUAAAAACGAGUUUCUGACACUAAGAUAAAUUUUGUUAGCAUCUCUUCAAGGUUUGGCUUUUUCUCUUGUUGGUAGGGUGGUUGUUGGAAGCCUGGAGGUGGUGAUCUCUGAUUCUCUUGGCCUCCCCAUGAAAAAUUUGGGUGGUUCCUCUAACCUGCAUUGUAAGUAUUGCUAUAAGGAUUGUUUUGAGAACGAGGAUUGUUACCCAUGUAAUUUAACCUCUAGUUCUCCAUGUUGUGGCCAUAAGGUGGAUAUUCUAAACUGCUUGAUCCACCUCCACUUGCUUCGUACUGCAUUACUGGGUGAACCUGUAAAGAACUAAGAAAACCAUCAAUUUUCUUAUUCAAGAGUUCUACCAUUAUGAAACGUUUGAGCCUGUAGCCAGAGUGGUAACCCAUGGUGAAGGCAUCUUCUCAAGAGGUCCUUGUAUCUCUCCCAUGCAUCGUAGGGUGUUUCUAAAUCAUCUACACAAAAGAAGAGAUAUCAUUAUGUAAUUUGGAUGUUUUAGCCGACAGAAAAUAUUUUAAUAAAAACUUUUUGGUCAUUUGUUCCCAAGUAGUGAUUGAUCCUCGUGGUAACGAAUUCAACCACUGUUUAGCUUUGUUUCUCAAUGAAAAUGGGAAUAACUGAAUACGAAUGGCGUCAUCAGAACUCCAUUAAUUUUAAAUGUAUCACAUAGUUCCAAAAAGUUUUCCAAGUGAGCAUUGGGAUCUUUGUCCUGCAAACCAUCAAACUGAACAAAUUGAUGUAUCAUUUGAAUUGUGUUAGGUUUCAGUUCAAAAGUAUCUGCAGCUACAGCAGGUCUACUAUGCUCGAUUCAGUUCCUAUUAAAGAAGGUUUAGCAUAAUCAUACAUAGUACGCAGAGUAGGAUUCUGAUUAACAACAAUCGCAGGAGGUAGCAAAUUUUCUUGGUUUUCAGCCAUCUCCUCAGUUGUGGUUGAAGUAUCUUCCUCUUGCUCUUCCUCUGUGUAUCGUAAUCUUCGCCUUAUUUCUCUUCGGUUUCUGCGAACGGUACGAUUGAGCUCACUAUAAAUAGUAAUGAUCUUGACAGGUUUCUUCUGGUCAUAAACUAGAAAAACCUGUCAGAAGAAAGUAAAUGAAGAAUUAGAAAAGAAAAGAAAAGAAAAUUUUAAAUUGCAAUAAAAGUAAAAUGGCUAUAGUAAUAAAAAUCGUGUUCCUAAUAUCCUAGUUCCCCGGCAACGGCGCCAAAAACUUGAUACGUGAUAUUCAUGACAGGUUUUAAAGAUUUAUGAAAGAAUCGUUCUUGAGACUAACUUAUUAUCACGAUUAAGGCAAGUGUACCUAUCGAACAGUAGUAUAGUUCAGCAAGACCAGAUUGUCGAACCCAAAGGAACUACAAGUACUAGUAUUUACUUCCUUUUUAUUAUCUAGCCUAAAAAUUAAGAGGUUUCGUUAUCUAAAUUAAUUAUUAACUAAAUAUGCACAGAAAGAAAAUUUGGGAAAAUACUUUUGGGAAAAUUCGAUUGAUUAAGACAAUACCUAAGGAAAAUCCACCUAGACUUCACUUGUUAUUUGACUCUGAAUCAGACGAUUUCUUCAUUUGACUUGAUCAGUAAAAAUCCCUAAGUUAUAUUAUUAUCUCUCUUGAUACUAAUAACAUCUAACCCUAGGUUGAAUAAUUGAAAUCUCUUUCUAAUUAACACCCUAGAAUUGCAUUAACUCGAUCUAUGGAUUCCCUUAUUAGGUUUCACCCUAAUCCGGUAAAACCUUAUCACCCUAUCUCUAGGCGUGCAAUCAACUUCGCUUAAUUAUGAAAAAUUUACUCUUAGAUAGGGUCUAUUCCUCCUCUGAGUAAGAGCUUAACUUGAAUCAAUAUCUUGGAAUAUCAAAACAAGAAUUAAGAACACAUAAUUAAGAACAAGUCAAAUAUUUAUCAUACAAUUCAGAUAAUAAUAACAAGAUCCAUCUUAGGUUUCAUUCCCCUUAGUUAUUUAAGGGGUUUAGUUCAUACUUAUGAAAGAAAACAUCUCAAAAUAAUAAAGAUAACAAAACAUAAGAAAGCCCAAAACUCCUGAAGGAACUUGAAGGGAGAUCUUCAGUUUUAAUGAUGAAUCUGGCUUCUGAGAUGGAUCAAUCGGCUUUCCUUAAGUAAUUCCUUGUCUCCUACUCUGCGUCCCCUUUCUAAGUGCCUCCUCAAUGUUUAAAUAGGCUUUAGAAUGCCUAAGAGCCCCCAAUAUUGGCCUUUUUCGAAUAGGGUUAUACUUGGGCCCGGUAGGGACACGCCCGUGUGACACGCCCGUGUGCGAUUGCUUUAGCCGGUGGUCAAGGCUGUUGAACAGGCACGGGUGUGUAGUAUACCCGUGUAAGUCGUGCUUCAAUCCUGCCAAAGGGACACACCUGUGUGAGAAAGUCCAGGCCGUGUUGAUUUCCCACAUGGGUCCAUUUUCUCCUUUUUCAGCCUGUUUCUCGCUCUUUUUACUCUCAUAUGCUCUACUUAGUAUAAAACAUGAAAUUAAAGGAUUUGGAGCAUCAAAUUCAUCAAAUAUAAGGAGAAACCAUUCAUAAAUAGGCUAAGCAUGGGAUACUAAUAUGUAUAAAUUACGGUUUAUCACUUUUAAUUUGGGAUUUUUACUUGCUUUGAUAUAAACUGCUAGUUGUAGGAAAAAGACGUGUUUUCAAAAGAUAACUGUUUUUCAAAAACACCACGUCUUCUUAAUAUAAUUUUUAAAGCUUCUGCAACAAACAUAGUUUUGAAGUGUAAUAACAAUCUAAUAUGAUUUACAAAUUUCCGUUAAUGAUAUAAUAAGGUUAUAAGAGAUAACGGGCUUUCUAAUGAAAUUAUGGUUUAGAAAAACACUUCAAUGUGACACAGCCAGAUUCGGCCAUAACGUCUAGGCCGGCUUUGGGGUGUUACAUACAUUUAAGCAUUCAUAAUUGAAAUCCAAUCAAAUCAUUCACAUCAUCCCUUAUAAGGUUCCACGAGACCUUAAAACGUACUUAAAAGUGGCUCGGGAGUAAACCAAUAACAUAUGCAAACUUUCAGAAACCUAGAAAAUGUUCAAACAUUUAAGGGUUACACGCCCGUGUGAACAGGUUGUGUGCCUUACACGGCCAUCAGACACGCACGUGUCACAGGCCGCGUGAAAAUAGGGCAUACAUAUUGACUUGCACCACAAGGACGAGGACACACUCGUGUGCUAGCCUGUGUGAAAUCUAAGGGGGUUAAUAACUUGGGUCACAUGGCCGACCACACGCCAAUGUGCUAGCUCGUAUGCCACACACAGCCAAUAGACACGCCCGUGUGUCUAGACCGUGUCAAAAUUGUAGGGUAUACUGCCUUAAUUCGAAAGGAUACCCCAGGGGACACACGGCCUUGGAACAUAGCCGUGUAUCUCACACGGAUGAGACACACGCCCGUGUCUCUGCUCGUGUGGACAAAAUAGGCCAUUUACAAAGCCAAUUUGCCAAAAUUUUCUCAUGCUCACCUAGCCAUCAAAAAUGGAAUCAUUUCAUCACAAAUGUGGGCAGCCAAAACAUGCCAAUUUGCACAUAUAUCAUGCAAUCUAUUCUCAACCAUUUCAAUUACUCAAUUCCAUAAUUAAAACAUACCAUUUAGCUAUAACUACAACUAAUCAAACAUAUCCAAAACAAACCAAUAUCUAAGGCAUUAUAAACAUCCCAUAAAUCACCUUUCAAACACAUCACUUAGGCCAAUUUAAAUAACCAAAUACAUGCCAACAUUUUCAACCAAAAGUAAGGCAAAUCUCAUGGCUUAAAUCAAAAUUCAAAACAUAACAUCAACUCACUAGCCUAUACAUGCCAUAAACUAUAUUUACAAGCAUCCAAAAAUACCAACAAGCAGUCGAUAGUGUGAUGAUGGUUCCCGAUGAUCCCCAGUGUCUGAGCUAGCUUUGAUACUCUAUCAAAUAAAGAAAAAUAACACACAGGAAGCUUCAUAGCUUAGUAAGUUUGUACCAAAUAUACUCAAUAGUUCAUAAUAUGCAAAUUAUCAAUUAAUAGACACUUAGUAGUUCUCAUGUCAUCAUUCAAUUCUAAUCCAUGACCAUUUAUCAUGUAUAUACAAAUUCAUCAAGCUUCAUACACAUAGUAUUAACUACCACAUAGGUAUCGUACGUACCUGUACAUUCCUAUAGUUAUUUAUUUCAUUCUCACCUCUUUGUUCAGUACGUUAAAUCGUUCGAAAAUCUUUCAAUGCUCUAAGAACUCACACACUUAGUGCAUAAAUAUUUAGCUGAAGCUAUAACGAUAUUGCACACUUAGUGCCAUCACAUUAAACCGAAGUUAUCUCGGUAUUGCACACUUAGUGCCACAAAAAGCUGAAGCUAUUCCAAUUCACACACUAAGUGCUGCAUAUAACCGAAACUAUCUCGUAUUGCACACUUAGUGCCACAUAGUCGAUUUGUCAUCGUACACAAUUGUAGUCGUAUAAAUACAAUUAAUACAAUAUUAAAGCAUUAAAAACAUAAUUGUAACAAUGUUUAUCACAUACAAACUUACCUUAUACUCGGAAUUGACGAAUCAAAUUGAGUACUUGAUAAGCUUCAAUUUUCCCUGAUUUAAAUCUGAUUCUUUUCUUCCUCGAUCUAUAUAAAUUCAAAAUUAACUCAUUUAAUUUCCUAUUCAUUCAAUUUCAUUCAAAAAUAUACAUUUGGGCAUUUUUGCACUUUAGCCACUUAAGCUUUCACAUUUUAACAAUUUAAUUCCUUUUUCACAAACACGCAAAAUUACACCACUUCAUUACAAACCCAUGAGUGCUGAAUUACUAUAGUGCCCCUAGCAGCCCAUAUUUUACAUUUAUUUCAAAAUUUAUCCCCUCAAUUUACACUUUUCUCGAUUUAAUCCCUAAUAUGUAUUUUUACUAAAAAUCACUUCACAUAUCAAGCACCAAGCUUUUAUAAUUCAUCAUCAAACAUCAUAAAACACAUGAAUUCAUCAAUGAAAACUUUCAAAAUCAUCAACACUUUCAAAAAUUGAAACAUGGGCUAGCUAGAACACGAAGCAACAAUCACAAAAACGUAAAAAAAUCAAAAACCAAGCAAAGUACACUUACUAAUCAAGCCUACAAGUGUCGAACCCUAAAGCAAUAUUUUUGGGUUCUUUUUCCAUCAACAUUCGGCUAUCCAAGUGAAAGAUGAACAAAAUUUCUUUUUUUUUAUUAUAUUAUCAUUUAUAAUCAUUUUACAAAUUUAACCUUAAUUAAAACCAUUAUAAAACACAUAAUUCAAGGCCAUUUAUGUCCAUCACCACUAUCAAUGGUCUAAUUACAACAGAAGGACCUGCCAUUUAAUAAUCCAUAGCAAAUAGACAUCUUUAACAAAUAGAAUACAACUUUUGCAUUUUACGCGAUUUAGUCAUUUAGUCAAAUUAACCACUUAAACGAUAAAAUUAUGACACGAAACUUUCACACAUAUAUAAUCACAUAUUUUAAACACAAAAAAUAAUAUUAAAAUAAUUUUACGACCUCAGAUUUGUGGUCUCAAAGCCACUGUUUCGAUUUAGCUAAAAACUAGGCUGUUACAGCUUUAUUCUCCAACUCAAGCUGCAAAUGACAUGCCUUUCCAUAGACUAACUAAUAAGGGGUCAUUCUUAACAAUGUCUUAAAAGCAAUUUGAUAGGCCCACAAAGCAUUAUCAAGCCUUCGAGACCAAACUUUUCUAUUAGGCCGCAUCACCUUCUCAAGUAUACCUUUUAUCCCACAAUUUACCUGUUCAACUUGCCCAUUUGGCUGUGGAUUUUGUGUUUCACAUCAUACUUGUCAAGCAACUGCUUAAGCAAUUUGUUUAUGAAGUGAUAUCCUUCAUCGCUAAUUAUAACUCUCAGAGUCCCAAAUCAUGUAAACACAUGCUUAUGUAGGAAUCACAUGACUAACUUAGCAUCAUUUGUUAGGUAUGCCUUGGCUUCAACCCACUUAGAUACAUAGUCGAUGGCCACGAGGAUAUACUUAUUGGUAUAAGAAGAAUGAAACGGGCCUAGAAAAUUGAUACUCCACAUGUCAAAUAAUUCUACCUCUAAAAUAUUUGUCAAGGGCAUUUCGUUCCUCCUUGAUAUGUUUUCGGUCCUCUGGCAUCUAUCAUAAUUUUUCACAUAUGCAUACGCAUCCUUAAACACUGUAGGCCAAAAGAAUCCUACUUAUAGGAUCUUUUCUGUAGUGCGAGAAUCACCAAAGUUCCCCCACUUGGAGAUGAAUGACAGUGGUACAAGAUCCCAUCAAUUUCACAUCCAGCUACGCACUUCUUAAUUAUGUUAUCUGCACAUUGUUUAAAUAAAAACAGAUGCUCUCAAAAAUAAUACUUACUAUCGUGAAGGAAUUUCUUCCUUUGUUGGUAUGUCAUUUCUAGAGAAAUUAUUCCACAUGCUAAAUAAUUUGCAUAAUUAGCAAAGGUAUUUUGUGAACUCGAUUUACCUCAAAGAUAUGCUCAUCUAGGAAAUUCUUAUUGAUAGGAACAAGUGAGUGAGUUACCUCAUUUUGUUCCAACCUCAACAGAUGAUCGACUAUUUGAUUUUAAACACAUUUUCUGUCUUGGAUCUAAAGGUCAAAUUCUUGGAGUAAGAGUAUCCAUUAAAUUAGCUUCAGUUAAGCAUAUUUCUUUGUGAGUAAGUAUUUAAUGGCCGCAUGAUCCAUAAAAACUGUAACUUUGGUACCUUUAAGAUAUGAAUGAAACAUGUCAUAAACAAAAAACUAUAGCAAAGAUUUCUUUUUCAAUUACCGUGUAAUUGAACUGGGCUACUGUCAAAAUUUUUAUUGCAUAGUAGAUAGAGUGAAUGUAACAACCCAUUUUUUAGCGAUGUCGAAAAUAGUGAUUUCAGGCCACUAAUCCAAAGAUUGAGUUCGUAAAUAUUAUUUAUUUAAUUUUUACGUGUCAAAAAUAGUAUUAUAAUAAAUUUUUAUUUGAUAAUUUAUGUUGUUUGAACUAAAGUUUAAUUACAAGUGGUUUAUUCAUUGGUUUUAGAAAACGGGGUAUCGAGACUUCGUUUCUAUAAAUCGAGCCCAUAAAUAUUUUAUUAAAUAUUUACAAAGUUCUAUUAAGGUUAUAUAAAAAUUUGGUUAAGAAAUUUUAAUGUUUAGAUAGUUAAUUAAUUAAAAAGGACUAAAUUGUAAAAGCUACAAAAAAAUUUAAUCCUAUCAGUUAAAUGCAUCAAACAGCUAUGAAAAGGUGAAUUGGUGGACUUAAAUGGUAUAUAUACCAUACUAUAGUUAGUGAAUGACUGCUGGCAAUUUUUUGUUAAUUUAUAUGAUAUAUUAUAUUAUGAAUACAAAAAAUAUUAGGUAAUAAGUAAUAAAAUAAAAGCAAAACAUGAUUUUUCUUUAUGUUAUUCUUCCUUAAUCGUGAGAAAACCAUUGUUGACACCAAAAGUGUAACAUCCCAAAAUAGGGCCUAAAUGGAACAGUGGUUGCGAAACCACGAAUCUGAAAUAGAAAAGUUUAUUCCGAUUAAUUUUUAUAAUUUAUCGAGUGAUUAGAUGCAUGUGUUAGAGUAUCGAUGGAAAAUUUUAUAGAUAGCAUGUUUAAUUUAACUACUAGGGCUUAAUUGCAAAAGUUGAUAAAUAUGAGUUUUAGAUGCUAAAGGAUUAAAUUGAAGAGUAUAAUUGAAGUAGAGGUCCUUAAAUGGUAAUUAGACCAUUAGGUUUUCAUGGACAAAAAUGGACAUACAUAGACAAAAAUAACUAAAGUUUUAAUGAAGGGUAUUUUAGUCAUUUGGUAAUUAAAAGAUUAAAAAAGGGAAAAAGAUGGAAAAAUGUGCACAUCUUCUUCAUUAGGCCGAAAUUUCAAGGGUUCUUCAUAGCUAGGGUUUUGUCAAGCUUCCAAGCUUCAUAGUAAGUGAUUCUAAGCCCCGUUUUUAAUGUUUUUUACAUUUUUGAAGUCCCGGUAACUUAAUUUAGCUUAUUCUAUCAAUAAUUUAACCUAGGUUCAUAUUUGGAAAAAUACCCAUAGGUGAAAUGUGUUUAUUUUGAUGUUUUAUGGUACGAUAUGAAGCUUGAAAUUAUGUUAAAUGACUUGAGCUAAGCGAUUUUAAGCGAAAACGAGUAAAAGACAUACCGGUAAAAAUACCUAAUGGUCAUAAGUACAGGUUAGAGUGGGAAUUUGAUGUUGCCAUAGGUAAAUAAAUGAUUAGCAUGUCAUAAAACAUAAGAAUUAGGGAUAAAGUUUCAUUUAUGAGCCUUGGGGAAAAAGUGUAAAUAUGCAAAAGUUUAAGGGCAAAAUUGUAAUUUUUUCAAAGUUAGAGUUAAGGUGUGACAGCCCUAAAAUGACCCUAGUCGGAAAGCGGUUUCGGGACCGCUAAACCGAGUCACCAAAUUAUUUGAAUAUGAUAUUUAUUGUCUAAAAUAUGUGAAUAUGAAUGUGUGAAAGUUUUGAGCUUCGAUUUAGUCGAUUGCAUGUGAAUUUAGUACUAGGACUUAUGUGUGACACUUUUGAAAUGUGAUAGGUUAAUCCAUAAGGAUCUAUUAGUGCAUGUAAUCAAAAGGGUGGACUUGCAUGUCAAUUUCCCCCAUUUAAUUACUAGUGGCCAGCCAUGACAAAGGGUGAUGGGCAAAACAUGUCAUAAAACAUGCUGUGCUAAUGGUUUAUGGGAGAAAGGAUAAAAUAAUAAUGGGAAGGUAAAUGAUGACAAAAAAAAAAUGUGUGUGGUUGCCCCCCUUCCAUUGCCGUGAAUUGAAGGAAGAAAAGAAAAGAAAAAAAAAUGUUCAUCUUCUUCUCCUACCUCUCUCAAGCCGAAACUAACCAAGAAAUGGAAGAAAGCACACCUAAGGCAUUCGGCCAUCUUGUGUGGGGGGAAUUAAGGUAUGAUAUCAUGUGAUUCUUUUGGAAUUUUUGUGAAGUUGAGUUUGUUUUGGUGCUCAUAACAUGACCCAUGUGUUAAUUUUUGAGUUUGUGUUGCAAGAAACAUUUGGUUAUGUCCUUAUAUGUCAAAUUAAUAAUAAAUUUUUGAUAUUUGGUGAAUGAAUAUGGGUUUCGGUCAUGGUAGAUAACAAAGAAUGUGGUUGUUGUUCUUGUUAAUUUGGAUGAAUUUUUGGUGGAUAGGUGCUUGAAUCAAACAAAUGAUCAUGUGUGUACACUAGGUGCUAGUUGAGAAGAAUCGGUCACUAUAUUGGAGGCCAUUGCCGAAUAUGAGUUUAGUUAUUGAGUUGAUGGAAUAAAAGAAUGCUUAAAGAUGUGUCACAACAAAUUAUAUGUUAAGCUAAGGUUGUUAAAUUAUCAAUCUUUCUUCCUAGCCGAAUAUGUGUUUAUAAAGUUGAGUUGUUAAAUAGAUUUUGAAGUUAGCCCAUGCAUUUAUUUUUGAAUUUAAGAAGAAUGAUACAUUCGACUAUGCUUUGAUGUGCUUGGAUUGUUGUUCAUUGAGUAAAUGAUUGAGGAAUGGUUAGAAGAAUUUGAAUUCUAAACUAGUUGAUUUGUUUGAUGAUAUAUAUAUGUAUUCGGCAAUGGGAUAAAAUGUGUAUUAAGGUAAGUUUCAUGGUGAUUAUGCUUGUGAUGUUGGGUUAAUAUUCGGCAUUGAGUAAUGUGGGGUAAGGUGAUUAAUUGGCUAUGAAAUUAGCUAAAUUGAAUAGGUAUGUUUAAUAAUAUGCUUAGUAUAAUGUAUGAUCUUAUAACUCGGUUUGGUAUUGAGAUAAAGGUUAGAUGUAUGAUUGGAUUUUGUCAUGUGUUAAAUUGGUCAAUCAAAGAUUAAAUGAUAUGUGAUUGCCAAAUGUGAUUGUUAAGUGAAUAAUAUUAGUUAAGUACUUAAGCAAAUCUAUUGUUUUACUUAAGCUUAAGAGCAAAGAGGAUCAAAGUCGGAUAGGGGAAAAGAGAAAGUAAACGAAUAGCCGUGGACAUCUAAUCGUCGACCACUUCCGAGGUAAGUUUUAAGUGAUUAAACGUUGAGUAAAUUCAAUCAUAAUAGGACAUAAUGAGUUGAUUUAAUAAGAUAUGAUGUGGCCAUGAUAUGUCUUAAACUCAAAUGGUAAGUUCAUAUGUGUUUGGACUUGGAAAGUUAAGAGCAAAUUGUAAUAAUUUGCUUUGGACAGCAGCAGUAACGUGAUUUUAGAAAAUCACUAUAAAUUGUUGGUGUGGAAUUAUAGGCCGAAUAAAAUAUGUAAUCAAGGAUUAAUUAGUCUAGUUUCUUAUAAAAGAGACCUUGUGAGCAAACAAAUUUCCUAUAAAGAGAUAUUUAAAGUUGUGUGAGACGGUGUCAGAAUGACUCCGAAAUCCCCUGUUCUAUUUUUAGAAAAUCAUUAUAAAUUGAGCAAAAAUGGUUAUAAGAUAAAAUUUAUAUGCUUAGACUCCUUAAUGAGUCUAGUUUCAAAUGAAAUCAAAUACAACACAUUUUGAAUUCUGUAAAAUGAGAAAUUUGAUUCGUAGUGAAGAGUGGUCAGAUUAGUCAAACAGUGAAACAGGGGAAACUUUAAGAAAAAUAUGGUAUUGAUUGGCCAAGCCUAAAAUUCUGAAAAUUUUUUUGAUGGAAGAUAUACGAGUAUAUAUUCAGGUAAAAUUAACGGAAAGUGAUUUGGAGUUUUGUAGCUCCAUUUAUAAAUAAUUUAGUGACUACUGCUCAGGAAAACAGCUUGUAGUGAAUAUGUGAUUUUGUUGUAAACAUGGAUAAAACUUGUUUUAGUUACUCAUAAGCUAUUGAUUAAACCCAUACGUGAAUUCUAAAUCGUGAUAUUGUAAAACGAUACAUGAGUGUUAGAUGGAUCUUUGAUAUUAAAAUUUGUGAAAUUGUAAGUUUAUGAGUAUUCGAAUAUGAAAUGAUAGUAUGGCGUGAAAUUGAAUUAUUCAUUGGGAAAUGAUUAAUGUAGAUUCAGCCAAGACAAUGUGUAUACAUGAUAGUAUAUGUGAUAUGUGAAGUAUAUUUGGAUAAUUGUGAUGUGAAUGUAUAUAUAUGUGAUAAGGCCGAAUGGCCAAUGUGAUGAAUGUGAAAGUGUAUAUAUAUGUGAUAAGGCCUAAUGGCCGAUGUGAUGAAUGUGAAAGUGUAUAUAUAUGUGAUAAGGCCUAAUGGCCGAUGUGAUGAAUGUGAAAGUGUAUAUAUAUGUGAUAAGGCCUAAUGGCCGAUGUGAUGAAUGUGAAAGUGUAUAUAUAUGUGAUAAGGCCUAAUGGCCAAUGUGAUGAAUGUGAAAGUGUAUAUAUGUGAUAAGGCCUAAUAGCCGAUGUGAUGAAUGUGAAAGUGUAUAUAUGUGAUGAGGCCUAAUGGCCGAUGUGAAGAAUGUGAAAGUGUAUAUAUGUGACAGAGCCGAGUGGCCAACGUGAUGGAUGUGAAAGUGUAUAAAUGUGAUAAGUCCCGAAGGGCAAUUGUGUGAGUACUAUAUCUGGGUUAAAACCCCGCAGGCUUUAUGCGAGAGUAUUAUCCUGAUUAAUGUCCGUGGGCUUCGUGCUCGUACUAUAACCGAGCUUUAAAGACCCGACGGCUAAAUGCUAGGAUUCAAGUAAGACUUUGAUAUUGAGUAUCUGCAUUAAGUUACCAUCAAAUAAGUAUUAUGUAUUCAAGAUGUUCAGGUACGUAUUACUUACUCAUCGGUGGAGUGAUUUCGAGGUGAAUUAUCAGUAUCAAAGAGGUAGGUAAAUGUGAUUAAUAUUAUAACUCCAAAUGUGAGAAUGUGCUUUGGAAAUAUUUGACCAUCUAGGUCAUUAUUAUUCGAAAGUAUAUAUGUGGCAGCCAAGUGUUGUGUUUAAUGAUAUUAUAGAUCGAGAUGAAGCUCUAGAUUAACUUCAUCGAACAGUUGAAAUGAAUGACCAAUAAUAGUGAUUGAGAACACUUUGUCUUGCUUAAAACUUACUAAGCAUUAAAUGCUUACUCCGUUCUUUGAAUCUCUAUUUUAUAGAUUUUGGUUCGUCAGCUAUCGGACUCGGGAUUAUUGAAGUCGAAGUCGCCCACACUAUCAAAGCCCUUUUGGUACACUUUUGGUUGAACUCUGAAAAUGGCAUGUAUAGGACUACCCUUUUGUAGUGGGUCAUGGACCCUUUGGAUUUGUAUAAUUUUGGAUAGCCAUGCGAAAAUGGCUUAUAUAUGUUUGAGCAUAAUGUUAUAAUCAUUUGGUAUGGAUAUGGUUAUUGAGAGGUGUGGAUAUGCUUAACAAGGAUUGGCCAUGGGAAUGGUUAAUCACUAUCAUAAUUUGUGCUAUUCAUGCUAAAAGGGCUAGUUGAAUCAUGGAAACUAUGAAAUAGGUAAAGUCUACCUUAAAGGCAGAUGCUGACAGCAGCAGUGAUGUAGAUUUGGAAAAUCACUAAAAAUAGUAGGAAUAGAAUUAAAUAGUGAAUAAAUUAUUUAAAUGAACCUUGAUGAAUCCACUUUCAUAUGGAAGAAACGAAACGGUCAUAUGAGUGGUAUGUUAAGAGAUAAUUAGGUUUUCGUGAGACAGGGCCAGAACGGUUUCUGGAUUCCCUGUUCCGAAUUUGGAAAUUCAUUAUAAAUUAACCAGAGAUAAUUAGGAGUCAUUCCAUAUAUGUAUAGAUUCCUCUUUGAGUCUAGUUUCUAUAGAAACAAACGGCAUCAGCAUUGAAGCCAUGUACAGGGAGAUAUCCAAAUCGUAAUGCAUGAAGGUCAGUGUAGUCGCACCCUAUAACAGGGGAGACUUUAACUAAUAAACUGUACUAAUUGGCCCGAAGAAAAAUUCUAGAAAAAAUAUGUGGAUGGAAAUAUGAGUCUAGUUUCAGGGAAAAAUUACGAAAAUGAUUUUCGAGUUUUAGAACUCAAGAUAUGAUUUUUAAGGUGACAGUGACACAGUUAGCCAACUGCCUGGAAAUUUUUAAAUUGGACUGCAAAGAAGUGAUUUAAGUCUGCAAACCCCUCUUGUCCGACUCCGGUGACGGACUCGGGUACGGGGUGUUACAAUUUUAUUGGUAUCAGAGCUACGGUUUAGUCGAUUCUAGGACUACCGUAAUACGUUUGGGUCUAGGUAUACAUGCCAUUAUGUGAAUAUUUGAUAGUGUGGUGAUUUCUGACAAUUGAAAAUGUGUUUAUUUAUUGUAAUGAAUUCCGAUCUCGAUCGAGCUGUAGCAGAUGGUAUUGAGAGGACUGAGACAUGCUUAUGAUGUGUCAAUAUUGAGAAUGGUAUAACAUAAGUAAGUUUUGAGUAAUUGAAUUUGGUAUUUAACUUAAAAUGCCAUGAUAUACAUGUAUGAUAGAUGAAUGAUGUCCCAUUGUCCUUAUCAUAAUAAGGUUAUUAGAGAAAUGAAAAAAGGAAGAGAUUGGGGAUAUAUGCUUUUGUGUGAUUGCUUAUUAAGCUGAAAGUUUAGUAAAAGAAGCAUACAUGUAUUAGAUUUGAAUGAUAUUUACGACUUAAAGUCAAGAAUCAUGUUAUAUGUUUACAUGUGAAUGAAUUGAUUAAAUUAUAAAUGUGAUUUGUGCCAUGUGAAACAUGAUAACAUGUGAAUAAAUAUGUAUGAGACUCAGUGAUGUGAAUCCGAGUUUAAAGACCCGCUGACUAUAUGAAGAGAUUAUGUCCGGGUAAAGACCCGAUGGCUAUGUACAGAGAUUAUGUCCGGAUUAAAAUUCAUUGGCUUUGUGUGGAGAUUUCAUCCGAGCUAAAGGUCUCGACGAUGAUCCGGGCUAAGUCACGAAGAGCAUUCGUGCUAGUGAUGUAUCCGGGCUAAGUCCCGAAGAGCAUUCGUGCUAGUGAUGUAUCCGGGCUAAGUCCUGAAGAGCAUUCGUGCUAGUGUUGUAUCCGGACUAAGUUCCGACCGGACUAAGUUCCGAAGAGCAUUCGUGCUAGUGAUAUAUCCGGGCUAAAUCCCAAAGAGCAUUCAUGCUAGUGAUGUAUCCGGACUAAGUUCCGAAGAGCAUUCGUGCUAGUGAUAUAUCCGUGCUAAGUUCCGAAGAGCAUUCGUGCUGGUGUUAUAUCCGGGCUAGGUCCCGAAGAGCAAUCAUGCUGGUGACGUGUAUUCGGGCCUUCAUGCCUAGUAAACUUCGUGCCGGUAAUUUGAGCAAAGUUUAAGUAUUCAUUACUAUACGAAUUCAAAUUUAAAUGAGAUGAUAUGUUUAAAAGUGUACAUACAUGAUGUUUAUAGACUUGGUUAAGUCAUUUCAAUGUGUAAUAACGAAUGAAUAAGAGCACUAUGUGUGUGAAUGAUUAGAGGCACUGUGUGUGUGCGAAUUCCUUUAACCGAGCACUAUGAGUGCGAGAUCGGUCAGUGGGCACUAAGUGUGUGAAGUGGAAUUCAUGUAAGACCUCGUCUGGGACGAAGGCAUUGAUUUGAGAAAGUGUGUACGACCAUGUCUGGGACAUGGCAUCGGCUCGAUAUGUGAGCAUAUGUAAGACCAUAUCUAGGAUAUGGCAUUGUAAGAGCUAUAUGUGCUUAAUGAGUAUCCAUAAUGAUUUCGAAUGAUUCAACGGGUAUCGUUAACAGUGAUUAAAUGUGCUAAAUGAAUUCAAUGUUCAGGUAUGUGGAAGUUGAUUUUCUGUUGGAAAUAGGUUAAGUUGAAUAGUGAGAUAUGAUGGAAUUAUAAAGGAUAUUUAUUGGGAUGUUUGAGUAUAUGUGUACUUUCGGUCAGGUUACAGCUUAUACAUGAAUGAAAAUGUGGGUUACAAAUAUGUGGGUUGAUGAUGUGAAUUAUACAUGUUAAUAUGUACUUAAUAUGUGUUUGAAAUGCAAUUGUGAAUUAAAUUAAGUGAUUAUUGCUUAUGAAAUCAAGAAAAUGAGAUAUAUGCGCAUACUUGUAGAAAUGUUUACGUAUUUGUUUUAAGAUAAGAAAAUGAUUUUAUAGAUCGAUGCGAAAUCAAUAAUGAAUUACAAUUGCUAUCGAUGAGCUAAUGUCUUUGUGGAUAUAAUUCAAUAAGAGGACGUUAUCCUAAACUAUGCAUCGGUAGAAAUUUUCGGCGACGAAAAUUUCUUAAGUGGGGGAGAGUUGUGACAGCCCUAAAAUGACCCUAGUCAGAAAGUGGUUUCGGGACCGCUAAACCGAGUCACCAAAUUAUUUGAAUAUGAUAUUUAUAGUCUAAAAUUUGUGAAUAUGAAUGUGUGAAAGUUUUGAGCUUCGAUUUAGUCGAUUGCAUGUGAAUUUAGUAAUAGGACUUAUGUGUGACACUUUUGAAAUGUGAUAGGUUAAUCCAUAAGGAUCUAUUAGUGCAUGUAAUCAAAAGGGUGGACUUGCAUGUCAAUUUCCCCCAUUUAAUUACUAGUGGCCAGCCAUGACAAAGGGUGAUGGGCAAAACAUGUCAUAAAACAUGUUGUGCUAAUGGUUUAUGGGAGAAAGGAUAAAAUAAUAAUGGGAAGGUAAAUGAUGACAAAAAAAAUGUGUGUGGUUGCCCCCCCCUUCCAUUGCCGUGAAUUGAAGGAAGAAAACAAAAGAAAAAAAAAUGUUCAUCUUCUUCUCCUACCUCUCUCAAGCCGAAACUAACCAAGAAAUGGAAGAAAGCACACCUAAGGCAUUCGGCCAUCUUGUGUGGGGGGAAUUAAGGUAUGAUAUCAUGUGAUUCUUUUGGAAUUUUUGUGAAGUUGAGUUUGUUUUGGUGCUCAUAACAUGACCCAUGUGUUAAUUUUUGAGUUUGUGUUGCAAGAAACAUUUGGUUAUGUCCUUAUAUGUCAAAUUGAUGAUAAAUUUUUGAUAUUUGGUGAAUGAAUAUGGGUUUCGGUCAUGGUAGAUAACAAAGAAUGUGGUUGUUGUUCUUGUUAAUUUGGAUGAAUUUUUGGUGGAUAGGUGCUUGAAUCAAACAAAUGAUCAUGUGUGUACACUAGGUGCUAGUUGAGAAGAAUCGGUCACUAUAUUGGAGGCCAUUGCCGAAUAUGAGUUUAGUUAUUGAGUUGAUGGAAUAAAAGAAUGCUUAAAGAUGUGUCACAACAAAUUAUAUGUUAAGCUAAGGUUGUUAAAUUAUCAAUCUUUCUUCCUAGCCGAAUAUGUGUUUAUAAAGUUGAGUUGUUAAAUAGAUUUUGAAGUUAGCCCAUGCAUUUAUUUUUGAAUUUAAGAAGAAUGAUACAUUCGACUAUGCUUUGAUGUGCUUGGAUUGUUGUUCAUUGAGUAAAUGAUUGAGGAAUGGUUAGAAGAAUUUGAAUUCUAAACUAGUUGAUUUGUUUGAUGAUAUAUAUAUGUAUUCAGCAAUGGGAUAAAAUGUGUAUUAAGGUAAGUUUCAUGGUGAUUAUGCUUGUGAUGUUGGGUUAAUAUUCGGCAUUGAGUAAUGUGGGGUAAGGUGAUUAAUUGGCUAUGAAAUUAGCUAAAUUGAAUAGGUAUGUUUAAUAAUAUGCUUAGUAUAAUGUAUGAUCUUAUAACUCGGUUUGGUAUUGAGAUAAAGGUUAGAUGUAUGAUUGGAUUUUGUCAUGUGUUAAAUUGGUCAAUCAAAGAUUAAAUGAUAUGUGAUUGCCAAAUGUGAUUGUUAAGUGAAUAAUAUUAGUUAAGUACUUAAGCAAAUCUAUUGUUUUACUUAAGCUUAAGAGCAAAGAGGAUCAAAGUCGGAUAGGGGAAAAGAGAAAGUAAACGAAUAGCCGUGGACAUCUAAUCGUCGACCACUUCCGAGGUAAGUUUUAAGUGAUUAAACGUUGAGUAAAUUCAAUCAUAAUAGGACAUAAUGAGUUGAUUUAAUAAGAUAUGAUGUGGCCAUGAUAUGUCUUAAACUCAAAUGGUAAGUUAAUAUGUGUUUGGACUUGGAAAGUUAAGAGCAAAUUGUAAUAAUUUGCUUUGGACAGCAGCAGUAACGUGAUUUUAGAAAAUCACUAUAAAUUGUUGGUGUGGAAUUAUAGGCCGAAUAAAAUAUGUAAUCAAGGCUUAAUUAGUCUAGUUUCUUGUAAAAGAGACCUUGUGAGCAAACAAAUUUCCUAUAAAGAGAUAUUUAAAGUUGUGUGAGACGGUGUCAGAAUGACUCCGAAAUCCCCUGUUCUAUUUUUAGAAAAUCAUUAUAAAUUGUACAAAAAUUGUUAUAAGAUAAAAUUUAUAUGCUUAGACUCCUUAAUGAGUCUAGUUUCAAAUGAAAUCAAAUACAACACAUUUUGAAUUCUGUAAAAUGAGAAAUUUGAUUCGUAGUGAAGAGUGGUCAGAUUAGUUAAACAAUGAAACAGGGGAAAUUUUAAGAAAAAUCUGGUAUUGAUUGGCCAAACCUAAAAUUCUGAAAAUUUUAUGGAUGGAAGAUAUACGAGUCUAUAUUCAGGGAAAAUUAACAGCAAGUGAUUUGGAGUUUUGUAGCUCCAGUUAUAAAUAAUUUAGUGACUACUGCUCAGGAAAACAGCUCGUAGUGAAUAUGUGAUUUUGUUGUAAACAUGGAUAAAACUUGUUUUAGUUACUCAUAAGCUAUUGAUUAAACCCAUACGUGAAUUCUAAAUCGUGAUAUUGUAAAACGAUACAUGAGUGUUAGAUGGAUCUUUGAUAUUAAAAUUUGUGAAAUUGUAAGUUUAUGAGUAUUCGAAUAUGAAAUGAUAGUAUGGCGUGAAAUUGAAUUAUUCAUUGGGAAAUGAUUAAUGUAGAUUCGGCCAAGACAAUGUGUAUACAUGAUAGUAUAUGUGAUAUGUGAAGUAUAUUUGGAUAAUUGUGAUGUGAAUGUAUAUAUAUGUGAUAAGGCCUAAUGGCCGAUGUGAUGAAUGUGAAAGUGUAUAUAUGUGAUUAGGCCGAAUGGCCGAUGUGAUGAAUGUGAAAGUGUAUAUAUAUGUGAUAAGGCCUAAUGGCCGAUGUGAUGAAUGUGAAAGUGUAUAUAUAUGUGAUAAGGCCUAAUGGCCGAUGUGAUGAAUGUGAAAGUGUAUAUAUAUGUGAUAAGGCCUAAUGGCCGAUGUGAUGAAUGUGAAAGUGUAUAUAUGUGAUAUGGCCUAAUAACCGAUGUGAUGAAUGUGAAAGUGUAUAUAUGUGAUGAGGCCUAAUGGCCGAUGUGAUGAAUGUGAAAGUGUAUAUAUGUGACAGAGCCGAGUGGCCAACGUGAUGGAUGUGAAAGUGUAUAAAUGUGAUAAGUCCCGAAGGGCAAUUUUGUCAGUACUAUAUCUGGGUUAAAACCCUGCAGGCUUUAUGCGAGAGUAUUAUCCUGAUUAAUGUCCGUAGGCUUCGUGCUCGUACUAUAUCCGAGCUUUAAAGACCCGACGGCUAAAUGCUAGGAUUCAAGUAAGACUUUGAUAUUGAGUAUCUGCAUUAAGUUACCAUCAAAUAAGUAUUAUGUAUUCAAGAUGUUCAGGUACGUAUUACUUACUCAUCGGUGGAGUGAUUUCGAGGUGAAUUAUCAGUAUCAAAGAGGUAGGUAAAUGUGAUUAAUAUUAUAACUCCAAAUGUGAGAAUGUGCUUUGGAAAUAUUUGACCAUCUAGGUCAUUAUUAUUCGAAAGUAUAUAUGUGGCAGCCAAGUGUUGCGUUUAAUGAUAUUAUAGAUCGAGAUGAAGCUCUAGAUUAACUUCAUCGAACAGUUGAAAUGAAUGACCAAUAAUAGUGAUUGAGAACACUUUGUCUUGCUUAAAACUUACUAAGCAUUAAAUGCUUACUCCGUUCUUUGAAUCUCUGUUUUAUAGAUUUUGGUUCGUCAGCUAUCGGACUCGGGAUUAUUGAAGUCUAAGUCGCCCACACUAUCAAAGCCCUUUUGGUACACUUUUGGUUGAACUCUGAAAAUGGCAUGUAUAGGACUACCCUUUUGUAGUGGGUCAUGGACCCUUUGGAUUUGUAUAAUUUUGGAUAGCCAUGCGAAAAUGGCUUAUAUAUGUUUGAGCAUAAUGUUAUAAUCAUUUGGUAUGGAUAUGGUUAUUGAGAGGUGUGGAUAUGCUUAACAAGGAUUGGCCAUGGGAAUGGUUAAUCACUAUCAUAAUUUGUGCUAUUCAUGCUAAAAGGGCUAGUUGAAUCAUGGAAACUAUGAAAUAGGUAAAGUCUACCUUAAAGGCAGAUGCUGACAGCAGCAGUGAUGUAGAUUUGGAAAAUCACUAAAAAUAGUAGGAAUAGAAUUAAAUAGUGAAUAAAUUAUUUAAAUUAACCUUGAUGAAUCCACUUUCAUAUGGAAGAAACGAUACGGUCAUAUGAGUGGUAUGUUAAGAGAUAAUUAUGUUUUCGUGAGACAGGGCCAGAACGGUUUCUGGAUUCCCUGUUCCGAAUUUGGAAAUUCAUUAUAAAUUAACCAGAGAUAAUUAGGAGUCAUGCCAUAUAUGUAUAGAUUCCUCUUUGAGUCUAGUUUCUACAGAAACAAACGGCAUCAGCAUUGAAGCCAUGUACAGGGAGAUAUCCAAAUCGUAAUGCAUGAAGGUCAGUGUAGUCACACCCUGUAACAGGGGAGAAUUUAACUAAUAAACUGUACUAAUUGGCCCAACUAAAAAUUCUAGAAAAAAAUAUGUAAAUGUACAUAUGAGUCUAGUUUCAGGGAAAAAUUACAAAAAUGAUUUUCGAGUUUUAUAACUCAAGAUAUGAUUUUUAAGGUGACAGUGACACAGUUAGCCAACUGCCUGGAAAUUUUUAAAUUGGACUGCAAAGAAGUGAUUUAAGUCUGCAAACCCCUCGUGUCCGACUCCGGCGGCGGACUCGGGUACGGGGUGUUACAUAAGGACUAUUUUGAUAAAUGUGAAUAUUAAAUAAGUUAAAUUUUCUAUUAUAGAUCAAGAAGAAUGAAAUUCGAGGUUAGACUGAGGAAAGAAAAAGGUUGAGGACUAAAUCAAAAUAUUUGAUCGUAUUCUGUAUCAAGGUAAGUUUGCGGUAAAUAAAUGCAAUGUUUUAUUAUUUAUAAUUAAUGAUGUUAUUUUUCAGCAUCUAUAUAUUUAUUUUGUAAAUUUAUUCCUUGAUGAUUCAAACAAGAAUUGAUAGAGAAAUGAUACUUAAAAGUCCCGGUUGAACCUUAGGAAUGUGUAGGAUACAAAUGUCAUGACAUUAGGGUUUAAGGAUACCAAGUUAGACCAUGCCAAGGCAUGGCACUGGUAAGUUCUAUAAGGCAAGGAAAUCAUGUAAUACCAUGUCAAGACAUGGCAUUGAUAAACUACUAUAAGACAAAGAUCCCAUGUAAAACCAUGCCAAGCCAUGGCAAUGGUGAUUUCAUAAGGCAAGGAUACCACGUAAGACCAUGUCAAGACAUGGCAAUGGUAAGUUUAAAAAGGAAAGGUACCUGUGUAUCCUUAGUAUUCCAAGUGGUUCAACGGAAAAUUCAAAGAGUGUACCAAAGGGAAGGUAAGAUAAGUCCAUGUUCGAAAGGUUCAAGUUUUCUUGAUAAUUCAUUUAGAAUGUUGUUAUUUAUUUACAUGCAAACUUACUAAGCUUUACGCUUACUCCCUUUAUUUUCUCUUUUUUUUAUAGUAUCGCAAAGCCAACUCAAAAAUCGUAAGGACGUCGGAGAUCGCCUCACAAUAUCAGCGAGUUAUCUCGGUAUUUUGUGACUAGAAAUACUUUAAGUUAUGGCAUGUAUAGGGACUUGGCUAUUUUGUGUGUAUGUCCUUAUGAUAUGAUUAAGGAAUGGCAUGUGAAUACUUGGUAAUGAUUAGCUUAUGAUAUAGCUAAAUAGGAACAUGUUUUGGUAUUAUGAAUGCCUAAACGAGGUUUGAUGCAAAGAAAUUAUGAAGGAGUAAGAUUUGACCAUGGAACAGUUAGGAAACAGGAACAGUUAGGAAACAGCAACAGUGAUGUGAUUUUGAAAAAUCACUAAAAAUUGUAUAAAUGGAAUUAAAUGAUGAAUGAGAUAUAGAAUUAAAUCUUAUUAAGUCUGUUUUCAUAGGAAAGAAACAAAGAAACAAAAGAAAGUCUAUAUUCUGAUAUAUUUAUAUUUUUAUAAGACUGGUUUAGAGUGACUUUGUGAUCCCCUGUUCCAAUUUUGGAAAAUCACUAGAAAUUUUAAAAAAUGAAUUAUAAGUUGAAGUUUAUAUUUCUAGAUUCUCCAUUUUCAUUAUAAACAAACAAAAACAUUAUCAUAUUUAUUUAUAAUGAGAUAAUUGAUUUUUAGUGAAGAGAGCUUAGGUCCGCUAAACUGCAAAACAAGAGAACCUUUAAUGAAUAAACUGUAAAAAUUGGACAAACCAAAAAUUCUAGAAAAAUUAUGGUAAAAAGAUAUAUGAGUCUAGUUUCUGGGAAAAUUUAUGGAUUUAAAUUUCAAGUUUUGUAACUUAAGUUAUAAUUAAUUUAGUGACUAUUACGUAGAUGGACAGUUUUAUUAUGAAUAGUGAAAUAAAUUGUUUUGAUUUGUGUAAGUAAUCAGAAAAUUUUUAAUGUUCCCGAUUUGGUCCCGAACCAUUCCAAUUGCACGUUUUAGGGCCUUAAGGGCCCUUUUUUAUGGAUUUAUUGGAUGAAUGUGAGCUAAUUAAUAUUUUUAAAAAAAGUACAUUUUUAUGCCCCGAACAGGUAAGAUAAGUCUGGUAACGCCUUGUGCUCGACUCCGGGGAUGGUCUCGGUCGGGUAAGGGGUGUUACAAAAAGGUUUGACCAAGCUCUCUCCCAUAAUGUGUGAGAUUUUUAUGUUUUUAAGCUCGUAUAAGCUUAAUCUAGCUAGCUCGGGGGUGAAUUUGUAAAAUGGUUAAAUGUCUAGGGAUUUGCCAUGAAUGAUUUUGAGGUUUUUUUUUAAUGGCUGAAUUAUUAAAGCUGAUGGCUAGAUAUAAGUAUUUUCUUAAGUGGAGUAAAAUUCAAGUGAAAUAAUGUGAAUUUGUGGAAAGAUGUGGGCUGUUUUGGACCCCUAAGAAAAUUUGCUAACAUGGGUUCUUUUUUAAAAAUGGUAAAAUUUCAUGUUAUGGGUUUAAGGACUAAAUUGAAUAAAAGGAAAAAUGUUGGGGCAAUUUUGUAAAUUCACAUUAAAAUGCGUUAUAGGCUUGAAUUAAUUAUUUUAAGCUAUUUGAAUUAUUUAACUAAAUGAAUUUAUAUUAUUUAGAUCAAGAAACGCUACAAUUGGAUUUAAAUCAAGGAUAAAGCUAAGGUUCCAAACUAGUUGUUGACUCUGUUUUAGCAGUUGCUCUAAUUAAGGUAAGUUCGUAUAAGGAUUAAAUUUGUUAUUAUUUGUUAUUAUUGUUUUAGAUGGAAUAUUAAUUAAUAUGUGUGAUAUGCAUAAUUAUAUUGAUAGUUUUGUAUUAAUUUUGGUAUAAUGGAUUAAGUUGUGAAGAUAAUUAAAAUUAAAGUCUAUAUAUGAAAAAUAUGAACUUCAUUUAAUGUGCAACGGAAUGAUACAAUGGAAUGAAAGGAAAAAGUUUGAUGUGUAUAUUGAAAAUGUGUAUCUCAUGAAGCAUGUGCGAAAUGAUAUAAUAUAAUGAAAUUUAAAUAAUAUGAUAUGUAUAAAGGUCUCAUUUGAACCUUAUGAAUACUUAGGAUACAAAUGACAUGUCAUUAGAGAUUAUACGGUUUCGGGUACUAGUCUUGGAUGUCCUACUGAUGACUGAGGUCCUGCCUUUGAUACGGAUUCUCCAUAGCUCAUGUGAGCACUAUUGUAAAGGUUAUGGUUAUAUGAAAAGGCACACUAUGUGCGAGCAUUCCCAAGUAUCCGAUGUAAUUCUAUAUAGUUUAAUGAGCAAGUAAAGGUUAUUGGAAAAACAUGUAUUAAACUUAAUGUUACUAAUGUUCAUCUAAAAUGAAAAGAUAGAUAUGCAUAUAUGAAAUAAAAAGGAUAAGAGUUUAUCAUGUGAUCGAUGAAAUACGCAUGGUAUUCAUUUCUUAGUAUAUGCUAUGUUUCAUAGAUUUUAUGUUUACUUAUUAUCUACUAACUAUGUGGAUUCAAAUGAGAAGAAUGUGUAAUGGAUGAUAUAUAAAGUCUAAAUACUUAUUAUGUAUAUGCCAUAAUUUACUUGGAACUUACAUGUAAUGUUAUACUUACUAACCUUAUGAGGUGAUGUGUAUAGGAAAGGAAGUUUGGCAUAUGACAUGAUGGAAGUGUGAUUAGUUGUUUAGUUUAAUAUGUUUGGUAAGUUUAAGUUUCCUUUAUACGAAUUCCUUUAUAUGAACUUACUAAGCACUAAUUAUUUACGUAGUUGUUUUCUCUGCUUUGUAGAUCAUCGGAAAAGCUUGACCGAUUGGAAUCUUGUGGGAGCAUGGUCACACUAUCCAUUCAUUAUAUUGGUAAUUAUGGUUGUUUUGGUUAACGGUUAUAAAUGACAUAUAAUAGGGUUAAAAAGAUUAUUUCAGUGAUUUGGCUUGUUCAGGUUGUGUUAAGAUUGUUGUGGUUAAUGAUAUUAAAUGAUGGCAUGUGAAUAAUAGGUACAAGUAUGUGUGGAUGAACUUUAUGCAUGCUUUAUAGAUAUUAGGUAUUAUAAGGUAUAAUGGCAUGUUCUGGAAUGGCUAUUUGGCAUGGUUGACAUAGGUUCAAACUAGAACUUUGAAAUGCGGAACGAGUCUAAAUUUGGUGUGUGAAAUGUGGUGCCUUUGAUUGGCAUAUUGGUAGGUAUAUGUUGAAUGAUUCUUGACUUGAUUUGUCUUUAUUUAAAUUUUAAAUGGAUGAAUAAUAGGUAUAUGGUGUAGAUUUUAAGGUUAGUCCAUGUCAGUUAGAUGAAUUUACUUGGAUGUAUAUUUUGUGGUACCAAUAAGGGUACAUUGGUUGAAUGAUGGAAAUGUGUUGCAUAUAUGAUGAUUUUAGCAUGAUUUGGUCUCAUUUAAGUGUGCUUUAAUUAGGUUGAAAAGGUUAGCAAAUGGUAUGCUUGUAGCUUAAGAAAGUAUUUUUGGUAAACUUGUUUUUCAAGGCACAUUUUGGUACACACGACCUGAGACACGAGCUAUCACACAGCCGUGUGUCACACACAGGUUGUUCGAAGGGUCGUGUGUCCUUAUUGUCUUUAAAUAUAGGUUUCACAUGGUCUGUGACACUGUUGUGUCUCCUAAAAACAGGUAGUUACACGGUCUGGCACACUGCUUGCUACAUGGCUGUGUGACCCAACUUCGAAUAUGCACACAAUUUGGCACAUGGCCUAUGACAUGGUCGUGUAGCCCUAUUUUGAAUGUCCAUACAGUCUCGGCUAUGUCAAACUGCCUGGAAACAUGGUCGUGUGACCCCUGUUUCACAAAUUUUUCAUGUUUUGCAUGAAAUUUCUGAUUUACUUUGAAUAAGUCUCUAAUUGUUUCCAAACUAUUUUUAGCGCCAAUCAAGCUCGAUUUGAGGCCCGUAAAAGUAUUUUUAUCAUAUUUAAAUUACGUUAUUGAAAAUUAAUAUCUGAAUUGCAUGUUGAUCCAUGCUUGAUUAUUAAGGUUCUAUUUUGCACUGUAAUGCUCUAUAACCCUUAUCUGAGGACAGAGACGAUUGUUUCUUCUUUGUCCCAUCAUAGCUCCAACAGUAAAAUCGCUCACGUUACACAUCAAUUCAAAAGGUGAGCUCUAAUCAGGUGUAACAAUUAUUGUGGCUGAGAUUAACUAACUUUUCAACUCUUUAAAAGCUUCCAAGCAUGCUUUAUCAAACUCAAAAAUAGUAUCUUUCUCUAACAGCACACACAAAGACUUAUAAAUUUUUAAAAAGUCUUUUAUAUACCUUCGGUAAAAUCUGGCAUGGCUUAAGAAACUCUGAACUCCUUUCAAACUAACUGGAGGUGGUAAUUUUUCAAUCACAUCCCCUUUACUUUAUGUACUUCACUUCCUGUUUUGGAAAUUUUAUGCCUUAAGACAAUUCCUUCCUUAACCAUAAAAUAACAUUUCUCCUAGUUAAGGACAAGAUUUGUCUCAUCCCAUCUCUUAAGUACCUUAGCCAAGUUACUCAAACAAACAUCGUAAGUAUUACUAAAAAUAGAAAAAUCAUCCAUGAAAACCUCAACAAAAUUUUCUACCAUAUCUGUAAGUAUUACCAUUAUGCAUCGCUAAAAAGUGGUGGGUGCAUUGUAUUAAGCAAAAGGUAUUCACCUAAAAAGAAAACAUAUUGUACGAGCAAGUAAAAGUCAUUUUGUGUUGGUCUUCCAUGGCUACAACUAUUUGGUUGCAUCCCGAAUAUCCAUCUAAGAAAUAGUAAUAUUUGUUACCUGUCAGUCGAUUUAACAUCUGAUCCAUAAAAGGCAACAAGAAAUGAUCCUUCCAAGUGGCUUUGUUCAAUUUUCUGUAAUCAAUGUAGAUUCUCCAACCCAUGGCAAUUCUCGUCAGGAUUAAUUCUUUACAUUCAUUCUCGAUAAUUGUAAUUCCACCUUUCUUUGGUACACAUUGUACUGGACUUACCCAUAAAUCAUCUGAGAUUAGGUAGAUAAUUCUCGCAUCUAACCAUUUGGUCGCUUCCUUUCGAACUACCUCUUUCAUGAUUGGGUUGAGUUUUAUUUGCCCAUCAAUUCUAGCUCUUUCGCCCACCUCUAAAAUAAUUUUAUGCAUAUAGAAAGAAGGGCUUAUAACUCGAAUAUCAGCUACAGUCCAACCAAUUGCUUUUUUAAAUUUCUUUAAAAUAGUAAUUAGUUGCUCCUCUUGUUGUUCUACUAAUUUUGCUGAAACAAUCAUAGGCAAAGUAGAACAGUUACCUAAAUAAAUGUAUUUUAAAUGGGAAGGAAGUGCCUUAAGUUCAAGUUUGGGUAGUUCUUCGAUUGACAACUUUAAUUGUGUAAAUUCUCAAACUUUCAAUUCUAGUGGUGCAAACCGUGCUGGUUGUACAUAGUCCCUCAGAUUGGCUUCCAUCAAAGCCAUGUUUUCAUUACCUUUUUCAUCUUCCAAUGGCUCAAACCCUAAAGUGUUGUCCAAUGGGUCUUCAAAAUUGUUCUCCCAUUCCAUAGAAACUAAGGUUUCUAGCUUUUCCAUCACUGAACAUUCCUCUACUAGAUUGGGAAAUUUCAUUGCUUUAAGAACAUUAAAUGUUACAUUAUCUUCUUUAACUCUCGUCGUGAGUUCUCCGUUUUGAACGUCUAUCAACAUUUUUCCUGUGGUUAGGAAAGUUCUCCCUAGGAUGAUCGACACUUCUUUAUCUACUUCAAAAUAUAAUACAAUGAAAUGAUCAAGAAGAAUGAAUUUAUCGACUCUUACCAAAACAUCCUCAAUAUUUCAUUUGGGGUAUGCUAAAGAUCGAUCCGCCAAUUGAAGUGUCAUAGUAGUGGGUUUUACUUCACUUAUUCCCAACAAUUUGAAAAUAGGUUUGGGCAUCAAGUUGAUGUUUGCUCCUAACUCACACAAAGCUUUAACACGUAAGAUUCUCUAAUAUGAUAAGGUAUGAUAUAACUUUCGGAGUCCUUCAAUUUCGAAGGAAGCUUGUUCUGUAACAAUGCACUGCACUUCUUCGUUAAAGAGAUAGUCUCAUAUUCACUAAAUAUUUUCUUCUUGGACAGGAUGUCCUUCAUGAAUGUCACAUAAUUGGGAAUUUGCUCUAGAGCCUCCACCCAUGGGAUAUUGAUGUGAAGUUUCUUUAGAACAUCCGAAAACUUCUUGAAUUGCAGCUUAUGUUUAUAUUUAUUUGGUUGGAACUUUUGAGGGUAUGGUGGUGAUGGAACUUUGGGUUGAAUUGGAUAACUUUUCUAAAGAGAUAAAUCUGCAUCUAGGGAAGAUGUUAGCUUAUUAAAAUUUAGCUGAGAGUAAUGUAAGUGCAUUCACUUCAUGCACUCCACCAACUCAUCUUCCUAAAGUUGCUCGAUUUGUUGGCCAUUGAUAGUUGUUACUAGCGACCCUCUCAAGGAUCUCGUAAGCCUCAUUAAAAGACUUCGACAAGAAAGCACCAUUCACAGAAGUAUCUACCAUCAACCUUGUAUAUGUGUUGACAUGUAGACAUUGAACUUAGAGUUUCUUCUAGGUGGAAAAUACUUAACCAAAAGCCUUUCUACUAAUUCUUGCCAUGUAGACAUUGAACUUUGUGGCAACAAAUUAAGCCAUGCUCGUGCUCGAUCUCACAAUGAGUAUGGAAAUAAAUUCAACCUAAAUACACCUUCAGUAACACCAACUAUUUUAAACGAAUCACUCCCUUCAUGAAUAAUCGAAGGUGAAGGUGUGGAUCUUUCAUGGGAAUUCCACUAAACUGGCUCACCGUUUGGUUUCAGUUCAGAUUGUGGUGCCUUAAUCUCUAGUCUCCUAAUUAUUGGAUUUAAUUCAUUGAACAGGGACACAAUAUACUAUCUUAUGGCACGAUCCUUAUCAUUAGCAAUAAGGAUAGGAUUGCGCAUAUGAUCGACUCUAUCUCCUUGCCCAUUAUUUUGAUUUCCAAGGUCCAUCUCAGCUGGUCUUUGAGCUAAUCUUUCACUUCUUCUCUGUCUAAAUGUCCUCUCAAUCUCAGGGUCUACAAGUAAUAAAUUGAUAAUUUGACCUAUGCUCAUAAACAUCUGAAUAAUAAAUCAGAAAAAAUAAAGAAUAAAGAAUAAAUUAGUAAAGUUAGGAGUUAGAUGAAAAUGAAAUAAAAACCAAAUUGAAAAGAAUAAUUUCACAAAAAUGAUUAAGGCAAUAGUCCCCAUCAACGGCGCCAAAAACUUGUAACACUCAGUUUGUGCAAGUGUACACAGUCAUUAUCAAGUAAUAAGUAUGUAAAAGAGUUAUCGUCUCCACGGGGACUGUGUAUGUUAAAAAUUUAAUUGUAAAAUUAAAGUUAACAAUCUGGUAAUAAAAACACAAUAUUUUGAGUGAUGAUGAUUAAGAUAAAUUAUCUAAAUGCAAGAUGAUCCCUAAUGCAAUUUAAUCUAAAUGCCAAGUAUGGAAUGAGAUGUAUGAAAUGAAUUUAGCCGCAAAGACAAAAAAUUCAACAAUCAAUAACAUUAAUAGGCUAGGAUAAUUACAUUUUUCAACUUAGUUCAUUUUCCUCAUGUUUAACAGUGUUCAAAAAAUAGUCUAUGGCAACUCGAUCUUUCAUGAGUUUGAAACCAAAUUAAGUCCUCUCCAAAUCUUUUACUUAGUAAAACAUGCAUUUUACUGAUCAUAUUAAACUAAGGGUUUCUUAGAAUUCAUAUGAAGUAACAGGGACGGGUAAAGUUUGAAACAAUUUAAUCACAUAAAUCUAAAAACUAUGUAAGAUAAUAGAGCUCAUUAAAGUUAUUAUGAACAUUCAAUUUAGUUAGGUUAGGAUCUAUAUUAAGCAUGGACAUUUCACUUAUUAUGUCCAUUAGACGUCAUCUGGUCAGGAUCGCUCAGCUAAUUCUAAUGCAUCCAAUCACGUAUGAAUGAAAUACAUACUUGAGUUUAAUUGAAAACAUGAUCGACUAAGUCACAAACACUAUAAACAUGAUUUAAACAAACUUCAUUAAAUAAAUGCAAUUAUCCUAGCUAAACAAAACUAAGCCACCAUUGUUAAUGACAAGAUAAUAAAGCAUAUUGCAAGCAUGAUUAAAAUCAAAAUAACAAAGUAAAAGAAGAAUAAACUCUAUUGAAUCAACAGUCUCGUGAACUCUGAUUGAAGAUGUUCUCUUCCGAUCAUUGUGUUUCUCUUUUCCUAAUGGCUCCUCACGGUGGCCGGCCAAGAGAUGAUCUUCUCAAGGUUUUGUUGCCUAAGGGAUAUGAGAUGCUAUGCAUAGGAAUGAAGAGAGGAAAUGAGAGAAUAGUUGAAUGAAGGAUGUAGGGAUAAUUAAGGAAUGAAUGGAUGAGGGAUAUUUAUACCUGAAGUAGAUGGUAGAGUUUACUAAAAAAUAGGGAUUGGAAUCUGAUAAACCGUAAUUUAUACAUAUUUCUAUCCCAUGCUUAGCACAUUUUAUGGAUGAUUUUUUCCUUAAAAUUGGUGAAUUCGAUGCUCCUAAUGCCUUAAUUUCAUGUUUUAUACUUAGGUGAGCAUAUGAGAGUGAAAGGAAAGAGAAACGGGCCAAAAAUGGAGAAAAUGGGCCAACGUACGAAAUCAGCACGGCCUGGACUUCCUCACAUAGUCAGACCACACGGCAGUGUCAAUUUGGCAAGAUCGAAGCACGACUCACACGGGUGGACCACACGCCCGUGCCUAUUUAACAGGCUUGACCACGACCUGAAGUAAUCGCACACGGGCGUGUCACAUAGGCGUGUCCCUACCGAGCCCAAGUUUAGUCCAAUUUGGAAAAGGCCAAUUUUGAAGGUUCUUAGGCAUUCCAAAGCCUAUAAAUACACCCUAGAGGAGGAGGAAAGAUGACACAAAGAGGGAAGCAGGGAACUGCUCAAAGAAAGCCGAUUGAUCCAUCUUAGAAGCCAGAUCCAUCUUAAUUUCCCUUCAGGAGUUUUGGGUUUUUCUUUAUGUUUUGUAUUCAUUAUUCUUCUGAGAUGUUUACCUCUUUAGUUAUGAACUAAAACCCCUAAAUACCUAAAGGGAAUGAAACCUAAGACAAAUCUUGUUAUUAUUAUCUGAAUUGUUGAUAAAUAUUUGACUUGUUCUUAAUUAUGUGUUCUUAAUUCUUGUUUUGAUAUUCCAGGAUAUUGAUUCAAGUUAAGCUCUUAUUCAGUGGAGGAAUAGACCCUGUCUAUGAGUACAUUUGUCAUAAUUAAGUGGAGUUGGUUGCACACCUAAAGAUAGGGUGAAAGAUCUUGCUGGAUUAGGGUGAAACCAAAUAAGGGGAUCCAUAGAUCGAGUUAAUGCAACCCUAGGGAGUUAAUUAGAAAAAGAUUUCAAUUAUUCAACCUAGGGUUAGACAUUGUUAGUCUCGAGAGAGAUAAUAAUAUAACUUAUGGAUUUCUACGAAUCAAGUCAAAUGAAUACGUAUGAUUCAGAGUCAAAUAACAAGUGAAGUCUAGGUGGAUUUUUCCUUAGGUAUUGUCUCAAUCAAUCGAGUUUUCCAAAAGUAAUUCCCCAAUUCUAUUGUCUGUGAAUACUUAGUUUAGUUAAUUAGUUAGUUGAAACAAACCCCAUUAUUCUUAGGCUAGAUAGUAAAAAGAUAGUCAUUACUAGUACUUUUAGUUCCUUUGGGUUUAACAAUCCGGUCUUGCUAAAGCUAUACUACUGUACGAUAGGUACACUUGCCCUCAUCGUGAUAAUAGUUAGUUUCAAGAACGAUUGAUUAUAAAUAUUUAAAACCUAUCACGAAUAUCACGCAUCAAGUUUUUGGCACCGUUUCCGGGGAACUAAGAUAUUAGGAACAUUCGAUUUUUAUUACUUUAGCCAUUUGCUUUUACUACAAUUUAAAUUUUAUUCUAAUUUUUAUUACUAAUUAUUUCUUUUCCCUUUUUCUAGCAGGUUCUUAUAGUUUAUGACUAGAAGAAACCCGUCAGAACCAUUACUUUUUGACAGUGAGAUCAAUCGCUCAGUUCGCAGAACCCAAAGAGAAAUAAGGUGAAGCUUAAGAUACACAGAGAACGAGCAAGAGGACGAUAUUCAAACAACAACCAAAGAAAUGGUUGAAAUCCAAGAAAAUCUACUACCUCCUCCAAUUGCUGUUAAUCAGAAUCCUACUCCGCGCACAAUGUAUGAUUAUGCUAAACCUAAUUUAACAGGAACUGAGUCAAGUAUAGUUAAACCUGCUAUUGCUACAAAUAAUUUUGAAUUGAAACCUAACACAAUUCAAAUGAUACAACAAUUUGUUUAGUUUGAUGGUUUGCAGGAUGAGGAUCCCAAUGCUCACUUGGCAAAUUUCCUAGAAUUUUGCGAUACAUUUAAAAUCAAUGGCAUUUCCGGUGAUGCCAUAGGUCUUCGGUUGUUUUCCUUUUCGUUAAGGAAUAAAGCUAAACAGUGGUUGAACUCGUUACCACGUGAGUCAAUUACUACUUGGGAACAGAUGACCGAAAAGUUUCUAUUAAAAUACUUUCCACUGGGUAAAAUGGCUAAAUUACGUAAUGAUAUCUCUUCUUUUGUACAAAUGGAUUUAGAGACACUCUACGAUGCAUAGGAGAGAUACAAGGACCUUUUGAGAAGGUGCCCUCACCAUGGGUUACCGCUUUAGCUGCAGGUUCAAAUGUUCCAUAAUGGCCUGAAUCCUUUGACUUGGCAGAUGAUUGAUGCAGCUACUGGAGGAACUAUCAAUAAUAAGACACUUGAGGUGGCAUAUGAAUUUAUUAAGGAGAUGUCACUGAAUAACAAUCAGUGGCAAGUUAUGAGAACAAAGCCGACGAAAGCAGCCGGUGUCUUCAACCUCGACGCGGUUACUAUGCUAUCUAACCAAGUAGAACUCUUAAAUAAAAAGAUUGACGAUUUGUGUAGUUCUAAUCAGGUACAUCCAGUGAUGAGGUGCGAUUCGAAUAGAGGAGGAGCAUUCAUAGAAUAUCAACCCUUCAACCCUAGCAUCAAGGAGGAACAAGUCCAAUAUAUGGGUAACAAUAACUCUAGACCCCAAAAUAACCCAUAUAGUAACACUUAUAAUGUAGGUUAGAGGAACCAUCCCAAUUUCUCGUGGGCCGGUCAAGGAAAUCAAAGGCCACAACAUCCUUCGGGUUUUCAACAACCACUCUACCAACAGGAAAAGAAGUCGAACCUUGAAAAGAUACUCUCAAAGUUUAUAUUGGUGUCAGAAACUCAUUUUUAGAAUAUCGAUACAGCACUUAAGAAUCAACAAGCAUCGAUCUAAAGGCUCGAAACUCAAAUUGGACAGCUUGCCAAGUUGAUUUCUGAACGACCACAAGGUAGCUUGCCAAGCAACACAGAAUCUAACCCAAGAGAACAACUCAACGCAAUUACUAGUCAAGAUAAGGAAGGGUUAGUCAUACUUUAACCAGAACCAAAGCAAGAAACUGAGAUAAGCAAAGGUAAAGGUGAGGUAGACCACAAUGAGCAGAAACCGAUAAGUACAAAAUACAAACCUCGUGUGCCAUACCAUAAUGUGAUAAGGAAACACCACUUAGAUGAACAAUUUGGUAAAUUUCUUAAACACUUGAAAAAAUUACAUAUUAAACUACUAUUUAUUGAAGCACUUUCGCAGAUACCGAACGCAGUCAAAUUUUUAAAGGAGCUUCUAGCAAAUAAACGAAAUUUAGAUGACAGGUCGCAUGUGGAGCUGAACGCGGUUUGCUCAGCCAUUCUUCAGAAUAAGCUACCAAACAAACUAAAAGAUCCAAGGAGUUUUACGAUUCCUUGCUUAAUUGGUAGUUUAGAUGUUAAUAAUGCAUUAGCUAAUUUAGGGGCUAGUAUUAACGUCAUGCCUUACAAGAUGUUUAAACAACUAGGUCUUGGGAAACCCAAACAGACUAGGAUGAGCAUUCAAUUAGCAAAUAAAACUAUAAGGUUUCCUAGGGGUAUUAUUGAAGUUGUGCUAGUUAAAAUUGAUAAAUUUAUAUUUCUCGUUGACUUCGUUGUUCUAGACAUAAAGGAGGAUAGUAACACUCCUUUGAUUUUAGGAAGGCCCUUUUUAGCAAUUGCUGAAAUGAUUAUUGAUGUUGGCACAGGUGAGCUCAUACUUCGUGUGGGAGACGAAACAAUCACCCUUCAAGCUCGCAAUUCCAGCAACACAUCGAAAAUUGAAGGUGGUUGUCUAAACCAUUCUACUAAAACUGACAAUAUGGUGCAACCCACUGUGCAGGAAAUGAGUUUGAAGAAAGUACAUGAGCCAUUUUCAAGCAAAAGUAGAGGACCUAUUCAUGAAGAACGAAGGCUACAAAUCGAGGAGCUAGAUGAAUGGCGGACACAUAAACCGAGAACACAUGAUAAACCAAAACUACGCCAGGAUGAGCUCAAUACCUUUCCAAAUCAAUUUAAGGUUAGGGAUAAAGUUUUAUUAGAUGCCGCAGAUCCUCACAUUGUCACUACCAAACCGAAUGAAGAGAUCCCUCUUAUGGUACUUAGAUUUUCCCCAUUCGGUAUAGUCGAGGUAAAUCAUCCCAAGUUCGGCACUUUUAAGGUAAAAAAUACCCACCUAAAACCUUUUUUUGAUGAGAUUCACAGUAGGAAUGAGGAGUAUAAACUCCUCAAACCACCAUGACCAUUCAAUGGAGAGGUAAGUCAAGCUUAGACUAUAAAUAAGUGCUUCUCGGGAGGAAACCCAACCACUAACUGUAUUAACUUCUUUAAAUUUUAGUGUUUAACACCUAACUUACUAACGAAGCUCUUGAAUACAGGUUUACCACACAAACACGGCCAAGCAAAUGGGCGUGCUUAGUACCGAGUGGAAAUAGGGCCAAGAUUCUCCUAGCACGGGCUACGAUAAAUCACCAUGGUCGUGGGGGGACCUGGCAAAACAACACGGGCGUGAGACACACCCGUGCCUUGAAACCAUGGCCAAACCUGUCAAAUUAGCACGAGCGUGCGACAUGCUCGUGCCAAGCAACCGUGGGCAAACUUGCCAAAACAACAUGGGUGUGGCCCUUAAUACACGGGCGUGGGAGAAGCGAACAAAGACAAACACGGCUGUGUGACACAGCUGUGCGCACUAACACGCCCAAGGUACACGGGCGUGGGGAAAUUGUCAGACGCGCCCAAAUUCAAAAUUCACGAAUCACACGGGCAAAAAUUGGGGAACACGGGCGUGUUCCCCGGACGUGUGUCCCAAAAUCUAUAAAUACCCUACACUAUUCGUUGUCUUCUUCACUCAAAAUCCCUAACCCUAGCCGCUACAAGUCCACAUGACCUCCCCACCACUCCCGUGCGCUGCUUCCCACUCCAUUUUUGACGCCCAAUUUCUCUCCCUUAGCGUUUGUUUACUCUUUUCACUUCUAUUUUACUUAUUUCUAAUGCUUAUUAUCAAAAUAAUCUUCAUUUUUCUCAUACUAUUUUCAUUUUGCUCAUUAUCCUAUCAUUCAAUUUGCAUUCUUAGGUUAUUUAUCAUACAUUUCAUGUUGAAUCGAGUAGUUAGGAAAGCCUCAUUCUAUUGUCAUACCCAUGCCAUUACUAUGCUCAUUCUCAUGCUAUUACUAUGCUAAUGUCACGAAAUUAUGCUAUCAAAUUGAUUAUUUUGGUUGAGUUUGGUUAGUAUUAGUAGUUUUGGCUGAAAUUGUUAGUUCAAAUUCAUGGCUUUUUCCUUUUCAAAUUCGUUUACCUACUAUUAUUCUUUUUCAUAUUGCAGGUAUACAAUGUCGUCUUCACGUGGUAAAAAGGCCGUCGUCCCUGCUUCAAAGAAAAAGAAGGGAGCAUCAUCUUCCUCGAGUCUUACCAGAGAAAUUCGUCACCCUUUCCUGCAAUUCCCCAUUGGGCCCCAAGAAGAACUUUUCCAAAUGCUCCAGGCUCGACCUUUAAUUGCAGGCUAUUGCAUCGAUUGGGCUGCAGUAGAAAAAGUUCAGUUGGCUGAUACGAUUCGGGCUCUCCUAACCACCGACCCUUGGGAGCUUUUCUUUGGGAUCAUCGAGCCAACAUAUCUCGAGCUCACGAUGGAACUAUGCUCAACGUUUCAUCUUCAGACCGUAAUGAAAAACUAUGAUGAUCCUGGCACGGUCCAAUUUCGCCUAGGCAGAUUAGUCUGCCAGCUAAGGGUCCCAGAAUUCGGUACUGCAUUGGGCUCAUAUACGGAGGAGUUCAAGGAGGAGAAUGAAUUACAUGCUCUCAACCGCCACAUCCAUCGUUCUUCUUCACGGUGUUGGAACGCACUAGUGUCACGUUCGGCCACCUACGACCCCAGUCGCUCUAAGGCAUCAGCUCUCCCUCCAUCAUUGAGGCAUUUAUAUUCUAUUUUAUCUCACACCUUGACAAGGCAGAGAGAGAGCACCGGCAUUGUCACCACUCACAACGUCUACUACUUAUGGUGUAUGUCGCUCGAGCAUGUCUUCGACCUCGCCUACUUUAUCGCCCUUUCCAUUCACCACCAGACGGAGCGACAUCAGAAGGGGGUCAUCUCCAUUGGCCCUUAUGUGACUCGACUGGUGCGACACUUCGGGCUCCUCGAUAUCGCGGCACAAGAAUCAUCCUUGACCCUCAUUGGCCAGAUGUCUCCACAAGGCAUCCAAAACAUGCUAAGCAUUAGAAUGAUCGAAAAGCACCGAGGAACCUACCCUCCUCAAUAUCGUCUCACCCAAUCUACCGAGGAGGAGGAGGCCCCCGAGGACAUUACUAAUGAUGUCCCUCCACAGCACGAGGACCCAGCGUCUCAGCCACCACGUUCCCAUCGUCCAGUUCAUGUGGCGGCUUCAUAUGCUGACAUAUCUGAGCGACUCACUUGAUUCGAGCAACAGUGUUUUCAACGAUUUGAUAACAUUGAUGCUACUCUAUAGUAGAUUUGACAGCACUUCUCAUCGCCACCACCACCUCGCGAACCAUCCGGCGAUGAUGAUGUUUAAUUUUAUUUUAUCUUUAUUUUUAUUUUUAUUUUUAUUUUUAUUUUUAUUUUUAUUUUUAUUUUAUGUUUUUAAUUUCACCUUUAACUUUUAAAUGUUAUUUCCUUUUUAUUACUAUUUUAGGUUUUAUAAACAAAUCUCAAUUAAUUCUUUAUGAGUAAUUAUUCUUCCUAAUAUCCCCUAAAAAGUUCCUGAUUUUAUCACAGUUAUAAAGAGCUACAAAUCUCACCACUACUUAGGAACUUGAAACUCCACUGGGAAAGGUUCUCCAUGACUGCCGUGUUCUGCUCGACCACAAUGAUAGCUACCACCAGAUAUAAUAUUCUUUUGGCAUAGGACUUAUGGACUAAUGACCCUCUACCACCACCGGAGUAUCCUCCUCCACCCUCAAGCCGAUUAUUCUCUAAACCUCCAGUUCAAGGAAAUUCAUUCAUCACUCAGGAAGUUUCACUUCUCUCCCUAUCUUAUAUUUAUAUUCUUUUCUAUAUAUUUGUCUUUGUACAUUGAGGGCAAUGUACAUCUUAACUGUGGGGGGGUAUUCAUUUCACUAUCAGAAAAAUCCCUGAAUGAUUGCCUUGUUCUCUUGAAAAGCUCUCAUAUCACGUUUAUGAUAAAUUGUGUUUGAUUCAUGACUUUUAUUGAUAUAUCUUGAAUUAAAACAUAGGCAUUUAUGCAUUGAUUGUUUAAACUUUAAGACAUUAGGGAAUCAAGCAUGAUAAGUUGAUUUUUGAAGAAUUAAAAACUUUUAGGUUGUUUCCCUAAGUUUAGGUAUUAUCUUGAGUUGGAAUUCACAAGUUUAAACAUCAAAAAGCCAUAAUUUUUGUGUGAUCUUGAGCCUUUAGAGCAUCUAUUAUUUCUUUCAUACUCACUUUCAUUAUGAGUGCGUCAGUAUUGAAUUGUUAUUCUAGAACUUGCUUGAUUAUGCAUGUUAAGACCACACCAUUUGAUUUGAUAUGUCAAAAUGAUAAAAUCACUUAGGUUUAACCCACUCACUCCAUAAAAGCCUACCUUCACAAUUAACCCUUAAGUGAAGCCCCUUGAGCCUAACAACCCAUUCAUUGAUGUACCCUCAAUAUUAACCUAUAACUCAUUAUUAUUGAAAUCCCCUAAAUUAAUUUGAUCCCUAUUUUUGUCGGGAUUUGAGUUGGAAUAGUUGCUUAGCUAUGCUUUAUUCUAUUUUUUAAUUUGACUUGUUCCUAAAUAUAUAUAUACAUGUAUACAUUUUAGUAGUAGUGAUCUUCUGAGCUAAAGAGUUAAAUUCCAUAUUCUGAGAAAAAGCUCUGUUGUACGCAAUUGAUGACUAGCCAUUUUUCUAGCUACGCAAUUUUUCAAUUCAAUCUCGAUUCUAACCAUUUCUUUCAGCUUGUGAUCACACCCUCUAACCAAAGCCAUGUUACAACCCUCUAAAGACCUUUUGAUUGAUGUUUAAUCUCAAUUUAUAGUGGUGGAGAUUUGAUUUUCAGGCAAGCCUAUGGUAAUGACUUUUCAUUAUUGACUAUUGAGUGCUUCAUUUAUUGUCCUUAAACACCUUGAGUGAUUUGAGUGAAUCUUUAGUGAGGAUGUGAAACUCUGUGACAUUUUGAAUCAAAGGUAAUUACUUAGACGAGGGGAGACACCUAUGUUUUCAUGAUAAAAUACUCAACUUAGAAUGUUAGAAACUUUGAUGUUCUUUCAGUUGAAUUUUCAAUGUAUGAUUACCUAUGGAUUAUUUUGAGAUAUUAUCGACAGAAAUUAAGAGUUGAGAAUAAUUUAUUUUGAUUAUGAGUUGAGGAUUUUUCUUGAGGACAAGCAAAUGCUUAAGUGUGGGGGUAAUUGAUAAACUGUAAUUUAUACAUAUUUCUAUCCCAUGCUUAGCACAUUUUAUGGAUGAUUUUUCCUUAAAAUUGGUGAAUUCGAUGCUCCUGAUGCCUUAAUUUCAUGUUUUAUACUUAGGUGAGCAUAUGAGAGUGAAAGGAAUGAGAAACAUGCCAAAAACGCAGAAAAUGGGCCAACGUACGAAAUCAACACGGCCUGGACUUCCUCACACGGGCAGACCACACGACCGUGUCAAUUUGGCAGGACUGAAGCACGACUCACACGGGUGGACCACACGCCCGUGCCUAUUUAACAGGCUUGACCACGGCCUGAAGUAAUCGCACACGGGCGUGUCACACAAGCUUGUCCCUACCGACCGCAAGUUUAGUCCAAUUCAGAAAAGGCCAAUUUUGUGGGUUCUUAGGCAUUCCAAAACCUAUAAAUACACCCUAGAGGAGGAGGAAAGAUGACACAGAGAGGGACGCAAGAAACUGCUCAAGGAAAGCCGAUUGAUCCAUCUUAGAAGCCGGAUUCAUUAUCAGGACUGAAGAUCAUCCCUUAAUUUCCAAGAGUUUUGGGUUUUUCUUUAUGUUUUGUAUUCAUUAUUCUUCUGAGAUGUUUACCUCUUUAGUUAUGAACUAAAGCCCCUAAAUACCUAAGGGGAAUGAAACCUAAGACAAAUCUUGUUAUUAUUAUCUGAAUUGUUGAUAAAUAUUUGACUUGUUCUUAAUUAUGUGUUCUUAAUUCUUGUUUUGAUAUUCCAGGAUAUUGAUUCAAGUUAAGCUCUUAUUCAGAGGAGGAAUAGACCCUGUCUAAGAGUACAUUUGUCAUAAUUAAGUGGAGUUGGUUGCACACCUAAAGAUAGGGUGAAAGAUCUUGCUGGAUUAGGGUGAAACCAAAUAAGGGGAUCCAUAGAUCGAGUUAAUGCAACCCUAGGGAGUUAAUUAGAAAAAGAUUUCAAUUAUUCAACCUAGGGUUAGACAUUGUUAGUCUCGAGAGAGAUAAUAAUAUAACUUAGGGAUUUCUACGGAUCAAGUCAAAUGAAUAAAUCGUCCGAUUCAGAUUCAAAUAAUAAGUAAAGUCGAGGUGGAUUUUUCCUUAGGUAUUGUCUCAAUCAAUCGAGUUUUCCAAAAGUAAUUCCCCAAUUCUAUUUUCUAUGAAUACUUAGUUUAGUUAAUUAGUUAGUUGAAACAAACCCCAUUAUUCUUAGGCUAGAUAAUAAAAAGAUAGUCAUUACUAGUAUUUUUAGUUCCUUUGGGUUUGAAAAUCCGAUCUUGCUAGAGCUAUACUACUGUACGAUAGGUACACUUGCCUUUAUCGUGAUAAUAGUUAGUUUCAAGAAUGAUUCAUUAUAAAUAUUUAAAGCCUGUCACAAAUAUCACGGAUCAGAAUCAAUCCAUUUUCUCCAUUGUUUGGCCAACCACAUAUAGUGGAAGUAAGUGGAUGGUGGUUGCUUGAUUUGAGCAUAGGGUCAUGCUAAAUUUAGGCAUGGCUUGGAUAGUUUCAAGGGAUACCUUUGUAUGCUGAUUUUCAAUAAUUCUCCAAAUGUAGGGACCUCCAAAUAAUUGUCUUAGAAGAGAUUUUUGGACAGCCAACAUGCUUGUGUCGAAUUUGGGCUUGACUCCCACUUGUUUAACUGUUUCAUGACCUACUAAGCUUGUCAAACUUGUCCAUCAUGUAUCAUCUUUUUUAUACUGGGUGAAAGUAACACAUUGAUAACCCAUUUAGCAUGGUUUUGUUGUUCAACAUAGGAAAUAAAUAGCUUAUGUUCAUGCAACUUUAUAAUAAGCUUCAUAUUUUAUCAUCUCUAUGGUUCCCUGCAUAAUAAAAUAUGACGCAUUAAAAAUUAACAUGAAAUAAUUUAAAUUAUGCACAAAAUUAAUAAAAUAUAGCUUAUAUUUGCAUUUUUUACAAAUUCAUGCCCAUCAUCGAAACAUAAACAAAAUCCACUUAAUUAAUUAACAAAUACUCAGGAUUAGUAUUACUAUUAAGUAAAAAAUGUGGUAAAAAUGACUAGAAAAACCCUAUAUAAUUUAGAGUUGAUACAACAUCUCAGGCCUGUGAUGCAACCAAGCCCUACGUAGCCCAAAAAAAUAUUACACGUGAUAAUGAUGUUUUGGUGGGAAAUUAGGUGUAUUUGUCCUAGUUCAACUCUAGGGUCUUCAAGGAUAAUUUAGGCACUUUAAUAUUUCAAGUUUAGCCUAUAUAAAGGCCAUUGUAAUAAGUUUAAACACAUAAUUUUAGGGAGACAGAAAAUAUACUUAGGGUUUUUAUUGCAUUCUUAGUUUUUACUUAGGGUAUUUUAUGUUCUUAUAAUUGUAAGAUCCUAUUCCAAAGUGAGACUCUUGUGAUUGGAGAUUGUUUUGGAGCCAUGCUUUCAUCAAUAAAUACAUUAGUAUCUCUUUUCCUUUAUUCUAUUCUUUAUAUCUCUUUCUUUAACAUUGUUUAAUUGAAUAUUUGUGUAAAGAUUUGAAUCAAUUUCUGCUUUAUAUAUAUCUUGCAUGGUUUUAACUGUUCUAACCAUAUUAAUUGAUUGAAGGAUAGUGUUUCUUAGCAGUUCAACUGUUUAGGAGAGGAAGAACUAAAACCUUAGGCUUGACAACCCUAGGAAGCCAUUUAGGUGGGAAUUAACCCAAAAUUGGUAUGGUCUAUCGGUGAAAACCUUAACCCCAAACCAAUUUGGACUGGGAGUUCAGAAGAUAAGAAGUUCUUGCUGACUUGCUAUUCUAGUGGACGCAUUGAAAGAUCCUACUAGGGUAUCGACUUGUUGAUUGAUUAGAACUCUACAUCAAUAAUUAAUUAGGUAAAACAAUUGGAUCUAGGAUAAAGGAACUCGCGUGGUCGAAACAAGGAUAGGAGAAACUAAUACAUGAACUUAGGAGUAGAUUUAGGUUUAAUUCAAUUGAUUUAGUUUAUUAAUAUUAUCAACAUUUUGCUUCCAUAUUAACACUAGUAAUUCAUAACUCAAGUAGAUUAGUAAUUAUUCCCAGUAAUUGGCUUGAUAAUAAUUUUUUCCAAACUACAAUCCCUUGGGUACGAUCCUCAGAGUACUUACCUACUUCAUUUUAACUAUAUUAUAACCUGACCUUUAUGUAACACCCCAAACCCGGCCUAGAAGUUAGGCUUAAAUCUGGCAUGUCACAUUGAAGUGUUUUUCAAAAACCAUGUUCUCAUUGAAAACCCUUCUUACUAUUUAAAACCUCUGGCCAUUUUAAAACUUGUGAAACAUUAAUUCCCUUAAAACCUUACUUGCUACGGAAGCUUAAUUUUAAACAGUUGCAGAAAUGUGAUAUUUUGAAAACCAAUUGUUUUUUUGGAAAACCGCAUCCUACUUCUAACAAAUAUUAAGCAUACUAAAUAAAUUUCCCAAAUAAAAAGUUAAGAAAAUAAAAAGGCCUUAAUACAACCCAAAUCAAAAACCAAAGUGCGUAACUAAAUAAAUGAAAUAGAAAAACAUGUGCAGUUGUGUGGUCGUCUCUGAGUCCCUCUUUGACACCGAUCCACCUAAGACUAGGGAUUACCUGCACAGUUAAUAAAUGGAAUGAGUUUGCGAAAACUCAGUGUGUAAUCCCCUCACUAGAGUAACAAACAGUAUACCAAAACAGAAACAGAAACAGUCUAGCUAGAGCCCACUAACAGAAAUAGUACAGUCCAGUUCAGAGCAUACGUGGGCCAAAGCCUAUUACAAUAACAUUUGGGUCACAGCCCAUAACAGAAUCAGUUGGGCCUAGCCCAAACUAAUAACAAAACAUAAUGUGUGAAUGUAUGGAUGCAUGUUAUCCCAUCCAACCUGCACUUGCCUCCGUCCAACCCUGCACUACCUGUGGGGAAUAACUCACCCACGCCAUCCCUAUACUUACAAUGUUAGCACCGGUUGCAGUACUAACCGGAAUCACAGCAAAACUGCUAGCAAUAUGCAUGGCUUAAAGCCAUUAUUACGAUAAUAUGAUCGGCACAAAGCCAUCGAUAAUAGAUCGGCACAUAGCCAUCAAUAUCAUAUCAGCACAAAGCCAUCGAUAACAGAUCGGCACAUAGCCAUCAAUAUCGUAUCGGCACAAAGUCAUCGAUAACAGAUCGGAACAUAGCCGUCAUUAUCAUAUCGGCACAAAGCCAUCGAUAACAGAUCGGCAAAAAGCCAUGAAUAUCAUAUCGGUACAAAGCCAUCAAUAACAUACAAGCAUGAAGCCUUCAAUAGCAUAUUGGCACAAAGCCUUCAAUAGCAUAUCAGCACAAAGCCAUAAUCAGAAUAAUUGGGUUUAAGCCAUCGGUAGCUGUAUCAUGUUAGGCACACAGCUAUCAGCGACGGUAAUAUAGUCAGCACACAGCCUCGGGUAAAUAUGAUCGAACAGAGUCGUCAAUAAUUAUAUAUUGGGCUUAAAAGCCACCGGUGGAUCCACGAUCGUCAAGCAACCAUGCGAUCCUUAAUCGAUGGAUCCAUAGUCGUUAAGCGACCAUGCGAUCCUCAAUCGGUGGAUCCACGGUUGUCAAGCAACCAUAUGAUUCUCAAUUUCUUCCUCCAUUUCAUAAUCCCUACCCAUGUGUAACAUAAUAUUAUAUGAAUGCAGCAAAUAUACACACGACAUACAAAAUCAUACAAAUCUCAAUCACAACAGUCCAAUCACAGUCAUACAUUCUUAGUCAAAACAUAGUCAAAUCAAUCAAAUUGUAUUAUCAGUGAGUCAUACGCUAGAGGGGCAGAACGGUAUUUUUAUCUAUUAGGGGUAUUUUAGUUAUUUCAACCUACAAGGGUGUUUUGGUAAAUCUACAAACCAAGGGUAUUUCGAUAAUUUUGCAAGCCAAUGGUAUUUCUGUAAUUUUUUAAAGUUAAGGGUAUUUUGUAAUUUUGUAAAUCAAGGGUAUUUUUGUAAUUUUCCAAAUCAAGGGUAUUUUGAUAAUUUUCCAAAUUAGGGGUAUUUUGAUAAUUUUACAAAUCGAGGGUAUUUCGGUAAUUUUGUAAACCAAGGGUAUUCAGUAAUUUUGUAAACCAAGGGUAUUUCAAUAAUUCUACCCUAUAAGGAAUUUCAGUAAUUCUACCCUACAAGGGUAUUUCAGUAAUACUAGCCUACAAUAUGAGAUUCACAUAGUCCAAUCCAAUAUUUACUACACAAUAAUACAAUUCAUCCACUUGGGCCUAUGGGCCCAUUAGGCCCACAUGGCCCAUCUCGACCCAUCGUGGCCCAAAGCAACCUAAGCCCACGAGAGCACUCAUGAUGGCCUCAACCAUCACGUUAAAGCUCCUACACAUACGCUCGCACUCUCGUAUGGCUGCCAUCGUCAUGUGACCGGCAUUUGCCGUUCUACAGCUAGAGUAGUGCAAAAUACACACCUGUUCAUGAGAAUCGCCAAAGUCCACGAUCACUAACCUUGGCACAUCCUGCAGUGAGUCUUAAUCACUUUUCCCCCUCCAACUCAUCUGGUUCGCUCUAUUUAAAGCCAGCUUCUUGCAAAUUCUCAUGUUAGCUUCCCGAUGUGGGAUUACUUUCAACCAUUAGGAAAAUUCCUUAUUUUUUAUGACAACUUCAAAAAAACCACAGAGUUCCAGUCCAACUCCACCUCCUACAUAGCUCAAAUAGCAAAAUAAAUACCCAAUUAUGCAUCUCAAGACUUGAACCUUAGACCUCACAGUUACACAACACGCCACCUUGCCACUCCACCACAAGCUCUUUCUGUGUCAUAUUUUAUCCUCAAUUAAUUAUAAGGCAUAUGUGCUAACGUCCAGAUUCCUUUAAAAGAAAAACCAAAAUAAAUUGCAAGAGCCAAGACUUGAACCCAGGCUCCCUUGCAACCUUAAUGACGCCACAACCACUAGACCACAUGCUUUCUUGUGUCAUUAUUUACCACAAUAAUUUAAAAGGUCUUCAUCCAAGCACCCAGGGUUUUAUUCACUUAAAACCAAAAUUUUUGCUAAAGCCCAGGUUUGAACCCAAGAUUUCUCCAACACUUCUCAGGGCCAUAAACCACCAAACCAGACAUUUAAUUGUGUCAUUUCCUUGCACAAUUAAAUUCUUAUAUGCAACCUCCUUACACACCCACACUCAAGGCCCAAUACUCCUAGGCCCAAAUUCAGGGCAUUACAUUGUAUCCUUGUGGACACUACCUCAAAUCUAUAUCUUUAGUUGCAAUAUUCACACUCUAGACGUUGGUACGUCUAGAGUCUGUCAAGCAUCUACACAAGCUUUUCAAUAACCACGGUUUUAGAUGAAUUCUUCUAUUUCUAACACACCCAUAAUCCAUCUCGCUCCUUUAUCCAAUCAAGUAUUGAUUCUUUAGUUUUUUUUUUCAGUGUCAAGCUGUAACAACCCGUUUUUCAGUGGUGUCAGAAACAAUAGUUUUGGAACCCCAUUUUUGAUAAGUGAGUUUGUAAAUAUUAUUUAAUAUUUACGAGGUUAGUAUAAAUUUUAAUUGAAGUUUGGUCCAUUAAUUUUGUCAAUUGAAUAGUUAAUUAAAGUAUAAGGACUAAAUUGUAAAAGUUUAAAAGUUAAUCGCUAUGGAUUUUUAAUUAUUAGAAGGACCAAUUGAGUAAUUGGACCACUAAAUACUGACCAAAUGGUAGUGGAUAUGUGGUUUAGUCCAAUAAAUCUUGUUAAUUACAAUUAAGGUUAACUAAUUAUAGUUAAUUAGGUUAAAUAUAAUUAAUUAUAAAUUAAACUAAGUAUAUAAGUUAAAAUUAAAACAAAAAAUAAACAUUUUCCAUUCAUCUUAUUCUUUAUCACCAAAACUACAAAAAUAAAUAGGGCUGAUGCAUUUUCAACUUUGGUCCCUUAAUUUGUAAGCAAUUUCAAGUAUGUUUCUUGUAAUUUUUAUGUUUUUGAGGUCUUAGAAGCUUGAUUUAGCUAAGCUGUGUACCAAUUUGCAAAAUGGAUAUAGUUUCUAAAAGUAUCAAUUUUUUUGAAUCUUAAAGCUUUUGGUAUUAAAUUGUUAGAUUUUAAGCUUUGAAAUGAAAAAUGAUUAGUUUGUAAAGUUUAAUUGUUAAUUUUUGAACAUAUGGACUAAAGUGUAAAUAUUUUGAAAUUGAUAUUAAAUUUCUAUAAAUAUUUAUAUUAGAGGACUAUAGAAGGAUGAAAUUGAGAUCAGUUUAGAAAUUAAAAGUCAAAUUUGAAAGUUAUAGCUAUUUCGGUUUUAGGGUCUAAAUUGAAUAAAAUAUAAAACUUUAGAGAACAUUCAAAAAUGAAAUUGAAUUCUCAUAUGCAUAAAAUAGGCCAAUCAUGGCUAGUACCAACAAUUCAACACUUUCAUCUAGAAUGUUUUCCCUACGAGGUCACACAGGCAACAUCGAAGUCUUGUCACCUUUUGAAGGGUUUGUAUCUCCAUUAAGACGGCUCGAAUUCGCAUUGAAUCUUCUAGGAUGCAUUUUGCUUACUCUAAACAUACAUAAGACACAAGAUUUAAGAACAUACAGUUAUAGAUUCUAAGUUUAUCAAGCAUAUUUGCAAAAUUUGUUCUCCUAAACACAUAUGCAAACACAGUUCGCCAAAACAUAUUUGCGAACAUAGUUCAUCAAAACACAUCCACUAGGAAGGUGAGUAGCAGAAAGUGAUCUGAAGCAUAAUCCUACAAAAGAAAAUGACUAAACCAAAGCAAUGUAUUUUUCCCAAUUCUACUCCAACAAAAAAAAAACAAUCAUGCUUAUCACUCCCUAUAACUUACAUUCUUGGUGAACAUAACAAGUUAUUCAGCCAAUCCCAACGAACUUAUUAACAUGGCAAACAUGCUAUAUUAACAAACCUAGCGAGCUCUAAUACCAACAAAUGUAACACCCUAUACCUAGUCCAAUUGUCAAACCCGAGCUAUGGAAUGCCACAUUAGCUACCUAAGUGAGGCUUCAUUAACACCCAACCUAACCUCCAACACACCACAAGUCAAAACAUAUAUAAUAUGUAAAUAUAAGGAAGCACAAGUUUGUGAACUCACUUUGUAACAGCCCGAUUCUGGGCUUAGUCGGAAUAGUGGUUUCGGGACCACAAAUCCGACGAGGGAAAAUAUGGUUAUUAUUAUAUUUUUAUGAUCUACAAUUUCACGGAAAAUUUUCGUAAAAAUUUCGUUCGAAAAUUUCGACGUUUGGGCACUCAAUUUAGUCAAAAGGACUAAAUUGUAAAUAGUGCAAAAGUUGAGUUCUACAUCUUAGAGGUGUCUAAUUGUUAUGAAAUUUUAAAUUGGAGGUCUUUAUGUGGUAAUUAGACCAUUAGUUAGUUGAUGGACAAAAAUAGACAUAAGAAAUGGGUGAAAUAGAUUUUUUUUAAUGGGGGCAUUUUAGUCAUUUGGUUAUUAAAUAGAAUUAAAUGGGAAAAAGAUGGCAAAAUAUGCUCAUCUUCUUCAUGGUGAACGAAAUCAGCAAGGGAGAAGCCAUAUUUAGGGUUUUUAAGCUUUCAAGCUCCAUAGUAAGUGAUUCUAAGCCCCGUUUUUAAUGUUCUUCGUAUUUUUGGAGUCCCGGUAACUUGGUUUAGCUUAUUCUACCAUUAAUUCAUGUUAGGGUUCAUAUUUGGAAAAAUAUCCAUAGGUGAAAUGUGUUUAUUUUGCUGUUUUAUGGUGGAAUAUGAAGCUAGAGAUUAUGUUAAACAACUUUUGCUAAGCAAUUUUAAGCGAAAACGGGUAAAUAGACAUAAUCGGUAAAAAUAAUUAAUAUUCAAAAGUAUGUGUUGGAGUGGGAAUUUGAUGUUUCCAUAGAAGGGAAAAAUGUUCAGCAUGUUAUAAAACUUAAGAAUAAGUGAUGAAGUUUAAUUUCCGAGCUUGGGGACAAAAGUGUAAUUAUGCAAAAGUUUGGGGGCAAAAUUGUAAUUUUCAAAAAGUUGGGUGGUGGAUUAUUUUAAUAAAUGUGAAUAUUAAACGAGUUAAAUUUGCUAUUAUAGAUCAAGAAAGACGUGAAGAGUAUAUCAAACGGGGAAAAGAAAAGAUAGGGGAGUAAAGUGCAAAAUUACGAUAUUUUGCACCAAGGUAAGUAAACACGUGACUUAAUGUAUUAUUUUGAUAUUAUUUGAUAUAUGUUGAGAUUUAUUUGGAAUUAAAAUAAAUGUUUGGCCAUAUCCUAAAAAUGUUGUUAAAUCGGGAAAGGUGGUAAAGGGUUGCAAUAUAUGGUUUAUGGGUUGAACACUCGGAAUAAGCCGGAGUAUGUUGUAUAUAAAGGGGUUGCUGUGUGCUGAUUCCCCGAUUCAUUGGUGGUGCUAUGUGCGUGAUCCACCAUAUCUUUGAAAUGUGAAAAGGGGGUUGCUAUGUGCUGAUUCCCCCGAGGGGUUGCUAAGUGCUGAUUCCCCGGUUCAUUGGUGGUGCUAAGUGCGAUAUCCACCAUAUCUUUGAAAUGUGAAAGGGGGUUGCUAUGUGCUGAUUGCCCCGAGGGGUUGCUAAGUGCUGAUUCCCCGAUUCAGCGGUGGUGCUAAGUGCGAGAUCCACCAAUAAUGGUUAACAUUCCAAGUGUUCAACGAAAAAGUGUGGAAGAUGAAUAUUUCCAUAUGGUGGAAAAUUUUAUGGGGUAAAUAUUGAGUUGAAUACUAAAUCGACCCAUGUAUGAGAUGGGAGAAAAUAUCAAAAACGCAAAAGGAACGAUUUAAUUAUAAACUGUGUUGAACAACAGCAGUUGGGUAACUUUGAAAAAUCACCAUAAAUGGUGGAAAAUGAAUGGGAAGCUGAAUAAUAUAUGAAAUUGAAGCUGAAUGUGUCUAUUUUCAUAUGAAAGAAAUAUAAUAAGCAAAAGAGUUGUAUUUUUGGAGAUAUCUGAAUUUUACUGAAACAGGGCUGGAUUGAUUUCGAGAUCCCCUGUUCUAACUUUGGAAAAUUACCAAAAAUUGAAAAAAAAUAAUUAUGGCAUGAAAUUUAUAUCCCUGGAAUCCUUAUUGAGUCUAUUUUUAUUAGAAACAAUAAAACCCAUUUUUAAAAUUUUUUACAGAGAGUUAAGUAAAUUUUAGUGAGGAAGGGUCAGAACCGUUGGGCAGUGAAACAGGGGAAGGUUUAAUGAAUAAACUGUACUAAUUGGCUGGGUUAAAAAUUCUGAAAUAUUUAUGGUGAAAUGAUAUAUGAGUCUAGUUUCAGGGAAAAUUUACGGAACUCAAUUUGGAGCUCUUUAGCUCCAGAUAAAAAUAAAUUAGCGACUAUGACGCAGAAAAACAGCUUUCUGGAAAUUGCCUAAACAAUAAAGUUAUUCAUGAAUAAGUUUAUAUUUUGGUGUAGUUAUGGGAGUAAUUACUUAUUUAUCAUGUGUUUACUUACUAAGCUAUAUGCUUACUCGAUUUUAUUUUUCUCUUGGUUAUAGUGACUUCCAACAACUCGGAAAUUGGAACGAAGUCAGACAAUCAUCUACACUAUCCUUCACAUUUGGGGUAUUUUACUACUAGUGUUCCGAAAUUUUAUGGCAUGUAUAGACACUUUAUGUAAUGUGGGAUCAUCAUGUAAAUAUAUGUUAUGGUUCCCUUUUAAAUGUAGUGUUUAUUAAUAGUUAAACUAUAUGUGUGUUUAUACAAAUGAAAUUGGUUGGUAUAUUGGAAUGUGUUCUAAUUUUGCAGGAGGUUUAAGCAAAAAUAAGUAGGAAUGCUGUCGAAAAUUUUUAAAAAUUUAGUAAUACCUCAUACUCUAUUCCGGUAAGGAAUACGGGUAAGGGGUGUUACAUUUUAGUGGUAUCAGAGCUACGGUUUAGUCGGUUCUCGGACCAAUAAAAUACGUGUGGAAGUCAGUCUAUACAUGCCAUAAAAUUAUUGUGAUAGUGUGAUGAUUUCUGACAAUUUAAAAUUUUGUUUUAUAUAGUAAAUGGAUCCUGAUCGAAGUGUGGCAGAUGAUGUUGAAAGUAACGCGCCGGCUCUCGCGCAAGGGACCGCGCAGGAAGAGAGUAGACAUGAGACACAUGGACAGGAUGAGGCUCGGGAAGCCUUCCUCCGAAUGAUGAGUGAUUGGUAUAUAGAAUAUGUCCGUGUAAAUCCGAAUGUUCCUCCUCCUCCACCCCCUCCUAUUCCUCAAUCGGUCCCCGUAGCUCCACGGAGUGCCGAAUUGGUGAGAUCAAGUAAGCCACCUGUUGAUAGAAUUCGAAAGCAUGGGGCUGAAGAUUUUAGGGCCAAUGUUGAUGAUGAUCCGAAAAAAGCCGAGUUUUGGCUUGAAAAUACUAUUCGGGUAUUUGAUGAAUUAUCUUGCACCCCUGAAGAAUGUUUGAAAUGUGCUGUGUCUUUAUUGAAGGAUUCGGCAUAUCGUUGGUGGAAAACAUUGAUAUCGGUGGUUCCAAAAGAAAGAGUUACUUGGGACUUCUUUCAGGAAGAAUUUAGAAAGAAAUAUGUAAGCCAACGAUUUAUUGAUCAAAAACGCAAAGAGUUUCUCGGGUUGAAACAGGGCCGAAUGUCCGUAGCAGAAUAUGAACGGGAGUUUGUUCGGCUUAGUAAAUAUGCCCAGGAAUGUGUGCCUACGGAGGCUAUUAUGUGUAAAAGAUUUGAAGAGGGGCUAAAUGAAGACAUCAGAUUGCAUGUUGGGAUUUUAGAGUUAAAAGAAUUUGUGGUGUUAGUUGAUCGGGCCUGUAAAGCUGAAGAACUGAGUAGAGAAAAGAGAAGGGCAGAGAUGGAAUCUCGAGAUGUAAGGAAGAGGACAAUGGGCAGAACAUUUCAAUCUCAUUCGAAGAAGUUUAAAGGGAUGGAUCCACGACCAACUGGUUCAGUUGGGUAUUCACGCAGAGACCGAGGGAGGUCGUAUUCUGGAGCUACAACUCGAGCUACCUCUGUAGCAAGUGUGGGCAAUGUAGGAAACACCCGGCCUGAAUGUCAACAGUGUGGCAGGCGACAUAUUGGUGAGUGUUUGGGAUUUAAACGAGCUUGUUUCAGGUGUGGUUCCCAAGAGCAUUAUGUAAGAGAUUGCCCUGAGAGAAGAGAGGAAGAAAAUUUGCCAAGAGCUAGAUCGGGUGAUAUUGUUAGUAGAGGGAGACCGCCGAGAAAUGUGGGAAGCAAAGUCAGUGGUAAAAGUGUGAUGAAAGAUGCAGCUAGAGGAUCAGAAAUUAGAGCGCCUGCCAGGACUUAUGCCAUACGUGCUCGAGAGGAUGCCUCAUCUCCCGAUGUGAUUACUGGUACAUUUUCUCUUCAUGAUAUAGAUGUUAUUGCUUUGAUUGAUCCCGGCUCUACUCAUUCAUAUGUAUGCAUGAAAUUGGUAUCUAGUAAGAAAUUGCCUGUUGAAAACACUGAAUAUGUAGUUAAAGUAUCAAAUCCAUUAGGCAAGUAUGUCUUAGUUGAUAAGAUUUGCAAGAAUUGCCCCCUGAUGAUUCAAGGUCACUGUUUCCUGGCUAAUUUGAUGUUGUUACCAUUUGAUGAGUUCGAUGUUAUUUUAGGGAUGGAUUGGUUGAUAUUGCAUGAUGCCAAUGUGAAUUGUAGACAGAAAAUUCUUGAAUUAAAGUGUGAAAAUGGUGAAAUUCUCCGGAUUGAAACAGAGGAGCCGAAUAAGUUGCCUAUGGUGAUUUCGCACAUGUCUGCUCAGAAAUACUUGAGAAAGGGAUGUGAAGUUUAUCUUGCUUAUGUGUUGAAUACUGAUAUAACUGGGUCGAAGCUUGAAUCAGUGCCGGUAGUCCGUGAAUUUCCAGAUGUAUUUCCAGAGGAAUUGCCUGGGUUACCUCCGACUAGAGAAGUUGAGUUUUCUAUUGAUCUGUUACCUGGUACUGCACCGAUUUCUAUUGCACCGUAUCGAAUGGCUCCGACUGAGUUGAAGGAAUUAAAAGCUCAGUUACAAGAGUUGACAGAUAAAGGAUUUGUGAGACCGAGUUUUUCUCCUUGGGGUGCUCCUGUGUUAUUUGUGAAAAAAGAAGGACGGCUCUAUGAGACUUUGUAUUGACUAUCGUCAGCUCAAUAAGGUGACCAUAAAGAACAAGUAUCCUUUGCCGAGAAUUGAUGAUUUGUUUGAUCAAUUAAAAGGGGCAACAGUGUUCUCCAAGAUCGAUCUGAGGUCUGGUUACUAUCAGUUGAGAGUUAAAGAGUCUGAUGUGCCGAAAACCGCCUUUAGAACGAGAACAUUUGAGAACUGUGUUGCAGAUUCUGAGAGAAAAGAAAUUGUAUGCUAAAUUCAGCAAAAGUGAGUUUUGGCUUCGUGAGGUUGGAUUCUUGGGACAUAUAGUUUCAAGUGAAGGUAUUCGGGUUGAUCCAAGCAAAAUUUCAGCAAUUGUUGAUUGGGAGCCACCAAAGAAUGUGACUGAAGUUAGAAGCUUCCUGGGCUUAGCUGGGUAUUACAGACGGUUUGUCAAGGGAUUCUCGAUGAUUGCUUCUCCUAUGACUAAGUUACUGCAGAAGAAUGUCAAGUUUGAAUGGACCGAUAAAUGUCAACAGAGUUUUGAAAAGUUGAAGGCAUUAUUGACUGAGGCGCCAGUGUUGGUGCAACCUGAGUCCGGGAAGGAAUUUGUAAUUUACAGUGAUGCAUCGUUGAAUGGCCUUGGGUGUGUGUUAAUGCAAGAGGGCAAAGUAAUAGCUUAUGCUUCGAGACAGUUGAAACCGCAUGAGAAGAAUUAUCCGACGCAUGAUUUAGAAUUGGCUGCCAUUGUUUUUGCUUUAAAAAUUUGGCGUCAUUAUUUGUAUGGUGAAAAGUGCCGAAUCUUCACUGAUCAUAAGAGUUUGAAAUAUUUGAUGAGUCAAAAAGACUUGAAUUUGCGGCAACGAAGAUGGCUCGAGCUAAUCAAAGACUAUGAGCUAGUGAUUGAUUAUCACCCCGGGAAAGCUAAUGUGGUUGCUGAUGCCUUGAGCAGAAAAUCUUUAUUUGCUUUGAGAGCUAUGGGUACGAUGUUAACUUUAUCUGAUGAUGGCUCAAUGUUGAUUGAAUUGAGAGCUAGACCGUUAUUUCUUCAGCAAAUUCGGGAAUCUCAAAAGAAUGACAGUAAAUUGCAAGCCAAGAGAGCUCAGUGUGAAGCAGGUGUUGACUCAGAUUUUCAAAUUGGUUCAGAUGAUUGCCUGAUGUUCAGGGACAGAAUAUGUGUACCGAGAAAUAAUGAGCUAAUUCGGACUAUUUUAGGUGAGGCACACAGUGGUGAUUUAUCAGUCCAUCCGGGUAGUGUGAAAAUGUACAAUGAUUUGAGGAAGUUGUAUUGGUGGCCGGGCAUGAAAAAGGAUAUCUCGAAAUUUGUAACAAAAUGUUUAAUCUGUCAACAAGUAAAGGCUGAGCAUCAAGUGCCAUCGGGUUUACUUCAACCGAUAACGAUUCCAGAAUGGAAGUGGGACAGUAUCACGAUGGAUUUCGUGACAGGAUUGCCUUUAACUCCAAAGAAGAAAGAUGCUAUUUGGGUAAUUGUGGAUAGAUUGACAAAGUCAGCCCAUUUUAUUCCGAUACGCAUUGAUUAUUCACUUGACAGGUUGGCUGAAUUAUAUGUUGCUGAAAUAGUGAGACUACAUGGGGUGCCUAAAUCUAUUAUAUCGGAUAGAGAUCCGAGAUUUACUUCGAGGUUUUGGAUAAAGUUACAGGAAGCUUUGGGUACGAAAUUGAAUUUCAGUACUGCAUUUCAUCCGCAAACUGACGGGCAAUCAGAAAGGGUGAUUCAAGUUCUUGAAGACAUGCUCCGGUGUUGUAUUUUAGAAAUGAAGGACAGUUGGGAGAAAUAUCUACCACUGGUUGAAUUUGCUUAUAAUAAUAGUUAUCAGUCAAGUAUACAAAUGGCACCGUAUGAAGCAUUAUAUGGGCGUAAAUGUAGAACCCCUUUAUAUUGGACUGAACUCGGUGAGAAUCGGAUUCAUGGAGUCGACCUGGUGAAAGAAACUGAAGAAAAUGUGAAAAUAAUCCGUGAUUGCCUAAAAGCUGCCUCAGAUCGGCAAAAGUCGUAUGCGGAUUUAAAGAGAAAAGAAAUUGAGUUUCAAGUGGGUGAUAAAGUGUUCUUGAAAGUAUCCCCAUGGAAGAAGAUUCUGAGAUUUGGUCGUAAAGGCAAACUAAGUCCACGUUUUAUUGGACCAUAUGAAGUUACCGAGAGAGUUGGCCCUGUAGCAUAUCGGUUAGCUUUACCGCCAGAGUUGGAAAAGAUACAUAAUGUAUUUCAUGUGUCGAUGUUGCGACGUUAUCGUUCGGAUCCUUCACAUAUAGUUUCUCCUACAGAGAUUGAGGUUCGACCAGAUAUGACUUAUGAAGAAGAACCCAUAAAGAUUUUGGCUCGGGAGGUCAAACAGUUAAGAAAUAAAAGUGUAGCCUUAGUGAAAGUGUUGUGGCAAAAACAUGGAAUGGAAGAGGCUACGUGGGAACCGGAGGAAAUUAUGAGGAAACAGUACCCAAACCUCUUUUCCGGUAAGAUUUUCGGGGACGAAAAUCCCUAAGGGGGGGAGAGUUGUAACAGCCCGAUUCUGGGCCUAGUCGGAAUAGUGGUUUCGGGACCACAAAUCCGACGAGGGAAAAUAUGGUUAUUAUUAUAUUUUUAUGAUCUACAAUUUCACGGAAAAUUUUCGUAAAAAUUUCGUUCGAAAAAUUUCGACGUUUGGGCACUCAAUUUAGUCAAAAGGACUAAAUUGUAAAUAGUGCAAAAGUUGAGUUCUACAUCUUAGAGGUGUCUAAUUGUUAUGAAAUUUUAAAUUGGAGGUCUUUAUGUGGUAAUUAGACCAUUAGUUAGUUGAUGGACAAAAAUAGACAUAAGAAAUGGGUGAAAUAGAUUUUUUUUAAUGGGGGCAUUUUAGUCAUUUGGUUAUUAAAUAGAAUUAAAUGGGAAAAAGAUGGCAAAAUAUGCUCAUCUUCUUCAUGGUGAACGAAAUCAGCAAGGGAGAAGCCAUAUUUAGGGUUUUUAAGCUUUCAAGCUCCAUAGUAAGUGAUUCUAAGCCCCGUUUUUAAUGUUCUUCGUAUUUUUGGAGUCCCGGUAACUUGGUUUAGCUUAUUCUACCAUUAAUUCAUGUUAGGGUUCAUAUUUGGAAAAAUAUCCAUAGGUGAAAUGUGUUUAUUUUGCUGUUUUAUGGUGGAAUAUGAAGCUAGAGAUUAUGUUAAACAACUUUUGCUAAGCAAUUUUAAGCGAAAACGGGUAAAUAGACAUAAUUGGUAAAAAUAAUUAAUAUUCAAAAGUAUGUGUUGGAGUGGGAAUUUGAUGUUUCCAUAGAAGGGAAAAAUGUUCAGCAUGUUAUAAAACUUAAGAAUAAGUGAUGAAGUUUAAUUUCCGAGCUUGGGGACAAAAGUGUAAUUAUGCAAAAGUUUGGGGGCAAAAUUGUAAUUUUCAAAAAGUUGGGUGGUGGAUUAUUUUAAUAAAUGUGAAUAUUAAACGAGUUAAAUUUGCUAUUAUAGAUCAAGAAAGACGUGAAGAGUAUAUCAAACGGGGAAAAGAAAAGAUAGGGGAGUAAAGUGCAAAAUUACGAUAUUUUGCACCGAGGUAAGUAAACACGUGACUUAAUGUAUUAUUUUGAUAUUAUUUGAUAUAUGUUGAGAUUUAUUUGGAAUUAAAAUAAAUGUUUGGCCAUAUCCUAAAAAUGUUGUUAAAUCGGGAAAGGUGGUAAAGGGUUGCAAUAUAUGGUUUAUGGGUUGAACACUCGGAAUAAGCCGGAGUAUGUUGUAUAUAAAGGGGUUGCUGUGUGCUGAUUCCCCGAUUCAUUGGUGGUGCUAUGUGCGUGAUCCACCAUAUCUUUGAAAUGUGAAAAGGGGGUUGCUAUGUGCUGAUUCCCCCGAGGGGUUGCUAAGUGCUGAUUCCCCGGUUCAUUGGUGGUGCUAAGUGCGAUAUCCACCAUAUCUUUGAAAUGUGAAAGGGGGUUGCUAUGUGCUGAUUCCCCCGAGGGGUUGCUAAGUGCUGAUUCCCCGAUUCAGCGGUGGUGCUAAGUGCGAGAUCCACCAAUAAUGGUUAACAUUCCAAGUGUUCAACGAAAAAGUGUGGAAGAUGAAUAUUUCCAUAUGGUGGAAAAUUUUAUGGGGUAAAUAUUGAGUUGAAUACUAAAUCGACCCAUGUAUGAGAUGGGAGAAAAUAUCAAAAACGCAAAAGGAACGAUUUAAUUAUAAACUGUGUUGAACAACAGCAGUUGGGUAACUUUGAAAAAUCACCAUAAAUGGUGGAAAAUGAAUGGGAAGCUGAAUAAUAUAUGAAAUUGAAGCUAAAUGUGUCUAUUUUCAUAUGAAAGAAAUAGAAUAAGCAAAAGAGUUGUAUUUUUGGAGAUAUCUGAAUUUUACUGAAACAGGGCUGGAUUGAUUUCGAGAUCCCCUGUUCUAACUUUGGAAAAUUACCAAAAAUUGAAAAAAAAUAAUUAUGGCAUGAAAUUUAUAUCCCUGGAAUCCUUUAUGAGUCUAUUUUUAUUAGAAACAAUAAAACCCAUUUUUAAAAUUUUGUACAGAGAGUUAAGUAAAUUUUAGUGAGGAAGGGUCAGAACCGUUGGGCAGUGAAACAGGGGAAGGUUUAAUGAAUAAACUGUACUAAUUGGCUGGGUUAAAAAUUCUGAAAUAUUUAUGGUGAAAUGGUAUAUGAGUCUAGUUUCAGGGAAAAUUUACGGAACUCAAUUUGGAGCUCUGUCGCUCCAGAUAAAAAUAAAUUAGCGACUAUGACGCAGAAAAACAGCUUGCUGGAAAUUGCCUAAACAAUAAAGUUUUUCAUGAAUAAGUUUAUAUUUUGGUGUAGUUAUGGGAGUAAUUACUUAUUUAUCAUGUGUUUACUUACUAAGCUAUAUGCUUACUCGAUUUUAUUUUUCUCUUGGUUAUAGUGACUUCCAACAACUCGGAAAUUGGAACGAAGUCAGACAAUCAUCUACACUAUCCUUCACAUUUGGGGUAUUUUACUACUAGUGUUCUGAAAUUUUAUGGCAUGUAUAGACACUUUAUGUAAUGUGGGAUCAUCAUGUAAAUAUAUGUUAUGGUUCCCUUUUAAAUGUAGUGUUUAUUAAUAGUUAAACUAUAUGUGUGUUUAUACAAAUGAAAUUGGUUGGUAUAUUGGAAUGUGUUCUAAAUUUGCAGGAGGUUUAAGCAAAAAUAAGUAGGAAUGCUGUCGAAAAUUUUUAAAAAUUUAGUAAUACCUCAUACUCUGUUCCGGUAAGGAAUACGGGUAAGGGGUGUUACACACUUUGCUUGCUUCAUGAUAUACAGCGAAAUUAUUUUGCUGAACCUACUUUGUAUGCAAGAACUAAGCUGACUCUUUACUUGAAGUAAUAAAUAUUUGAAUAAAGGAAUUAAGAACAUGAGAACCUAAAUUUUUCAAAUCAAAGUACCUCGCAGACAACAGUUUUGACAUAGGGGUUCGCACCCCUGGUAGCUCGCUCAAUCUAAAACCUUUAUGAGGUAAGUUUUUAUAAUAGAGUAGGUCUCAUAAACUACUCCCUAGUGUUUAAAUACUGCGAACAUAGUUCAUAGAGUUCUUUGUAUAUCCAAAAGUUAUUAAGGGUUCGUAGAUAACAGUUUGCCAAAUGAUAGGGUUCACACUUUGUAUAGUUCAUAACCCGAUUACUUCGCAGUAUUUUUGGCGAACUUUGCAUAGUUUGUCAGUAUAUUGUGCCUUUACUCACUAGCAAAACCCAUUGCUGGUGGAUCACUGUGAAGUAGGGAACUGUUGUAAAUCGAUUGACUUGGAACUUCUUCCUAGAAACAUUUAAGAAGAAAUUCAUAGGUGAAUAGUAUAUCAAAGCUCGCAAGUGAGAAUCCAUUAAUUUGGUGCAAGGCGAUAUGAUUGUGGCUGAGUAUGAGGCAGAAUUUUUUUCCCAUUGAGUAGUAUGAAACUGAGAUGAAUUCGUAGGAAAGGGAUCAUUGGAAAAGGUUUCGUUUUAGGUUGCAUCAAGAUGUAAAACUUUAUUUGAUAGCCCAUGACACGACGAGCUUCAAUGAGUUGGUCGAUAAGGCAAAGGCUAUCGAGGAGAUAAGGGCAAAGGCUCCGUGAGCUAAAACAGGGCCAGAGAAACAAGUGGCUGGACAAUCUGGAUGAACAUUUAAGAGGGAUUGCAACUCACGUAACUCUAACAGGAAUAUCAAAUGUAGUUUUUGAUCAGACCAUUCAGGAAACAAAGUAACACCCGGGCUAAAAAAGGAGGUUCACACAAAAUGCCAAGUUGGCCACUCUGCAAACACUAUGAUCGAAGGCAUCCUGGUGAAUGUUGCAAGAUGGCAGUAGGAUGUUUUAAGUGUGGAUCCAAUGAACACAUGAUAAGGGACAACCCAAAACACAAAGAAGGUUGCAAGCUUAGAACUUGAACCCCACACUAGGGCGAGCAAGGGUUCACAGACAAGGUCGAGGCAAAGGAAAUGACACAAGGAAAGCUGGGCAGUGAACCUGUAAUAUCCUCCCCCCACUCGAUUCACCAAGUCUGGGUUUUGGGUAUUAAUUCAUAGAAAACUUAACAAAAAUUUUGAAAUAGGAGACAAAAACUCAUUAUUAAAAACAUUUCUCAUUAAUUUGGUUAAAAACUCUAUACUUAGAGAAAAAUAGAAGUAUUUGCAAAAAAACUUAUCGUAUCAGUCUUGCUAAAAUUUUAUUAUAACACCUAAGUUACACAAGACAGAUUCAAAUGGUGUAGUCCUACUAAAUGCCAGUUCUUCCUAUAUGCCCAUUGUAUGCAUAGUAUCCCCCUUAUGCUACUUCUCUUGCACAAGCCUGGCUUCCUCUCCUUAAGAACUUACACUGACAUGACAAUACCUGAAACAUAAACAUAACACUAGUAAGUUCAAAGGAACUUAGAGAGUUAUGAACACAAUUUACCUUUUUAACUUUUUCAUGAAAUUAUUCAUAUUGAAUAAUUAGGCUUUCCUAUAUCUAUCUUUGGCGAAUACCUUCACAUUUUUAGUUGUAUAAUUUUGUACGUAUACACCUCCCAUUAUUCAUACCAUAUCCUUAUUCAUUCAACUAUUUGGCUAGCUCUAGGUCUUGACAUUUAAACACCACACUUUUCAUUUCCCUUCAAACAACUUUCAACAGUUAUUCUCGAACAGUUAACCCCAAGCACUAUUCUUGGCAGAUAUCACUUACUGAUCAUACUUUUGGCGGAUAUACUAAACUUGAUAAAUUGAAUCAUAGCCCAACACAUAACCAUACAGUGAGAGUUGCUCCAGAUUGUUCAGAAGAAUUAUACAUAUCUUUGUACUGAACACUAGAUAGCUAAUAUAUCAAACAUCAUAGAUUCUAACAGAGUUCAAAACAAGACAUGAUUCUAAAAAGAUGUCAGAUAGCUCAAAAUUAUACCAUAGUAGCUCUAACUCGAAUUGAUGGACUCUUGUCCCAAAUACGCCCAUAUAAUAGGUUGGUAGAUAACCACAAUAGAUACUCCCAUUGAACAUGCUAAAUCAAAAUUCAUUUAAGACUUAUUUGUAGUUAUCACAAACUUCACAUAUUAAAGCUUCAGACAGAACAUAUUCUUCUUAUAGAUUUACAUAGUAUGCCACUAUGGUAAAGCAGAAUACACGACAAAAGCGACAUACAAAUUACGCCACAAAGGCAAUUUAUAGAGCAUGACACAAAGGCUAGCAGAAUGCCACAAAGGCCUUAUUAGAAUAUCACAAAGGCUAACAAAAUACCACAAAGGCCAUAUCAGAAUACCACAGAGGCUAACAGAAUGUCACAAAGAUCAAAAUACUCCAUAAAGGCCAAAUCAUAGUAUGCCAUAAAGGUUAGCAAAAAGCCACCUAGGCACCCCAUAAUUGUCGUGUUUGCGAUAUGGAUUUGCCUAAAAUAACAUCGCCUUUAGGUUUGCCCAUCAUUGCCCUAGGACACGAAGAGAACCCUAGUCAAUAAUUGCGGCUCAUUCACCCUUUCUAGAAUGUGCCAUGGCCAUGGACUUUCUUCAGAAUUUACAUAUCAGAAUUUGUGUUUAAUGUCUCGACGGACUUCAUCGUGUACCACCGUGGUGACCAAACUCACAACUCAACCUCUCCACUCUCAGAGACACUCCUAUUUCCCCCAAAUAAUUUCCAAUCAUAUAUUACAUAUUCAAUAUAUACACAUCCAAGUAGACUAGUUCAUCUUCUUAAUCUAAGCAUACUUCAUUACAUGCUUCACACACAUCAACACAGUACACAUUCCAAACACAUACACUGAGUUACUCAGCAUAAUUGCAUAUACCCAUACACACAAUUCAUUAUACUCUAGACUCACAAAGACCUAUUUCAAGCAUACAUACUUAUUUUUAUCAACCAUUCAUGUACUCAUUCACUAUUUUUGGAACAUCAUCCACAAGAGAUUAUUCUAGAUGGACUUAUAAGAGUCAAUAUUAGGGAUUAACCUGAGACUCACUUACUAUAGCUACCAGCUUCAAACUCAAACAUCCAAUUCGAAUCAGCAACAACACUACUUGAAAAACACAAUUUCACUAUUAAUAACUAUUUACAAAUAGAUUGCUGAGAACUCAACUACAGAAAAUCCCCAUGCAAGGAUUCUUAUUCGUAACUUACUACUCGAUUACCUCAUAGCAUCCUUAUUACUAAGAUGCAAAGUUAUCAGACUUACCAGGAGAUGGAACACCUCUACAUUAUCCAAGAAUCCUUAGCUUUCAAAUCACAUAAGAAAAGCAACCAGCAAUAGUACUAAAUACAUAAGGAAAAGGAAAGAUGUAAAUAAUUACUUUGAAGGAAGAGGAAACCUCUCACGAACUUUUCUCACACAUAUAUAAUCCACUUCUAUUUAGUGGAACCUCUCUCUAAAAUUUUAGAAUAUGCCCUUCACAAUGGCCUACGAAAUCAAAAGGAAACAUAAAUGAAAGUCUUUUCCAAAUGUCAUUUUUCCAAUCAGUUUAGUUGGUUUAUAACCAGAUCUAGUUAAUGAGACUUGCCCGUCACAUUACUUGAACAAACUAGGCAUAAUAUACCUUUGGCAAUAACUUAAACAAAACUUACUCUUUCCCUUUUUCAUCACAUUCUUUCUUUUAUUGAAGAACAUGCUGAAGAUUAAAUCCUGAUAUACUUCUAUGGGUGGAUACGCAAUUUGCCUAAACAAUAGUUCACCAGAAGCUAUAAUAUUGUAGACUAACUUUUUGAAUGUGGUAGAAUAGACAUAUUCUUGUCUUUGUACCUUGAAUUCUAGUUAUCCAGAUUUGGUGUGUGACACACAUAAAUAAAAAAAUAAAACAAAAUAGUGCUUGAACAUGCCACAUACAAAGAAAGCUAUAUAAACAGAAUAAUGUGAAUAAAUACAUAACUCUAACACGAUAUACAAUUGACUCUUGACCUUGAAUAUCAUACACAAUAGUUCAUAAAAUUACAAAGUAAAAAAAUUCAAGAAUAAGUACAUUGAUCCAUUGAAAAAAGUACAAAAAAUUUACAUUUAUGCUUGAAGAAUACAAGCAAUUAGAAAUGUCAAAAUUUUGUUAAUUUUCAUCCACGACUAGUAUCACUUAGGUCACAUAGGUCUUUUCGGCUUGUAACGUUCUGCGGCUUAGUUUGGUUCAGAAUUAAAGAACAAACACAACAAAAUGAUUUAAGCAUGAAAAUAGUUUGGCACGUUAUAUUGACCCUAAUACUUCCUCGAUUAGAAGCUUUUAGCUCACCGCCUUGUAUCCCCUUCUCUCACCUAUCUUUUCUCUCUGAUUCCUAAGGUAUAUUACAUUAUUACUGCAUAUAAUUGUCUUAGCAAGACAUUUGUGCAAAAAUGAGGGAAAUUUUGUUUUCUUUCUUUUUUACUCACUUUACUUUUCUAUUUUCUCAAGAACUUCUUCCUUGGCUAUUUUAGCCUUUUCAAACCUUUUCUUUUGAUAAUUUUUUUUAAUUUUCCACUUAAGCACAAGUUUUCAAGAAUCUUAUAUCACCAUAUUAUACUUGUAACACCCCUAACCUGUAUCCAUCAUCAAAACAGGGUUAUAAAGCAUUACCAAACUUAUUUAUUAAAUAAUCAUACAUUUCAUAUACAUUUUUGAAGUCCAAACAGAAGUCAUUCAAAUACAAUCAUAUAGUCCCUAACACGAGCCCUCAAGGCCUAAAACAAGCAAUAGAAGUGGUUUAGGACUAAAGCUAAUACUUAAUAAAUUUUUAGAAAAACAUAGAAAAUUUUCAAAGUGCAAUGGACACACGCCCGUGUGGCCAGGCUGUGUGUUUCACAUGACCAAGAGACAUGCUCGUGUUACAGGCCAUAUGGACAUUCGAAAUGGGAUCACAAGGCUAUGUCCCAGCCAUUGUCUAACCCCGUGUAACCUCUGAGUUAGGUCACACGGCCAACCACACGCCCCUGUGACUAGCUCGUGUACCAUUCGAAAUGGUCUUACACGCCCGUGUGCCAGGCCAUGUGUUAGGCCGCUUAAAAACUGGAGGGUAUACUGACUUGUGCCAUACGGCCAAGUCACACACCCUUGUGCUAGGUCGUGUAAAGCUACUAACUUGGUUUCUAAAGAAAUAUCAAGGGACACACGGCCGUGUCACCUAGCUGUGAGUCACAGACGACUGAGACACACGCCCGUGUGGACAAAAGUAGGUCAUUUUCCAAGCCAUUUUUCGCACCCAAAUUUGCAACAAUCUAAAUCCAUCAAAUAGCAUAUGACCAUAUCAUCAAUAAGCAUUCAAACCAAUCUCAACCAAGUCCAAAUCAUGCAAUAUCAAUACCAACAAUCACAAAGCUCAUAAGCAUCACAAUUAACCAUUCAAAAUCAUACCAAUAUGCCUCGAAAGUAUACCUAAAUGAUCAAACUCACUUAUUAGACUUUGUGUCUAAUUCAACAUGCAUAUCACAUUCUCAAAUUCAAUCAUUUUGUAAUCAAAAUACUAAUACAAAAUUAUGGCAUUUCCAUGGCAAUCCAAAUACAUACCAAAAUGAGAAUAACCACAUAUAUACAUGCAUAAUCAACAUAUGCCAAUUGAAGUCAUAUUAAAUGACUAAUUACAUAACCAAAACAUAUAGGCUUCCAUUAGCCAAAUGACCUAUACAUGCCAUAUAACCAAAAUGUACAAAGUUCAAAAGUACUGAAACAACAUUUGGAUAAUGUGAUGAGAUCUCUGACAAAUUCAAAUCGAGCAAGCUUUGAAAUCACUAUAAAAUACGGAAAAAUAAACAAAGUAAGAUAUUAAGCUUAGUAAGCUCAUAUGUCUAAUAAGUACAACUUACCAUUCAUUCUCAAUUUAAAGAAGCAUAAUUAAACAUAUAUAAGUUUCAAUCAAAUUCAAAGGUUAGCACAUAAUCAUAACCAUGUUAGUCAUGUAUGAAUACAUCAACUAUAAAUUACUUGUCAUACUUCUCACAAAUACCUGAAUUGGUUCGUAUCAUCUCUUAUAUCCUUGUACCAUCAUCUUUACCCAUUGAACCAUUUGGAAUACUAUCGGAUACUCAAGAAUCUCAGACACUAAGUGUCAAAACAUGGUUGAAACCAUCUCAAUCUUAUACCUUAUAUAAAUGCUCACUCACGAGCUAUCACUAGGUCUACUCACAAAAGCUAACGAGUAACCGCAACAAAUGCCAGAAAACUCAACCACCGGUAGAACGUAUGAACCAGCACCCAAAACACAGUAACCCCUAAUGACAUGUCACUUGUAUCCUAUCUAUUCCUAAGGUUCAACCGGUAUUUAUACAUUACUGAUAACUCAUCAAGAAUUUUAGUGGUAUUGUAUCAUCACAGUUAUAUCAAUCAAGCAUUCAAACACAUAUAAAUUAAUACUUAUUAAACAUACAAACUUACCUCGAUCACAAAAACAAUGAAAUGGGAUCAACUAGUCCAAUACUUUAUCUUUCCCUCGAUCUAGAUUCGUAUGAGGCUUAAAUUGAUCUAAAUAAUCAAAUUCAAUCCAUUUAGUAUUCAUCCUAUUCAAUUCAGCCCAAAAUACAUAUUUUUGCAAUUUUACACUUUUACCCCUAAUAUUUUAACUUCUUUACAAUUUAGUCCCUAGCUCAUAAAAAAGUAAAUUCAUGCAAUUUAAUCCACAUCCAUGCUAGCCAAAUUUCAUACAAGCUUUUAGUAGCCCACACAUUUCAUUAAUUCACACAUUUCACCACAUAAUUUUCACAUUUUAUCAAUUAAUCCCUAUUUAACAUUUUUAACAUCACUUUACAAAACUUGUUUAUCUAACAACAACCAUUUAUUUUCUAUCAUCAAACAUCCAAAUACAUACACAUUCAUCAAUGGUAAAACCCUAGACUUUUAACAUUUUUGCAAAUUAGUCCUUAGGCUAGCUAGAUUAAGCUAGAAGGACUCCAAAAAAGUAGAAAUCAUUAAAAAUCGAGCAAGAAUACACUUACAUGCAUAGAUGGAGUAUGGCCGAACUUUGAAAGGUCUUUAAUGGCUUCCCUAGGUGCUAAUUUCAAUUCAUGAAGAAGAAAAGAAAGAUGAUAUCUUUCUUUUACCUUUUCUUUAAAUUAUUUUAUUAAAUUACAUUUUUAACCUUAUCAUUAAACCAUUAAAAUCACUUAAUUAAUGUCCAUAUUUUUCCACUCAUAUUAAAAAUGGUAUAAUUACCUCAUAAGGACCUCUAUUUAAAGUUCCAUAGCUAUUAGACACUUUUAACUAAUAGAACACAAGCUUUAUACUUUAUGCGAUUUAGUCUUUUUUAUCGAAUUGAGCAUACAAGCAAUAAAAUUUCUUAACGAAAUUUUUAUACAAUCAUACUAUCAUGCUGUAGACCUCAAAAUAAUAAUAAAAUAAUUAUUUCAACUUUGUAUUAGUGGUCCUGAAACCAUUGUUCCGAUUUUACUGAAAACGGGCUGUUACAAUACUAUCCCCUAUGUUCACUAUUAUUUUACUUUUAUGUUCGAAACCACCGUAUCAUAUCUACCUAACCCUCAAUAUUAACACCUUGAUGUUUAAUUUCAUGCAAGGACCAAGAGAAUCGGAUCAAGAGAUUAUAUUUUAAGGCUUUGGGCUUCCAUUGCAGUUCAUUAAGAAAUAGAGAUUUAUGCUAAAAAAUUAGGGUACUAGGGAUUUUAAAUUAAGAUUGGCUUUUUGGCUCAAAUUGUCUACCAAAAAAUGCCUUUGGUCAUUUCUAAGUGUCUCAAUUCAUGGAUUACGAGUAACUAAAUAUUAACACUCUAACAAUUAUUAUUCAAACAAACACAUAUGCUUUUUAAAUACCUAUUUUUCAUGUGGUAUACCUAACACACUAUCAACUAUUUACAAUGUAACAUAAUGAACUAAUUAAUGCAAUAUUAAACAACCUAAACUCAAUUGCUAUCGAUUUAAAUUUACAAUUUAAACAUAGAAUCCUAUUUACAUGCUCUUAACCAAUCACUUGUAUUGCUACAAGCUCAUGCACAAACAAACACAUAAAAAUAAAAAAUAAUGAAAAUAACAUAAAAACUUGAAAAACUUGAAAAUUUUAAAAAAUUUCUAUGUUAUCCCCUACACUUUAUUUGACACAUUGUCCUUAAUGUGCACCUAAAAGAUAAGAGAAGAGACUACUCGGUUUAAGCAUUGAAGUUCUUUGAAUAUGGUCGAGUGGUCCUCCUUAUGCCAGUUUUGCUCCGAAUUGUAGUGCCUCAUAUCGCUGGUGUUCCUACAUAAAAAUUAACUAACACAAAGACUAAUACAAAAAAUAACUAAAGUUUAAAAGCUAAAAUAAAAUAAUCCAAAAUUAAAAUUACAAGUCCCAACUUUAAAAUAAAAAUUAAGUUCAAGUUUUAAUUAGAAUCAUUAUUUGGCCAGUUCUCCUCAAUUAUAGGCUUCUUCUCUCAACCCGUGACUAGAGUGGUAGCCCUCACACCCGUAGAACUAGUAGGGCUAGUAUGACUUGGAUUUCGAAUCUUAUCUCCUUCAAUAAAUGGUUGUUUUGGUCGGAAUACAUCAUUGAAGUCCUCAUUGUGGGUUGACUCUUCUUCAUGGUCCUUGUCAUCACCUUCUUGUUCCUUCUUCAAUUCCUCAUCAGCUUGCUCGAAAAAUUACAUUGGUAGGUAUCAGUUUGGUGGCGGGUCUGGUACCAAGAUACCGAACCUUUUGGCGUAGUCAAUUGCAAAUAGUUUCAUCAAUUGCAUCCACCAGAUAACCCACUCCAUGUUAGUAAUCUCGCUCGACCCUUGGCUUGUUUGGCUCUUUCUCUUGCUUUUUCACUUUAGUGAUGGUGGAACAUCCAUCUUUUGUUUACGUCGGACAUUCCAAUCAUGGAUAUGCUUUCAAUGGAGCUUGACAUACUAGGUAUAGAUGAAGUUCCUGAGCAAGCUUUUGGUUGACUUGACAAACUGUUUCGUCAUCGACACUGGCACCUUUUCUUUCUUGCACAGGUUAGUUAUAAGGUGUGGGAAAAAUAUCUCGACCUUCUUGCCACUAAUUUAAUUAAGCAUCAACUUAUAAAUCCAUGUGUCGCUACAAACCUAUCAAUGUUGCAAAAGACAAUAAAGCAUCAUAGCUUGAAAAUCGAUAAGAAUAGAAACGUUAAGGGCCGGUGAGAUACACGUGUAGAUAAACUGCAAGCACAUUUUUGCAGCCGAAAACAUUAUGGUUUGAUAAAAAUUCAAUGAGAUAUUCGUGCAGGGUCGGCAUUUCCACACGCCUCGCCACUCAGUUAAAUAUUCUACAAUGUUAUCCAUAUCGAUCUCACAAAAAUAAUGAAUAUCUAGCUCUUCUAGUACAUCCUUGUGAUAAUAUGGUGCAUUGUAAAAUUGAAAGAUAUCCUUAAGUGUAACCAUGAAUUCUUUUCUUUGUAUCGUAAAAUGUACAUUUGGCACCUUAUCAUUUUCCUGAUACUUUAGGGAUGCAUAAAAUUCAUAUACCACCAAGUCGAUCACCAACACUUUUGGUGUGAGGUAGAAUUCCAUGCAUUAGUUGCAUGAAUAAUAUGUAAUAGCCCGUUUUUGGGUCGAAUCAGAACAGUGGUUUCGGGACCAAAAAUUCGAAGUCAAAAUAUUUAUUUUAUUAUUUUAAUAAGGUUUACAGCAUGAUAGAUUAAUUAUGUGAAAGUUUCAUAGAGAAAUUUUACUGUUUAAAUGUUCAAUUCGGUAAAAAGGACUAAACUGCGUAAUGCAUAAAGUUGAGUUCUACUGUUUAAAAGUAUUAAAUAGCUAUGGUUUAUUAAUAUGGAAGUCCUUAUUAUGUAAUUAGUCCAUUUAUAAUGUAAGUGGACAUUCUUGGACAUUGUUUAAAUGAUUUUUAAGUUAUAUUCACAAGGUUAUAAUGGUAAUUUAUGUAUUAAAUUAAUAAUAAUAAUAAAACAAAAUCAAAAUCAUAUUAUUUCCUUCAUCUUCAUUGCCAAAUUUGAGAAACAAAAUAAGGAUUUCGAAGCUUCCAUUGUUUCGGCACAUUCUUGGCUAGAUUAAGGUAUGAUUUUAGCUUGAUUUUUAAUGAUUUCUAAGUUUUUGAGCUCGUUGCAGCUUAAUCUAGCUAGUUCAUACCUUCAUUUUUGAAACUGUUAUAGAUCUUGAAUGAUGCCAUUGUUGAAUGCUUAAAUAUUUAGAUGUGUAAUGAUAGAUUAUGAAGGUUGGAUGAUAGUUUUACAAGUUUAAUAAAGUGAUUUCUGAUGAAAAUGUCAAGUAGGGAUUAAAUUGUGAAAAUGUAAAAUAUGGUGGUUAAAAGUGUGAAAUAAUGAAAUAUUUGGGCUUCUAGUAGUAUAUAGGAGAUUUGGAUAUCAUGGGUUAUGGCCUAAUUGUGUAAUUUUUCAUUUUUAUGUAUUAAGGACUAAAUUACAAAGAGGUUAAAGGUUUAGGGGUAAAUUUGUAAUUUAGCCAAAAUAAAUGUUUUAAGCUAAAUUGAAUUGAAUGAAAGUUUAAAUGAGUUAAUUUGAUAUUAUAUAGAUUAAGAUAAACAAAUACCGGAACUAGAUCGGGGAAAAAGAAAGGUUGGUGAAUAGACGAUAGUUUUCAUCCGGGCAACUCAAGGUAAGUUCAUAUAAUUAGAAUCAAACUUUUAGAUACUUGUAAUUAUUUAAAUGAAUGUGUAUAAUGGAAAUAUUUGAAGUAUAAUUUCCUUAUUGAUAUAAUGUAUUUGUUACUGAUCCCCGUUUGAACUGUAUAGAUUCAUUGGAUACGAGUGACAUGUUACUAGGAUUACCGUUUUGGUUGAGCUCCUGUAUUUUUUACGGACUCACCACAGCUCGUAAGAGCUUACUGAUAUAUCAGCUCAUAAGAGCUUACUAUUUUUAGCUCAUUGGAGCUUAUCAUUUCAGCUCAUAUGAGCUUACUGUUCAGCUCAAUAGAGCUUAUCGUUUCAGCUCAAUAGAGCUUAUUGUCCAUCAGCUCAAGAGGAGCUUACCGAUCAUGGCUUGAAAGAGCAUAUAUGAUGAUGAAUUGAUGGAUUAUUGACAUUGUUCACUUGAUCACCCUUUGAGGUUCUAAUAGGUUCAUUGGGCCUAAAUAAUGUUAUACGGACGAGUUACGGUUUAUAAAUGUUAAUAAUGUUAUAUAUGAUAUAUGAAUUUGGAAUGAUGCUAAGCAUUGUAUUAAUUGAUGGUUUUAUGUAUUUUUACAAUGACUAACAUGUGAUGGAUACUUGUGAUUAGGUGUUGGUUAAUUGAAUUGUUGGUAUUUUAAUGUUGCUUUGAUUAUAUUUAGAUGGUAAGUUUUAUUCUGAAUUAUACAGGCUUACUAAGUUAUAAAUCUUAUGCUGUUUCUUUUUCCAUGUUUUAUAGAGGCUCGAUAGCUCGAUCGUUCCGGACAAGUCGGAGUUGCACAUCACACUAUCCAAUUUACGAUUGGUACUUUUGAACUUGUGGAUUUGUAAAUAUGGCAUGUAUAAGCUAGUUUAAAAGAUGUUAGUUAUGUUACUUGAUAUCAUGGUUUUGGUAUAUUUUGUAUAUAGUUAAGCCAUGUGAUUUGGCUUAUUUUGGUACCAUGUUUUGGUUGAAUUAAGUGUUCAAUUAUGGUAUGUUUUGAUAAGGUAAUGUUUGAAUGAAAAUAUGCAAAUAUGGUAUUGAUAUGUAUUUGUUAGAUGAAUGGAUUAUGAUUGGUAUUAAAUAGGUAAUUGAAUAACAAGUUGAAUUGGUAAUAAUGUGUAUUGAAAUGGUUAUCUUGGCUACCUAUUGAGUUGUAAAAAUGUGGUCUAUUAUACUUGUGAAUGUUUCUAUUUUUAGGGUGGCAAAAUGGCUUUACAAGUGGCCUAUUUUUGUCCACACAGGCAGGGACACAGGCGUGUGUCUCAGCCGUGUGCGACACACAGUCAUGUUGCACGGCUGUGUGUCCCUUGAGAUACCCUUUCGAAUUGAGGCAGUAUACCCUAUAGUUUUGACAUGGCCUAGACACAUGGGUGUGUCUAUUGGUCGUGUAUGGUACACGGGCUGGCACAUGGGCAUGUGGCUAGCCGUGUGACCCAAGUCAGUAACCUCAUUAAUUUUCUUGUAGACUGGCACACGGGCGUGUACUCGACUGUGUAUUGCAAGUCAGUAUGUAUGCCCUAUUUUCAUACAGCCUAUGACAUAGGCAUGUCUGGUAACCGUGUGAGGCCUAUUCACACGGGCGUGUGACCCUGAAAUCAAAGAAAAUUUUCUAAGUUUCCCAAAAUUUACCAAUGUUAUCAGUUUAGUCCCGAACCACUUUUAAGCAUGUUCUAAGGUCUCGUAGAGCCUUAUAAGGGACAAUGUGAAUGUUUGAGAAUGGUUUAUGUUAAUGAAUGCAUAAAUGUAUGAGAAUGAUGCGUAUUGAUCGGUAAUGCCUCGUAACUUUAUUCCAGCAAGGGAUAUGGGUUAGGGGUGUUACAUAAUAUCCCAAAUAUCGUAACAAAGUUCAAAGAGGGGUUGAGCCCCUGUUCUUGAAUAAAGGUCUUGCCUUAAAGGUCUAAAAACUAUUCUUCAACUUCUUAGUAAUGGAAUCAUGAGCCUUUUUAACACAACUUAAACAAUGGAACAAAAGAAAAGAUUAGAAUGCAUAAUCAUAUUGUUGUGUGACAAGGUGGUUGUCAAUGGUGGUGGGCAACAAAGAGACGACAACAAUGGUACAACGAGAGCAGAGGGUAUUGGUGUUAGGAUAGAUUAGGGGAGUAUUUAGAGUGUAUUUAAGGUGGGAAUUAAGGUUAAAACAGGUUAGAUUAUAUAUAGGAACCGAUUAGGUUGCACAACAAAACAGGUCAAAACUUGCAAACCCAUUGUCAAUGUUGCGACACUGGAUUUUGGUGUUGCAACACCGUACUUUGAAUGCUCUAGGUUUUAGGUUCAAAAUUUCAUGUCGCAACACAGGAACAUUGUGUCGCAAUAUGAGCCCAAAUUUUUAGAUUAUUUUUUGUUCGAAAUGUUAUGUCACAGCAUUGAGGUGUAGUGUCACAACACGAAUAGAAUUGAAAAGAUUUUAGUUUAAAAGUCCAAAGUCACAGCAUGGGAAUGUGAUGUCGUGACACCCCCUAAUUUUAAAAAUCCUAGAAGAUUCAAAGCUUAGUGUCACAACAUUGAUAUUUGGUAUCGCGACACUGCCCUUAUUUUCUCCAUUUUUAAGCUUUAGAGUGUGUCGUUCCCUUUAUUUUUACUCCUAAUUUCUCAAAAAGUCCCUAAUAGGAUCCCUCUAUUUACCUAAGAGCUUAAUCCUAUUCUAAUUAAAACUUUCUAACCUAAUUAAAAUCCACAAUAAAAAUCCAAAAAAUAAAAUGUACAAAAUUUUACAAUAAUUAUUAAAAUUGUAUUCAUCGAGAUUAAGUGUGGUUGUAAUAUCCUGAGAUAGGGUCUGGAAGUUUUGACCUCUCAAGUGAGGGUUCGUCAAUUUUUCAGUGAACUGGGGAUUCGCCAAAAGAUUUUUAGCAAGGAUUUCACCCAAAAUUUAGUGAAAUAGUAUAUGCCAAAAUAUGUGGUAAGAGGUUCACUAGAUUCAUUGAAAGUGUGUUCGCCAAUCUGUUUGGCAAAUUGAUGUUCGCCAAACUAUUUGGUGAAUUAGGGAUCACUAGUCUAUUUGGCAAGCUGGGGGUUCACCAGUCAAAGUUGAUUUAGACUCAAAUUAGGAAAUAAAGAUAUUAUGUAUCUAAUAUAAAUAAAGAUAUUAUGUAUCUAAUAUACUUUUUUUGCACGUAACCAUCUUUUAAGCAGACUAGGGUUCCUAAUUCAAGUAAGGUAUCCUAAGAUUACUAAGUCACUUAGUGCCUUAAAUACAACCCUUAGUCCAUGAAAAUUCUCUCAUCGAUAUUAUGUUGUCAUUUCUCUAUUCUGAACCAAAUUUGAAACCACCAAGGUAAGCCUCUAUCCUGUUAUGGUUGAUUUUCUAGAAAGCUAGGUUCACUUACAUGUGUGAGUUAUGCAAGUUUUAUCUGUUUAAGUAAUUUGUGUGUGCUUAUGUAUGUUGCAAACUAGUCAGACCAUCUACCAGCAAGGAUAAAGGCAAAGGAAAACUCGUUUAAAUUCUUAGCUUUAUCGGUGACCGGUUAAAAAUUGCCUUAAAUGUGCUAACUAUCAUGUUUUUUAGUAUGAAUGCUCAGGGUUCGUAACUUGUGUGUGAAUUGUUAUGUUUUCUAAGAACCUUGUUUUUAAACUAAGUUCCAAGAGUAAGUUUGUCCUAUAAAACUCUAUUUUUUUUUAAGUUUUGAUACUCUGUUUUCAAGAUAUGUUUUUAAGUUAUGUUUUAAAUAUGUUUUACACGUGCUCCUAUGCGAGCCUAUAUUUUAAAAGCAUGUUUUAAAAGUACAAUUUUAUAAGCUAUGUUUUUAUGAGUUCUUUAUGUCAGCUCUAUGUGAUAAGUUUUUGUGCGAGCUUAUAUGUUGGAUAUAUUGGUAUACCAAAGGAUUAGGGGUACUCACCUAUAAGUUCUAUGGUUGGGCAUUGAGGCCUUAGGACAUGUGGAGAGAUAAGGGAAUGUCGAGCUAUGCUCCAUUCAAUGGGACAUGUUAGUGUACAAGAGAGUGUUUAGCUUUACGCUACACUUAUGAGACAUGCUAAGGACUCUUUGAGUUAUUCUGAGGCUUUUUAAGGAGAUCCACAUAUUCAACAAACCAAAACAAGACAAGAUAAAAUAUGAUAAGUAAGUUAAGACAAGUGCGAGAACAUAUUUUAUGUUCUUCAGCCAUUCCAAUAAGACAAGUAUGUGAGCAUGUUUCAUGUCAUAUAAGAUCCGUUUUUAAACUUGAACAAGCUAAGUUUUAAGUAUGAGUUUGAGUAAGUAAUGCGAAACUGUUUUCAAACUUAUAUGACUUUAUGACAAGUAAGUUCUACGAACUAGGUCUCGUAUCUUCACCUUAAACCUAGCACGAGAUAUAAUUUUUUAGACUAAGUAUUAUUCCUAUUUUAAACUCUGUAUUUUAAGCAUACUCUGAUGAUUCAUGAUUAUUCAAUGAGUUCAUAAUGAACUCACCCACUCCUCUCUUGCUUCGUAGGAAGGUAGGUUGACUUGCAAGGCUCAUCCCUGAACAGAUAUUGAUGAACCUGGAAAAGAGGCAAUGGGGUUUUAUUUAUGUGAGUUUAGAUUUACUCUAAUUUGAUUCUGUUAUUGAAACAAAUUUUUUAAAUUUUAAGUUUAUUUUUAUUUUGUAAACCUUAAAGUUAAACCUUUAUUGCUAAUUUCUUCUCAGCAUGAAUAAAAUUUGAUGUUUCAUUAAUUCUCCUUGUAUGCGUGCCAUGUUGCAUUCUUUCAAUAUUUCCAAAGUAUGUACUAAUAUCAUAUGUGUAUCAAUUUUAUUACGAAGUAUUAUUUUCUACGACCCUUGCAUAUUUCCAACCCCUAUAAGCAUGCGAACCCUUAGGUGCGAUAACCUUACUAUUUAGCGAUCUCUACCUAAGCCUGAAAACCAUUCCAUGAACGUCCCUUUUUUUGUGAAGCCCAUUUUUAUGUGAACCUUGCUUAGUGUGCAAACUUAGAAUGUAUAAGAACCAUAGAUAUUUUGCAAACCCGUGUUAUUGUGAGAACUCAUGCUUUAUACUGUACUACGAACUCAUAUGUUAUUUUGUUAUGCAAACCUAUGUUGUAUGAUGUAUGCAAACAUAAGUUGUGGUGUGAACCUUAAUAAUAACUUCUAUGUGCUGAUAAUUAUUUUUUAAAAUAUGUAUAUUAAAUACCCUGUUUAUAUCUUGCAUGCGAAUCUUACGUUUUUUGUCAGUUGACAUGCGAACCCUUCCUAUAUUUAUUUGAUAAGCUCGCAUGUUUUACACUCUAUGAAUGAUAUUAUUCUGUUUCGAUGCUAAACCUAUCAUAAUAUAUGUUGUAAGUAAGUGGUGUGAUGGAGGUUAGGUUGGGAGUCAAUGGAGAGUCAUUUUGAUGGCUAAUGUAGCUUUCCAAAUUCAUGUUUAACCUACUCAGCUGUGUUUGGGGUGUUACAGUGGAUACCAAACUCAUCUGGUAGCUCUUGCAUUCCAUGCAUCAUCAUUUUUCUCCAUUGUCAACCGUCUUGGUCCAUCCAACAAUCAACUUUCUUUCCAGGGUCUUUCCAUUUUUCGCGCUACUACGACCCUUUGUUACCUACACACAUCUAACUCAAAUUGUACCUUUUACCAAGGUUGUUAUGGGUGUUAAAAGAAAUUACGUAACAAUCCUCUAUUAAUUUUUUUCAUAUGCCGCAGUAUGCCGCAUUUUGGGAAUCAUGGCCACAUUUGAAUACUUCUAUAUCACCAUCGAUCUUUAUUAUUAACAGGUUCUUUUCAAGAUCAAUGGUUAAUCUAGAUGUAGCCAAAAAUUGUUGACCCAACACUAUAGGAAUGUCUUGAUUCUCCUCGAAGUCCAAGACAACAAAAUUGAUGGGGAUUUUAAAACCCCUACACUUAACCAAUAGUCUUCGAGUACACCUUUGCGGUAUACAAAAGACUUAUCGGCUAACUGUAGUGUAAUUUUAGUAUUUUUAAGCUCCCCCAAUCUAAGUUUUAAAUAUUCGGAUAAGGGCACCAAACCUAUGCUAGCCCCUAAGUUACAAAAGGCCUUGCUAAAAUGUUUGUUCCCUAUUUUCGUGGGAAUUGUAAAAUUUCCUGGAUCUUUUAGUUUUGGGGGUAUUUUUCAGGAAAUUAUGGUAAUAUAAGAUGCAUCGACUUUUAUUUGCUCACCUUUCUUUCCUUUUUAUGUCUAGACAUAAUUUCCUUCAAGUAGUUAACGUACUUAGGAAUCUUAUCAAUGAGCUCUAGUAGUGGAAAAUUAACAUUAAGGGAUUUAAAAAGAUUUAGAAAACUUACGAAUUCAACCUCAUCCCUUCAUUUUUUCCUCGAACCUCAAUGGAAAUAGUAUGUUCUUUGGCACUACUUUCGAGCACGGAGUAUUUUCUGGAUCAGUUACUAGUUCGAAUCUUUUCUCUCUGUGGACUUCUAUUUUUGACUCAUCAAGGUUUUGGUCUUCUGUCUCGACCUCCUCAUCAUCCAUAUUAAUGGGUCUUUCCAAGUUUACUAAAGUUUUUCUCGAACAAAGUGAGAUUGCAUUUACAUGCUUUUUUCUGUCCCUCUGGGGAUUAUUUUCAGUAUUACUCGGAAUACACGUGCCCAUUUUCCUCUGCAUCUCAUUCAACAUGCUCACGAUAUUGUGCAUCUCUUCCUUUAAUCUGAAAACAUUGGUAUGAUUUUAUAUGCAUUUGGUCUUUACAUGUUGAAUGUUGGGUCUUAUGAGUUGCAUCUCAUUUUCAAACCGAUCCAAGUGUUGACCACAACCAACAUGGUCAUUACUCAUGGAUCUCUCUUACGAUCUUUGCAAAUGCGGUGGUUGAUGUGGAGGGUUUAUUCAAUUUGGAGCUAGGUUUCCACUACCUUGAUUACCUUCCCACUUUAGAUUCAGAUGGUCCUUUUGUAACACCUGAAUUUGGGCUUAGAAGUUUUGGGCCUUGAGCAUGGGAGCGAUUGAAGGCAGCUUAUAAUAUUUUGUUGUGCAUGUAAAUUUCAUUAAUAAAGGCUUGUUUUAGUGGUUAAGUGUGCUGAGAAGUGUUGGAGAAGUCCUGGGUUCAAACCUGAACUCUAGCAAAAAUUUUGGUUUAAGGUGAAUUAAACCCUAGGUGUAGUAGGUAGGCCUUAAGAAUAUUGUUGGAGAAAUUGUGACACAAAAAGCCUUGUGGUCUAGUGGCAAAGUAGCGCCACAUAAGAGGCAGGAAGGUGGCGUCAUAGAGUUUGCAAAGAGGUCCAAGGUUCGAAACUCACGGCAAUCAAAGAGCAUUUAUUUUGCUAACAAGGGGCGGCAAGAGUUGGUGUUGAAAUUAAACACUGAUGAUGGAGGGAUCCUACAUCGGGAAGCUAACAUAAGAGUGGAUGUGAAGCUGGCUUUAAAUAGAGAGAACCAUGAGGAGAGUCAGGGUACCUUUCUUGGCUGAUCCCUUUCACUUUAUAGCGUGCUCGUUUGGUUUGGGCGUCGACAAAGAGUGCUUGGAGCGCGGAUUAACUCUAGUCUCCUAUCAGGUGUGUAUUUCUCACUACUCUAGCUGUAGGAUGGCUACUUUGGGCAUCGAUGGGCCGAAAGAGGCCAUGUGGGCCCAAUGGGCCUACGAGCCCAAUUGGAUAAGUUGUUUGAUUGUGUAGUAAAUAUUGGACUAGGCUAGGAGAAUCCCAUAUCUGUGGCUAGAUUUGGGCUAAAAGGGCCACACGAACGUGUGGGCCCAUUUGUAUUGUUAUCCCUGUUUAGAAUACUUUAGUUUACCAAAUUACCAAAAUACCUCUGAUUUGUGAAUUACUGAAAUACCCUUGACUUGUAAAAUUACCAAAAUACCCUUAGUUUACAAAAUUACCAAAAUACCCCUAGUUUGUAAAAUUACCAAAAUACCCCUGUAAGGUAGAGUUACUGAAAUACCCCUGUAGGGUAAAGUUACUGAAAUACCCCUAUAGGGUAGAGUUACUGAAAUACCCCUAUAGGGUAGAAUUACUAAAAUACCCCUAUAGGGUAGAAUUACCGAAAUACCCUUGUAGGGUAGAAAUACCGAAAUACCCCUGUAGGGUAGAAUUACCAAGAUAACCCUGCAGGGUAAAAUUACCAUUUUGCCCCUAUGGUGUUAAAUGACUAUUUUGCCCUUGUGGGCAAGUGACUGAUUUGGCUGUGUGGUUGACGGAUUUGAUUAUGAAUAUGAUGCAUGAGAUAUUGUUAUACAUGAUAUGCACAUGAUAUGUUAUGAUAUGCACAUGAUAUGCUAUGAUAUACUCAUUAUAUGCAUGGGUUGGGUUUUAUAGAAAUGGAGGAAGUGCAAAAAGGGCUUUGCCCUAGUUAUUAAAAGAGGCUAGGCCUCCAGUUAUAUGAUAAAGCAGCUAUGCUGCCAGUGGAGAGUUUGGUUGGGUGGGUUGAGCUAUUCCCCACAUAGAGAGCUUGGUUGGUACGGGUGGAGAGUAGCGGAUGGUGGGUUGAGUAGUCUCCCCAAAUGGGCUUGCAUACAUCCAUUGGUAUUACAUGUGAUAUUAAAAUGGGCCUAUGGGCCAUACCGUUUAUAGUAAAGGCUUUGGCCCAGUGAUAUGAUUUAUGAAAAGGCUUCGGCCCAGUAACCGUUAAACGAAAGGCUUCGGCCUAGUAUAUGUCGAGACUGGAUAGAGCUUUAGUCUAGAUUGUACUGAUACCGUGUUAUUCACUAUUUGUUUGUUAUUGGGAUUGGACACUGAGUUUUCAUAAACUCACCCCGUUUAUUAACCUUUCAAGCAAUUUCCAGCCUUAGACGGAUCGGAGCUGCGAGGGGCUCGAAGAUGGCCACACUACUGUUUCUGUUUCUUUUAAUUGCAAUUAGGUUCUGUUUUGGGUUUUUUAUGUAAUAAGGCCGUUGGUGGGUUUUAAUUUUUAAUUUGGAUUGUGAUUUCUUAUACUAAACUGCUAGUCUAGGAAAACUCGAGAUUUCAAAAUGGCAUGAUUUUUCUAAGGAAUACGAGGUUCCAACAACGAAGUUUUCAAAAUGCUUCCGCGAUUUUAAAUGAGGUAAUAUACCAAAGGCAAGCAAAUUGGUAAACAUUUUGAUGGGAACUGUAGUUUAAUAAUAAAUUUAGAUUCAGUAAUGGAUUUUCACCGGAAAUAUCAAAUUUGAAAAAUGGUUUGAUGUGACGCACCAGAUUCAGCCAUAAUGUCUAGGCCGAGUUUGGGUGUUACAAUUAGUGGUAUCAGAGCCAGGUUGCAACAACUAGGCUGUGGGUUUUUAACAGGUCAAAAAUCAAGAAUUUCAAAACAAAGGUAUUUUAAAUCAAUUUUUAAGAAUUUCUAUUUUCUGUGACCAAAUACAUGUUUUUUUUGUUUUUUUUUGUUUUGUUUGUUUUAAAUGGUUUGGAGAAAGAAGUGGCACACUGAAUCCCCGGCACCAAGUCUGUAGGUAUACUUUCUUUUACGUCAUGUGAUAUUGAUAUGAUGCUAUGGAUAGAACUGAGACCCUACUAUGAUACUUUAGAUAGGGUUGAGCUGUAAAACGAUAGGAUUAAGACUGUAGCUAGGCUACGACAUUGCGAAACUAAUCCUUGAACUGCUAUAUUUCCAUAAGACAUCUCGUAAUAAACAAUUGAAAUAUUAAACUAAUGUCAUAAAAUUCGUAAUCAGAUAAUUCGAUAUGAGUACAAGAGGAACUCGUGGACGAGGCCGUUGACGUGGUCGCAGAAGGGUGGAAGCUGAAUCUUCAUCCUCAAGGCAUAGGCCAGCUGAGGAGGCAUUCGUGCCACAGGCAACUGAGACUGGGUCAUAUGAUCGGGCUGCGGGGGACAAUGCUUUGUCCCAAGCAAUGUUAAGGAUUUUGGAAAGGGUUGCUGAAGCUAGUACCGGGACAACAAAUAGGGGAUCCAUCUCUGAGCGACUCUGGGCUAACGAACGGAGGUUUUUAGGGGCGUAUCUUGAGUAGCCCCAAAUAUGGCUGAAUAUUGGCUAGAGGCAACAGAGCGGAUUAUGGACGACCUAGAUUGGUCUGUGGAGCAAAAGCUGAAAGGGGCCGUGUCGUUGCUAUGAGAUGAGGCAUACCGGUGGUGGAUCACUAUAAGAGAGAGUACCCCGAUCGAAUGAGUAACCUGGGAACUGUUCUAGACUGCUUUUAAGGGGAGGUAUGUUGGAGCUAGUUAUGUGGAUGCCCGUUGAAAGGAAUUUUUGAAUCUAGCUCAGGGAAAUAAGACUAUUGCGGAGUAUGAGGCGGAAUUCUUAAGGCUGAGUCGAUAUGCUAGCGGGAUAGUUGCGAUCGAAUAUGAGCGCAAUGUUCGGUUCGAGGAUGGCCUCCGCGAUGAACUUAGGGUGCUGAUAGCUCCACAGAGGGAGCGUGAUUUUGUUGCGUUGGUAGAGAAGGCUAAGAUAGCCAAGGAAGUAAAACAAACUGAACGGCAGAAUCAUGAGAGGGAUCGACCCAGAUUUAGGAGGGACCCUCAGGUGUUGCAAAUAGUAAUGCUAAAAGAGCUAAAAUGGAGGAACUGGUUCGAGCAGUUCCGGUGAAUACCUUUAGACUGCAAGUUUGCAGGGACUGUGGCAGAGUACAUAUGAGGCAGUGCUGGAAACGAACUGAGGCAUGUUUCUGAUGUGGGUCAAAGGAACAUAAGUUCAGAGAGUGUCCUCGGAGAGUAGCUCAGGAUCAAGAUGCAGAGCAAAGAGGUGUCCAACAGCUGCGAGGAGGACCACCACCACAGAGAGGCCGUGGGCAAAGUACGAAAACUCAGUUCUCAUCAAAACAUUUACCAAUUUGUUUGCCUUCGGUAUAUUACCUCAUUUAAAAUCGCGGAAGCAUUUUGAAAACUUUGUUGUUGGAAGCUCAUGUUCCUUAGAAGAAUCAUGCCAUUUUGAAAUCUCGAGUUUUCCUAGAUUAGCAGUUUAGUAUAAGAAAUCACAAUCCAAAUUAAAACUUAAAACCCACCAACGGCCUCAUUACAUGAAUUAAAAACCCAAAACGAAAUCUAAUUGCAAUUAAAAGAAAUAAAAAUAGUAGUGUGGCCAUCUUCGAGUCCCUCGCAGCUCUAAACCAUCUAAGCUUAGGGAUUACCUGCACAGUUAGAAAUGGGGUGAGUUUACGAAAACUCAAUGUGUAAUCCCAAUAACAAAAAAAUAGUGAAUAACACGGUAUUAGUACAAUCUGGGCCAAAGCCCUAUUCAUUCUCGACUUAUACUGCGCCGAAGCCUUUCGUUUAACGGUUACUAGGCCGAAGCCUUUUCAUAAAUCAUAUCACUGGGCCGAAGCCUUUACUAUAAACGGUAUGGCCCUUAGGCCCAUUUUAAUAUCACAUGAAAUACCAAUGAAUGUAUGCAAGCCCAUUUAGGGAGACUACUCAACCCACCAUCUGCUACUCUCACCCGUACCAAUCAAGCUCUCCAUGUGGGGAAUAACUCAACCCAUGCAACAUGUCAUGUAUGCAGAAUGUCAUGCCCAUAUUUGAAUCAAACAAUCAUAGUCAAGUCAUUCAUAUCACCAACAUAUAUUCACAAUCAAAUCCGUCAACCACACAGUCCAAGUCAGUCACUUGCCCACAAGGGCAAAAUAGUCAUUUAACACCCUAGGGGCAAAAUGGUAAUUUUACCCCACAAGGGUAUCUCGGUAAUUCUACCCUACAGGGGUAUUUUGGUAAUUCUACCCUACAGGGGUAUUUCGGUAAUUCUACCCUACAAGGGUAUUUUAGUAAUUCUACCCUACAGGGGUAUUUCAAUAAUUCUAUCCUACAAGGGUAUUUCAAUAUUUCUACCCUACAAGGGUAUUUCGAUAAUUCUACCCUACAGGGGUAUUUCAAUAAUUCUACCCUAUAGGGGUAUUUCGGUAUUUCUACCCUACAAGGGUAUUUCAGUAUUUCUACCCUACAAGGGUAUUUCGAUAAUUUUAUAAAUCGAGGGAAAAAUGGUAAUUCUGUAAAUUAAGGGUACUUUAGUAAUUUUACAAGUCAAGGGUAUUUCAGUAAUUUUACAGGUCGAGGGUAUUUCAGUAAUUUCCCAAAUCAGGGGGUAUUUUGGUAAUUUUACAAACUAGAGGUAUUUUGGUAAUUUUAUAAACUAGGGGUAUUUUGGUAAUUUUACAAACCAGGGGUAUUUUGGUAAUUUUAUAAACCAAGGGUAUUUUAGUAAUUUGGUAAACUAAAGUAUUCUAAACAGGGAUAACAAUAAGAAUGGGCCUAAAGCCUAUUCUAAGCCCAAAUGGGCCCACACGCUCGUGUGGCCCUUUUAGCCCAAAUCUAGCCACAAAUAUGAGAUUCACCUAGCCUAGUCCAAUAUUUACUACACAAUCAAACAACUUAUCCAAUUGGGCCUGUAGGCCCAUUGGGCCUACAUGACCCCUACGCCGCUCAAAUAGCAAAAUAAAUACUUCAUUGCGCAUCCUAAGACUUGAACCUUAGACCUCACAAUUGCGCAACACGCCACCUUGCCACUCCACCACAGCUCUUUCUGUGUUAAAAACGUCCAUAAUUAACUUUAAGACAUAUGUACCAGCAUCCAGAUUCACUUAAGAGAAAAACCAAAAUGAAUUGUAAGAGCCAAGACUUGAACUCAAUCUCCGUUGCAACCUUAAUGACGCCACAACAACUAGACUACAAGCUUCCUUGUGUCAUUUAUUUAACACAAUAAUUUAAAAGGCCAUCAUCCAACCAGGGUUUUAUUCACUUAUUACCAAAAUUUUUGCUAAAGCCUAGGUUUGAACCCAAGAUUUCUCCAACACUUUUCAGAGCCAUUAACCACCAAAGCAGACAUUUAAUUGUGUCAUUUCACUGCACAAUUAAAUACCUACAUAUAACCUCCUUAUGGACCCACACUCAAGGCUCAAUACUUCUAGGCCCAAAUUCAGGGUGUUACAAUUAAAUGUAACACCCCAAACCCAGCCUAGACGUUAUGGCCGAAUCUGGCGUGUCACAUCAAACCAUUUUUCAAAUUUGACCGUUCUGGUGAAAAUCCAUUACUAAAUCUAAAUUCCUUUAUUAUUAUUAAACUAAAGUUCUCAUCAAAAUGUUUACCAAUUUGUUUGCCUUUGGUAUAUUACCUCAUUUAAAAUUACGGAAGCAUUUUGAAAACUUUGUUGUUGGAAGCUCAUGUUCCUUAGAAGAAUCAUGCCAUUUUGAAAUCUCGAGUUUUCCUAGACUAGAAGUUUAGUAUAAGAAAUCACAAUUCAAAUUAAAACUUAAAACCCACCAACGGCCUUAUUACAUAAAUUAAAAACCCAAAGCGAAAUCUAAUUGCAAUUAAAAGAAACAGAAACAGUAAUGUGGCCAUCUCCGAGUCCCUCGCAGCUCGAAACCAUCUAAGCUUAGGGAUUACCUACACAGUUAGAAACGGGGUGAGUUUACGAAAACUCAGUGUGUAAUCCCAAUAACAAACAAACAGUGGAUAACACGGUAUCAGUACAAUCUGCGCCAAAGCCCUAUUCAUUCCCGACCUAUACUGGGCCGAAGCCUUUCGUGUAACGGUUACUGGGCCGAAGCCUUCUCAUAAAUCAUAUCACUAGGCCAAAGCCUUUACUGUAAAUGGUAUGGCCCAUAGGCCCAUUUCAAUAUCACAUGACAUACCAAUGAAUGUAUGCAAGCCCAUUUGGGGAGACUACUCAACCCACCAUCCGCUACUCUCCACCCGUACCAACCAAGCUCUCCAUGUGGGGAAUAACUCAACCCGCCCAACCAAACUCUCCACUGGCAGCAUAGCUGCUUUAUCAUAUAACUGGAGGCCUAGCCUCUUUUAAUAACUGGGGCAAAGCCCUUUUUGAUAAACUGGGGCAAAGCCCUUUUCGGUAAACUGGGGCAAAGCCCUUUUAGCACUUCCUCCAUUUUUAUAAAACCCAACCCAUACAACAUGUCAUGUAUGCAGAAUGUCAUGCCCAUAUUUGAAUCAAACAAUCACAGUCAAGUCAUUCAUAUCACCAACAUAUAUUCACAAUCAAAUCCGUCAACCACACAGUCCAAGUCAGUCACUUGCCCACAAGGGCAAAACAGUCAUUUAACACCCUAGGGGCAAAAUGGUAAUUUUACCCCACAAGGGUAUCUCGGUAAUUCUACCCUACAGGGGUAUUUCGGUAUUUCUACCCUACAAAGGUAUUUCAGUAAUUCUACCCUACAGGGGUAUUUUAGUAAUUCUACCCUAUAGGGGUAUUUCGGUAAUUUUACCCUAUAAGGGUAUUUCGGUAAUUCUACCCUACAGGGAUAUUUCAGUAAUUCUACCCUAUAGGGGUAUUUUAAUAUUUUACAAAUCAAGAGUAUUUCGAUAAUUUCACAAAUCGAGAGUAUUUUCGUAAUUUUACAAGCCAGGGGUAUUUUGGUAAUUUUACAAACCAGGGGUAUUUUAGUAAUUUUACAAACUAGGGGUAUUUUGGUAAUUUUACUAAUCGAGGGUAUUUUGGUAAUUUUGUAAACUAAGGGUAUUUCAGUAAUUUUAUAAAUCGAGGGUAAAACGGUAAUUCUAUAAAUCGAGGGUAAAACAGUAAUUCUAUAAAUCAAGGGUAAAAUGGUAAUUCUAUAAAUCAAGGGUAAAACGGUAAUUCUGUAAAUCGAGGGUAAAACGGUAAUUCUGUAAAUCGAGGGUAAAAUGGUAAUUCUGUAAAUCGAGGGUAAAAUGGUAAUUCUAUAAAUCGAGGGUAAAACGGUAAUUCUGGAAACGAACUAGGGCAUGUUUUCGAUGUGGGUCAAAGGAACUUAACUUCAGAGAGUGUCCUCGGAGAGCAGCUCAGGAUCAAGAUGCAGAGCAAAGAGGUGUCCAACAGCCGCGAGGGGGACCACCACCAUAGAGAGGCGUGGGCAAAGUAAGGGGGUGGUAAUGGUAAUGGACGUGGAUGUGGGGCACCUGGCAGGGGUGUUGGACAUGUUGAAGCUCGACAGCCGGUGUUGGUUUAUGCUGUACGGCGUCGUGAGGAGGGUGAUCCUCCUGAUGUUAUAACUGGUACGUUUUUCAUUCAUAGCACGCCUUACACUGCAUUGAUUGAUGUGGGUUCCACUCAUUUGUAUGUUGCCAGUAAUGUAUCUGGGGCAUUGGGUGAGCUUCCUAAGGAGACUGUGAGUGGGGUAUCGGUGAUAAGUCCUUUAGGACACUCGGUUAAGGUAGAUAAACUCUUUAGGGAGGUGCCCUUAGAGACACAAAAUAGGAUAUUUGUAGGAGAUUUGAUGGAGCUGCCAUUUGGGGAUUUUGAUCUUAUUUUGGGAACGGACUGGCUAACUAAGCAUAGGGCGACGUUGGAUUGUGCUGUUAAGAGAAUGGUGUUAAGAACUGCCAAGGAUGAGGAGAUAAUGGUCAUAGGGGAAUGAAGGAACUAUUUGUCCAAUGUUGUCUCGGCUUUAAGGGCUGAGAAGUUGAUUCAGAAAGGUUGUGAGGCAUUUUUAGCAUUUGUGAGUCAAGCUGAACCUGAGGGGACGACUGUGGAGUCAGUUAGGACCAUCAAAGAAUUUCAAGAUGUAUUUUCGGAGGAACUUCCUGGACUACCUUGGAACAGAGAAGUCGAGUUCGGAAUCGACUUGUUACCUGGAAUCGACUCCAAUGUCCACUGCACCUUAUCGGAUGGCACCAAAGGAGUUGGUGGAACUGAAAGCUCAGAUCUAGGAACUAUUGGAUAGAGGGUUUAUAAGACCAAGUGUUUCUCCGUGGGGCGCAACGGUGUUGUUCGUAAAGAAGAAAGAUAGGACCAUGUGGAUGUGUAUUAACUAUCGGCAGUUGAACAAACUGACGAUCAAGAACAAGUAUCCUUUGCCAAGAAUUGACGAUCUGUUCGACCAACUAAGAGGAGCCUCGGUAUUUUCUAAGAUUGACCUUCGUUCAGUAUAUCAUCAGUUGAGAGUCAAAGAAGAGGAUAUUCAUAAGACGGCAUUCAGAACUCGAUAUGGUCAUUACAAGUUUCUGGUUAUGCCCUUUGGUCUGACUAAUGCACCGGCAGCAUUCAUGGAUUUGAUGAAUCGGGUAUUUCAACCAUACUUGGAUCAGUUCGUAGUCAUUUUUAUCGAUGAUAUCUUAGUGUACUUGGAAACGGAAGAGAAGCAUGAUGAGCAUCUUCGUAUUGUGGUGCAAGUGCUGAGGGAAAAGCAACUCUAUGCAAAGUUCAGUAAGUGCGAAUUUUGGUUGAAUGAAGUAACUUUCUUGAGGCAUGUUAUGUCUGCUGAGGGGAUUAAGGUAGACCCUCGGAAGAUUGAGGCAAUUUUGGAGUGGAAGCCACCGAGGUCAGUAAUAGAAAUCCAGAGUUUUCUGGGGUUGGCAGGUUACUAUCGAAGAUUUGUGGAAGGAUUUUCUGUGUUGGCAGCGCUGUUAACGAAACUUAUAAGGAAGAGAGCACUGUUUGUUUGGACAAGUAAGCAGUAAGAGGCCUUUAAGAAGUUAAAGAAGGUUCUGACUGAGGCAUCAGUAUUGAUUCAGCCAGAGUCUGGUAAGGAUUUCACUGUGUACAGUGACGCGUCAUAUGUAGGUUUGGGCUGCGUGUUGAUGAAAGAGGGUAAAGUGGUCACUUAUGCUUCACGACAGCUUAAGUCUCAUGGGGUAAACUAUCCUACUCAUGACUUGGAGUUGGCAACGGUGAUCUUUGCGCUUAAGAUAUGAAGGCACUACUUGUAUGGAGAAAGAUGCAUUAUCUAUAUGGAUCAUAAGGGUCUUAAGUACUUGCUGACUCAAAAGGAGCUGAAUCUUAGGCAACAAAGGUGGAUAGAGUUGUUAAAGGACUAUGACUGUUCGAUUGAGUACCAUCCGGGUAAGGCAAAUGUCGUGGCUGAUGCGUUAAGUCGAAGGACUGUGGCGGAAUUGAGGACAAUGUUUUCUCGUUUAAGCUUGUUUGACGAUGGAAGUUUAUUGGCAGAAUUACAAGUGAGACCGACUUGGGUGGAGCAGAUUAAGAAGCAGCAAUUAGUGGAUGAGUCGUUGGUUUCUCGGUUGCAGCAAGCUGAGAAAGGGGAGAAUCUAGACUUUGGAUUAAAUAGUGAUGGGGUUCUUUGUUUUCGAGGAAGAAUUUGUAUGCCAAAGGACUCUGAUUUGAGGUUGAUGAUCCUGAGAGAGGCUCAUGGUGGACCUUGUGCUAUGCAUCCAGGAGGGAGUAAGAUGUACCAAGGCUUGUGAGAGCUAUAUUGGUGGCCUGGGCUUAAGCGAGAAGUGACUGAAUUUGUGGGAAAAUGUUUGACGUGUCAACAAGUAAAGGCCGAGCCUCAACUGCCUUCAGGAUUGUUACAACUAGUGAAGAUACCAUUUCAGAAAUGGGAAAGGGUAACCAUGGAUUUUGUGAGUGGUCUGCCAUUGACACCUUCAAAGAAGGACUCAGUUUGGGUGAUUGUGGAUAGAUUGACGAAUCUGCCCAUUUCAUACCUGUCCGAGUCGAUUAUUCACUUCAAGAGGUUGGCCAAGUUGUAUGUGGUGGAGAUAGUGCGGUUGCAUGGGGUGCCAGUAUCGAUAAUUUCUGACCGAGACCCUAGGUUUACAUCUUGGUUUUGACAGAAGUUGCAUGAGGCGUUGGGAACACGAUUGGAUUUUAGUACGGCUUUCCACCCUCAGUCGGAUGGGCAGUCAGAGAGGGUCAUUCAGAUCCUAGGAGACAUGUUGAGAGGUUGUGUUAUUGAUUUUAGGGGCAGUUGGGAGGAUUACUUGCCAUUGGCGGAGUUCGCGUAUAACAACAGUUACCAAGCAAGUAUUCAGAUGGCUCCUUACGAGGCACUGUGUGGGCGAAGGUGUCGUUCGCCUACUUGUUGGACAGAGUUGGGGGAAAGGCAAGUACUUGGACUAGAGUUGGUAGCAGAUACUGAAGACAAAGUUAAGGUGAUCAGGAAUCGGCUAAAGGAGGUAGCGGAUCGACAAAAGUCUUUUGCUGACCUAAAGCGUAAGGAUAUUGAGUAUGCUGUAGGGGACAUGGUCUUUUUGAAGGUUUUGCCGUGGAAGAAGAUUUUGAGGUUUGAUAAGAAGGGCAAGUUAAGUCCAUGGUUCAUCGGGCCUUAUCGGAUCCUUAAGCGGACAGGGUCGGUGGCUUAUCAGCUAGAGUUAACUCCAGAGCUGGAUCAUAUUCACGACGUCUUUCAUGUGUCCAUGCUAAGGCGAUAUCGUUCUGACCCUACUCAUAUCGUGCCAGUUGCAGAAAUUGAGGUAUAGUCAGAUUUGACCUUCGAAGAAGAACCUGUGCAGAUACUUGAUCGCGACGUCAAGGUGCUGAGAAAAAAGUCAGUCCCAUUGGUGAAGGUACUUUGGAGAAACCAUGGCAAAGAAGAAGCUACUUGGGAGACAGAGGAGACGAUGCGUUAAUAGUACCCUCAACUGUUUGGAUUAGGUAAAAUUUCGAGGCCAAAAUUUCUUUAAGGAGGGUAGAGUUGUAACACCCUGAUUUUUGGGAUUUUUGUAAUUCUCGAGAUUUUGGUAAAUUUUUUAAAGUUUGGUAUUUGGUUGUGAAAUCUAAAUUGGAGUAUGUAAAUGGGCUUAUGGAAGGCCCAUGUGUUGGCCAAAACCCGGUAGAAUUUUUGAAUUUUGGACUUAAGGAGUUAGGGGCAUUGGAUAGGUGGCCUUAUUAAAAGAAGUGGGUAAAAUGUAACACAAGAGAGCCCCUAGCAAAGUGGCUAAGUGACGCCACUAGGGAGCUAUAAAGGUGGUGUGUAAGUGGUUGGGGGAAGGCCAAGGUUCGAUUCACUAAGCUGGCAAUUGUGUUGUUAUUUUUAUGCCUUGAGCAUGCAGAAGUUUGAAGCCAAAUGGAACUCUGUGGAGAGAGUUUGAAUCAGUUGAAUGCUUGAAUUAAGGAGUGAUAAGGGGAGAGAUUUUAGGGAUUUAAAGGGAGGCAUAGAGUUGGCAGAAUAGUGGGGAUUAGGGAGGAGAAAUCGGCUUGGGGAUUUUGAGGGUAGUAUUUCGGCAUUAGGGGCUGUAGUUGUGCCGAUUUUCUUCUGUUAAACACCAUAGAGUCAUUCUUUUCUUCCAUUUUCCUCUCUAGUCAAAAACACCACUCUCUUCAUCCAGUUUCUUUCUCUUUUAUUGCCAAAACCAAACCAAUACUCCCUUUCUUUUCAUCUACUACUUCCUUUCUUUUCAUCCCCCUUGCCGAAUCGUCACAAGAACCGAAACCUUUGAAGGUUGGUUGUGCCGUAUGCUUUUAGACCAGCAUCUUUUCUGUUCUCCUUAUUUUUGGUGACCGACCCUUUCAUCUGGUAAGUACUUGUUUUCCAAACCGUUUUAGUGGUAAAUAUUGAGAAAAGCCGAAACCCCCUAUGGUUUAGGGAGGUUAUCGAUUUGAAGUAUAGGCCUUAUGGGGGCCUUUCCUUUUGACCUGUAUGGUUUGUGUAGUAAAAUAGAUAACUUUGGAGGAGCAGUAAGGCUUGGAGUAUUAGUUUUGGAUAAGCUUGAAUAGAAUCGUCGGACCCUGUGAAGGUAAGGGAUCUAUGGCUACUAGGGAUUCCUUAGCCGAAUAUGGUAAGGUGGACUUUGGGUUUGAUUGCUUGAACUGUAAACUAAGUAUGGUGAUGUUUAAUUGUAGGUUGUUGUGGGAGACCUUGUUAGUGAACGUCACAAAGCAGGUGUGUCAUAACCCCCGUAAGAUCUUAGAUUAAUAUUCGCUGAAAAGCCGAAAUGCUUAAAUCCGGCAUUUUAGAGACUUGAGAUUUUGCAUGUGGUUUGAGAUGCGAUAGAUACGACAUGGUCGGUGUUGGGAUCAAUGGAACAGGUAAGAGCGCAAAUUUUGUGCACGUUGGUAAGUUGGGCUUCAAGGGGCUGGAAUUGGGCCCAAUGGGCUUUCGGGCCAUUUGGGUAAAAUUGAUAGAUAAUGGAAAUUGGAAAAAGUUGCACAUUAACACGGUGAGUACUGUUGUAAAAUUUGGGUUAAGAGGGCUUAGUAGGCUAAAUUGGCAUUCGUAGGGCCCAUUAGGGGUUUUGGGCCCAAAAGCCCGAUUUUGUUAAAACGCAUUAAAAUCAUAGUUUAAACACUUGGAAUUUGAUAAUUGUUAAUGAACAUGGAAAACCUGUAAUAUUUGGAAAAUUUACAGAAUUACCCUUAAAAUAUGAAAAAUGACUGUUUUGCCCUAGGUAAAAAUGACCAUUAUACCCCUAGAUUUAAUUAUGAAUAUGAUGCAUGAGAUUUUGAUAUACAUGAUAUGACAUGACAUGCACAUGAUAUGUUAUGAGAUGAACAUGAUAUACUUAUUAUAUGCAUGGGUUGGGUUUGAUAUGAAUGGAGGAAGUGCAAAAUGGGCUUUGCCCUAGUUUACCGAAAAGGGCUUUGCCCCAGUUUAUCAAAAAGGGCUUUGCCCCAGUUAUUAAAAAGGGCUAGGCCUCCAGUUAUGAUAAAGCAGCUAUGCUGCCAGUAGAGAGUUUGGUUGGGUGGGUUGAGUUAUUCCCCACAUGGAGAGCUUGGUUGGUACGGGUGGAGAGUAGCGGAUGGUGGGUUGAGUAGUCUCCCCAAAUGGGCUUGCAUACAUUCAUUAAUAUUACAUGUGAUAUUGAAAUAAGCCUAUGGGCCAUACCACUUACAAUAAAGGCUUCGGCCCAGUGAUAUGAAUUUUGAAAAGGCUUCGGCCCAGUGUUAUGAAUUAUGAAAGGCUUCAGCCCAGUAUAUGUUGAGACUGAAUUUGGGCUUAGGCCAGUAUGCUGAGAUUAGUUUGGGCUCUGAAAGAGGCUUGUUGCACACUGAGUUUCCAAACUCACCCCCUUCCUUAACCUUGCAAGUGAGCCUUGAUGUGGAGACUUGAAGCCGGAGGGGAUUCAGAGUGGCCGUGCUGAUCGUUUUCAAACUUUGCAAUAAGUAAUUGAUUUUUUCAAGUUUUAUCGUAGUUAUUAUUAUUAUUUGGUUUUGGGUUGUAAUAAGGCCUUUUUAUUUAUUUUUUUUGGAUUAGUUUAUUUUAUACUCUAUGUUUUAUUGUUAUUAAUCUAAAAUGGCUAGACUUAGGGUGCAUUUUCAAAAUGAUACUUGUUUCCAAAAUAAUGCAACAAUACAAUCAAUCGGUUAAUCAAAACAACUAUUUAAAUGAAUUACAACUCAAUUUUCAUACAAAACCUAAUCUCGCGCCAAAGUGUGGCAAUGGUUGUGAGCAUGUCUAGGAUUGGAUCCAAUCGAGAGCCUGGUACUUAAGCAGCCUCUAUGGCUCACCUCCUCUACUUCGGAUACCUACCUGGUGCUCAGCUUCCAUUCACUUUAGCAAAGAUGAUCUUUUAAAACACUAAGAAGGGCAUUGGAAGAGGCUUGGGUUUUCUUAAAGACUUCAAAGUGACAUGUCGGAUUCGGCCAUAACGUCUAGGCCGGGUUUGGGGUGUUACACCUUCCAACCGGGGUUGUAAGUGUUUGAAUACAGAUUUCCACCCCUAUUACCCAAAUAAUUCACUUCCUCCAAUUGGGUUUUCGAGUAUGAUGUGUAGCUUUGAGCAACAUAGUUCAUCGAUGGCCUAACAGUUGUCUCCAGAUGAUGUAAUUUCUCGAAAAUUUGUUGAUACUUUUCAUCUUCCUUGACCACCUUAGUUGUUAACAUCUUCUAGCUAUAUGAAAAGCGUUCGUUAGGCCAUAUGUAUGAGUUUAUCGCGAUGUCCUUGAUCAAUUGAUAGGCUCACUCGUAGGUGUUAUUCAUGAAGUCUUUAGCCUAUGCAACAUCUAAGUUGGAUUUCAAGCUCCUAUCCAAUCCAUCAUAAAUAAUUUCCAAUUUUAGCCAACCUUGCAUACCCUAUUGUGGGCAUUUCUUAAGCAGUGACUUGAAGAAUUCCCACGCUUCAUAUAGCAACUCACUUUCAAAUUGCUUAAAGUUAGCAAUAUCUCACCUUAAUUGGAUGGUUCGACUAAUGGGAGAAAUUUAUGUAAGAAUUUCCCCGCUAAGUCUUCCCAUGUUGCUAUGGAACCCACUCUUGGGAAUUGAGCCAUUCAUAUGCAUUGUCACAAAGCAAGAACAGAAACAACCAGAGGUAGAUCACGUUAUCAGUCACUCUGUUAUAAUUGAAAUUGUCAUACAUCUGUAGGAAUAUUUUUAAGUGUUGGUUCGAGUCUUCCAUCAUAUUAAACCAAAAUUGCAAAUUAUUUUGUAUCAUUUGAAUGGUGGUCAUCUUAAUUUAGAAAUUGUUUACAUUAAUUUCUUGACUCUCGAUACUACCUCGGACAACGUUUAAACUAGGUAGCUCAUAUUUACUCAAUGUCCUGUCUUAUCGAGCCAUCAGGGGCUCUCUUUAGAAAUAUUCUAGUGGUUUAAUGUGUUCUUCGAACAGUCGAUUUCCUCGUGGCAAGUCAACUAUUCUGGGUAGCUCAUAUUUACGCAAUGUCCUGUCUUAUCAAGUUGACGGGCUCACCUUAAUAUUCUCUCUGGUUUAAGAUCUGGCUCGAUUGGAAUGGUUCUACUUCGAGUCAUACACUAAAUUCAAAGAGAAUUUGAAAUAAAUUUAAUACAUGAAAAAUAAAAUAAAAAUAAAAUAACUGAAAACAAAAUUCGUAUCUAUAGUCCUAAAUUUUCCUAUUUAUCCUAUCAAAUAUCUCAACUUCCUUGGUAAUGAUGCAAACAACUUGACUGCCGCCAGACAUGCGAGCGUCUGGACUGGAAAUAUUGCAGCGAAUAAAUAUAUAAUUAAAUAGUGGUGUCUGCAAGUAUAUGAGUCAAAUUGUAAUAUAGUCAAGAAUGCUACAGCGAAACACUCUAGGAAGCAUUCAGAGGAUCACAACCAAGGGAGAUUGAAUUAAACCUAAAUUAGUUCUCUACACUAACAGGGUUGAAUAGUAAUGAUUUAAAAUUAUAUUACAAAAAACCAAAUUAAAAUUAAUUAAUCAAAUUGACAUAAAAUUAUCUAAACUAAAAAUCAACCAAUUAAUAAUUGAAACUAAAUCCAAUAAAACAGGUAGGAGAUCCACUCAAUUCAAUGCUCCUAAUUAACUUCAAAACUUGGGUUUUAUCAAGUUAGCUAUUAAUUGACCAGUUAUUACCUCUCGGCCUCUACCUAAUUAACUAAUCAACCAAUACACACUUACCUCUUAACCUCACUUUCUUGACUGAGACAAAUUAAUUCUCAGUAAACUUAUCUCUCGAUCUCGUUUAUCCUAAAUUACUUCCUAGGGUUUAAUCUCACAUAAUUUAAACCAACUAACUCAGAUUUAAACCCUAAUUCAUCCUUUAAUUAGUCACACAUCCCUUCGUUAAUCUCCUUAAGGAAAUUAGGUACUUAUGGAUCUAAAUACAAUAAUCCCUAAACUCAUAUUUAACAUACAAAGUAGUAAAUUAAACAAGAGAAGGAAUAAUAAAAUAAGUUUGUUACGAUGUCGAUUUGUGCUCGAAAGAUAAAUUUCCUUUAAUAGUCACAACGAUCACUUUGAUUGCAAUUGAAAUCCAAAAAGAAAUAAUGAAAAACUAUUAAAUUAAAAUCUUGGAUCGAAAUUUAAUCCAAGUAAACAAGAAUAAAAAGUAUUUAAAGAACUAAAUUGAAAAAAAUAAAAACUAAGGUAAAACCCUAAAAAUAUCUAAGUGGCUCACGUAGCCAAGACCCUUAAAAUGAGACUUAACAUGUUUAUUUAUAGAGUUUAUGAUUUGACCUAAUUAGGGUUUCUAAAUAGCUUAAAAAUUAGAUUAUAUUUGAUUGUGUGGAUGUAAUACCCCUAACCCUAUCCAUCGUUGGAACAGGGUUUCAGAGUAUUACCAGAACAUUCAGAAUAUUUUUCCAUUAAUUUAUGUAAAUUACUAUUCAUUUAUCGAGAUCCUACAUAUCAUCCCUUAUAUGGACCCUCGAGGCCCAAAAUUAAUGUUGGAAUCAAAUCGAGACUAAAUCGGGAACUCAGGGAAUUUUUCGCGAAAUUCUAAAAAAUUUCCUAGGUGCAGGGCUCACAUGCCCGUGUGGUCAGGCCGUGUACUACACACGCCCGUGUCCCUAACCCAUGUAACUCUAUAACUUUUAAAGUAUGAAGAAUUGAAUCCACACAACCAAGUCACACGCCCAUGUACUAGGCUGUGUGGUGAAUUUUUAUUUUCGAAAUUUAGGCUCAAUUUUCACACAGUCGUGCAACACACCCGUGUCCCAGGCCCUGUGAACCACAUGGCUGAGACACACGUCCGUGUCUCUUUCCGUGUGCCCAAUUCUGAGCAUUCUAUUUCUCAUUUUUAAGAUACAGGGGACACACGGCCAGACCACAUGCCCAUGGGACAAGCCUUGUGUCACACACGGCCAAGACACACUCCCGUGUAUCUGCCCGUGUGGACAAAAUAAGUCCAUUUACUAGCCUCAUUUGUCACCCAAAAGUUAUCAUUUUCCUGCACUAAAACUCACAAACAUAUAUCCACCAAUCCAACAUUAUAUUCGCAAGAAAUUUGACAUCAAUCAUAUAGUAUUAUCUCAUGCAUCAAUAGAUAUAAAUUUACUCAUGUCAUAAACUCAUUUGCUAACACAAUUUCAUCAAACCAACACAUAAUAAGCACUUAUGUGAUUAUCAAAACACCACUUUAAAAUAGCCAAACUUAGACCAUCAUUAGCUACUCCAAUGGCUAGGUCACAAAACAACCAUUACAAGCCAUCAUUGGCCAACUAAUCUUAUACAUGCCACUAUACCAAAAUGAGAUUUCUAUUUAUACCAAAAUGAGAUAGUGGAUAAUGUGAUGACUGCUCUGACCGACUUCCAACCUUCGCGAGCUUUGAGCACUAGAAAACAAGGAAAAUAAACGGAGUAAGCAUUUUAUGCUUAGUAAGUCUGUAUAAUGGGAAAUAAACUUAACGGUCUUAUUUAUUAACACAAGCACACAUAAAUACAUAUUCCAUCAAUUUUGGGUAAGUUACCUAAACACAUACACUUAUUCAAACAAGUUAGUCGCAUAAUCUCAUAUGAAUAUCAAGUAAACAAAGAUGAGCUAUCACAUUACAAGCUUCCAUUAAUUUUACCUUUACACUCUUAAAGAGUCUUUUCCAUUGAACUAUUGAAAUCUCGAUGGAUGUUCGGGUAAUAUACACAUGUGCAAAAGUACCCAUUGGGUACAUAAUGAAAAGGCACACCCGUGAGUCGUACAUUUUACCGUAGGAUUACCAGUCCAGGCUAAAUCCUAUCCGUAGCAUAUGCUCUAAAGAGCUUAAUAUGGAUUACCAUUUGGGCUAAAUCCAAUUUAUAACCUAAAUUAAGAGGGCUUACAUUAGAAUUACCUAUCCGAGCUAAAUUCUAUUUGCAACAUAUGCACUAUUAUUUUCAACCCAUCAAAAUUCAACAUUCGACCGGAACACGAUAAUUUGUCCAUAUAACACAACUUAAAACUAUUUCAUUAUGUAUAUAUCAUCUAACACAUAACAACACAAUCAUACAAUUCAAUUCAAGCAUAUUAACAUACAUUUUUAAGUUACACGAACUUACCUUGAAAAUGGUUCGUUUUUUAAUUUCAAUUAAUUCGAAACAUUUUGCUUUCCUCGAUCAAGUUUUGUAGUUGGUCUUUCUAGAUCUAUAUGGAUAAAUUUAAUUAUUAAUAUAUCACAUUUCAUAUACAUUCGCAUUCUAUUGCAUCCUAGGCAAAAUUACCAUUUUGCCCCUAUCUUUUUCAAAAAUUUCGAUUUCGUCCUUAGGCUUGGAAAAUGAAAUUCAUGAAAUUUAACCCUCUUUCCAAGCCUAGCCAAAAUUUAUAAACAACAUUUACAGCACACAUUUUUCACAAAUUUCACAAUUUUCCAUGGGUUUUUACCAUUUUUCGUUUUAGUCCCUAAAUCAAGUUUUCAUCAAAAAUUGCUUUGUAAAAGUUAUUUAUCUAUGAAUAACUUUUAAUUUUCUACCAUAAAUUUCUUUUUACAGCAUAUUCAUCCAUGACCUAAAUUUCAUACUUUGAUAACUUUGCAAAUUAAUCCCCUAAAUAGAGAUAUUAGACUAUCUUGGUUUCAAAAAUAUAAAAAUCAUUAAAAAUGGGACUUGAUUUCAUACCUUUUCAAGCUUGGUAAGUUGUAUUCCUCUCUCCUAGGGUUUCCAUAGAAAUUUUGAGGAAGAUGAUAUGAAAUUAGAUGAAUAUUUAUUUUUAUUUAAUUUCCAUCUUUUAAUUUUAGUGAUUUCCAAUUUAGUCCCUUACCUUUUCUAAUUUUUCCAUGGAUGAGUCAUUAAAAUAUCUAUUAACUACUCUUCAAUGGUCUAAUUACCAUAUAAGGACCUUAAUUUUCAGAUUCUAUAGCUAUUUGGUUCCUAUAGCUAUUAGAAUCCAACUUUUUCAUUUCAUGCAAUUUAGUCCUUUACCUAAUUAACCACACAAUCGAUAAAAUUUUUAUAUCAAAAUUUUCAUGUGACCUUCCCAUCAUGAUGCAAACCAUAAAAUUUUUUUUAACUCAAAUUUAUGGUCCUGAAAUCACUAUUCUGACCUCACUAAAAUUAGGUUGUUACAACUCUCCCCACUUAAAAAUUUUCGUCCUCAAAAAUUCUUACCAGAAAAAAAAUUAGGGUAUUGCUUCCUCAUAGUAUCCUCCGGCUCCCAGGUAGCUUCCUCUAUCCAUGCUGUUGCCAGAGAACCUUCACCAAUGCCACCUUUUUAUUUCUUAGCUUUUUCGUCUCAUAUGCCAGUAUUUUAAUCGGUUCCUCAUUGUAAGUCAUAUCAGGCUGAAUCUCAACUACUUUUGGAUUAAUAACAUGUGAAUGAUCCAAUUGAUAUCGUCGUAACAUGGACACAUGAAAUACAUUAUGAAUUUUAUCAAGCUUCGGUGUUAAUGCUAACCAAUAUGCAAUAGGCCCGAUUCUUUCAAUAAUCUCAUAUGGCCCGAUGAACCAUGGACUCAGUUUUCCUUUAUGUCCAAACCGGGGAGCCUUCUUCCAAGGUGAGACUUUCAAGAAUACUUUAUCACCAACCUGAAAUUCUAUCUUUUUUUUUUAAAAAUUGGCUUAAGACUUUUGAUGGUUCGAGGCCGCUUUCAAACUGUCCUUAAUUAUCUUCGCCUUUUCUUCAGUCUCUCGGAUGAAGUCAACUUAAGGUAUCUUUUUCUCACUUAAAUUUGUUCAAUACGAUGGAGUUCUACAUUUGAGACCAUAUAGAGCUUCAUAUGAUGCCAUUUUAAUACUGGAUUGAAAACCAUUAUUGUAAGCAAAUUUAAUCAAAGGCAAGUAUUUUUCCCAGUUACCUCAAAAUUCAAGUACACAACACUGAAGCAUGUCUUCUAAAAUUUGUAUCACACGUUCAAAUUAUCCAUCUGUUUAAGGAUGGAAUGCAGUACUAAAGUGUAAAUGAGUGCCCAGAGCUUCAUGCAACUUACCCCAAAAUCGAGAUGUAAAUCGAGGGUCUCUAUUUGAGAUAAUGGAGAUUGGCACUCCGUGUAGCCUUACAAUCUCAGAGACAUAUAAUUCAGCCAACCUGUCCAAUGAAAAAUCCAUACGUCUCGAGAUAAAGUGUGAUGACUUCAUUAAAUGAUCGACAAUUACCUAGACAACAUCUUUCUUUUUCGGGGAUAAAGGUAAUCCCAUUACAAAGUCCAUGGUAACUCUUUCCCAUUUCCACUCCAGUAUUGUAAUUGGCUAUAGUAAUCUGAAGGUACUUGAUGUUUGGCCUUUACUUGUUGACAUAUCAAGCAUGUCGAUACAAAUUCAAAAAUAUCCCAUUUCAUUCCCGGCCACCGAUACAUUCUUUUCAAGUUACUAUACAUCUUAUUACUACCAGGAUGUAUAGACAUGUUGCCAUUAUGAGCUUCAUUCAAAAUCUUCUGUAUCAGUUCUAAACUUUUUAGUACACUUACUCUGUCUCUAAAUAAUAAACAACCAUGGGUCCUGAUCUAAAAUUCUGAGUCAAGAGUCGAUUCACUUUGUAUACGUUUCGCUUGCAGCUUAUAAUCAUUUUUCUGAGCUUCAAAGAUUUGUUGCAUAAACGUCUAUCUAAAUUUUAACUUAGCUAUGAGUGAACCAUCAUCAGAUAAAGACAACUGAGUGUUCAAUGCCCGUAAGGUAAACAAGGAUUUUCGGCUCAAAGUAUCUUCCAUUACAUUAGCUUUCCCCAGAUGGUAAUCAAUCACGAGAUCAUAAUCUUUCAAUAAUUCCAACCAUCUAUGUUGUCUCAAAUUCAGUUCUUUCUGUGUCAUUAAAUACUUCAAACUUUUGUGAUCUGUAAAGAUGUGACAUUUUUCACAAAAAAGAUAAUGCCGCCAUAUUUUUAAUGCAAAAAAAAAUAGGUGCUAAUUCAAGAUUGUGUACUGAGUAAUUUCUUUCAUGUGGUUUUAGCUGCCUAGAUGCAUAAGCCACUACUUUACCAUCUUGUAUCAAUACACAUCCUAUUACAUUCAACAAGGCAUCGCUAUAAACUAUAAAUUCCUUACUCGAUUUAGGUUGAACUAAUAUGGACGCUUCUGUCAAUAAAGCUUUCAAUCUAUCAAAACUCUGCUGGCAUUUAUCAGUCCACUUGAAUUUCACUUCUUUUUGCAACAAUCGAGUCAACGGAGAAGCUAUCAUUGAAAACCCUUUAACAAAUCUCUGAUAGUAUCUUACUAGUCCCAGAAAACUUCUAACUUCUGAAACAUUCUUCGAUGGCAUCCAACUUACAAUAGCUAAAAUUUUGUUCGGGUCCACCCGAAUGCCCUCUGUCGAUGCAACAUGUCCAAGGAAACUAACUUCUCAUGGCCAGAAUUCACAUUUCCUAAAUUUAGCAUACAAUUAUUUCUCACACAGAGUUUGCAAAACAAUUCUUAGAUGUUCAGCAUGCUUAUUCACAUUUCGAAAGUAAACCAAAAUAUCAUUAAUAAAAAAACCACGAACCUAUCAAGGUAUGGUCUGAAAAUUCUUUUCAUUAAGUCCAUAAAUAUCUCCAGGGCAUUUGUUAAUCCGAAUGGCAUCACUAAAUACUCAUAAUGCCCAUAUCUGGUUAUCAAAGCUAUCUUCAGCACAUCUGAAUCUUUUACUCAUUGCUGAUAGUAACUAGAUCAUAAAUAAAUUUUCGAAAAUAUAGUGGCACCUCUUAAUUGAUCAAACAAGUCAUAUAUAUGAGGCAACAAGUAUUUAUUCUUGACUGUGACUUUAUUAAGCUAUCUGUAAUCAAUGCAUAAUCUCAAUUAUCCAUCUUUCUUCUUUACAAACAAUACCAAUGCACCCCAUGGUGAAAAGCUGGGUCAGGCAAAUCCUCAAUCAAUCAACUCUUGUAAAUGUACUUUCAACUAUUUCAAUUCAGCAGGAGCCAUUCAAUAAGGUGAUAUUGAUAUUGGCGUCGUCUCUGGCACAAGGUCUAUGGAAAAUUCCACCUCUCUAGCUGGAGGUAAACCAGGUAGUUCUUCUAGAAAUAUCUCAGGUCUAACGCCCCAGAAUUUGGGCUUAGAAGUACUGGGCCUUAAGCAAGGGAAUGGUUAGGAAAUUGCAUAUAAAAGUCCAAGAAGAUGGCAUAAAAUAAUUGUCUGCUCUGAUGGUUAAGUGAUUUGGGAGUGUCUGGGAGUAUUGGAGAAGUCCUGGGUGCAAACCUGGGCUUUAGCAGAAUUAUAAUUUUAAGUGAGUAAAACCCUGGAUGCUUGGAAAUAGGCCUUUUAAAUUAUUGUGUUAAGUAAAUGACACAAGGAAACAUGUGGUCUAGUGGUUGUGGUGUCAUUAAGGUUGCUAGGGAGCCUGGGUUCAAGUCUUGUCUCUUGCAAUUUAUUUUGGUUUUUCUUUUAAAAGAACCUGAACUUUGGCCUAUAGACAUUAUAAGACAUUAUAAAUAAUUGAGGAUAAAGUGUGACACAAAAGAGCCUAUGGCAAGGAGGCAAAUGGCAUGUUAAGCUAUUGAGAGGGGCUUGGGUUCAAAUCCCAUUGCAAGCAAAAAGGAUAUUUAUUUUGCUAUCAUGAGGUACCAGGAGUUUGAGGUGGUUUUGAACUCUAUUGGAUGAGAGUUUGAAUGGGUCUUGGAGGUUGUUAUGGAGGAUAUCAAUGAGGGAUAAGUGGAAAGAUUUGAGGAGAUUUUCAAGGGAUUUGGAGGAAAGGAGUGUUGUAGCUGAAUUGUGCAACUUCUAUGUGCAAAUUCGGCUAAGGGAACCCAUUUGGUGCACUUCGACAAUGUGAGAGUGAGUAGGUGCUGACUUCUUCUAGUAUUUUCGGGUUUUGUUUUCUUAUUUUGGCAUUUUUUUUCACCAUUCGGGUCCUCCUUUCUUUCAACAUUAUUGCUCGUUUGGCUUUUGGUCACUCUACCGGAAAUACAAGACAUCAAGUGCCUAAUUCUAAUUAUUUCUUUUUGAAGUCUUUUUCUCCCAUUCUUCUUUGGUCGAACUUAACAUCUCUCUGCUUCUAUUCUCUCUCGACCCAAUUCAACCCCUCUCCAAUCAUAUGUUGUUGUUUUUCUUCUCAGUUUCUCUAGGGUCGAAUAGUUCUUCUUCUUACUAUUUCUUUUGGUUUUUCUUCACAACUGAACUUCUCUCUCACAAUACCAUAUUCUUUUGAUACUAAGCUGAAUCUCUAUUUCUCUUCCUGUUUCCCUUCGGCUCAUAGCCUUGAACUAAAUAGCAAUCUCGUUCUUCUUUUGCUGUGGUCGGUCGCGGUUUGGAGGUCACCUAGACUUUUGGUAAGCUCUUUUUCUUUCUUGUGUUGUUGGAUGCUAAGCAUUUUCUCUUUCUUUAAUAAAUGUUUCCUUUGGUUAUUCACGCGUGGUCGAAUCCCUUUUUCCUCCCCGAUGAUGAUGGUGGUACUUUCUAUUUUUAGAUCAUUGUAAUGGGUGAAGGGGUUUGUCAAAGAUCGCAGUGGUAGUCAAUCCUUUUCUUAUCUCGCAAUCUAAGGUAAUCAUUAGGGCUAAUAUUGUAGGAUCUUAGCUAAUUAUUUUGGUGCCGGGUUCCUAAAUCUUUUGAUUUUUUCAAUCUUUUAAUAGAAUCUGUGGUCAGGCAGAUACACAAUUAAUCGGGUGAUCGAUUCUAUUAGUAGUCUAAGAAGGCUAGGGGCAUCCGAUCAAGCAAGGCUCAAGUAGGUAAUCAUUCGAUCAAGUCUUGAUUAAGAUUCUGUCAAUUCAUGUGUUAAGGUUUUAAUCGAAGUUACUGUUAUAAUAGGUUUGACAUUUGGGGGUUUCUGCGCUAUUUCGAAAAGGGUGUGUGACUGUACAUCGAAAUCCUUUACUAUCAAAGGGUCGGGAAGGUGUGUAUUUACGCCUUUCUUUGUUGGAAAUUGGAAAAAUCCGAAAAGCUAAAAUACUGGAACCUCAGUAUUCGGGGCUUCACGAGCCUGUGAAUGCACAUAGGACGAACCACGCCCCAAAUCAUGGGUAGAAGACUGCAGAGGCCACUAUGUGCGUUUUCGUGGAGUGGGGCCGUUAUGGGCCUCGAUGGAUCGAAAUGGGCCGCGUGGGCCCAAUGGGAUUAUGGGCCCACACAAGUAAAAUCUCUGUAAGUGAUCAUUGAUAAGUUGGUUUAUGAUGCUCGCAAUGUCGUAUGUGAAUCUAGACUAAAUGGGCCAUACGAGCAAGUAGGCCCACUUGGGCCCAAUAGGGGUUUUCAGCCUAUAUACACUUUCCUGGCCAUGUAGGUUAUCUGAGUCGCUCGAAGCAACGAUCGACCUUCUAGGAGGUCAUAAUAAGUAUUGAGACCCCAAUAUUGGUAAAAUGACCAAAAUACCCCUUGAGGUAAAAUCACGGUUUUACCCCUACCUAACGAGAUGUCUGUUACACCCCUAGUGGUAGGUUGACUAAUGUAUGUAUGAUAGUUAUAUGAUUGAUAUCGAGCAUGAAAUCCUAUAUUCACAUAUGUUACUAUGACAUGUCAUCCUACAUGGGGUUGGGUUAAUAUUGACGAAGGAAGUGUACGGCUCGUAGUUGUUCUGUACAAGGCUUUUGGUCUUUCUGCGAGACUUAUGGCUUAUAGCCGAUCUAUUAACUGGUAGCAUUGCUACGAUAUUUAUGGCCUGUAGCCGUUCUAUCUACGGCGUUGAGCCGUUCUGUUAACUUAGUCCCGCAAUCGGUGCUAAGCUUGAUGUGUUGGCUGGGUGGGUCGAUUUUAUCCCCACAUGGUGUGUUGGUUGGUACGGGUGGUGUAUUGGUUGGACUGGGUUGGAUAUCUGUCUGCAUAUCUGCAUCUGGUACUGAUUCUGUACUGGGCUUAGGCCCACCUGAUUCUGUUAAUGGGCUAAGCCACCUGAUACUGUUUCUGUGAUGGGCUCAGGCCAGUCUGUUUCUGCAUAUUGUAUGUCUGACUGUUUGUAUUAUAAGGGAUUACACACUGAGUUUUCGUAAACUCACCCUUCUGUCUAACUGUACAAGUAAUCCCCAACCUUAGGCGAUUUGGAGCCGCAAGAGACUCGGAGGUGGCCACACAACCGUUGAUGCUCUAUUGUAGACUUUUAUAAUUUCAAAAACAUUUAAAACAGACGUAUUUAUAUUUCAAACUUUAGUAGCUUUCGCGAUUUGAAAUAACUUAAAGUAUCAAUGUCAGGUAUUAAGUAAACAUUUUUGAUGAGAUGAUUUGCUAACCUUGAGCAAAAGGUUUUAAUCAUAGAAAUGAGCUUUUAACGACAACUCAAUUUUAGAAUGACGCUUUGAUUAACACACCAGAUUCGGCCAUAACAUCUAGGCCGAGUUUGGGGUGUUACACUAGGAAACUCACAAACAACCGGUACUGACUGGAUUUUAAACUUUGAUUGUAACUACCCGAUUUAGACCCUAGUCAAAAUAGUGGCUUUGGGACACCAAAUCCGAGUCAAAAAAUAUUUUAAUAUUAUUUUUCGUGCUUAUUAUAUGUGAAUUGAUAUCUGUCAAAAUUUCGAAUGAAAAUUUGAUCGUUUGUGUGUGCUUAUUUGAUAAAAGGACCUAAUCGCGUAAAAUGUAAAAAUGGCUUGCCAAUUGUUGAAGUGAUUAAUUGCUAUGUCUCUUUAAAUGAGAUAUCCUUAUGUGGUUAAUAGACCAUUGAACUUAUGAGUGGACUAUUAUGGACAUGAAUUAAAUAGAUUUCAUGUUUUAUAAACAAGGUUAUAUAAGUAAAUUAGUAUUUAAGUUAAUAAAAAUAAAACAAACAUAAAAUUUUGCCAUUAUCAUCCUUUGUUACCGAAAAUUAAAGAAAAAAGAUAAAAGAAUAUGCUUGCUAGGGCUCGACACUAAUCUUAGCUAAUUGAGGUAUGAUUUUUUAUCGUUUUUUGAUAAGUUCUACGUUUUUGUGAUCGUUGCUUAGAAAUCUCUUAAGCCCAUGUCUCAAUUUUUUAUUUUGAGUUAUGCCAUUGAAGAAAUUAUAAGCUUUGUGAAGUUAGUUGAUGGAAAAUGAAAGAUAUGUGUUGGGUUAAUAUGUUUUGUCUUUAAAUUUUUUAUGAAUGAGUAAUUUGGGCUAAAUUGUAAAACUGAGAUUUUGAGGGACUAAAAUGUGAAAUAAAUGAAAUAUGUGGGCUUAUAUGAACACUAUGAAUAUUCAACCAAGUAUGUGCAAAAGGAAAUUUUGUGUAUUUUGUGAUUUUGUGAAUUAGGGACUAAAGUGUUAAAAUGUGAAAAUGUGAAGGUUAAUUUGUAAAAUACCCUAAUGUGUUUAUGGAUUGAUUUGAAUGAAUGUGAGAUUAAAUAAGUCAAAUUUGAAUGUGUUUAGACCAAGAACCAAAUAAAAUGGAAUUAGACCGGGAAAGUCGGAAGUCGUUAAGUAGUCGAUUCCAUUCAUUUGAAUCUGUACGAGGUAAGUGAAUAUACAAAUAAAUGUGUUUGAGUUGAUUUGUUUAUGUUUAUAUGACAUUGAACUAUGAUGAAUGGCUAUAUAAAAGCUAAAUAUGUGAUAUCCGAGAAAGUUCUAAUAAUGUGAUGACGUCCGAAAAGCCUUGUACGAACCAUAGGAAUAGUUACGAUACAUAUGUCAUGACACAGGAUUUUGAUAUGUGAUUUCGUGUAAGACAACAUCUGGAACGAUGGUAUAAAUAUGAGAUUUACAUGUAAGACCAUGUUUGGAACAUCGGCAUCAUAUUUGAUUUUGUAUAAGACCCUAUCUGGGACAGUGGAAUCGAUAUUCGAUUACAUGUAAGACCACAUAUGGGACGUUGGCAUUGUACGAGCUUUUUGAGUUAUCUGAGUAUCCUUCUUGAUUUUGAGCUGUUGAAAGGGUAGGGACACAUUGCCGUGUUGCUCGAAGGCCAUUUCGAAAUGAGUCUAGGUAGACCACACGGUCGCACACACGGGAGUAUGCCAGGCCGUGUGGCUAAGUUAGUUUCAAGCACAGGCUAGGCACAUGGGCAUGUGACUGGCCAUGUGACCCAAGUUAGUAGCCUCCUUAAUUUUCACAUGGCCUGGCACACGAGCGUGUCUUGUGGCCAUGUGGACAAGUUAGUAUGUAUGCUUUGUUUUGCCAUGGCCUAGACACACAGGCAUGUCUAAUGCCGUGUGAGGCACACGGCCUGUUCACACGGGCGUGUGACCUUUAUAACUUUGAAAAAUGUUUAAGUUUUGAAAAAUUUUGUAUGUGCCCAGUUUAGUUGCGACCCUUUUCUAAAGCAUGUUUAAUGUCUCGUUGAACUAUAUAAAAGACUCUGUAAUGCUGUGUGACUAUAAUUCUAUGAUUAUUCUGAAAUGAAUGCGAAAUAUUCUAAUAUGUCCAGUAAUUCCUCUUAACCCUAGUCCGGCGAUGCAUACGGUUUAGGGGUGUUACAUUUGGUUGGUAUCAGAGCUUCGGUUUAGUUGAUUCUAGGACUAACAUAGCGUAUGUAAGUCUAGCUAUAUGUGCCAUAUUUAUGAACUGGGAUUGUGUGAUGAAUCCUGACAAUGAAUUUUAUAUAGUAAAUGGAUCCCGAACGAGCCGUAGCUGACGAUGUCGAGAGUAACUCACCUGCUCCCGCUCAAGGGACAGUACCAUUCGAUUCUUGACCUGUUACGAGUAGCCACGAGAGAGAAGCUAAGCAAGCUUUUUACCAAAUGAUGAACGAUUGGUUCACGCAAUAUAUGAGAACUAAUAUAGCUAUGUCACAACCUUCACCCCUGCUCAAUCCUCCGCAAGUCCCUGUCAUGCUACAAGCUAAUCCGAUUCAGUUGAAUAGGCCUCCGGUUGACAAAAUUAGAAAAUAUGGGGCCGAAUAGUUUCGUGCUACUAAUAAUAAUGAUGCUAAGAGAGUUGAAUUCUGGCUUGAGAAAAUGAUAAGAGUGUUCGAUGAAUUGUCAUUGACUCCAGACGAAUGCCUUAAGUGUUCCGUUUUGCUUUUGAGAGAUACGACAUAUCAUUGGUAAAAGGCACUACUAAUCGUGGUUUUGAGAGAACGAGUCACCUGGGAUUUCUUUCAAGCUAAAUUUCAAAAGAAAUACAUCAGUCAGAGAUUUAUCGAUCAGAAAUGCAAAGAGUUUGUUGAAUUGAAACAGGGUCGUAUGUUUGUUACAGAACACGAGUGAGAAUUUGUGAGACUGAGCUAGUAUGUAUGAUAAUAUGUCUCGACUGAAGCAAUUAUGUGCAAGAGAUUCGAGGAUGGCUUGAAUGAAGAUAUUUGUUUGUUAGUCAGAAUUCUGGAGAUAAAAGACUUUGUUGUGCUUGUUGAACGAGCAUGUAAAGCUAAAGAACUUAGGAGAGAGAAAAGAAAAACCAACUCGAAAGCUUGAGAGGUACGAAAAAGAUCAUUGAGCUAGUUAUUUCAGUCCGUGUUAAAGAAAUUCCGAGAUUAUUAUAGCCAUUCAAAGGCUAAUGUGGGGCAUUCGAGUAAAGAUCGUGCUAGAUCGCAUUCGAGCUUUAGAGCUCCAACUACUUCUACUGUAAGUGUUGGAAAUGUCUGAUCCAAUCGACCCGAGUAUAAACACUGUGGUAAAAGACAUCCUGGGAAUUGUAGAUUGUAUGAUUGACCUUGUUUCAAAUGUGGAUCUUUAUAUCAUUUUAUUCGAGAUUGUCUCGAGUCUAUUGAGCAAGAGAUUGUGCAAAAUUCGAGGCCAAGCGGUAAUGUAGCUAGUGGUAGACCUCCUAGAAAUACGGAAAAUGUGAGUGGUAGUCAAAGAGGGAUUAUAGAUACUGUUGUAGAAUUUGAGGCUAGAGCACCAACCAAAGCAUAUGCCAUUCGAGCUCGUGAGAAAGCUUCGUCUCCCAAUGUUAUAACAGUACUUUCAAUAUUUAUGAUACCUCUGUGAUUGCAUUGAUUGAUAUAGCAUCAACGUAUUCGUAUAUAUGCAUGAAUUUAGUAUCCAGUAAGACUUUGCCUAUAGAGUCUACUGAAUUUGUAAUUAGAGUAUCGAACCCCUUAAGCCGGUGUGUUUUGGUUGACAAAGUGUGUAAGAAUUAUCCGUUGAUGAUUCGAGAUUUUUUCUUUCUGGUUGAUCUGAUGUUAUUACCUUUUGAUAAGUUUGAUAUAAUUUUGGGUAUGGAUUGGUUAACUUUGAAUGAUGUAAUUGUGAAUUGCAAACGUAAAACUAUUGAUUUGAGAUGCAAGAAUGAUGAAAUUGUCUGAAUUGAAUCUAGUGAUUUGAAUAGGUUACCAACUGUGAUUUCAUCGAUGAAAGCUCAGAAUUAUGUGAAAAAGGGUUGUGAAGCCUACUUAGCCUAUGUGAUCGAUUCGAAAGUGAAAGAAAAUAAAAUUGAAUCAAUGCCUGUUGUCUGUGAAUUCCCUGAUGUGUUUCCUGAAGAACUUUCGGGAUUACCUCCGAUCUAAGAAGUUAAAUUUGGUAUAGAGUUAGUACCGAGAACUACUCUGAUUUUGAGAGCUCCAUAUAGAAUGUCUCUUUAGUACCGAGAACUACUCUGAUUUUGAAAGCUCCGUAUAGAAUGUCUCUGACCGAGUUAAAAGAAUUAAAGUCUCAGUUACAAGAAUUGACCAAUAGAGGGUUUACACGAUCGAGUUUCUCACCUUGGGGUGCUCUUGUUCUAUUUGUGAAAAAGAAAUAUAGUACGAUGAGAAUGUUUAUUGAUUAUCGUCAGUUGAAUAAAGUGACUAUCAAGAACAAAUAUUCUCUACUCCGAAUUAACAAUUUUUUUGAUCAAUUGAAAGGAGCUACUGUGUUUUCAAAGAUAGAUCUCAGAUCAGGUUAUUAUCAAUUGAGAGUAAAAAAUUCAGACAUUUUGAAAGUUACAUUCAGAACGAGGUACAGACACUAUGAGUUUUUAGUUAUGCCCUUCGGAUUAACGAAUGCACCUACUGUUUUUACGGAUUUGAUUAACAGAAUUUUGAGACCGUAUUUAGAUCGAUUUGUUGUCGUAUUCAUUGAUGACAUUUUAAUUUAUUCGCAUGGUGAAACUGAACAUGCUGAACACUUGAGAAUAGUGCUACAAACUUUGCGAGAUAAGUAAUUAUAUGCGAAGUUUAGCAAAUGUGAAUUCUAGUUACGAGAAGUCGAUUUUCUGGGCCAUAUCGUGUCAGCAUCAGGUAUCCGAGUUGAUCCAAGCAAAAUUUUAGCUAUCUUAGAUUGGAAGCCUCCGAAAAAUGUUUCUAAAGUUCGUAGUUUUCUAGGACUUGCCGAUUAUUAUAGACGAUUUUUGAAAGGCUUUUUGAUGAUUGUGACUCCAUUGACCAAAUUGCUUCAGAAAGAUGAAAAUUUUGAAUGGUCUGAAAAGUGUCAAAAAAGCUUUGAUCAGUUGAAAGCCCUAUUGACUGAAGCUUCAGUGUUAGUACAACUAGAAUCGGGUAAAGAAUUUGUUAUUUACAGUGAUGCAUCGUUGAAUGGUCUGGGUAGUGUUUUGAUACAGGAAGGCAAAGUCAUAGCUUAUGCCUUGAGACAGUUAAAGUCGCAUGAAAAGAAUUAUCCGACACACGACCUUGAAUUAGUAGCUAUUGUAUUCGCUUUGAAGAUUUGGCGCCACUAUUUGUUUGGUGUGAAAUGUCAUGUAUAUUCUGAUCAUAAAAGUUUGAAAUAUCUGAUGACUCAGAAAGAUUUGAACCUGCAAUAGAGAAAAUGGCUACAAUUGCUAAAAGAUUACGAGCUUCUUAUUGAUUAUCAUCCGGGAAGAGCAAAUGUUGUUGCUGAUGCUUUAAGUCAGAAAUCAUUGUUUGCUUUGUAUGCAAUGAAUACUAAUUUAGUUUUGUCCGAUAAUGGUUCGAUUUUAGCAUAAUUGAAAGUGAUACCGUUGUUUUUACAACAGAUUAUUGAUGCUCAGAAAGUUGAUAAUGAGAUAAUAGCAAAACGAGCUCAGUGUAAAUUGAAUUCUGAUUCUGAAUAUAGAAUUGAUAAUGAUAAUUGUCUAAGAUUCUGAGGUCGGAUUUGUAUUUCAAAAAAUCUAGAAUUGAUUCAGAUGAUUUUGAAUGAAGCUCACAGUAAUUGUUUAUCUGUACAUCCGGGUAGUAAGAAAAUUUAUAAUGAUUUGAAAUAGUGUUAUUGGUGGUCCGAAAUGAAAAUAGAUAUCUCUGACUUUGUUUCAAAAUGUUUGAUCCAUCAGCAAGUUAAAGCUGAGCAUCAGGUCCCAUCUGGUCUGUUACAACCGAUUAUGAUUCUCGAAUGGAAAUAGGAUAGAGUGACGAUGGAUUUUGUUUUGGGUUUACCCUUAUCUCCGAAAAAGAAAGAUGCGAUCUGGGUUAUGGUUGAUGAAUUGACGAAAUCAGCUCAUUUUAUUCUGUUACGAUCUGACUACUCGCUUGAUAAAUUAGCUGAGUUAUAUAUUUUUGAUAUUGUAAGAUUGCACGGGGUGCCAUUGCCUAUUGUGUUAGAUAGAGAUUCGAGAUUCACUUCGAGGUUUUGGAAGAAAUUGCAAGAUGCUUUAGGUACAAAAUUGCACUUCAGUACUGCUUUUCACUUGCAAACGGAUGGUCAAUCUCAGUGGAUUAUUCAGAUUCUCAAGGAUAUGUUGAGAUGUUGCAUUCUUGAGUUCAAAAGUACAUGGGAAUAGUAUUUUCCAUUGAUUGAAUUUGCAUACAAUAAUAGUUUUCAAUCGAGCAUCAAAAUGGUACCGUACGAAGCCUUAUAUGGUAGAAAAUGUUGUACACCAUUGUAUUGGUCAUAACUCAAUGAAAAUAAGAUACAUGGGGUCGAUUUGGCAAAAGAGACUGAACAGAAAGUAAAAACAAUUUGAAAGAGUCUGAAAGAAGUUUUCGAUCGUCAGAAAUCAUAUACAGAUUUGAAAUGAAAAGAUAUUGAAUUUGAGAUUGGUGAAAAAGUGUUUUUGUAAGUAUCUCUGUGGAAGAAAGUACUUCAGUUCGGCCGUAAAGGCAAAUUGAGUUCGAGGUUCACUGGGCCGUAUGAGAUUAUAGAGUGUGUCAGACCGGUUGCAAAUAGAUUGUUAUUGCCAUCCGAGUUAGAAAAGAUUCAUAAUGUGUUUCACAUAUCGAUGCUUAGACGAUACAGAUCUAAUCCCUCGCAUGUGAUUUCUUCGUCUGAGAUAGAAAUUCAUUCUGGUAUGACCUAUUAAGAAGAAUCGAUCCGUACCUUGGCACGUGAGGUUAAAGAAUUGCGAAAUAAGAAACUUUAGUUAAUUAAAGUGUUGUGCACCGACACAGUGUUGAAGAGGCUACGUCAGAGCCCGAAGAUGCUAUGAGACACCAAUAUCCGAAUCUAAUCAAUGAUAAGAUUUUUGGGGACAAAAAUCCCUAAGAGGGAAGAGUUGUAACAGCUCGAUUUAGACCCUAAUCAGAAUAGUGGUUUUGAGACCACAAAUUUGAGUCUAAAAAAUAUUUUAAUAUUAUUUUUCAUGCUUAUUAUAUGUGAAUUGAUAUCUGCGAAAAUUUUGUACGAAAAUUUGAUUGUUUGUGUGCUUAUUGAUAAAAGGAUCUAAUCGCGUAAAAUGUAAAUAUGGUUUGCUAAUUGUUAAAGUGCUUAAUUGCUAUGUCUCUUUAAAUGAGAGGUAUUUAUAUGGUUAAUAGACCAUUUAACUUAUGAGUGGACUAUUAUGGACAUGAAUUAAAUGGAUUCAUGUUUUAUAAUCAAGGUUAUAUAAGUAAAUUAGUAUUUAAGUUAAUAAAAAUAAGACAAACAUAAAAUUUAGCCAUUAUCAUACUUUGUUGCUAAAAAUUGAAAGAAAAAGAUGAAAGAAUAAGCUUGCUAGGGUUCGGCACUAAUCUUAGCUUAUUGAGGUAUGAUUUUUGAUCAGUUUUUGAUAAUAUCUACAUUUUUGAGUUAUGCCCAUGAAAUCUAUUAAGCCCAUGUCUCAAUUUUUUAUUUUGUUGAUGAUUUGAGUUAUGCCAUUGAAGAAAUUGUAAGCUUUGUGAAGUUAGUUUAUGGAAAAUGAAAGAUAUCUGUUGGGUUAAUAUAUUGUCUUUUAAUUUUUUAUGAAUUUGAGUAAUUUGGGCUAAAUUGUAAAAAUGAGAUUUUGAGGAACUAAAAUGUGAAAUAAAUGAAAUAUGUAGGCUAAUAUGAACACUAUGAAUAUUCGGCCAUGUAUGUGAAAAAAGAAAUUGUGUAUUUUGUGAUUCUAUGAAUUAGGGACUAAAGUAUUAAAAUGUGAAAAUGUGAAGGUUAAUUUGUAAAAUGCCCUAAAUAUGUGUUUAUGAAUUGAUUUGAAUGAAUGUGAGAUUGAAUAAGUAAAAUUUGAAUGUGUUUAGAUCAAGAACCAAAGAAAAUGGAAUUAGACCGGGGAAAGUCGAAUGUCAUUGAGUAGUCGAUUCCGUUCGUUCGAAUCUGUAUGAGGUAAGUCAAUAUACAAAUAUACGUGUUUAAGUUGAUUUAUUUAUGUUUAUAUGACAUUAAACUGUGAUGAAUGGCUAUAUAAGAGUUGAAUAUGUGAUAUCCGAGAAAGUUUUGAUAAUGUGACGACGUCCGAAAAGCCCUGUAUAAACCAAAGGAAUAGUUAGGAUACAUACGUCAUGACAUAGGAUUCCGAUAGGUGAUUUUGUGUAAGACCACAUCUGGGACGUUGGCAUCGAUAUGAGAUUUACGUGUAAGACCAUGUCUGAAACAUCAGCAUCGUAUUUGAUUUCGUAUAAGACCCUGUUUGGGAUAGUGGAAUCAAUAUUUGAUUACAUGUAAGACCACAUCUGGGCCAUUGGCAUUGUACGAGCUUUCCGAGCUAUCCCAGUAUCCUUAUUGAUUCCGAACAAUUUAACGGGCACUCCGAGAAUGAAUAAAUAUAUGAAUGUAUAUCCGCUUCAGGUACGUAUGAACUGUAUAUGGAAUUUGGCAGUGAAAGGUGAGUAUGAAUAUGAUUCUUUGAUAUGUGAACUACAUGGAAAUGUGAAGUACUGACUAGCAAAUAGAUAUGAACAUUUGAGCUAAUGAGAAAUAUGAGCUUGUUAUUGAAUUAUGUCAUGAUUCAUAUGAAUGAGUUGUUUAUAUUUGUGACAUGUGAUAAGUUUGUUUGUAUAUGGCUUACUAAGCUUUUGAAAGCUUACGUUCUGUGUCUUUCAAUUGUUUUAUAGAUAUCGAAGCUACCGAGAGCUCGGGGAUCGUCGAGGGUCAUCACCACACUAUCAAACUCUAUUUUGGUACCUUUUGAAAGUGUAUAUAUUGAAGUAUGGCAUGUAUAGGCUAGAAGUAUUUGAAUAUGUUUUGUGAAGUGUAUAUUUAGCCAUGUGAUAUGGCUUGAUUAUAGUUGAACUUAUGGUUUGAUUUUGGUAUAUGAUGUGUGAUGCAAAAAUGGAAAAUUUUGGUGUAUAUGUAUAGCCUAAUGAAUUGGUCAAUUUGGUAAGUUUUGGUAUUAUUUAAUUGAGAAAUUAGUAAGAUUAUGAAUCAUAUGUUUUGGUAUGUUUUGGCUUAUGAUUUGGCAUGAUUUAGUAUGGAUUAUAAGCAUGAAAUUUGUUGAUAAUGAUAUAGCAUGAAUGGUGUAUGUUUUGGUUGUGAAUUGGUUGAAAAUUUGGUACAAAAUGUUUUGAUUUUGAUGCUUGUAGGGAGGACCUUUAUAGGGAGGCCUUUUGGCCUUGUAAAUGGCCUCUUUUUGCCCAUACGAGUAGGGACACACUGCCGUGUUGCUUAAAGGUGAUAAACCAUAAUAUAUACAUAUUUUUACCCCAUGCUUGGCAUAUUUAUGGAUUAUUUUUCCUUGGUUUCAUUGAAUUCGAUGCUUCUAAUCCUUUAAAUUCAUGUUUUAUACUUAGGCGAGCAUUGAAAGGCAAAAAGAGCAAGAAACGGGACAAAAAUGAACAAAUUGGGCCAAAUCAGUGUUUCACACAACCUAGGCACUUCUACACGGGUGAUCCACACACCCGUGUGUGACACACGGGUAGACCACAUGCCCCUGUGUCAUGGCCGUGUCGACUAAAAACCAACUCAAAAUUGCACACGGCUUGUGCACCUUUACACGGGCGUGGCACACGGUCGUGUCCCUAUUAAACCCAAGUCUAAUUCUACUCGAAAAAGGCUAAUUUUGGGCUAUUUUGAGCAUUCCAAAGUCUAUAUAAACACCCUAGAAGAGGAUUAAGAGGGACGCAGAGAAUAGAAGGCAGAAAAUACUCAAGAACAGCCAUCAGGAUCAGCUCAGAAUGAGGAUCUACAUUAAGACUGAAGAUUUCCAUCCAAUUUCUUAGAAGUUCUUUGGGUUUUUUUAUGUUUUGUUGUUUUCCAAUUUUUGAGUCCAUUAUUAUGAACUAAACUCCCUAAAUACCUAAGGGAGAUGAAACCUAAGACGAAUCUUAUUAGUCUUUGAAUUAUAUGAUGAAUACUUGUUCUUAUUCUUAAUUAUGAGUUUAAUCCUUACUUUAAUAUUCCAGGAUAUUAAUUCAAGUUUUUGUUGUGCUUAAUCAGUGGAGAAAAAGUCCUUAUUUAAGAGUAGAUCAUUCAUAAUUAAGCGGGGUUGCAUGCAAUCCUAGAGAUAGGACGACAUAAAUCUACCAGAUUAGAGUCAAAUCUAAUAAGGGAAUCCAUAGAUCGAUUUAAUGCGACAAUAGGGGUUUUAAUUAGAAAGAGAUUUCGAUUAAUCAACCUAGAGUCAGUUGUUUUUAGUCUCGAGAGAGAUAUUAACAUAAAUCAGGGAUUUCUACGGAUUAAUUCAAGUGAAUAAAUCGUCUAAUUUAGAAGUAAUAAGUAAAGUCUAGGUGGAUUCUUCCUUGGGUAUUGUCUUCUCCAUCAGUUUUCUAGAAAGUGUUUCCCAAUUUUAAUCUCCGUCGUAAUCUUAGUUAAUUAGAUAAUUAGUUUUAGUUUAAUAACGUCCUUUAAUUCUUAGGUUAGAUAAUAAAAAGAUAGUAAUUACUAGUACUUUUAGUCCUCGUGGAUACGAUAUUCUCGGUCUCACCAUAGCUAUACUACUAUUCGAUAGGUACGCUUGCCUUAGUCAAAUUUUUAGUUAGUUUUACGACCAUCAAGUUUUUGGCACCAUUGCCGGGGACUAAGAUAUAAGGAACACUUAAUUUUUAUUACUUUAGCCUUUUUUAUUUUUAUUGCAAUUUAAUUUUGUUUUUAUUUACUAAAUUUUAUUUUCUUUACUUCUGGUAGGUUUUUAUAGUUUAUGACUAGAAGAAACCCGUCAGGACCUUUGCUUUUUGACAGUGAGAUCGAGAGCAUAGAUCACAGAAACUAAAGAGAAAUAUGGCGAAGCCUACAAUACAUGGAGGAAGAGCGAGAGGCUGAUAUCCAUACCACAACCAAGGAGAUGGCUUUUAAUCAGAAUAAUACGUUACCUCAUGUGGUUGCUACAAAUCCAGUAGAUCAGAACCUUGCUCCUCGUACUAUGUAUGAUUAUGCUAAAACUAAUUUAACAGGAGCUGAAUCGAAUAUAGUUAGACCUCUUGUUGCUGCAAAUAAUUUUAAACUGAAACCUAAUACGAUUCAAAUGAUACAACAGUGUGUUCAGCUUGAUGGUUUGCAGGACGAGGAUCCAAACACUCAUUUAGCAAAUUUUCUGGAAUUUUCUGACACCUUUAAGACUAAUGGUGUUUCUGACGAUGCCAUUAUUUCUUUUUUCAUUAAGGAAUAAAGCUAAACAGUUGUUGAACUCGUUACCAUGAGGGUCAAUCACCACUUGGGAACAAAUGACUCAAAAAUUCUUACUUAAAUAUUUUCCUCUGGCUAAAACGGCUAAACUAAGGAAUGAUAUCUCUUCUUUUGUGCAGAUGGAUUUAAAAACCUUUUAUGAUGCAUGGGAGAGGUACAAAGAUCUAUUGAAAAGGUACCCUCACCAUGGGUUACCUCUAUGGCUGCAGGUUCUGUAACACCUCAAACCCGGCCUGGAAGUUUGGCUCGAAUCUGGCGUGUCACAUUGAAGUGUUUUUUGAAAACCAUGUUUCCAUUAAAAACCCUUCUUAAUAAUUAAAAACUUAUACCCUUUUUAAACCUUGCUAGAAAACCUCAGCUGAAUAACAUUUUUAACAACUUUGUAAAAAUCUUGGUAGUUGCGGAAGCUUAAUUUAAAAACAAUUGCAGAUACGUGAUGUUUUGAACAACAGUAGUUGUUUUGGAAAAUCGUGUUCUAAUACUAGCAAUUAUAAGAACAAUAAAUAAAAUUCUAAAUUUGAAAUCCAAAAAAUUACAACGGCUUUACUACAACCCACAUAAAUACAUUUAAAAGUAAUAAUCAAAACUGUAACAUAAACAGUGCGUGUGGCUUCUUCCAAGCCCCUCGCAGCUCCGAUCUGUCUAAGGCUGGAAAUUACCUGAAAGGUUAAUAAACGGGGUGAGUUUACGAAAACUCAGUGUGAAAUCCCCUACUAUAUAAAAGGUACAGUCAGUCAUAUAAAAGAAUUAAAAGUCUGGCCCCAGCCCUACUUACAGUUUCAGUAUCAACUGGGCCUUAGCCCAUUAUAAUAGACAGUACCAGAUAGGCUUUAGCCCAUUACAGAAUAAGAAACAUUAUCAGAACUAGAAUCAAACCACAGAAUCAAAUUCAGAAUGAAGCCCAUAGGCCCAUAACAGAUACAGAACAGAUAUUUCAUUUAUACUGAAAACCCAACCCAUGUCCAGCCGUGUACACCCCAGUACCAACCUUAUACCAUGUGGGGAGACAACUCGACCCACCCAUCCGCUCCAUGCCACAGAAUUUGCAGUAUGGCUGCCAGAACUGAUAUUUUGACAGAGUCACCAGAUACUGAUAUUGUGGCAGAGCCACCAGAAUCAAAUAAUGUGGCAAAGCCACUUAACAGAAUACGUGGCACAAAGCCAUUGAUAACGGGUCUAUAAUCGGGACGAAGCCCAUAAUAUUGAUACGAAGCCCACAAUAACGGCACACAGCCUUCGUAACAUGAUCGGCACUCAGCCAUUGAUAAUGGGUCUAUAAUUAGCAUGAAGCCUACAAUAACGGCACACAGCCUUCGAUAACAUGAUCGGCACUCAGCCAUCGAUCGGUCAAUAGAUAUUGUGACAAAGUCACCAAAUACAAAUAUUGUGGCAGAGCCACCAGAACAGAUAUUUGUGGCAUAGCCACCAGAACGCUUCCUCCAUCAAUAUAACCCAUAUCCCAUGCAACAGAUAUACAUGUCAUGGCAAACAACAUACAGAAUCAGAAUAUUAUGCCCAUAUUUGAAUCAAACAAUCACAGUCAAGCCAUUCAUAUCACCAACAAAUAUUCACAAUCAAAUCCAUCAACCACACAGUCCAAGUUAGCCACUUGCCCACAAGGGCAAAAUAGUCAUUUAACACCCUAGGGGUAAAAUGGUAAUUUUACCCUACGAGGGUAUCUAGGUAAUUCUACCCUACAGGGGUAUUUCAAUAAUUCUACCCUACAGGGGUAUUUCGGUAAUUCUACCCUAUAGGGGUAUUUCAGUAAUUCUACUCUACAGGGGUAUUUCGGUAAUUCUACCCUAUAAGGGUAUUUCUGUAAUUCUACCCUAUAGGGGUAUUUCGGUAAUUCUACCCUACAGGGGUAUUUCAGUAAUUCUACCCUACAGGGGUAUUUCGAUAAUUCUACCCUACAGGGGUAUUUCAGUAAUUUUACCCUAUAGGGGUAUUUCAGUAAUUCUACCCUAUAGGGGUAUUUCGAUAACUCUACCCUACAGGGGUAUUUCAGUAAUUCUACCCUAUAGGGGUAUUUCGGUAAUUUUAUCCUACAAGGGUAUUUUAGUAAUUCUACCCUACAAGGAUAUUUCGGUAAUUCUAUCCUACAAGGGUAUUUCAGUAAUUCUACCCUACAGGGGUAUUUCGGUAUUUCUACCCUACAGGGGUAUUUCGGUAUUUCUACCCUAUAGGGGUAUUUUAGUAAUUCUACCCUAUAGGGGUAUUUUGGUAAUUCUACCCUACAAGGGUAUUCAGUAAUUCUACCGUAUAAGGGUAUUUCGGUAUUUCUACCCUACAAGGGUAUUUCGAUAAUUCUACCCUACAGGGGUAUUUCAGUAAUUCUACCCUAUAGGGGUAUUUUAGUAAUUUUACAAAUCGAUGGUAUUUCAGUAAUUUUACAAUCGACAGUGCUUCGGUAAUUUUAUAAACCAGGGGUACUUUGGUAAUUUUACAAGUCGAGGGUAUUUUAGUAAUUUUGUAAACUAAAGUAUUCUAAAUAGGGAUAACAAUACGAAUGGGCCUAAAGCCCAUUCCCAGCCCAAAUGGGCCCACACGCUCGUGUGGCCCUUUUAGCCCAAAUCUAGCCACAGAUAUGAGAUUCACCUAGUCUAGUCCAAUAUUUACUACACAAUCAAACAACUUAUCCAAUUGGGCCCAUAUGACCCCUUUCAGCCCAUCGCGGCCCAAAGUAGCCGUCCUACAGCUAGAGUAGUGAGAAAUACACACCUGAUAGGAGACUGGAGUUAAUCCUCACUCCGAGCACUCUUAGCCGACGCCCAACCCAAACGAGCACGCCAUAAAGCGAAAGGGAUCAGCCAAGAAAGGUACCCUUACCCUCCUCAUGGUUCUCUCUAUUUAAAGCCAGCUUCGUAUCCACUCUUAUGUUAGCUUCCUGAUGUGGGAUCCCUCCAUCAUCAGAGUUUAAAUUCAACACCAACUCUUGCCUCCUCCUGUUAGCAAAAUAAAUGCUCUUUGAUUGCCAUGAGUUUCGAACCCUGGACCUUGUUGCCAACUCUAUGACGCCAUCUUCCUGCCUCUUAUGUGGCGCUACUUUGCCACUAGACCACAAGGCUUUUUUUUGUGGCACAAUUUCUCCAACAAUAUUCUUAAGAACUACCUACUACACCCAGGGUUUGAUUUACCUUAAACCAAAAUUUUUGCUAGAGUCCAAGUUUGAACCCAGGACUUCUCCAACACUUCUCAGCACACUUAACCACUAAAACAAGCCUUCAUUAACAAAAUUUACAUGUACAACAAAAUAUUAUAAGUUGCCUUCAACCGCUCCCAUGCUCAAGGCCCAAAACUUCUAGGCCCAAAUUUAGGGUGUUACAGGUUCAGACUUUUUACAACAGUGUGAAUCCCUCAACAAGGCAACUUAUCGACGCAGUUACCAGUGGUACUUUAAACAACAAAAAACCUGAAGAAGCUUAUGAAUUUAUUGAAGAGAUGUCACUGAAUAACUAUCAGUGGCAAGUCAUAAGAACGAAGCUGACAAAAGCAGCUGGUGUUUUCAACCUCGACGCGGUCACUAUGCUAUCCAACCAGGUAGAACUUUUAAAUAAAAAGAUUGAUGGUUUGUAUGGUUCUACUCAGGUACAUCCAGUGAUAAGGUGUGAUUCAAAUGGAAGAAGAGUACACAACACAGAUUAUCCAUCCUUUAACCCUAGCACCGAGGAGGAACAAAUCCACUAUAUGGGUAACAAUUCUAGACCUCAAAACCCGUAUAGUAACAUUUAUAAUGCAGGUUGGAGGAAUCAUCCCAAUUUCUCGUGGGGUGGUCAGGGAAAUCAAAGGCCACAACAUCCUCUAGGUUUUCGACAACCACCAUACCAACAAGAUAAGAAACCGAACCUUGAAGAUAAGCUUACAAAAUUCAUCUCGCUGUCAGAAACUCAUUUUCAGAAUACCGAAAUAGCAGUUAAAAAUCAACAAGCGUCGGUGCAAGGGCUCGAAACUCAAAUAAGACAGCUUGCUAAGUUGAUCUCUAAACGACCACAAGGUGACCUACCAAGUAACACUGAAACUAACCCAAGGGAGCAACUUCAUGCCAUUACUGUGCACAAUGAUAAAGGGUUAGUUGAAGCUGAACCGAAAUUGAGGCAAGACAAUGUGAAAGAUAAAGGUAAGAUUGAUAUAAGCAAUGAUAAAUAGAAACUGGUAAUCAAUGACUAUAAACCUCGUGUGCCAUACCCCAAUGAGACAAGGAACGACCACACAGACGAAAAGUUCGGUAAAUUGCUUAAAUUGUUAAAAAAAUUACAUAUUAACUUACCAUUUAUUGAAAAUCUUUCACAGAUGCCAAACACAGUGAAAUUUUUAAAGGAGCUUUUGGCUAAUAAACGAAAGUUAGAUGAUGCGUCGCAUGUGGAAUUAAACACAGUUUGCUCAGCCAUUCUACAGAAUAAGAUACCGAACAAGUUAAAAGAUCCAAGGAAUUUUACGAUUCCUUGCUUAAUUGGAAGUUUAAAUAUUAAUAAUAAGUUGGCUGAUCUAGGGGCGAGCAUUAAUGUCAUGCCCUAUAAAAUGUUUAAACUACUAGGUCUUGGGAAACCAAAACAAACUAGGAUGAGCAUUCAACUGGCAGAUAAAACAAUUAGAUUUCCUAGGGGUAUCAUUGAAAAUGUGCUAGUUAAAAAUUGAUAAAUUUAUAUUCCCAAUUGAUUUUGUUGUUCUAGACAUGAAAGAGGAUAAUGACGUACCUUUGAUUUUAGGACGGCCUUUUUUAGCAACUGCUAGGACUAUCAUUGAUGUUGGCACAGGAGAACUAAUACUUCGUGUAGGAGAUGACACGAUUACUCUCCAAGCUCGUGAUUCGACUAAGUUAUCUAGUAAGCAAGAUGGCUAUACAAGUUCUGUUGAUAUGAAUAACAUUUUGGCUCAAACUUCUUUUUAGGAAACCCCUAGGAAGAACGUGAUGGAGCCACAUUCUAGUACAUGUGACAAAAACAGAACGAUUCAUGAAAAACGAAGACUACAAAUUAAUGAACUAGAUGAAUGGCGGACACAUGUUAAGGAGAAACCAAAAGUACGAAAGGAGUCAAAGCAACGCCAUGAUGAGUAUAGGGUGAAACAAAGAAAUUUAAGGUCGGGGAUAAGGUAUUGUUAGAUGAAAAGGACCCUCAAAUUGCAACUUCAGAGCAUAAUACAAACGAAGCGAUUUCCUUCACGGUAUUGAAUACUUUACCACAUGGUACAGUCGAGGUAACACAUACUGAAUUCGGAACUUUCAAUGUAAAUAAUACUCAACUCAGAACCUAUUUUAAUAAAAUUGAUAGCAGAGGUGAGGAGUUUCAACUCCUCAGUCCACUGUGACCACACGAAAUUGAAGUCGACCUUAGACUCUAAAUAAGCACUUCUCGGGAGGCAACCCGAGCACUAACACUACUAACUAGUUUUUUUAGCCAUUUUUUGUGUUUUUUUAUGCAGGAAUAGUGACCCACACUACCUGGACACACGGGCGUGUCCUUGGCCAUGUGGAAACAGGGCUAACAAUCUCCAAGUAUCGAGUCACAUGGUCAUAAAUUCGAUCCACACGGUCGUGUGAAGCACAUGGCAUGGACACACGAGCGUAUCCUAGGCUAUGUGAAAACUGGAGAAAAUUUUUUAAAUUAGUCAGAGAGGUACACAAGCAAGGCACAUGGCCGUGUGUUCAGACACACGGGAAUGUGGGAUACCACACGGGCGUGGAAGAAGCGAACAACGAAGAACACAGCCGUACGACACGACCGUUUGAACCACACGGCCUAGACACAUGGGCGUGUCCCUAGGCCAUGUGACGAUUGGGCAUUCAACUUUUGCGACAAACAUAGGCUAAACUCGAGCCACACGGCCGUGUGGCCCAAAACGGGCCUCACACGACCGUGUCCCCUUUUUAACCCCCAAACCCUAACAUUUCCUUCACUUUUUUUCUUCUUCCUCAAAGCCUCCCCUUAGCCACCGCAGCCCUCAAACAACCCCACCCUGGCGCCCCCAAACGUCGACCCACCAGCAGCCGCCUCCCCCGCCGGCCGACCCCCUUCCCUUUCCUUUCUCUUUCUUUCUUCCCCAUCCUUUCUUCUUUUCCCUUCCCUUUCUUUUCCCCUUUCAUCUUCUUCCUCUACCCCUAAACUUCCACCUCCAUCACACGCACACCAUCUCUGUCCACUGUCGUCCGUACCUCUGACCAUUGACUGUGGUUUCCUGUUUUACCUUUACCUCUAUUUUAUCUCAUUUUACUUAUUUACUCCUCUAUUUCUUUAUUUUUUUGUUAUUUCUUAAUUGUUAUUUCAUUUUGAGUUUAGUAUAUUUUUCGUUAAUUAUUUAGUUUUUGAUAGUCUUCAUUAUUAUUACUAUUACUAUUUAGGAUUAUUAUGAUUUUCACUUUUAUUAUUACUACUUUGUUUUAGUUUUCUGGCUUUUUCAAGUUUUGCUUUAGCCUAUUUUAUUAUUAUUAGUACUUAUAUUCUCCUAUAUUUGCAUCCAUCUGUUUAGUUAGGUGUUGUCUUAUUCCUUACUGUUAUUGCUAUGUCCCUAUUAUUCUAGUUUUUACUUUCAUUAGUGUUAGGGUAUACACAUUUAAUAACUACAGUUUUAUUUUUACUUAGAUUCUAUUUUUUCCUUUGUCUUGUUUACUUUCAUUAGUGUUAGGAUAUACACAUUUUAGAACUAUAGUUUUAUUUUUACUUAGAUUCUAUUUUUUCCUUUGUCUUGUGGUUAAAUACUUGGUGCUAUUUGACUUAUGUUAUUUUCAAGAACACCAUGAUAAACACACGAGGCAAGAAGAUUGCCAUCCUCGCUUCGAAAAACUGAAAGGGUCCUGGCGCAACCUCCUCGAGCGCCUCGACUUAAGCUUGUCAAUCGCUGCUUCAAUUCUCCUCCAGCCCACAGAACAACUUGUUUCAGCUUUUGCGCAUGUGACCACUAGGUGUGGGCUGUUGUAUUGAUUAGGUCGCUUUGGAGCAGGUUCACCUUGCUCACCUUGUUCGAUUCCAUCUCGAUACUGCCUUGUGGGAUCGGUUCUUUUCAAUUAUCGAGCCCAUCUAUUCGGAGCUAACCUUGGAGUUUUGCACUACGUUCCAUCUACAGCAUGUGAUGAAUAGACAUGACGAGGCUGGUACUAUCAUUUUAAACUUGGUGGACUUGUAAGGCACAUGAGUGUACCAGAGUUUGGAGCUACUUUAGGCCUUUACGAGGAGGAGUUCAUGACUUCCGAGAAUUUUUUACAACUUCACCGUCACAUACACUACUCGCCCUCUUACUGUUGGACCAACCUUACAGAAAGUACUAUUCCCUAUAAUGCAAGUCGCUCAAAGGUGACUUCUCUUCCUCUAGCACUACGCUACAUCCAUGCUAUUUUGGCUCAUACCUUGACUGGGAGGAGAAAGAUCAUCGGCAUCGUUAGCACCACCGAUGCUUACUUCUUAUGGAGCAUGGCGACUAGUCUUGUAUUUGACUUGGCAUAUUUUAUCGCCCUCGCUUUUCGCCACCAGACAGAUCACCAUAAGAGGGGCCCUAUUUGCCUUGGUCCCUAAGUGACUCACCUCGCUCGCCACUUCGGCCUCUUCGACACUCCAGAGAUGCCAUCGACACUCACACUAGUAGGCCAGAUAUCUCCUCAAGGAAUAUCUAGCAUGAUUCACAUGAGGAUGAUAGAGCGAAGCCGUGGAUUCGACCCUCCUCAGUACAGACUCAGUCAGUCUGAUGAUCAGGAAGAGCCAGAGAACAUUACUAAUAAUGUCCCUCCCCUUCAUGAGGACCCACCUCCACCAUCAUCACAGAGUCACCACCCCACUGCUGCCACUUUGAUAGAUAUAUCCGAACGACUCACUCGAUUUGAGCAGCAGUGUUUAGAGCAGUUCGACAGCAUCGAUGCCACUCUUCGACAGAUUUGCCACCACCUCCACAUCUCUCCUUCAGCACCAUCGACCCACGAUGCAUCUAAUGAUGAGGACCUUUGAGUCUCUUUAUUUAUUUAUUAUUAUUAUUUUCAUUUAAAUUUUAUUUUGACUUUUAUCUAUUUUUUAAAACUUAUGUUUUAUAUUUUGAACUAUAUUUAUCUUUAUGGUUUUUCUUGAGUAACCCCUUGAUCCUCUUCCACAGUUGUGUUUAUUUUCUUACUAUUAACUCAGACUCAUGCCUUUCAUUAGCCUUCUCUACAACUCUCGCUUUCGCUAUUCCAAGAAUUUCAUCCAAAAUUCAGGACAGUUUCGCUUCUCUCCCUCUCUUUUGAUAUUAUGCUUAUAUUGUUAUUAUCUAUCUUUGUACAUUGAGGGCAAUGACAUUUUAUGUGUGGGGAGGUUAUUUAUGUGAUUAUUAGAAAAUUCCUGAAUUUUUAUCUUGUUCUCAAAUAAUCUUCUCAUAUCACUAUUAGAAUGAAUUUUGAUUGAUUUAUGAUUUAUAUUGAUGUGUUUUGAAUUAAAUCAUAGGUAAUUGUGCAUUGAUUGUUUAAACUUUAAGACAUUAGAGGAUCAAGCAUGAUAAGUUGACUUUUGAGAAUUAAAAUUGCUAGGUUAUUUCCCUGAAUUGAGGUAUUAUCUUGAAGUUUUGAAUUUACAAGAUUGAUAUCAAAUACCCAUAAUUUUUGUGAGACUUUGAGCCUUUUAGAGCAUAUAUUCUUCUUGCUCACUUAUUUUAUUGGUUAUGAGUGUGUCAACAUUGAUUUGCUAUUAUAGAACUUGCAUCGAUUAUGCAUGUCAAGACCACAUCUUUGACUUGAUAUACUAAGAUGAUAGAGGCACUUAUGUUUUAACCCACUUACUCCAUCAAAAGCCUACCCACAUAAUUGAUCCCUAGUGAACCCCUUUGAGCCUUAACCAUUAUUUCUUGAUGUUCCCUUAAUAUUAACCCACAAUUUAACCCUUUUUGAUUCCUUAAGAUUUCUCCCUUUUCAUUGACUCCUUUUUAUCGAGAUUUGAUUUGACUAGUUACCUAACUAUGUUCGUUCAUUCUAGUUGUUGAAUUAUUUCUUAUUAUGUAUUACCCAUUAUUUCACUUGUUCUUUUUCUUAAAAAAAAGUAUAUUUAUAUUCAUUCAAAUACAUAUUGUUCUAAAGAGAUUGGAUAAGUUAAAGUCAUUAUAUUGAGAGAAAAGCUCAUUUCAUUAGUUUUGGUUAGUGUUAAUUCUGGCACUUGUUUGUAAUUCAGUAAUUAGCUUUGUUUUUCUAAGUUUGGUAAUUUAUUAAAUUAAUCUUGAUCUAACCUUCUUUUUCAGCCUUCAUCCACACCUUUAACCCAAGCCCCAUUGCAAACUUAUUAAAGACCUUUUGAUUUGUGUAUCAUCUCAUUUAUAGUGGUGGAGAUUUGAUUUUCAUGCAAGUCUAUGGUAAUAACUUUUCAUGUUUGACUAUUGAGUGCUUAAUUAUUGAACCUUAAACACUUUGAGUGAUUUGAGUGAAUCAUUAGUGAAGAUGUCAAUCUUGUCAAUUUGGAAUUAAAGGUGAUUACUUAGAUAAAGAGGGAUAACUAUGAUUUUAUGAUUGAAAUGCUCAAUUUGGAUUGUUUGAAACUUUAAUGUUAUUUUAGUUAAGCUCUUAACGUAUGAUUACUUGUGGAUUAUUUCGAACACUAUUGAUGAGAAUUGUAAGUGGAGAAGAAAUUAUUUUAAUUGUGAGUUAAGGAGUUUGAUUGAGUACAAGCAAAUGCUUAAGUGUGGGGAUAUUUGAUAAACCAUAAUAUAUACAUAUUUUUACCCCAUGCUUGGCAUAUUUAUGGAUGAUUUUUCCUUGGUUUCAUUGAAUUUGAUGCUUCUAUUCCUUUAAAUUCAUGUUUUAUACUUAGGCGAGCAUUGGAAGGCGAAAAGAUCAAGAAAUGGGACAAAAAAAGACAAAUUGGGCCUAAUUCAGUGUUUUACAUGGCCUAGGCACUUCCACAUGGAUGAUCUACACGCCCGUGUGUGACACACGGAUAGACCACACGCCCAUGUGUCAUGGCUGUGUCGACUAAAAACCAACUCAGAAUUGCACAUGGCUUGUGCACCUUCACACGGGCGUGGCACACGAUCGUGUCCAUAUUAAACCCAAGUCUAAUUCUAUUCGGAAAAGGCAAAUUUUGGGCUAUUUUGGGCAUUCCAAAGUCUAUAUAAACACCCUAGAAGAGGAUUAAGAGGGACACAGAGAAUAGAAGGCAGAAAAUACUUAAGAACAGCCAUUGGGAUCAGCUCAGAAUAAGGAUCUACAUCAAGGCUGAAGUUUUUCAUCCAAUUUUUUAGAAGUUCUUUGGGUUUUUUAUGUUUUAUUGUUUUCCAAUUUUUGAGAUGUUUUCCAUUAUUAUGAACUAAACUCCCUAAAUACCUAGGGGAGAUGAAACCUAAGACGAAUCUUAUUACUAUUUGAAUUAUAUGAUGAAUACUUGUUCUUAUUCUUAAUUAUGAUUUAAUCCUUACUUUAAUAAUCCAGGAUAUUAAUUCAGGUUUUUGAUGUGCUUAUUCAGUGGAGGAAAAGUCCCUGUUUAAGAGUAGAUCAUUCAUAAUUAAGCAGAGUUGCAUACAAUUCUCUUAUAUGAACUAUGUUUCAAUAUUUAAGCAUUUCAAUUCCUUUUGCCUAUACAAAAAUUUUGAACCAAGCUAUCAAAUAUCAAAACCAAUUUGAACAUAUUUCAUAAUUACAAAAUUCAAACCAUAUGGCCAUCAUUUCCAUAACAUUCGAUUACCCAAGUCAUAAUCAAACAUAUUUCAUUUCAUAUGCCGAGCAUAUAUCAAAACAUCCAUUUGUAUACAUCUAUUUCAUAACAAGUUAACGAUCAUACCAUUUUAUAAACCUAAGUACAAACGCAUACUAAGCCGUUUCAACCCAUAUCAUUAGCUAAAUAGCAAACAUAACAUUUAAUAAACAUUAUACAUGCGCUUGUUAAAUCAAUUUGGCCAUAUCUCACAGCUUAAUAUUCAUUUGCACAUAAAACAUUAGGUAACUUUAUAACAUAACCAACUAUACUUUUAACAUUAUCAUAUCAUGCACAUAACACCCAAAAGCCAAAAGCCAAUUCUAAAUACAAUUACAAAUCAUAGCAUUUUAAACAUUAUCACCUUAUAUGUAUUAUACCAAAUCAAAUUUAACCCUUUUUGGACACAAAUGUUAAGUCAUACCAUACCUAAUUCGCAAGCUAAAUAACAUAUUUUACCAUGUUAUAUUCAUAUCAUAGUCAAACAUCAACAUUAAGUCCCUUUCUUAGGUCAAUGAGACCAUAAACAUGCAUUAGGAAGAGGUCGGGACUAAAUCGAACACUUACAAAAUUUUUUUGAAAAUUAACAAUUUCUCUUUAAGUUACAAAGGUCACGCGCCCGUGUAAACAGGCCAUGUCCCUUACACAGCAUUUGACAUGCCCGUGUGUCUAGGCCGUGGCAAAACAGGGCAUACAUACUACUUAUCCACACGGCCACAAGACACUUCCGUGUGUCUAGCCCGUGGUCGAAACUGACUUGGCCACACUGCCUGGCACACAUCCAUGUGUGUGCGACCAUGUGGUCUGCCCAGGCUCAUUUCGAAAUGGCCCUCAAGCAACACGGCAGAGACACACACCCGUUUCUCUGCCUGUAUGGGAAAAAAUAGGCCAUUUACAAGACCAAUAUGCCACCCAUUUGGGUCAUCCCUACAAUUCCAAAAUCAAGCAUCAUAUACCACUUUUUCAACCAAUUUCAAUCUCAAAACAUACACCAUUCAAGUCAUGUAAUCAUCAAUCUGUUUCAUGCUUAAUAUCUAUACUAAAACAUACCAAAAUCAUACGCCAAAUUCAUUCAAUCAUACAUUACCAACAACCCAAUUUCUUAUCCAUCUUCUUGCCAAACUUAUACCAAAUUUAACAAUUAAGCACAUACCAAAUUGACCAUUUCAUUUAAUCAUUCAUAUGCAUCAAAUCAUACCAUUUUCUCAUCACAUAAACCAUAACAAAACCAAACCAUAUUCACAUCCAUUAUCAAGCCAUAUCACUUGGCAAAACAUAUAUUUACAUCUUAAAACGUACUCACAUACUUAUAGCCUAUACAUGCCACAUAAUGAAAUUUGAAAGCAUUUAUUUACCAAAGUGAAAACUGGAUAGUGUGAUGAGAUAUCCUACGACUUCCAACCUCAGCAAGUCUUCGAAACUCUAUAAACAUAGGAAAAACACACAUAGUAAGCAUUAUAAGCUUAGUAAGCCAUAGGAAAAUAAAUCAACUCAAUGAUAUAUAUAAUUCAAUUUAACUAGGCUAAAUUUAACAAAAAUUAACCACAUAUACCUUCAUCAUACUCAUAAAUUCAUAUGAUUACAUUAAGUAACCUCACUUACCUCAUUUCUCAGUGAACAUAUAAAUCUCAUACAUACUUGAUUCAUCUAGCUCAUUUUUUCAUACUCACUUGCACAAAAGCACAUCCCAAUCUCAUAAAUUACAUCUAUUUUACUUACUCAUAAUUCAUUUUCAUACAGUCAUUAUUCAUUGUCAUGUAUUUCACAUAUAGUCAAUUAAAACAUACUCACUUUUCAAUUCUGAAUUACAUAAACAGAUCACACGUACUUGAAUUGGAUACAUUUUUUACAUAAUCAUUCAUUUCUCGACAUUGCCUUUCAAACCAUUUGGAAUCAAUAAGGAUACUCGGAUAACUCGGAAAGCUCGUACAAUGCCAACGUCCCAGAUGUGGUCUUACAUGUAAUCAAAUAUGGAUGCCACUAUCCCUACAGGGUCUUACACGAACUCAUAUACAAUGCCAAUGUCCUAGACAUAAUCUUACACGUAAAUCAAAAAUCGAUGCCAACGUCCUAGACAUGGUCUUACAUGAAAUCACAUAUCAGAAUCCUAUGUCAUGACAUAUGUAUCCUAACUAUUCCUAAGGUUCGUAUGGGACUUUCGGACAUCGUAACUUGAUCGAUUCAAGCUCGUAACUAUUACUCCCAUGCUUAAUUCAAUUCGGCAUAUGCAUAUACACAAGUAAUAAUUCAAUUUGGCACUAUUAAAAUAUAUACAAUUGAAUUUACCGACACUUAUUUACUUAUGAACUUACCUUGUACAGACACGAACAGACCGGAACGAUUAUUCGAUAAUUUUCUACUUUUCCCGAUCCAAAUCCAAUUUCCUCAUUUUUUAAUCUUAAUUUGAUCUCCAAGGUGCCAAACCUUAAACAAAGAAAAUAGCUUCUUAUUCUUUCUUACAUUCGGCCAACAAGAUGAUAAACAUGCAUAUUUACUUUAUGUUUUAUUUAAUUACAUAUUAAUGCAUCAUUUACCUUUUUAACCUUUAUAAAUUAAUAUGAAAAUUUCAUAAUGGUUGUCCUUUACAGUCCAUAUCAUUAUUCAAUGGCCAAAUUUAACUUUAAGUACUUCAAAAUUAAGAAACCAUAGCAAAUAAGCACCUUAACUUAUAGCAUGCUAAUUUUGCAUUUAACGCGAUUAAGUCCUUUUAUCAAAUCGGACACUCAAACGAUAAAAUUUUCAUAUGAGAAUUUCACACAUAUCAAUUCACAUACUUUAAGCAUGGAAUAUAAUAUCAAAAUAUUUUUCUGACUCGGAUUCAUUGCCCCAAAACCACUGUUCUGACUAGGGUCUAAACCGAGCUGUCCCUGAAAAUCUUACCAAAAAGUAGAUUAAGGAAUUGCUUCCAUACAAUACAUUUCAAAUUCACACAUAACUUCGGAUUCCAAUCUCUUUAAUCUCACAAUUGAAAUUUUGAUCUGUCUUCCACUAUACUGUAUCGAAUUACUUUCAUUUUCUGCUUAAUUUCUCUGAUGAUAUUAAUCUCGUGAAUCAUUUUCUCAUAAAGUUCGGUCCAGAAACAACGAAGUUCGAAAACUACAACCAUACAAUACCUCAUACAAUGUCGUUUUUAUAAUCACAUGAUAGCUUAUCAAAUAGCAAUAAUCUUUCUUAGUUGCUUUCAAACUCUAAAACAUAGGGACAAAUAAAUAUUUUGAGAAUUUUCAAAACAACCUCUUACUCACAGCUUACUGUAGUUUCUCCCAGAAUUACCAUAUAAAUUUUUAGAUUUUAAUCUGAAACAAUGAUGACUGGCACUAUGUGCAAACUGACAGUCUCUGAAACAAUAACUCAGCUGAUUUAACAAAAGAGAAAUCUAUGCGUACAGAAAGACUUAUUCAGAUAGUUAACAAUAAUUUAGAUAACAUCUAUCCUUUUUCAAUGAUAAGAGAUAAUCUCGAUGCAAAAUUCAUCAAAUUUCUAUUUCCUUAUUACUCAGAUAUAAAAACAUGCUGAAAUAGUCCUGAAGACGCUUAAUAAUUAACUUUAACUUGUUUAUAUCUCAGACAUUUAACACGAGGAAAGAAGUAUUACGUUUUAUACCCAUUUAUUGAUACCACUUUCUCAAAUUAUCAUGCAUCUUGUUACUCCUAUAUGAACAGCCUAACUGACACUGUGAGCCUCUUACAAUAAUGGUUAUACAAUCUUAGAUUUUCUUGGUUUACACACUCUAUUUCAAAGCAACAAGCAAUCAUCAAUUUCACAUCUAAAAUUCUGAAUCAGAAAUCAAUUUAUGCUGAACCCCUUUUUAACUUAUAAUUUGAUAACACAUUUCUAAGUUUCACGAAUUCACUUAAUAAGCAUCAAUUUAACUUCUAAUCCAGCUAACAUAUAAUCAUCCACUGAUAAGAUCAAUCACGUAUUCAUCGCUCGUAAAGCACACAAAAGUUUCUUAUUCAGAUCAUUCGAAACUAUAAUAAUUUCUCCCAGAUAAUAAUAUUUACUUACAGACUCAAAAUUUUUUCGACGAUUCGAACUAGCUCAGUUGUGCCAAGUUCGAAUCUAGCUCUGCAACGUCAAACAUUUUAAACUUUUGUAUCAUCAAAUAUGUUACAUAACUCUUUUCAUGUAGCUUUAACCAUAUGGAAUUACAUGAUAUCUCUAUACACUCUAUUAUUAAAACAAACUUCAAAUCGUUCAUUGACACAUGAUUAAAGAUCAUAAUUUUUUUCAUCAAAUUAGACUGAACCAGUAUUGAUGUUUCGGUUGACAAUAUCUCCGUGCAAAAGGAAAACUUCAACAAUCGAACUAACUUUAAUUUACCACAACAUUUUCUAGAUAGAAUUGUUCCGAUAGAUAUAAUUCUGUAUCAAGUCUUCAAGAAUACGAAUUCUUCCUCCAGACUAUCCCUCAAUUCACACAUGUUCAUUCAAAGUUUAUUUUCAAUCCAGUGGAUAGAUUCAAACGCACCUAAUUAACUAUUCAAUCAAAUAAUUUAGAUUAGACUAAACUACUGAGUCGGUCUUUUCGAAGAAAUAUUUUCCUCUCGUUAAAAGGAUAACCUAGACAUAUCAUUAUACAAAUGCCACAAUCAUCCAAUAAAGAUCAUAAUGUCAUAAUAAGACGACGUCUUACACAUAACAAUAGAUAAUAACCCAGCUGUUAAUAAAGUAUUUGAACCCAAAAGAAAAUCAAAUAUGAUUUGAACAGCAACCAAUGUAGAAUCACAACUUUUAUAACUCUGAUAACGGUACUGCAGUACUUCCCAAAUUUUAGAAUAGAAAUUAUGAUUAUAGCAGAUAUAGCCAUUUCUGUCAAAUAAAUAUCUCUUAUAGAUAAUCAUAUAGAAUCAUAAGAAAACCAGAAUAGUGAAAUUUUCAACACCUGUAGCUACACAGAAUAUCAGAAAAUUACAACCCAUAUAGAAUGAUAUCAACUCCAAUGAUAUCCCAGAAAAUGUCCAGAAAGAAUAAUAUCACUCAUAAAUACUGGAAUCCACAGUAACAGAAACGAUAUAAUCUUCACAUAUUUUUGAUAGAACAAUAGCCAGCAGAAACAGAGUAUUAGCAUCAUACAGAUUUCACUGUCGACUUUCAUGUCGACACAAUGGAAUAAAUACUAGAGAAAGACAUAGCAAUGUUGAACAUAACUCAAACAGACCAACGGUACUUUCAUCUAUUAGCAUGUUUAGCUAAUGUUGUCAUACGAUAAGAAUUCCUUCUGAAACUAAACAGUCACAUAUACUUCUGCGGAUAAAUGUACACAUAGAUUGUCCAGAAGAAGUCAUAGUAACUGGCCGACUAUAACCACUACACUCAACCAUCAAUAUAAUUCAAACAUUAUUCAACUAUCUAAUUCUGUCAUGAUUAAGUUCAUAUUAUCCCAUCAAUAACAAAAAUCAAUCUAGAGAAGCUUCCAGUUAAUACAUUCCUUAGAUAACUUACCUGAAUAGGUCAUUUAAUUGAAGUUAACUUCUUCUGUAGCAGUGACUUUACAUAAUCUGAAUAGUCUCCAGAGCUAUCCAAUAUCUCUUUUAAUACUGUCUUCAUUUGCUGAUUCAUUCACUUUUUUGACCACAUUAUUAAUCUUCCGAACACGGACUUCUGUAACUCCACACUCAUAAACUUAUUCAACAAAUCUUACAGAUUUCAUUUUAACAUUUCACUAAUAGGGGGUGAGGGUAGUAAAGCCUCAAAUUUAACUUACACAUAAAUGCACAUAACACAUACUAUCAUAAAUAGCCAGUUCAUUUCUAAUUUCACAUUCUCAAAGCAUUUAAUAAGCUUUUACUCACUUUUUUACUUAUCACAUAGUUCAUAUGCCAACUCAAAUUACUAAUUCACAAUCAAAGUAUUUCAGAUAGCACUCAUAACUCAAAAAUCAUAUAUCAUAUGCUCAUAUAAUUAUAACAUUUAUCAAUAACAAAAUGUCAUACUCUUAACAUUUAUCAAUAACAAAAUGUCAUACUCUUUGAUCCAUACCUUUAUGAUUUUCAACUCAUAAUCAACAUAUUUUAAUUCAAACAUUUGAGGAUACAUUAUGUACUAUCAGAAUUAGCUCGGAUGGAAAACUUUUCUGUCUCAUCAAAAUAAUUUUUUCAGAGUCGAGAGAUAUCACACUAUCGCAAGUUAAAUGUGGCAUGUAUAGUUAGACUCACAUACGCUAUGUUAGUCCUAAAACCAACUAAACCAUAGCUCUGAUACCAACCAAAUGUAACACUCCUAACCCGUAUCUGUCACCCAACUAGGGUUAAGAGGCAUUACCAGACAAUCGAAACAUAGUUCAGAACUGACAUUCUUUACAAUUCAUGCACCCAGUAAUGCAUUCUCCUUUAUAAUUUUUUUCUAAAAUAAAUUAAUAAAGCAACCUCUUCUUCAUAAAAUCAAAUUCGUAUAUUUGAAUCACAUAGCCAGCCACACAAAUCAUGCUUUAUCGAACAUUCUCUUAUAUGAACUAUGUUUCAAUAUUUAACCAUUUCAAUUCCUUUUUCCUAUACAAAAAUUUCAAACCAAGCUAUCAAAUAUCAAAACCAAUUUGAACAUAUUUCAUAAUUACAAAAUUCAAACCAUAUGGCCAUCAUUUCCAUAACAUUCGAUUACCCAAGUCAUAAUCAAACAUAUUUAAUUUCAUAUACCAAGCAUAUAUCAAAACAUCCAUUUGUAUACUUCUAUUUCAUAACUAAUUAACGAUCAUACCAUUUUAUAAACCUAAGUACAAAUGCAUACUAAGUCGUUUCAACCCAUAUUGUAACACCCCUAACCCGUGUAACACCCUAAACCCGACCUGGACGUUUUGCUUGAAUCUGGUGAUGUCAUAUUGAAGUGUUUUUUGCAAAGUACGAUAUUGUAAAAACCCAUUCUCAAGUUAUCCUCUUUUUGUGUUCUUAUAGAGGCUUGUUUAGUUUAAAACUCAAGUCGUUUAGCAAAAUGCUAAUCAUAUUAAAAUUGUUAUUACUUUUUAAAACAUUGUUUGUUGCGGAAGCUUUUAAAAUAUGUCGCGUAAACGAGGUGUUUUAGGAAAAACAUUUAUCUUUUUGAAAACACGCGUCUUAUCCUAUUGCUAGUAGUUAUAAACCCAAGAAAAUAAAAACCCAAAUUUAAGAUAAAAUCCAUAGAGGCCUUAUUACAUAAACAAAUACCUAAAUUAAAUUACUUAUAAAUUAAAAAUCAAUAAGAAAGCAAGUGCAGUUGUGUGGCCACCAUUGAGUCCCUCGCAGCACUGAUCCGCCUAAGGCUGGGGAUCACCUAUACAGUUAAACAAAUGGGUGAGUUUACGAAAACUCAGUGUGUAAUCCCAUAUAAGCAAACAGUCAGAAAACAAGCACAUUUGGGCCUAAGCCUUUUUUAGUAACAAUGACAAUAUCAGUUUGGGCUUUAGCCCAUCUCAAUACAGAAAAAGUCAUAUGUUCGGGCCUUGGCCCAUUGCAGUAACAGUAAACAAUGCAGUAAUAGUAACAGUGUAGUAACAGUAAACAGUAUGCAAGUUCUACCCAUCCAGCCUCUAUAGUCCAUCUCCGUCCAACCCUACACUCCAUGUGGGGACAAAAUUAACCCACUCAUCCUUACACUCCAUGUAGCACCGGUUGCGGCACUAAAGAGUAUUUGCAGUAGAGCUGCUAGUAUAAUUCGCUUAGAGCCAUCAGUGAUUUGCAGCAGAGCUGCCAGUACAGUACACUUCCUCCAAUCAUAUAAAAACCCAUCCCCAUGCAAUACAUCAUGCAACAUGUCAUAAUAUUAUACAUGUAUUCAAUACAGUUACAAUAACAUGCUAAAAUAUAAACAUACAUUACAUAGGGGUAAAACAGUCAUCUUACUAUAAAAGGGCAAAACAGCCAUUUUACCCUAUAAGGGCAAAACAGUCAUUUUACCUCAGAAGCGUAAAACAGUCAUUUUACCAAUUAGGGGUCCAGGCACACUUACCGACCCAACAGUAGGUCUACAGUCAUCUCGGGUGACCCAUGCAACCUUAACAGUUAAACUGUGAAAAUGGGCCCACGACCCAUAUUGUGUGAUCAUGUGGGCCCACACGCCCGUGUGGCCCACAAAGCCCAGAUGUGGCCUUGGCCAUGUGGAUAACACAGCGUGGCCCAAUAAUCUCUACACAUCCAUGUGGUUUACCCAUGUGGGGUCCAUAGGCUCGUGGGGCUCAUGGCUCAUGUCAGCCAAACAUGGCCCAAAACGGCCUAAGCCCGCGAAGUCAUUCAUGGCGGCCUUUACGAUCAAACCCCCACGUUUAUGCAUUCAAUUUACCAUACGAGCGAUCGUACACCCGUGUAGUGAUAAUAGUCACAUUUGUCAGCUUUUGUUGAGUAACGAAUAAGGGUAGUGUUUUACACAUAUUAUUUGUAAAGAUCGCAACCAUGAAUACCCUAACAGCUAUAAUACACAAUAAUGAUUCCCUUACUGCUUUAGCACCGCUCAAAUCACUACAGUCGAUUAUCAAUUACCUAAAAAAAACUAGGCCUCCAAAAUGCAAAAAGAAGAGACCAUAAGCCAAAAUCCCGAAACGUUACCUUCACUACAUCAACAGGUUUCGCACAACACACACGAUGAUUAGAGAUCACCAGUCCUCUGAAGAGAACCUAUCACCAACAAAAGAACUAACAGUCAUUUCUACAACUGAGUGAUUACAAUCGAACUUAAAUAGCCGAAGAAGUUAACACGAAACAACAUCAACCUACAAUGGUACUUACGAACCCGUGAUAUCAUAUUAAUAAAAAUAAUCCAUAAUGAAUUCGUAUCAAGGUUAACCCAAAAGCGACUAACCUCCCACCUUUAAAAUAUGGACUGAAUCUUGCACCCAAAUAAAUCUCUGAUUAAUUCCCACGAGUGUUUGAAAACUUCUCCCUAAUGUCAUGUAAGAGACAUAUCAAAGGGAAGUCAUCAAAAGAAAUGAACUACUUACAAAGACUUACCAAAACUUAAAGAUUGAAAUUGGGAAGACUUGCUUUUGGAAAAACCUUAAGCAAUGGAAUGAUGAGGAGAAAAGAACAAAUACAGAAAAAGAGAACACGAAGAAAGAACUUAGUGCAACUUCGGCAAAAGAAAGUAACAAAAUGAUGAAUAGUAGAGUGGAAGGCAGAAGAACUAUCGUCAAUUUCUUUCCUGGAAGUAAGAGGAGCCGAAUUUCUUUGAAGCGAGAUAACUAAAAGGAAAAUAAAAAAAUAAAAUCCCUCUAAAUCUUCCUAAAAAUUAGCAACUUCAUCCCCCACACUUCUCAACCACUCCAACCGCCUACUAGUAUUAGAAUUUCACUAACACACAACCACUUACAUGGCCACAAGUACAAAUAAAUCCUUCGCUCGCGCAAAGACUCAUACUCUUGACCCUUUGCAACAACAACACUCCACUUAACCACUAGACCAACAGGCCCAUUCUGACAUAUCUUUAUCCAUAUUUAUUUAUAAGCCUACUAGCUAAAGACAAGGGUUUACUCCUUAAAAACAAAACUUUUUGCACAUGCCUAGGCUUGAACCCAGGACUUCUCAGACACUUCCCAGAACACUUAACCACUGAAGCAAAUACACAGUUGUGUCACUUUCUUGCACAACUAAACAUUUAUGUACAGUCUCCUAACUAUUCCCAUGCUUAAAAUAGAAUACUACUAGGCCCAAAUUUGGGCAUUACAAUUCACCCCUCCUUAAAGAAAUUUUAUCCCCGAAAUUUCCAACUAUCAAAUCAGUCGUAUAACACAGACUACACCAUAACGCUCCCGCUGCACACUCUAACUCUAAAACACUACCACAUUUAACCUGAAUGAUUCCAGUACAGUCUAUAGAUAGACUGGAACAAUGCGCUCAGCCGCACGAUCAUGAGAACCAGCUCGAGCACCUCUCUGGCCUCCUCCGCAGCCUCUUGUACCCCUUUUGCAAGUACCUCCGUUGUUUAUUAUCAAAUUGCAUUUCUAUCUUAUUAACAGUUUUAUCCAUCAGUUUAUAGUUCCAAUGUUUAUUAACAGAUAUUUUAUGAAAAAUAUUAUCAGUAAUUUAGAGUUUUGUUUUCGCCAAUCCCAGCUUCCUACAGUUUUUAGUAUACACUACUAAAGAGUUUGCAGUACAAUAUACAACCUAAAGUAGUCUCAGUAAUCCUACCUACGGCAGUUUCAGUCAAAAAUCAAAAAACAAUUUUUAGAGAGAACUUACAGGAUCAGCGCAAAGACUCGGUGUACCACACAUUCAGUAUAACAUUUCCAAAUAUUUCAAAUCAUUUGAAAUAGUUCGUUUUCGAAAUUUCAAGUUUUAAAGAAACCCAAAUCCACAGCCGAGUUUUGCAACUUGAAUCUAUACCACAAAGUGUAACACCCCAAACCCGGCCUGGACGUUAUGGUCGAAUCUGGCGAUGUCACACUGAAGUGUUUUUCGUAAAGUAGGAUAUUGUGAAAACCCAUUUUCAACUUAUCCUCUUUGUGUGUUCUUAUAGAGGUUCGUUUAGUUUAAAACUCAAGUCGUUUAGCAAAAUGCUAAUCAUAUUAAAAUUGUUAUUACUUUUUAAAACAUUGUUUGUUGCGGAAGCUUUUAAAAUAUGUCGCGUAAACAUGGUGUUUUAGGAAAAACAUUUAUCUUUUUGAAAACACGAGUCUUAUCCUAUUGCUAGCAGUUAUAAUCCCAAGAAAAUAAAAACCCAAAUUUAAGAUAAAAUCCAUAAAGGCCUUAUUACAUAAACAAAUACCCAAAUUAAAUUACAUAUAAAUUAAAAAUCAAUAAGAAAGCAAAUGCAGUUGUGUGGCCACCAUUGAGUCCCUCGUAGCACCGAUCCGCCUAAGGCUAGGGAUUACCUGUACAGUUAAACAGAUGGAUGAGUUUACGAAAAUUUAGUGUGUAAUCCCAUAUAAGCAAACAGUCAGAAAACAAGCACAGCCUGGGCCGAAGCCCUUUUUAGUAACAGUGACAAUAUCAGUUUGGGCUUUAUCCCAUCUCAAUACAGAAACAGUCAUGUGUUCGGGCCUUGGUCCAUUGCAGUAACAGUAAACAGUGCAAUAACAGUAACAGUACAAUAAUAGUAAACAGUGUAGUAACAGAAAAUAGUAUGCAAGUCCUACCCAUCCAGCCUCAACACUCCACUUUGUCCAACCCUACACUCCAUAUGGGGAUAAAAUCAACCCACCCAUCCCUACACUCCAUGUAGCAUCGGUUACGGCAUUAAACAGUAUUUGCAGUACAUCUGCCAAUAUAAUAGGCUUAGAGCCAUCAGUUAUUUACAGCAGAGUUACCAGUACAGUACACUUCCUCCAAUCAUAUAAAAACCCAUCCCCAUGUAAUGCAUCAUACAACAUGUCAUAAUAUUAUACAUGUAUUCAAUAUAGUUACAAUAACAUGCUAAAAUAUAAACAUGCAUCACAUAAGGGUAAAAUAGUAUACUAUAAAAGGGCAAAAGAGUCAUUUUACCCCAUAAGUGCAAAACUGUCAUUUUACCUCAUAAGGGCAAAAUAGUCAUUUUACCAAUUAGGGGUCCAGGCACACUUACCGACCCAACAGUAGGUCCAAAGUUGUCUCGGGCGACCUGUGCAACCUUAACAGUCAAGCAGUGAAAAUGGGCCCACGGCCCAUAUUGCGUGAUCAUGUGGGCCUACACACCCAUGUGGCCCACAAAGCCCAGAUGUGGCCUUGGCCAUGUGGAUAAUACAGUCGGGCCCAAUAAUCUCCACACAUCCAUGUGGUUUAUCUGUAUGGGGCCCACAAGCCCGUUGGGGCCCACACGUCCCAUGUCAACCCAACAUGGCCCAAAACGGCCUAAGCCCACGAAGUUGCUCAUGGUGGCCUCUACGAUCAAAUACCCAUGUUUAUGUGUUCAAAUUACCACACAAGCGAGCGUACGCCAGAGUAACGAUAAUAGUCACAUUUGCCGACUUUUGUCGAGUUACGAAUAAGGGUCUAAAUCGGGCUGUUACACAUAUCAUUAGCUAAAUAGCAAACAUAACAUUUAAUAAACAUUAUAGAUGCGAUUGUUAAAUCAAUUUGGCCAUAUCUCGCGGCUUAAUAUUCAUUUGCACAUAAAACAUUAGGUAACUUUAUAACAUAACCAACUAUACUUUUAACAUUAUCAUAUCAUGCGCAUAACACCCAAAAGCCAAAAUCCAUUUCUAAAUACAAUUACAAAUCAUAGCAUUUCAAACAUUAUUACCUUAUGUGCAUUAUACCAAAUCAAAUUUAACCAUUUUUGGACACAGAUGUUAAGUCAUACCAUAUCUAAUUUUCAAGCUAAAUAACAUAUUUAACCAUGUUAUAUUCAUAUCAUAGUCAAACAUCAACAUUAAGUCCCUUUUUUAGGUCAAUGAGACCAUAAACAUACAUUUGGAAGAGGUCAGGAUAAACCAAACACUUACAAAAUUUUUCCAAAACUUAACAAUUUUUUCUUAAGUUACAAAGGUCACACGCCAAUGUAAACAGGCCGUGUGCGUUACACGGCUUUUGACACGCCCGUGUGUCUAUCCCAUGGCAAAAUAAGGCAUACAUACUGAAUUAUCCACACAGCCACAAGACAGUUCUGUGUGUCUAGCCCGUGGUCAAAACUGACUUGGCCACACGGCCUGGCACAUGUUCGUAUGUGCACGAUCAUGUGGUCUGCCCAGGCUUAUUUCGAAAUGGCCCUCGAGCAACACGGCAGAGACACUCGCCUGUGUCCCUGCCUGUGUGGGAAAAAAUAGGCCAUUUGCAAGACCAAUAUGCCACCCAUUUGGGUCAUCCCUACCACAUUUUCAACCAAUUUCAAUCUCAAAACAUACACCAUUCAAGUCAUGUAAUCAUCAAUCUAUUUCAUGCUCAAUAUCUAUAACAAAACAAACCAAAAUCAUACGCCAAAUUCAUUCAAUCAUACAUUACCAACAUCUCAAUUUCUUAGCCAUCUUUAUGCCAAACUUAUACCAAAUUUAACAAUUAAGCACAUACCAAAUUGACUAUUUCAUUUAAUCAUUCCUAUGCAUUAAAUCAUACCAUUUUCUCAUCACAUAAACCAUAACAAAACCAAACCAUAUUCACAUCCAUUAUCAAGCCAUAUCACUUGGCAAAACAUAUAUUUACAUCUCAAAACAUAUUCACAUACUUAUAGCCUAUACAUUCCACAAAACCGAAUCUCAAAGCAUUUAUUUACCGAAGUGAAAAUUAGAUAGUGUGAUGAGGUCUCCUACGACUUCCAACCCGAGCAAGUCACUGAAACUCUAUAAACAUAGAAAAAACACACAGUAAGCUUUAUAAGCUAUGAAAGCCAUAAGAAAAUAAAUCAACUCAAUGAUAUAUAUAAUUCAAUUUAACUAGGCUAAAUUUAACAAAUCUUAACCACAUAUACCUUCAUCAUACUCAUAAAUUCAUAUGAUUACAUUAAGUAACCUCAUUUACCUCAUUUCUCAAUGAAAAUAUAAAUCUCAUACAUACUUGAUUCAUCUAGCUCGUUUUUUCAUACUCACUUGCACAAAAGCACAUCCAAAUCUCAUACAUUAAAUCUAUUUUACUUACUCAUAAUUCAUUUGCAUACAUUCAUCAUUCAUUGUCAUGUAUUUCACAUAUAGUCAAUUACAACAUACUCACAUUUCAAUUCCGAAUUACAUAAACAAAUCACACGUACCUGAAUCGGAUACAUUUUUUACAUAAUCAUUCAUUUCUCGAUAUUGCCGAUCAAAGUGUUCGAAAUCAAUAAGGAUACUCGGAUAAAUCGAAAAGCUUGUACGAUGCCAACAUCCCAGACGUGGUCUUACAUGUAAUCAAAUAUUGAUGCCACUGUCUCAGACAGGGUCUUACACAAACUCAUAUACUAUGCCAAUGUCCCAGAAAUAGUCUUACUCGUAAAUCACAAAUCGAUGCCAAUAUCCCAGACGUGGUCUUACACGAAAUCACAUAUCAUAAUCCUAUAUCAUGACAUAUGUAUCCUAACUAUUUCCAUGGUUCAUACGUGACUUUCGGAUAUCGUAACUCGAUUGAUUCAAGCUCGUAAAUAUUGCUCCCAUGCUUAAUUAAAUUCGGCAUAUACAUAUACACAAGUAAUAAUUCAAUUUGGAACUAUUAAAAUAUAUACAAUCAAAUUUAACGACAUUUAUUUACGUAUGAACUUACCUCUUACAGACACGAACGAACCGGAAUGACUCUUCGAUAAUUUUUGACCUUCCCCGAUCCAAAUCCAAUUUCCUCAUUUCUUGAUCUUAAUUUGAUCUCCAAGGUGCCAAACCUUAAACAAAGAAAAUAGCUUCUUAUUUUUUCUUACAUUCGGCCAGCAAGAUGAUAAACAUGCAUAUUUACUUUAUGUUUUAUUUAAUUACAUAUUAAUGCAUCAUUUACCUUUUUAACCUUUAUAAAUUAAUAUGAAAAUUUCAUAAUGGUUGUCCUUUACCAUCCAUAUCAUUAUUCAAUGGCCAAAUUUCACUUUAAGUACUUCAAAAUUAAGAAACCAUAGUAGAUAAGCACAUUAACUUAUAGCAUGCUAACUUUGCAUUUAACGCGAUUAAGUCUUUUUACCAAAUUAGACACUCAAACGAUAAAAUUUUCAUACGAGAAUUUCACACAUAUCUAUUCACAUACUUUAAGAAUGGAAUAUAAUAUUAAAAUAUUUUUUGACCCAAAUUAGUAGUCCUGAAACCACUGUUCCGUCUAGGGUCUAAACUAGGCUGUUACAGCUGCUUUUGCCCCCUCACUUCGGACUUCAGAUGCGAGCUUUUUACUACCACUAGAUGUAGCUCGCUGCACGGAAGCUUGAGCAACGCUUUCAACUUUCUCAGUCUCAGCUCUAGCUUGGUUGGGAGACAUUACUAUAUAAAAAUACAUUUAAAAGUGGUCAGGAGAUAUCACACUAUCAGAAUUUAUAUAAUGGCAUGUAUAGUCGGAGUCGUACUCGCUACGUUAGUCCGAGAAUCAGCUAAAUCAUAGCUCUGAUACCACUACAUGUAACACCCCUAACCCGUAUCCAUCAUCGAAAUAGGGUUUCAGAGUAUUACUGAAACAUUCAGAAUAUUUUUCAAUUAAUUUACGUAAAUUACUGUUCAUUUACUGAUAUCAUACAUAUUGUCCCUUAUACGGACCCUCGAGGCCCAAAAAGAGUGUUGGAAUCAAACCGAGAACUCAGGGAAUUUUUUUCAAAAUUCUAAAAAUUUUCCUAGGUACAAGGAUCACACGCCCGUGUGGUCUAAGGACACGCCUAUGUGGUAAAGCCGUGUACUAUACACACCCGUGUCCCUAACCGGUGUAACUCUCUGACUUUUAAAGCAUGAAGAAAUUGAAGUCACAUAGCCAAGUCACAUGCCCCUGAGCUAGGCCGUGUGGUGAAUUUUUAUUUUAUAAAUUUAGGUGAAGAUUUCACACGGACAUGUAACAGGGGGCACACGACCAAAUUCGGCCUUUUCUAAUUUUUCCAUGGAUGAGUCAUUAACAUGAGUCAUUAAAAUAUCUACUAACUACUCUUCAAUGGUCUAAUUACCAUAUAAGGACCUUAUGUUUUGGAUUCUAUAACUAUUUGAUACCUAUAGCUACUAGAAUCCAACUUUUGCAUUUUAUGCAAUUUAGUCCUUUACCUAAUUAACCACACAAUCGAUAAAAUUUUCGUAUCAAAAUUUUCAUGUAACCUUCCUAUCAUGAUGCCAACCAUAAAAUAAAAUAAAUUUAUUUUAUUUUUAACUCAGAUUUGUGGUCCCGAAACCAUUUUUCCAACCUCAUCGAAAUUGUGCUGUUACAGUGGAGAAAAAUAUCCAUGCUUAAUUUUUCUAAUCAUAGCCCGAUGUUGUGACACUGCCUUCAUAUUUUGGAUACUUAGGCUUUGAAGUCCAGUGUUGUGACAUACUUCUCAGAGUCACGACACUACAGUCAUCAUUCACCUUCUUAGCCCAAAAAUAAUGUCCUACACACUUGAUAAAGCCAUUAGAUCCUAGGCCCAUAGUGGCCCAUUAGGUCAUAACAUAACACAAAAUUGUGUAAAAACACUUAUUUUGCAUAAAUUAAACAUAAAGUAAUAAAAAUGAAGACUGAAAUAAAAAACAUAUAAAAAUACUAGAAAACAAGCUUCUUAAGUACCGAAAAGACCUUAAUUUACCACAAUGAAUUCUGGGAUAUCAUGAAAUUACUAAGCAUUCAAAAUGCUUACCUAGCUGUUAUUCCUUUUCUGUAGAUUAUUAGUUUGCAGAACACAUUGUUUGGAUCUGUAACGCCCCGAAUUUGGAUCUGUAACACAUUGAUUGUAGAAUUUGGUUUUGAGUAGGGGUGCAGUUAGGAGACUGCACAUAAAUAUCUAAUUGUGUAGGAAAGUGACACAAUUGAGUGUUUGGCUUAGUGGUUGUGUGCUCUGGAAGUGUCUGGGAAGUCAUGGGUUCAAGUCUUGGCUUCUAAAAAAUUUUGGUUUUUAAGGAUAAAACCCCUAUCUUUGGUCAGUAGGGUUGUAAAUAAAAUUUGGCAAGGUAUGACACAAGAAAGCAUAUGGUCUAGUGGAAAUGGCGUUAUAAGUGUGGCAAGGAGGUCUAAGGUUCAAAUCCCUGCUUGCGCAAAUGGGGAUUAUUUUUGCUGGUGGCUUUGGGAGGAAGUUGUGUUUGACCGAAACACCAAGAAUUUGAACUGGUUUGAAUAGUAUUGUUGUUGGCCGAAUUUAGGGAGUAAAAAGGGGGAUUUUUCAAAUGUUUGAAUUGGUGGACGGGAGAAAACUUAGGAGAAAUUCGUGGAAGGGAUCCAGUAGUAAGGGAGAGUGAGUUGGUUGCCAAAAAUAGGUCUCUUCUUAUGCAAAAUUUGGUCACUUGUGCUCUUAGUGCCAUAAGAGUGUUGUAGUUUUAGGGGUUCUCUGAACGAUUAUCUUUUACUCUUUCUUUUUCGGGUAUUGUUCUUUUUGUGGCUGAAUAUCAGUUGUGACCACUCGGGAAUUUUGGAUUUCUCUUCUUUAUCGUGUUUUCUUAGGCGGCUUCUCCUCUUUUUCCCCUUCCUUCUCCUCUUGAAUAUUGACGUUGUUCUUUUCUUUGUUCACAUUGGUUUUAUGUGCCGAAUACUUUUCCUUCUAUAGCCAAACUUUGUUUCGUUCUAUCAAUCUUCUUUCUAGUCUCUAUUGUCGAUUCUCUUUUUACUUCUCUCUCUCUCUCUCCCUUUCAUACAAUCACUUUUGCGUUGGAAAGGCAUCAGUUGAUAAGUCUCUAUUGACUUUGUUUUUCGACUAGUUUUCCUUUUCUCCCUAAAUGUCAUUUUUAUCACUUCUUCCUUUGAUCACGGUACUUGCUGUUUUGGGUUGUAGUAUCGCUAACGGAGUGAGGGAGUUCGUUUGGAUUCUAAGAACAAUCGUAAUCUUCCUCUCGUCUCUCGUUCUAAGGUAACACUGUUCGUUGGUGUUUUAUUAAUUGAGGCACUUUGGUUUGGGGUUCUUGAACUUGGCCGAAUAUCCAUGUCUCUUAGGGUGGUUGUGCGAUGUUUAAUCCUUAUGUAAGCAGUAUGUUCAAGAGUUUGCUGUCUGCAGAUAAUCAUCAAGUGACUAAUAUCGAUUUUUUUCGGUGUUCUAAGCAGGCUAUAACCACUUUUGUUCAAGCAAGGCAUUAGUAAGUAGUCUCUUGGAACAAGUUUCAGUUAGGGUUCUUUUAAACGCGUAUAUUAGAUUUUAACCAAGGUUUCUGUUGUGUUAGGUGGAGUGUAUGGGCUAAGUCAUUCGUUUCCGGAACCAGGUGUGUACAUACACCACAUUAACUCCAGAUCAGCAAAUCCUGAAAUGUCGAAAUGUCGAAAUGCCAAAAAAUUGAAAGAACGGCAAGGGGUACCACACGAUCGCGUGAACGUACGUGUGGAAAAUCUGAUACAAUAGUAGAAGCCACCAUGAGCGAACUCAUGGACUAUGGUCGUUAUGGGCCGAGUUGAGUCGUUCGGGCCCAAUGGGCCUGUAGGCCCUAGAUGUGUAAAACUUACCAAUAGGUGGGAAAACGUUGGACCAACCGUGUCACUCACAUGGCUUGGAUCAAAAUCGAGCUUGGUGGCCAAAUGGGUCGUGUGGGCCUAUGGGUCUGCUUAAAUGGGAUUUGGGCCCAAUCGCACUAUUUGAUUGCUAAAGGUUGCACGGAUUUUGCAAGACGACUGUGAACCUACUGAUGGGACAGUAAGUGUAUUUAGAUCCUGAUUUACGAAAUGACUGUUAUGCCCCGAAAGGUAAAAUGACUAAAAUGCCCCUACAUGUUGUAUAAAUGUUAUUAUAUGGCAUUUAUGAUAUGUUUGCUUUCAUGUGAUAUUAUGCUACAUGAGGGAACAGAAUCAUUGAUUUGGAGGAAGUAUAUGAUUUGUUAGGGUCGCAUGGUUGCUUGACAACUAUGGGUCCACCGACAGCUUAAAGCCAUUAUGUGAUUGGCAACUCGGCUGCGAAAUUGGUUAGCGCUGCAACCAAUGAUACAACAGGAGUGUAGGGAUAGGUGGGUCGAUUAAAUCCCCAUAGGAGUGUAGGGUUGGACAGGAUAUAGAGUGCAGGGUUGGUUGGGUAUUUGUGCAUUGCAUAACCUGAUUCUGAUUGUGACAUGGGCUCAGGCCCAACUGAGGCUACUAUGGGUUAAGGCCCAAGUGCCACCUUUAUUAUAAUGGGCUUAGGUCCAAAUUGAUGUGAUGCAUGCUUUUUGAUCGAUGAGGAUUGUACACAUUGAGUUUUCGUAAACUGACCCCUCUCUUUUAAAUUUUUUUCAGGUAAUCUUCAGUAGACGGUUGGACACAUGGGAGGACUCGGAUGUGGCCACACUACGAACAGCUUUAAAUAUUCGUAUUUUCUUUUACAUUACUUAAAUUACUUUCUCUUUGGGUUUUGAUGUAAUAAGGCAUUUUCUCUAAUUUUCUAGCUUUUAAUUUUGGGGUUUUUAACUAUUAUGAUUAAUUUAUGUUAAAAGUAGAGCGCGGUUUUCCAAAAUGAUAUUUGUUUUCAUAACAUCAUGUUUUCGCAACAUUGUUGAAAUGCUUUCGCAACAAACAUGUUUUUUUUACGAGUAAGACUGGUUUAAAAUGGUUAACAAAUAAUUAAGUUGACUUUAGAAUUAAACAAAUGGGCUUUUAUCUUUCAAGCGAGAUUUAUUAAUCAGGCUAAGUUUUUUUAAAAAGCAUUUAAUGUGACACACCAAAUUCAGCCAUAACAUCUAGGCUAGGUUUAGGAUGUUACAUUUAGUGGUAUCAGAGCCAAGUUGUAAAACUCGGGCUAUGAAAUGGGCUUUUAACUUUUGGGAUUUUAAAGUUGCCUAUAAAUGAUUUUGAAGUAAGGAUUUUAUUGUGUGGUUCACCGAGUCUCCAGCGUCGAACCAAGUAAGUUCUCCUGAUACUGAAAUCUAUUUUAAACUGUUAUACUAUAGAUAGUUACUGGGCUUCCUUUAGAUGAUAACUAUACUGAGACUCUUUAGAUAGAUUAAACUGAAAAACUAUACGAAACUAAAAAUGUAGCGAGCCUACGAUUGUGAAAACAACUCUUAACUACUACUGUCAUAAAACAUCUACUUCAUUACUGAAACUAUGAGUUAAAUUAUACGCGAAGUAAUAAUGAGCACUAAAAGAGGUGCAAGAGGCCGCAGCAGAGGCCGUGGAAGUACUAGCGUUGGAUCUUCGGCAUCAGGUCACAUGCCCAACGUUGAGGCAAGAGAAGCAUCGGCUUCACCGGUACCCAAAAAAUGGUCAUAUGAUCGAGCAGCUGGGAACGACGCAUUGUCCCAAGCAAUGUUAAGGAUUCUAAAAAGGGUCGCUGGGCCCAACACUGGUAAUAGGAGCUGAGGGUCAAUUUCUGAGAGACUCCGGUUGAAUAGAGCCGUGAUCUUUAAGGGUAUCACGGGAGUAGCAUCGAAUGUGGCCGAAUAUUGGUUGGAGGCCACUGAAAGGAUAAUUGACGACUUAGAUUGCACUUCGGAGCAAAAACUAAAAGGAUCAGUGUUGCUGCUGCGAGAGGAAGCUUACCAGUGGUGGCUUACCAGUGGUGGCUUACCGUGAAAGAAGGCACUCAGCUUGACCGGAUAACAUGAAAGUUCUUCAAAUCGGCAUUUCAAGGGAAAUACGUUGACUGAAGCUACGUCGAUGCUGAAAGAAAGGAAUUCUUGAACUUGAAUAAGGGAGAUCGAUCUGUGGCGGAGUACGAGGUAGAGUUCUUAUGAUUGAGUCAGUAUGCUGAAGAAAUAGUGGCAAUAGAUUAUGAACAUGUGUUCGGUUCGAAGACGGCCUCUAAGACAGUCUUCGGGUACUGAUUGCUCCCUAGAGGGAGUGGGAAUUCGCAGCAUUGGUAGAGAAAGCAAAAAUCAUUGAAGAUGUAAAGCGCACUGAGUGCCUAAACUGGGAAAGAGAAAGGGGAAGAAAUAAAAGGGAUUCUAAGCCCUCCAAUUACGAUCAGAGGCCUAAGAGAAGGGCCAGAGUGGAUGGGUCAGUCAGAGCGGGGCCCCCCUAUUGCUACUACUGGGUUACAAUCUUGUGUUAUUUGUGAAAAAGUCAUGCAGGAGAGUGCUGGAGGAGAAAGGAACCUGUCUGAGUUGUGGUUCCAUGAAGCAUCAUCUCAAAGAGUGUCCCAGAAGACCAGAUCAAAGGCAAGUCUUUGGUAAAGAUAAUAUAUAGCCACCAAAGGGUGGGCAGCAGUCGCAUAGAGGCCGUGGUCAGGCCAAGGGUGGAAAUAGUUUGGGUCGUGGAGCACCAAAAAGAGGUGAUGAUCGUGCUGAGGCGAGGCAGAUAACUUUGGUCUAUGUAGCAUGCCACCGAGAGGACGAAGAUACUCCAAAUGCAAAUACUGGUAUGUAGUUUAUCCAUAGUAUGCUAUUUAUCUAUUUUGAAAUUAGAAUUAGAGUGUGCAGUAGAAGUAUAGUGGUGUAACCUGGGUUGUGCUACUAUUGGAUAUUUAGAAAUUUUGAGGACGAAAUUUCUUUAAGAGGGUAGAGUUGUAACGCCUUGAAUUUGGGCCUAAAAGUAUGAGUUUUGAGUAGGGGUGCAGUUAGGAGACUGCACAUAAAUAUCUAAUUGUGCAAGAAAGUGACACAAUUAAGUGUUUGGCUUAGUGGUUAUGUGCACUGGAAGUGUCUGGGAAGUCAUGGGUUCAAGUCCUGUCUUCCACAAAAUUUUGGUUUUUAAGGAUAAAACCCCUAAAUUUGGUCAGUAGGGUUAUAAAUAAAAUUUGGCAAGUAUCUUAGUUAAUUCGUUUACUUCUAAACUCUAUAUAGCCAGGUAACUGGCUUUGUCAUUAGUCUCUAUUGUUCAUGUCUCAGAAAGCUUAUCAAAGAGUCAGUGCAUGCAAGGCUAUAAACAGAUAAAUAGACCCAGAAAAUCUGAUAUAUUUAUGGUUUGAGUACUCCUUCCUUGGUGCACAAACUUUGUAUCCAGAUUAGUGUAAGGAGAUAUCAGAGGUAUAUUAUGUAUAAUGACAAAGAAUACAAAAAAUACAAUGUUUUGCCUCUGGUACAGAACUUCGAUGCAAAAUGUGAUUGGUGUAAACCCGGUUUUGCGAGAGAACACCUAUGUGUUCAAACAAUGAGGGGAGUUAGGAGGAUAUAGAGAUGAUGCUUUUUAUAUAGCUCUGAUGAGCGGAUAUGAAGAUAUAAGAAAAAUUGAUUCUUCGGGAACUAAAAUCAAAAGCUAGCACAAGGAAAGGAGUACGUGAAAAAAAAUGUGCAUGUGGUAGUAAACAUAAAUAGUAAGCCUGUUAGUAAUAAAUGUUAAUCCACAUAAGUAGUGUAUUCAAGGAGUAGAUAUGCCCAUGAUUGUCACAUACGAGUUUAGAAACUAGUGUGAUUCGUCAAUAGGCUAAGUUUGAUGCGGUAGUGUCUGCUAGCUAGUCUACAGACCAGAGUAAUGUAUCCGCAGAAUAUGGUAAACUAAUCUAAUGGCAAACUAAUCGCUAGUCUAAAGAAGUUUAAGGAAAAGUUCAUCAACAGGCUCUUUGCUGAACAGAUGGACUUUUUGGAAUUCAAACAAGGAAAAAUGGAACUGUUUGAGUAUGAGAAGGAGUUUAUUAGGUUCAACAAGUACGCUAAGGAUUUGGUGCCAAACGAGGAAGGUUUGUGCAUCAGGUUUUAAGGAGGCUUGAAUGAGGAGUUGAGGGUACUACUGUCAACCCUUGAGAUUAGAGACUUUGUAGCCUUGUCAGCUAAGGCCCAAAGAAUGGACGUAGUCAUUCAAGAAAGAAAUAAGGUCAGGGGUAGGGAAAGGAGCAAGCAUACAGCUUCCGGUGCAAUGUCUAAUGUUGGGUUCAAAUGACUUAGAGAUGUCAAAGGGUAUCCUACUACCCCAACAAAUAAGUCACAAACUGUGGGCUUCUAAUGAGAAAGAAGUGUAUGCCAAGUGACAUCACGGAAGGGUCCUAGAUAAUGAAACUUCCCAUUUGUAACAGUUGUGAGAAGAACCAUUGAUCUGUCGUAAUUCAGUGUAGCAGAUUAAACUAGUUUUCGCACUUUAGGAGCUUGAAUACAAGCACUUUUGUUAAAUUUUAGUUAAAGUUUUUGUAAUAUUAUCUAAAUUCAAUAAAAUGUGCAAUUUGAGUGUUUUAUUGACCUUAAGUGUCAAAUAACGCCUAAGGGUGAACUAAUAUACUUUGUAAGUGUGCAGAAGACCAUUAGAAGGUGUGCUAACUCAAUAUUGGUCACUAUGUUGCAACACAGAGAGCUGGAUGUCAUAACAUAGGGAACAGAAUAGAAUAAUUCCAAGACUACCUUCGAUGUCGUGACAUAGUCUGAGGAUGUCGUGACACACCCUUGAAGACACCCUUAAGAUAAAACAUACUGGCCUCGAUGUCAUGACACGAGACCUGGUGUGUCGCACUAUCACCUCUGUACGUGAAAUAAUUACAAGCAAUGGGAAUUUUGUUUCGCAGAAUCAAACAUGAAGCAAGAAGACGGCAACUGACCUAGGGUUAAAGACGACAACCAUUCCAAAGUCUAUAAUUAGGCUCAAUUAACACAUGUUAUGGACAGCUUUCAGAUUGUAUAAUUUUCUUCUUAGAUUUAGUCUUUCGUCUUUUUCUCUUCUUAGGCGUUAGGUUUUAUUUCAGUUUUUGUUAUUUGCUUUUGUAGAAGAAAUCAGAUUUGUGCAUUUCAUCAAACUCUGUGAGGAUUCUACAUUACAAAUCAGGCUUCUUCUAAAGUUUAUACUCUUGAAUUAUUAUUCAUGUCAAUUCUUUCUAUCAGGUUUAUAUUGUUUAUAAGAUCCAUGAGGAACUAAUCCUCAUGUAGGGGAUUAGCAAGUGGAGGUAUGAUUAAUUAACUGUUCUGUAGGGUUCUCUUAGCGGAUUAGCUAUUUACAAAAGGAAGAACCUAAACCAUAAGCCUGACAACCCUAAAAAGUCAUUAAGGUGGGAAUUAACCCAAAAUUGGUAUGGUCUAUCUGUGAACACCCCAACCCUGAACUGGUCUGAACUGUGAGGUUGAGAGAUAAGUAGUUCUUACUGACUCAUUAUUUAGUGAAAGAUCGGAAGAUCUUGUUAAGAUAUUGACUAGUUGAUUGAAUAGAAAACCUGAAGCAACAGUUGGUUAUGAUUACUGAAGCAAGUUAAUCACUCAUAUUCAAAUUUGAUACAUUCUAUUAUUUGAUUUCUCAUGAUUUAUUUAUUUCUUUUCUUUCUCUUAUUAUUAUUAGUAAAUAUCACAAAAACCUUUCUUUUAUGGUACACGCUUGUGUGUCAUCUUAACAUGAUCAUGCUGAAGGAUCGUGUAGCUCACACGACGUGGGCAUAUCUGGACACGCCGGUGUCCCUAACCCAUGUGAAUUUAUUUUUGAUUUGAACCUACAGGGGUUUUCAUACGGCCUGAAACAUACUCGUGUCCAUGGCCUGUGUCCCUCACACGGCCAUGACACGCCCGUGUUUCAGCCCGUGUACAAAAACCUCGACAUUCUGUUUCUAACGUCAUCAACCAAUUAAGGGUACACGGCCAAGGCACACGCCCGUAUGUUAGGCCGUGUCCUCCACACGGCUGUGUCUCUGCCCGUGUCUUUACUACCAUUCAUACUGACUUAUAAAAUUGAGGUGCAGGGGACACACGGCUGGACUACACACCCGUGGGGCAGAUCGUGUAUCACACACGGCCUAGACACCCGUCCGUGUGGAUAAAAGUAAGGCUAUUUACCAAUCCUUUUUGCCACCCUUACUUACACCAACCUACACAAUAUCAACCAAAACCAAACACAUAUAACCAAAUCAACCACAACCAUGAGAAAUUUGCAUCAAAUGCAUUUAAUAUUAAUCAAUAUUAUCCAACAUUAAUGGCCUAUACAAAAUGAAUAUCACAUCCAUCAUAUGAGCCAACUCUUGUGGCUAAACUAACAAGACACUAAAAAAAAGAUUCAAGUCCCUAUACAUGCCAAAAUCAAAAUAUUAAACUAGCUAUACCAAAGCUUCAGGUGAUAGUGUGAUCGAUGCCUCUAACAUCCCUUGAUCCCCGAUACUAGCUUGGUGGCACUAUAAGAAAAUGGAAAGGAGAGGUAGCAAGCAUAACGCUUUGUAAGUUGCAUAUACAUAAGUAACAACAUCAACCAUGCAUAUUAUAAAUCAACACAACAUUCUUGAGUGAACAUGGGUAAAUAUCACUACAUGCUUAUGUAUAUCACAAGUAUAAACCAAAUAUUUCAAUAUCGUCUCAAGAUCAUUUUCAUAUCUAGAACUUACUCAUGUCAUUCUUACCAUCAAGGCAGUAUAACUAGACUCAUAUAUCAUGAGUUCUGAAUAAGAACCUGUACAACUCAUAACGUGAUUAUAUCAUUCCAUAUCAUGGCUAUAAGCUUUUAAAAUAACCCGUGAAACCUUUUGGAAUACUAAAGGAUAUCUGACAAGCUUUACACAAGAAGGUGAAUUGUCGAUGCCAUGUUCCAAACAUGGUCUUACACUGGCUCACAUGUCGAGGCUGAUGCCAUGUCCCAAACAUGGUCUUACACUAGCUCUCGUCUCAAUGCCGAUGCCAUGUCCUAGACAUGGUCUUACACUGGCUCUCACAACAUCACUGAUGCCAUGUUCCAAACAUGGUUUUACACUGGCUCACAUGUCGUGGCCGAUACCAUGUCCCAGACAUGGUCUUACACUUGCACACAUAUCACCCAAAUACCAUGGCAUGGAUAUCCAAUCUAUUCCUAAGUUCAACCGAGAAUUUACCGCAUUAAUUUCAUCAUGCAUUAUUCAUAAUCAUAUUCAACCAUAUUAUGCAAAACAAAUCAUUCCACACAUCAUAAUGAUAAAGUUACCUUACUUACAUAUACCUUACUUAGGUAUACAAAAAGUGGACGACUAAUUGGCUUUAGUUUACUAGCUUGGCCUUUCCCAGGUCUAGGUUCGAAUUUCAUAUUUCUUAAUCUAAAAUGAUAAAAAAUCACUAAUUUAAUCAUCAUAUUAACUAAUGCAUUUCAUAAAUCAUAUUUUGGAAAAAUGACCAUUUUACCCCUAGACUUUCACAAAAUUACAAUUUUACCCUUAGGCUCGUAAAUCGAUUUUUAUCAAAUUUUCUAACUAACCAAGCCUAUCCGAAUUCUUUUUAUACUAGAAGUAUCCCACAAUUCCCAUCAUUUCACACAUUUACCCCAUAAUUUAUAACUUAUGCAAAAUGGUCCUUAGUUAGGGUUUUCAUGAAAACUACUUCACAAAAGUUGUUUGUUUAACAACCAUGAUUCAUUUUCUUUCAUAAAAAUUCAGAAAAAACAUGAAAAAGCCUCAUGGAAAAACCCUAUACUUUCAAACAUUUUGCAAAAUAGUCCCCUCAUUAGCUAGAUUAUGCUACAAGGGUCCCAAAAGUACAAAAAUUAUCAAGAAAGGCCAUCAAAAUCACUUACUUGUAAGGGUAAAGAGUGGCAGAAAUUUUAAAGCUCUAAAACCCCUGAAAUGGCUAAAAUUUUUUAUGGUGAAAGAAGGGAUGAAAAAGAUGAAGUCUUUUGUUUUAUUUAAUCUCAUUUUCUAGUCAAAAUAGGCUACCUACUUCACCAAAUUUGAUUUUUUUUAUUCAUCUUUGUCCCUAUGGCUGACCACCCCUAUUGAAAUGGGUCUAUUUACCCUUUAAAGACCCUUAAUUAUGAAUCUCUAGCUAUUUAACACCAUUUGCUAGAAAAACAAAACUUUUGCUCUUUAUGUGAUUUAGUCCUUUUUCGCAAUUAAGCAUGCAAUCGCUAGAAUUAUUUCACCAAAAUUUUCAUGUACUAAUAUAAACAUGCUAUAACACAUAAAAUUAUAUUAAAAAUAAUUUCUCUAACCUCGGGUUAGUGGUUCCGAAACUACUAUUCUUACUAGGCCAAAAAUUAGGCUGUUACAAGUAUUAUGGUAAACAAAAUGGUAAAGGACUAUUCAUUGAGUUUCGACAGACAUGUAUUUUUGGUUGAUUUGAUGCUUUUGAGUUUUCAUGAGUUCAACUCCAUAUUGACACUGGAUUGGCUGAGGAGACAUAAUGUUGUAGUUAGCGUAAAUCUCAAGGGGUAUGGUUAGUAUCUUCCAAUGAAAAUAGCGUGUUUGUCUCGGGAAUAAAGUGAGAUAGUAGGAACAAUUUAAUUUUAGCGAUUUUAGGCCAAAACUGAUAGUUAAGAGUGGAGAUACCUAUUUAGCAUAUAUCACUGACUCUAGGUUAAUGAGGGAAUACUUUGGACAGGUGCCAAUUAUAAACAAAUUUCUCGAUGUCUUUCCAGAAGAAUUAUCGAGGAUUCCACCAAACAGAGAUGUAGAAUUCUUUAUUAAUGUGAUGUCAGGAAUUGCUCCUAUCUCAAGUACCCCUUAUAAAGUUGCCCCGGUAGAGUUGAAGCAAUUGAAAACUCAACUGCAAGAACUAUUGGAUAAGGCGUUCAUCAGACCAAGUAUUUCACUUUGGGGUACGCCAAUACUGUUCGUUAAGAAGAAUGAUGGGAUUUUUUGGUUAUGUAUUGAUUAAAAGAAGCUAAAUAAUGUAACCAUAAAGAGCGCCAGGAACUAAUCUUAUAUCAAGUGCGUCUUAUAGAAUGGCCCUAGUAGAGUUGAAGGAGUUUAAAACUCAACUACAAGAACUGUUGGAUAAGGGGUUCGUUAGAAUAAAUGUUUCGCCUUGGGGUGCACCAAUACUGUUCGUUAAGAAGAAGGAUAGGACCUUUCGAUUUUGUACUGAUUACAAGCAAAUAAAUAAGGUAACCAUAAAGAACAAGUAUUUGUUGCUUAGAAUUGAAGACUUGUUCAAUCAACUCAAUGAAGCCAAGGUGCUUUCAAAGAUUGAUCUGAGGUCUGGAUAUUAUCAUAAAUAUUAAAGGGGGUGAUAUCCCAAAAAUCGCAUUUAAUACGCGCUAUGGCCACUAUAAAUUUUUAGUGAUGCCCUUUGGUUUGACCAAUACGCCAACAGUAUUCAUGGACCUGAUGAAUAGAGUAUUUCAGCCUUACUUCAACCUUAUGUCAUUUUCUUCAUUGACGACAUUCUAGUUUACUCAAAGAGUGAGGCAAAACAUGAGGAACACUUAUGAAUAGUUUUAAGUGUUCUUCAGGAGAAUAAAUUGUACGCCAAAUUUAAAAACUAAGAAUUCUAGCUGAAAGAAGUCCAUUUCUUAGGCCAUAUUAUAUUCGUAGAAGGAAUCAAGGUAGAUCUUGAGAAGAUAUGAGUUGUACUUGAAUAGAUCCAUCAAAAAGCGUUACUAAAGUGUGUAGUUUCCUUAGACUGGCGGGUUAUUACAGAAGGUUCGUGAGAAGGUUCUCUAUAAUGGCAACAUCAUUAACACGGUUUCUAAGGAAAGAUGAGAAGUGUCACUGGUCUAAAGAAUGUCAAUGCAGUUUUGAUGAGUAAAAAAAAAGCAUUGACAGAAGCCCUAAUAUUGAGUCAGUCAGAAUCGAGAGUAGAAUAUGUUGUCUUUACAGACGCAUCCUUGAAUGGGUUCGGGUAUGUACUUAUGUAGAAAGGAAAGGUGAUUACUUACGCGUCAAGAAAAAUCAAGCCUCAUGAUAGGAACUACUGAACUCAUGAUUUAGAACUAGCAACUGUAGUGUUAGCCCUAAAGAUUAGAUGUAUUAUCUUUACGAGGAGAAAUGUUGUAUAUUCUCUACCCAAAAGAGCCUAAACAAUCUUCUCUCUUAGAAAGAAUUGAAUCUACGUCAAUGAUGAUGGAUCAAGCUAUUAAAAGAUUAUGACUUAACCAUCGAAUACCAUUCAAGUAAAUCUAAUAUGGUUGUUGAUGCUUUGAACAGGAAAACUGUACCAACUCAGGCUUCUUUGAGAGCAAGAGUAUGCCUGGAGAAUGAUAGGCUGAUUCUCACUGAAUUAAGGGCAUAACCCAUAUUCCUAUCUCAAAUUUUGGAGUUUCAAUUGAAGGGCACACGAUGUAAGGAAAUAAAGGAGUACAUUAAGUCUGAGAAUGCUAAUAAUUUUAGCCUGAGUAAAGAAAGAGAAUUACGCUUCAUGGGAAGGCUGUGUGUUCCGAAUAAUGGUAACCUAAGGUAAGAAAUUAUGAAAGAAGAUCACCAAGGACCUUAUUCCCUUCAUCUUAGAAGUUUAAAGAUGUAUCGAGAUUUAAGGAAUUUAUUUUGGUGGCCAAGAAUGAAAAAGGAGAUAUCAAAAUUUAUAAUGUAGUGCUUAACUUGCCAGAGGGUCAAGGUAGAACAUCAGGUUCCUUUUGGUAAAUUGUACUCACUAAAAAUUCCAGAAUGGAAGUGGGACAUGAUCACGAUGGAUUUUUUCUCAAGGUUUCCUAUUAGUUUAUACAAGAAGAAUAUUGUUUGGGUAAUCAUGGAUCGAUUAAUAAAGUAAAUCAUUUCAUGGUGAUACGAACGAACUACUCAUUGGAGAAGCUAAUAGAGCUAUACAUUUCAUGAAUAGUUCUCCAGCAUGGUAUACCUUUUUCAGUUGUGUCUAAUUGAGAUUCUAAAUUUACGUCGAGGUUCUAAAAAUAGUUAUAAACAUCUCUUGGAACCAAGCUUCGGUUCAUUACCACUUUUUAUCCAUAGACUGAUAGACAAUUAGAGAAAGUGAUCUAAAUCUGAAAAAUAUGCUCAGAAGUUGUGUGAUCGAUUUUGGGAUUAAUUAGAAAAAAUAUCUACCUUUGGGGGAGUUCGCCUAUAACAACAGUUAUCACCUCAGCUUGGGCAUGUCACCUUUUGGCAUGCUAUAUGGGAGAAAAUGUCGAUCAUCGAUAUGUUGGAUGGAGCUUAGUAAGCAAAAGCAAGUUGGCCCAGACCUAGUCCAUGAAACAGAAGAAAAAUUAAUGACCAUUGAGAAUCACUUGAAGAUCAGGAUCACUAAAAGGCAUACGCAGACAGAAGGAGGAAAGAUAUAUCUUAUGAAGUUUGCGACAAAGUGUUCCUUAAAGUUUUACCAUAGAAAAAGAUUAUUCAUUUUAGAUUAAAGGGGAAACUUAGCCUAAGGUUUAUCGAACCUUUUGAGAUUCUGGAGCGUAUAGGGCCAGUAGCAUAUCAUUUAGCUCUUCCACCAGAACUAUCCAAAAUCCACGAUGUAUUCCGUGUGUCAAUGUUGCAGAGAUAUCACUCUAAUCCAGAUCAUGUAGUUCAAUUGGAAAUUUUGGAGGUAGAACCAAAUUUGUCCUACGAGGAAGAGCCUGUAUAUAUCUUAGACAGGGAAAUUACGAUGCUCAAGCAUAAAAAGAUUCAUUUAGUUAAGGUGUUAUGGCAGAACCACAAGGUAGAAGAAGCUACAUGGGAGAGAGAAAGCACAUGAGAUAUAAAUAUCCGUAUCUCUUCAUAGGUACGAAAUUUUGAAGAUGAAAUGUAUUUUUAGGGUAAAAAGUUUUCACACCCUAGUUUAGCACAACCAGAUCGAUUCAAGAGACUACGAUGACAAAGACCGCCUAAGUUGCAAAAUUUAAACUGAAUAAGAUUGGUAACUUUGUGGCAGAGCACUACAAAUAACUUUACCAAUACUGCGGAACACCAUUCUAAGUGAUAAUGAGAUUAUAUUUAGAGCGAGGACCUUAUUAGGCAAACUUUCCCACUAACAAGAUCGUUAUUCGUAUUUCUAGUAUCGUUAAUUAGGUAAGUACGAUGGAUUUUAAGAUACAUUUAAGUCAAUGUGUCAAUAAUUGGGACACUUGGAAGGCCUCGUAGGAUGUGAUUAAUUAGUGGAAGUGUGCGGGAAUAGUAAUGAUUAGAGAUAAUCCUGAUUGGGAUAGCGUGAUAGUCGAGAGAAGAUUUUUGAUUCAUCUUCUCCACUAGACUUUGUUAUCCUCGAAGAUCUUUUUUGCUAACAAGCGUGUUAACUAUAAAAGCUUAGGAGAACUUUUGUGCUAGUUGUCUACUGGUAAAUUCUUGAACCUUCCUUUAAGCUUUACCAAAUAUAUAAAAGCUAAGGUAAGAAAGGAUUGGUAGGAUUUCUUUGAAUACUAGGUAGGAAGGAAACUUCUAUCCAUAAAUUAUUUGCAUGCUCAUAGAUUCUUGUUAUAUCAUAAUUUUUUGGUCAUUUUUUAUGAUUAAAGAAGUUGUUUUAUUGUUUUAGCUAAAGAAACGAGAGAAGGUCCCAAUAUUAAAGGGCAAGAACCAAUAGAGUAGAUAAAGCUCUAAGUAAAGUAUUUUGGUAAGUUCUUUUAUGCCUUAUGUUUGGUAUAUGAGUUAAUUCACUUGCUUCUAUAAUUUGCACAACCAAGUGACUUUGUCAUUUGUCUUUAGGUUCAUGUCUGAGGAAGCCUGUCAAAGAGUUAAUCCAUGCAUGGCUAUAUAUGGUUACACAGACCCAAAAAAUUUGGUAUAUAUAAGGUUUGAGUAAUCCUUCCUUAAUUCUCAAGGUCUGUAUCCAGACAGAUGUAAGGAGGUAUUGGAAGGAUAUUGUGUAUAGUGAUAAAGAAGACACAUGAUAAAAUGCUUUUCCUCCGAUAUGGCACUUCGAUGCAAAUUGUGAUUGGUGAAAACUCGACCUUAUUGGGGAACACUUAUGUGUUCAAACAAGAAGGGGAGUUUGAAGGAUACAGAGGUGAUGUUUGUGAUAUAGCUCUGAUGAGCGGAUAUGAAGAUGCAGGAAAAAUUGGUUUUUUAGGAACCAGGAUUAGAAACUAGCACAAGGAAGAGAGUAUGUGAAAAAAAUAUACAUAUGAUAGUGCAAGUUGCAUGAGAAUGUAAACAGUAAGCUUGUUAGUUAUAUAUGGUAGUCCACACAAGUGGCAUAUUGAUAGCCAGUGUGAUCCAUGAAUAGGCUGAGUUUGGUUGUGGUAGCGUCCUCCAACUGGUCUACAGACCAGAGUAAUGUAUUCACCGGAUGUGGCAAACUAAUCUGAUAGCUCGAGUCCUUUCUCUUAGCAUCUAAUUGUAAUCAAUGGUGGGAUUGUUCUCCCAAGUAACUCACUAAUUUCUUACGAACUUACCCAAUUUCAUCUUCCUUUCAAGUUCCUAGGUUAAGUGUGGUGAUCAAAAGGAUACAACAAGAUUUGCGACCAUUUGUGAGCCUUUUUAUUUGUUGGGGUUAACAUGUAUUUGUUGGGGGUACUCGAACAAUUGUCAAGUACUGCCAUUUUGAAAUUUUUAAUCUAUACUCAAAUGUUAUUUUGAACACUUUGAACGUUGAUUGGAAGCCUUGUUGGCAUAUUGUUAUUUGUGUUGUAUUGAUGUUAUUUAAGCAACCGCAAAAGGUUAAUUCGCGCUUCUUUAAAUUUUUAAAUGCGGUGAGCUAUUAUUUUAAUAUUUUGCUUCCAAAUAAAUGUAGUCUUAAACCAAUGGACUACCGCUUUGGUAAAAAGGGGUAUUUUCCAAAAUGGUCAAUGGUUUAAAAAGAAGAAUAGUGUGUUUUCUAUCGCAUCAACUUGUAACGCUCCAUACCCAGAUCUGACGAUCGGGUCAGGUGUGGGGUGUUACUGACAUUCGAGUCGUUAUAGAAUAAAUGAGGUUAAUCAGCCAAAGUUUCCACAUGAAUUAAUCAGUAUUAGAAAGCUAAACAAGAUACAGAUAUUUUGAAGGUACUUUUUCAAAGCUAUGGGUUACUUCAAACUGAUGUUUUCAAAGCUAUGACUUGUUUUGAGGUUAAUCAACUGAAGAAAGGUUCUCUCGCAAUAUGCUACUAAUGCAUGAUGACUAUUCAUUAUUGUUGACUUGGUAAUUUUAGAUAAGGUGAUCAAAGCUGAAUGUAGGAGGUUACUUUUGCAAAAGGCAUUGUUCCAUCGAUGUUCUCAGGGAGUUUAAGUACAUAUGCAACUUAAUAAAAGUAAUCUUGUGUAUUUUAAACUUUUGAUGUCUAGUUGUAAAAGUAUGAGAAUUAAUCUUCUAAUUUGUUGACAUAUUUGAAGGGAAGGUAAACUCUAAGGCUAUUUUUGUGGCUGAAACAAUAACUACAACUUGAGGAACUGUUUUAUUGCCUUACUUGCCUAUUUUCGGAGUUGACAAAUGUUUGGACAAAAAUAUUGUACUAUCUUUUUUUAAAGAUAUUAAAUGAUUUAAAGACUAUUUGAGUUAAAAUUGAAGACUUGAAAGAUUGGUUCUUGCAGUUCAAGUUUGGUUACUUACGAAACAAGUUAAAUAAUUUUCUAUAGUUGAAGACUUUGAAUUACAUCGAGACUUUUAUGGAAUUAUUAUCCUAUGCUAAUUAGGUUUAUUUUAUAAAAAAGUUAUUAGACUAUGACCUUAUGUAAGCAAAACUUAGUAUAUAAACUUAAAGUAUUGUUUAGGUUAAGUGGUAACUGAGAGGUAGAGAGAGUACAAAUUUGUUCAAGUUAGGAACAUUUUAUAUGUGCAUUGUUCUUAUAAGCAAUCAAGAGUCUUUUAUUACAAAACUAAGCUUUCUAGAGUGAAAAUUAGUGGGAUAGUGAUCUAAUCUUUGUACAAUGGUAAGGUCGCUAAAUCAAUAAGAGCUAGUCGAUGUUGGGACUUAAAUCAUUGGUUGUACUGUGAGAAAGAUAGUGAAUCAUUGCUCUAAGUAAGGCCCCACAGAUCAUUACCCUAGGCAAGGCCCCGCAGAUCAUUACUUUGAGCAAUGCGCCUCAGAUGUAGACUGAGGUCAAAUUGCAUAAACAAUCUAGGUGUUUAUCUUUACAUUUUCACUCUUUGGAUUUCAUGGUUGAAGUUGUGGCCAUAGUUCCAAGCACUAUUUUAGCCACAACCUUUGUUUACAAAGCAAGUACUCCUAGUUUCUACAUAAUCUUUUGUUGCUUGGUGUAUCUUUAAAAUUCCUUAACAUUUUGGUUUAUUUUGGUUCUUUCGCAUCCGUAUGUAUAAUUCUUUAGAUCCCUUUUUCACCCUAUUGUACCAUUUAAUAUCAUGUUUAAUACAGUGUGUGGAUUUGCAAAGUUGGCUAUUUGAGAUCUCGAUGUAUGUUCGAUUAUAAUAAGUUGAUUUUGUAGGCUUUACCAUAUUUUGUAAUGCAAACUCAAUUCUGAGCUCAAUUGGAGAAUGUUUAAAAAUUAGUGCAUGCUGUGGCACCUUGAAUAUGAGGUUCUUGCGUUCCCCCCUUCUUUUGGUGUUUUUUAAGAAGUCCUAGAACCUUUGACCCUCACCAUUCACCAACAAACUAAUCAUGGAGGAAGGCUAAUCAAACACCAUAAGUAGUGAUGAUCACAUCAGCCAACUUUCUGAUGGUAUUCUAGCCACCAUCUUGUCAUCUCUCCCAAUAAAUGACACAGUAAGAACUAGUCUUGUCCCAUCUAGGUGCAGGUAUUUGAUAAAUAAUAAAAGUAACAUAUUUUAAUCCUAUUCUUAAUACGUUUAUGGAUGAUUAUUUAUGCAAAUUGGUGAAUUUUAUGCUCCUAAUACUUCGAAUUCAUGUUUCUAUACUUAAGAGAGCAUUUAAGAGCUAACGAAGCAAAAAGCGAGUGAAAAUCGGAUAAAUAGAGCUGAUUUCGGGAGCCACGCUGCCUGGGCUUCCCACACGGGCUGGACGCAUGCCAUAUGUUAGAUUGUGUCGAUUUCACGACUUGCAUCCCAAAUGCAUGGAAAAACGCAAUUUUUAGGCUUUCUGAGCAUUAUAAAUCUAUAAAUACCAAAUAGAAGAAGAAAGAAGGGAGCCAUCAGAGAAUAUCGAAGAAAACAACUCGAAAAACACCAUUGGAGCCAACUUUGAAGCGGAUUUCCAUCAAGAUUGAUGAGCUCCUUUUAAUUUCUCUUGAAGUAUUUAUGAGUUUCUUUAUUUCUUGUGGUUAUUCUGACAUUGAGAUGUUUUUAUUCACAAUUAUGAACUAAUUCCCUAGAUAUUUAAGGAAGAUGAACCCUAUGAUGAAUUCUAUUAUUUGAUUUAUGUUUUAAACAAUAAAUACUUAAUUAUUGUUAUCAGUUAUAUACGCUUAUCUCUUGUUUUAAUAUUUUCGGGAUAUUAAUGUAACAUCCCAAAUUAGGGCCUAGUUGGAACAAUGGUUUUGAAACCACAAAUCUGACACAAUAAAAUUUGUUUUUAUUAUAUUUUUAUGUACUACAAUUUCACGGGAUGAUUUCGUGAAAAUUUCGUGAAAAUUUCGUUCGAAAAUUUUGAAGUUUGGGCACCCAAUUUGGUCAAAAGGACUAAAUUGUAAAAAGUGCAAAAGUUGAGUUCUACAUGUUAGAGGUGUCUAAUUGUUAUGAAAUUUUAAAUUGGAGGCCUUUAAAUGGUAAUUAGACCAUUGGAUAAUUUUUUGGACAAAAAUGGACAUGAAUUGGGUGAAAUAGAAUAUUUUUAAGUUAGGGGCAUUUUGGUAAUCUAGUAAUUAAAAUGAUUUAAAAAUGAAAUUAAAAGCCAAUUUUUGUCCAUAUUCUACCCCAUGGCUAAAACUUGCAUUGAGAAGACAUAGCAAGGGUUUUCAAGCUUCCAAUCGAUUGUAAGUCAGUUCUAGCCCCGUUUUUAAUGAUUUUUACGUUUUUGAAAUCUUCAUAACAAGAUCUACUCAUUUCUACCCUUAUUUUGAGCUAGGGUUUGUCUUUACAAUUUUACCCAUGGAUGACAUGCAUGUAUUUUGAUGUCUAAUGGUAGAAUAUGAAUUCUUGGUGUGUAAUAAAUGACUUUUACUAAGUGAUUUUCGGUGAAAUUGUCAAAAAGGAUCGUUUUGUAAAAGUUACAAAAUUUGUCAUAAAAGUGUGAUUUAGUGGAAAUUUGGGGCUUCUACAGUUAUAAAAAUGAUUCAGCUAGGCCUAAAAUGCAAGGAAAUUGAAUAAAAAAUCAUUUUACGAGCCUAGGGACCAAAGUACAAAUAUGUGAAAGUUUAAGGGUUAAAAUGCAAAUUUGUAAAAGUAUACUUUUUGGACCGGUAUGAAUAAUGUGACUAAUUAGUAAGCUAAAUGUGGUAUUAUAGAUCAAGGAAAAUGAGAUUCGGGCAUAGAUUGGAAAUGAAUGAGAUUAUGGACUAAAUGAGAAUAUAUAGUCGUACUCGAACCCGAGGUAAGUUCAUGUGAUUUUAAUAAUGCAAUAUUGUAUUUGAAUGCUAAUUCUUCGAUAUUACACGAGUUGUAAGUAUAUAUAUAUGUGAAUAAUUUGAUAUUAUGUGAUUAUUUUAAUGAUAUAACAUGUUCUUGAUGUUUUGCUAUUAUGAUGAAAAUGUUGCAAUACCAUGUGACUAUGAGAUAUUGCUAUGUGAAUGAAGCCACAAUUCGAGUACGUCCGGUAAAGGCUUGGAAGUUUGAUGGAAUAUGAUGUUUCUUUGAAACGAGUAAGUUUGUAUGUAAAUAAUAUUUUGAUUCUUUUUAUGUUAUUAUCUUUUGUUAUUAUAUGAGAUGUGGCUGCCUAUAGAAUGAUCAAUUAAUGUAAACUACGAAUCGAAAUUGACUAAGAACGAGUUAUUAAAAUGUUGAAAAGUGAAGAAUUUCUUGAUUGAACCUUCGAAAUAGAAGAGAUACAAAUGAUCCGUUGUGAAUCACGUGUAUAGUACUAAGUGCAGGCUACUACGUGUACUAAAUUGAUAGGUCGCAUGUGUAAUACUAAGUGAAGGCUACUACACGUACCCGUUAACUUCGAUCACGUGUGUAGUACUAUGUGCAGGCUACUACAUGUAUCAGAAGGUUAAGUCACAUGUGUAGUACUAAGUGCAGGCUACUAAGUGUACCAAAUUGAUAGGUCGCAUGUGUAGUACUAAGUGUAGGCUACUAUGCGUACCCGUUAACUUUGAUCACGUGUGUAGUACUAAGUGCAGGCUACUACGUGUGUCAGAUGGGUAAGUCACGUGUGCAGUACUAAGUGCAGGCUACUACGUGUACCAGAUUGAUAGGUUGUAUGUAUAGUACUAAGUGCAGGCUACUAUACGUACCAGACAGCUUCGGUUACAAGGGUGGUAUAUGCACAGGCCACCGGGUAUCUAUUAUUAUUUCGAUGAGUUCAACGGGAAAUUUACUUAGUGAAAAUACAUAUGUACAUGACUAUGUUAUGAAUAAGUUCAAGUAUAUCUAUGUGAAAAGUUGUGAGCAAUGUGCUCGAUAGCUGAGCGAAUCUUUUGGUAAGAUAGAAUGCAGUAAGUGAAAUUAGGUAAAAGUAAAAUUUUGUAAUAAAAUAAUUUUGGACAGCAGCAGUUGUGUGAAUUUGAAAAAUCAAAAAAAAUAGUAGAUAUUUAAUUAGAGGUUUAAUAAGAUAUGAAAUUAAAUCUUGAUGAGUCUAUUUUCUCAUAAAAGAAACAGUUAAGGUAAAAGAAUUUCCUAUUCUGUGAUACUUAGAUUUUUCUGAGACAGGGUCAGAAUGAUUUUGGAAUCCCCUGUUCUGAUUUGGGAAAAUAAUUAAAAAUUUUAAAAACAUAAUUACAGGUCAUAAUUUGCAUGCUUAAAAUCCUUAUGAGUCUAGUUUCUAGUAAAAUUAGCAUUUCUCAAUUUGGAGUCCCGUACCAUGAGAUAAAUAAUUUUUAGUGAAGAGAGUUCAGAACUAUCAUAUAGUGAAAUAGGGGUAUAUUUAAUGAAUAAACUGUACUUAUUAGAUAAACUAAAAAUUCUAAAAAUUUAUGGUGAUAAGAUAUAUGUGUCUAGUUUCAUAUAAAAUUAAUGGAUUUUAAUUUGGAGUUUCGUAGCUCUGGAUAUAAAUAAAUUAGUAACUAUGACUCAAGAAAAUAGCAUGACCAAAAAUCAACAAAAGUGUAAUUAUGAUUACAUUUUCAUGGAAUCAUGUUGAUAAUUUGCUUAUUUUUUUCAUAGAGGCUUACUAAGCUUUAAGCUUACUCCCUCCUAUCCAUUUCCUUAGUGUUCUCAGGUCAACUCAGGGUUGGAGACUGUCGGAGGCAGCGUCACGCUAUCAAGCCAACAACUCCGUAGUAUUGUCAUAUGUGUAUUAAAUACUUUCAAGUGAGUAGCAUGUAUAAGGAGUAGUUUUUAUGUUAGAUGUUGUUAUGGUUAGCCAAAUGUAUCGGCUUAUUUUGAUUUAUUGUACAUGGCCAUGAGAUGUGGCUUAAAUGGUUAUGGCUUGUAAGCCUAAUUAUUCUUGCUAUGUGUUAAUGUUUGUGAUGUGUUUAUCAUUGGUUGUUAUGAGUGAUUAGUAUAACACAUGUACAUGAUGAAUGUUUCGAGGUGGUCGUGGCCAUGGAAUGAAUGUGUGGCAUGGUAGUAAGUUGAUAAUGAUUGAAUAUGGAAAAUUGUAGAAUGUGAAUUGGAAUGUCUAACUUGGUGUAACAUGAGUAUAGGUAAUAAACACAUGUAUGACAACAUGUACAUGCUUUAACGGAAUUUUACUAAAGGAUUAUUAACCAUUAAAUUGAUGUUAUAAUGUGUAUAAGUAUGGAAGAGAAUUAAGGACAACAUAAGGCUUGGAAAAUAGCCUAAGUGUUGGCUACAAGGCAGAGACACGGCCAUGUGUCUCAGUAGUGUGGAGGACACGGCCUAGAACAUGGGUGUGUGGUUUGGCCGUAUGGAUCAAUUUUUUUUGCUGAUGUCAUAAACAGAGAGUUACACGGCCUGAGCACACAGGCGUGUUGAAGACACUUGAGCGUGUCCUUGUGUCCACACGGGCGUGUGACCCUAUUUCAUGAAAAUUUUUCUAAGUUUUUUCAAAGCUUUCUAAAGUCCUCGGUUUAGUCCUGAACCACCCCGAUGUAUGUUUUAGGCCUCGAAGGCUUGUAUAAGGGACGAUCUACAUGUGUUUGAAAAUUUUUAAUUUGGAUGAAAUUUUAUGGCUCGGUUUUGCAUGUUUGUGAAUGUUUAAGUCCGGUAACACCUCGAACGUUGUCCCGACUUUGGAUACAGGUAAGAGGUGUUAUAUUUAGUGGUAUCAGAGCUAUGGUUUAGUCAGUUCUCAGACUAACCUAGCAUGAAUGAGAGUCUAGCUAUCCAUGCCACCAAUCCGUGAUAGUGUGAUGUCUCCCGAAACGAAUGAGAACCAUCUUGUUUAGACAGAGGUACUCUCCAAUCGAGCUACACCGACCAUAUUAAAUGUGAAGCUAAGGUAUUCGGGUAAAGUACAGUUAUGAUGAGCUAAACUCAGAAAAGUAUGAACAAAAGUUCAUGAUAUGUAUGUGAUAACAUGUGAGAUAAGAGUUUAUGUUACGAGGAAUACUCAUGCUUGUUUGAUAUUCAUAUGAUAUUGUGCACUUGACAUGUUUGAUUAAGUGAAUGUGAUAAAAAGAAAUUCAUAAAGGUAUGAAUAAAGGUUUAUAAUAUCAUGUUACGGAUAAAAAUGUCUUUUUCCCGAUUGGACGUUGAAUGUUGAUGAAUUUUAACGAUAUCUUUAAAUGAGACAAAGGAUUAUAAUGUAAUGAACUUAUUUACGUUAAAUUGAUGGAUUGAUUCAUAUGAAUAUAAUGAUAUGUAUAUGAUAAAGUGCCAGAUAAAAGUUUUGAUUGUGACAUACUUAUCCAUGUUUGUUUGGCCCUCAUAAGAUGUUAUGUGCAUCACUUGUUUGAUUGAAUGAAUGGGAUAAGUGAAGUUAUUCAGAAUCCAUAGAAUGUAAGCAUAAAUGCACUAGUUUAAAUAAGAUAACUAAAAAGUUCGUGUCAUACGAACAUGAAUAAUAGUUUUCCUGAAGUGGAUGAUAUGCUUGUGAAAAUGUUACUAUGAUAAUGAAAUAGUGUUAUAUGUAUAUAUGUAUGAGAGACGAGUUAGGGACUUACGACCCCACCCCCUUACCAGAGUGGUGUUUUGUAAAGGAUUUUAUAAGAUCAGUGUUGAAUAAGCUCACAAGUAUGAGACCAAAGAGUUCAGCUGUAGAAUGAUUAUAACUAUGAUCAGAGAUUAAUUAGAUUGAUAAGUAAAGACAGAGCUAGUAAAGUGUGAUGUCAAAAAGCAUAUUAACUGGAAUUUCUUCAGAACUAAUCUUCUUCAAUGAAAAUCAUAAUGUGGGAUUUGUAAUAACAGAAAUAGUUGGAGGAAUAAAUCUUAACAUGUAAGAUACCAGAAUGUGGUAAUUAGAGUAAGUAGAUUAUGACUGUCUCUCUUGAGGUACUCUAUGAGUUCAUUUACUCUCGAAAGUAUUACUGGGGCUAUCUAUUUUCAGAUAAAUUGUUAUCAUGCGAAAAUGUUUUCUAAUCUUGGAAUAAGAUGAAAGUAUUGAUAGUCUGACUGGUAUAUAAUAUGUAUUGCUCUAUUUUCCCUCUAGCAUUCUAUUAUGUUUCAUCUAUUAUGAUUUUGUGAGAUAAUGUACCUGAUGUUCUGAUUUUGUUCCUUCUAAUGGAUGCUCUGUUUGAUAUAUAUAUAUAUGGGAAGGUACAUUAUCCUUGUUCCAUUUAGUUCUAGUGGGCUUGAAUGAUGUAUUCUUCUGGACUUCUUUCUUCUGGGAAAUUAUAGAAAUCUUCCAUAUUUUCUUAUGAGCUUUGUUCUGGGUCUUUCAUUAUGAUAUUAUAUCUUGGAUUUCCUUAUCUUGGAUUUCUCUAUCUUGGACUUCUUAAUCCUAGUUUUCUUGUUAUCUAUAUCCGAAAUUUAUCAAUCAUGGCUCAUAUCUACAGUGUGUUCUUCAGUUGUGAUAAUCAUGUCAAGUGUGACUAUGCUUCUACUUUAAUCAAAGUAAUGUGGUAAAUCUAGUAUCUGGAUUUCUCUAAAUCUUCGUAAAGGAUUUGACAUGGUAAAGGCAUAAGUGGUGAAAUUGCUAGUAUCAGCUUGUAUGAUGGAUUUCUUUUCUCAAGAAAGUUAAUCAAGUUAAUGCCUUCAAUUGGGAACAUUUAUACUACCUUGAGCUAAUGCAAUUGAAAUGAACUUUGAUUAGUAUAAUGAGUGAAUUUUGCAUGAUUACAUGUUAAAUCGUUUUGACAACUGAAAGGAAGGAUUUCUUGUAACUUUAUCAAGUAAUAAUUAAGACCGACUUGGUUGUUCAGUUUGUAUGGGUUAUUGUUUGAAAGAUUUAAUGGGAUAUUUAUCUCUGAAUUUUUUUGUCCAAGUCUGAGAAUAAGAUUUUAUCUCUCCGAGUAAAAGAUAGAUAGUCUGAAUGAAAGUGUAUAUAUCUUAGAAGACUUUGAUAUGAUUUAAAGUUGCUUUGGAUGAUAAAGUUUUUGUCCUGUGAAAGUUGAAUGGUCUACUACAUGUUGGUAACGAUUUGAAUAUACGAGAAUAUUGUUAACCGAAGCCUUAAAACUAGUUUAGUCUGCAUUGAGCAAAGAUUUCUCAAUUUUCAGUGAUGUGUUUUAAGACAAGAAGGACAGUGUGAUAGCUUAAAGUAUCUUCUAUCAUAGAAAGACUUAAGUUGAGAUAGUGUAGCUGACUUGAAUUGUUAAAGGAUGAUAAGAUAUUUAUGGUAUGAUCUCUAAGAAUUAGAUUACUAUAGAUUCCAUAUUAGAAUUAUUCCUAUCUUUGAAAGAGAAAGUUGUCAUAUGACUUGUUGUUAAGUAAUUGAUGAAUCUGCAAAUCAUGUCGGUAAGUACUAAAUUUCCGCUCAUCAUACUUAUGGGAUUCAGUAUCUUUGAGAUUGUUGAAUUUCUUAAAAUGCUAGUUUUUGUUAAUCGGAUUGAGAUUUGGUAUUUAUAUCGUGAAUUAUUGAAAAAGCUAAUUGAGGCUCUGAAUUUUAAUGAUGACCAGAGGUCGAACUAGUGAACUGUCAGGCUGUAUAAAAUGAUAGAGAACUUAAGGCCAUGAUGAUCGGGCUGGCUACGCCAUUUGAAUCUGAGAGGAUUCAAGUAUGAUGUGUAUAUACAUAUUCUAUGACGAUAUGGGUACGACCCUUGUAUACAUAAGUUCUCUGAUAGAAGUCAAGAUUCGGUUGAUGCAUCGUAUAACACAGAAUUGUUCAUGACUUUACUAUAAGAAAUUAAAGAGCUAAGUAUUAAACAUAGCUUGAGUAAAGGUUCUUCAACAAUUAUUAUGAGAUAGUGGAGCUUAUGUGAAAACCGAACCACUCUUCUGGUAAGAUUUUUGGGGACGAAAAUCCCUAAAGGGGGAGAGUUGUAACAUCCUGAAUUAGGGCCUAGUCGGAACAGUGGUUUCGGGACCACAAAUCCGACACAAUGAAAUUUGCUUUUAUUAUAUUUUUAUGGUCUACGUUUCAAGAGAUGAUUUCGUGAAAAUUUUGUUCGAAAAUUUUGACAUUUGGGCACUCAAUUUGGUCAAAAGGACUAAAUUCUAAAAAGUGCAAAAGUUGAGUUCUACAUGUUAGAGGUGUCUAAUUGUUAUGAAAUUUUAAAUUGGAGGCCCUUAAAUGGUAAUUAGACCAUUGGAUAAUUUUUUGGACAAAAAUGGAAAUGAAAUGGGUGAAAUAGAAUAUUUUUAAGUUAGGGGAAUUUUGGUAAUCUAGUAAUUAAAAUGAUUUAAAAACAAAAUUAAAAGUCAAUUUCUGUCCAUCUUCUACCUCAUGGCCGAAACUUGGAUGGAGAAGACCUAGCUAGGGAUUUUCAAGCUUCCAAGGUCGAUUGUAAGUUAAUUCUAGCCCCGUUUUUAAUGAUUUUUACGUUUUUGAAAUCUUCAUAACAAGAUCUACUCAUUUCUACCCAUAUUUUGAGCUAGGGUUUGUCUUUACAAUUUUACCCAUGGAUGACAUGCAUGUAUUUUGAUGUCUAAUGGUAGAAUAUGAAUUCUUGGUGUGUAAUAAACGACUUUUACUAAGUGAUUUUCGGUGAAAUUGUCAAAAAGGAUCGUUUCGUAAAAGUUACAAAAUUUGUCAUAAAAGUGUGAUUUAGUGGAAAUUUGGGGCUUCUACAGUUAUAAAAAUGAUUCAGCUAGGCCUAAAAUGCAAGGAAAUUGAAUAAAAAAUCAUUUUACGAGCCUAGGGACCAAAGUACAAAUAUGUGAAAGUUUAAGGGUUAAAAUGCAAAUUUGUAAAAGUAUACUUUUUGGACCGGUAUGAAUAAUGUGACUAAUUAGUAAGCUAAAUGUGGUAUUAUAGAUCAAGGAAAAUGAGAUUCGGGCAUAGAUUGGAAAUGAAUGAGAUUAUGGACUAAAUGAGAAUAUAUAGUCGUACUCGAACCCGAGGUAAGUUCAUGUGAUUUUAAUAAUACAAUAUUGUAUUUGAAUGCUAAUUCUUCGAUAUUACACGAGUUGUAAGUAUAUAUAUGUGAAUAAUUUGAUAUUAUGUGAUUAUUUUAAUGAUAUAACAUGUGAUUAUUUUAAAAAUAGGACAACAUAAGGCUUGGAAAAUAGCCUAAGUGUUGGCUACACGGGGAGAGACACGGCCAUGUGUCUCAGUCAUGUGGAGGAUACGGCCUAGCACACGGGUGUGUGGCUUGGCCGUGUGGAUCAAUUUGUUUUGAUGACAUCAUAAAUAAAGAGUCACACAGCUUGAGGACACGGGCGUGUUAAAGACACACGAGCGUGUCCCUAUGUCCACACGGGCGUGUGACCCUCUUUCAUGAAAAUUUCUCUAAGUUUUCCUAGAGCUUUCUAAAGUCAUCGGUUUAGUCUUGAACCACCCCGAUGUAUGUUUUAGGCCUCAAAGGCCUGUAUAAGGGAUGAUCUACAUGUGUUUGAAAUUUUUUAAUUUGGAUGAAAUUUUAUGGCCCAGUUUUGCAUGUUUGUUAAUGUUUAAGUUUGAUAACGCCUUGAACCCUAUCCCAACUUCAAAUACAGGUAAGGGGUGUUACAAUUAAUUCAUGUUCAAUGUGCUUAAUUAGAGGAGCAAAAGUCUCUAUUUAAGAGUAGAUUUAGUAUAAUUGAGUGAAGUUGCAUGCAAUCCUAAAAAUAGAAUGACAUAAAUCUACCAGAUUAGAGUCAAAUCUAAUAGGGGAAUCCAUAAAUCGAGUUAAUGCAAUAAUAGGGGUUUUAAUUAGAAAGAAAUUUAAAUUAAUCAACCUAGAGUCAGUUGCUCUUACUCUUGAAAGCGAUAUUAGCAUAAUUUAGGGAUUUCUACUAUAGCGCCCCAAAUUUGGGCUAGAAGAAUUACGCCUUGUGUAUGGGUCCAUAAGGAGGUUGUAUAUAAGCAUUUAAUUGUACAAGGAAAUGACACAAUUAAAUGUCUGCUUUGGUGGUAAAUGGCCCUGAGAAGUGUUGGUGAAAUCUUGGGUUCAAACCUGGGCUUUAGCAAAAAUUUUGGCUUUAAGUGAAUAAAACCCUGGGUGCUUGGAUGAAGGCCUUUUAAAUUAUUAUGGUAAAUGAUGACACAAGAAAGCAUGUGGUUUAGUGGUUGUGGCGUCAUUAAGGUUGCAAGGGAGCCUGGGUUCAAGUCUCGGCUCUUGCAAUUUAUUUUGGUUUUUCUUUUAAAGGAAUCUAGACGUUAGCACAUAUGCCUUAUAAUUAAUUGAGGAUAAAAUAUGACAUAGAAAGAGCCUGUGGUGGAGUGGCAAGGUGGUGUGUUGUAUAACUGUGAGGUCUAAGGUUCAAGUCUUGGGAUGUGCAAUGGGGUAUUUAUUUUGCUAUUUGAGCUGUGUAGGAGGUGGAGUUGGACUGGAACUCUGUGGUUGAAGUGGUUAUAAAAAAAUAAGGAAUUUUCCUAAUGGUUGAAAGUAAUCCCACAUCGGGAACUCUAGCUGUAGAACGGCAAAUGCCGAAAUGCUGGUCACACGGCGAUGGCAGUGACACGAUCGUGCGAGCGCACGUGUGGGAGCUUUGACGUGAUGGUUGAGACCAUCAUAAGUGCUCUCGUGGGCUUAGGUUGCUUUGGGCCAGGAUGGGCAUGUUGGCCCAUGGGCCUAAGUGGAUAAUUUAUAUGAUUGUGUAGUAAAUAUUGGAUUGGACUAUGUGAAUCUCAUAUCUGUAGGCUAGUAUUACUAAAAUACCAAUAGUUUACAAAAUUACUAAAUACCCUCGAUUAGCAAAAUUACUAAAUACCCUUUGUUUGUAAAAUUACCAAAAUACCUCUAAUUUGUGAAAUUACCGAAAUACCCCCAAUUUUUAAAAUUACCAAAAUACCCAUAAUUUGAAAAUUUACCAAAAUAACCCUAAUUUGAAAAAUUACCAAAAUACCCUUGAUUUGGAAAUUACAAAAAUACCCCUAAUUUACAAAUUUACAAAAAUACCCUUAACUUUCAAAAUUUAUAGAAAUACUAUUGGUUUGCAAAAUUACCGAAAUACCCUUGGUUUGUAGAUUUGCCAAAACACCCUUAUAGGGUGAAAUGACUAAAAUACCCAUAAUAGGUAAAAAGACCAUUCUGCCCCUCUAGGGUAUAUGACUCACUGAUAAUACAAUUUGAUUGAUUUGACUAUGUUUUGACUGAGAAUGUAUGACUGUGAUUGGAUUGUUGUGGCUGUGAUUUGUAUGAUUUUGUAUGUUGUAUGUAUAUUUGCUGCAUUCAUAUAAUAUUAUGUUGCAUAUGGGUGGGAUCAUGAAACGGAGGAAGAAAUUGAGGAUCGCAUGGUUGCUUGACGACCGUGGAUCCACCAAUUGAGAAUCGCAUGAUUGCUUGACAACCGUGGAUCCACCGAUUAAAGAUCGCAUGGUUGCUUGAUGACUGUGGACCCACUAGUGGCUUUUAAGCCCAAUAUAUGAUUAUUGACGACUCUGUGUCGAUCAUAUUUACCCGAGGCUAUGUGCCGACUAUAUUACCAUCGCUGAUGCCUAUGUGCCUAACAUGAUACAGCUACCGAUGGCUUAAAGCUAAUUAUUCUGUUAUCGAUGGCUUUGUGCCGAUAUGAUAUUGAUGGCUAUGUGUCGAUCUGUUAUCGAUGGCUUUGUGCCGAUCGUAUUAUCGUAAUAAUGGCUUUAAGCCAAGCAUAUUGCUAGCAGUUUUGCUGUGAUUUCAGUUAGUGCUGCAACUGGUGCUAACAUUGUAAGUGUAGGGAUGGCGUAGGUGAGUUAUUCCCCACAUGUAGUGCAGGGUUGGAUGGGAUAACAUGCAUCCAUACAUUCACACAUUAUGUUUUGUUAUUAGUUUGGGCUAGGCCCAACUGAUUCUAUUAUGGGCUGUGACCCAAAUGUUAUUGUAAUAGGCUUUGGCCCACGUAUGCUCUGAACUGGACUGUACUACUUCUGUUAACGGGCUCUAGACAGACUGUUUCUAUUUCUGUUUUGGUAUACUAACUGUUACUCUAGUAAGGGGAUUACACACUGAGUUUUCGUAAACUCACCUCGUUUAUUAACUGUGCAGGUAAUCCCCAGCGUUAGGUGGAUCUGUGACACAAAGGGACUCGAAGACGACCACACAACUGUACAUGUUCUUCUAUUUUGUUUAUUUAGUUAAGCACUUUGGUUUUUUAUUUGGGUUGUAUUAAGGCCUCUUUAUUUUCUUAACUUUUUAUUUGGGAAAUUUAUUUAGUAUGCUUAAUAUUUGUUAGAAGUAGGACGUGGUUUUCCAAAACAACAAUUGGUUUUCAAAAUAUCACGUUUCUGCAACGGUUUACAAUUAAGCUUCCGCAGCAAGUAAGGUUUUAAGGGAAUUAACGUUUCACAAGUUUUAAAAUGGCCAGAGGUUUUAAAUAGUAAGAAGGGUUUUCAAUGAGAACAUGGUUUUUGAAACACACUUCAAUGUGACAUGCCAGAUUUGGGCCUAACUUCUAGGCUGGGUUUGGAGUUUAUAUCUACGGUUCAAGAUACCAAGUGAAUAAAUUGUUGAAUUCAGAUUCAUUAUAAUAGAUGAACUCUAGGUGGAUUCUUUCCUGGGUAUUGUUUCUCUCAUUAGUUAUUACUCGAUUAUUUUCCUGAUUCAUUCUCUGUUGAGUUCUUUAGUUAGAUUAAUUUAGUAAAUCUUAGUUUAAAACAAUCACUCUAAUUUGUUAGCUAAAUAAUAGGAAAACGGUAAUUACUAAUACUUUUAGUCCUCACGGAUACGAUAUCUUUACUCACCAUAACUAUACUAUUUAUCGAUAAGUACACUUACCUUUGUCGUAUUUUUAGUUAGUCAUGUGAACAUACAUCAGUAUUCAUGGGCUAAUUAAUCACUCAAACCUCAACUUUGAUGUAAACAUGUCGGGUGAAACCUGCUUUCCGGGUCAUGAGUACAACUAUUGGUGCUUAAAACAAAAAAAGCCAAUCCACCUUGAACUGUGUCAACCAAUUUUUUCUCUAUCUCAGCUUUAACCAACAGAUAAAAAAAGCUCAAAGGGUGCUUCAAACUAUGUCAUUGGCAUGGUGAUCAUCUUGAUCAAUGGGUCAACUUUGUUAUUUGAAAAGGGACUCAGAAGAUUGACCUUUUUUUAUCAAGAAAAAGGUGUACCGAUGUGUACUACAAUGAUGACAUGUAUGAAACCACUUUUUCUUAUUUCAGUGAUUGAUCAGAGUAAGUUCUAUGAAUUUUCCUAUUAUCUUCUUCUUGGUUAUGGGAGUGCUAGGAAAACAAACAUCAUUUUAAUUUUCUUGGUUUCAAGACCCUCACAAGCCUAGACCUAAAUGGGUGAAUUUGAAAUCGAAUGAUCAUUUUCAUAACAAGUUGUCAAAUUAUUAUCCUUUAUGUCGUCAACUGAAGUACUUAAAGAUUUGUGGUAGUAUAUAGGAUUAUUUGAGAGAGUUGCAGAUAAAUGGUAGUGAUAUUGAGACAUUGGAAUUCAGGGGUUACUGUUUCAUUCACUCAAGUAAAAAAUUCUAAAUACUGCAAUUAUUCGUUUCACUGAAGCAAAGACAAGUGUUGAAAAUUGGCCAACCAUGCUGCUUUGAUAUUUUUAGAUGAAAUGCAUGCAGCUUGUAAACAUGCUGCAGCACGUAUGCUUGCUGUAACAGCAAUGUUUUCUCUUUAGUUUCAUUGUAACCAAACUAGUUGAAAAUGAACAAGCUGGUAACAGCUUGAUAUGUUUAGGUGUUGAAUGACUAGUUUAGGUGACUUGUUUAUGUGUACAAGCAAUGUUUAUCAAGUUACUAGGAUACCUAGUGGUAGUAGGUAGUCUUUGGUGAUAUAUUUAACUAUAAAUGUAUUGAUUUUCUAGUUGAAUGAAUGAGCAAAAAUGAACCUAAAAGCCAUAAGCUCCGUUGAUGCACAUUUGUGAGCUAGUAAAUUUUUUUUCUUUUAUCUUGCUGCUUUGUCUUGUGUCCUGUAUUUCUUCCUCUGCUCCUGCCAAAACCCCAACAACAAGAGACAAUGCACUUUUGGCCUUUCUACAAGUUUCCCUGUGAUAUUCCACAGCUUGAGACAUUGUGGUUAAGCUACAUUUUCUACGGGAAGGUCAAUGAGUACAUGAUGAUGUAUUUAAUUUAGUGAGUUCUAAUUAGUAUUAUUUAUUUUUUGUUGUUUUAGACUGAGACAGUCCCUGAGAGCAUGCCAACACAUUACAGUCUCAAGCAUAUAUAGCAAUUUUAAAAGUUUUCGUGCCUCACAUUGGCCUUCCGUGGAUAAGAAAUGUUCUCCAGGCACGUUCAUUGAUUUAAAAGUUGAGAAUGCAUAAAAGUUAUUGUUUUUUGCAGCCUUUUUUCUCGUUAAUUUUGAGUUUUUGACAUCCCACAAUGUGGAAAUUUACAACUCAAAUUUCCAUUAUCGUGGACGAUAUUAUACUAAUUAUUUACUAAGAAGAAAAAGAUUUUUCACAUUAACUUUCGAAUCCAGAUAAAUUACCAUGAAAAGAAGAGCAGAUAUUCUUCUGCGUAGGUAUUUGGUUGUUGUGAUUAAAAGAAUAGUAAGACAAACUGAAAAUCAGUUGGGAAAGAACUAAUGAUAGCUCACAUCAGCAUGAAUGGUCUAGUAAAAAACAUAGCUUGAACCAAAGGCAGCAUUUGUUGGUGAUGAAUAGGAUUGUCUUAUCCUUGACUGCUUUAGCUUUGUUGAGUUUCCCUGAAGCUGGACGACUGUUAUCGAUUAAGAAGCAGGAAUAACCUGUCCUCCGAGCUGCCCUCAUUUAUCAUCUAAGGCAAGUUUUUAUUGCUGGCACACAUUGAUUCAUGAGAUUGAGGUUGAAAUCUAUCUACUAAACAAUGCAAUGGUACUUGAGAAGAUGGUAAUUGAUCCAUACACUAGAUCUUACAAAGUGUAAUAAAGAUGGGAAGUUAAAGAAACUUGUGACAGUUGAACUACUAUGUGAAGGCUGAGGCUCUUCGCACAUCAUAGAGCCGAAGUUCGUCCACCUUUGGAACUGCGUAUUAGUUGAACAGCAAAAUACUUAAUGCAAUAAAUCCUGAUGCAUGGUAUGUAAAAUGAACAUGAUAAUAUGUGUAAGCUGAAGAAAGAAAAUAUAUACACAAACCUUGCCAUUAUAGUUAUGACUUCGUAUGCUCAUCUUUCUAAACAGUGUCAGGUGGCAGCCAAAGUUCCCCCAAACACUUCAGUAGGUCAGGGACCUCCCUUAAUAAGGGUCCAAGAAGAGCAGACAACAUAACCCCAGUGAAGUGAACAGGGGAACUCUAGAGGACAUCUGACUCUCUAUGUCUUCUUUGUGGUUAGUUGAUUAGGCAAUAGGAAGUCAGCCUACCUAUUUAUAAGUAAAAGCUCUAUACGUGCAUGUGGCCAAGUAAUUGUGACCCUUCAGCUGAUCUGACCAGCGUCACAUGGCAAGUUAUUGAAACUUAAGGAUAGAGAAUAAUCUUGAGCUCUCCCUCAUCUUUUCCAUACUUGUAUUACUGUCAUAGUUCAAAAAGUUCUGUAUGCAUUGCCCUUAAUAACUUUGACGUGUCUGUUAUUAACUGACCAUGCUAUCUUUAAUUAGGAGUUAUCUGUAUGUAUAUUUUUUGACACGACAUUAAAUAAAAAGGUUCAUUAUGAAAGCUAUAUUUCAAUUAUUAGCUGCUUAGAUUCUAUGCGGAUGGGGUGAAGAAAAUGAUGGAUAGAGAAUAAAAGUAUAUAUAGCCAGAAUUUUAUGCAAUUUUUUACCUCAAAAUCCUUCAAAAGGAUUUAUCUCGCCUGUUAUUGCGUCUAGAUUAAUUUUUCACAAGGGAAUUUAUCCCAUCAUCUUUAGACUCACAUAAAUCAAAACAAACAACCAGCAACAUCGAAGAUAAUCGCAAGUGUCAUACCGAAUAAUUGAGGUAAAUCAGCCCAAGUUUCCACAUGAAGCAACCAGCAGAAGGAAGUUAAACAAAAACAAGAUAUUUUGAAGCUACUCUCUCAAAACUGAAGUUUUCUUGUUUUUGCAGAGAGUCCUGACAUAAUCAGAGAGCUACACAAAAUAUACUGCUUUCUAUAGUUAGUUUAUAAUGGUGAUUCUGUUGGUGCUGUAACUGAAACUAACAGAUUCAGUGCAAACUUGUCAAGCAAGUCUCGAGACUUGCUGAGCAAACAAGAGAAUUCGAGCAAGAGAAAGAAAUAAAAACUAAGAAAAAUGAAGAGAAAAUUGAUGAACAAACUGAACUUCAUUCAUAAAUUGCAUAAUGGCACAAUGCCAAUACAUAAACCAAGCACUAAGCUUGUCAAAAACAGCAAAUAAUUACCUAAACAUCACCUACCUCCACUAAUGACAUGGAAACUUGAAAUUUUGGCUUGUAAACUUAUACAAAGUUGUGUUUACAGCUCAUACAUAAGCUAAUUACAUCAGUCAACAACCUAACUUAGUUAGAAAUGAACUAAGAUUACAUUUCAUUGACUAGGAAUUACAAAAUAAACAAAAUAAGCUUGCAUCAUCAGCUCCUGCAUGACUUGGUCUUCUUGGCCUGCAUGCUGUCGAGUUUGCUGCAUGCUGAACCAACUUCAUCACUCCUCCUUGGUUUGCAUGGAGCAAACACCUAGCUUCUUUCUUAGACAUUCGAACCUUGUGACACUAAGGGCUUUGGUUAAAAUGUCUGCAAGUUGAUCCUCUGAAUUAUAGUGGAUCAGCUUUACUUCCUGAGCUUGCUCGAUUUCUCGAACAACAUGCAACUUGAUGCUGAAAUGUUUUGUUUUUCCAUGGAACACUGGAUUUUUAGCAAUUGCUACUGUAGAUUGGUUGUCACAGAAGAUCUCAGUAGCUUCCUCUUGAUGCACAUUCAAGUCAGCCAAUAUUUUCCUUAGCCAUAUGGCUUGGUUGACAGCACUUGCUGUUGCCACAUACUCUGCUUCAGCAGUAGAUUGAGCUACUAGACUUUGCUUCUUUGAGCUCCAACAAAACAUGGAUGAACCAAGGUUAAAAGCAUACCCUGAGGUGCUUUUCAUGUCAUCUAUCGAGCCAGCCCAGUCACUAUCAGUGUAGCCAACCAGCUUCAGAUUUCCUUCUUUGCUGUACUUCAAACCAUAGUUUAAAGUGCCUUUGACAUAUCUCAGCACUCUCUUUGCAGCUUGGAAAUGCUUCUCAUUGCAGCAAUGCAAGAACCUUGAGAGCAAUCCUACAGCAUACAUGAUGUCUGGUCUAGUGGCAGUCAAGUAUAGCAAGCAACCAACUAGACUCCUGUAGGUUGUUUCACAAACUUUCUUAAAAUCACCUUGGCUCGAUAGUUUUUCUCCAACAGCAACAGGUGUUUUAGUUGCCUUGCUGUUUUGCAUGGAGAACCUGGUCAGAAUCUUUGUGGCAAAGCUUCUCUGGCUUAAAAAUAUCUCAUUCUGUACUUGAGACACCUCCAUUCCAAGAAAAUAUGACAUCUCCCCAAGAUCAGACAUUUCAAACACUUCCUGCAUCUUGGUCUUGAAGUCAGCCAGCACUACUCGAUCUCCUCCUGUCACUAGAAGAUCAUCAACAUACAGGGACACAAUAAGUUGUAUUUGUGUCCCUUGUUUCUUGACAUACAGUGUUGGCUCACUCUUGCUUCGAUCGAAUCCCAGAUCAGUCAAGUAGCCAUCGAUUCUGCUAUACCAAGCCCUUGGAGCCUGUUUUAAUCCAUAUAGGGCCUUCUUUAGUUUGUAGACCAUAUACUAUCUGCCAGCUAUUUCAAACCCUUGUGGUUGUUCAACAUAGAUGUCUUCAUCUAAGAAACCAUUUAGAAAGGCUGAUUUCACAUCAAGUUGAUGGAUCUUCCAUUCGAGCUGUGCUGCUAAGGCAAUUAGCAAUCUGAUGGUGUCGAGCCUGGCCACUGGUGCAAAGGUCUCCAGGUAGUCCAAGCCAUACCUCUGACUGAACCCCUUGACAACUAGCCUUGCUUUCAGCUUAUUCAAGGUACCAUCAGCAUUCUGCUUGGCUUUGUACACCCAUUUCACCCCAAUCACCUUCCUUUUGACUGGCCUUUCAACCAAUUCCCAGGUCUGGUUCUUCUCAAUCAUGCUGAUUUCCUCAGCCAUUGCCUGCUUCCACCCUUGCUGAGCCUCAGCCUCUUCAAAGUUGCUUGGUUCAGCUAUGGCUACAUGAGCCCUUUCAUAAAUCUCAGCCAAUGACCUUGUUCCUCUGACUGGUUCAUCAUCAAUAUCCAUUUCAGGGACAUUUUGGUCUGGCUCAGCUUGGUCUGCUGCAAGUUCUUCAGAAACUUCUUCAGGUUCAUGUCUUUCCCAGUUCCAACAUGACCUCUCAUCAAAUACCACAUCCCUGCUUACUGACAUUUUGUUUGUUGAAGGAUCUAAAAUCCUAUAGCCCUUCUUAACAGUGCUAUACCCCACCAAAACACCAAGUCGAGCCCUUUCAGACAAUUUGUCCCUUUUAACAGCAGGUACAUGUGCAUAACAGAUGCAUCCAAAGACCUUCAGAUGAGCCAGUGAUGGCUUGAAGCUAAACCAGGCCUCGAAUGGGGUCAUUUGAUCCAAAGCCUUGGUUGGAAGUCUAUUUUGAAUGUAUGUUGCAGUGUUAACUGCUUCUGCCCAUAGUGCUUUAGGCAGGUUCUUCUGAAUCAUCAAGCACCUGGCCAUAUCCAUCAAACUCCUACUCUUCCUUUCACUUACCCCAUUCUGCUGAGGUGUAUAUGUGUUAGUAAGUUGAUGUUUGAUGCCUGCCUUAUCACAGAAGGCUUGGAACUGAGCUGAGGUGUACUCAGUCCCAUUAUCAGACCUUAUGGUCUUCAGCUUGCAGCCUGUUUCAGUCUCAAAAGCAGUCUUGAACUUCCAAAACACAGUGGCCACCUCUGAUUUCUGUUUUAAGAAGUAAAUCCAGCAAUAUCUCGAGAAAUCAUCAAUGAACAGUAUGAAAUACCUGUUUCCACUUAAUGACUCAGUCUUCAUAGGGCCACACACAUCAGUAUGCACCAGUUGGAGUUUUUCAGAGGCUCUCCAGGCUUGAUUCGAGGGAAAUGGGAGUCUGGCCUGCUUUCCUAGCGGACAUACUUCACAUACAUCAUCAUGGUCCACUGAGUUGAUGAAAUUUUCAGCCAGGUCCUCUCUGACCAUUCGAGCCAUCGAUCUGAAGUUGGCAUGUCCCAGUCUUUGAUGCCACAGCUUAGAUUCAUCUGAAGUGGCUGUGUAGGCAAUGUCUGACUUUUUUGUCCAGUCAACCACAAAGCUCUUAUUAGCCAUAGGGACUGCCAUCAGUUUGGAUCCACUUGGAUCACUGAUUUGGCACUGGUGGUCUUUAAACACAACUGAAUAACCUUUUUCCAGCAACUAAGCUAUGCUGAGCAGGUUUCUGUCAAUUUCAGGCACCAACAGCACAUUUGAAAUCACUUUGGUACCUGUAAGGGUGCAUAUCAGCACAUCACCCUUGCCUUCAGCUUGAAUAAAAUGACCAUUUCCUAUCUUGACUUUAGUUCUGCAGCUUCUGUCUAAAGACUUGAAGAUUGCAGCAUCAGGUGUCAUGUGGUUGGUGCAUCCACUGUCUAGGAGCCAACCAGAUGAGGACCUUUCCUGAGCAGCUGAGCAUGACACAGCAAAGACUUGCUCCUCUUGAUCACUGUCCUCCUUAGCUACUCGAGCCUCAGCUUUCACCUGUUGAAACUGAUUCUGCCUCGAUUUGGUCUUACUCUUACAGACUCUCUCAACAUGACCCUUCUUCUUACAAUGCUGACACACAGCAUCUGGAUUGAACCAGCAUUUUUCUUCUGAAUGACCAGCCUUUCUGCAGUGCUUGCAAGUCUGACCUUCUCUCCUUGCAGCAUCAUUCUUUGGCUUGUCUCUCCAGGCCUUCUUGCCUUUGUAGGCAGUAUUUGUUCUUGCCUGAAAGGCACCUUCUUGGUGCUCCUCCAGUCUGCUUGCUCUCCUCUGCUCUUGAGCAUAUAGAGCAUUGAUCAACUCUGUCAGGGAGAUGGUGGACAGAUCUCUUGAGUCCUCGAGAGAUGAGAUUUUUGCCUCAUACCUCUCAGGCAGAGUUGCUAUAACCUUCUCCACUAUCCUAGCUUCAUUGAACUGCUCUCCAAGGAGCCUGAUGCUGUUAACCACAGCCAUAAUCCUGUCAGAAUAUUACUUGACAGUUUUUUCUUCCUUCAUCUUCAAAUUCUCAAAAUCUCUCCUCAAGUUUAACAACUGUUGCUGCCUUGUCCUCUCUGUCCCUUGAAACUCUUCCUGCAACUUGUCCCAGGCCUGUUUUGGUGAUUCACAGGCCAUAAUCCUUGUGAAAAUCACAUCAGACACUGAGUUUUGGAUGCAAGACAUAGCCUUGUGCCUCUUGGUCCUUUCAUCAGCAUGCUGCCUAAUCUGAGCCACUGUUGGAUUAGCUCUAAGUGGCUCUGGUUCAACAUCAGAGUUGACCACCACCCACAGAUCGAAAGCCUGCAGGUAGGUCUUCAUUUUGACCACCCAUAUGUGAUAGCCUUCUCCAUUGAAGACUUGAGGUGCAGCUGGUGAAAAGCUUGAUGAAGCCAUGGAUUUGUGUAACAGAUCCCUUAAGAAAUAGGCUCUAGAUACCAAUUGUUGGUGCUGUAACUGAAACUAACAGAUUCAGUGCAAACUUGUCAAGCAAGUCUCGAGACUUGCUGAGCAAACAAGAGAAUUCUAGCAAGAGAAAGAAAGAAAAACUAAGAAAAAUGAAUAGAAAAUUGAUGAACAAACUGAACUUCAUUCAUAAAUUGCAUAAUGGCACAAUGCCAAUACAUAAACCAAGCACUAAGCUUGUCAAAAACAGCAAAUAAUUACCUAAACAUCACCUACCUCCACUAAUGACAUGGAAACUUGAAAUUUUGGCUUGUAAACUUAUACAAAGUUGUGUUUACAGCUCAUACAUAAGCUAAUUACAUCAGUCAACAACCUAACUUAGUUAGAAAUGAACUAAGAUUACAUUUCAUUGACUUGGAAUUACAAAAUAAACAAAAUAAGCUUGCAUCAGCAGCUCCUGCAUGACUUGGUCUUCUUGGCCUGCAUGCUGUCGAGUUUGCUGCAUGCUGAACCAACUUCAUCAGAUUCAAAUGGCUUAUUGCUACUGGAUUUGAUAUGCAAGAGCAACAAUUCUAGCUAGCAUGGUGUUGCUAAUAAAGAUAAAAAUAACCAGAUGAAGUUGAUUGAUUACUUACUAAAACUGGUUUUCUUUUUUCUUUGCAUAAUAACUAAUAAUCUUUCUUGAUUAAAUCUUUAGGGAAAUAUGGUUUUUUAUCAGUUGUAUCAUUACGCAAUGCUUCGUGGCUAAUUUAGAAAUCGUUGAUGGCUUUUCUAGCAAGGUUAGGCUAUUGUCAUAAAACCGUUUCAACUUGCUCCAAGGAAAAUGAAUGGACAUUUCUUUUAUUCAGUUUAAUUGCACCAUGAUAAGAUCCAAGGCUAAACAAGCUUGAUUCAUAUAACUCCUUUAACUGGAAUAGAUGAAGUUUUUUUUUUGUUGCACCAAUCUGAUUGACAAUGUUAAAGAUAGAAACUUAUGGUCUGAUUGAAAUGCUAAACAUUGAUAAUUAGCCAUCAAUUUCAUAAUUCAUCAAUAAAAUGUUUUUUUAAUGCAUUGCAGAUGCUACAAGAGAUUUGACUAAACAAAAUUUCUCAUUUACUCCUAAUGUUUCAAAUUUUUAUUAAAUGAUUUAAUUUUCAAAGCCAAGGAAAUAAUCCUAGUUAAUGUUGUCAAGCAUGAGGCAUAGUGUUUUAUACUUGAAAAAGGGUUCCUUUUUUCUUCUUCUGAAAAGUGAAAAGAAGAGGUCCGAAUGGACAGAUAUUUAACAUGUAAAGAGUUGGGGAAAUCCAAAAAGCUUUUUGUCCACUUGUUACCAUUCUUCUCUUCUCUUCCAUUGCUAUACCCUUUCUUUCCCCUCAAAUAUUGGCUAGGUUCAAUUCCAACAAUAUGAAAGCUAUGAAUUUCACUCACUCUCAAUCAUUUAUGGAUCGUCAUUUCAAAAUGUGUCAGUCUCUAAGCUUAGUGAAGCUUCCCUAUUGAUACAGUGAACCCUCAUUGCAUAAAUAUACUAAGAAAGAGUAGCAUGAGAAAGGGAAAGUGAGCUAUUCCCUGGAGUUGCCCUGAUCACUUCACUGAGGCUAUUUUAAGACCCUUAACAGAGGGAAUUUGGUCCUAUUGAAGUGUUUGGGGUAACUCUGGGAGAUAGUUGGCACUGGUCAGCAGCAAACGUUGUUGGAGGCUUAUUUGAUGUCUAGGCAAGCUUUCCCAGUACCAUGUAAACUUCCUCAUCCAUUCUCCAUUGUAGACAUGCUAUCUGGUUUCCUUUUGCAUCAUUUGGUUUUGUUCUUAUUAUUAUGUUUUUAAUAUUUGCAUUACUAUCAUCUACUGCUCCAACAAUGUGUUAAAAAUGGCCAACCAUGCUGCUGUUAUACAGCUUGUAAACAUGCUGCAGCACGUAUGCUUGCUGUAACAGCAAGGUUGUUUAGUUACUUUUUUAAGUUACUUAGUUGAAAAUGAACUAAGUUGGUAUUAUUUUGAUGUUUUUAGUUUCCGAUUGAUAUAUCAGCUUGUGUGCAAGUUAAGUUUUACUUGUUUCAAAGUAUGAUUAGUGGUAGUAGGUAGUAUUUGGUGAUGUAUUUGGCUAUAAAUGUAUUGUUUUUUCUAAUUAAAUGAAUGAGCAAAAUGAGCUAUCAGCCAUAAGUUCCCUUGCCGCACAUUUGUGUGCAAGUAAAAAUAUUUCAUGCAUCUUGCUUCCUUGUUCUAUGUCCUGAUAACCCCAACACAAUGCCAACAUUCAUAAUGAAAUUUACUAUCAGUUUCUGUUGGUAAAAUAAUCAAACUCUUUUAAAUCCAUUCACAAAAAUUAACCGAUAACUAAAAUAGUUUCAAUAAGAAACAAAUGAAGUUAACCGAUAACUAAAAUAGUUUCAAUAAGAAACAAACGAAAGAAUGUUAAAUACAAAAAGUUCAUAUCUAAGCCUAAUUGGCUGGCAUCUCAAACCGGCAAAUAGGGCAAUAAUGGCUCUGCCUCAGCCACUUCUCGAUGCAAUCACCAUGAAAAGUAUGAGAACAAGGCAUCCGAGAAGCAUCAAACCCAACCUCGAGCUCCUCCAAACAUAUCAUGCAGUCUUCUUCAUCUCCAGCUUCUAUUCUGACCGUCUUUAGCAUCUCCUUAAACAAGGACUCUUUAGCCGGAAUCAUGCCAUAGUUACUGUUUUGAAACUCUGGUUCUGAUUCAGCCAAUGCUCUUCCCAUCAAAAUCCCAUCAUUGUAAUGUUCCACAAUGGAUGCCUGUAUCACUGAUCGUAAAGGCAACACUUUACAAUUAAUUCCUCUGCUAAGAACCCAAUGUGACAGUCUUCGUCCACGUCGGAGAAUUUCAUGAAUGAAGCUGUGAUAACCAAGAGAGGCUGUGUUGAUUCGGAGUCUUGUAAACGUGGGAAAUAGAAUUUAGUGAAGCAGGUGCUCGUUUUCAACAAUGUUGAGCUUGAAACGGAAGGUUUGUCGGAAGGACAAAGGGUCGUCGGUGGUGGUGUAGAUGUCUGCUAGGCAAUCAUGGUGGACUGAUACCAAAACGAAGUCAAUGCUUAAUUGAAAAUUCAUAAAACGGGGAGCAAUAUUACGAGUUUGUGGGAUGAUCUUAUUUUGAAAAGUACUGCGGUGAAAGAUACCACACUCGUUUGGAGUUGAAUCCAUUAGGAACUUAAGAAGCUAGAAACGUUUAUACUAGGAACCCACAAUCAGUUUUUCUUUUUGAAGUUUCCUAUUCUCCUAAUAGUAUUUAUAAGAAAAGACAACGGCGGUGUAGAGUAUGGAGUAGAAAUACGUAAAUAUUAUUUGUUUAAUCACUAAAUUAUAAGUAUUCCCAUUCCUCUAAUGACUCCUAAAACGAUUAGCAGUUAGAAACCUAUAAAUGAGAGGGGUAAAUACCAAAUAAUCCCUCGGGCUAUUAGCGUAAAUCUGAUGGUUUCAAGAAUAAUUUUCAUUCUAAUAUUUAUUUUCUUUUGGCCAAUUAUUUUCUUGCUUGUUCUAAUACAUUUUUUAAAGAGUUUGUUUCCAGAUAAUUCUUUUUGCUAAAUAAUUACAAUAAUAGUAUUACCAAAAAUAAUUGUUAUAAAUUCUUUUAGGAGUUUAAAUUAAAUUUUAAUUUUUAUAGUAGUAAAAAUAUAAUUUCAUCAUUUGAGUAAUUUAUAUAUUUAUCAUUUUAAAAAGAUUAAGUUAAUUUUUUAUUAUUUUCAAGGGCAAAGUGUAAUUUUAUAUUUACUAAUUUAAAAUUUUAAAAAAUUAAAAGAUCUAAAUGAAUUUUUUUUCUUUUUAGGAAGGUCGAGGCCCCGCCCCUUAAAAUUUUUUUUCCUCUACCUCUAUAAAAAAUUUAUUUUAGCCUUUCAUUAAAUUUUUCGUCUCUUUUAACUCUUAAACUUGUAUUGUUUAUAAAAUCAUUUCAAAAUGGGUGGAAAAAUUAAGAUCUGUUAACUUUGCUGUCGCGGUAAUUUACGUGUAUGCCACGUUAGCAAAUAAAUAAUUUUUAAAAAUAUAUAAAAUAUAUUUUUUAAAUUUUUUAUAUUGUUAAUCAUUUUAAUUUUAAAUUUUUAAAUUUUAAAAAAUAAUUAAUUGUUGACGUGACAAUUCACUUUAUAUCACACCAAUAAAGUUAACAAAUGUUAAUUUUUUUUAUCUAUUUUAGGAUAAUUUGAUAAAUAAUUCAAAUUUCAAGCGAAAAAUUAGAAGAAGAACUAAUGUGAUUUGACAACUAAUUCAAAUUUCAUGCGAAAAAUUAGUAAAAGAGCUAAAAUAAUUUUUCUUUUUUAGCUAGAGGGCAAAGUAAGUUAUAAUGCCUUUUAUUUUUGUAUUAUAUUGAUAUAUUUAAGUUUAGGCCAAAUUUUACUAGUCCUUGUACUAUACAUGAGAUGUGGAUUUAGUUUCAUAUUUUAAUAUAAUCCUUUUUAAUCUUUUGUAUCAAUCUAAAAUAUUUUCUGUAUUAAUAUAUAUUUAAGGGUUGAAUUUUUUUUUUACAUAAAAGGAAUAAUUAAAAAUUUUUAAUUCAUGUCAAAUUUGACAUGAAUUAUCUAUAUAGAUAAAGAAUAAAAUAUGACAAUUAAAUUGUUAAAAUAUUAAUCGUAUAAAAAAUUAUGUAAAACCACCCAAAUUUUACUAUAGUACGUAAGUAGUGUUUUUUUAAUAAAGAGAAGGCCUGAGAAGGCCUGAAAAGGCCAGAGCUAAAACUUGUGUGAGACAUUCGGCCAGCUCCAAAUCUUCCAUCGGCAACUUCCAGCUCCCAGCUAGUGGGCCUUCCAGCAUCUGCAGUUCAUACGGUCUCUGCUUGAAAUGCUUUGCUACAAAAUCAACAACUUGGUUUGCCUCCCGUGGCACAUGCUUGAUCUCCACACUCCACUGCCAGCUCAGCAAUUCCUAUAUCAGUCUCCAAAGUGGCUUCAAAUAAUUCUCCACAGGUGCAUCAUUCUGUAUCAACUAGAUGGGCCCGAAGUUAUCACACUUAAGCUCCACAUGCCUAUAACCCUGUUGCCAAACUAUUUGGAGACCAUCGGCCAUAGCCUGCAACGCCGCUUGUAGUAUUGAACCCACUCCUAUGUUCCUUCCAAAACCAGUUCACCAUUUUCCCAAUUCAGCUCGAGAUACCCCACCUACGGCUUACACACCCCAUAGAGGAGUCCAUUGCUCCAUCUACGUUAAGUUUUAUCCAACCCGACUUCGGUAAAGGCAAUAUACUGCUUCCCAUAUUCGACUUGGGCACCUUGUCCCUCCCUCUCUUUGCAUGCUCCAUACUUCGUGCCCAACUUAAGUUGUGAUUGAGCACUAGGUCAAAACAGUAAUGAACAUGUAGGAACAAGUUCUUAUUUUUCCAGAUUUGCCAAAUAAGCAUUCAAAAAGCGAAGCCCAUUGCACUCCCGCAUAUUUGAUACCACCAAGUUUGUUAUCAAUAUUAUCAGUAAUCCAAGAGCUUAAUGGAGCAUUGAAAAAAAUCAUCAUUAACCUGUUCGAGAAUCACUUUCUUUCAAGUUGCCAUAGCCCCUUGUACGAUCACCCACUGCAUGGAGAGUGUCAUCAUAGCAUAUUUGGGAAAAAAAUAUUUUAAGAAAUACUUUUGAAAAUAUUAUUAAUAUCAUAUUUAUAAAAAUGUUUUGAUAAUAAUUUGAGAUAAUAUUUUAUAAAGUUUUGCAAUAAUAUUUUAUAAGGUUUUGAAAUAAUAUUUUGAAACAUUAUAUAUUAAUGAUAUUUAUGAUGUUUUAAAAUAUUUUCUAUUAGAAAUAAAUUUAAUUUCUAAAAAUAAAAGUAUUAUUUUAAUAUAUUAUUAAAUAUAUUAUUUAAUACCAUCAUAAAGUUUAUUAUAAAAAUAUAACAUCAUAUACAAUUUAUUAAAUUUAAAUUUUAUAAUUUGAAAUUCAUUAUUUAAUUUAAGGGUAAAAUUGAAAUUCUAUUCAAUUCAAUUCCUUACAUAAUCUUUUUCAAUUCUUCUAUCCAACCAAAAAAUGUAAUAUUAAAAAUCCUAUCAAAUGCAUAUGUGUGUGGAAACCACGAAUUUAAAACAUUGAUAUAUAACUGAUGGAUGUAAUAUAAUAUGUAUAAUAAAAAUUAAAAGAUGAAAAUUAUAUUAAAAUAAUACUUUAGUUUAGUAGCAAUAUUAAUGAUUUAUGAAUGUAAAUAAUAUGGGUUCAAAUCUCACUCAUGUAAGUUUUUAUUGAUUUUUUAAAUAAAAAAAUUAAAAUACAGCUUUUUUUACCUACAUAAUACAAAAAUAAAAAAUAAAUACUUAAAUGGUAUGCUAAUACCAUUAUUUACUAAAAUAGUAUGCUUGCAACAGUACUAAGAGGUGGAGGGCAUAAAGGAGGUAACACCCAAUUUUUUUCGGACACAUUCAUUCAAACAUCAUUACAAAAUUAUACGUUUUUUUUAAUAUAUAUAUAUUAAGGGUGGAGGGUGUGAGAGAAGCGGUACCAAUAUUUAUUUUUAUAUUUAUUUAUUUUACAAAUGAUUGUAUUGAUGCAAUUGGGUUUUUGAUUUUAUAGAAAUGGUGUGUUUGAAAGAAAGACAGAUAUGUUUUUGUGUUUUUUUAAUAUUUGUUUCUGGUUUUUUAAUUUAAAUGCAGAUAACAGAAAAGGUAUUAGUUUAAUUUUUGUUGAUAGUUUAUUCUGUAAAGAGGGUGUUUUGAAGAAAGGGAGUAGGUAUGUUUCUGUUAUUUUUUGUUUAACAUUAAUUUUUGUUGUUUAUGUACUUAAUACAUGGUCCUAUUGUGUUGAAAUUUUUGAGAGUUUUUUUUUGUUAUUUACUUAACUAGUAUAAAGACAAUUAUUAUGUCCAUUAAUGUGAUCUUUUCAAUUUUUAUUUGUAUUUAUUAUGUAUUUAUUUGUUGGCUUUGUUAUCCAAAAAAUACAAAAAAAAAAAACAACUCAAAUGGUUUAAUAAACAAAUACAAUAUAAAUAGUGAUACCGCCUCCUACAUGCCCUCCACCUCUUGGUACUGUUGCAAAUAUACCAUUUUGGUAAAUAAUGGUAUUGGCAUAUCAUUUAGGUAUUUAUUUUUUAUUUUUGUAUUAUGUAGGUAAAAAAAAUCCUAAAAUACUCUCGAAUAAUAUAACUUAUUUUAAUUAUAGAAUGACAUUUUCGUAAUUUCUUUAAUUGAAUUGGUGACCGGUUGACUCGUGAUACCAAUGACAUUUUCAUAAUUUCUCUAAUUGAAUUGGUGACCGGUUGACUCGUGAUACCAACUCAGUCUGGAGCUUAAAUAAUAGUAAGUACAUAUAUAAUUGAUAGAUGUAAUAAAUUAUGCAAAAAAAAGUUUAAAAGGUGAAUAUUAUAUUAAAGUUUUAGUUUAGUGGCAAUGUUGAUGUUUUAUUGAUAUAAAUAGCAUGCGUUCAAAACUCAUCCCAUUUAAGUUUUUCUUAUUCGUCUUUUUAAAUAAAAAAUUAAAAUAUCAUUGAAUGAUGUAACUUAUUUUAAUUAUGAAAGGAUAUUUUCAUAAUUCCUCUAACCGAGUUGGUGCAAGUUGACUCAUUACAUCAAUUCAGUCAAAUGAUUAAAUAAUAAUAUAGAUUAUUACUUGUGUAUUCUAUUACAUCCAACUAAAUCACUAGUAUUUUAUUUCCACAAAAUAGUUAUUUAUAGUGAGCCAAAUGUGGCAUUAGGGAUUUUGCCUCUUUUUUUUUUUGGUUUGUUAUAUUUUGAUAGCAAUGAUCGAGUUUGAAUGAAAUGAAUCAAUGUAGUCCUUAUAAAACGAAAGUAAGACAAUUAGUAUUGCAUCGAUGAACGCACUAUUUUUUAUUAGAAUGAUACGUAUCGAUAUUAAUCUAUUUUAGUGUACCAUUUCAAAUUUAUCUAUUUUUUAAAAAAUAUUUAAUAUAUAUAUAAAUAUAUUUACAAAUAUAAAAUGAGUAAUACUAAUUAAUAAACUCAACAACUAAAAAUCUAUGGUUCAGAUAAAUCUUUAAAUAUUCAUCAUUUAAUAUGAAUUUUUAAGGAUUUAAAUCUUUCACUUUUUCAAUAAAUAAAUAAAAAAACUAAAAGGGAGCGGAGAUUUUUUCUUUGAUAAUCAAAUGAGUAAAUUAUUUUUAUUAUAUUUAGUUUUUUAUAUUUUAAAUAUAAAAGUAUAUUCUAAAAAACUUUUUAAAAUAAAUAAUUAAAAAAAUUUAUAUUCUUUUAAUAUUAUUCAUGCACCAAAUCGGCACGAAUCAAAAUUUUCACUAACGAAAAAUGAUAAUUGUUCUAAUUUAACAAUGAAACGGUGCGUAUUGGUUAGCACAAUCGAAACCGGUGCAAAACUAACCAAAUUACAUUAGAAUAUAUGAAAAAGUAAAAAUUAAUAAAGAUAUCUCUCCCCGCUCCGGUGAUGCCCCUUAUUAUACUUACACACCUACUUCUCUUGUCAUCUGUUUUACACAUUUAUUUGUGCGGGCCGUUUUCAUCUCUUUCUUAGUUUUUAUUUAGUUUUAAAUUCACUAAAAAAAAGCCUGCACGAGAUUCUCUUGUUCGAGGAAUCCUUCACGGUACAAAAUUCAAUGCUACAAUUCUUUUUUGUCCUUACAAUUACAGUUUUAAUUUCUCUUAUAUAUAAAUAAAUAAAUAAUAUUAAGCUUGCAAAACAAAAGUUCUAAAAUAUAAACACGAAAUUCGUUCUUCAGAUCUCUGAAUGCUCACAGUUCCGGUAAUGACAGCUUAGUAGCGAACAAGGACUUCAUAUUUGAUGCUCUUUUCAGGCGAAAGCUUUUGAUCCUCUCUUCUUUUUCACCUUUUUCCAGUUCUGCCGACACGCUUGCUUUUACUUUUUUUUUUCUUGAUUUAAUUGUAUUACUUUUCAUUUACUUGAGUAGAUGUGGAUUUUGGCUAUGUAUCUUUUACUCUCUUUUUUACCGUUGAGAUUGUGAAGAAAAUCUGAAAACGGAAAGGAAAAUUUCAAACUUUCUUUGUUUUAGUUUGCUUGUCUGGGUUCUCCAUUUUCAGUCGCUAUCCAGUUCGAUAUCAUUUUUUUGUUUUUUAUGAUUGAAUUAAGUUUGUCUUUUAUUUAUAGUAACUUAUAACUAACAAGCUAAUGAUUAUGUAGUGUAGUGCCGUUUUGACUGCCAUUACUUGCAAACUGUAUUAGGAUAUUGAGUGCGUUUGGUUGUUUUUAAAAUGCUACUUUAAAAAAAAUAGAGUUUAAUGCUAACUAGCUAAAUAUUGAGGCUUUGGUUGGGUAUGACCUUCGCAGAUUUCCAGAUUUAGAAACUUUUAAUUAUUUUUGGGUUUAACGGAGAUGGGGAAAUCUCCAGCGAAAUGGAUCAAGACCUUGCUUCUUGGGAAGAAAUCUUCAAAGUCCAGUUUCUCAAAAGGAAAAGAGAAGCUGGUAAGGAAGUAUUAAUUAUCUUCAAAUGUGAAAUAGCACUUGAAGAUUGAAAAUGUUGCAUAUUCUAAUUUUUGUUGAUUAUCAUGGGCAGAAUUCUGCAACUAAAGGUGAGGUUUUGGUUUCUUCCAAGGUGUCUGACCUAUCAGCGGAUCCUCCAUCGAUUUCAGCACCUAUUCUAGUGAGCCGUGUUAGGAAUGUGGUGGACUCUGAGAAGGGUAUACCAGGGAUUUAAAUUGCGGUCGCGGUCGCGUUUUCGGUCGCGUCGCGUUUGUCGCGGUCGCGGACAUAACGGACGCUAUUGCGGUCACUGCGGGUAUCGCGGUCGUGAAUUUUACAUUACUUAUUGUGUAUUGCGGGUAUAGCGGGUUUCGGCAGUAACGGUUUCGGACGGUGCCAUUACCGCUAUAUAACGGCCGCUAUUUCGGUAACGGACCGCUAUUUAAAUCCCUGGGGUAUACCUGACCAAUUGCCGAUUGAUGGGGCAAAUAUUCCAUCUCUAAAAGUGGAUGGAAAUAAUGCCACAACCGGUAAUUUUGGUAACCCAGAAAAUCCUGAUAGGAUUAGGCUUGACCCAGCUGCUGUGACAGUACAGGCUGCUUUCAG